UGAGCUAGGAUUACGCAGAGAAGACUGCACGGAGUUGAGCUGGAUUGAGUCUGCUCUUUAUUUCUCUGGUCUUCCAACUGGAUCAACGGUGAAUGAUUUGGUACUUAGUACCCCAUAUCCCAAAAAUUAUUACAAAAACAAAUCAGACUACGUAGUCGAGCCCAUCUCUGAAGUUGCAUUGGAAGGAUUGUGGAAAAGACUCUUCGAAGAAGGGGCAGAGGCAGGUAUGCUUAUCCUUUCACCAUCUGGUGGAAGGAUGUUUGAGAUUUCAGACUCUGAAACUCCGUAUCCACACAGAGCUGGAAACAUAUACCAGAUUCAGCAUAUCUCUUCCUGGACUGAAGAGAACAAUGCAAAUUCUCAAAGGUACAUAGAUUGGGUCAGAAGGGUUUACAAAUACGUGACUCCAUUUGUUACUAAAUCUCCCAGAGCUGCAUACCUGAAUUAUAGAGACUUGGACUUGGGAGCCAACAGGGAAGGCAACACAAGUUUUGCACAAGCUAGUAUCUGGGGUAUGAAGUAUUUUAAGAACAAUUUCUACAGGUUGGCCCAUGUGAAGCAGGAGGUUGAUCCAAGUAACUUUUUCAGAUAUGAGCAGAGCGUCCCUCCUUUCUCAUCCUCAUAGAAAUGGAGAAAUGCUUGAAGGAUUAGUAUAUCAUAUAGUCAUCUAUCAGAAAUUAGUACAUAUAUACGAGUACAACUACAGUAGCUUGGGUCAUAAGUGUUUUCUUUUGUAUACUUAUUAUAGUUGAUGUGUCUUAGUAAACAUAUAGAAAUAUGGGCAAGAUGCAUCUUUGUUAGAUGUUUAAUUGUGUUAGUGUUGUAACAUAUGUGAUUCCUUGAAUGCUAUGAGAUACUUCCUUGGGGUUUUAAUUGUGUACGUAUUAUAUUUUACAAUUUUAUUCACCAUCUGUUGCAAGCUGGGGUUUACUGACUUCUUCAUGACUUACUUCUUAGACACGCAUUUACUUCUAGAAUUCAUCUUAAGGUCACUGUUUAUCUCGUGGAGUUGCAAAAUAUUCUAUUUUGUGGUACCAAGUAGUUUUCUUGAAUGUGUAGCGAGUAUCGUAGGCUCCGUUUGAAUGAACUGCUUUUGAACAUGUUUUUCAAAAAACUUACAAUAGCGAUGUAUAUAAAUAAAAAUUUAUUGUAGUUGUUUGUCUGGAGUAUUUUUAAAAUUUUAAAUAAGAUUAUGAUAUUUUUUUGAAUAUGAAAAAAAAAAUCAAUAAUCACCACCACCCUCUCGAUCUCUCCCUCUCUCUCCUUCCCUUUAUUCCUCCUUCUUCCUCUUCCUCUCUUGUCCGUCUCUCUCACUCCCCACCCCCUUCCUCCUCCCUCUUCCUCUCCUACCCUUCUUCCUCAUCCCUCUUCUCCUCCCUUGCCACCCCGGACCUCCCCUGGCUGCGACCUAAGUAUCGUGCAUUUGAAUUUCACAAUUUCUGCAAUUAAAAGAGGUCCAGACACAGCAUUUGAACGUAAUUAUUAUUGUAGCAUUAAAUUGGUUGAAUUUAGUUAUUGGGAGUGUACGUAAGUUCACACAGCAUCAAAGGAUCAAUGCAGAGUGCAGCAAAGGCGGCUAAUGCCCAUGACGUCAUUAUACAAAUUACGUGUGGAACAAGAAAUUGUAUUAAUUAGUUGGGUACCCUUCAACUCUUCAAAAUAAGUCUUGUAUAAUAGCUUCUUCAUACACUGUUCUGUAGGUCUCACACGCUUCAAAUUCAUAUAUACAUCAUAUGAAUGAAUUCAACUAUGCAUUUUAAAAAUUUCAAUUUCUUUGCCAAAUGUUAGAUAAAAAUUGGAGAGCUAAAAUGCAAAUAAAUAGAAAUACAAAGUUAUCAAAGAUAUACAUGGGAAUUUUAAAAUUUCCUGCAGGUGAUCAUAUUAAAUUAUUUUGAUGUUCAUGUAUAUUGAUUGUUGUAUUGAGUAAUCCAAAUAAUUCUAUAAAAUACAUAUUAAAUUGAAAUCUAUUGAAAUGCAAACAGAAAAAAAAAAGAAAAUUUUUAUUAGAUUAUCAACUUAAUUUACAUGUGAUCAUAUAUUAAAGUGAUAUUGUCUUGUUGAGUCCCCGCUAUUCAGUUAAAAAUGAAAACUGAAUAGUUCUUAUUGAUGAAGGACGAAUCCUAGUUUGCAAUAUAUAUAUAUAUAUAUAUAUAUAACAUGGUCCUCAAUUUGAGCCCUUUUUUCUCUGGUUUUCUUUGUUUUAAGGUGGCUUGAGAUCAUCAAUAUAUUGAUUAUUGAAUUAUUGCACAUAGACAACAAAAAAUGUAGGAUAGGACCAUUUAUAGAUCUGGGCUUGCUUUCAUAUUAGUCAUUCACUUUAAAAGUUGCAUCAAAAUUUUUUUUUUCUCAACUCAAACAUAGCUUCUAUAAAUCAUGCGCAGACCAGGGCAAGACCCACAAGUACAAAGUUAUAGUCAAGGGUUCCAUUAAUCACUGCAAGGAAACAUGUUACUUUUGAUUACAAUCUAUUCUGUUGCCCUAGUUUACAGAUCUGAUGAAGAUCAACAUAGAGUUCUCACACUUUGAGUUAGCAGGAGCUUUCAAAAUGGAAUGCCUGCUUAUAUAUAUGGGUUGCAUAGCACAAUGUUGAAAAUACAGGAGACAUUAACAAAGUUUUCCAAUGAAACCUUAUCUCUAAUUGCAGAAAUGUUUCUUCCUUGCUUUCAAAUGGAAUGCCUGCUUAGAAAAACAAUGUAGAUUUGAAUCUUGAUGGGUGACCCAUAGUUGUACUCCACCCUCUAUCUAUUUUUCUUUGAAAAGAAAUGGUUUUUUUUUCCCACUAAACAUAUACAAAUAUGUAUAAAAACGAAUAAACGCGCUUAAUACACAUAUGAAACUUUCCUUUUGUUGCAACUUACCUAGCAUUUUUUUUUUACCACGAAAAAUACGGAAUUUGGGUAGGUAAAAUUGAAUUUUGAUACAAUCAGUACAGUUAUUGUAUUUGAUACAAUCAAUACAAUUUUUUUCUAAGAGUUGAUGCAUAAUUAUAGACGUGAUUGUAUUCGUAUAAUGAAUUGAUGUACAUGAAUAAAAUUCAUGCAUAUGACACAGUACAAAAGAAUAUAGUAUACAUGAGAUUGUGUAAAAUUUAUAAUAACUAUACAACUGCACCAAAAUCUUGAUCGAAAUUUAAAACGUGCUUGGCAAAUGAUGAAUCAAAAAAAAAAAAAAAAAAAAAAAGAGACGCUGUGGACGUCCAAGACAGCCAAUCAAGUCACGGCUGCGUAAUGGAGUAUUUCCACUGUAUGCAUGCGUGCAUGCAUGCAUGGACCUAUUGAUAUAAGAAGAGCAAAACCUGAAAUUUCCAUUAGCAAACUUGAAUACGUACAUUUCAAAGGUAAUCUAGAGUCUUUUUUUUUUUCUUUUUUGUGCCCAAUACUUGUCCUUGAAAGCUUCCCUUCCAAGUAUUCUCUUAAAUUUUGAGGUUAAAAUCUGAAAAAUUCAUUCGGAGGGAGGGGUUUGAAAUUGACCCUUUCCCAGUAUCAUUCAAAUUAAUUAACUAAUAGAAUUUUAACACCGUGAAACUUCAAAUUCCAAGCUUAUUAAUUAGAUCAUCUACCUCCCAAUUUCCAAUGGUAGGGACGGCUUCUUGGUUUCUUGAGUUUGGUACUUUCCAUUUCCUCCCAUAAGACAAGUAUUUGCUGAAAUUUGGUACAAAUUGAGAUACUUAUUUGGUUUUUCCACAAAUUUGACUCAAAAAUAAUUAGCAUGUGUUUUGACACCCACAAAGAGGAAACAAUAAAAAGAAGAAAAAAAAACCAUUCUAUGGUGGCUCCAAAAAAAAAAAAACAAUGAUGAGAAAUCCAAAUCCUCUUGUAUAUACGCAUGGCACAAAUUUCACUCAGGUAUAAUUAUAACCACAGUGUGAAUGCCUUGUUUUUCUUUCUGUCAUCAUUGUAUCCAACAUUUUUUUCCUGGUUUUUGGCCAUGAAUUUUCCCACUCCCUGAUAGUCUAAUACCAAACUCAUACGCUAAAGACUAGGAAAGGUCAAAUCAGUGGCAAUUGGUACCCCCAUCAUCAAGUUUUAGAAAAAUGUUAUAAUAGGUUUAAAGUUUUCAACUAUUUUCACUUUUUGCGACUUGGAUUCUUGUAAAAAGGACCUAUUUGCCCCUCUGUCCACACAAUUUUCCAAAAUUUCUUGACUCUCACCCCUUUAAAACUAACAAAGUUCACCUUUUGAUUUAUAAUUCUUUCUUUAAAUUUAUAAAAUUUUCUCCGCUAUGUAAGAAAUCUACAUAGAUUCAUUUAGAACAUAAAUAUGAUAUUCAUUAUAAAUCCAAUGCAAUAAUUCAAACACAAGAGGCAUAAAAUUGACGCUAUUAGCAAAUCCAUAAUUGACAGUCAUCCCCCUCCGAGGACCCACAGGAUCCUAGCUUCGUCGCUGGUUCAAAUUGAGUUUAGGUAUGAUAGGUCAAUCUAGCUUCGUCGCUAGAUUGCUUGACUUUUUCUUUUUUCUGUCUGCAAUCCUUACAACAAAGAAACGUAUAGAAAACUGUCAAUGCUGUAGCAGGAGUAUAAACUACCAUCAAAUUUGUAAGUAUAAAUAGCCAUGCACUUACGAUAUUGUAGUGCAUCAAUUCUUGAAGUUAAACCAUAAGAACCUUGCCAAUAAUGGAGACUACUUCAAGCACCAAACUUUCAUGCAUUUUUCUUUGUUCAUUAGUUCUUGUUUUCUCAAUGCCGUGGAGCACUAGGGCUGAAAUUCAUGAUAGAUUUCUUCAGUGUCUUCAUUCUCAGAACAAUGACUCAACAUGAACCAAGUACCAGGUUUUAUGGGCAUUUUAUUCUGAAUCAUUUAAUUUAUGUUAAAUACAUUAAUAUUUGCAAAUAAAAUUCAAAAGCCGUUACACAAAUAUUUUUACGAAAGGAAAAGUAGCAUGUUUUGUAUUUAAUAUAAAUGACGUAUUUGAAAGUAAAAAAAAAAUUCCAUAACAUACCAGUUCCUUACAAGUUUCUUCCAUUAUAUGGAUAACGUAUUAGCUAUUUAUGAGCAAUUUAAUUUGCAUCAUUUAAUUUAUAUUAAAUACAUAAAUGUUUAUAAGUAAAAUUCAAAAAUUGUUACACUAAUAUUAUUACGAAUGGGAAAUUAGUAGGUUUUGUAUUUAAUAUAAAUUAAAUACGUGAAAGUAAAAAAAGAAAUUACCCACUUUUUACUAGCUCUUUACGGGUUUCUUCUAUUAUAUGAAUAAAGUGCUAGCUAUUUAUAGGCAUUUUACACUUUUAUAUAAUUUAUGUUAAAUACAUAAAUGUUUAUAAGUAAAAUUUAAAAAGUGAUACACUAAUAUUUUUACGAAAGGAAAACAAGUAGGUUUUCUAUUUAACAUAAAUUAAAUACGUGAAAGAUGAAAAUAAAAAGUAAUUGCCCAUAACAUAUCAGCUCUUUAUGGGUUUCCUCUAUUACACGAACAAAGUAAUAACUAUUUAUGAGCAUUUUACUCUAAAUCACUUAAUUUAUAUUAAAUAUACAAAUGGUUGUAAGUAAAAUUCAAAAAGUAUUACACUCAUAUUUUUACGAAAGGGAAACUGGUAAGUUUUGUAUUUAACAUAAAUUAAUUAUGUGAAAGUAAUACUCGCAGGUAAUUUAAUUAGUUUAAUUAGUUACUUAAUUUAUGUUAAAUAGAUAACCUACUGGUUGAUUUAAGAUUUAUGAAAACCGGCAUUUUUUCCGGCACAUCUAGUGCUUACAAUUUUUUGUAUUGUACUUACACCCUCUCAACUUUAGUAAUCAUUCUAAUAAUUUAUUCUUCUUUCAAUCGUCUACUAAUACAAGGAGCAAAGGGGCAGCCAUGGAAUAAAAAUACCUUCUCACACAUGAAAAUAAUAUUGUAAUCAGAUUUGGGCUGCAUUAUUACCAAAAACUCAAAAGCAAGGGAGGUCAGUGAAAUUUUGAGGACCUCAGGGGGUGCUAGUGAAAGUGUCAGAAACCUCAGGGGAGGUUUCAGAAAUUAUCCCAAAAAAAGGGAAAUAAAACAGCAACAAGAUGCACACGUGAAACUCACAUGGAGGACGACCACACUUUCAAACCAUCUUCCCGGUUUAUACUACAUUUCUAAUAAUGAUUAACUCCACGGUUAAAAUAUGCUAGAGGCCUGCUUCCCUAGCAAUAAGUGGAUCCACUGUUUUUAGGAUCUGAUUGGACCGGGCAGUCGAACAAAUUCAACCGUGAUCCACUAAGUGUGUUUGUUCGUGAAGAGGCCCCGUCCUGGGCCUGUACACGUGGCAGCCCAGGGAGCUCCGAGCUGGGUUUAGACCCAGGGCCCAUGAGAAAUAUCCCACGGCCCUCCGCCGCUAGGGCUCCGAGGGAUUCCAAGAGAGCAAUCCCGCAUAGGUCGGGAUUGACCCCCCUCAGUGCGGGAUUGGGGGCUAUUCUGGGCAAGCCCCGAAACGUACGGAGGUCGGACUCCUAAGAAGGUAUAAAUAGUAACGCAUAAUGACUGCGCAAGGUACGCUCAUUGAUUUCUGGACAAUUACUCUCGACCGUUUUACUUUCCGUAAAUCUCACUCACCGGAAAACUAACUUGACCGUCGGAGUGCCUGCGGGGACGACCUCGGGGCCCCUGUUAUUUCACUCUCCUGUCUGUCUUUCAGGCUUAGGACGCGCUCUCCCAGUCAGCGAAUCGAGCUCAUCAGGUCAGCUCGGUCAGAGGAAGUUCCAUGCUUCUUCAGUUGGUGCCGUCUGUGGGAACGAAAGUACGAGUAUUUGCGUUGAUGGCGAGAACGCGUUCCAAGCGAACCGUGGACAACACUGAUCCCGGAGCCGGUGAGGGGUCCCGGCGAAUGGAGACCGAAGCACCCUGGGGCGCCGGGGGCUCAGCCCUUUCCGGGGAACGGAGACAGCAGAUCUUCCAGUUCGUGACGGAGAACCUCCCCAUGUUGGAGCACAUCAUUCGACAGGCAAAGGAGGGAGGCGAGGCUGGCGGCGCGCAGACCUCAAAGGCGAAGGGGAAGGAGAGGGAAUCGCCCCCCGUUCCCUCAGAGGACGAGUCACGGGACCAGCCCUCCAAGAGGAAGAGGCCGCGGACCCCCCCUCGGCCGCUGGUCUCGGUGGUCGGGGAUAGCGAGAGGUAUUCCAGUGACGGGUCCGCUGGGGGCCGGCCAAGGAAUCCCUCCUCGUGGAAGCCUACGCGGAACGAGUCUGAGCGUUCCCCCGCCCGAUCCAUCAAGAGCCGGCCACGAGACCCUCCCCAGUGGUAGCCUGUCCGGGACGAGUUGGAGCAUAUCCUGCGUCCGAAACUGUACGAGGACAGCUACGCGGCCUCGCCCUUUACUCGGAAAAUAGAGGACUACCCGUUAUCUCGGAGGUUUAAAAUCCCGAACAUUGAGCUGUACGGCGGUUCGACGGACUCGGAAGACCACCUCUUGGUCUUCCUGACGCACAUGCGUCUGCAAACCGCUGCGGAUGCACUCCGCUGCAAGACCUUCCCCAUGUUUCUGAAGGGGAAGGCCCGGCUCUGGUUCCAGAGCCUGGCACCGGGGUCUAUCCGGAGUUUCGCAGAGCUGGCCAGACAGUUCGUCGUCCAGUUCGUCUCCUCCAAGACUUACUCGAAAAACGCGGCUCACCUGUUGGCAAUCAAGCAGAAGCCGGACGAGUUCCUGAAGAGUUUCAUGACCCGCUUCAACACAGAGAGCCUGCAGAUCAGGGACAAGGAUGAAAAGGUGGUCAUGGCCGCCUUCGUAAACUGGCUCAGGGUGGAAGAGCUCUUCUACAAACUCGCCGAGAAGCCUCCCGUUAACCUAGAAGAACUCUUGACCAGGGCGCACGCGGCCGCUAACGCGGAGGAGGCUGGUCGCUUAAAGAGAGAAUCAGAUCGGGAGCUCGGAGAUCGGAAAGGACGGGCAAACCCUCCCGAGAACAAGGAUGGCCAGGCCAAGAGGACUGUUUUCGACCGGCUCUCAAAGGAUAAAGCCCCCGCUCAAUCGCCACUCCCAGAAAAAGGCUACACCCCUCUCACUCGGCCCAGAGCCCAGGUUCUGGCCGUCAUAGAGGCGGAGGGCCUGGUAGGGCGACCACCUAAGAUGGGGACGCCUCGGAACAAGAGGAACCAAGACCGCUACUGUGCCUUCCACCGUGACGUGGGGCACGAUACGGAGGGAUGUUCGGCCCUGCGGAAGGAGAUCGAAGACCUGAUUCAGCGGAGUUUCCUGGGACAGUUCGUGCGGCCAGGUUGGCCGGGCCAGGAGCCAGGACACGGGGACCGGGGGAGGCCCAUCGUCGCGACUGCCCUGAGCGCCGCGACUUCCCUCGGGCCGACAACCCCGACCCGGACACCCACAACCUUGCCGGGGUGAUAAAUACCAUCGUUGGGGGCCCCACAGUGGGGGACAGCUAAGCAGCCCGGAAGAAUCGGCGACCUCCUCCCGAGGGGGAUGACUCCCUGAAACGUCUGCGCAUGGACGAGGAGAUCACCUUCGGACCGAGGGACGCGGUCCCCCUGGCGUCGGGAAACCAUGAGGCCAUUGUGAUAAACACCGUGACUAAUAACUACCGGGUAAAGAAAGUGUACGUUGACCAGGGGAGCGCAGUGGACAUCCUGUUUUAUCGGGUGUUCAAGGAGCUCGACCUGGAGGAUGGACAGCUCACCCCGGUUCGGACACCUCUGGUGGGUUUCACUGGACCUCCCGUCACUCUGGAGGGGAUGAUCACCUUGAUGGUCACGGUAGGGCAGGCGCCCAAAUGCUGGACCAUUCCCGUCAACUUCGUGGUGGUCAAACAGCAAUCCCCGUACAACGUGUUCUUGGGACGGCCCGCCUUGAAUGACCUUCGGGCUAUCCCCUCGUCUCUCCACCUCAGCGUGAAAUUCCCCACCCCGGGAGGAAUAGCUGAGGUGCAUGGAGAUGCAGAGGUGGUCCGAGCUUGCUACUUGGCCAUGCUCCGGGGACACGAGAAGGUGGUCGCCCAGACGGCCAGCCUGGAGCCUUACAUCCCGGGGGAGGAGGAUCGGCAGCUGAGCACUCAGGACGAGAUCGAGGAGUUCCCAUUGAAAGAGGACAGGCCAGACCAGGCAAUCAGCAUCGGUGCGUCGCUACCCCCCAAAGAGAAGGACGGCUUGAAAGCUCUCCUAAGGGAGUACGCCCAAGUUUUCGCUUGAACAGUAGAGGACAUGCCUGGGAUUCCGACUGACCUGGCCGUCCACCACCUCAACAUAGACCCCCGCUUUAAGCCAGUAAAGCAGAAGAAGAGGAACUUCGCUCCAGAGAGAAAUGAGGUGAUCAGGAAGGAGGUCGGUAAGCUGCUAGAAUCCAAAAUCAUCAUGGAGGUCUACUAUCCGACCUGGCUAGCCAACCCCGUCCUGGUAAAGAAGGAGGACCAGUCCUGGAGGAUGUGCGUUGACUUUACAGAUCUCAAUAAAGCCUGCCCGAAAGACUGCUUCCCCUUGCCGAGGAUCGACAGGUUAGUAGAUGCUACUGUUGGUUUUGACGUUUUGUAUUUCCUGGAUGCUUUCAAGGGAUACCACCAGAUAGAGAUGGCUGAGGAGGAUCGGGAAAAGACUUCCUUCAUCACCGAGGAAGGAACUUACUGCUACCGGACCAUGCCGUUUGGGCUAAAGAACGUCGGAGCUACCUACCAACGUCUGGUCAACAAGCUGUUCUAGAAUCAGGUUGGCAGAAGCAUGGAGGUCUACGUGGACGACAUGAUCGUCAAGAGCCGAACAAAUCAGUAGCUCGUUCCCGACCUGAGGGAAAUCUUGAACAUUCUGCGGGAAAACCGGAUGCGGCUGAACCCAAAGAAGUGUACCUUCGGGGUUAAGUCGGGGAAGUUCCUGGGCUUCCUGGUCUCCCGAGAAGGGAUCCGGGCCAACCCGGAUAAGCUCCAGGCCAUCAUGGACAUGGCCCUCCCGAGGAACGUCAAGGAGGUCCAACGGCUCGCGGGAAGGAUGGCCGCCCUGAAUAGAUUUCUCUCGCGCUCCGCGGUGAGGGGGCUGCCCUUCUUUCGAAUCCUGAAAGCACCGAAGGACUUCCAAUGGACGGAAGAAUGCCAGACAGCCUUUACCGACCUAAAGGCAUAUUUGACUGAGCUGCCUGCUCUGACUGCCCCGGAGCAGGGAGAGACCCUGUUCCUAUACUUGUCCGCCUGCAACGAGGCUGUUACCACGGUUUUGGUGUGGGAGGACAAGGGGGCUCAACGACUAGUAUACUACGUUAGCCGAGCUUUACAAGGGCCGGAGACGCGGUACACGCCGGCGGAAAAAUUGGUCCUCGCCUUGGUGCACGCCGCCCGGAAGCUCCGACCCUACUUCCAGGCCACAGCAUUACCGUCCUGACGGAUCAACCCUUACGGCAGAUACUUACAAAACCCGAGGUCUCGGGCAGGAUGACCAAAUGGGCCGUUGAACUAGCCGAGCAAGACAUCGGCUACCAGCCUCGUACCGCAAUCAAAGCUCAGGCCCUGGCAGACUUCCUCGCCGAGGGAGCCAGUCUAUCCGUCACCGAACCCUGCUCUGUGCCCGAGGAGGCCCGGUCGGGGGAGCCGUGGGUACUGUUCGUAGACGGGGCCUCAAGUAAGGAAGGGAGUGGAGCUGGCUUGCUACUCUCCUCGCCCACGGGGGAGGAGCUGAUUUACGCUCUCAGGUUUGACUUUCCGGCAUCCAACAAUGAGGUCGAGUACAAGGCGCUAUUGACGAGAUUGCGGAUAGCCCACCAGAUGGGUAUAACCGCGAUAAGAGUCCGGAGCGAUUCUCAACUCGUAGUCUACCAAGUCCGCGGGGAGUACGAGGCCAAGGAGGAUGUCAUGAAGAAAUAUUUGGCUAAGAUGCAGGAGGCGAUAAAGCUGUUCGAACUCUUUGAGAUCGAGCGGGUGCCGAGAUCACAGAACAAGCGGGCGGACGCCCUGUCGAAUCUGGCGUCCUCCUCGUUUGCCCACCUGAGCAAGGAAGUCUUGGUGGAGGUAGUCAAGGAAAAAAGUAUUGACCAGGUCCGGGUCUUGGCCAUCGACAGUUCGGCCACUUGGAUGACUCCUCUUGUGGACUUCCUCAGCUCGGGUGUCCUCCCCGAGGACAAAACCGAGGCUCGCCGACUCCAGCUCCGAGCUGCUAAAUACGCCUACGCUGGGGACACCCUCUACCGGAGGUCGUAUUUGUCUCCCUGGCUAAAGUGCGUAACCCCUGAGGAGGGUGACUAUGUCCUCCGAGAAGUGCACGAAGGCCUGUGUGCUGCACACGUGGGGUCCCGAGUGUUAGCCAAAAAAUGCCUACUCCUAGGCUACUACUGGCCCUCGGUGUUUCGGGAUGCCGCAACUCUUGUUUAGAAAUGCCGAGCCUGUCAGGUGCACGCCCCGCUGCGCCACCAACCCACCCGGGAGAUGGUCCCCAUCCACAGUCCUUGGCCCUUUGCCCAGUGGGGGAUAGACCUCCUGGGUCCCUUCCCCCGAGCUCCGGGAAGGUACGAACACCUCGUGGUGGCCAUCGACUAUUUCACGAAAUGGAUGGAGGCCGAACCCCUGGCCACUAUCUCCGGAAGGGCAAUUCAGAAGUUUUUCUGGAAAAAUAUAGUCUGCCGCUUCGGGAUCCCGCACGCCUUGAUAUCCGACAACGGGCGACAGUUUGCUGAAAAUCCCUUCAAAAGCUGGUGCGCCGAGCUUGAGAUUAACCAGCACUUCACCUCGAUCGGACACCCCCAGGCCAACGGUCAGGUGGAGAAUGUUAACCGAACCAUUCUGCAAGGGUUGAAGACCAGGUUGGAGCUAGUCCAGUCUAACUGGCUAGACGAACUACCUAGCGUCCUCUGGGCUUACCACACCACGCCGAGGACGGCCACCCACGAGAUCCCGUUUUCCCUGACUUAUGGGGCGGAGGCGGUGGUGCCCGCGGAGGUCAGCUUCCCCUCGCCUCGAACACAGAACUUCGUUGUGACAGCCAACGAGGAGGAGCUGAGGUGCAACUUGGACCUGCUGGAGGCCAAGCGGGAGGAAGCGGCGAUACGAAUGGCUAAGUAUAAAAGCCAGCUCGCCCGUUACCACAAUGCGAGGGUACGGAAUACGCAGUACAAGUCUGGAGACCUCGUCCUGAGAAAGAACUCAGUCAGCCGAGUUCAAAGGUCCAACAAGCUAGAUCCAAACUGGGAAGGGCCGUACACGAUCUUAGAUACAAGCCGGGCCGGGUACUGUAAGCUUGCGAGAUUAAACGGAGUAGAGGUACCCCACACUUGGCACUUCUCGAAUUUGCGGUUGUUCAUAGGAUAGGUUGGUUCAGGGUAUCUUACUGUAUUCUUUGGAAUUUUAGUACCAUUUCAUUAUUCAAUAAAUGCUCAGUUUUCUUGUUUUAAAUCCCCUCUCAUUGUCAAUGCCGUUUAACUUUUCACUUCUACACUAGCACGCUCAGAUUCUGCUAAGUGUUCUAGUGGGGGGCUCUGAGGGGUGAUGGAGGGUAAUGAAAUGAAAGGUAAUGGAAGGGAGGCCUUUCAAGUCUCGGAGAUCGACGUUCGACCCUGGAGGUCGGCAUGAUUACCUUCGAGUUCGAUGCUCGACCCAGGAGGUCGGCACGAUUGUCUUCAAAUUCUUACGCUUGACCCCGGAGGCUUGCUUGAUUACCUUCGAAUUCGAUGCUCGACCCAGGAGGUCGGCACGAUUGUCUUUCAAAUUCUUUCGCUCGACCCGGGAGGUCGGCGGUCUCAGGACCAAUCCAGAUGAUGAACUAAGGGAAGGCCUUUGGAGUUUGAAUAGAUGCUCGACCCAGGAGGUCGGCGCGGUUCAAAAGAGCCUUAAGGUCCGGUGCUCGACCCAGGAGGUCGGCACUUUUGAGCCUUAAGGUCCGGUGCUCGACCCGGGAGGUCGGCACUCCGCCCAGGCAGCGGGGAUUUGGUCGUUGGUUUAGUGUGGUCGUCUGAUGGGACCUCAGUUUGUCGUCCUUUGGCAAAUCGGUUGUCGGCUUACGGAUGGGCGGAUGCUCGGCCCAAGAGGCCGGCACGCUGUUUCAGUAAAUCAGAUUGGACGUUCGACCCGGGAGGUCGGCGUAACUCAAGGCCUAGAGGUUUCGCGUUCGGCCCAGGAGGUUGGCGCUUCACUCCGGGCAUUAGAAUUCGAUUGUUAAAUCACCCUGAUGGUUUGAUGGUGGGGUGCCCCUGACAACUUAGUUGUUAGCUUGAAAGGCGAUGGAUGUUUGGCCCGAGAAGUCGGCACGCGGCCUUGGUGGGUCUAUUUGGUACUCGGCCCGGGAGGUCGGUGGUCCUUUUCGGUCACUAGAGUUUGCCGUUAACAGGGAAUUGAAAGACAAAUCAGACAGUUUCAUUUAAAAACUUCAUCUCAUAUAUACAUUCAGACCCUAUCUAUUACAAAGCCUACCGAGCUAUACAAGAAAUGGGGAACCUAGCUACGCCUUCUUCUUGCUGGCGACCUGCUCGAGGAGGGAGUUGAAGGUACACCUUAAGCAUGUUGAGAGGUGGGAGCUGAAGGUACACCUUAAACAUGUUUGGGGGUGUGUGGAGAAGGCUGUUAAAAAGGAUCAGCGGAGAUUAUGAGCUGCGGGGCAUUGGAUUGGAGCAGGGUCACAUCCUUACAAGAGGAUGGAAAGGGUUUCUGGAGUAACCACUGCCCUAGGCCACUGGAUCCUUCCCCGAAGUCCUGCCAGGAGCCUCACCCUCCUCCAGGGGGACCUCCGCCAGCUCGGACCCCACAUCGCUCCUGCCCACCAGGUCCUUCAGGGCAUGCCCCUUGCAGUACCCAUCGAAAAGCCAGUCCAGCUUCCCCUCGGCUGCAGGAUUGUAGUUCUUGAAAUCCGCCAAGUUGAAGCCGGGUGGGUUGAGGCUCUUCACCUUGUCCAAGGCCCGCGUGGCGCCGACCUGGAGGAUGGACUGGUUGAGGAGGGCCACGUCCUCGACGAACUGAUCGGAGGAGACGAAGUCCCGAACAGCCUUCUUGCGCUCCCGGCUGACGGUGCCGGAGAGCUCAAUGGCGUGCUCCUCCCUCAACUUCGCCACGCCCUUCUUCUCUUGGUCCAGCUCGGACCGGGUGGAGGCGAGCUGGACUUGGGACCCCUCCAGCUCCUUCUCGGCCUUGCCUAGCUUGGCCUUAAGGGAGUCUACCUCCUUAAGGGCCUUGGCGAGUUUCUACUCGGCCUCCCGAUUCUUCUUUUGCAUCUUCUCCAAGUCGGGAGACAGAUCGGAGAAGCGGGUCACCAGGGCAGCACCGGCGGCGUUGGCCUGAAGAAAUGAGAGUAAGAGUUAGCAUAUUACUAACCCCAUUAAGAGAAAGAACAGGGACCCAAGGGGCCUAAAAGGGAGAGGGCUUACUUGGGCCUGAGCGGUGUAGUACAUGUCCAGGAGUUCGAACGGGCUGGCCAGCUCCAUCCACUUCUUGUCGCGUGGAAGGACUGAGCCCGUGACCAACUCGCGAGCCACCUCGGGGAACUGGGCUCGGUCAUUGAUGGACAGCUCCCAGGACGGACAGAAGUGCCGGGGAUCGUGCAUCGUGGGGGCCUGCCCCGGUUUCGUGGGGGCCACGUGGGGGAAGUGCCACAAGCUCGGGGAGGCGCUUUCCCAGGCGUGCUCCUCCGCAGAGCCCACCCCCAGGUGGACAGGGCCCCCAGACGUCAGUUGGAGAGGGCGCUGUGCUGGGCCUUGCGCCGGUUUCCUCCCGGGUUGGGAAGGCUCGUCCUCUCGACCCCUCUUCUGCCCCGUUGCCUUCUUUUUGCCGGGGACCUGCUUGGAGGGGGACUGAGCUUGAAAGGCCUCCUUCUUGGGGGCCGAGCUGCCCCCAGGAGUCGCAGAGGCCUCCGGGGCCUUCUUCGCCGCCUCGGGCUGUGUAGUGGAGGCGACCUCCUCGGUUGGCGCGCCCAGUAGUCUGGAGAGCCUCUUCACUGCAGAGAACACCACCGGAUUAGUGCUACAGGUCGGAGAAAUGAGGGGGAAAAGGCAACAGAUAACAAAGGAACAGGUGCAGUAUUACAAGUAUCUCGGUCGGCGGGGGACAACGCCACUUCUCCAGGGGACCCGGACAUCGUCCCCAACAGCCCGGCCGCGGAAAUCUUCUCGGUGGAGAACUUGGUUGCGUACAGCUUCACCGCAGAGCCCAACAGCUGGCCGAAGGCCUCAGGGUCCAGGUCCUCUGGACAGGAGUCGUCCCCAACCCCCCCAACCUUCCACGCAUUGGGAGGAAAGUGGAUGGUUUUAACGAAAAAGAAGUCCCCCUUCCAGUUUUUUACGGAAGAGGGGACCCCGUAGAGAAGAUCCUGGGUGCCCUUCCCGCCGCGAUUGCUGGCGGACCGGCGUGAGAAGUAGUACCACCCAUGGAGAGAAGCCUUGAGGGCGUAGGAAGAACGGAAGAGAGAGAGAGAAUAGGGGAUAGAGCAGAUCUGGCAAUAGAUCAGGAAUCCGAUGAUGAUCCUGAUAGAGUUGGAGUGGAUCUGGUUGAUCUUGAGCCCCCAGUAGCUCAGGAUCUCGGCCAGGGCCGGAGGAAUGGGGAGUCGGGGCCCUCGACCAGUUGCUCUUUGUAAAUGGCUACAAAGUCAGGGGGAGGUCGGCAGGCUUUGUCGGUGGGCCCGGCGGCUCGCGGCUCGAAGGCCGGAAGAAUGGAGAACGACGUGGCCAGCUCGGCCACCGCCCCGGGUGAGAGGGUGACCUCCUCCCGGUCGGGGUGACCGUAGUUGAACUCAAGAUCAUCCCCCUGCUCGGUAGCAGGGGUCCCCUCGGAGGAGUCCCUGUCCUCCCCAGCUCCCCCCUGGGCUCCGCCAGGGGAGUCAUGUGGAGACUUGGAGGAGGGGAUAGAAGUGGCUCGCUGCCCGAUGAGGGCAUUGAGCUCGGCCACCUCCUCCAGGAGUUGGACAGAGGGAGAAUGGGCAGAUGGAUAGUUCAUGAUGUCGAUGGGCUCAAGCAAGUCAGGAAUAAGGAAAUUGGGAUUGGAAGCAGAGGAAGAAGAAGGAGGAGAAGAUGAAGAUGAAGGCGGAGACGAAGACGAGAAGGAAAUGAAGAUUCUGGGGGCCCUGCGACGGACCGAAAUCUGGGAUGCGGUGGAAGUGACGCCGGAAUGAUCCGACAUAAAAUGCAGAAGGUGGCAAAAAGGAGAAAAGGAAGUACGAGAGAGGAGGGGAAGGAACUUACUGAUGAUCGGAGUGAAAAAAGGGAUGGAGAAGUUGCCGGAAUCUGGGUGCUGGAAGCCGGAAGUCUUGUUGCUGGAAAAUUGAAAAUGUGCGAAAGGAGGAAAAAUGGCAAAUAAAGUCUGAAAAAGUUUGGAAGUCCCUAUUUAUAGGGGGUAGAAUGGGGGGAAACGGUUGCUUGAAUUUGAACCGUCCCGUGUAAACGCAUUCAAGAGCGGUACGGAGACCGAGGGGACGCGACAACUGAAAGGACGCGGACGCCACUUCCCAAUGUCAGCACUGUACCGGAGGUGAACGCAUUCUAGUCUUCUUUUUUUUACAAAAAAAAUUGAAACAGAUCUGCAGGAAAAUGUGUACUGAACUUGAAAUCGAAUUUAAACUUCAUUUCCAUCCCGAAAUUGAAUCAACUCGAGUACAAACUUUAAGUGCAAAUUUGACUUUAUAGUUCAGUUAUGCCAUGUCCUUUUCUUGAUACCGCAAAGUAGCUGCGUUUUUCCCCUCAUUCUGCUUUUGUUUGUGCCAUAUACCAUCUUCUGCAUUUGGGGACUUUCAGAUUUCCUCUGGAAGAGAACAACAUACCACUGCCGUCAGUUCCCACUACUACUUCACUCAAGAAAUUUGCCUUCCUUAUAAUCUAAGAGAUAGGCUCAUAUCGAUCUCUACUGAGGCUUGAACUUAUCAAAAUCCGAAUUUCAAGAAUGCUAAUUGGCUCUAAUAUUUUAAAAUUCGGACCAGCAAUUGAGCCAGUUGACUCUACGGUUCACGAUUCAACCGAUUUAACUGAUUCGUCCAACAGUUCACUGUCUUUAAAUAAAAUAAAAUAAAAUAAUUAGUUUUACUAAAGAUAACGUGAAGACUGCUGAUUGCUGAGAAGGAUAUAUCCCAUUCAAGACAGCAUAUUCUAAGGGAAUAUUUUAUUCUAAGGAAAUAUCCUAUUAAGAACUACAUUUCAGGAGAAUAAUUUAUUAAGAAAGGCUAAGAAAUUAGAAACAAUACAUGAUUAUCAUUAACAAAUUAAAAAUUUUUCCAAACUUCUGCUGAUUGCCGAAGAAGAUAUAUCCUAUUCAAGGCAGCAAAUUCUAAGGGUCCAUUUGGUUUAUAAGAUGACACAUGAUUGGAUUAAUUAUCACAUGUUAUCUCAUGUUUGGUUGCAUUUUACACAUGGGAUGAUACAUCUCAAUUAACCGAAUUAAUCCCCUAUUCAUGGGAUAAAAUAAUCCCAUGGGAGAAAUUGCAUUAAUCAUCCUGGGAUUACUAAGAGAUAAGAUAAUGAAAUUUUAAACUAAUUUAUCCUUACAAAUAAUAUAAAUUUAUACUCUCAUAAUUGUAUAACCUUACCCUCACACGAUCAUGUAAUAGGAAUGGACUAAUUUGCCCCUACUACCAAUAUAAUCAUAUUUGAACUAAUUUGCCCUUGCGAAUGAUACAAAUUCAUACUAAAUAUUAUAUAACCUGUGAGGAUCUCAAAAUUGCAUUAAUUUCUGAAAAUUAAAAUCAAAAUAUUAUUUCAAUGUUGAAUUUAUUAAAUAAUAUGUAAUUGUAUUUAAAUAUUGUUGUUUACUUAUAUAAAUGUUAUAUUUUAAAUUACAUGAAUUUUAAAAAUUUAUUUGGCGGUUCGCGUUCAGCUAAGCAUUAGGGUGAAUAUUUGCGCACUGACGCGCAAUGUAGCCCUAAGUUGAAAUGUAGGGUAUGUUGAGGUUAUAAAAAAAAAUGUACAACUAAGCUGAGGAAAUGCUAGAUGAGGGAAUUCUACCAGUAGAUCAAAAUUUCGCGCGUAAACGCGAUUCGAAUUCGAAAUGCCCACCAUUAAUGGCAUGCCCAAAAAGUCAACUAGCCUACUCACUAGAUUACCCCAAUUUUCUUCCUAUCUUGUCACCAGCUAUCAACCCUUUUCUUUCCCUCCAAGCUCCCGAUCCUCUGGUGCAAGAAGAAGCAGAAGCCGCUGCCAUUCCAAGCUUCUAACAGCCUUCCAUCCUCAGCCAUUCACACCCCAAUCUUCAAGCUUCCAUUUCCAACUUCCACCUCCAUUCUUGGCUGCUGUCUCGACCGAGCAAGGAGGAGGAAGAUCGCUGCUGCUGCUGCCGGCGUUGCGUCGGACCAGGGGAGAAGGAGAAACCAGCUGCCAUUUUUCUUUCCUCCAACCACAGAACCUUCCAAGCUGACUCAAAAACCCCAGACCCAAGCUUCUCUUCACCUUAACGUUUGCUGCUGUGUUGCUGCUGUGGGUGGUCAGACCGAGAGGGAAACAGAGAGCAAGGGAGCCGGCUGACCCUCUGUGGUUCUAGGAGCAACUUGAGGAACUAGACAAUACCUUUAGCUAGUAAACAACCCACUUGAAGGUAACAAACUCCAGCUUAGCACCUUAGCCAAAAAUUUCAGAUUUUUGCAGCUUUUGGUUCUUGAAAUGUCAGCUUGCGUUGGUGAAACUUGUUGGGUUGCUGAUCCUCUAAGCUAAUGAUUGAUGAAGCUAGAGGUGUUUUAUGUGUUUAUAUGUGUGUUUUGUGGUGGUUAAAUGUUGGGGAAAUUUUAAGAAUGAAAAUGGGGUGCUGGCCGGAUGAGGGAGCAAUUUUCCAGCUUUGUUACCGGUUGUUGUUUUGCAAUUUUUGCUUAGGUAAUGAACUGGAUUGCUUGUUUGGAGGUUAGACUAAUUAGUUGUGAUUGUUAUGGACUUAAAGUAUGAGUUAUGAUUUGAAGAUGGUUGAGCAAAAAAGAGGAGAAAAUUCUGCUCUGCUAAACCGAACCAGCAGGCCUGUUUUUCUUCCAUUUUUACCUGAAAUUUUGAGCUGGAUUUUGUGAAGUUAUUGAGCUAUUUAAAUCGUGUAUAUGUUCACCUAUAUGUGUAGAGCAGUUUUGGUGAAAAUGCAGCUUUGGUACAAUGGAAAACUUCAUUGAAAAAUCAAAGAGAAAAAUGCCCCUUGAGUUGUCCGAAAAAUUCUGGAAAUUUCCAGAUUUUUUGGGCGAAUUUGGGGUUUGGUUUUGACAAGUUUUUGAACCAUUUGAGCUGUAAACAUGUUAACCUAUAUGUGAAGUAUUGUUUGGGUAAAAAUGUAGCCUUUGAGUAGUUGAAAAUUUUUGGACAAAUUGAAGAGAAAAUGGACUGCUUGUACCGAAUGCACUUGAAAAUUUUUCCAGCUUUGCAUGAGACAUGUUGAAUGAUUUUCACGUUAACAUGAACCCAAUUUGACUUGUGUUUAGUUAAGGGGUGUGUAUAGCUCAAUUUGGGGACAAAAUCUAGUAGAGUUUACGUUCAAAAAGUGGACCAAAAUUUUAUUCUUCACGAGGCUACCCAAAACAGAAAUUUUGUUUGAAAUUAGAAAGGAUUUUGACGUUUGGAUUUCGUUUUGGUUAAAUGUGGACUAAAUCUGUCCUGAAAAUGUUUUCUAGCAUUAACCUUUGUUACUAGGUCCACUUCGAAUCAAUAACCUUGAAUUUUAUUAGACCAAAUGCCCUAUUUCGAGAAGUAUGCCAAAUCUGGAAAUUUUCUUGAAAACUCAAGUUUUUGCCUUCAUGAAAAUCCUAGAACCAAGUUGGUCAAUGGAAUUUGGCAAACUUAAGGAGUUUCUAUUUUAUAGAAAUUCCAACGACUAGUUUUACUUGGUUUAUAUGAUUUCCUCUUAAAGGAAUUUCCCAAGAUAUUUUUGGGAAAAAUUAGAAGGGAAAAUUCCUCUAAAUGGUUAAAUGUGAUUUUUCUCAACCUGUGACACCAAAGUGGUGUUAAUUGCUUAUAUGACUCUAGAACUUGGUUAUUGGAAUAUUUGACAAAUUUAGCAAGUUUUUGGUUUUAAAGAAACCUCAAAAUUUAAUUUCACUCGAAAUUUGUGGAUUUCACUUUGAGAAAACGAUUAAUACUAGUUUGGGAUUUUUGAGUGAAAUUAAAUGCUAGUUGACUCGAGUUAAAUUCGCCAACUCAAAAGUGGAAAUUUAUGUGAAUUAUUUGUAUGAUUUUAGGAGUUGGUGAAAAGCACAAUCUCGAUCAAAGUUUGGAAUUCUAGACUCUUCACUUGAGGUGAGUGUCUCUUGCAUGAAUCGUGUUUAACUGCUAGUUGAACUACUUGUUAAAAGUACUUGCCAGAGAUAUCAUGAAAUGUUAAAUGCUAUGUGAUUGCGUGAAAUACCACAAGUACAAGUGUUACAAUGUCGAUUGGAGCGUGGUCUCGUCGACUAAAUAAACCAAACGGAUGCAUGUACCACGCUCUAUUAGAGUGGGAGGUACCUCUCUGUCGUCUUGGUAAAAGUGCUUGCAAAAUUCGUGUUGGAGUCGGGCCCGAAAAUAAGGGGGAAGUCGUUGCUAGGAGACGUGUAGAUUAGGGAAAAUGUCUACAUGGAGAUUAGGUAGUGAAAGUUGACGGAGUGUCAACUACUAUAAAUUACUUGAUCGAGCGCGAGGACUUUGGCUCCUGAGAGCCCCGUAUCCUUUUCUUGUCAUGUUACUUCAUUUUCCUAAAUUGUUGAUUGCUUACUUGUCCAUUUGUACUUGUUAAAUUGCCUAUGUGAAUUGCAUGUUUCGAGGCACCACUGAGCUAUUGGCUCAUCCCUUCCAAUUUGUUUUUUUCCUUGACAGGUUCUGAAAUGCAUGAAGUCUUGGAGAACUAGAAAAGAAAUGUUAUAUUUUGAAUGCCCACUUUUGUAAUUGUACUUUGGGAGAUACUUUAAUAUCUUUUGGAUGAUUUUUUUUUUUGUGCCUUUGGGAAAAUGUGAAUCCUGUGGUGCUUCUGUACCCUGGAUCAGGAAUUUUAAAUUGUACAUUAAGUUGAAUUUAAGUAUUUUAAGUUCGACAUUUUCUUUGAUGCUUGAAAUUGUACUUUUGGACAGAGUAAGUUGAAUGGUACAGUUUGUUUAAGUACUUGGCUUAUGCGAGAAGUAAAGUUUAUUUACGAAUUAUAUUUGAUGAUGUUAGAUGAUUGAGUGAGUGAGUCCCGGCGAGAGCUGGGUAGGCGACUCGUCGAACCCUCUGGUUCGCCUUAGGGGGAGAUGGGACCGCCACAUAACCAUUCUCUGACAUAAUAAUAUGAUAAUAAAUGGACUAAUUUGCCCCUACUAAUUAUAUUAAUUUCUUUCUAUUUUGCCCUAAUUCAUUAUUUUAAAUUUUUGACAAAUUUGCCCCUAUUAAUUAAUUUAACAUUUUUUAGCUAAUUUACGCCUACUUAUGUAAUAAUAAAAGGACUAUAUUGCCCUUGGACUAAAUUGCUUUUAGUAAUCUUAUUUUCUCAACCAAAUUCUAUAUAAAUACAUAACUUUAUUGAUUGGACUUUGCGAAUGAGGUUUUCAAUAGGCCCAAAUUUAGGCCAAAGAAAAAUCUUCUAUAUUGACUUGAGUUUGGCUCAUUUAAAACUCUUAAAUGGGAUGGAUUUUACUUUAACCCUAAUUUAGCCUAUUAUUUAAUUGAAUUUCAAAUUUAUAUCUAAAACUAUGUUAAAAUCUAGUUUUAAGGUCCCGAAUGGGCUGAAUUUGAGUGAAUGCAAAUUUUUAUAUAUCAAAACCCUUGAUUUACUUUAUAAUUCUAAAGUUUCAAAUUACUUUAUUUUAAUGGAAGUCAUAAAUUUUUAAAUUAUUUUAUUAAAUGAUCCUACAAAUUAAGAGGUAUUUUGGUCAUUAAAAUAGUAACUUUAUCUCAUCCAAUCUCCAACCAAACACAAUAUAGGAUUAUUUCGUAAUAUAUCAUAUCCAAUCUAAACCAACUAAACACUGGAUAAUUUCAAUUAUUAAUCCCAGGAUGAUUCAACCUAAGAUUAAUAAUCCAAGAAUGAAUCAAUCCAUCUCAUCCAGUCCAUGAACCAAACUAAUCCUAAGGGAAUAUUUUAUUACAAAGGAAUAUUCUAUUAAGAAGCACAUUUCAAGAGAAUAAUGUAUUAAGAAAGGCUAAGAAAUUAUAAAAAAAAUACAUGAUUAUCAUCAACAAAUUAAAAAUUUAUCCAAACUUGAAUAAGUUACGUUAGUUCACACUUUACACAUGAUCACAAUCAUCUCACUACAGACAGGCCGAGAAAUUAGUAUAGGAAAUUUUUAGAUGAAUUAAAAAAGUCCAAUAUUUUUUAAAAACUAGACUUUCAUAUGAAAAUUCUAAAAAUUUAUAAAAAAAAUUCCUCAAAAUUUGGAUUUUCAAACAAAAUUUCUAAAACUUAGAAAAAUUCUAGAAACCUAUGAACUUUCAAAUGAAAUCCCUAUGGAUUAGCCAAAAAUUCCGAAAAUUUUGAACUUGUAGAUGAAACUCCAAAAAAUUCCACAACUUUUUUCCAAACUUCCUGUUGUCCCUUCAUUUUUUCCUUAUCUGGACUAUUCAACAUUCGUAUGGAUUGCAAUCCUUUCUCAUGUGAAUUUGUAGAAAUUAAUCUCAAUCCCCAUCAAUUACAUGGAGAAAAAACCGUAAACAAAGUAUAAAGUAAUAACGUACGUUGAAUAUAAUAGUAAAAAGCCAAAAAAAAAUUUUUGAGGAAAAGAACAAGAAGAAACAAAAGAAAAAGUGGAGAAACUAAAGCUUCGGAUCUGCGACAGGUUGUCGAUGCUUGUACAAUAAUAAAAAUAAACUUAGUUGCCAACAAAAGCAGUUUUGAGUCAAUUCUAGUACUAGAGCAGGGACUCUAGAUGUGCAAUAGGUUAUUAGAUUUACCCUAGUUCCGAAUAGUUUACUAAAUCCAAUAUACCAGAAUUUAUUCCUGAGAACUUGUUAAUUUGUAUAUAGGGCAAGUAGGGUCGAAUUCACAGAGACUGGAAGUAAUUCGUUUCUACUAAAGUUCAAGUUAUGAGGGGGAUUUUAAGGAAAUUAACAAUAAGCUACACUAACCAAAUAUUGUAGUUGAAUAAGAAUUAAAUAACAAUUAAAUAGCAAUAAGGUAAAAACUCAAAUAGUAUUGGACAGCUCUAGUCAAGAAGUAACUUCGGCAAUGGUUCAACUAAUUGAUCAUCGAUGCAAAGAUAACUCCAAUUAUUAACUAAUAAAUAUGUUAUAACUGUCAAACAAGCGAUGACAGUCAACUCAUCCUUACUGUGUCGAUAACUAAGGUACGCCCGUUAAUCACUACUCUAAUAGAGAAAUAAUUCUAGGUACACCCGUAAGAUUUAAUUCCCCAAUUGCCUUACAUAUUAGAGGAGCCAUAUUCUAACCAAAUAGCACACUACCAGAGUUAUUUUAGAUUAGCCUGCGUAUUCUCCUGACACAAAUCUAAUCAUACCAAUUGUCACUAUUUUAGAGUAGUUAAACAAUUACGGAUUCAACGCCCCAAUUGACAUUAGGUUACUAAAUUACUUCAACGUCCGGGCCCAGGAUAUUCAAUUAACAAAACAACCAUAAACACUGCAAACAGAGAAUAUGCAAAUAUCAGUAAAUAAGACGAAUAAAUAAAAUUAAUUCGAUCUCACGAUUUUUAAAUGAACCAAAGCCUCCGUUAUUCCUUGACUAGAAAAAAAGGAUUGAGUUCAUCAUUGAUUAAAAAAAACCCACACAAAGCUGUAGAACCAGUCGCGGCCAUUGUCACCGAAAUCUAACUAUAUAAAAGCGGGAGUUGGAGAAUGAACAGUGCCAUUUUGGUCGAGCGGUUAUCACGUAAUUUUCAGCAACUUUGAUGGCUUUUGUAUUUGUUGGUUUUGUCGGCUUUUCGGCAACUCCAUUUGCAUCAGUCUUUGACAGUUCCUUAUGUCAUUAGAAUUAGCCUUAGUAGUCUGCUAUUUUUGUGACUUUGAGGGGCUUUUGGGUCUUUUGGUCAUUGAGAAGCCUCCAGUCAUCCUUCUGGUCAAAUGCUACGGUGAUGAAAUCUCAGCUGAAAACCAAAGCAUAAUAACGAAAAAAAAGAAAGGCAAAAGGCAUAACUUUCUAUGUAUCUGUACAGCAAUAAAGGGACGCAGCAGUUAAGCUUCUGAACUUGUAUAGAUUUUCUCUAAUUCAGUCAGAUAAAGCUCAAGAAUCAUACAAAUAAUCUGGGCUAAAAAUAAAAAUUGAUAAUCAAGUUGGAUUAAUAUAUUUUUUCUAAUUUUAUUCUGAGGUUUCACGCAUUUCUAUAUGUUUCUUAUUCUUGAUAAUCUAUGUAUUUGUUGGUUUUUCCCUUCUUUUUUUUCCACGGAUUAAAACAUUUAAUCAAUAUAAUCACAACAAUUAUUUUUCUUUCAUAUUUUUGUAAAAUGCCGCUCAAUAAUAUUAGAUCAUUAAUCAACAUUAAGAGCCAUGUAUUAUUACAUUGUUUUUGAAAUUUACAGUACUUUAAUUUUUUUAAUGUAAGAAACAAUCUAAUUAAUGUUGAGCGUUUUGUAAAUACACAAUUAUUGAGGAAAUAAUUAAUAAAUUAUUAUUGGCUUUAAUGACUUUAAAAAAUGAAUUUUAUUACUGCGACAUGAAAUAAAAAUUGUUUGGAAAAAAAUCAAUGCAUAUAUUGCAAAAAAAUGAAAUAAAAUAGUGCUCUGUAAAAUUGUUGAAUGCAGUGAUUGUUUAGCAUGUUCAGUAGUAGCUUUUGACUGAAUGAUUCCCAAAAGUUAAACAGCAGUAAAAAAAAAAAAUGAAGUCCAACAUUGUUAUCACAAUUAACCAAAAUCGGUUAAGGUGUCAUGGAUAUAAAAAUGGUUUCUAAUCCUACUACUUUUUAAAACAUACAACUAUAAAGAUAUAUUAGUCUACAUAUCCAUAUUAGUCUAUAUAAUUAUUACAAAUUUUUAAUGCCCUUGUUUUUAUUCUUAUUUUUCGUUCUAUAGAAAAGAAUAAUUAAUAUGUUAUUUACUAAUAGUCCGGGCAUCUAAUAACAAUUGCAGGAUAACCGCUUGACAAAAAAACAUUGUUCAUGGGACAACUCUCGCUUUUAUAUUGUCAGAUAAAUAUCCAUAUAUAAUGUAUAUAUAUAAUAAUUAUAAAAUGUUUCCUAAUGGCUCUAAAUUUAAUGUGUAUAUAUUCAUUUUUCCUAAUGGCUCUAAAUUACUCUAAAUUGAAAAGCAAUGUUGUAUGCUAUUUUUUUAUUAUUCUUUUAGUCAAACAUGCAACAUUAAUUACAUUGUUUCUUACAUUAAAAAAAUUAAAGUACUGUAAAUUUCAAAAACAAUGUAAUAAUACAUGGUUCUUAAUGCGGAUUAAUGAUCUAAUAUUAGUGAGCGACAUUAUAUAAAAAUAUGAAAGAAAAACAAUUCUUGUGAUUAUAUUGAUUAAAUGUUUUAAUUUGUGCAAAAAAAAAAAUGGGCCCAUAUUUAUAGAACUUAGUGAGUAAUAGAGAUAUACAUAAAUAUAAAUGGGUAUCUUUAUAAUUACCUCACCCAAACCACAUAAUUUAUACAAAUCAUACCACACAAAAUGUUGACACUGCAUUGUCUCAAUUAUAGUACUUUAUUAACCAUUAUAUUACAAAAUAUCCUUCAUACUUCACAAACUAUUAACACUAUAUUCACCCAACCAAUUUACCGCACUAUUAUUUUAUAAUUCAAGCCAAACUUAUACCACCUAUAUAAUUCUCUAUACUACAAUAAAUAUACAAUAACUAAAACUUGUACAACUUAAUACGGGAAAUAUUCGCCCUCCUGCGCAACGCGCAGGCCGUCCUAACUAGUUGAGAUGAAAAACGGUAGAAUAAGAACAACGGAAUACCACCAAGUCAAAAGAUGCCUAAUUGCUUCUACCUAAGUGUCUAACAUACGUGGACUCCCAACCACUAAAAGACGAAAUUGUCUAAAGCCAAAAAGGAGUCAAAAUUGGCUGCUAUUUUUCCUCCCUAAAAAUCCUCUACUGUACGGUUGCCAAGAGAAAUAAAAGGAAAGAGUUCUACUACUUCUCCUCCACCGUACUGUCAUUAUCAGAAGACAAGGAAACAAUAUUCAAUUCUGUCUUCCAUUGGUCUUGUGUCUCCUGUUACCACUCAAACUCUUUUGCUAGCUAUCGUCAAAUUGGCAUCUUUUUAUGGUAUUUUAUUCCACUCUCUGCAAUAAUUAUAAAUUUUCAAAAGUGAGUGAAAUCUGAUAAUUAAUCCACAUUUGGUAAGGUAAUAGGGGAAAUUAAUUACAAAAUAUAUGGUAAAAUUGUAACCUAUCAAUCUGGUAAUGGGAAGAAAUGGGUUUUGCACCAAAUUGGAUAGUGAGAGUGAAGAAGGGCGAUUAAGAAGUUCUAGAACCAUGGAGAUUACAACUAUGAAAAGUAAACACAAAUUGAAGAAUUUGGGAAGUGUCCAGAGAGCACAUAGAAAAGAGAAGGAAAGAGUAGAGAUGACUAAUUUUUGUGCAAGGUGAAUUGUGAGGGUUUAUGUUUGGUUGUUAGUGUGAUGAUUAGUAAGAAAAAAAUAAAAAAAAAACCAAUGGUUCACGAUUUGCACUGUUUUUUCUGGGUCACCGAUUUUUACCGGGUUUUGACUCUCAUCCAACUUUUAAAUACAAUCGAACCAGAGGCAUGGCCGGUUUAUAGUUGAAUCGAUCAAACCAGCCAGUUUGGUCUGAUUUUAAAAACACUGAUUGGCUCUUGUUUAGAACUUUUGAUAGUCAAGAAAAGCAUGUUAUUUCUCAAUGCACACGUAUGCAUGUCUGGAAUUUUUUAUAUCUCUCCAACUACUUUGAUUCCUUGCAAAUCUGUUAAAGGCUUCCUAGAUGAACCUUUACAAUACUAAUCUUUGUUUGUUGUAUUAUGCAUUUUAAACUUGAGGAGGCUUUUACAAAUUAUUCCUAGAUUCGGUUUUGGGCCUAAUUAUUAAACCUUUCUAGAUCAACAUUUUAUAUAUAACUAGUAAUAGGUCACGUGCUUUGCACGUGAUUAUAAUAUCAUAAAAUAUAAUAUUUCUUAAACAUCAAAAUUUAUUGUUCAAAUUUUUAAACAAAUUUAAUAUUUGCAUAUUUUCUAUUUUUUUUAUUUUUAAUAAUGGGGGGUCUUGAAUCGAGGACCUCCUAUUUAUAAUCCUUCCUGCCUUACCACUCAACCCAACCUUCUCCCUAUUUUGUUUUUUAUUUAAUUUUUCAUCUUCUUUAAUUAAUUGUCCUUUAAAAAUUUAUUUUAAAAGCAAAAAAAAAAAGUUCACAAAAUGUUGUAUCUAUAAAUUCAUAUAAAAUAUCCAAAGAAUUUUUAAUAAAUGAGAAUACAUUCAAUCUCUUUCAAUUUCUACUAACAGUUUUAAGGACAAUUAAUUAAAGAAGAUGAAAAUGUAACAUUUUAAAAAAAGAUUUGCCCAAAUAUGAAAUAAUUUGAUAAAAGUAUCAAUAGUUUGAAUGGUAUGUACAAUAUCGAUACUUCUAAUUACUUCUAUUUGUUUUUUCAUUUUUUCAAGGCAAACAAAUUAUGAUAAUACCACUAAAAAUUUUUAACUUUUAAUUAGAUAUAUGAACAAUUUUUUAUUUUUCUUUUGGACUUAGAUGAUCUGAAUUUGCAUGCUAAGUAAAGGUUAAUUGUUUGUUAACUAUUGGAUUUGGUCCAAUGGUCAAAGUAGAUUCUUAGAGUUUUCUUCGAUGUCAAGUUUACGAUUCAAAUCCUAUUCAUAAUAGUUAGGGAUGGAAAGGGUGUGAGAAAGGGUGGGAGGAUAAAAAUAAAAUAAAAUAAAAUAAAAAAUAAUUUUUUCAUAAUGCUCUACCAUUAUUACUUUUCAUGUUACUUAAGUUGAAUUUGUCAGUUGCUUGAUGAAAUUCUUUAAUAUGAACUUAUAUGCAUGUUUUUUUUUUUGAAAAAUGAAGAGAUAUAUAGUUUUUGAAAUUGAACUCUUUGUAUUAAUUUUUUUUAGUAUUUCUAUUAAUAUUGGAGUAUGAAUGAUCUACCACAUAUAAAUUUUUUCUUUCUCACUAUUCAUUUUUUGAGAAUUGAAAUUUCAUUGGUAGACAUAAUUGAGUUUUUUUCCUUUCUUUUGUUUCCUUUUUUUUUUAAAUUUUUUUGGACAAAAUCUGACAUGAAGCACAAAUGAUAAACACUCUAUUAUUCUAUAAACACCUUGUUCUGAUAUCAAUACUAACAUCUUUGAAGAUUUAAAAAUUUUAUUAGGCAGUGACUACUCAAGAAUUUUUAAUGAAAAUAAAAAAAUUGAAAACAAAAUGCAGAGAGACACAUUGGUUUGGAGUAUUAUAUUUUUUUGUUGUCUUCAUAAUUCAAAUUUAAUUAAGAUUAUAGUUUUCUUCCUAACUACUACAAUUAUUGUUAUUAUUGAAAUGCAAUAAAUCUAAAUAUUAGGGAGAAGGGUAUUUUGGACAAAUAAAAACAAAGACCAAAUCCUACUUAGUCUCUAAUGUUUAAUAUUUUGUCUAGUAAUCAACCAUCAUUUUCUUUUAAAAAAAUAUAUAUGAUAUAAUGAAUUUUAAUCAUCACAAUAAAUUUAAAAUUGAAAAGAGAGUAAUAUGAAAUCUCAAUCAUCAAUUAAUAAGGGUAUAAUUGAAAUAAUAAAAAUUAAGAUCACAAUAAUGCUUUCAGUUACACUCCAAAGUAUCAAAAUUCAUGGUAUUUUUUACAUAGUAAUAAUAAUAAGAGCAAAAUACCCAAUAGCCAUUAAACUUUUUAAAUAGUCGAAUUUUGGUCAUUUAACUAUUAAUAGUAUGCCUUUAUCCACUAAACUAUUGAAAGUGUAAAUUUUGGAUCAUUUCGUCUGAUUUUAUCAUUAAUUUUGUCAAAUCUAACUGUUAAUAGUAUGUCACAUGAAUUGUGUGAACCCUUAGAUCUGACAGAGUUAACAAUGGAAUCAAACGGAAUGGUUCAAAAUUCACACUUUUGAUAGUUCAGUGGGUAAAAAUAUACUAUUGAUAAUUCAGUGGCUAAAUCUUAACCAUUCGAAAAGUUUAGUGGCUAUCCGACUAAUUUGCUCUAAUAAUAAUGAAUCAGUAUGUUCUUCUAAAUCAAUGCAUAUGAUAUAAUGAAUUUUAAUCAUCAUAAUAAAUUAAAAAGAGCAUACUAUGAAACUUCAUUUAUUAAUUAAUAAGGGUAUCCUAUAUAUAUAUAUAUAUAUAUAUAUAUAUAUAUAUAUACAUAUAUAUAUAGAGGAGUUGUAGUUUAUCUGUUGGGUGAUUUUCAUCUGACAUUUUAAGGGGUAAUUUAGAGAUUGUAUAAGUAUCAUACAAGUAAUCCACCUUAGAGUACAAGCAAGCCAUACUUAUUGGAGUAUGAGUUAACUAAAGUUGACAGGUACCGAACCUGUGCAAUAAUAAUAAAUAAAACCUAAUUACCACUAAAAGUAGUCAAUAAUCAAUUUUAGGUACUGGAGCAGGGACUCUAGGUGUGCAAUGUGUUACUUGAUUCAUCCUGUUCCCGAAGAGUUUGCUUAAUCCGAUAUACCCGAAUUAAUUAUCUGACUAAAUUCACUAACUAGUAGACAGUGGCAAGCAGGGUCGUUUCCUCAGGGACUGGGGAGAAAUUUAUUUCCUUUCGAGUCAAGAUAAAUGGGGGAUUUGGGAUUAAAUGCUAAUGAAUUAAAUAAAUCAAAUAUAGUAGAUAAUUAAUUAAAAUAAAUAAUUAGAAGAACUCUAGCCAAGGGUAUACUUCAGAAAUGGUUCAUGUACUGAUCAUCGAUUCAAAGAUAAUUUCACAUUUAUUAAUAGAUUGGUUAUAGUUGUCAUACACGCGAUAAACAACCAGUCUUUCCUUAAUUUAUCGAUAGUCAAUGUACGACCAUUGACUAUUUCUCUAACCGGAAACAAUCCUAGGUACGACCGUAGGAUUUAAUUUCUAGAUUGCAUUAAGGUUUAGAAAAGCCCAAUCCUAACUAACAAACACGCUACGAGGGUUUGUUUAAACUAGAUCGUAUGUUCCCCUGACAUAAAUCCAAUUAUGCCAGUUGCUAACGGGACAGAGGUAAUCGAACAAUUACGGAUCCAACUGCCCCUAAUUAGCAAAGUAGCCUAUGUGAAUAAUUAAAUAUUGUGCACUAUUCAAUCAUACACAAAAGCUAUAACAAUUAAAAGCAGAAAACAUAUAAAUACCAAUAAAUGGAGAAAGUAAUUAAAAUAAUUUAGAUCUCACAGUAUUUAUCGAACCAAAUCUUCAGUUGUCCCCUUGACUAGAAAACAAGAUUAGUUACUCUCCAUUGAGAGUAACUCACGCAAUUCCAUUGAAGGAAAUUGCGUCAAUGUUUGACAAUAGAAAAAAACUACUCAGAGGAGAAGAGAGCCCCCCGGAUGCCGUCCUCUCAAUUCCUAUUUUGUAGCUUCUUAAGAGAAACCAACUCUCCCGAAUUUGUUGCGGUUGAACUCUUAAUCACGCGGGAUCCGGCUUGCUCUUCCUAUUUUCUCGUUUUCUAAGGGAAACAAACUUCCAAUUGCAAAAAGGAAACAUUCUAAAGAGAUAAUACUUAAUUGUUUCCUAAAUAGAAAAAGGUAACUACUAAGAUAAUAUUCCAAGUUCCCUAAUCCAACACUAAAACUAAUAAUGAAGAUUAAAAUCUUCAAAAUCUUCCUUCAAAAAUUGCCUUGAAUUCGACUCGGACUUGGAAAUCGGUUCCGAAUGUGCCACCAUCAAAUUAAUUGGAAAAUUGUCCAUUUUUGUCUCGUUUUGCUCAUUUUCCUACAAUUAGCACCAUUAACCAAAUAUAAGUAGAAUCUAUCAAUUAAAAUAAUAUUUGGCUAAAAUCAAGGAGAAAAUAAUUAUAAAUUUAGCAACAAAUUAUGACCUAUCAAAAGUGCCCUUUGUGAGACGAUUAUUACAUUCACAAAUGGUACUUAUGUGUUAUUAGUGACAAUUUCACCCUUUUAACUACCCUUUUAACUACCCGUUUGGUACAUUGGUAAGACAGAAAGGAAGUGGGGUAAAUUGCGGUAAAGCCAUCCGAUUGAAUUAAUUGUGUUUAAGACAAUAUUAAUGAGCCAAAGUAGAAGAACCAUUUGAAAACUAUUUGUGAAUUCUAACCAUAGGAAGUUUUGUACUCUUCAUCGUUAAAGUUCAAGAAAUAUUAAUUGAGUUCUUCCAACAAAACACACUCAUUUGAACCAAUGAUUGCAGCAUGUUGAAUAGCUCAUUAAAGUGUGGGCGAUUAAGAAUCAUUUGAGUUCAAUGUUACAACUGUAACCGAAAACCCCCUAUCUUCCCCACCAUCUGUAGAUUAGUUUCUAUGUUUCUAUUUCACACCAUUAGAGUUAGAUUUGUAGAGGUAUGCUCAUUUUCACUCGUGCUUCUCGCUUUGUGAACUGUAUAGCUUUGUUUGCACAAUAAAAUUCCUGAAUUAGCUUUUGUCAUAACUUUUGCUAGUGGAUGAAGUGUGGGCAAAUUUUCUUGUUAGAUUGCAUUUUGUUCCUCAAGGCACAAGGUAAUUGUGUAUAUUCACUUGAUGCAUGUAAUCUAUUGUUUAAAUUGAUUACAAAUUUAUUGCAUUGAUUACAACUAUGUGGUGUCUUUAACAAGUGUGUAGAUAAUUGAUCAAAUUUUAGAACUAUAUUAUAGGUGAUGCAAUUUUUUAUUUCAAUAGUUAAGUGCAUGACUUGGUGUGUGUGGAUUGAAAUUGCUAUUUGAAUAGACAAGUCUCUAUAUUCAUAUGAUAUGUUAUUUUCUUAUUGAAUUUAGUUGAACUCAUGAAACAUAAGUCUUUAGAAGUAAUAACAAAACCAAGCUCCAUUCCAGAAGCUCCGACCACAAUUACUAAAACUCAAAACUCUGCAAAAGGCGCUCAACCACUAACCAAGAAGCACCGUACCUAGAGAAGCAGAAAUCUAAUCGUAUCCUUUUUCAUUCCUAUAUCACGUACUCUUCAAUAGAGAUGAUUGCGAGACUGCUACCUCAGCUAUUUACCUACUUACAUUUCAGGAAUACUACUUUAUUUAUCUAUCUAUGUGAAUAAUGUGAGGUUGAAUAGUAGAAUUAUUCAGCAUCAACCUUCAAUUUGAACUACAACUAUGUCUAUCAUCCCUUCACUAUGGUUGCGUAAACUUUUAUAAUUCUCUCAACUGAUUAUCUACUAUAAUAGUAUGCAAUAUUUUAUCUACACAUGAUAUGGAAUUUUUGACUACCAUUAAUAGUAUGUCUUGCCUAAUUGUCCAACAUUACCAAAUUAUUUAACAACACCACAGGUAUAAAUUGCCAUGCUUUGAAUGGGUCUUCUCCCUAGUAAUUAGAAUAAUAAAAACUAAGAUCACAAUAAUGUUUAUACUUACAUUCCAAAGUACCAAGACUCAUGGUACUUUUUAUAUAGUAAUGAUAAUGUUAAUGGUAAUACUAAUCUUCGUUUAUGACAUUAAGCAUUACAAAGUUGAUCAUGAUUAUAGUUAAUUGUAGGACAUUAAAAAUUAGAGUUUGGUCUGGGGGCUAAUCAGCCUAAUCAAUGAUUUUAGUUAGGCCAAUAGAUAAUGCAAGCUCACUUCCCUGAGUAGGUUGAAAUGCACCUAAUCAAAGAAUUUUCCAUGUGUACAAACUCAUAGUACGCGCCAAAAUAUAAAAAUGUUAACAAGCUUGUCGGUUUUGUACAUGUAUUCGCAACUAACUGAAGCAUCUGACUUAAUUUGUCUAGAUUCCCGACUCUUAGCAUUGUUACUCGUGAAACAGCACUUUGGCCGAAACCAUGGUCACGUGACUCACGUCAACGGGUGGAAGCCCACAGUAGGCAGAAGCAAAUGCGGGAGGCCAACUGUGUUCUCCGGGGUUGGCACGGGAGAAACUUGUGCGUGGAUAAAAUAAUGCAAUACAUUUUAAAAUUACAAUAAAAACCUUUUAAAAAUUUGUUCAUCAUCUAAUGCCCAGUAUUUAAAAAUAUUUUGUGAACACUCCCGCCGAGAUGUGGAUCCCAAUGAAAGGGAAAGAACAAAAAUGUUAAUGUCAAAGAAACGUCGAAAAAGAAGGCACAGAAAUGUAGGCGAGAUUGUUGUAACAGAAAAAUGGGUGAAAUUUUCAACAUUAGUUAGUGAAUGUACAUAUCAAAGCAAAUAUUAUGGUAGGUUUUUUUUUUUUUAAUUGAGUUUGAUAUUUGAAAUAAUUGAAUCAUAAAUAUAAAAAGGAAGAGUUGGAAACUUAGACAUGAUUAAACUAAAGGGAGAUGUGGAAUUUUGGUCCCCCAAUAUUUGGUCUAUGAGUUAAACUAGUCCCUGAUAUUUUGACCAAAAUAAAUAUGGUCCCAAAAGUUUUGACAACUAAUAGAAAAGUAGAAUAUCUAAUGGUCAAAAUCAAAUUAGAAUUAGUCAAAAGUUUUGAUUUUGUAUUUUUUGGUCCCUAAUAUUUGAAAAUUUGUUCAAUAUGGUCCCUUAUGUUUUAAAUAAUUAUAUUUCAAAUGAAAUAAAAUGUGAAUUAGAUUAAUUACAUAAAAAAAUGUGUUCUCAAAUCUCUUAAAAAUCCUUAAAGUACUCCACAUUGUCAAAAUACUAUCAUCUAACCUAAAGAGCAUCUCUUCGUUAAAUUAAUUACAAACAAAUGACAACACAUGAAUCAUAUAUAAAAGAAAAAUUAGUGGGAAAAAGAGAAUUUAAAUUUGAGUAUAUAGUAACUUUAAUUUUAAACAAUAUAACACAAAUUGUUGCAUGACUUGUGGAUCUAAGUUUCAAUCAGCUAUGGUUAGGCAUUGUGAUUGCAUUAACAAGUAAAGGUGAUUACCAAUAUGAAUCUAUGUUUUCAGAACCGGACCGGAUAUCGACUCGCCCGAGGUCAGGGGUCAAGGGUCAAUGGGUUCGACCGGGGGUCGAUAAGGGUCGAACCGGAUGACGUCAUAAAUAAAUAUUAUUUAAAAAUUAAAUUAUUGUAUAUAAAAUAUCCAAUAACAUAUUGAUAUUAAUAAAGGUAUAUUUAUAUAUAUUUGAUGUUUCAAAUAUAUUUAACAAGAAAAUACAAAGAAAUUAGAACAAUCAAGUAACAAUUUAUAUUAUUUAAUAAACAUUAACAAGUUUAGAAUUAAAAUUAUGGAUUUAAUUGAAAAAUAACAUCAAAUUUUAUGACAAUAUUUAUAAAAUAUGAAAUAUUUGAGGCAUAUUAAUAAGUUUUCACAAUUUAGGGGGUCAAAACAUAAUAUUAAAAAAGUUUAAACUUUUUUUACAAAAUCUCUGUUGGACCGGUUUUUCCGGUUCUGUACCGGUCAAAUCCGGUCAAACCCGGUUUUUGACCGGAGUUGACCGGGUUUUAUAUCUCCCGGUUCUGAUGACCAACUCGGACCGGACACCUGACCGGUUCCCGGUUCAACCGGUCGGACUGGCCGGUCCGGUCCGAGUUUGAAAACACAGAUAUGAAUGACUCAUGUGAAUUUUAAAAAUAUUUCUUGCUAUUUCUUCUUGUCUUUCCUUCAUAUUAAAUUAAAUAUUUCAAUAACACAAUUUAAUGUAUUUAUAUUUACGUUCAUCUAACAUUGAUAAUUUUAUUGAAUAAUUUGAACAAUUAUAAAAUCUUUAAAUCAAUUGUAGACACCAAAAUUUGAUUUCAAACUUUAUUCAUUUAAUUAAUUUAAUUUUUAAUUUAAUUUGUUUCGAUUUUAGGGUUUUAUUUUAUUUUAUUUUAUUUUUUGACAGAGGAGAAUGAAAAAAAAACAAAAAAAAACAAAGGGGAAAACAGAGUGGGCGGCGGAGUAGGAGGAGAAAAGAAAAAGCUUCAUCUGAGGGCGGAGGGUUUUUGAGCAAUGUUUUUAAACUCGGACCGGUCAGUGAACCGGAGAGGUGGCCGGUUCGCGGUUCGACCCGUCCAACCGGCCGGUUCAAAGGUUCACUGUUUUUUUUUUUUUUAAGUGUUAAGUACUAAGCAGGUUUCAUUCUACACUUGAACUUUACCAACAUAACGAUAAUAAUAAAUUUUCUAAAAGUUAUACAUAAAACAUGGAAUGAUAAAUAUAAUUAAAAUAUCAUAAUUCACCAUAAGUUUUCAUAAAUUCAUUAUAAACAUAAAUAGAUACAAUCCAAAUGUUCACCAAUUAUCACAAAUAAAAACACAAAAAAUAAAUAAAUUAAAUAUUGAAAUUCUUUUACAACCCUUAAAAAAAUCCAUAAAAGAGUUCAAGUUAAGACAAACUAUUUGAAUAGCAAACUUUUAUCAGUGGCAUGAUAAGGAACCACACCACCUUCACAAUUUCAUCAACUUAAGCUGAAAAAGUUAAAAUUUUAUUAUAAAAAUAUAAAUCUAAUUGCUCAAACUAAAAAAAACUAAAAAUUUUUGAAAAACAAAUAUACAGUUAAACACAUAAAAAAUUAAUUGCUACUAAACAUUACUAAUUAACAUGUUAUAUUAAAUUCAAUGAUCCUAUACCAUUAAUUAUUUUAAAUUCAAUUAUCAAUAGCUUCGAUUAUGUGCCAACUACCAUAUUUUUGACCAGCCCAAUGUUAUUAUUUGUAAUUCCUACCCAAUUCCUACACGGAUGUGCACUACUUUUGCAAAAAUUUCAUCCUUAAUUAAUCGAAUAAAAAUAAAAAAAAAAUGAGGGAAACAUAUAAAAAUUGAGGGGAAAAAGAAGAAAAUGCAAAAAAUCAACUAAAGAUAAUAAUAUAGAAAAAAAAACCUUGAAAAGAAAAAAAUUAAACUUACUAAGAUGUUGGAAAACAAGAAAAGUUGAAAUUUUCAACUUGUUUACAAUUUGCUAAAGAUAAUAACCUGAUAAUAAUGGUGAAGACUUGAGAAAAUCUUGUUGUGGAUAUUUGGGUUAAAAAUGGUUAAGAAGAAAAAAUUGAAAAAAAAAUAAAGAGAAGAACUUGAUGUUUUAAUAUAUUUUUUAGUUAAGUAGAAUUCUCAACAAACUUAACUACAGUCUAGCGGUGAGAUUGUCAUAUCCAAAAUGGAGACCCAGGUUCGAAUCUUAGCUACACCAUUCUUGAUAUUUUAUUGAAGAAUUUAAAAAACUGCCGGUUCACGGUUCUUAACGGUUCGCACGGUUCGUCCGGGUUUCAACGGUUCUCCAUGAACUUCCGGCUUUAGCAUUAGACCGGACCGGUGACAUGGCCGGUUCGCGGUCCAACCGGUCGAACCGGCCGGUCCGGUCCGGUUCUGAAAACAUUUGUUUUUGAGAGAAUAGAGAGCCGAGAGAGGGAAGGAUCGGAGAGGGGUGGAGGAAAAGAAGAAGAAGGCAAGGAACAAGAAAAAUCGAGAAGGAAGCUGCGGCUGAAAUCUGGAACUUGGAGGAGGAAUUUCGGGCAGAGUGAAACGGAUGAAAAAGGAAGAAAAGGGGACCGGAUAGAAAAAGAGAAGGAACCAAGGGAAAUGGGAGCUUCAGCUUCAAUCAUUCGAUAAAAAUUUUUUCCAAUCACCACUGCCAAAUUUCCCACCACCUCAACCGGCUGCCGGCUGCCACCACUCUCUUUCCACCCUCCGUCCUCAAAUUCCCCCCAAUUUCCCCAAACGACUCCUCCACAAAACCCCUCAUUUCCCAUUCUGCUCUUCCCCGCUUCCAAUACAAGCCUUUUCUGCCAACGCCUCCACCACAGCCCUUCCCCUUUACCGCCAUCUCUGUCCGCGCCAAGCCCAAAGAACUCAUCCUCAGCAACCUUUCUGUUCUCGGUGGAAAGGACAAGAACAGCUACGACGUCGAGACUCUCAUCAACUUCUUCUCCACCUGCUCCUCUGCCGUGGAUGGUUUGAGCAGCAACAGCAGCGGAGAUUUCCAACUCACCGAGCCGUCACCACUUCAUCGGAUAUCCAUUGCCGCUUGCGAAUUUCACCAAGAAAGCCUUGUAAGUUGUCUUCCCUCUUUGAAUUUCAGUUUCCAUUCGAGCACAAACGUCUGAGCUUCCAAAGCAUGUUUUCCGUGUCUCUGUUAGUGCAAUUUUCUUGUUGAUUGUUUAUGGUUUUAGAAUAUACAGGCUCUAUGUGUCGAUUGGACUGAUUUAUCUCGUGUUUAUAACAAAUUUUGGGCUAGUCAUAACCUCAAUUGAGCAAAAUUUGCUGAAGUUUUUCACGCUCAUUUAGUGUUUGAUAAAAUGCCCGAACGGAAAUCUUGAACCAAAAGAGGAGAUUUUAUGCCUUUUUUUUAAUUUAAGAGAGACUCUGGCUAGUCCAAAGCUGGCCAGAAUACCGUGCGUUUGCUAGUCGAGGAGAGGAAGAGAAGCCACGAACUUUUGAAAUUGAUUUCAUCCAUUUCGCUGUUUUUGCAUUCUACAAUGGUGUGAUGCAUCUUGCCGGGUAAAAUUACCGAAAUGUUGGAGCAUCAGGGGUUGCAGAAGCUUUCCUCUAAGUCACGCCGAAGAAGAAAGCUUCAGCGAAUCAUUUGUUUGCAAAUAUUUGGAAAUUCGUGAAUUGGCCCCUGAACCAUAAGUAAUUUCAUAACGGCCCGAAUAAUUUGGUUUUUCUUUCAAUUGGGUCCUGAAUUAAUUUCAAAUUGACCCCUGGGCUUAGGUCUCUUCAUGUUUUGUACAUAUUGACCUUUGUUCCUUGGCUUUUGCCUAAUUUCUGAUAGGACUUGAAAAUUGGAAAAGUUGACUUAUUUCGCCCUUUUAGAUUUUUAUUAUCUUUUCAUUUUUUUAAGUAAUCUUUUGGGUAAAUUAAUUCUUGAUUUUAGGUUAUAAUUAUGAUUUAAUAAUUUUAUUUGAUUUUAUCAUGUUGGGUUUUAGUGAAAUAGGUGAUUUGGGUUUAAGGGAGUGGGUUUAGCUUAUUCAUUUGGGUUUCUUUUUGGGCUUAGGAAGCUUUGACCCAAGAUGAAAUAAUAAAUGGGCCCAGAAGCUUGUUUGCUCAAGUAAUCUGGAAACGAAUUUGCAGUUUAGUCCCUGUACUUUGCAUAAUUUCACUAUGGCCUUACAAACUUUCAAUUUUUUUAGUUGGGUCCUUAUUUUAAUUGUAAAUGAGUCACUAAACUUUAUUUUUCUUUAAUUAUAACCCCAAAACUCUGUUAAUUUUUGCAAUCAAGACCUUUCUUCUUUUGACUUCAUACAUGUGGGUUGUUUACAUGAUUCAAUUGAUUCAAUUUCAUGUUUAUUUUUAUCUUUUGUGAUUACUUAUUAAUUAAAGUGAUGCCUUGACCUUUGCUUUGUAUUUUGGAGGGUAAAUAAGUGAAUUUGUGUCAUUAGGGCUCCAACUCAAGGGAGGUACACUCUAUCUCUUAUUUUGAUUUUAUUAACCCUAUGUGCUCCUAUGUGAACUUAUGUGUGAAAUUGCAUGUUUUUUUUUGAAUAUUCUCAUUUUAUUUAUUCAUUUAGUUACUUUAUUUGUUUUAAUUUUGUAUAUUUAUUUUAAUUUAAUUUGUAGUUAUUUUGAAAGGCAUUUAAAUGUCGAAUUGUAAUAGUUAGGGGUUUAUUUGUUUAUUAUUUUCUUUUUAUUCAUCCCCCAUUAGAUUGUAGUAGGGUCUUCCCCUAAUGUAAUAGAUAGGGAUUUAUUCGUUUUAUUUUUGCUGUGUGUGAUUUGCAUGCCUAUGUGCUAUGUGUUACCGCUUUCUUAGGACGUGCAUCUAGAUAUCAUGCCUAUGUACUAUGUGUCUUAUGUGAUUUAUGUGUUUAUUUGCUUUAUUUUGCUUUAUCUGAUUUUUUUUAGACUGUAAUAAAUGCAUGUUACCACACUAGUCCAAUGCUAGUUGUGACUCUUUGUCCUGAUUUUUCACUAGUCCAACGCUAGUGAGAAAUUGUAAAUGUGGUCUAGUUCAACGCUAGACCCUUAGGAGCCCUUCGAGCGUUAGAUUAUGAUUGUGUGAUAAAAUCACUUCAUCUCAUGCAUGUUUUUCUACUUUUAGGGUUUUUUUAUCAUUUUUGCAUGACAUUUUCCUUGUAUAUAUGUAUAGUCCUUAUCUCAUAUUUUCCCUUAUAUGUAAAUUCCUUACCCCUAUGUGUGAUACAUAACAUUAGAUUUGCAUUUCAUUUAAGAAUUAGGAUUAGGAUAGUACAUUUGCUUGAUUAGAUUAGGGAUAACCCCUUGAAUAUGGGAUAUGGACGAGUUUAGCUUUCUAACUUUAGCACACUCGUAUUUCCUCUAUUAAACGGAAAAUUGAGUCACGAACAUUAGUCCCCCGUACUCGACAUGAUACACUCCUUUAAGACAUGUAUAUUUGUAUAAUUAUUUUAUUCCUUGUCUUUUCUUAGAAUCUCAUAUUUUGCAUUAUUCGUGACUUCUUUGAAGAGCCUUCAUUGGGCAUCACAAUUAAUGUGAUUGGUAUCAAAUAAGUUUUGAAGGUACAUUUCGACCCCUCGACACCCUCCUAGGUCAGCCACUGGCCAUUUGGUUCAGUGGUCAUCCCUUUCUUUGGGAUGCUGGAGGUUAGGGGUUCAACCCCUGCCUCCCACAACUUGCCACCCUACGUGGCUGGUCUUUGCCCCCACGGGGUAGCUCGAGCGGUCCGCUCCCCCUCCUUAGGGUAUGGCGACCUUCCUGGCUUGUUCAGGGUUCGAGUCUCGCUGUUAACGUGUUCGGUGUGGAGUGGGGCUUCCUUUCCCGGACCGCAGGGGAUUAGUCGGGUCCCGUAAAGAUUGAUCCGGACACCCCUGUGUCGACAAAAAAAAAAAAAAAAAAAGACACCCUCCUAGGUCUAGGGUUUGCAUUCAUAUAGUACAUCCAAAUGUAAUAAAUUCUUAAGUUAAAUUAAGAAAAUCUUUGACUAAAUCACGCAACUAGCCUUGGGUGCCUCGGAUUUUUUUUUAUCCUUGCCUUCCCUUUCUUCAAAUGUGACUCCCGAACUUUUUUCUUUGAUUUUCGUGGAUUUGGAGUCGUUUAAAAAGGGUUUUUUUACUUUUUUCUUUUAUAAUUUAUUUUUUAGGUGACUUGGUACACCUUAACUCGAUAUCAAGUGGCGACUUCGAUUCUUUAUUCAAAAACCCUUUUUAAACUAUUAUUUUGGGUCAAAUCGUUGCAUUUUCAAGUACCAUUUAGGCCUAUUUUCUUUAAAUAAAAAAUCCUUCUUCAAAUCAAAAAUCAAACCAAAAUUCACUUUUUUAAAAAUGUUGUUUUUUUAUUUUAAAAAAUGGGGCGCGACAUCAAUUAACAACUGGUUGAAAUACCAAAAAAAAAGAAAACAAAAAAAUAUUAUUCAAUCAACUCAACGACAUAUAGUUGUUGAUAUUAUAAUAGAAUAUUUAAUUAAUUGUUUUCAUUUGUCAAAUAUAAGUAUUGGACAUUACAUGAUGAACAAAUUUUGAAGAGGGCGUUUGUUGUGAUUUCAAAAUGCAUUGCAUUAUUUCAUCCACGCACAACCAGCUUUCUCCUGUACCCAUUGCAUCUUUUUGCUGUCCGUCUUUGUGCGUCCCUGCAGAACACAAUGGGCCUCCUUGCAUUGCCUUUUGCUAAAAAAUCAUUAAAAAUGUUUUUGGCCAGGCAUUAAAAUAUCGAUUGGAGAAAUUGAAGGCAAAGACACUUUUUGGAACUCCAACCUCAAAUUCUUUAUAAAACCCAAGAAGGAACAGAACAGGGAACACAUGGAUGAAAUUGGAUGUAGAAUUCAUGUUCUGGCCAUCCCAUCCCCACUCCAAGGCCACCUCAAUCCGAUGCUGCAAUUAUGCAAGCGUUUAACCUCAAAGGGUGUUAGAAUCACGCUAGUCACAAGCACCUCAGCACGUUUAUCGGUGCAAAAUCAGUUUGAAUCGAUCCAGAUCGAGUAUAUUCUAGACGAUCAUAACAUUGAAGCUGAGGGAUCAAAAUAUUCAGAGAAAACUACUGCCUUCUUGAAACGGUUUAAUACCGCAGUUUCAGACAAUUUGGCCAAGCUAGUCAAGGAAAAGGCAAGUUCUGGUCAUCCUGUGAAAACAGUUCUGUAUGAUUCAAUGAUGCCAUGGAUUUUGGAGAUAGUGCAGGGACAACUAGGCCUUAAAGGGGCUGCGUUUUUCACUCAGGCUUGCGCUGUUUGCGCAAUAUUCAACCAUAUUCAUCGAGGAACAUUGAAAGUUCCUCUAGAGACAUCUACCAUAUUGCUUCCUUCAAUGCCACAACUGGAGUCGAACGAUCUGCCGUCUUUUGUUUAUAACCCUAGUCCAUACCCGGGUCAUUUGGAUGUUGUCCUCAGUCAGAAUAUAAACCUGGAGAAAUCAGAUUGCCUCUUGUUCAACUCUUUUGACAAGCUAGAAAAUGAGGUAGAGCUCUCAUUCUAUAAAAUAAUUGGAAUUUGGAAGUUCACCCAUUAAUUAGCAGCAUUUUAUUUGACGCUGUUUAAAUUAAAUUACAUAUUGGCAAAUACUUUUUGAAUCAUUGUUAGUGUCAGUUAAGUUCAUCCUUGGAAUUUGAUCAUUUGUAGACCAUAAGAUCUGUUUAUUUUGUUCAUAGCAUACAUCACAUUGUACAAUUUCUAGUUAGUUAUUGCUAAUAAAAAAAAAAGUUAAUAAAUUAAGAAACAAACGACUUAUGUCAACUGUUUUGAAAAUCAGACCGGACCAAACCAGCUGUUUGAAUGGCUAAACUGCGAACCGUUAUUGGCACUGGUUAGGUUUUCUAUUAAACUAGAAAAGGUAAGUGAACUGGUCAAUUCGGAUCAAGAAAUGGUUAAACCAGUCAAAACAGUUUUUAAUUGUCUUUUGGGGGUGGGCUUGAUUAAAUUUUGCUGUUUGGGAAAUAUUACAAUGUUGUUGCUUAAUCUCAACUAGGUAGUGACCUGGUUGACAGAACGGUAUCCAAUCAAGACCAUAGGCCCUUGUACUCCAUCCAUGUACACUGACAAGCGAUUGAAAGAUGACAAAGAUUACACCAUCAAUUUCUUCGCACCAGAUUCAGGAGCUUGCCUAAAAUGGCUUGACACCAAGGAAACAGGCUCAGUUGUUUAUGUAUCCUUCGGUAGUGUCUCAGACCUUGGAGAAAAUCAAAUGCAGGAAAUAGCAUGCGGCCUGAUGAAUAGCAAUUGUAACUUCUUAUGGGUAGUUCGACCUUCUGAAGAGAGGAAAAUUCCUAGAGAUUUCAUGUCCGAGGCACAAGAAAGAGGUCUAAUCGUGAAUUGGUGCCCUCAAAUAAAGGUUUUGUCACACAGGGCAGUGGGAUGCUUCAUGAGUCAUUGUGGUUGGAAUUCGACAAUUGAAGCAUUGAGCUUGGGUGUGCCAAUGGUGACCAUGCCAGUGUGGGUUGAUCAACCUACAAAUUCUAAGUAUAUUGUGGAUGUAUGGAAGGUAGGAUUGCGAGUUAAGGCCAGUGAGGAAAGGGAAAUGGUAACAAGAGAAGAAGUAGAAGGAACUAUAAGAGAAGUUAUGCAUGGGGAGAAGGCAAGUGAGCUUAGAAACAAUGCUUUGAGGUGGAAGGAGUUGGCUAAGGAGGCAAUUAGUGAAGGAGGAAGCUCAGACAAAAACAUUGAAGAAUUUGUUUUCAGUCUUGAAAGCAUUUAGUUAUAUUAAUAUCCAAUUUUCUUCACACAUCUUUCAAAUCUUAAUGAUCUGUUUUUAAUUUGAGAUUGCAAAUAACAGUCAACGUAUGCAUAGAUUAUCCUAAUUGACACUUCAAUUAGUAUUAACCUAUCCAUAGAACUACUAACGUAACUUUAAGUUAGAACCUAAAAUUCUUAGGACUAAACCUUGGGCUGACACACAAUUUACAAUCUUAGAAGCAAUAGUCAUACCAAAUUCCUUUGAAAUUCUUGAUUUUUUAUUUUCUCAAAAAACAUGUUAGUAGGUAAAAUCACGCAGUGAAAGUAGCAUUAUAAUUUUACAAAUACUAGAUAAUAAUAAAGGCACAAGAGGAAACAAAAUAUUCUGUUUUAAGUCACUAAUUUCCCUCAACUACAAUCUUAGGACUCCAAAUCUUUAAAUAGAGAAAUAUAACCACAAAUCCUAUUCUAAUAUAAUAUUAAAACAUGACUUAACCUAUUUCCCAAAUCAAAUUUGACACCAAUUCCAAUCUAGUUACCAAAUAAAAAAAUAUAAUUCUAAAACUACUAAACUUCUAAAUAUGCUUGGUUUAAGGGAGGCAUUAACCAAGCAUAUUUAGAAGUUUAGUUGUUUUGGAGAUCGUGGAUUUAUAGUAUUUUUUAUAUUUUUAAAAUAAUUUAAAACAGUGAACUAGUGACUUGGCCAAGCGAACCAGUUGAACCGAUAAAUGUAGGAACUAGCUGCUUAAAUAGGUCAGUUAUGGGUUCGAGUUUAAAAACAUUGGGUGGAUCCGAUGCUGAUUUUUGUCGUUGUAGUUACUUGAAUGGAUUCGAUACUAGAUUCAGUUUAAAGUACAAAAUGAUCUGGAUCGAAUACUUGCCAAUGAUAAUAAAUAUUUAAAGGGCAAAUUACACUUUACGUCCUAUGGUUUAGUGUUUUUUCAUAUAAACCCCUAUGGUUUCAAAAGCUACACAUGACCUUCUUAUGUUUUGGAUUAAAGUGUCAAAGUGACGGAAAUUAUCAUUUGUAACAGAGUCACCUAAAAUUUAAAAAUGCCCUAAUGUAAAUUUGAAAAUUAUUUAUUAACCAAGGGGGGUUAUGUUUAUAUUUUGAAAACCAUAAGGGGAUGGUACGGUAAAGCAUUAAACUAUAUAGGGGUUAUAUGGCAAAACAUAAAAAUCAUACGGGGUUAGCGUAUCAUAUAUUUAUAAGGGUAAUUUCGAUAUUUUUAAAAGUUCCAUUACGAAUGACUAUUUUCGUCAUUUUGACACUUUAAUCCAAACCAUGAAGGGGUUAUAUAUAACUUUUGAAACUAUAGGGGGGUUAUAUAAAAAAAUAUUAAAUCACGGGGGCAAAGUGUAAUAUCAGUUUAGUGUAAUCCAUCCGCCAGAGGAAAAAGCACGUAUGGUGGCUAUUGAUGUAGAAAGCUGGCUUUUCCUUUCUCUCAUACUUGUCUUCUCCAUAAUAUUCUUCAAAUACUUGUUCAAUUUAGCAUAAAUUGCUGGCUCAGAAUCCCUGUAAAGAAAAUUCAAAACAGAAGCACUAAAAUAUGGAAGUAAGAUUCAUGUUCUAGCCAUCUCUUCACCACUAAAAGGCCACAUUAAUCCGAUGCUGCAAUUAUGCAAGCGCUUAACCUCAAAUGGUGUCAUGGUCUCACUGGCACCUCAGCAAGUAUUUCUCUGUGCAAAAGCAAUUGACUCAAUCAAGAUCGAGUAUAUCCUAGACGAUGAUAACAUUGAAGUUGAGGCACCAAACACAUCAGAGAGAGUUUUUGGUUUCGUGAGGCACUUCAAUAUGGCACUUUCAAGUAAUCUAAGCAAAGCUAGUAGAGGAAAAUGCGAGUUCUAGCCAUCCUGUGAAAGUAGUCCCGUAUGAUUCACUGAUGCCAUGGACUUUGAUUCCUUACAAAAAUGUUAAAGUCUUUCUAGAUGACCCUUUACAAUACUAAUCUUUGUUUGUUGUAUCAUCCAUUAUAAACUUGAGGAUGCAUUUACAAAUUAUAAUUAGGAUGGUAGAAAAAAAUGGCUUGUAGACCAUUAUGUUUGACUCCCAGACAUGGAGGAUGAAAGGGUCACAUGAUGUUUAAUGCCAACAGAAUACCACACAGACCUCAUAUGGUUACUUACACUGUACUAGUUACGACUACGUACGGCUACAUUACAAUUUAUCUUUUAUUUAAAAAAGCUAGGAUAUGAGCAUUAAACUUCUCCCUGUUUUGGUCUUGAACCCAACCUUCUCCCUGGUUUUUUUAACUUAAUUUUUCAUCUUUUUUAAUUAAUUGUCCUUUAAAUCAUUAUUUUAAAAGUAAAAAAAAAUUCGCAAAAAUGUUGUAUCUAAAAAUUCAUAUAAAAUCUCUAGAGAAUUUUUAACAAAUGAGAGUACAUUUAGUCUCUUUCAAUUUCUAAUAUCGGUUUUAAGGACAAUUAAUUAAAAAAGAUGAAAAUGUAACAUUUUAAAAAAUAAAGAUUUGACCAAAUAUGAAAUAAUUUGACAAAAGCAUCAAUAUUUUGAACGGUAUGUACAAUAUCGAUAUUUCUAAUUACUUCUAUUUGUUUUUUCUUUUUUGUUUUAAAGGCAAACAAAUUAUGAUAAUACCACUAAAAUUUUUUAAUUUUUAAGUUUUAAUUAGAUAUAUGAACAAUUUUUUAUUUUUCUUUUGUACUUAGAUGAUCUGAAUUUGCAAGCUAAGUAAAGGUUAAUUGUUUGUUAACUAUUGGGUUGGCCCAAUGGUCAAAGUAGAAUUCUUAAAGUUUUCUUCAAUGUCAAGUUCAGGAUUCAAAUCAUGUACUUUACAAUUAGGGAUGGAAAGGAUGUGAAAAGGGGGUGGAAGGGUAAAAGUAAAAGUAAAAGUAAAAUAAAUAAAUAAAUUUUGUGCAUAAAUAUCUAUUUCAUGCUCUACCAUUAUUUUUUUUUUCAAGUUACUGUAUUUGAAUUUGUCAAUUGCUUGAUGAAAUUCCUCAAUAUGCAAUUAUAUGCAUGUUUUUUUGAAAAAUGAAAAGAUAUGCAUUUUUUGAUGUCGAACUCUUUGUAUUAUUUUGUGUGUACUAUUUCUAUUAAUAAUGGAGUAUGAUGAUCCACCACAUAUAAAUUUUUUCUGUCUGACUAUUCAUUUUUUUGAGAAUUGAAAUUUCAUUGGUAGAGAUAAUUGAGUUUUUUCUUUUUAUGUUUCCUUUUAAUUUUUAAUUUUUUGGACAAAAUCUAACAUAAAGCACAAAUGAUAAACAUUCUAUAAUGCUAAUAACACCUUGUUCUGGUAUCAAUACUCAUAUUUUUUGAAGAUUUAAAAAUUUAAAUAGGUAGUGACUAAUCAAGAAUUUUAAUGAAAAUAAAAAAAAUUAAAAAUAGAAUGCACAGAGACACAUUGGUUUGGAGUAUUAUAUUUUUUAUUGUCUUCAUAAUUCAAAUUUAAUUAAGAUUAUAGUUUUCUUCCUAACUACUACAAUUAUUGUUAUUAUUGAAAUGCAAUAAAUCUAAAUAUUAGGGAGAAGGGUAUUUUGGACAAAUAAAAACAAAGACAAGAUCCUACUUAGUCUCUAAUUCUUAAUAUUUUGUCUAGUCAUCAACCAUCAUUUUCCUUUAAAUCAAUAUGUAUGAUAUAAUGAAUUUUAAUCAUUAUAAUAAAUUAAAAACUGAAAAGAGAAUAAUAUGAAAUCUCAAUCAUCAAUUAAUAAGGGUAUAAUUGAAAUAAUAAAAGUUAAGAUCAAAAUAAUGCUUUCACUUACACUUCAAAGUAGCAAAAUUCAUGGUAUUUUUUAUAUAGUAAUAAUAAUAAGAGCAAAUUACCCAAUAGCCAUUAAACUUUUAAAAUAGUCGAAGUUUGGCCAUUUAACUAUUAAUAGUAUGCCUUUACCCACUAAACUAUUGAAAGUAUAAAUAUUGGGUCAUUUCGUCUGAUUUACCAUUAACUUUGUCAAAUCUAACUAUUGAUAGUAUGUCACAUGAGUCGUGCAAACCCUUAAAUUUGACAGAGUUAAUGGUGGAAUCACAUGGAAUGGUUCAAAAUUCACACAUUUAAUAGUUUAGUGGGUAAAAAUAUACUAUUAAUAAUUCGAUGGCUAAAUCUUAACCAUUUAAAAAGUUUAGUGGCUAUCUGAGUACACUUACAAUCCAAAGUACCAAGACUCGCGGUACUUUUUAUAUAGUAAUGAUAAUGUUAAUGAUAAUACUAAUCUUAAUUUGUGACAUUAGGCAUUACAAAGUUGAUCAUGGAAAAGAGAUAGGGAGAAUUAUCUUUGUGAGGAGAAUUAGAAAAAACACUAAAGAAAAAAGAUAGGGAGAAUUAGGGUUACUUUGUAAAUGGUGACUCCAAGACCAUUGGACCUUUUUGGCGGUGGAGAUCCUCCUCUCUCAGGGUAGAGUUUUGCAGUGGUGGUUACUACUGGAAUGGCAUUGGCAGAUGUUCCCUUGGGUAUUGGUGUAGUUUCAAUGUAUCAAGGGGAGUCGGCACUGCAUCUAUCCCGACAAGAAUUAGUGUCUCUGGUCGAACCAUUCCAAAACAUGUUAGUCGGGCACUUCUCAUUCAACAAGCCACCAAUGGAGGUCAUCAGAAAGUUUUUUGUUUCCUUAGGGCUCAAAGGCAAGUGCAUUGUCGGUCUUCUUGACCCUAAUCACAUUUUGAUCAGACCGAUGCUUCAAGACGAUUAAACAAGAAUUUUUUUCACGGUGGAUGUGGUUCAUUCAUAAUACACCAAUGGUUGUGUCAAAGUGGUCACUUGAUUUUAGGGCUAAUUAGAAGCUUUCGGUAGUUCCAGUUUGGACGUCUUUUCCUGACCUUCCGAUUCCAUUCUUUGCCAAGAAUCUGAUUGCCAAGCUUGCUGCAACGUUGGGAUUGUUACUUAGGGUAGACUCAGUAACAUGUGAUUUGUGUUAUCCAUCGAUUGCACGUGCUAUUCCAGAGGUUGUUUUAGAAGAGCUGGUGAAGAGGGUAUGGAUAGGUGAUGAUGAUUUUGGUUUCUAGCAAAGGGUGGAGUUUGAAAAUUGGCCCACCUACUACCAAUUCUGUGCCCCGGUUGGCCAUCAUGAGGAUAAAUGUUUUAGGAAGAACCCGUCCCUAAACCUAAACUGAAAUCUCAGCGUAAGGGACAGCAAGAAGGAUUGAAAUUAUGUCAAAUCUACAUAUGCAAAGUUGGGGAUAAGGGAAAGGAAAAAACAUGUGAUGAUCUGGCAGUUCAUCAAGUAUAGGAAGUGGCGGUCAUUAGCCAUAAAGUGGAGCUUUCCAAAUUUGAAGACACUGAAAAAGAGAAAGAAUGUGUUGAUCUGGAAAUACACUAACACUAGGUUGUGGCAAUCGUUAGUCAACAGUUGGUGUCAAGUUCGAUUGUACCUAAAGCUCAGGAUAUGUGUGGGCAGAAAGUUGGAGGUUCGCUGCAAGCUAGUUAUGAGUUGGAAGACAAUUUGACGUCGAUGGGUAGAGGUGAUGAGUUUCGUGAGGGCUCUCUUGAUCAGAAUGCAGAUGUCGCAGGUGCGCCUGAGCCGAACACCAUGGCACUAGCAAAUGGGCAUCCCUCUCUGCUAGAGGGCUUUCUCACUGAUGUAGAUUGUGAUGACGAGGUAGGGUUGGAGUUGAAUAAUAUUUUUGCUCCAUUGUAGAAGCUGUCGGACAAUGUUGAUCCAAUACCACCCCAGCUGUUGCAACAUGCUCUAUCACCUAGGAACCUCUCCCGACAAUCCAGUACUUUGUAGCAGCUCAAGGUUUUCCAAGGAGAGUUGCAUCGAAUAUUGUAGGCAUCGAAAUUAUUAGAGGAGAAAUGUCCCUUCUCGUCAAGAUUGGAUGAAAAGGAUAUUGCACUAUUGAAAAACCUUGCAACUGUGCGGCCAGCUAAGGGUAAAAGAAGAUGCGAACGUCCUCCAAAGUCUAAAGUGUAGGUUCAUGAAUUUUCUCAAGCCUCUUAUGUUUGACGUUCCUGUGUUAAAUCCAAUUAAAUUAUUAGUUUGGAAUAUACAGGGGCUUCUCGCAUGGACUCCCUUCGCUAUUUGAGGAAGAUAGUUUGUGAUAAUUCGAUUCACUUAGUGGUUCUUUUGGAAUCAAUGUCAGAUGUUAAUUAGUUGGUGGAUGUCAAGCGUUUUCUUCAUUUUGAUAAGGCAACAGCUUUUGUUCAAGGAAAAAUUUGGUUCCUUUGGGAGGAUGAGGUUGGCAUUGAAUUUACAAAACACACCAAGCAACUGGUUCACGCCAUUGCCAUAUUUAGCUCUAGUUUUUCCUUUGAGAUGUCAGGGGUAUAUGUGAAGUGCACUAGGGUUGGUAGGAGAUCUCUCUGGAAGGCUAUGGAGUUUCUACGAAGUGAUAUGGUUAGUCCUUGGAUGGCGGUUGGUGACUUUAAUGUUGUCUCUUUCACGGAGGAACAAGUUAGCGGUUCUAUGGUGAAUAUGCGAAAUGUCGAAGAGUUCAAUACGGCCAUGUUCAACUGUGGGUUAUCGUCAAUGGAGUUUGAAAGGAAACCUUUUACUUGGGCAAAUGGUUCCAUGUGAUAGCGACUGGAUCGGGCGCUAGUCAAUGCUCGAUAGAUGGACUAUUGUCCGAUCAUGAAGGUUAUACACUUGGCUUGUGAAUGCUCGGACCACUCUCCUCUGUUAAUCAUGUGCAAGGAUAAUAGAGUAAGAAGUUCUUUUUUUCGCUUUCUCAACGUCUGGAGUAGUCAUCACCAGUUCAUGGGAGUUAUGGCGGAUGAAUGGAAGAAAGCAAUCUCUAGAGUAGGCAUGGUUGGCUUCGCUCAAAAGCUUAAGCUGGUUUGAAGGUGGUUAAGUUCUUGGAAGCAUAAGAUCUUUGGAAAUAUUUUCUCUAGGGUGAAGGCUACCGAGGAGAUUUAUAAAUUAAGGGAAGCAGAGUUUGAUGCCAAUAAAGGCGAUCUUUCAAGGUUGUGCUUGAAUGAGGCUUAGGUAGUAUUCUCUUGCAAGCUAGCAAUUGAAUGCGCAUAUUGGCGUCAAAUAACUGAAGGAGGGAGAUGCUAACACAGCAUUCUUUCAUGGGGUAGUCAAGAGCAAACGAACAAGAAGGAUGUCUCGUGGGCAAAAUCUUUAGAGCUCAUUCAGGUGUCAGCAAUAUCCUUUUACUCCCGCCUAUUUGAAUCAGAAGGUCAGCCUAUUGCCCCUCAUUUUAAUUUUGAAGUCCCCAAAAUGACAGAUGCUAAUAAUGCCAUGCUACUUGCACUUCCUUCAAUGACGAAAUUAAAAGUGGUUAUAUUUUUAACGAACAUUAAUAGCGCUCCUAGACGUGAUGGAUUUGGAGCUGGGUUUUAUCAAUCAUCCAAGAGGAUUUGUUACGAGCAAUCCAAGACUUUUAUAGGGGAAUGGGCCAACCCAAGUAUUGGCCCAGUUCUCUUCUAGUUCUCAUCUCGAAAAUUGAUGGAGCCUAUUAGUGGAAGGACUUUUGCCCAAUUAGUCUAUGUAAUAUGUCCACUAAAAUCAUCUCCAAAAUUCUAGCAAAUUGGGUUGGCAAGUUGCUCCCUGCUCUUAUUUCUCUAUGGAAAAUGGGCUUUGUAUCGAGUAGGGGUAUUAUGGAUAACGUGUCUUGUUGGCUCAAGAGUUGGUUUUGGAUGUGGAUAGGCGACUUAGUACUCCGUAUGUUAUUCUUAAACUUGACAUGGAGAAGGCCUAGGACCGGGUGGAAUGGACUUUUCUUAACACCAUGCUGCAGAAGUUCAGUUUUGAAGAGCAGGGGAAUCGAUUAUCCCCAACUAUUUUUUUUUAUUUGUAGCAGAGUUUUUAGGAUAGGGGCUUCACCAAUUGCUCUUGGAGACUGAGCAAUGGUUCUAUGGUUCGACUGGGGAUAAGGUUCCAUAUCUCGCUUUUACUGAUAACACUAUUAUCUUUAUUAGGUGUUCUAAAGGUUGUUUAAUGGAUGUUCGUGAUUUUUUGGAGAGUUAUCAAUCUUAUUCAGGACAAAAAAUUAAUGUCAGUAAGAGCUCCUUCGUUUGUUCUCCUCGAGUCAUGGCUGAGCACUUAUCUAUGGUAUCUUCGAUCCUUUGAUUUCGCCAACAAUCUUUUCCAAGGACUUAUUUAGGUGUUCCGAUGGUGAAUGGGCGAUUAAGAUGUAUUGUGCUUGACAGUCUUCUUUCUAAGUUUUGGUAGCGUCUCUUUCAUUGGAGUUCCAAGUUGCUCAGCAUGUGAGGCAAAAUUGUCCUCAUUCGACAUGUGUUGAGCUCCCUCCCAACGUAUUUGUUACAGGUGGUACAUCCACCUAAGGCAGUUUUAGCAUCAUUGGGGACAAUUUGUAAUUCUUUCUUAUGGGACCAAAAUGGGGAGUCAUAGCGGCUUCAUUGGGCUACAUAGGACAGGUUGUGCUACCUUAGCAGGAGGGGGGUUGGGGUUCCAAUCCUUCUUUGAUGUUUCGCGUUCUUUUGCCUGUAAGCUUUGGUGGUGUCUAAGGAAGCAUGAGCCAGUUUGGUCCAAGAUUAUGCACCAAAAAUAUGUUAGAGGAGUUCACCCUUCGAUGGUGGAACGACCUUCCGCUUUGUGGAAACGCUUGACGUGCGCAGGGUAUACAUAUACAAUUAGUUCAUCGAAAAUCAAGUUUUACAUUUAUAAAUCCUAAAUACCCCACACGCGAUUUUUCGCAAGUAUACGAAUCGUGAGUGAGUAUAGGGUAUUAAGAGUCGAUCCCACAGGGAAGAUUUUCAAUUACCGGUGUUUUUCGAAUUCCUUUAUUAUUUAGACUAUCACAAGUAUAAGAAAUCAAAUCUACACUAUAAAAGUGAUAAAAAUACACUAGAAAACUACUAGAGGUAUGAAAUUCCUUACUACUCUUGCAAAUGAAGUUAUCGGUUAAGUGAAUGCUAUUAUCUUGACUAGUUAUGACGUAAUUUCCUAAUAUACGUGAUAUUCGCUUUCGCCGGUGUACCAACUAUACCUAUAGUUAAUUCAUACCUACUUUCGUGGUUAUGAAACUAACUACAAGCUCAUUUUUUUUAUGAAAUUACAUGAAACAAGUCACUAAGCCACAAAAGUGCACCUCUACUUUCGUGAGUGUACUCCCUAAGUUUAUCAUUUCCUUAAAUUAGUGUUAAAUUCCAAUUUCCAUUGCAAACUUAACACCUUAAGAUUAUCACAAUAAAUGGUCAGUUAAUCAUGAUUAGAAAAGUAAAAGUGAUAAAUAACUUGCUCAAAAUAAUAUCACCAAAUAACCAAUAAAUAUCACAAAUAAGAUAUAAAAAGUUCAUCCAUAACUCUAGAUAUAAACUUUAACUAAACAUGAUAAAAACACAAAUCCAAACUUGUAUUAUAACUAAACAUGAAAUCAAAUGUAAGAGAGAAAGUAGUAGAAAAUAUAUCACCCUUGUCACAUGAGAUCAACCUCUCCAUCUUUGCUCAUCAAUCUUCAUCCAACUCUAACUACAAAUACAAGAAGGAUAAACUAUACUACCUAUACUAUACUACUCUAACUAAUAAACUAAAAAAACUCUAGUGAAGUCUAUCUUUUUUGUGAGUUUCUCUAGCCUUCCAAAAGUUGUGAAAAUGUUCUCUAAGGCCUCUAUUUAUAGAGGAAUUCAAGCUCAAGGUGAGUUGUUGAGGUUGAUAUAAAUUGCUUCUUGGAAUCACCAAAAGAUGCUUCUUGAAUUCUCUAUACUUGCUUGCUCAGUUCCAGCCCGAUUUCUUGCAGAUGAAUUGGUCAAAAAGCUUGUGUGAAUAGAGCACAAGUUGCACAGCCACAAUUGGGGAUCCAAGGGCAAGAUCCAAGGUCGGAUCACUCGAAAUUCCCCUUAGAUCUCAUUUUUCUUCAUUCUUAUCUUCACUGCACAUUAGGAUCCGAGGCCUGUAACAUAGGGAUCCGAGCUCGGAUCCUCCCCUCGGAUGUAGCCUCUAAUCACAGAAGUUUAUUCGAGGGUCGGGUUUAGCACAAAUCAUAACUCAGAUUUACUUGCUCUAUUUUUUGUCCAAAUUUAACUUAUAUUUUCCCGAUAAUAGAGACUGAAUUAGCUCUUAUGUAAAACAUAUAAAUUGUAUCUCUUUGAGUUAGCUUUCCAGUGCUUCAAGAAUUGGAGCUCUGUGGACUGCAAAAUGACCAAAAUACCCUCAACUGGUCAGGGGUCUGUUUCAGCUUUUGACAACAGAGUUGUACUUCUGUAUUUUGACUUUUUGACUAUGAAAAAGACUGAACUGGAUUUCAAUGCUUUCAUACCAAAUGUAGAUCUAUCUCUUAAUUUCAAAAUGAUUUAAGAAUUACCUCAAUACGAUACAUGAAGUUUUUACCAUAUCUUCAAAUAUUUUCUCAAAUCACUCCAUUUGAUGAUUGAAUCAUUAAACUAUAAAAACAUGAAGUUUUUACCAUAAAAAUCCAUAGAAAUGCAAUUUUUAUCACUUAAACCAUAAAAUACAUAUUUUCACUAGAAACUUAGUUAAUUAGUUAUAAAACUAAUUAAAACACAUCAAAACUAACUAAUAAAACACACUAAAAAACACGUAAAAUAUACACUUAUCAAUGCCUCUAGGAAAUUCGCCUCAUUGUGGAGAGUCAGAUACGUUGGUCUUUAGGUGAGGGGUUGGUUGAUGGUGUGAUGCUUGGUGCUUUGAUCAGCCUUUGAUUAAGUUUAUAGGGGGUGCAGAAACUCCCCAUAUGCUCGUGGGGGAGUUCCAUGACUCUCAAGGUUGGAAUGAACAAUGGCUUCGGUGUUGGCUAUCUCCAUCCCAGGUUGCUCAUGUUCUAAAAAUUCCUUUUUCAAGGCAUCAGGAGGACCGAAUGGUGUGGGCUCUUUCUCCCUCCGGGGAAUUCUCUAUGUCAUCAGCCUGGGAGGAGAUUCGCCAGAAGAGGAGCUUAUUAUUGGUUGACAAGUUUGUGUGGAAUCCUAUUACCCUGUUAAAGAUCUCCUUCUUUGCCUGGUGACUUGUGCAUUGAUGGCUUCCUGUGGAUGCGUUAAUUCAAGGGAGAGGUGUCAGGUUGGCAUCUAGAUAUUGCUGCUGUUGUAAGGAGGUCGAAUCGAUUGACCAUUUGUUUGUGGAGGGCCCCUUGGCAACAGCAAUAUGGUCUUUCUUUGCUCGACAAUUUGCGUUAUUGAACCUAAGAAGUACGGGUGUUUUGAUCGGUUGCAAUUUUAUCAUUUAUUUUAUUAUUAAUUUCCUCUAUUACCUGACUUGAUGUGGAUUAAUUAUUAGAUUCUACUUACUUUUCGUAAUUUACAUUUAUUUCAGGGAGUAGAACAAAAAUAUCACAAUCAAGGCCAAUUUGAUAAUCAUCGGGAAAGAGUUCAAGUAGCAGGCAUCCAAGGGUAUUUUUGGAAUAUCAAGAUGCGACCCUCUCUGGUAAUUUGCGGAAGACAGCAUAAUAGAAGAGAAAGGAACGCAGGGCAUGAGGGCUUCUUCCUCUCCGGAAGGAGAGCCGCCGCACAGGAGAUACGAAAUAGAAAUUGCAGAGGAAAAAACACUGAGUUUGUUUGGACAAAAAUAAUUUGGUUUGCAAAAUUUAUUCUCACAAAUCCCAAUCACCUUUUUAUCUCACAUACAUCACAUCACAAAAAGUGCUACAGUAAAUAUUUCAAAUAAAUCAUCCAAAUAAACUCUUAUCCAAACAAACUCACUAUCUUUAGCUUAGCUUUUGAUUCUUGUCUCUUCUAGCUUCACUUUGACUUUUCUUCUUAGCUUUUAGUUGCUUUUCUCCACGCAUGUCAGGGGUAGAGAUUUAGUCUUGGACUUUUCCUUUCAUCUGGAGUUUCUUUUCUUUUCUUUUCGGUAGGAGUAGACAAGGGAUGAGUUAAAUCUCUUUGUCUAGUCAAGGAACAACGGAGACUUUGAUUCGCCUGAAGAUUGUGAGAUUGAUUUAAUUUUAUCUUUUCUUUUAUUUAUUGGUAUUCUCAUAUCCCUUGAUUGCAGUAUUUAUGAUUAUUUAAUUAAUUGAUUGUCUUGGAUCCGGAUAAUUAGUUAGUUUGAUAAUCUAUUGUCAAUUAGGGCAUUAAAUUCGUAAUUGUUUAAUUGCCUUGAAUUAGCAUGAUUAGAUUUGUGUCAGAGGAAUACGCGGGCUAAUAUGAAAUAACCCUGGUAGUGCGUUAUUUGGUUAGAAUAUGGCUCCUCUAAACGUAAGGCAAUUGGGGAAUUAAAUCUUACGGGCGUACCUAGGAUUAUUUUCCAAUUAGGGCAGUAAUUAAUGGGCGUACCUUAAUUACCGACACAGUAAGAAGGGGUUGACUGUCAUCGCUUGUUUGACAGUUAUAACCUAUUUAUUAGUAAAUAAUUAUAAUUGGCUUUGCAUCGAUGAUCAAUUAGGUGAACCAUUGCUGAAAUUAUUUCUUGGCUAGAUUCUUAAUUAUUACUCGUUUGAUUUUAGUAGAUUGUUAUUUAAUUUUUAGUAACUUCUUAGAUUUUCUUUGUUUGUCAUCUUCUGCACAAAAACACCCCCUGAUUACUGUGAAUUUGAAAAGAAACAGUUACACCCAGUCCCUGUGGAUUCGACCUUGCUUACUACUAUUUACAAAAAUUAACUUUAGUUGAGCAAGUUUUUAUUAUUGCACAGGCCCGACACCUGUCAUGUUUCGUCAAUGUUAGUAACGUGGUUCUCCUCACAUAAUUUUGUCUCUUCGAGUCAUGUUCGAGUAGUGGUUCCUCUACUCAUUUUGUGGUUUAUUUGGAAGGCGGGAAUCAAUCUAGAUUUCAAGGUGUAUCAUUUUUGGCUUCCGAGGUGAUUGAGCAAGUAGAGUGGUUCAUUAAGCAAUUGGAAGCAUCUGGGCUACUUCGAGAGAUGCACUUUAGAGGGGAUCGGGAUCAUCCAUGGAGCGUGUUGGCUCUGACGUGUGGUAGCAAGCACCAUUUGAUGGCUAUUGCCUGGGUGCCACCGCCUUUCAAUGUUGUUAAGCUGAACACAGAUGCGAGUGUUUCUUCUUCUACGGUGUUUGGGGGUGGAAUUAUGCGAGAUCACGAGGGUAAAUUAGUCUUUGCCUUUUGAUAGGGUAUAAUUUGUUAGUAUUUUUAUUAUUAAUUUUCCCUUCUAUCCCUGACAAAUAUUGUGUUAAUUGCUGAUAUUUACUCAUAUUUGGUAUUUGGAAUCAAUUUCAGGAAUGAAGCAGAAAACUACCAAAAAGGAGGGACUUUGUGAAAAAUAUGGAGACUUCUAAGGGCUUCAAUCCUUGGGCCCUUGAAUUGGUGGGGGACCACAAGCUAGUGAAAGGCAUUUGGUCAUUUGGGCUUCAAAAGAAAGCAACGUAGAGAGACUUGGAACAAGAAGUACUUGGGAGGCUUUGUCCACAUGUGUGGGGACCACCUAGAUAGCUUUUAGUCAUCUUUCUUUUGUUGCUUUAAAAGGGGACAACGUACAGAAGCAAGAGAUAUCUAGGGCUUUAGUUUUUAGUAGUCUUUUAGUUUAGUUUUAGUUUUGCUUUCUCUGGACUGGCCUCUGACACACGCCAGGUGUUCGACAAUAUUCCCCAACGGGGAGAGUUUCUCAUGAGGCGUGGUUAAGUGUUUCUAGUCAAGGGGACAACUGAAGAUUUGGUUCAAUAAUUACUGUGAGAUCUAAUUUAUUUUAAUUGCUUCCUUCAUUUAUUGGUAUUCAUAUGUUUCCUACUUUUAACCGUUAUAGUGCGUGUGGAUGAUUGAUUAGUGCGCAAUAAUUAAUUAUUCAUACAGGCUAUUGUGCUAUAUAGGGGUAAUUGAAUCCGUAAUUGUUCGUUAUCUCUAUCCCAGUAGCAACUGGCAUAAUUGGAAUUGUGUCAGGGGAAUAUUUGAUCUGGUUUAAAUAAACCCUCGUAGCGUGUUUGUUAGUCAGGAUUGGGCCUUUCUAAUUAUUAAUGCAACCUAGAAAUUAAAUCCUACGGUCGUACCUGGAGUUGUUUUUGGGUUAGGGAAAUAGCUAACGGUCGUACCUUAGCUAUCAAUAAAUUAAGGAAGGGUUGGUUGUUUAUCGCGUGCAUGACAACUAUAACUAAUCUGUUAAUAAAUGUUGGAAUUAUUCCUGCAUCAAUGAUCAGUGCAUGAACCAUUUCUGAUGUGUACCCUUGGCUAGAGUUUCCCCUUAAUUAUUUCUUUGAAUUAAUUAUUUCCUGCAGUUAACUUAUUUAGUUAGCAUUUAAUCCAAAACCCCCCAUACUCUGGACUCUAGAAGGAACGAGUUAUCCUCAGUCCCUGUGGAUUCGACCCUACUCACCGCUAUAUACAAAAUCUGUAUUUUUCUCGAGUAGGUAUUUAUUAUUGUACAGGUUCGGCACCUGUCACCUUUUACAAGGAAUUUGGGGAAGCAAAUGUACUUAUGGCAGAGGCUGUGGCUCUAUGGUGGGAUUUAUAGUUUUGCCAAUAGAAGGUUUCACGUAGUUCACAGUGGAGGUGGACUCGCUGUCUUUGGUUUCGCUAGUUUCUUCAGAUACAUUACGUAAUAUUCUAUGAGCUGUUCGUAUUUUGAUACAAGAGUUGGGCAUUAGUUCUUAAUGCUCGUUCCUUUCCUUUUAUUAGGCGUCGUUAGUGUCCACAAUGUCAGGUGCUUUCCUUCAGCUCUCUGUAAUUGAACCUUUUUCUUUUUGAAAUGAAUUGAGGAGUGACGUCCUCCACCUCUGGCCUCUGGGUUAGCCAAAAAACGAAAAAAAAAGUUGAUCAUGAUUAUAGUUAAUUGUAGGACAUUAAAAAUUAGAGUUUGGUGUGGGAGCUAAUCAGCCUAACCAACGAUUUUAGUUGGGCCAAUAGAUAAUGGAGAUGCAAUCAAACUUUGCUGAGUAGGUUGAAAUGCACCUAAUCAAAGAAUUUUCCAUGUGUCCAAACUCAUAGUACACGCCAAAAUAUAAAAAUGUCAACUAGCUUGUCGGUUUUGUACAUAUAUUCGCAUCAUACUGAAGCAUGUGACUUAAUUUGUCAAGAUUCCUGACUCUCAGCAUUGUAAAUUUGUAACUCGUAAAACUGCACUAUGGCCAAAACCAUGGUCAAGUCAACGAAGUUCCCUUUCUGCCCACAGUGGGCAGAAGCAAACGUAGGCGGCCAGCUGUGUUCUCUGGGGACGCGCAAAGAUGAACGAAAAACAAAAUGAUGUAUCGGCACCGGAGAAAGCCAGGUUGUGCGUGGAUGAAAUAAUGCAAUACAUUUUAAAAUCACAAUAAAAAUUCUCUUAAAAAUUCGUUUGCCAUUUAAUGCCUAGUACUUGAAAAUAUUUUGUAAACAGUCCAGCCGAGGUGUGGGUCCCGAUGAAAGGGGAAGACCUAAAAAGUGAAUGUCAAAAUAAGCUGAAAAAAGGCACCAAAAUGUAGGUGAGAUUAUUGUCAUGAAAAAUGGAUGAAAUUUUUAAUAUUAGUUAGAGAAUUUUGUACAUGUCAAAGCAAAUGUCGUGGUAGGUUUUCUUUGUUAAUUGAGUUUGAUAUUUGAAAUAAUUUAAGCUUAAAUAUAAAAGGAAGAUUUGGAAACUUAGACAUAGAUUGAAAUAAAGGGAGAUGUGCAAUUUUGGUCCCCCAAUAUUUGGUCUAUGAGUUAAAUUAGUCUUUGAUAUUUUGACAAUAAAUGUGGUCCCAAAAUUUUUUAUUUUAAACAAAUUUAGAACAACUAAUAGAAAACUAAAAUAUCUAAUGGUCAAAAUCAAAUUAGAAUUAGUGAAAAGUUUGGACUUUGUAUAUUUUGGUCCCUAAUAUUUGAAAAUUUGAUCAAUAUUGUCCCUUAUGUUUUAAAUAAUUAUAUUUCAAAUGAAAUAAAAUGUGAAUUAGAUUAAAUGCACAAAAAAAUGUGUUCUAAUAUCUCAUAAAAAUCCUGAAAAUUACUCCACAUUGUCAAAACAUUAUCAUUUAGCCUAAAGAGCAUCCCUUCAUUAAAUUAGUUACAAACAAAUGACAACGAAUGAAUCAUAUAUAAAAAAAAUUAGUGAGAAAAAGAGAACUUUAAUUUGAGUAUGUAGUAACUUUAAUUCUAAACAAUAUAACACAAAUCAUUGCAUGAGUUAUGGAUCUGAGUUUCAAUUAGUUAUUGUUUGGCAUUGGAUUGCAUUGACAAGUAUAGGUGAUUAUCAAUAUGAAUGACUCAUGUGAAUUUUUAAAAUAUUUCUCGCUGUUUCUUCUUGUCUUCCCUUCAUAUUAAAUCAAAUAUUUCAAUAAUAAAAUUUAAUGUAUUUAUAUUUACAUUCAUCUGACAUUGAUAAUUUUAUUGAAUAAUUUAAACAAUUGUAAAAUCUUUAUUUCAAUUGAAACUUAAUUGACAAUUGGGUGAAAUGCCAAAAAAAAAAGAAAACGAAAAAUAUUAUUCAAUCAACUCAAUGACAUAUAGUUGUUGAUAUUAUAAUAGAAUAUUUAAUUAACUAUUUUCAUUUAUCGUAUAUGAGUGUUGGGCAAUAGAUGAUGAACAAAUUAUUAAGAGGGCGUUUCUUGUGAUUUCCAGAUGUAAUGCAUUAUUUCAUCCACGCAUAACCAGCUUUCUCCUGCUCUUGGUGCAUUUUUUUCCUGUCCGUCUUUGUGCGUCCCCACAGAACACAGUUAGCCUAGCUCCUUGCAUUGCCUUUUGCUCAAAAAUCAUUAAAAAUUUUCUGGCCAGGCAUUAUAAUAUUCAUUGGAGAAAUUGAAGACAGAGACACUUUUUGGAACUCCAGCCCCAAAUUGUUUAUCUAAGUUUCAUCUUAAAAACCAUCUAAAGAGACAUCAAUUAAUCUAAAUCUGGAUCUUUAUUCUCUUCUACAUUUUUUCUUUAUAGUAUUAUCCUUUGAUUACCUAUCCAAUUCAGCGAAAAUUGCUAGCUCAGAAUCCAAGAAGGAACAGAACAGGGAACACAUGGAUGAAAUUGGAUGUAGAAUUCACGUUCUGGCCAUCCCUUACCCUCUACAAGGCCACCUCAAUCCGAUGCUGCAAUUAUGCAAGCGUUUAACCUCAAAGGGUGUUAGAAUCACGCUAGUCACUAUCACCUCAGCCCGUCUAUCAGUGCAAAAUCAGUUUGAAUCGAUCCAGAUCGAGUAUAUUCUAGACGAUGAUAACAUUGAAGCUGAGGGAUCAAACGAUUCGGAGAAAGGUGCUGCCCACUUCAAACGGAUUCAAAUCGCAGUUUCAGAUAAUUUGGCCAAGUUAGUUGAAGAAAAGGCGAGUUCUGGUCAUCCUGUGAAUAUAGUUCUGUAUGAUUCAAUGAUGCCUUGGAUUUUGGAGAUAGUGCAGGGACAACUAGGCCUCAAAGGGGCUGCGUUUUUCACUCAGGCUUGCGCUGUUUCUGCAAUAUACAACCAUAUUCAUCGAGGAACGUUGAAAGUUCCUCUAGAGACAUCUACCAUAUUGCUUCCUUCAAUGCCACAACUGGAGUCGAAUGAUCUGCCUUCUUUUGUUUAUAAUCCUGGUCCAUACCCAGGUGUUUUGGAUCUUGUCCUCGGUCAGAAUAUAAACCUGGAGAAAUCAGAUUGGCUCUUGUUCAACUCUUUUGACAAGCUAGAAAACGAGGUAGAGUUCUCAUUCUAUAAAAUAAUUGGAAUUUGGAAGUUCACCCAUUAGCAACAUAUAAGGAAGAGAAGCGAGGUGAAGUGCAUACACUAUUAAUUUGACAAUUUAUUAUCGCAUGUUUGUUACUUGGUACCUAUUUGUACAUUCCUAGUCUAUGGGAUUAAAUUUGAUUGGAUAAGUGUAGGUUGUAAUAUGUAUGUAUUAGGCUAAAUGUAUUCAAUGUUCAAUAUGCCUUACUUAGAUUUGAAUCUAGUAUAUCAUAUUUAGUUGUGAUUUUAUAAUGUCAUAUGAUAUGCCAAGAAAAAAAGGAAGCAGGGUAGGGACGGUUGAUCAAUGUAAUAUUUUUUGAACAUUUUGUAACUCUAUUUAAAUUUCUUGUACAUCCUUACAAUAGAAAUGUAAUAUUGGGUUACUAUUCAUAUAAGUCCCAUAUGUAAUAAUUGUGUUUCUGUUGUUAAGUUUUUUAUAAGUUGUUCACGUAGAGUUAUGCUUUAUUUAAAAAAUGUUAUUUCGUUCAGAAUGAUUGUCUUGAACAAAGUAAGUAGCCUUUACAAUUUACAUGAGCAGUGGCAAGAUGGCACGGAAAAAGACAAAGAAAAAUCCAAGUGAAAAGGAAGAAAUAUAAAUAGGAGGAACUACCGAGCUUUCAGAACCAAUCCCAUCGUUUAUAAUUAAAAAGGAAAAGAAGAAACCAACUUGAGAAGAAGAAAUAGAGCAAGCGAACUUAGCUAACGGCAUUGUAUAACAACAUUGAUGGCAGACAAGCUGAGGUUCCAUCUAAAUCACUUAAUACGUGAGUGGUUGGUGUUUGUCUCUCGCAACAUCUACAGAACUCAAUACGUGAGCUUGAUGAUAAUUAUGCGCAACAUGCAGUGGGAAGAAGUCAAGGAAAAGAAGAAAAAAAGUGAAGGUAAGACAUCUUGUUCAGAUUGCCUUUCUUAGUGUGGAAAAAUGGUUACCAGUUAUGUUAAUUAGUAUGCAUACAUCUUGUUAGAUAACUAUUACAUUCUGUAAUAGAAUAGUAAUAGUGGAAAAAUACUUUGACACGGUUGUAAAUGCACAAUCAACUAGUAUAAUUGUAUUAAAUGAAGUCCUAGAAAUUGAUAAUGGAACCCUUGUGAGGAAAGAAAUGCAGACAUAAGUUUACUCUUGUUUAUAAAUUGAAACCCCAAUUAAUUGUAGCAAAUCAGUAAUUGAAGCCCACAGUAUGAAAGUUGAUUGGCAUGAAUCUUGGUUCUAAUGCCUAUAUGUUAGGUUGAAUGUACUUGUUGUUCAAAAUGUCUUGCGCGUAAUUGAAUCUACCAUAUCAUCACUUUAUCUUGAUUUUGACAGGUGCCGAACCUGUGCAAUAAUAAUUACUAAAAAGUCCUAAUUACCACCUCAAUUAAAUAAUUAUAGAACAAAUCCAAGUACUGGAGCAGGGACCCUAGGUGUGCAAUGGGUUACUUGAUUCACCCUGUUCCCGAAGAGUUUGCUUGAUCCGAUAUACCGGAUUUGUCUAUAAAAAUACUAUUUUUGCGUACAAUGGCAAGUAGGGUCGAUUCCACAGGGAGCAGGUAGGAAAUUAUUUCUUUCCAAAUUAGUAGAACGAAAUUGGGGGAUUUUCAAUGGGAGGCAAAUAAAAAUAAAAUAAAAUAAAACAAACAAAAUUCAAAACUAACUCACAAAGCACAAUUCACUGAAAAUAGCAAUUAACAAAAGUUCUACCCAAAGGAUCAACUGCGCAGGCACGGUCCAAUUAAAUGAUCAUCGAUGCAAAGAUAUUUCAUCCAUUUAUCACUAGGUUGGUUAUAGUUAUCAAUAAGCUCUGACAACCAGUUCUUCCUUACCUUUUCGACAGUCAAGGUACGACCAUUGACUGCUUCCCUAACCAGAUAACAACUCUAGGUACGACCGUAGGAAUUUAAUUACCCAAUUGCAUUAAAGCUAGAAGAACCCAACCCUAACCAAUAAACGCGCUAAGAGGGUUUAUUUAAGCUAGAUCCUGCGUUUCCCCAUCAUAAAAUCAAUUAUGGUGGUUGCCACGGGGUGUCAAUUAAAUGAACAAUUACGGAUUCUAUUUAAUUAACGUGGCAGUAGGCUAUUAAAUUAAAACAAAUAUCCGGCCGUUGAUAUUCAAUUAAUCAAAUACCCAUGAACAAUUAAUUCAGGAAACGCACGAAUAGCAACAAAAUUGGAGGAAAUAAUGAAAGCUUGAUUAGAUCUCACAGAUAUUAUGGACCGCGCCCUUGCGUCAACCUUUUGGGUAGAUGGGGAAAUUAGCCGCUUCUCAUCGUUUCAAUCCCGCGUGAUUUAAUUGAAUUCAUUCAAUUAUUUGCCAAGGAAUUGGGAAAGGGAAAUUAACUGCAAUAACAACCGAAAAGGCCCUGCCUUCGUCCCUGCUUCGAAGUCCCAAUUACAAAGCCAAAGCUACGAAUGAAUUGUCCAGCGGAAAAGUUGAAAGUCAGAAGAGGAAAGCGACGUCUAGCGCCUGGGAAAGAGAAAACUAAAGCUACUGUUUUUGAUUCAAUGUCAAUCUAGCUAUCUAAUUUGCUGCCGAAGAAAAAACCAAAAAGAAACGAUGGAAAGCGUCUGACAAAAAGUAGAAAAGGAGAAUUAAAGCUAAGGUCUUGAUGAUGUGCGAAUCCUGCUUCCUCCCUUCUUUAUAGCCGCCGCACAAGAGAAAAAUCAAGGCCAGAGACGUCUGGAGCAAUUCAAAAAGCUAUCCCCUUUGGAGUUUUGAUCCCCUGCUUCGGGUUCACGUGGACCACGGUCCGUCUUUCGGUUUCGUCCACCUUCCAAGGCGUGGCCACGCCCUGGGACGACAAGUCUUCUGGAAAUUUUCCCCUCGAGAUCAUUUUUAAUGCCGAUCACCUAUAAUUCAUACCAAUGUGAAAUAUGAGUUAGACCUCAGUACUUAGCACAGUAAAUAGCCAAAAUUAGGCCGAAAUAACACUGCAAAAUGUGCCAAAUAACUGUUCUAUCAAAUCCCCCCACACCUAGACAAUGCUUGGCCUCAAGCAUUUCAAAGCUCAGAAGUACAACCAAGAGAGCAGAGGUCAUGCAGUAGUCUAUACUAACACAAGCAUCUAGGGUCCCUGACAAUAUCACCAAGGGCAGAACACACCGGACGUCUUGUAAUUCAAAGAAUAUAUAUGAAUAAUAGGAGCACUCAAUUCAACAUCACGGAAUGCCAUUACCAUAGGCUUGCACAUUUAUCACAUCUCCACCCCUUAAAAAUGAACUAAACACAUAAAUCAAAGGGACUUUAAUAGGGUUGUAACGGGGCUCAGGUGAAAGGCGGGUUAAGAGGGUAUAGAUAGGGGGUAAAGUGUCAAGAGAAUGUCCGAAACUCACCAAUAACCACAGUGCUUUACCGGAGGAGUUUCACUAACAAGGCAGUUUCCAUUUGCUGUACACCCUGUACAAGUGCCCCAAAUUUUUUUUUCUUUUUUUUUUUACUGCUCGCAAGGCGUGGGCACGCCUUGUAGUCCAUAGUCCUCUGGUCACGAGGUCUCUUCAUCAAAUCUUUUUUUUUUCGAGAGACAGUCCUGUAAGGCGUGGGUACGCCCUGUAAGUCAAAGUCCUCUGGUCAGUGGCCUUUUUUCCAAUUUCCCCUCCUUUACACAAAGAUAGCAUCAUAUAGCUCCUAAUCUAUCAGCACUUUCAACCCCAAAUUCGUUUGCUUUGCGCAAAUGAUGGAUUUCAGACAUCCCUUGACAACACAGGGAUGAACAAGAAAGUUUAAAGAGGUCUUGGGUUAACAAACACGGAUAUCAACCAGAAACGAAGGACAGAAGCUCAAGUUGGUUCACUAUUGGGAUAUAAAAUGAGGGCUUGAUUUUUUAGAUAGCUGAAGAGGGUUAAAUCCUAAAUGCCCUUAUCAUUUCAAAUGCACUCAGUUCAUCAAAAUGCGGUCUUGACAUGUACAAAAUAGCAAGUUCUAGAAUGUUCAUACCAUGUGCGAUACCCACUCAAUCAAACAAAAUAGAGCAAACAAGAAUAAUAUGCUCAAGUAAGGCUCAAAAGCUCCCCAAAAGUUACAAAAAUGGGUAAAUUCCAGCAUACUCAACAUUCAAUGACAUUGCCAAGGGAAACAAAAUGCACAGCCAGCAUAUACGAUCACAUACCCACUCACUUUGAUUAUGUCAUUCAUCACAGCAACAUGCCCCAACACAAACAAGCAUAAAAAUAACCAAAAAGACGACUAACUACAAUGUUUUUUUCUUUUAAUUUUUUUUCUUCUUUUUUUUUUUGAAAGAGUAACAAAGCAAAAAGAACUAAUGACAAAGAACUAAUGGAAAAGUACUAAUGGAAAAGAACUAAUGGAAACCACUCCCCCCACACCUAAGACCUACAUUGUCUGCAAUGUAACCUGGAAAAAUAAUUUGCAAGGCUAGAGGUAGCGAGAACUUCCCUGACUACUGAAAAGGUGCGGCUGGAGCCUAAGGAGGCGGCGGAUGCGGCGGCUGGAAGCCAAUAUGAGCAUAGAAAGCCGCUUGAUUCUCUGCCUGAAUGCGGGCGAAAACCUGGAGCGCCCUAAGACGACCAUCUAUCCUUGACAGUUGGGUGUUAAGCUCAUGGACACUCUCUUGGAGAUCCGGAUAGCGGGGGUCCCCAGCAGGAGGAGGAUGAGAGGAGGACGGACCCGCCUAAUCCGGAUGGGGUGGCGAGUUAGUGGAGGGUGCAGUUGUAGGCACCCGAGGCCGCGGCCCGCCCUCACCAGGAGGCGUAAACUGAUAAACAUCGCCCACUUUGAAAAUAACCCCCAUUCGCUCCAAGCUACGCAAAUCCAGGGGUUCAUUUUCUCGAGUUAGAGUGUAGUUGUGCUCCUUGUCCAGAUCAAGCACUCCCACUCGAAUGGCCAAUGAGUAAUGAGUGAUCCCAGUAUCACCGGCUUAUUAUGCUUUUGCAUGACCGUUUCCAUCUGGGUGGCCACCCAACAUCCAAAGUUAACCUGAACCUUGUUGCGCAUGCACCAAAGAAAAUAGGAUUCCACUUUGGUAAGCGUGCCGGAGGUAUCCUUUCGCCCCGAGAAAUUGUGAGCUAAGAACCUGUGGACAACCUUCAAGACCGGAUCCUUCAGAUGGGAAGCCUUCGACUGACUCGGAUUGUAAACUUGACGAUCCGUGGACCACUCCCUCCAAAUGUCAAUGUAGUCAGUAGAGAACGGUCGGGUGUAGUCACACGCACUGUUUAUAUAUGCCCCAGAGGCAAUGGUGUCCUCACUAGCAAACCCCAAAGUCAGGUUAAACUCAUUAAUGGACAUACCAAACUGAGUACCUCCCAAUCUGAAAUUAAUGACCUCCGGCUCAUCCAAAGUGAUGAAUUCAUUUCUGUUGAACUCGAAUGUGGAGAAGAAUUCACAACACAGCUCCUCAAACGUAGGGUAAUUAAUGGUUAGAUAUUUUUGCCAACCUAUGGCUGAGAAUAACUGUUCAACUUCCCGUGCAAUUCGCAAAUGGUCCAAGGUCGGGGCAUGAAAGCACUUACAAGGAGUAAAAGGACGGUUUGCCAAGUUAUUAAACCGCUCCACUUGUGCCUGUGUAAGAUUAGUGACCGUUUCCCUCCCUCCUCCAGGAGACAUAGUGCUCUUAUUCAGGCCCAGACGAGACCGAAUGGUGGGUUGAACCGGGGCUCGCCUCUUGCGAGGUUGGGACCCAGACGACCACCAAGAAACAGAUAGGAGACCACAGUCCACCGAAAUUACUAAGUAUUCAGCAGCUCACAGCAAAAGGGGACACAAUUACCCCACCAAACAACAACCAGACAACAAACACCAACCAAUGCCCCACUGCUGUCAAGUAGCCGACAACAAUAAAGAAGACCGAACCAACUUCCCCCAAAUCAAGAAAUCAGUCGCUAAAAGGCAACAAUCAGUGAGCUACCGACCACGUGUACCAAAGAAUAAAUUCACUAGAGCCCACAGAUUUCUCAAGUAUAUAAUCACAGGGAAGCAGAAAUAAGGUCUCUCCCUUCAGAUAAUCAAAUAGCCCAACACAAAGCAAAAUCCCAACAAUAAAAACUCCAAGACAUCAGUUGCCAGUUCAAAAAGAGAGAAACAGGAGUACCACUCUUAUGCUCAGUGCUCCUUCUAACCGGAAUUGGCCGAGCCAGUGCCGCACGGCGAGAGGACUGCGGACGUAUGACUCGCGUGGCUGUGCGCAGAGCUGGCGGUCGCGCGCUGAGUGGGGCUAGCGAGGCGCGCUGCUGGGGUCGCGCGCGGGCUGGUGCUGGGCUGCGCAGCGGGUGGUUGCUGCCUGCGUCGCGCGCUGCUGGGGUUGGGCCUGAGUGUCGUGCGCGCGGUUGCGCGCCUGGCUAACGCGAGGGGAGGACUGGCGCGCGCGGAUCUGCUCGCUGCGGGAGCUGGGCGCACGCGAAGGCUCGCGCGCGGUGAGAGGUGGGCAGCGUGCAGAAUGCGCGCUGGAGGUCGCGCACUUGGCCGAGCGCGCCUGUUGCUGAGGAGGGCAGGGCCUACGCUGCGCAGGUAGCCAGAUCCGGGCGGAGGCUUGCUGGGCGCGCGAGGCAGGGACGCCAGUGGCGGCGGACAGCGAUGGCAAGCGGCGGUGACGGCGGUGCGAGGUGGGCGGCGAAGGCUCGACCAAAACAAAGAGGAGAAGUCUGGAAACGAAGGCAAUAAAAAUUGGAAGAAGAUUGUCCAAGACUAGUCAAAGAAGAUAGAAAAGUGGGGGGAGUAGGGUCUUGGUCAAAGUUUUUUUUUUUUUUUUUUAACUUUUUCGCUAUCGGAGGGGUUGGAAGGCGUGGGCACGCCUUGGAGGGCAUUUUCUUCUGCCCACAACAUGUAAAUGAUGUCCAAACGAUUUUUUUUUUUUUUCAAAGCGUGGGCACGCCUUGGAACCCCUACUCUUCUGUCCAACACCACAAAAACCAUCAAAACAUUAAAAUAAAACUGAAAAAUCAUAAAGUAAGGAAAAAUGAUCACAACUAAUAUUGUAAUCCUUGGGUUACCUCCCAAGCAGCGCCUUUCUUUAAUGUCUUUGGCUAGACAUAGCACCACUCUUUAGUCUGGAUGUAAUUGAAUUUUCCUUGUAAUUGGUGGCCCUCCUCCAGGAUCCACAUGGCCAUUGAGUGCAACUUUUUUCCUAAAUUUUCUCUCCAUUUUUACCUCAUGAAUUGCUUUCAUCCUAUAGGACUUGUUCGCAGCAACCUUGAAUUUAACCCUAUAAGCAAACUUAGAAAAUUCUUGCACAGAGGGAUUAGUGGUAUACAUAGCAAACACAGAAUGAGAGUUAACAGGAUGUUUCAUUGUAUCAAAAAUAUUAAAGUGGACUGUUUCUCCAUCAAAUUUCAUCGUGAGAGUACCCUUACUAACAUCAAUUUUAGUCUGGGCAGUACUCAAAAAUGGUCUUCCUAGUAUAAUGAGUGAUGAAUUUGGGGCACUUCUAUCAUCCAUGUAAAGCACAUAAAAAUCAGAAGGAAAAAUUAAUCCAUCUACUUGCACUAAAACAUCCUCAACUAUCCCAUCCGGAUAAGCACAUGUACGAUCAGCCAAUUGAAUUAUUAUCCCCGUUUCUUUUAAAGGUCCUAAAUUUAGGGAAUCAUAGAUUGACUUAGGCAUCACAUUAAUAGAAGCUCCUAAAUCUAUCAUGGCAUUUUUGAUACUAGAAUGACCAAUCUUACAGGGGAUAGCAAACAUACCUGAAUCUCCGCAUUUGGGUGGGAGUUUCCUUUGUAGUACAGCUGAUACAUUCUCUCCUACCAUCACUCUUUCAUCACCCCUUAGCUUUCUUUUGUUAACGCACAAGUCUUUCAAGAACUUUGCGUACUUGGGUACCUGUUUGAUCGCGUCCAAUAGGGGGAUGUUUACUUGAAUUUUGCGGAACACAUUCAGGAUUUCUUUUUCCUUCUCUACCUUUUUUGUCCUCUCCAACCUGCAAGGAAAAGGAGGUAAGUUAGAUUUAAUAGUGGGCGGAGGAGUGAAGGUUACCUUAGGAUCCUUGCGAAUACGCCCUUCCUCUUCAAUUUCCUUCUCUAUCUCCUCUUCACUUUUGCUUUUUGAACUUUCCAUUUUAGGCCCUUCCAGUUCCUUGCCACUCCUAAGCGUCAUGGUACUUACAUUCCUGGGAUUUACCUCGGGUUGCGAUGGCAGUUUCCCAUAAACGUGGGACUCUAAGCGGUUGAUGGCAGUUGCCAGUUGGCUUAUUCGAACGUCUUGGUCCUUCUUGUCAGCUUUGGUGUCCUGCUGGAGCUGCGCGGUAUUCGCGGCUAAGAAUCUGAUCUCCUGUUGAAGCUGGGUAGUAGUCGUGGCCAGGUUGGUAGUAGUCGUGGCCAGGUUUUUGACUAGGUCCUCUAGAGAACUUCCUGAGUUGGAGGACGAGGGUUGCGAUUUUGGUUGCCAUGGCUGGUGGAAUCCUGGUGGACGAUUUGGAAAUGCAUUUUGUUGCCUGUUCCCAUAACUGAGAUUGGGAUGGUCCCUCCAGCCCGGAUUGUACGUAUUGGAGUAUGGGUCGUACUGCCUGCGGGGCGCGGGCACGUCUCCGGCCAUGUUUACCUGUUCCGCCCCGUCCUCUUGCAAAAUGGGGCACGAGUCUGUGCAAUGGUCCAUGCUAGUGCAUAUUCCACACACCUUCACUCGCGGCGCGUCUCUCAUGGCUAAUUGCCUAACAACUGACGUCAAUUCUGACAGUUGCUGCUGUAAGGAUGAAGUCUCUACCUCGUUGACUCUACGGGGAGGGUUGCUCUCACGGAAGCCAAAUUGCUGGGAGUUCUCUGCCAUGGCUUCGAUGAGCUCCCACGCUUCUCUUGGUGUCUUGUUUGCCAGUGCUCCCCCACUUGCAGCGUCUACGAUACUCCUAUCGGUUGAUUGGAGCCCUUCGUAGAAGUAUUGGAUUAACAGUUGCUCACUAAUUUGAUGCUGCGGGCAUCUAGUACACAACUUGUUAAACCUUUCCCAGUAUUCGUACAAGGACUCACCGGGGUAUUGUUUAAUGCCGCAGAUCUCCUUCCUCAAACUCGCAGCCCGGGAUGCAGGGAAGAAUUUUUCCAAGAAUUUCUUUUUCAGCUGCGCCCAUGUAGUAAUACUACCUGCUGGUAGGUAGUACAGCCAAUCUUUAGCUGUAUCUUUGAGAGAGAACGGGAAGGCUCUCAGUCUAAUUUGCUCUUCAGUGACCCUAGGAGGUUUCAUACUAGAGCAGACCACCUCGAACUCCUUUACGUGCUUGUGGGGUUCUUCGCCAGAGAGACCAUGGAAAGAGGGUAAGAGUUGAAUCAACCCCGACUUCAGUUCGAAAGCGGUAUUCUCAGCCAAAGCGGGGAAUGUGAUGCAUAAGGGCUGGUGAGUCAGCUCCGGGGCAGCCAGCUCCCUCAAUGUUUGGUUGUUGGCCAUGCUUACUUCGUCUUCCGCUGACUCGUUUGCAGCAAAUAAGUGUCCUUCUUUUUGCCUCUUGGUCUCUUGCCUCCGCCUACGCGCUGCCUUCUCAACCUCAGGAUCGUAUACUAAUUCACCUGUGCGAGAAGAACGGGGCAUAAACCAGCAAAAGUACCAAGAACAAUAGAAUAAAAUAAAAAUAAAAAUAAAAACUGAAUUUGAAAAGAAACAAAUAAUCCAAACGCCGGCUCCCCGGCAACGGCGCCAAAAAUUGACAGGUGCCGAACCUGUGCAAUAAUAAUUACUAAAAAGUCCUAAUUACCACCUCAAUUAAAUAAUUAUAGAACAAAUCCAAGUACUGGAGCAGGGACCCUAGGUGUGCAAUGGGUUACUUGAUUCACCCUGUUCCCGAAGAGUUUGCUUGAUCCGAUAUACCGGAUUUGUCUAUAAAAAUACUAAUUUUGCGUACAAUGGCAAGUAGGGUCGAUUCCACAGGGAGCAGGUAGGAAAUUAUUUCUUUCCAAAUUAGUAGAACGAAAUUGGGGGAUUUUCAAUGGGAGGCAAAUAAAAAUAAAAUAAAAUAAAACCAACAAAAUUCAAAACUAACUCACAAAGCACAAUUCACUGAAAAUAGCAAUUAACAAAAGUUCUACCCAAAGGAUCAACUGCGCAGGCACGGUCCAAUUAAAUGAUCAUCGAUGCAAAGAUAUUUCAUCCAUUUAUCACUAGAUUGGUUAUAGUUAUCAAUAAGCUCUGACAACCAGUUCUUCCUUACCUUUUCGACAGUCAAAGUACGACCAUUGACUGCUUCCCUAACCAGAUAACAACCCUAGGUACGACCGUAGGAAUUUAAUUACCCAAUUGCAUUAAAGCUAGAAGAACCCAACCCUAACCAAUAAACGCGCUAAGAGGGUUUAUUUAAGCUAGAUCCUGCGUUUCCCCAUCAUAAAACCAAUUAUGGUGGUUGCCACGGGGUGUCAAUUAAAUGAAUAAUUACGGAUUCUAUUUAAUUAACGUGGCAGUAGGCUAUUAAAUUAAAUCAAAUACCCGGCCGUUGAUAUUCAAUUAAUCAAAUACCCAUGAACAAUUAAUUCAGGAAACGCACGAAUAGCAACAAAAUUGGAGGAAAUAAUGAAAGCUUGAUUAGAUCUCACAGAUAUUAUGGACCGCGCCCUUGCGUCAACCUUUUGGGUAGAGGGGGAAAUUAGCCGCUUCUCAUCGUUUCAAUCCCGCGUGAUUUAAUUGAAUUCAUUCAAUUAUUUGCCAAGGAAUUGGGAAAAGGGAAAUUAACUGCAAUAACAACCGAAAAGGCCCUGCCUUCGUCCCUGCUUCGGAGUCCCAAUUACAAAGCCAAAGCUACGAAUGAAUUGUCCAGCGGAAAAGUUGAAAGUCAGAAGAGGAUAGCGACGUCUAGUGCCUGGGAAAGAGAAAACUAAAGCUACUGUUUUUUAUUCAAUGUCAAUCUAGCUAUCUAAUUUGCUGCCGAAGAAAAAACCAAAAAGAAACGACGGAAAGCGUCUGACAAAAAGUAGAAAAGGAGAAUUAAAGCUAAGGUCUUGAUGCUGUGUGAAUCCUACUUCCUCCCUUCUUUAUAGCCGCCGCACCAGAGAAAAAUCAAGGCCAGAGACGUCUGGAGCAAUUCAAAAAGCUAUCCCCUUUGGAGUUUUGAUCCCCCGCUUCGGGUUCACGUGGACCACGGUCCGUCUUUCGGUUUCGUCCACCUUCCAAGGCGUGGCCACGCCCUGGGACGACAAGUCUUCUGGAAAUUUUCCCCGCGAGAUCAUUUUUAAUGCCGAUCACCUAUAAUUCAUACCAAUGUGAAAUACGAGUUAGACCUCAGUACUUAGCACAGUAAAUAGCCAAAAUUAGGCCGAAAUAACACUGUAAAAUGUGCCAAAUAACUGUUCUAUCAUGUCUUAAUCUAUCCAACAAGUAUUAGGAUAACUUUAAUUAAGAAACUAGAAUUCUUUUGAGACCAAAGACUUGGACUUAUAUCCAAUUUGGCACCAGCCGGUAAUACCUUUCAAAUACUCUUCAACCCAAUUUUUCUUUUCUUUCCUCUGGUUUUUCUUAAGACAGACAGAAUAUUACAUAGGAUCUUGAAGGCCCAUUUAACUGGUUGGAACAUGAGCCAUAUAACUUUGAGCUUCUUCUCAGACUUUCAAACCAUUCUUUUUCUCCCUCCUCCUUAUGACGAGUUUCAUUCGACCGAAAAAUAUACAUACAUACAUACAUACCUACCUACCUACCUACAUACAUAUAUAUAUAUAUAUAUAUAUAUAUAUAUAUAUAUAUAUAUAUAUAUAUAUGGACAUGCACACACAUUCCAAAAUAUCAAGACUAAUGAUAUUUUUUAUAUAGUAAUGAUAAUGAUAAUACUAAUCUUAGUUUGUUACAUUAAGCAUUCUAAAGUUGAUCAUGAUCAUCGUUAUUUGUAGGGCAUUAAAAAUUAGAGUUUAGUGUGGUGCCUAAUCAGCCUAAUCAAUGAAAUGGUGAUGCAAGCUUACUUCACUGAGUAGGUUGAAAUGCACCUAAUCAAAGAAUUUUCCAUGUGUACAUACUCAUAGUACGUGCCAAAAAAUAAAAAAGUUAACAAGCUUGUGGGUUUUGUACAUGUAUUCGUAACAUGUAGAAACGUGUGACUUAAUUUGUCCAGAUUCAUGAUUCUUGACGAGUUCCUUGGAAUAUGGCCUUUCAAAAAAAAUCCGUCAAAUAUGGAUGUGUAGAACUUUGUUCUUGAUCUAUGCCUGUCGUGCCUACAUGACACAACAGGCCAAGGAAUUUUUCUAAAAAAAAUAAACAAAGGAUCAUUGCAUAAUGUGAAAUCUAUGCUCGUAGUGAAUCAACUACUUAUAACUAAUUCAUACCUACUCCGUGGUUAGAUAUAAAUUCAUUAUUUCUAUGAAAUUGUAUGAAAUAAAUCACUAAAACCAUAAAAGUGCACAUCUACUCUAGUGAAUGUACUCCCUAGGUAUAGUAUUUCUUUGUACCAGUGAUAAAUUUCGAUUUUCAUUGCAAAUCUAAUAUAUUAAGAUUAUCAUAAUUAAUGACCAGUAAAUCAUGAUUAGAAGAACAAAAGUGCUAAAUAAUUUACUCAAGAUAAUAGCAUCAAAUAACCAAAAAAAUUAACACAAUACAAUUAUAGAAAAUUCAAUCGAAACCCAAAGUAUAAACUUGAGAAGACAUAAUAAACAUAAAAUUCAAAACUUAUUUAUUAACCAAACAUAAGAAUCCAAUACAAAUGAUAAAGAAUUGGAGAAGAGAAAACCCUUGUGGCAUAAGUUUCAUGCCCUCCUUCUUGAUCUUCAUCUUCAUCCUAAUCUAGCUAAUGUACAAGAGUUAAUGACGCACAAUACUACCUAAACUAUACCAUACUAACCUAAAAGUAAGAAAAUAUAAGAGCUACAUUUUUGUAGUGUGCUCUUGUACUCUCCAAACUCCCCCAAAAUGAAAGAUACAAGUUCUAUUUAUAGAGAAAUCUAUAAGUUCCUUCACUUGUAUCUUCAAUAUGAACAAAGCUUCCAAUAUGUCAAUAUUUUGCGCUUCAAAGCUAAAACACAUCAUUAUAGAAGAAAUAAUAUCAAGAAUUAUUGCUAGAAUCUCCAUUUUAUAGCUAUAAAUCUUCUAUAAAAUGUCUCUCAAAAGGUGUGAAAUAAUGAAGUUGAAAUCAAGUUGCGCAAGUUGUAGCCGCAACAUUGACCUGAAUCCCUCUAGCAAUCCUUCCAAAAUUGUGGCCGAACUCUUGGAGGGAUUGGUCUCUGUUUUGCCAAAACUAUCUACCUUGAAUCCCUCCGAAAAUCCCUGCAUGAAUUCUUGGAUGGAUUUGGUCCAAUUUUCUUUUUCGACAAGUUUCUUUAUACCCUUGAAACUUGUCAACUUUGUGAAUUUUAGAACUUUAAUCAACAUAAUGCAACCAUUUUUUUUGUCCAAAUUGAAAUCAAUUACCAGCUCAUACAAAAUCAACCAAAAACAUACGAAUAAAAGGGAUAAAAAAAAUCUCAUUUAAGCACUAAGUAGCAUUUAGAACUAAUUCAAGCCAAAAUAGAUCAUUUUCUUCUUAUUAUAAAAUAUUGAAAAAAAAGUGACUAAAAGUAACAUAAAAUGUUAUUCAAAUAUAGCACAAAAUAGUCACUUAUCAAAAGGGCAAAGGAAAAAGGACUAAGGAAACUAUAUGUGUUUAAUGUUAAAAAAAUAUGUUACUUCAUUUCUUAUUUACAUGUGCUCAUUUAUAUGCAUCUUUUGCAGGCUCAUGAACCUGAAAUACCACUGGAGAGUGAUUGCAAGGACUCUAAUGCAGCUUCCAUAGAUGUUGCUGAAGAAGUUGAAGUCUAAAGGAAAUUAUAAAUCUUUGACAUAUGUUUGUGACCUUAUAUAACUCACUACAAUUAUGUAUAUUUUUGGUGGCUUUUAACUAAUAUCGAAUGUAGACUUUGUUUUGGUGGCAUAUAGACUUGUAUUCUGAUAACCGGAAUUAUAUGCAUUGCUAAAUUAUAUACUACUUUAGUGAUAACUGAAUUAUAUACUAAAUUUGGUGGCUGAUGCAGUGAUUGUUGUUGAAUUUUUCAAUUUAGGGAUAUUGUUUGUUUGGUUGCUGUUUGGGAAUGCUCAUAUUGCAGGGUAAACAUUGCCAAAUUUCUUAAAAUAAAUGUUGUCACAUUAAAACUUUUUUUAAUGAUUUUAAUGCAUGCUGGAAUAUAAGCUUCUUUUUUGUGCCUCCUCUGUCUACGAGAGAAUUUUGUAUUAUUCGUGAUUCAACUCAAAAAGGACUAAAUUGACUAAACAUGUAUAGUUAAGGGACUAAAUUAGCCCCAAUUAAAGUUUAGAGACUAUUGUAGCUUCUGAUAAAUAGUUUAGGGACUAUUUUGGCCGUUUGCUCAAAAUUUUCUGCUGUAGAAGACGUAUCUUGUAAGUGUUAUUUGACUGCAUUUAAAUUCAGAGUAGUUCUGAACUCAUACCCAUAUGUUUUGCCGAAAUCUACAACCGGAUGACAACCCAAGUGCCCAAGCGACAAGGCAAUUAGACCAACCGUUAAUUCAUCAAUAUUUCUUGAUAGAAGACUCCUAAAUGAUAUAGAUUAUGGCUUAAAUAUCUCUUCCAGCUCAGUUAGUCCAAUUUGGAUUAUGUAUUGUAUUGUGUAGUUAUUGCACAUGCCUCUUAUUCGCUGUACAUUACUGUUUUUAUCCUCUCUCUGUCUUCUCCGGCAAUGGCAUUCCUCAUGUUGUCCAGCACCAAUUGUCUAUCUAUAUCUCUCACGAAUAUGAACAUGAGGAUUAUCAAAUAAUCACAUUCACAACAAAAUAGAAGGAACUUUGAACUAUCAAUAGUGUUGUGAGUUUUUUCAACAAAUUGUGACAAUGUUGCCACUGGAAUAUGGCUUCCAUUAUUUGUUCUAAAGGCAUUAAAGAUGAUUAUUAUUCCUCCAACUAGUAGGUGGAUUUCAAAUCCAAACCCCCUAAAUUAUCCAAACCACAAUAGGGGCUUUCAGUAGGGAUUUGAUAUCGGCCAUGUUUGAUAACUCAAUUCAAUACUUAAAUUUAAUUUAUUCAGAUAUUAAUAUAUUCAGACGCGUUUAAUAAUAAAAAAUAGAACAUCUAAAUUAAUUGACACUGAAUUUUUCAAACAAAACUCACUCCCAAAAAACAAAAAAGUAACAAGCUAUUCACUUAUUACUUAAUGUAAUAUCUAUUUAAUGUAUCAGAUUUAGUAUUUAAUAAUUCAAUAACUUAAUGGAUUCAAGUUUCACAUUGGAUGUUUUCCAUUAUUGACAUUUUACGUACAACUAUUAGAUUGGAUUUUUUUAUCCAAUUUUCAAUUUAGUUGAAACCACAGGAAGCUGUAGUGUAAGUUUCCAAACCAGAGGAAGUUAAAUUAUACAUUUGGCAAACCACAGGGAAAUUUUUGGUAUUUUACCCUUAUUUCUUUGUAACAGUUCAUUAUCAUCAAUUGAAAUGUCAUUGCAAAGUAGUGGGUUUUUUCAUUUUCAUUUAUCUUUAAUUUUUCUUAUAAUCUUGUUUGAAAACAAUGCAACAUAAAGCGCAAACAACAUGGACUCCAUUUUUCCUAUUAAUCGUAAAAAUUGCAUGUUUAACAUGGAGACAUUUAAUUUUAUUAUUGGUGCUUUUUGUUUUGUGGUCUUAGAUGAAGUAGUUAAAACAGAAUCAACUUGGUGUUUAUAAGUGAACUACAUGAAAAGUUUUUGUUGUUUGCAUCGAUUUUGAUGAGAUGAAAUGUUGUCUCCAUUAAAACUAAAUUGUUUAUUGUUUGUUGGUUGUAUAAACAUUUUAAGUGCUCUCUUUUAUGUCGUGCUUAUACCUGGCAAUUGGACGGGUUGGGUGGAUUUGGACGGAUUAAUAUUGGGUUUUCAUUUAAAUGGGUUACACUCAACCCGCCCAACUUUAGAUUGGGUUAAUUUUGGGUUGGGUCAUAUUGGGUCAUCUCAAACCCAUGACCCAAAUAUAAUCCAAUAUAUUAAUUAAUAGAUUUUGAUACAUAAAUUCUCUCAAAUAUAAUUUCACGUACAAAAAAAAAUUUUUAAGUGGAUGCCCAACACAAAUACCCAAAUCGCCCAAAAAAAGAUUUUAUGCUAAUAUUUUCACAAAGAAAGUAUGGUAAUUUUGGAUUUAUGUAGUUUUUACAUAUUGAGAAUACGGUUUAUAAAAACAAAAAUCUUUAGCAUGAAUGAGUUAUGUGGUAGUUAUUAAGCACCGAGGGCACGAGUAGUGGUAAGUUAACAUUAACAUCUCAAAAUUAAUUUCAAAUUUAAUAAUGUUCAAAUUCUUCACACUACACAUUUUGAUGACGAUAAUAUAAAUGAAAAAAAGUCACAUUCGAACUCACAUUGUCACGAUGAAUCUGGCAAUUAUUCUAACACAUCUGGCCUUUUCCAUAUCUAUGGUAAUACCCUAUUAAGUAUGUAACCAAGGAAUUAAAAAUAGGCCAAGUAAAAAAAUUUUAACUUGCUUGGCGAAUUAUGUUAUAAUCACAAAAGAUGUUUAUAGCAAAAAAUAAUAAUAAAAAAAGUCUACAGUUGAUGCUUUUGAGUAACUAUUCACCCUUUUAAGAUUGUGUUGAUUAUUCACUUGAUUCAAUUAGCAUAAGUUGGGUAACGGAUGCCCAAUACAAAUACCCAAACCGCCCAAAAUAUAUGUGGAUUUUUAUUACCCAACCCAAAAUUGAUCCAAUACCCAACUUACCCAAUCCAACCUCUCAAAUUAGUGGGUGGGUUGGGUGGGUUGUUGGAUUUUGGGCAUAAUUGCCAGGUCUAGUCGUGCUAGUUGUUCAACUUUUCAGUUUUUUUUUUUUUUUUUGAAUAAUGAAUUUGAAUUGGAUAAAGUGAGGUGCAAUAUUUUAUUGAAUUUGAACCAUUUGCAUUUUCAGUUGUUUAGUUGGGUGUUUUUCUUUUUAAUUUUAUUUUGUAUUAAAAAAGAAAAAGUACAUAAUUGUUCAAUUGACUCGUGAUCUUUGUAUCAAGAUAUACAAAUGAAUUAUGGACUCUUUUUCUCGUUAUAUAUUUCUCCAAUUUUCACCGGAGCAUUUAUUUUUCAAAUAUUGAUUUUUACAGUCUCAAAUUGUGGCUAGUGAAAAUUUUUAUCAUUGCUCUGAGUAAGAAAGUUGACAUAUAAUAAUUGGAGAUGGAAUGCAUGAGUUGAUAAAUUGUUUUAAAUGAAGAGUUUUCAAUUUUAAUUAUCAACAUGAUUGAGAUGCAAUCAAUUGAAAUGUUCUAUUUUUCUAAUUAGUACCACAAUUGAAAUAAUGCCAAGACGAGUACAUUGUAUACCUGACAACACAGUUUACUUGAAAAAAUUUGAGCCAAAUGUAUGCUCCAAAAAUUUUAAAAAUAUAUAUAUUUUUUUUAUGCUGCUGUUUUUCAGAGUUAAAAUGCCCCUCUAAAGCCUUAAUUACUGAUUGAUCGUAAACAAAUCUACCUAUAGAACAAAGUUAUAGUACACCAAAUUGAUCUCACAAAACUGUCAAGCCUCCUUUAGGGCAAAACACAAAGGCAAUUGCCCUGCAACUACAAUACAGAUUCCAUCUUUGUUGACAAACUACUCUUCCCAAUAACAAGCUUAUACCUGCAGGUUCCAUACAGGUAAAGCUGUUGUGUAAGAACUGAAGAAAAGAAGCCUAUUUAAAAUCGCAACAAAAACAAUUGUACAGUUUAAUCACUUUUUAUCUUCAUGACCCUUUGAGCACUUAGUGUCUGCCUUCACCUGAGAUUUUCCUAGCUUAAGAUACUAGCUGAACAAAUUUAUCAUGUACUAAGUCAGGACUUAUCAGCAUUAAGGGCCUCAAGUUGCUUUCUUAGUUCAUCCAAGUCGUCCAGCAGGUUGCUUCCCUCCCCAGAAACAGGCAGAUUUGAAAAUCCAUCUGCACUUGGCAACUCGUGCGUAAGGCCAUCCGGAAGAAUGCCUGAAAGAAAGAGAUUUAGGAUCUUGUCAACCUCUGCUGGCCUUUGAAUAACAAUAAUAGCAGAAAAAAAAAUAAACCAAAGAAAUCGGAUUAGUUAAUAUCAAGCCCUUCAUCUUCUUAGCACAAGCUCGAGAUACUGGGAGGACAUUUUUUAAGUGCAAAAACACUUCUAAGAUGACAAAACAUGACAAUAAAAAAAAAAAUCAAUAGUUUACUGCUACCUAAAGUUCAGUUGCAGAUUUGUUGUAGAGACUAAAGUGGGAACAACAGAACUAGGAAAGCACCAAUUCCAGGUUCGUAUUUUGCUUCUCUCCAAGUGAGAGAACAGAAAAACAAUAUGAACAAAGGUAAGAUAUAGGCUCCAAAUUUCUGGCAGAGCAUUAAACUGUUAAUCUGCCACAAUAUGUUUUGUCCAAUCUCCAUCCUUACCUUUAACUUUUCAAGUGAAAAAUGAGAAGUGAUUAUUGACACCUUUGCUGCCUCAAUUAACACCAUCCUUUCCUUUCAACUCCAAAAAUAGGUGGUCUAAAAGGGCAAGCAUUGGUUAUGUAGUAUGAUAAAAAAUGCUGAUUUUACCCAUGGUUCAAGAAUAUAGAUUCCUUGAUCUUAAGGAAAGAACAAAAAGAGACCCAAAACAUUAAACAGAAAAGGAGUAAUAUUUCCAGAAUCUUAUAAUCUGCCUUUGAGACUAUUAAAACAGUUCUCUAUGAAAACUGAAACCAUCUAACCAACACAUUCUUGGAUCUUAUAUGAGGGAACCCCUUAUAAGCAUGUGACUUCAAACCAACAUCACAAAACUUCUUGUUCCAUGAUUAACAUUCUUUGACCAGCUUUACAUUCUAAAGUUAGAUCUUGAAAAAUCAACAGAAAGUUUUAACAUCAAGUAAUAGUUGCCACAGGCUAAUUAAAAUCAAAUUAAUGAUAGCAUGAUUAUUCUGGAAAAAAAGAAAAACCUGAACUUCUGACAUCUGGACCAGCCACUUCACUGUCAUCAACGACACUGAAAAGCACAAAAGGACAUGAUACAGCAUCAAUCACAAGGCCAACAAUAAAGACUAGAGAAAACAAAUGUACUCCUCAAAUAGAUCAUCCACUAACAAAACAAGGAAAUCUUAAUGUCAAAUGUUUGGACUACAAGACUAAGAAAAUCAAAGAAAAACUUCUAUAGGCUUACCUUAUGUUCCAUUCAUUAUCUGCAUGAAUGGGACAUUCUGUUGCAGACUGUGCUUCGGCCUCCAUCUUUGCUCUAGCAGAAGCAUCCCUGGCAGGCUUUGCAAGAAUGUAUUCUUUCUGCAGCACAUGUAGCACUUGCUCAACAUAGAAGCCAAUAUGUAAAAUAAAAAAGCAAACAACUUGUAAAUUCUCCAUUGUGCUUUAUUUACCUGUCGUUCCAAACAUGCUGAAUUUGAACAUUGAGGGUUUGGCUUCAUUUCCAUUGUUGGGAAAUAAUCUUUGAGGGCAUUGUAACCCUGAUAUCAAAAACAAGAAUCAGUGACAUUUGAUGCAUAAUUCCAAAUAUAUUUCUUACGGAGGAGAAUGAGGAUUUAAAUUGUACCAGAUAAGGGGUAACUUGCCCGAACUUUAACAAAUAUUUAAGAGCAUUUUGAACAAGAAGCCCAGCAACAACACCCUGUCAAGUCAAGCAAAAUAGCAAAAACAUAGAACACAAAAUUCAAAAACUAAUCAGCAAUGCUCAAGCCUUCACACUUAAUAUGCACAAGAAAUUUGGACUUAUAACCAUGUAAUAAAAAUUAAUGAAAUGCAGCAUUAUGUAAAAGUUUUAGCAAAAAGAGAGGAGUGAUCAAUAAUCAAAAACUCAUUAUGUAAAGAAAACCCCAUCCGGUUAAAAAAGGGUUGCAAGACGGUCUCUCAGGUACAAGCAUGUAAAAUAACAUGAAUGUCAUGGAAAGAUUUCAAUCCAAGAUUGAGAUUUCCUAUCAUUUAUUAGUUAAUCAUUGGUAUACGAUAUUACUCUAUUUUCAGGAAUCUAAUGCUGAGGAUGAUGAAGGUUCACUAUUUGCCAAAGGAAGUUGUCAAACAACUUGAGUUAUGCUAUAUAUAGCAAAUAACUCCAUGACAAAAAGAUAGAAACAUCUCUACAUUUUCUGAAAACUGAAAAGUUAUUACCAUGGUAGUUGGUAGAGAUGCAGCACAAACCCCUUCACGCUUUAGUGUGCGUUCAUCAACACCAGAAGCAACAACCUGACAGAUAAUUUAGUUGUAGAUUACUUUCUUAACUUUGAAAGAUAAAUAAUCUCCCUCCCCCCCCCCCCCCUCUUCCCAAAAAAAAAAAAAAAAAAAAGAGCAUAGCAAGCAAAGAUGCAAAGGACCAACAUAAGGCCAAUUGAUUGCAAAUGCAAGAUAAGUUUCAGAAUAAAAAAUUUAUCAGUAAUACAUAAAUGCUACAAUAUAUGUCAACUAAAUACAGUUUUCAUGAGAAAAUGGAAAUGAAUCAAACAAGAAUCCAACUAUGAAAGUUUUGGCACCAAAUAUUUCAAAUCCACCCAGAUCACUGAAGUUACCAAGGGAGGUGCACAUGCAAAGCACGCAGUUUCUCCGGGAACCAGCAAUUGUAUGUGACCUGAAACCGCAUUUUCAGAUACACCUGCCCAAACAAUCUCUCUUGUGAGUCCUCCGCAAAAUUUCCAGCUCAAAUAAAAAUUUUCAUUUGAAGCAUCCCAUCAACUAUGAGACAGAAUCAGAGAUGAGAAUACAACAGCCCUGAGGCAGAAUCAAAAUAUUGACUUGUGUCUUGAUAUCCUAAGCUCAACAACUAGUUACAUAUAGAGGCAUAGCAUUCAAGUAUUGUGUGUCAUAUAGACGGCAAAUAAGAUGGAUUCGAAAAGGACAAUAUGCUAAAUACAAAUUUAAUGAGAUAUAGAGACAUAAUAACCAAGCCUAUUAAUGCUUUGUCUGUAGCCUAGCAUUUUAAAGAUGUUUUACACAUGGUUUUUAACCAGAUUAGGAGGACAGAAACAAAAAUAUUGCAAAGCAUUUCAGCAACAGAAAUUAAAUGUGCUACGAUGUAGCAUGUCCAUCAUUGGAGUUUGAUAUACCAAUGAACCUACAGAAAAUGAAUAACCAUACUCAAAGAUGCAACAAAACUUUGUAUGAUGCCAAACAAACUGACGUUUUCAUACAGAAGAUACAAAGGAAUCAUCUUCCUUACCAGAUUCCAUCCAUGUUUGGUUUAAUUCAUUGCAAGCCUGGAAAAAAGUGCAACUUUAGUUAAGACAAAAUUGUAACAUUGAGUCACAAAAAAAAAGAAAGAAAAAAGGAAACGGAAGAGAUUCCAACAUUUUCUAUAGAACUAGUGGAAGUAAAACAAAUGCAUCAGAACCAAUCCGAAAAUGCAUCUAGUAUCAACUGUUACCUGAUUUACUACCAUCCUUGCUUCAUAAUUAUCCACACAGCUUAAUACAAGAUCCACUCCGCUACCUUCUGUAUGUGGGCCAAACGACUUAUUUUUGAGACUUGACAUAAAAGUUUCAAAACCUUGAACAGUUGUAAUAUUCAGUGUAUAGCUCUGCAACAUUCAAAACCUAAAUAGUAUCAUUAUCUAAAUGAUAAUGUAAUAGCUAUAUAGUGUUUUUCUGCUAACAGGAAGCAAACUUCAUGCUCAAAUUAAGAAUAACAACAUACAGUGAAAGCAGACAAUAAAAGUGAUAAAAAUCAGAAUAUUCUAGAGCAAAACUACUAGCACAUUCACUUUUUGAUUUAUGUUUCUUUGUUUGGGAGCUGGGGUAUACAAGGUGCAAAGGUGCUAACACAAAUUUUAGUAAUGUGGAUAAUACCACUAAUGAACGAAACAGGAUAACAAGAAUAGUCAAAUGGUAUAAACAAGAAGCAGAAUUUAUCAGUGGAGAUGUAACUGACUUCCAUGCAGCAAAUUUGGCAUAAACAAGGGCAAACAUUGAAGGGUUAGGAGUAUAAAAGGCAAAGGAAUCAGAAGCAGGAAUAUCACUUGAAAACAUCACCUCAAAGACAACAUCUGGAUUAAUGUCAGAAAGAGUUUCAACAGCAGCUUCUGUUUUCGUCAUGCCAACCUAAGACAAAGAAGAAGAAGGAAAAAAAAUUGACAGUUAGACAAGUAACUAUAGAUUAUAAUUUCAUAUUUAAAGAUAGCAGCAUUAUGAUUCCGUGAAUAUUGUUGAAAACUUGGGAGAAACAACCAUACAUGCCCAAAUUAAAACACCUCAGCUUUCUUUUCGAGGAAAAAAGGAAGAAAAUAAAUUUAAAAAAUCAAAUAAAAUGUACUGAUUUAGUAUCUACAUCAUACUAUCCAACGAGAGGAAACAGAAUCUGAAAAUGCUUCAAGAACAAACCUGCUCUGGACGGAAGAAAAGCCUAUUCAUGUUAGCUAACUCUACUUUGUCAUAAUCAUACAACAAUAGACGACCAACGCCACACCUUGUCAACAUUUCAGCGGCAACACUGCCCACACCACCUAUACCCUGUACAUAAAAUCAGAGAAUGAAGAGAGGCAAAGCUUAUUUUUGGAGGCAGAAAUAUAGUGUGAUUGAAAGAUCCAACUCAUCUAUCCUCUCCAAAAUCAAAGCACAACAUUGAGCUCCCAGUGGAGUUUCAAAUAAACUUAUCAAGUGGAUAAAAACUAUUUACUAGAAAUUGGAUAUGAUAUAUAGUAGACUGAUAAACAAGUCCAUAUUUAAAACAAUAUCAGGUUCAGGAGUUGUUUUAAUAAUUUGAAAAAGCAAAUGAUAUGAAUAAAUCUUCACAUCAACAAGUAAAGAAUAAUAAAGAUGCCUUUCUAAUCUUGUGUAACUUCCAAACCUAAGCAUAUGUAUUUAUGAACUAGAACAAUGUUCAUGCAGAAAUCUUGAGAAAGAGCAGCAUAUUAAGACAAUCAUGUGAAAUGAGAAACAGGCAUUGGAAACAUAACAAAUAAGGAUAACGGGAUAUGCUAAGAUACUUACAACAAUGGCAAUUGAAAAUUGCCUUAUUCUUUCAUAGUUUUGCACAAUGCCCAUUCUCUGAAGCGCCAUAAGCCUACUGUAGGGAUUGCUAUCAACAACUUCAGCACUCAUAUCCUAAAAUAGAAUAAGUAUAAGAUUGUGGGAUGCAAUAUAGUAAAGCAGCUGAAAUGGUAUGAUACAACCAUAGGAGCAGCUGAACACAGUUACCUUAACUUUCGAGCGGUGCAUGCCUCCUGACUUAGCAAGAUUGGAGAGCCUUUCAAUUCGACAUUGUAACUAAAAGCACAAACACUAAGCCAUUAAACCACAUUUCCUUAUAUGCACACAUUGCAGUGAAAAAGAUUGAAACUUUUUCAAAAAAAAAAAAACAAAAAUCCAAAACCAAGCAAAACCCAUUAUUUGUAUUAGAAAAAUUCAACUUUUUAAUCAGAACUAAUAUGGAACUUGGUCAAAAUUCAAAACCCAGAAAAACAACGAAUUUAUAUGGCAUUAGCAGAAAACAUUAAACUUUAUAACUAGAACCGAUAAGCCAUUUGGACAAAACCCAAAAAGCAGCUGACUUUUAAGUCUUUGCAGGCCUGCUCUAGCAGCUGUUCUUUGCAUCAAGAUGUUUGCACAUAACGAUUCUUUGCAAUAGUAUAGUCAACGUACUUGGGGAUUAUUCCCCUUUAUUCAAGCUCCAGUUCUACAUUAAUCAAAACCUGUCCCCCAUAAAAAGAAACAAAAUAACAAAAGAAAACCAGCAAAACCCACAGUUUAUAUGAGAUUCAACAUACUGAAUUCCUCCUGAUGUAACCUCAAAUUGGCAUUUAAAGUUAACAUAACUUGAAAUUCAAGAAUUUCUAAAAUUCCCUUUUAAUUUCAUAUGUCAUGCAAGCUUUGAUCUUUCGGAGCUAAUUACAAUAUAUACAGCAACUGUAUUAAAAUUCGAACAGAAGAAUGGAAUCAAAAUUAAAUAGCUGAAAAGCCCAAUAAUAGGGAGGCUUACUUGAUGGAUUUGGGAUUGAUGAGAGGGAUCUGGCAAUGAAUUUUGCAGAGAAUUAAGUUCGUUUAAAAUCUCUUUGAGCUCAGUCUCCAUUGAUGAUCCCAUUGCUUAUGCUUCCAAUGCCUUCAACCUUUUCCCUUUCCUUGAAAAUUCGAAAAACGAUUUGGGCAAUAAAUGCGGAUACGAGGCAAGGAAUCUGAAUCCAAAAAGGCUUUCGAAAGCAGAAACGCAAAGGGGGCCUGGGUUGGCGCCUCUGUCCAAGUGCUCUGUCUAAGGGGACAAAGUAGUAAUUACAAAUAUUAUCAGUCUUACGUUAAUAGGGCGAACAAUUAAUAUUCAUUAAAAUGUGGUUUUAGUUAUAGCAUGAAAUGUAUGCAUAAUAUUCAAAUUACUUGAUCACAAUUUGAUAAAAAGUGUGGUAUGAAAUCGAUUCGGUAGAUCAACAGGUUGAGUUUGAACGCCAGUACAAGCUAACACACGAACUUUAUAAUUAGAGUAUUUAAUUUAGAAAAAAUCGUUCAAAACGUCCCUCAUAUUUUAUAAAAUAACUUUUUUCGUCCCUCACUUUUAAAAAUAUAAUUUUACGUCCCUUACAAAUUUGCAUUGAUCAAAUUUGGUCCUUACUUAGGUUUCCGACUAGUUUUUGGUCGGAAUUCACCAUGUGCCUUGCACGUGAUCAUAUUUUAAGGGCAAAAUUGUCAAAUCAAAUUCAAUAUAAUUCGAUUUAUAAUCCCCCACAUUUCAUAAAAUAAAUUUUUUUGUCCCUUACAGUUCACAAAAUGAAUUUUUUCAUCCUUCACAUUUUUCAAAAUGAAUUUUUUCAUCUUUUAUUGAUCAUGUGUGUGCAUAAUUUUUUUUAAAUCCAUAUAUAUAUCUAUUUGAUUUCACCUGAACAGUACGAAUAGCAUAUGAAAUCAAAUAGAGAUAUAUUACAUACUAUUCGUACUGUUCAAGUGAAAUCAAAUAGAUAUAUACAUGGGUUUAAAAAAAUUGUUAAUUUUUCACUUAUAUUCAUUUUCUUUUACUCAAAAUUUGAAAAUAAAGAAGACAUUUAAUCUUAAAUAUUAUCGAGUGUUUAUAUCGAAUUAAAUUUGGACAGAAAAAAUAAACAAAAGAAAAGUAUGACAAAAGGAAAUAAGUGAUUGGCACUUUCAAAUUUUAAGACAAUUACAAGGCAAGUAAUUCAACUGUUGGUCUUAAAAGUGUCGAGUAGAAAUUCAGAUUUAAACUGAAAUUUGUUAGUACAAUUAUAGAAUUCAAGUUAGGACCCAUUAAUUAGAUGAUCUUAUUAUACAACUCAAUAAAUACAUUAUUACCAAAAGAGAAAGGUCACAAAUAUUGAAUAGGUUCAAAUGGUGAAAUCAUAUAAAUAUAUACAUGGGGUUCAAACAAAAUUAUUACCUUAAAACCCCUAUAUAUAUCUAUUGAAUAGCAUGUGUAUAACUACGAUUAGCAUGUUUAGAUGAAAUCCAAUAGAGAUAAAUUACAUGUUAUUCGUACUGUUCAGCUAAAAUCAAAUAGACAUUUACAUGGGUUAAUAGAAAAAAAACUAUUCAUACACAUGAUCAAUGAAGGAUGAAAAAAUUCAUUUUGAAAAAUGUGAGGGAUAGAAAAAUUCAUUUUUUGAAAUGUGAGGGACGAAACAAUUCAUUUUGUAAAAUGUUAGGAACGAAAAAAUUCAUUUUGUGAAAUGUGAGGGACUAUGAAUCAAAUUAUAUAAAAUUUUGGUUUGACAAUUUUGUCCUUAAAAAAUGAUCACAUGCAAGUCACGUGAUGGAUUCCGACAAAAAACUAGUCGGAAACCUAAGUAGGGACCAAAUUUGGUCAAUGUGAAUUUGUAAGGGACGUAAAAUUAUACUUUUAAAAGUGAGGGAUGAAAAAAGUCAUUUUGUAAAAUGUGAGGGACGUUUUGAACAAUUUUCCCUUCAAUUUAAUUAAAUUCGUUUACACGUCUAUCUAUCUAUCACAGCAGUUUGAUAUGUACAAUGAUUACAAUUUUAUAUUUGUACACUUACUUCUUUUGAUUCAUAUUUAUAGUUGGUUUUGGGCAACAUGAUUUCAUCAAGAAUUGUAAUUAUUAUUAUGUGUGGAUGAGGUGCCUAUAUAUACUAAUGUCUAAUUAAAAAUAUUAACGGAUUAAGAAUAGAAUAAAUGGUAUAAGUGGUCAUGGAACUAAUUAAGAAUUCUUAUUUCUGGUAUUAAACUUUUUCUUUCAUCAAAUUGAUCGCUCAACUAAUGUAAAAAUACAUCUUUGAACCUAUAUAUUUUUGUUUCUGAUAAAAAAUUAAUGUACUUUUCAUUAUUUGAUUGACCAACUUGGCUAAAACAAAUUUUAGUAAUCAAAAAAAAAAAAAUCUUUGAUAGUUUAGUGAACGCGUUUGCCAUUUUGCUCCUAAGGAGUGAUUGCAAAGAAUACGGAUCCAAACAUUUCAAGGGUUAUGUAAUUAGGAGAAGAAUUGAAGUGAAUUUAGAAAACCAAACGUGGAAUGCGUCCAAUUCUACGAAUAUAACAAUGCCUAUCACCUAUAAUUAGAGAUAGUGGUUGUGCAUUGUGCUCCUCCAUGCUUGCAUCUCAAGUAUGUUAUAUAACAUGAAGUUUUCAAAUUCACUCAAGCCUCUCAUUGAUAAAUUAGAGGAUAAAAUAAGUAAACUGGAAUUCAUGGAACCUCCUUGUCUUUCAAACAUGUCCAUGAAACUCCCUGUGAUUUAAACUGAUAUGGAACAAAGAAGUUUGAAAUUCCCAAACUAUCCCAAUUUUCUAAACAACAGGGAUCAAUUGAGGGGCUUAAUUAUAAUUUUAAAAAGUUUGUUUUCCUUUUUUAUUUCUUGAAGAAAAACACUAGUUUAGGGGCAGAAUUGAAAUUCUAAAAAUUUCUUUCUUUCCUUCACUGAACGAGACAGUUUUCGUGCCCAAAUAACCCACAUUUGCGAUGUUACCACUGAAACUUUCAUCUUCGCUCUCCAAUUUCACCACCUCGUCGUCAUCGUCGUCGUCGUCGUCAUAUCCAAAAAAAGAAAGUUAAAAAGCUCUAGUAAAAAAAAAAAAGAAGGAAUUUGAAAUCAGAUGUGAUUUUUGGUUAUUAUUUUGUUUUUGCUAAUUAAACAUUGAUCUAGUCCGGUCUUCGAAAGAGAAAAUUAAUCUCGUCCAUGCACACCUUAAGAUGAAUUUUUUUUUUCUUGUUUGCUUUAGAACUUGAGGCGUUUGAGGUUCAAAAGAAGUGAAUCUUGGUUUUGAGGUUUGAGGUUCAAAAGAACUGAAUCUUGGUUUUGCCUCAAACUCGUGGUUAUCCUUGUUUUAUCAUGUUAAAUCCUUAUACUAUAUAAGAACGAGUUUAGGAUUAGAUUUCAACCGCAGGGGUGAGGCUAUUUUGGGAAUGUGAGAGUGUUUGAAGAGUAAUUGGAACAUUGAGUACAAGUCAUUAUAGCUUUAAUUUCACUAUAAUUACUUAUAUAACCUUUCAGACAUUUAAGAUUAGGGGCAUGUUUGGUAUGUUACAAUGUUUGGUGCCAAGUUGAGUAUCAAGUACAACUGAAUAAAGCUUGUGUUUUGAUAGAAUUACAUAAAAGUCCUUUUAAUCAUUUAUUAUACUAACAUCCAAGCCUUCCAAUUUCCUGAAACCUUUCUCAUCCGUUAAGGAAUUAAUUGGAUGUUUACAUAAUUGGAUUUUAAUUACAAUUAAUUAACUUAAUUAUUAUCUGAACAAUCAUUAUCAUUUUUAUGUCCCCAUGUUUAGCCGAUACCCUUUCUUCUUUUUCGGUUUCACCUCUUUGGUUUUAUUAUGGCUAUUAAAUAUUUGGUGAAAUGCAUAGCUUUUCCUUUAAAUUGAUAAGAACGAGUUUAGGAUUAGAUUUCAACCGUAGGGGUGAGGCUAUUUUGGGAAUGUGAGAGUGUUUGAAGAGUAAUUGGAACAUUGAGUACAAGUCAUUAUAGCUUUAAUUUCACUAUAAUUACUUAUAUAACCUUUCAGACAUUUAAGAUUAGGGGCAUGUUUGGUAUGUUACAAUGUUUGGUGCCAAGUUGAGUAUCAAGUACAACUGAAUAAAGCUUGUGUUUUGAUAGAAUUACAUAAAAGUCCUUUUAAUCAUUUAUUAUACUAACAUCCAAGCCUUCCAAUUUCCUGAAACCUUUCUCAUCCGUUAAGGAAUUAAUUGGAUGUUUACAUAAUUGGAUUUUAAUUACAAUUAAUUAACUUAAUCAUUAUCAUUUUUAUGUCCCCAUGUUUAGCCGAUACCCUUUCUUCUUUUUCGGUUUCACCUCUUUGGUUUUAUUAUGGCUAUUAAAUAUUUGGUGAAAUGCAUAGCUUUUCCUUUAAAUUGAGGUGAGUUCUUUGGGUUUGUCUUCUUCGAUUGUAGUUUUUUUUUUUUUUUUUCUGAUGAUUGGUUUAUUCAAGAACUCCAUAUAGUUUGCCUUUUGAUACUUCUAAUUCCAAAAACUGAUUAAUUGUAUUGUUUUCUUUAGUAGAUCCCAGAGAUUCUGUCUCUGGUCAAAGUACAAUUUGAGAUAAUGUUGUCACUUUCUAAAAUAAUUAGAAAAACAAUUUUAUCAUCUUCUCUUCCUCGGCCAAGGUAUUAUCUCUUUAUUUAAGUUAAAUAACCUUAUUUCUCAUGAACUUUCUCCUAUUGUUCUUGACUCCAGGAAUCUGUUGACUACAUUCCAACAGUUAUGGUUCAAGUAGUUAUUUUUCAUGUAAUAUGAUUUGGAAUUCAGCUUGUGUUUAUUUUAAUUGAGAAUUUUAUGAUUGUAAAAUUUAUUAACUUAGAAUUUUUUACUUCAUUGAAACUAAAAAAGAAAAUUAAUCAUGCUACAUAGUACUAAGAUGUCAUUUGCACUCUAUUUGCUUUCCAUGUUAUGAUAUCGUUCUUGUAUUAUACUGUUUAUAUAGUUUCAAAUACAAAAAAUUUGCUUUUUUAUGCUAUCUAAAAGAAUUUGUAGUGGAACUUGAUAAGUUUAAAUGCUUUAGCUACAGCACCAUUUUGAUUGCAUUGUAUUAAUUCAUUUACUCAUAAUUGUAUGUUGUACAAUGAUAAAUAUGUUUCUUGAUUUAAUUGAAGCAACUAUUAUCCAUAGUUCAAACGAGUCAAUUAAGUAGAGAUGUUAUAUUAGAUACUUAUACAAGUAAACAUUGGAAAAUAUCAUUAAGCAGUUCCUACCUAUAGUUUGCAAUUCGAAUUCAUAUCAGAAAUUUCUUCUGAUUUUAGUUACCAUUUUCUACAAUUUCAAAUUUAGAAAAUAUUAUUUGCACCAAUUUUUUUAUAAUCAAGAUAGUUUCAAUUCAGAUCUUUAACAAUUAUGCAGAUUUGAACUUAUUUAUGAGAUUAUAAAGAAAUGCCCCUAGCAAAAAACACCAAAUCUGAAUAGUUUCUACAAAACUUUGAAAAAGACCAUUUAAGUUUCUUAUCUAUCUAUCAUUUUUGGGCAUUAUUAUCUCUAUAAGAAACAUGUGAUUAAGUCGUAUUAUGCCCACCAAAUUAUAUAAAUAGUUAGUCAAAAAUAAAAUUAUUUUAGAUUAGAUUGGACGCAAAGUGAUUGAUGGAUAAACUUGACUUGAUAAUUCAGGUUGAGCUUAAGUCGAUGGAGAAAUCAGAAGCAUUGCUUGAGGGAUUUUUCACAAACAUAUAUAGAUUCGAGAGAUGAAGGGUCCAAUUGAUACUUUAAAAUGUUUUAUCAUCUUGGAUAAGUUUUAGGAGAGACUUUUUGAUACUUUUCAAUUACACUUCAAACAUUCUUACAUUUUCAAACUACCCUUAUCUUUGCAGUUGAAAUUCAAACAUAACCUUUGAUCACAACGGAUUCUUAUAUAGUAUAACGAUAAGGAUGUCUCAUUGCACAUUAUUUUUAUUGACUCACUAUGUAACUUAUGAUUUUUCUAUUAAAAUCACAUGAUAAAAUCAUCGUACUUCAGGUCCUAUACCACAAAAUAUUAAACAAUAAUUAUUAAUUAUCUUAAAUCACAAGUACCAAAUUCCCGCGCGUCGCGCGGGCCGUCCCUCCCUAGUAGUUACUAUAUAAUUGUGUUGUGGCUUCUAAGGAUUGUCCUGAUGUGAAUUUUAUAAGGAUUAAAAAUGAUUUAGAUAGACCAAGCUGGCCAAUUUCAAUGUUGGGUCUUUUUUACCAUUUUCCGCCUGCUUUUGGCCAAAAUCGACAGUAUUAUAACAAUCUAUACGAAAAAGUGCAAUUUAGGUUGAAAAUUUGUUGAAAUUCUGCCACCAAAUGACGGUAGCCGGAGUGGCUAUUGGGAUAAGACGGCGGUGCACCACCUGAGAUUUUUGACAAUUACUGAGUCCCCUCAAGUUUUGUAAAUUACAUCUACCUCCCUGGUUUUUACUGUUCAUGUAACAAUAUAGACCUAAUAGUCUAAAUUUUUCCUCAAAAGUCAUAAACUACCAUUUUUGUACGAUAACAAAACAAAAAGUACUUUGUCAAUCACCUUAUUUAUAUACUCAAGUAAUUCCAUGUCAGAGUCAUAAAAAUUGUUUCUCACAACCCGUAUGUUAAAUUCCACGCAACACUGAAAAAUUGUUCACCCCUUCAGCAAAAUUCUAUGGAUCCCAUGAAAUGGUCAAGCUUAUAAUCAAUUGCCCAUGUUUGCAUAAUCUUCAGUAUAGGAUGCCAAGGUUUGGUUCCACACAAAUCCUUGUACACGAGCCACAUUGUAGCCAUCAAGGAAAUCCUCAGGAGAGUUUUCUAGGUUUGGAUAGAAUGAAUUAGGCUUAAAAGAAUAAAGUCAUCCUUAUGACUACUAAGAUCUUUAAGAAAUUCAUCUUGCCAAAACCAAAAUUCCAUUCGCAACCAAUUGUACCCCAAACUUCAAAUCCAAUGUUGGAGACCAUAUCAAAAUAAAUUAAUCUAGCCUGACUACUAAGCGUUGUUGAACACAUGUAACUGUUAAGAGCCAAUAAAUAUUUAAUGAAUGUUUAUAUAUUAUACCAACGUGCAAAGAUUGGCUUCUCUUAGUGUACUUUGUGUGCUUAUUUGUAUAACAAUUUGCAAAUAUAUGAAUAUAUAUGUAACAUACAUGGUCCAACAAGGGUGGUAUAUUUUACUCACUGAACAUAGUGAUGCUUACCCCACCACUUUAACAUUUUUAUGUAGUGAGCGAGUACGUUUUACGAGUUUAUUGCGGAUAGUGAUUGGAAUUGGUAGAGCUAGAUUACUAUUGGAAAGCUCGAAUAAUGAUUGAAUAGAUAUUGUUUUUGAAUUAUUCAUGUAAUAAUGAGUAUGUAUGGCUCAAUAGACAAGUUAAUUUGUCAUUUUAUUAUCUUUUGUUGUAGUGUUAGACAUAAGUCCCGCACUAACUAUUUAUUGCUUCCGCAAAUAUGAUGUAAUAGUGAAUGAUACCCUAUACCCUCAAGAGCUACUUCUUGAAGAUACGGCGGCUGUUCCAUUCUGAGUAAGAUGCAGGCUUGGGGUGUGACAAUUUUAAUGGUGUCAAAUGUGAGUCCCAGACUACUAUUCCUACUCCUACAUCGAGUUUAUGAAAGGAAAGGAAAUGGCUUAUGAACUUGGGUCUCUUGGCUACUAAGUAACUGGGGUUAACUAUUUGGGACUAGUAAAUUUUGAUUUAAAAGUUAUUUGGGUCAACUCUUGGACUUGAUUUGUGAUAGUAAGUAUUUGAGUGAAUCUUGCAUGAUUUCUGUGUGAGGUGAGUCUAAGUCAUUGAAUUAUGAUUUUGACUACAUAAGGGAGUAUAAGGAACUACGUGUCACAUACAGGCUCCAUCUGGAAUUCGAGUAUAACCAAACUGACAGUUUGGAUUGUGAUGGAUUUUGUAAGGAUGCAAAGUCCUUAAGUAUGGGUGAAUGUGAGGCUCGACCUACUAUUCAUAAGGAGUAGUAGUCCCGCGUUGAGUUUGUGAAAGGAAAGAAAAUGGUUUAAGGUCUUGGGCCCUUGGCUUCUGAGUCAUUUGGAUUAAUCAUAUUGGACUAGUGAAUUUUGAUCCAAAAGGGAUAUGGGCCAGCCGCCAGCUCUUGGAUCCAAGCCUUGACCAUAUCCAUACAAAACCGAGCAUGUGGUGACGUAGUAUUCCGAGCAUGUGAUUUAACUGCAAACAAAACAGAACUUUGGUUGCACAGCACUGUAUGCAGAUUUAGCUAUACUUGUAUACAUAUGAUGUUUCUAAUGUUUAGAUAAGACCAAACUUUCAUUAUUUCUUGCCUCUAGACAUUUUGUAAUUGGUUGCACUAUGAGAUUUAGACUAGUCUCUGUUUCUAUCCUUUUUCGGCAAAUCCAGGGAGCUUAAAAUACAGAGGGAGUUUGCUGUUGCAAGUAAAGAAGAAUAGAGAAUAGGAGAUUAAGAGAGAGGAAGCUAAGGUGUCGACUACUGAAUAAAUACGUGCCAAGCUUGAAGCCAGAAAGGGGAGAGAUGGAUUAAGUAGCAUGGGAAAGGGAGUGUAAGUUAGAGAUCUUGAAUUUAAAUCCUCUCACUUAAACUAAAAAAGAAAAAAAAAAAAGAAAGAAAGCUUGAGGCCAAAAAGGUCAAGACGAUGGAAAUGAGAAAGUGUAAUAUAUUUUUCUUCAAAAAUAUUUCACCAAUAAUUUAAGUGGACAAAUAGACCUACCUUGCAUUACAUUUUGGGUAAGGGUAUCAAUUGAGUUAAAUGAACCAGGCUUUGGCAAGGUCAAGCCAUUUGGUUGGAUUAAUGUUAAUGAUUUUUUUAUGAAUGAAGGCUAAAUGCUUACAAUAAAUUGUAGUGUAGCUUUUCCUGCACACCAGCCAUGCGUAGCAUGACUCACUAGACAAGUCACUAGAUAUUGAAUAUUUUCCAAACGUUAUUAGUAAAACCUAGACUUAGUUAAUUAAGGUGUUAUCACAUUAAAUCAAAGCACAUUAGUGAAGAGUUUUGGCAUGUAUCUUUAUUUUAUAUUUGUUUGAAAAAUGCGAUGUAUAUUUUACUCUAGAAAGAUGUGAUGGAUCACCAAUUAAUGAUACCAUUAUCUUUGCUAUUAUCCCUUUGUAUGAUUGCAACAUUAAGUACAUUAAUUAUCUGAUCCUUUUGUUUGUCCCAACUAAUCCUGCAUAGAUCUCACCUAACUGAUUUCCUGGUGUGGCUUGUAUCUAUUACUGUUUUAGCCGUCCAAAAAAUUUAAAUUUUUCUUGCGGACCCCUUUUCCAGCUUGAAAAACAAGCUUUUCUUCUUCUUCUUCUUCAUGACUCCAUUUUGGCACGGCGAAAUGGAAAUUUUCUUUCUUUUGGAAGUGCAAAGCUCGUAAUUUACUGUGAAAGGUAAGCAAAAAGAUGCACAAUUUACUGCAAAAAGCAGAAAACAAAGAGUAUGAACCUUAAAGAUCCAUUCAGAACCCGUUCCUUCUUACACUGAAAAUGUUUUGCAAAAUAUUCUAGUGUUGCAAGAGCUUAAGGGAGAAAAUAAUCCAAGAGAGUAGGGAAAAGAAAAAUACUAAAGUCCUUGUUUUCACUUUCCUGUGCAAGCAAUCUUGCUUGCGUUCGGAGAUUUUAGGAAAGGGACAUCGAGUAAAGUCAAGAAAUAAGACAAAUAAACUUCAGAAUUUUAAAUUUAGCAGCUUUUUUUCUAUUUUUUCCCCUUUCUCAUUCUCGUCUUUUAGUUACAAAUUGGGUGACUUUUUGGUUCUAUUACAUUGUAAAGGACUUCAUAAUUGUCAAACCUAAGGAAAGGACUCAAAGGAUCAUGUUUUGAAUCAUUCUCUUCAAUUUUACCUCCGGUCCCUGAGUGUUAAAAGAUACAUAAUUAUUUAUAAAUGUAUUUGUUGUGAUUUUUUUAUGUUCUUUUUUUUUUCUUUUAUUAUCUAUCCAAUGCGUGAAAUGAUGAUUGUUUAUGACAUUCUGUUGCCUAAACCUUAUUUAUUCAAUUUAAUACAUUAAUUAUUCAUGAUUGUUGUUCCUAUUUAGAAUCACAAAUAAACUAGUAUCAACUUUCACUUUCAAUUAAAAACUCCUACCACUUUCAAAAUGGAAAAGAGGAGGGCCUAAGAGUCCACCUUAAAAUCUAUCUCUAGUUACCUGAUUAAUGUCCCUAUUAGGUAAAGAGGCUUGCACUCAUUUUUCCCCCCUCUGGAAGUUGCAUUUCAAUUUAUCUACAAAAGGUGGCACUUGGAGGAAGCUAAUAAGUGUAGUAGGGAACUCAGAAGAAGCAAUAGCAAACCAAUUGAUAUUUCUGAAGGGAAAAGCAAAGAUGUAUAUACUUCCAAUUGAGCAAAUAAUUGCCUUCAUCUUGAAACAUUCUAUCUCAUUACUUCUUUGUUUCCUCUUCACUAUCUUUGUUGUCAAAUGGCGAAAUUCCACUUCAAACCCCUCACAAAACCUUCCCCCUUCCCCUCCAAAGCUUCCCAUAAUCGGAAACCUUCAUCAACUCGGUUCAAUCCCUCAACGCUCUCUGAAAUCAUUAGCUCAAAAAUACGGUUCCCCAAUGCUGCUUCAUCUAGGCAGUAAGCCAGUGUUAAUUAUCUCCUCCCCUGAUGCAGCUGAAGAAGUCAUGAAAACACAUGAUUUAAUAUUUGCCAAUAGGCCUAAAGCAGGCUUUGCUGGAAGGCUUCUCUACAAUUUCAAGGACAUAACGUUUGCUCCCUAUGGUGAGUAUUGGAGGCAGAUAAGAAGCAUUUGUGUACUGCAGCUUCUAAGUCACAAGAGGGUUCAGUCAUUUCGAAGCAUAAGGGAAGAAGAGAUUGCACUAAUGUUGGAAACAAUUAGAGAAUCUUGUGCUUCGUCUUCAGUAAUACAUAUAAACAAAAUUUUGGCAACACUUACGAACAAUAUAGUUUCGAGAGUUGCCAUUGGGAAAAGGUAUUCGGGAGAGGAAAGUGGGAGCAGGUUUCAGGAACUCUUUGUGGAAUUUACCAUGUUGUUGGGUGUUUUCAACGUUGGAGAUUACAUCCCAUGGCUUGCAUGGAUAAAUAAUAUCAAUGGCUUGGAAGCAAAGGUGAAAAAAGUGGCCAAAGAUUUCGAUGAAUAUUUGGAAAAACUUCUUGAGGAGGGAGUGAAGAAGCAGGACAAAAGAGGAAACAAUAAUGGUGGUGAUGAGAAACAGCAGGAGAAUCUUGUUGAUGUUUUGCUUGAAAUCCAGGGAACUGAUGCCACCAGUUUCGCUCUUGAGCGAGAUUCCCUCAAAGCCAUCAUCAUGGUAAAGAAAAUUAACUUUCUUCUGAUUAUCUUCCCCGUUACAGUUUUAUAGUUCUUUUGUUAAUACGUAAGUUUGUCAGUGUUUGGUCUGUCAAUGGUGAAUUGCAUAAGUUUUUUUUUUUUUUUUUUUUUGUAUAAAAUGCAAAUCUGAUGGGCAUUGGAUUUGAGCUUUGGUUUUCUAAGAAUUGAUUUUCGAAAACUCACACAAAUCACCUAGGAAAAAUAACAAAUUCAGAUAAAGAAGUAUAGCAUCGCCUUAUCUCACGUGCAGAUUUGUUGAAGUAGUACAAACAUUUUGUUGUCCGCUGAUUAGAUCGUGACACCAUCCUGGAUAUUUCUAUGUCUCCUCAUAAUGGGAUGAUGCUGGAAUAUUUUUUCUAUUCAAACAUAAGUUAACUGGCUUUCACCAUAUUUGCAAACACUUUGAAACAACCCUAACCAUUUACUACAAUUUUGAGAUACUAUGUGAGCCAGUUGAUGCACUCUUUUAUCUUGGUUGUGUGGUUUUGGUCCCUAUCGAAUGAUACAAGCAAUGAGUUAAGAAUAGAGUGAAAAGCAAAAAAUUAACGACUUUAUAUAAAGGUCCAUGGUUGAGUUAGUUCGUCCAUUAAUUUCUUUGUCUUCUAAGUAGGUAUCUAAUCCUUUUGAAUAUUUUGUACAAUAAUUGAGUACAAGUCAAAAGUUUUAGCUGUACAAACUAUUCUUAUUAUAAAGCAUAAAAUAACAUAGACAAGUAGAAUAGCAAUAUAGUCUUUAUGAGGUAGGUCCCUAUGACGUAUAACUGAAAGAACAAGCAAUUUUGAGUUUGCAAUCAUGCAAACACCAAAUUUUUCUUCAAGGAAUCAAAAUAUUAGUUUUCAUGUAGCUUGUAUCGGAAAUUUGACAUAGAACUUUCUAUGUCCCGAUUUUAUUAUCAUUAUUUUUGUUUUUGCAGGACAUGUUUGUUGGUGGAACUGAUACUACAUCAUCGCUGCUGGAGUGGGCAAUUUCAGAAUUAUUAAGAAACACAAAUGCCAUGCAACAAUUGCAAAAAGAAGUGAGACAAUUCUUGGGAAGCAAAUCAUGCAUCCAGGAAGAUGAUUUAGAGAAUCUCCAUUACCUAAAAGCAGUAAUAAAAGAGGCUCUUCGUUUGCAUCCACCAGUUCCAUUACUUGUUCCUCGUGAAUCAAGCAAGGCAGUCAAAUUGAUGGGAUACGAUGUAGCUGCCGGCACUCAAGUGAUUAUCAAUGCUUGGGCGAUCGGAAGGGACCCAAAAUUGUGGGAAGCUGCAGAGGAAUUUCAGCCAGAGAGGUUCUUGAAUAGCUCUUUGGACAUUAAAGGGCAAAAUUUUGAGUACAUCCCAUUUGGUUCUGGGAGAAGGAGCUGCCCCGGUUCUGCAUUUGCUAUGGUUACAGCUGAACUUGCACUUGCAAAUUUGAUGUGCAACUUUGAUUUUCAAUUGGCUGGUGGAGCAAGACCAGAAGAUUUGGAUAUGACUGAAGCACAUGGGAUCGUUACACCAAGGAAAGUCCCACUUCUGCUAGUUGCAAGUCUACCUAAUUAGGCACUUCAAGAUCCAAGACACCAUGUUGGUAGAUAUGUGUAUAUUAUUCUAUCUUGUCACAACUUUAAAUUUGAGAUGGAGUUUGAUGGGGAAAACUUUUAAAAUGGUGAAAUAUUGCAUUAUCAGUAGCAUUGUGUCCUUGUAUGUAAAAUGUGUGAUUUUGACACAGUUAUGGUGUAAGGUCACCAGCUCAUUCCGGGGAUUUUGGAUUUGUUUGGGAUCAUAAUGGUCUAUAGGGCGGACUAAAUGAUUUUUUCUUGGGUAAAUUACUCAUAACCUACUGUACUUUUAUAUGACACCGGAUGACUAUCCUAUGAUUCAAAAUAUCUACAUAACUCCCCUCUAUUGUUUUAUAUAAAUUGAAAAUUUAAUGAAAAAUGAUCUCUAUAAUAUCAUUAGUUGAAAUACUAAGAUUACGCUUAAUUAAGUACUAAAUUGAAUAUGGGUCCAGAGAUUUUCAUAAAAUCAUGAAUCGAUGCAAAAUUAUACGGAGUUAAGUGAAUAUUUAUACAAAAUUAUAGUUAUAUGGAGUUAUGCGAAUAUUUAUGCAAAAUUAUAGGGCUUGAGUAGAUAUUUAUACAAAAUUUUAGAAGGUUAGGUGGAUAUUAUUAUUUCAUUACACGCACUUUUAGAAUGUGUCUCAGUCAAUCGUGGUAACCAGAGAUGUUUUACAUUUAUUUUUAACUUUAUAUAAAAUUAUAAGAAUUUAUGUGAGUAUUUUGGAACUUUAGGUAGUCAUGUGAUAGUAUGCAAAAAAUACCAAACUACGUGAAUUAUUAGUUUAUAAAAAAAAAAUUGACAACGAAAACUUUCCAAAGAAUUUUAGUGCGUAAAAAAUGUUACUUUUAGAAAGGUAUUGACAUGCAAGGUACAUGAAUUAUUAGUUUAUGAAGCGUACAAUUACAUACCACAAUAUUUAGAUGUUUUGCACAAUCCGAAUAAAUAUACCGUGUAUAUAUUUUACCGAUAAUCAGCUUGUAAUUGAGCCAUAUUUAUCCUUGAAAGUUCUUUUUAUUUAGAUGUUCGGCAUUUUUUUUCUGGUGAUUGUGGCCAUAUUUUCCGAAUUCUAUCCUUGUUACGUCCUGUUUCUGAGAUCGCUUGGCGAUUAAUUCUAUUUGCAACCAAGUACACGCUUUUCCGCGGACAUCUUCUACGCCAUCUUGUUCUAAAAAAGGUACUCAUUACUUCUUUCCAACUUUCUUUCUUACCAUUGUUUCUCACCAUAGCACAAGUCUUUUCUUGUCACUGUUAGUUGAGAUCUUGAACGAGUCUCUUAUGAUGGAGCAGCAUCCCAACCUCACUGGCAAGAUGCCAUGCAAGCAAAAUUGGCUAUUUUGCAAGCCCAUAAUCUUGGAUUCUCACUCCUCUUCCUUCUGACAAACAACCCAUUGGAUGCUAUUGGGUUUAUAAAAUAAAACGCAAAACCGAUGGUCCUCUUAAGUGAUAUAAAACUCGCCCUGUUGUCAAAGGAUAUACUCAACUGGAAGGUGUUGAUUAUCAUGGCACUUUUUCUCCCAUUGCUAAAAUGGUUACUGUCCGUUGUUUAUUGACUUUAGCUACUGCUCGAAAUUGGUCUCUUCACCAGCUUGAUGUUUACAACGCUUCUCUUUAUGGCGAUUUUCAUGGAGAAUCUUGUAUGUCGUCUCAACAAGUCAUUGCAUGGUUUGAAACAAGUUUCUCACCAAUGGUUUGCCAAAUUCUCGAUCAAUAGCUAUCCAAUCUAUGGGUUUUGUAUAAUCCAAGGCACAUUAUUCUUUAUUUAUAUGUCAGAAAGGCACGUCAUUCACAACUCUAUUAAUUUAUAUUAAUGAUAUUCUUAUAGUAGGAAAUAAUUCCACAGCUAUCUCUGAUAUUAAACAUUUUCUACACAAUCAUUUCCGAGUCAAGGAUUUGUGACGGGUGCCGAAUUUGUUUAGUAAUAAAUUACGUGCUCAAGAGAAUAUAAAUUUGAGAAUAGCAGAGAGAAGGAUCAUCUCCACGGAGAUUGGGGAAAAUUUGUUCUUUUUAGAGCAAGAUUUAAUGGGGGAAUUUAAAUAAUUAAAACAAACAAUUAAUUCACACUAAGAUAAUUAAACAAAAUUAAGCUAAAAUUAAAUCAAUAAAUAGCAAAACUCUAGCAAAGGAGUAACUUUUAGAGACGGUUCACACAACUGAUCCUUAGUGCAAUAGUAAAUUCAAUUAUUCAUUGAUAAAUUAGUUAUAGCUAUCAACAAGUUCUUACACUCAGCUCUUUGUUACUUUAAUUUGUCGAUAGUUAAGGUACGACCAUUUACUAUUUUCUUAAUCAGGAGAUAUCCCUUGAUACGAUCAUAGGAUUCAAUCUCUCAAUUCCAGUAAAAAUUAGAAAAGCUUAAUUCUAACCAACAAACACACUACGAUAGUUUAUUUAAAUUAGAUUGUGUGUUUUUCUGACACAAAUCCAAUCAUACCAAUCACUACAAGGAUUAAAAUAGCCAAAUAAUUAUGAAUUCUGCUAUUUUAAUUCGUAGUAGAUUAUCUAGUUCAAUCAAAUAUUGAGCCUUCGAUAUUCAGCUAAACAUAGCAAUCAUAAGAAAUUAAUCUAAAAAGCACACAAAUACUAAUGAAUAGAAGAAACAAUAAAAAUUAAUUCGAUCUCACAAAUGCUUAUAGAACCAAAUCUUCAAGUUAUCCCUUGACUAAAAAAAGAAUUUAGUUGCUUUUCAUAGAAAUGACCCAAGCAAAAGUCGAUGUACAGUCAAAGAAAAAAAAGAGAAAAAUUUGAACCCUACUCUAAUGUCUUUACCUAAUUUUAUAACUAUCUAAAACAUAUCCAAGUUUCUCUAGGAAAAGAAAAUAAAAAGAGGAAUAAAAGAAGAAUAAUAGUUUUCUAAUCAUGAUGGAAGUCCACAUAUUGAAAAGGAUUCUCAUUUGCAGUAAGGAAUUCGAAUUGGAAUUAGAAACAUCCAUGCCUGACAAUCGCGAACUUUCUGAACUUGCGCAAAUUGGCGCACCCAUGACUAAUUGGGUAGAAGUCUUUUGAAAAAAUACCACUUUAACUCCUUUUCAUUCCCAAUUCCUAUAAUUAGCACCAAAUGUAGAAUUUAAGCAGAAUCCAUUAAUUAACACAAUAUUUAACUAAAAUAACAAGAAAAUAUCCACAAAUUCAGGCACUAUUAUGCACCCUAUCAAUUUGGGUGAUUUGAAAGACUUCUGGGCAUCGAGGUCUCUCGAUCAAAGAAGGACAAUUUUAUUUUGCAAAGAAAGUAUGCUUUGGACAUUUUGAAGGAUGGAGUAUAUUUGGGAGCUAAACCAGGGGAUUCUCCUGUAGAACAAAAUAUUAAAUUAUCAGAUGAAGGAAAUUUACUUAAGGACCCAUCUCAAGAUAGACGACUUGUUGGACGUCUGAUAUAUUUGACAAUUACUCAUCCGAUAUCACAUAUUCAGUAGAUGCAUUAAGCAGGCUUAUGCAUGCACCUUGGAAACCCACUUGGAGUUUGCUUUACGUGCACUACGUUACUUGAAAAAUAAUUCAGGACAAGGUUUGUUUUUUCCCUUUCAGAAUGAUCUAUUUUUCAGUGCAUUGUUACACCAAGGAAAGUCCCUCUCCUACUUGUUGCAAGUCUACCUAAUUAGGCACUUGAAUAUGUUAUGUUCAUAGAUAUUCUUAUCAUUAUGGCUGUCACCUUUGACUUUAAUUUCACGCGGGGAUUCAUUCAGAAAACUUUUUAAAUGGUGAAAUACUAAUUUGUGUUUGCUUGUGUAGUAUAAUAGAGAUGGUUUUUUGAGUUUUGAAAGUGCUAUAUAGAAAAUGAAAGGAUACUGAAGUUUCAGAAUAUGUGAAUAUAUUCUUGAACAUUUCUAAAUAGCAAAUAUAACAAGAUUCAAAAAAAAAAAAAAUCUUGUAACUAACUCACGGUCCUUAUCUUUGUGCUUUGCUAAUGGCAAUCAUCAAUCAUGCACUUGAGCUCUUUAUGAUAUAUAUUUGAAAGUAGCUUGUGAUUGAGGACGUAUUAUCCAUGUUUUAUCUUUGUUAUAAUUCUAUUUUAGUUCGUGAUUGACGUCAAGUUUUCCAAAUUCGGUCCUUGUUAAGUUCCAUUUCUGGGAUACCUCGGUGCUUGAUUUGAAAAAAAAAAUACAGUUUAGCCCGAUUUUAUCCAUGAGCUCGAGUUUGCAUAUGAAUCUGAUCACAAGUCAAUAAUUGGUUUGGAAUGAAAAAUUAAUUUAGAAGAGGAUCUAUUUAUUGACAACACAGAAAUUUGUAAAAUUUGUGAAAUGACUAAAAAGGGAAAAUCACCAAUUUGGUCCAUGAACAUUUUCACUUAAACCAAUUUUGUCAUUUACUAUUUUUUUCACCAAUUUAGUCCUCAAACAAUUUUAUUGGGUUCAAUGUAGGACUUAUUGGGCAGCGUCACCACAUUUUAUGUAUUUAGCACGGCGGGUUCGGGGUACAUUUGGAAUGACUGGUUCGAUUGUCUAAUUAUAGGGAUUAUAACAGCAACUUUAAUGCGAUGAAGGAAAGAAACCUCUGAAAAUUGUGAGAGAAGAGCUCAUAGAAAUUAGGGCAAGUCGCUGAACUUGGAUAUUUGCAAGUGAAAUGCAGCUAAGGAGAAACUUCGAUGACUCCGCCUCAAGUUUAUGUAGCAGACAACUCAAACCUGGAUAGUCGAGUAAGUGGGCAAUUGACAGGAGUGAAGGGAGAAAGGGUAGAAUGCUACAAUAGGGAUGAGGUUGUACUUUGUCACUGUCGUGAAGAAUGUAGAAUUGUAACUUUGCAGACAUUGGCGAACCUAGGUAGAAGAUUUCAUGGAUGCAUAAAUUACGUGGUAAAUUUUUGCAAUUAAUCAUGACAUAUUGCUUGUGUAUUUUGAUGUAUUAUAUAUUUUACUACAACUAAUGGCUAGAAUUAAUGGUCAUUGUAGAGACUGAUUAAUCACAUCAGCCCCACAAUCAAUUUAUUCCACUAAUUAAUCGCCCACAUGCUAAACACUGCCAUCGAAGAAGUUGAGAAGAAAAUGUUGAACUAAUUUGGAUCUGAUGAAAGUUUAUCCACAUCAGCCCCACAGCCAAGGAUAAAGUACAAACACAUCAGCCCCACAAUUUGAUGAAAAGGUUAAACUAAAUGCUUGCCACAAACAAACAAAAAGCAAUAUAGCAGAAAAUGUUAAACUAAGUAAGAUCUAACAAAAGCUUACUCGACAUUGUUGCCAGAUCUGCCAUCAAUGCAUUCCAUCGUCGAAGACACGGAUCUGUUCAUCAAUCCCAAUCACAGUUUUCUUAAAUUUUCAUCUUUAUGAAACCCUACUUCUCUCUCAAUUUUUAGAGGUUUUUGUCCCAUCUAAAAGUCUCUAUUAUAAUCCCUAUAAUUAGACAAUCGAACUAGUCAUUCCAAUUAUACCCCUAACCCGCCAUGCAAAAUACAUAAAAUGUGGUGGCGUCACCAAUAAGUCGUACAUUGAAUCCCAUAAAAUUGUUUGAGGACUAAAUUGGUGAAAAAAACCAUGAAGGAUGAAAUUUGUUUAAGUGAAAAAGUUAAGGGACCAAAUUGGCUAUUUUCCUGACAAAAAAAUUUUGAUUUGCAUACAUUCUUUGGGAUGAGUCAUGAAGAAGAAUUUGUUAUUAACGGUACAAAUUUUGAUCAAGACAAAGAAAUUUUUUUAUUUUACUUGCGGGGUGGAUUCUCUUAUUAAUCUUUUCAUUAGAAAUUGUGAGGCUGGAAACUUUUGUGGUGGAAAUAAUUGGCAAAAAGAAGGUUUGCCUUGGUUGCUGAAAAUUUUGUGGAUGAUUAUUAUUUUGAAAAAAUAUAUUGGCUUUGAUGGUGGGCUUGAUUAACUAGAAUUGACAGCUACAUUGUAUGCAUAGUACAAGGCUAAUUUGCUUCCAUAUGCAAAGAUAAAAUUGAGGAUCAACUGCAAAUUGUAAUUGCAUGUCACCUACGUCGCAACAGAGUUUUACAUACAAAUCGUUGGCCACGACGAUGGUGAGUUUGUUUUAAAAGGGACAAUGUUGACGAUAUUAAAUCAAGAUAAUUACUAUGUUCUUGGUUAAUUAGGUGUUUUAGUUAAAUUGGGCUUAAGUGUUAUAAGUGGUAUAGGAAUUGGUUUCACAGUUAAUUUGGUGAUUGAGUUUGUAUAUGUAUGUGAUAGUAGAUUCCAAUAUUACGUUAGUUGAUUAGAUUGGUCGUUUUUAAAGGCCUAGUGGCCGGUUGGUUAGGUGUGCAAAACAGUAGUAAGAAUUACUUAUACUAUAUAAGAUUGAGUUUUAGUGAAAGAGAGGGUUGCAUUUCAACCGCAUAGGCAGGGAUUUUUUGGAAAUGUGAAAUAUUCUGGUGUGUUUUACAAGCUAUAGGUACAAGUGAGGGAAGCUUGUGAUUAGGUAUAUUAUCCGAAAUACCCUUAUUUAUAGACAUUUAAAACUUUAUGUUGUUCAAACAUUUGGGUAUUUAUGGUAUAUGCAAUUAAUCUGCAACCAUUUGUUGCUUUUGGUACAACACACAUAAGCCAGUGAGUUUGUGAAAUUACUUAAAUGCUUUGGAUGCAAGUUAAGGAAGCCUGUAUUUGGGUAUAUUUACCUUUUUUUUUUGGUUAGCAACGAUACAUUUGUAUAACCUAUUCUAUCCUAAUCUAGGGAGAGGGGGAGCCUAAGGAAGCCGUGGCUUAGUGGGUGUAUAAAUCCAACUAGACCAAGGGAGUGCUAUAGCACAACCCUUGGAUUUUUUUCGCUGCUAAUAAGGUUUAAACUGUCACCAACAGCCCAAGGAGGAACUUAAGUUCCUUCCUGGUGGCCAUUGAGCCAUUGGCCCAGUAGUUCUGUAUUUGGGUAUAUUUACCGACCUAACCCCGUUUUAGUGCAUUUAAUUCAAGUUUUCAUUCACGAGGCAUCAGGCUAUUGGUGGAAUGAGCACUUAAUGUGCAACCGUAAUUGCAUUUAGUACAACCUAUACAUGCUCGUGUGUUAGUGUAAUUACUGUAAUAUCCCUUAACUAACAAUUAGUGGGGCUUUCGAGCCGCUUCCUGUGUCUGAAACGUUUGCUUGGUUGCUGCACCCUCAUGAAUGCUAAGGCUUUGGUCGGAACCCAUUUCUUGCUCAUUUAUCUCUGAAUUUAACGGCCAUAAACGUGGGUCAGUUUACUCCCCUUUGCGCUUCAGUGCUUCAGUUUUCUUUUUUUGUGUAAUUGAUGAAGCAAUCGCCUAGAAAGGAAGACAGGAGCACGAUCGUUCGUGCAAAGAGCAACAAAAAAUGAACAGUGCAAUUCAAUUGAGAGGAACUGAACAGAGCAAGUAGUUGAAUGGAUAAGGCGCAACUCUCAACUUAGACAUAUUGCAGGAAAACCGAAAAGUCCAAGGCCAAGUAUUUAAAACAGCAGAUACAAGUACUACUACUAUAACAUUACUAUUGACAUUUGUAUUUUACGGAAAAAAAAUUUUUUGGCGGUUAAAUUAAAAAAAAAAAGGAAGAAAAGAAAAGAAAGAAAUUCGUGCCUCCACAGUCGUCUCUGAGACUCUACCCCAGGUACAAAUGGAGCUUGAUGGCCAGUAAGAAGACAGAAAUGAGAGCAAAGUAGAGCAGGGAAUGCACCAUUAUGGCAGCGCCACUGGUCUGAAGAUUGGCGAAUUCCACGCACCUGUGGUGGCCGGGAAUUUGAAAUAGCAGCCCCGGUGAUAAUAGAACGAACAGUACCACUGCCACAAAUAUUGGACCCCAGUCUGACGUCUCUUGUUUACUUUACCAGGCAGCCCCGGUGAAGGAAGGAUCGAGUGGCCGCUGAAAAUGGAGAAGUGAAAUAGUAUAUUAGAUUAGAUGAUGAGCUGCAGUCAGUGGUGCCACAAUUUAGGUAGUGUUAAAGAUCUCAGACGGCGCACUUCGGAGUUUGGAUGGAACGGGGAAAAAAAAGAAAAUAGAGCAAACAAACAAAGCAAAGCUGCAAUAAGAGUGGAUGGGACUUGGGAGAGGAAACUAAAGGGAGUGGCUCAAGUUACUUGGAUGCUCUCUAGCCGUCCCAUUUUCCAUUGCUUACACUUCUUUCAUGCACGUGGGGUGCCCACUUCAAUUCCAUCAAAAAGCUGUAAGAAUUGCGUCAACUCAACUGAUUCAAACAUUGCCUCCCAUCAAUGUCCCUCAAUAUAAGGUUUGUUCUAAAUUCAUACGUACGGGUGUGUGGUGCACCCGUCUGGUCUGAUGGUGGUUCAGUCCCUAUCAGGUUCCCCCGGCUCAGUUGGGCCACUCCAUAGAGUAAGUUUUCCUUCCCCUUAGGAGUAGGAGUAGGCUAGAUUAGGCUAGAUGUGCCGUUAAGCUAAAAAAAAAAAAAAACUGAUUUAAAUUGGUUCGUGAUUCCACUUCUUUAUUAAAAUGGAAAUGAGAAAAACAUCUGUAAUGAUAUCACUGAUUUUGAUCAGAGUUAACUGGAGGUAGGGAAAAGUGACCGAGAGAAUUGGGAAGGGAAGAAACAGAGAGGGAAGGUAUAUUGAAAGGGAUUGAGAAAACUGAACUUGUUCUGUUUGAUAGCGUGCCCCAUCCGUCCUCUUUUAGGCUUAUUUAUACAAGAUUCUUCCUCUAGAUCCUUCUGCGUUCUAACCUCCCAACUGAAUGAGCAUGCAUGCAAGCAUGCUAUUUUUGGAUGUCUAACAGAGUAACUAACUUCUGGAUCGCUAACUAACUUCUUAAUAAGGAAAGCAUAGCAGAUACAUUUCUGCUAAAAGUAUUUAUAUUAUCUAGGGUCAUUACAAUACCUUCCCCUUAAGAAUCCUAGUCACUAGGAUUGAGCUGGAAAUUUGGAAACUGUGAUUGUAUCACCGUGACAUCCUCCCAAGUUGAGUCUUCAGUGCCUAGGUUCAUCCACUUGAUCAGCACUUGAGUCAUCUUCUGUUUUUUUCUUAUGAUUUCACGAGUGGCCAGUACAUUUGUGAGGUUGUUGGAAACAUAAACACCUCAAGUAUGUCUCAACGCACCUAUUCAGCCUCUCUGUCUGCCCAUCUGUCUGAGGGUGGUAGGCAGUGGAGUAGUGCAGCUCAGUACCUAGCUUCCCAAAUAAUUCCUUCCAGAACAUGCUAGUAAACAGCCUAUCCCUGUCUGACACAAUGCUCAGGGGUAACCCAUGCAAUUUGUAGACAUUAUCAAAGUACAUGUUAGCUACUGACUGUGCUGUAUACUUAGGAGGUAAUGGCAAGAGGUGGCAGUAUUUGGUGAACCUGUCAAUGACUACCAACAUUCCUUCAUAUCCCUGAGACUGGGCAAUCCUUCCACGAAGUCCAUUGAAACAUGCUGCCAUGCUUGCUCGGGUACAGGAAGUGGUUGCAGUAGGCCUGGUGUUUUGCAAUGUUCUACCUUGCUUCUUUUACACACAUCACAUUGCUGCACCCAACUUUCUACCUCCUUCUUCAUUCCUGGCCAGAAAAAUGGCCCUUUCAACCUCUGAUAGGUUCCCAGGUUGCCUGAGUGCCCUCCUAGGGGCGAGUCAUGAAGGCAAAUUAUCAGCUUCUGUCUCAAGCUCCCUGAUGCUCCAAUGUAAACCCUGCCUUUAUACCUGAGUAAUCCCCCACUAAAAGAGUAAUUGGGAAGAGAGUCAGGUGUAAUGGUCAAGGCUUCGGUUAGCUUAGUUACGGCACUAUCCCCCUGGUAACUCUCCAGGACUUCAGAUAGCCAUGCAGGUUUCAUGACCGAGAGGCUGUGUGUAGAGCUGUCUUCUUCAUAGCUUCUUCUAGACAGUGCAUCAGCCACAAGAUUUUCCUUACCUCUCUUGUACUGUAUUUCAUAAUCCAGUCUCAGCAACUUAGUAAGCCAUUUUUGCUGUAAGGGAGUGGUUAUCUUCUGCUCUAGUAGGUACUUCAAGCUCUGGUGAUCUGUCUUGAUAAUGAAAUGAUUCCCCAACAAAUAAUGCCUCCACCUGGAUACAGCUGUGAUAAGGGAUAACAACUCCUUCUCAUAUAUUGACAACCCCAAGUUUUUAGGCCCCAAGGCUUGACUGAGAUAAGCAAUAGGCCUUCCCUGCUGCAUGAGUACAGCUCCUAUAGCCUUAUGACUAGCAUCUGUUUCCAGAACAAAUGGUAAGGAAAAAUUAGGGAGUGCGAGGACAGGUGUGUUGCUCAUCAGUUGUUUGAGUUUUUGGAAAGCUAGUUCAGUAUGUUCACUCCAGUGGAAGUUUUCUUUCUUCAGCAAUUCUGUAAGUGGCUUGGCAAUGAGCCCAUAACCUCUCACGAACCUCCUGUAAUAGCCUGUAAGUCCCAAAAAUCCUCUCAAAGCCUUUACUGAUGUAGGUGCAGGCCAGUCCAUCAUGCUUUUGACUUUCGAGGGGUCAGCCUGUACUCCAUUACUACUGAUAAUGUGUCCCAAAUACUCCACUUGGGACUGUCCAAAGAUGCAUUUAGAAAGCUUGGCAAAUAAGGAGCAAGAUCUGAGUGUUUCUAGGACAGUUUUGAGGUGUGAAAGGUGAGUGUUUGGGUCAGGACUAUACACAAGGAUGUCAUCAAAAAAUACUAGCACAAAUUUUCUCAAGUAAGGUUCGAAUACAUGGUUCAUCAGGCUCUGAAAAGUUGCUGGUGCGUUAGUAAGGCCAAAUGGCAUGACUGUGAAUUCAUAAAGUCCAAGGUGAGUUUUGAAGGCUGUUUUUGGAAUAUCAUCUAGGUACAUUCUGAUUUGAUGGUAACCGGCUCUUAGGUCGAUCUUAGUGAAGAUCUUAGCACCAUAUAGCUCAUCAAGCAAAUCAUCAAUGAUUGGUAUUGGAAAUUUAUCUUUGAUAGUCAGGUCAUUUAGUUGUCUGUAAUCAACACAGAAUCACCAAGUUCCAUCUUUUUUCUUAACUAACAGAACUGGAGAUGCAAAUGGACUAUGGCUGAGCUGAAUAAUGCCACUACUAAGCAUGUCUUUUACCUGUUUCUCUAUUUCAUUUUUCUGGUUGUGAGGAUACCUAUAAGGUGCUAAUUUGAAUGGUUUGGCAUUGGGUAUUAAAGGAAUUUGGUGGUCACAAUCUCUGGAAGGAGGAAGGGAUUUUGGCUCCCCAAAUACAUCUUUGUAGUCCGCAAUUAGAGCAUCUAGGGGCUGUUGAAAAGCAAUAUCCAACUGAGUUACAGAGUGUACCUGAGUUCCACUCAUCUUCAGCCCGCAGGCAUGCUUCCAGAUUUUGGUGCUUAGUCCUUCCUUCUCAGUAUUAUCUUUAGGAAGCUUAAGUACCGCCUCCUUCGACUCUCCUUGUAGCCAGAUCCUUUCCCCUUCCUUAUCAAAUGUCAUGUUCAACUGCCUGAAGUCAAAGGUGAUGGGACUGUGUGCAGCCAUCCAAUCCACUCCUAUGAUCAUAUCAUAAGGUUCUAUGUUAAUGAUAAACAUGUCAUGAGUGAAUGGUUUACCUUGCAUUUCCCAGUUCAUGUUUGGAAUCAUCCUACUACAGGUCAAAUACUCCCCAUUAGCCACCUUGACCUUGAAGGGCUUGAUUGUCUGGACCAUCUCUGGAAAGAGUUGAGCCACAGUAUUUUUGACAAAGCUGUGAGUACUUCCCCCAUCCACCAAGAUUGACAGGGGGGUUCCUUUGAACAGCCCCUGCAAUUUGAUGGUAUUGUAAGUCAUUUUCCCUGUCAGUGCAUGUAUUGCCAUUUCCACUCCUCUGGCCGACUGAGCCCCUUGGUACUCAAUUACCUCCUCUUCCUCCAGAUCCUCAGGCCUAUCUUCUACUGCGACCAUCAAAUGAAUCUCCUUCUGCUUGCACUGGUGACCUGGACCAAACUUUUCUCCACACUUGUAGCAAAGGUGAUGUUCCCUUCGGUACUGCAGCUCUUCUGGUGUGAUUUUCUUGAAGUGUUGGGGUGUUUUUUUGACAGCAUUGGCAAUGACAGGUUUGGUAGGUAACAUAGUUUGCUGAGCAGCAGCCUGCGUGGAAUUUCCCCAACCCAUGGCCCUUUGAUGAGGUUUGUGCUUCCUGUGGUAGGCUUCAAAGGCAUUCUCCUGUAGUCUGGCCAACUCAAAGGCUUUGGACAGCGUCCUAGGGUCGUGAGCUUUCACCAUCGAUCUCAAUUCAUCUGGCAAUCCACUCAAAAAACAGGAAAUGUAGUAGUUUUCUGGAAGGUAUGGGGCUCGAAUCAUUACCUCUGAUAACAGCUCCUCAAAUUUUUCUUGAUAUGCUAGGACUGUGGAAGAGAGUUGCAACUUGUUGAAUUCCUCUACUGGAUCCAUCUGUCCUAAGGUUCCAAACCUCUUACACAGCUCUUCAGAAAACUCCAUCCAUUCCACCUUGUUACUCCUAGUAGAUCUGAAUCCUUGAUACCACACUGCCGCCUUCUCCUCCAAGUGGAACUCUGCCAACUCCAUCCAUUGCUCCUUGGGAAUGUGCAGAAGCUGGCAAUAUUUCUGCAGUUUCCUGAUCCAUUCCCUAGGAUUGUUUCCCCUAAAUGCUGGAAUUUCCAAUUUAGGCGUACUAGCGAAGAAGGCACUCCUAGUGUUCCUUUCUCCUUGAUCUCUACUCCCCAGGUCGGAGCUUCUGGAGUGACUUCCUUCUGGAGAUCCUAAUAUGCCUUUCUCUUGAUUUCCACGGUUUAAGCUGGAGAGCUGCUGCGAGAUGGCUAACAUGAACGCAUCUAGCUUAUUGCCCAGCUCAGCACUCACUGCAUCCAACCUCUCCUCCAUGCUUUGCUUGUCUGCCGCCAAAGAUUCCAGAAUUCCGUGAAUCUUGCUUUCUUGCCUGCGGAGCUGUUCCUCCAUCGUCUUCAUCCUUGUUCCAUCCACCAUUGUGAUAUGUCGAUCUAAGCUUCCUAGUCCAAGGACCGGAAGCUCUGAUACCACUUGUAAUGAUAUCACUGAUUUUGAUCAGAGUUAACUGGAGGUAGGGAAAAGUGACCGAGAGAAUUGGGAAGGGAAGAAACAGAGAGGGAAGGUAUAUUGAAAGGGAUUGAGAAAACUGAACUUGUUCUGUUUGAUAGCGUGCCCCAUCCGUCCUCUUUUAGGCUUAUUUAUACAAGAUUCUUCCUCUAGAUCCUUCUGCGUUCUAACCUCCCAACUGAAUGAGCAUGCAUGCAAGCAUGCUAUUUUUGGAUGUCUAACAGAGUAACUAACUUCUGGAUCGCUAACUAACUUCUUAAUAAGGAAAGCAUAGCAGAUACAUUUCUGCUAAAAGUAUUUAUAUUAUCUAGGGUCAUUACAACAUCCAACUCCAACUAUUAAGGUGAGCUCUCAAGAAAGAAAUCUAUUUUAUGUGGCCACGUAAGGAAUUCACAGCUUGCAGUUAAACCGGGGAUUAUUAGAUUGGUUGGUCCUGUGCAGUUACUAAUUAGUAGGAUGAGUGGGUGGAAAGAUUGGCUUUUGCAAGAUGAUAAUUACACACCCUACCCUACGUGUUGUGUCAACUCCACGGCUUUGAUGAAUUGAUGGCGCAUUGCUAAUUUGUACCGUUACUAUUUAAAUUUGUGCAAUGUUAGGAUUUAGGAAGGAAAAAUGUUGAUUUAGCCUCAUCCAUUGCUUUGUUUUUUUUUUUUUUUUUUUCUAAAUGCUAGAUUUCAAUAAGUUAUUUUGUUAACAGUAUGGGAAAAAAUAAGAGAAAAAUUUUAGUAGUACUAGUAGUAGAUUUGAUGUAAGGCUUCCAGUUUUUGAGUUUUGGUCUCGUUGCAUCGGCCAAUUCAGGAGUAUAUUAAAUUACCUUAAAGCCGUAAUUAGCACUCAAAUACAACAAGGACAUUGAGUGGGCUACAGUACACAUCUGUCUCCUGAUGCCCUAUACGUGAAAUCGCUUGACCUGGAUUCACUCGGUUGUAUCCGGCUUCAAUGGGCCCAAUAUUCUGGGCUGUAACGACUUUUUACAAAACACGUACGCUCAGAACUCUUUCGCGACGCAUCCGAUCCGUGCUGCCUGGAUUGGAAGACUUCGGCCGUUGUUUUUAAGGAUAAUUUCAGAAACCACCACCCCCCAGCCCCGGACGCCGGGGGCUGAGGUGAGGUUUCUGACACUUUCAAGCCUUCCUUGAGGUUUUAAGAACUAUACUAAUUUUCCUUGAACUUGAAGUUUUUGUAACAAAUCAAUUCAAUUCAGACAAAAGUACUAUUAUAACUUGAAGCAACAAUAGUCUAUGCACAUAGCCAGUGCAAGUUGUAAUGGUCAUAAUUUUUUGUCAUUUGCAACUACAUAUAAAAGAUACAACUAACGUCAUAAUGCUAUUAAAUUAUUAGUGUAAGCAUCUAAAUUUGGGUCAAAAAAUUAAUCUUUUUAUUUUAGUUGAUGAGAUAAAAUUAUAAGUGUUAGUGCAGAAAACAUACUAGUCUUAGUCAACAAAUCAACAACAAAAGGCAUAAAUAGUUUGUCUGAACACAAGAUUGAAGAAAUAAGUCAAUCAGAAAAUUCUUCUAUUUUUCUUAUCCAUAAGAUCUACACUUGUCCAUACUAUUUGACACCGGAGUUCUCAUGCUUGACUAUUGUUUACUCCACAAGACAACCUCCUUCCCCGUAGGCAUCAAAAACCCGCGCAUCGCCCUCUAGUUGUUCUAAUCAAAUUGAGUUUUGGGACCCAGAGUGCUAAUAUUGCUUAUCUUCUCUUCUUUGCCAGUUGAUAUUUUUGGUAGCGCAAUCUUCCAUUGCGUAAAUUUAUUGAGUCAUUCCUCCUCCGAUUUUAAGAUGUUAUUUAUACCUCCACUGUGUGGAUUUUUGUACUAAAAUAAAUUCCACUCGUGAUUUUGCUAAUGGCUAGAUUCAAUUAGAACUAAAUGCCCUUUCUGACUUCUUUGUAAAAUUAUCUGCCUCAAUACAAUUUUAACAUUUGGAUUUGCUAUUCUUCUGUAAUGUAAGACUCAGUGUUUGUUAAGUUGAGUACAAUUACGCUUGUGAUUAGAGCUGGCAAAAGAGCUCAAAACCCAACAACCCGCCCAACCCGCACAUUAAUUUUAAAGGAUGGGUUGGGUCAAUUGGGUUAUGAAUUUUGUUGGGUUGGGUAAGAACAACCCAACUUAUUUAUUGGGCGGGUUAGGUUUUUUAUUUCAGUACCCAAUACCCAACUUGUUUAAAAGUAAUUCAGAGUAAUAAAUACAAUAUUCCCCAACUAUUUGUAUUUGGACAUGUGUUAAUAAUUCAUUGAUUAAUUUGUAUUCAAAAUUCUCAUAUAUAUAUAUAGUUUCAAUCAAUUUUUUAAAUUUUUAUUUAAAUGUCAGAAUAGUUCAUGAAUUCUCCUCUCAUAAACGGGAUUUCAACUAAGCUUAUGACCCAUAUUAUUUUACUCCCUAAUUCUAACAAAAAACAAACAGUUUGGCUAAUGGAAUUAAUAGAUAUUCCUAUAAUUAAGAGAAUCUUUAGGUGUUACAUUUUUCAGAGAAUUACAAUUAUUUUAAGAAAGUUUUUUCAAAGGAAGAGUGUAAUAAUUGUAAUUGUGCGUAUUCACAUGUUAAAUUACGAUAUAAGAUGAGCCUAUUAACAACAUCGUUAGAAAUAUCAUAUUCAUAAUUAAUCGGGCAUCCGACAAAACGUUGCUUAUUAAGAUACAAAACAAGUUAGCAUAAUCUCACACAAUCCCAAAUAUAAAUUCCCCAUAUAACAUGUCAUAUAUAUUAAGAGUAGAUGUACGACACAAAAUCAAUAUUUUUUAAGGGACACAAAAAUCGAUAGUGGAUCAAUGGAAGAGAUUAUUGAAAAGAUUAAGGUGGUGUUUUGUGUUGGGGGGGGGUUGCUAUGCUGUUCGUUAAAUGUACAAUUUAUUAUCUAAAAUUCACAAUACAAGCAAUAUAAAAUAUUAUUCUAUUUACGAUAUGUUUCCAAGGAACUUAAGAAGUGAGUGUGUAUUUGUGUGUGUGAAAAUACAUUUAUGUAUGUGAAAAUGUGUUUAUAUGUGUGAAAAUUUUUUUUUUUGUGUGUUAAAAUGUAUGUGAAAAAAGUUUAUGUAUUAAUUAAUAUGUUGGGUCAUAUUUGGGUCAUGGGUUUGAGAUAACCCCAUACGACCCAAUCCAAAGUCAACCUAAUCUAAAAUUGGACGGGUUGGAUAUAACCCAUUUAAGUGAAAAUCCAAUAUUAACUCGUCCAAAAUCUGCCCAACCCGCCCAAUUGCCAGCUAUACUUGCAAUUAUAGGACAAUCUCACAAUAAUACACAGAAUGAAUAUAUAUACAUAACUGAGCAUUCGGUGAUGUAGUGUCCCAAGCAUAUGGUUUAACUCCUAACAAAACAGAACUUUCGUUGCACUAUAUAGAUUUAGCUAGACUUGUACACAUAUCAUCUUUCUAAUGUUUAGAUAAGACCAAGAUUUCAUUAUUUCUUGCCUCUUGACAUUUGUAAUUGGCUGCACUAUGAGGUUUAGACUAACAUCUGUUCCUAUCCUUUCUGGCAAAUCCAAGGAACUUAAAAUACAGAGGGAGUUUGCUAUUGCAAGUAAAGAAGAGCAGCAAAGAGAAGAGUAUGAGAGAAGAAGCUAAGCUGUCAACUGCUGUAUAAAUACAUGCCAAGCUUGAAUCCAAAAAGAGAAUACAUUUUUCUUCAUAAAUACGUCACCAAUAAUUUAAGUGGGCAAAUUUACCUACCUUACAUUGCAUUUUGUCAAUGGGUUACAUCAAUCGAGUUUUGGCAAAGCCAAAUUCAACUCAGAAAAUGAAUACGAAUUUCAAACUUUCAGACUUGGAUUUAAUUUAGAAGGCUCAAAUUCAGCUCAUAAGUUUAAUAUGAGUUUUGGGCUCAUAUCAGGAUUGGGCCAAGCUCAUAACCAAGUACACAAUUAUAUAUCAUAUACUCCUUUCAUCCCAUUGUUAACGUCAUGUUUCUACUUUUUUGUUGUCUUAUGGCAAAAGUCAAACAAAUUUCACUACUAAUUUUCUUUUAUACCCUUAGUAAUAAUGACAAGAUUCCAUCAAUUAAUAAUAAAUAAUUGCAUAUGCCCACCACAACACAUGCACACUUUCACCAUUCCUGUGGCCUUUUGCUUUUAGUUGGCUAUUUCCGUGUGUCAGACAAUGGGUAAAACUGGAAGAAUAUAAAAAGUGCAGUUCACCAUUUACAUAAAAAGUGCAACUCCCGAAAAACGUCCCAAAUUUUGGGACGGAGAGAGUAUUAAUAUUUAUGAACUAUUAUUUAUAUAUAAAUUAUUAAUAUCUUAAUAUUAUGAUAUAUAUAAUCUACAAUUUUUAAUUACGUAUUAAUAUGGGUCGAGUUUUAAUUACGUUUGAGUCUAGUAGAACCCAAAUUCAGCUCACACUUAAUUUGGAUCUAUCAUUUAGAUCCAAACACUUUUUGACCCUACUAUGAAGUGGCGUCCUCUAAUUUAUGAGCAGCCUUGAAAAUUUCUAUCUAUAUUCUGAACUGGAACUAGCAAUUGCAAGUACUUCUUCUCAAUACUAGGAUGAUAGAAUGAUAUUUUCAGUCGGACACUUGUGCAGCAUCCUAUAUUAAAGUACCUCAUCCUAAAUGGCUUAACUUUUGCAGUUGAACACUGUCCAGUAAUUUAUGAAUCCACUUGGUUGGAUUAAUGUUAAUAAUUUUUUAUGAAUGAAGGCUAAAUGCUUACAAUAAAUUGUAGUGUCGCUUGUCCUGGACACCAGCCAUGAGUAGCAUGACUCAUGAAACCUAUGUUUUGAAACUCGAAACGGAUAGUGACUAGGCUGACUCAAGAGUCAAUGGGUUCAAUCAGAUUCGGAUUAAUCUAAGAAUCGGGUGACAUCAUCAUAAUAUUAUAAAUAUAUUAAUUAAAAAUUAAAUAGAUUAUAUGUAAAAAUAUAUAUAAGUGUAUUAUCAAUAUGGAAAAAAUGUUCCUUUUAUCUCUCUAUUUGUAUUCUUAUACAUCCUAAAUUUUAGCAUCCUCCGAUCAUAACUCUAAUUGAAUGUUCUUAAGCUUGAAAUGAAAAUUGAUGCGCCUAAAACUAAUUUAUGAAACUUGUUUGACAAAUAAAGAAAUUUAUGAAAGCAUUUACCACUGUUCAGAAACUUGAGAGGUCAAAAUAGAAUAAUAGAAAAGUUGUGAACCAAUGUCUAAAUCUUUGCUUCUUUCCAAGUUUUCGGUUUAUAAGGAAGAGUAUGCCUCGUCCGGUCUUCUUCAACGUUUCUUCUUCUCCAGCCUGUAACAUCCAAUUUCCUAUUAUGUUGUUUUCUUCCUUUUUGUACUUUUAAUCUUCUAAAAUCUUUUGUCUUCUUUUCUUUCCUCACCAAAGAAAACAUUAAUUUCUAUUCUUUAUGUUCAUUUUUGUCUUCAAUUCUCUUCUCAUUUCUUUACAAUUCUUUUAUUUUAUUUUUAGAUCUUGUUACAUUUGAAUGCUGGAAGAAUUGUAAGUGGCUAUGCUGCAGCCACCGCGAUGGCCACCACCAAUCUAUGCUUUUUAUUCAAGAACAUCAAUUUCUAUUCUUUAGAUUCAUUUUUAUCUUCAAUUCUCUUCUCAUUUUCUCACAAUUUUUCAGUUUUAGAUCUUGAAGAUUUGGAUGUUGGAAGAAUUGUAAGUGGUUGUGCCACCAACACCGUCAUAGCCAAGACCCGAGCUUUUUAAUCAAGAUCUGCAGAUAAAAUCAUCAGAAGUCAAAAAUUGGAAAAAAAAAACUGGGAUUUUUCAUUUUUUGGGUUUCUGGUCUAAUCGAGGUUUUGAUCGAGUCUUAGCCAUGCAAUUUUUAACACAAACUCGAACUGGAUGCUUUGCUGGUUCCUGGUUCAUUUGGUCGAACUAGUCCAUUCGGUCCAAUUUUAAAAACAAUGCACGAAACAAGUCACCUACAGAAAACUCGAAAACAUAACAAACUAUUUCGGACGUUAGAAGUAGAGAUUGAAUAUUUUCCAAACGAUAUAAGAUAAAACCUAGACUUAGUUAACUAAAGGCUUUAUCACAUUAAAUCAAAGCACAUUACUGAAGAGUUUUGGCACGUAUCUUUAUUUUAUAUUGUUUGAAAAAUGUGACGUAUGUUUUACUCAAGAGAGAUGUGAUGGAUCACCAAUGAUACAUUAAUUAUCUUAUCGUUUUGUUUGUCACAACUAAUCCUGCAUAGAUCUCACCUAAUUAAUUUCCUAGGAUGACUUGUAUCUAUUAUUGUUUUAGUCAUCCAAAAAAUUUAAAUUAUCUUGCGGAUCCCUUUUCCAACUUGAAAUACACGCUUUUCUUCUUCUUCAUGACUCCAUUUUGGCAAUGGCAAAAUGGACUUUUUCUUUCUUUUGGAAGUGCAAAACUCGUAAUUCACUAUUAAAAGUAAGCAAAAAAUGCACACAAUUUGCUGCAAAAAGCAGAAAACAAAGAGUAUGAACCUUAAAGAACCAUUUAGAACCCGUUCAUUCUUACACAGAAAGUGUUUUACAAAAUAUUCUAGAAAUUCCAAGAGCAUAAGGGAGAAAAUAAUCCAAGAGAGUAGGGGAAAAAAAAAAUACUAAAGCUGGCUUUCACUUUCCCGUGCAAGCAAUCUUACUUAUGUUCGGAGAUUUUAGGAAAGGGACAUCGAGUAAAGUCAAGAAAUAAGACAAAUAAAUUUCAGAAUUUUAAAUUUAGCAGGCACAUACAUGAGGUUCCCUUCUUUUCACUUUCCCUUUCCCAUUCUCAUUUUUUAAUUACAAAUUGAGUGACUUUUUGGUUCUAUUACAUUGUUAAGGUUUUCAUAAUUGUCAAACCUAAGAAAAGGACUCAAAGGAUCAUGUUUUGAAUCAUUCUCUUCAAUUUUACCCUCCAGUCCCUGAGUGUUAAAAAAUACAUAAUUAUUUUAGAAUCACAAAUAAAAUUAGUAUCAACUUUCAAAGGAAAAGAGGAGAGCCUAAGAGUCCAGCUGAAAAUCUCUAGUUACCUGAUUAUUGUCCCUAUUAGGUAAAGAGAGGCUUACAUUCAUUUUUUGCCCCCUCUGGAAGUUGCAUUUCGAAUUAUCUAUAAAAGAUGGCACUUCGUGGAAGCUAAUAAGUGUAGUAGGGAACCCAAACGAAGCAAUAGCGAACCAAUUCACAUUUCUGAACGGAAAAACAAAGAUGUAUAUGCUUCCAAUUGAGCAAAUAAUUGCCUUUUCUUCAAACAUUCUAUCUCAUUACUUCUUUGUUUCCUCUUCACUAUCUUUGUUGUCAAAUGGCGAAAUUCCACUUCGAACCCCUCACAGAAACUUCCACCUUCCCUCCAAAGCUUCCCAUAAUCGGAAACCUUCAUCAACUCGGUUCAAUCCCUCAACGCUCUCUGAAAUCAUUAGCUCAAAAAUACGGUUCCCCAAUGCUGCUUCAUCAAUAGCAAGUGGCGUCCUCAACUUUAUGACCAGCCUUGAAAAUUUCCUAUCCAUGUUCCGAAGCGGAACUAGCAAUAGCAAGUGCUUCUCAAAUACUAUGAUGAUAGAAUGCUAUUUUGAGUUGGACGCUUGUGCAGCAUCCUAUAUUGAAGUGCCUCAUGCUAAUGGCUUAACUUUUGCAGUUGAACACAGUCCAGUAAUUUGUGAAGCCAUUUGGUUGGAUUAAUGUUAAUAAUUUUUUAUGAAUGAAGGCUAAAUUCUUAAAAUAAAUUGAAGUGUAGCUUGUCCUGGACACAAGCCAUGCGUAUCAUGAGUCACAAAACUGGUCACCUAUAAAAAAGUCAGAGUGAAACAUAACAAACUAUUUCGUUGGUCAGAAAAAGAUAUUGAAUAUUUUACAAAAGUUAUUAGGUAAAACCUAAUUAACCUUUCUUUCUUUAUUUCUCGAAUCAAUGUGAGACAUAAUCUUUUACUCAUGAAUCUAACAAAUCUCCCCUUUCAUGAGUAACCCCUCACAUUAAACCCAAAUUUAUAAACUCUUCUUGGAUCUCACUUUAAUACUAAAUGCAAUCUCACCUUAUCACUUAAGAUUACCUCUUCUCCCAAACACGGAUCCACUCCUCUUCAACAUCUAAAUUGUAUUCUGGACCUCUGCCAACCUUUGGCUUCUUGGUCUAAUACUAACCGGACCCAUUGCCAAACCCAUGUUGCACCUGGUACAACACUAGCCAAAUUCAUUAGCACUUUGGUACUUCGAUCCACCAUCAAGAAGAGAAUUCACCGUUCCAACUCUUAAAAGAACUCACUUGCCCAUGAGUAGUCCAGUCUUGUAAUCUAAAACUCUAAUACCAAUUCGAUAUGGAGAAACACCUCGAGAGAGUUCACCAAAGAACUUAAUAUGUAAGUCAGGAAUCCAACUUUAACCCAAAAGCUUAAGUCAUUAGGUCUCGAGUCCUUACUUACAUAUUAAUCACUCUUUCUCUCGGAUCAAUAUGGGACAUAAUCCUUUUUUCAUUAACCUAACAGUUUUGGCAUGUAUCUUUAUUUUAUGUUUGUUUAAAAAAUGUGAUGUAUGUUUUACUCUAGAAAGAUGUGAUGGAUCACCAAUGAUACCAUUACCUUUGCUAUUAUCCCUUUGUAUGAUUGCACCAUUAAGUACAUUAAUUAUUUGAUCCUUUUGUUUGUCCCAACCAAUCAUCCAUAGAUCUCAAGUAAUUAAUUUUCUAGUAUGACUUGUAUCUAUUAGUGAUUUAGCCGCCCAAAAAAUUUAAAUUUUCUUGCGGACCCCUUUUCCAACUCGAAAUACAUGCUUUUCUUCUUCAUCACGACUCCAUUUUCGCAUGGCGAAAUGGAUUUUUUCUUUCUUAUGGAAGUCCAAAACAGUAAGCAAAAGAUACACAAUUUACUGCCAAAAGCAGAAAACAAAGAGUAUGAACCUUAAAGAACCAUUCAGAAUCAUUCAUUCUUACACUAAAAAUGUUUUACAGAAUAUUCUAGUAUUCCAAGAGCUUAAGGGAGAAAAUAAUCCAACAGAAUAGGGAAAAAAAUACUUGAAUUCUGGGUUUCACUUUCCUAUGCAAGCAAUCUUGCUUACGUUUAGAAAUUUUAGGAAAGGGACAUCUAGUUGAUAAGCUUACAUUUUACAUGUUGAAGUGUAUUUUACUAUUUAGUUUUGGUGUGUUUUAUUCACUUUUAUAGCUAAUUAACUACAUUUCUAGUGAAGUUUACAUUUUGUGGUUUAUAGAUUGAAAAAUUGAAUUUCUAUGGAUUAAAGUGGUGAAAACUUCAUAUUUUUUUUAAUGAUUUAAUCAUCAAAUGGAGUGAUUUGAGAAGAUAUUUGGAUGAUUGUUGAUGAUUUGAAAGGAUGUAAAGAGAAUAUGAAGUGCCAGAAACUCAAAAGAUGAAAUGCAAUCAAGUAUAAAAGAAAGGGAGUUUAAUAGUUUUGACACAUGUUGGUAUUUUAGCUAUAUCUUGAGUUACAAGCAUCAGAUUGAAGUGAUUCUUUAGUUAUUUUGAAAUUAACACAUAUCUCUAUAAUUAUUAUGAAGACAUUGAAAUCUAGUUCAUAAGGUUUCCUAGUGAAAAGGUCAAAAUACAUUUAGCCACUCUUGUUGUCAAAAAUUGAAACAAAGUUUUGAUCAAUCGAGAGUAUUUUGGUAUUUUUCAGUCCACAGUACUUCAAAUUAAGUGAUUCUUGAAGCAUUUGAAGCUAACUUAAAGUUUAUCUUUUGCAGAAGAGCUAGUUAAAUCUCUAUCAUCGACAAAGUAUCAGCUAAAAUUGGUACCAAAAUAGAGUAAAGUUAAUUAAAGGCAUUAUCACAUUAAAUCAAAGCACAUUGUUGAAGAGUUUUUGAAGGAGAGAAAUACCUUGAGGGAGUUCAUUAAAGAGCUCAAUAUAUAAGUUUAGAACUCAAUUUUGUCCCAAAAACUUAAGCCAUUAGAUUUCGGACCCUUACUUACAUAUUAACCGCUCUUUCUCUAUCUCUCGAACUAAUCUGGGAUAUAAUCCAUUACUCAUGAAUGUAACAAAUUUCUUCCUUCAUGAGUAACUCUUCACAUUAAACUCAAAUUUACAAACCCUUUUUUAAGCCCACUUUAAUACUCAACAUAAUCUCACCUUAUCACCUAAGGUCACAUCUUCUCUCAAACAUGGACCCACUUUUUUUCAACAUCCAAACUACAUUCUGAACCCCUACCAACCUUUGACUCCUUAGUUUAAUACCAAUCGGACCCCCUGCCAAACUCAUGGCACACAUGGUCCAACACUAGCUAAAUUCAUUAAUAUUUUGGCACUUUGGUCUACCAUCAAUAAGAGAAUUUUCGCCGGUCUAACUCCUAGAAGAAUUCACUUGCCCAUGAGCAGCCUAAUCUUGCAACCUGAAACUCUGACACCAAUUUGAUGGGGAGAAACACAUCGAGGGAGUCCACCAAAGAGCCUAAUAUGUAAGUCAGAAAUCCAACUUUGACCCGAAAACUUAAGCCAUUAGGUUUCGAGCACUUACUUGCAUAUUAACCACUCUUUCUUUAUCUCUCAUACUAGUGUAGGACAUAAUCCUUCACUCAUGAACCUAACAGUUUUUACAUGUAUCUUUUUUUUUUUAUGUUUGUUUAAAAAAUGUGAUGUAUAUUUUACUCUAGAAAGAUAUGAUGGAUCACCAAUGAUGCCAUUGUCUUUGCUAUUAUCCCUUUGUAUGAUUGCAACAUUAAGUAAUUAAUUAUCUGAUCCUUUUGUUUGUCCCAACCAAUCAUCCAUAGAUCUCAAGUAAUUAAUUUUCUAGUAUGACUUGUAUCUAUUAGUGAUUUAGCCGCCCAAAAAAUUUAAAUUUUCUUGCGGACCCCUUUUCCAACUUGAACUACAUGCUUUUCUUCUUCUUCAUGACUCCAUUUUCGCAUGGCAAAAUGGAUUUUUUCUUUCUUUUGGAAGUCCAAAGCAAUAAGCAAAAGAUACAAAAUUUACUGCAAAAAGUAGAAAACAAAGAAUAUGAACCUUAAAGAACCAUUCAGAAUCUUUUCAUUCUUACACUGAAAAUGUUUUACAAAAUAUUUUAGUAUUCCAAGAGCUUAAGGAAGAAAAUAAUCCAAGAGAUUAGGGGAAAAAAAUACUUAAAUUCUGGCUUUCACUUGCCUAUGCAAGCAAUCUUGCUUACGUUCAGAAAUUUUAGGAAAGGGACAUCUAGUUGAUAAGCUUACAUUUUACGUGUUGAAGUGUGUUUUAUUAUUUAGUUUUGAUGUCUUUUAUUCACUUUUAUAGCUAAUUAACUACAUUUCAAGUGAAGUUUACAUUUUAUGGUUCAUAGCUUGAAAAAUUGAACUUCUAUGGAUUAAAGUGGUGAAAACUUCAUAUUUUUUUGGUAUAAUGAUUCAAUUAUCAAAUGGAGUGAUUUGAGAAGAUAUUUGGAUGAUUGUUGAUGAUUUGAGAGGAUUUAAAGAGAAUAUGAAAUGCCAAAAACUCAAAAGAUGAAAUGCAAUUGAGUAUAAACAAAAAAGGGAAUUUGACAGUUUUGACACCUAUUGGUAUUUCGGCUAUAUCUUGUGCUACAAGUAUCAGAUUGAAGUGAUUCUUUAGUUAUUUUGAACUUAACACAUAGCUCUACAAUUAUGAUGAAGACAUGAAAUCCAGUUCAUAAGGUUUCAUAGUCAAAAAGUCAAAAUACAUUCAGCCACUCUUGUUAUCAAAAGCUGAAACAGAGUUUUAACUAGUUAAAAGUAUUUUGGUUAUCUUUCAGGCCAUGGUGCUUCAAAUUAAGUUAUUCUUGAAGUAUUUGAAACCUAAAUUAAAGUUUAUGUUUUGCAGAAGAGCGAGUUCAGCCCCAUCAUCGAGAAAGUAUCAAUUAAAAUUGGUACAAAAAUAGAAUAAAGUUGAAGAUUGAUCAGAAAUGAGGAAACCUACAAUAAAGCAAAACAGAAGUAGAUAUUGAAUAUUUUCCAAAAGUUAUUAGGUAAAACCUAGACUUAGUUAAUUAAAGGCGUUAUCACAUUAAAUCAAAGCACAUUACUAAAGAGUUUUUGAUGGGGAGAAAUACCUCCAGAGAGUUCACCAAAAGCCCAAUAUGUAAGUCAAGAACCCAACUUUGAUCCAAAGGUUUAAACCAUUGGAUUUCGGGUCCUUACAUAUUAACUGCUCUUUCUUUAUCUCUCGGACCAAGGUGGGAUAUAAUCCUUUACUCAUGAAUCUGACAAAUUUCUCCCUUCAUGAGUAACCCCUCACAUUAAAUCCAAAUUUACCAACCCUUCUUUGAUCCCACUUUAAUAUUCAACGCAAUCUCAUCUUAUCACCUAAGGUCAUCUCUUCUCCCAAACAAGGACCCACUCUACUUCAACAUCCAAACUGUAUUCUAGACCCCUGCCAACCUUUAACUCCUUGGUCUAACACCAAUCGGACCCCCUGCCAAACUCAUGGCGCACCUGGUCCAACACUACCCAAACUUAUUAGCACUUUGGCACUUCGAUCCAUCAUCAGUAAGAGAAUUUUCACUGGUCCAACACGUAGAAGAAUCCACUAAGUCAUGAGUAGCUCUGUCUUACAACUUGAAACUCUAAUACCAAGUUGAUGAAAAUAAACACUUUGAGAGAGUGCAUCAAAGAGCCCAAUAUAUAAAUCAGGAACCCAACUUUGACCCAAAAGCUUAAGCCAUUAGGUCUUGGUCGCUUAUUUACAUAUUAACUACUAUGUCUCUAUCUCUCGGACCAAUGUGAGAUAUAAUCCUUCACCCAUGAACUUAACAGUUUUUACAUGCAUCUUUUUUUAUGUUUGUUUAAAAAAUGUGAUGUAUAUUUUACUCUAGAAAGAUGUGAUGGAUCACCAAUGAUGCCAUUAUCUUUGAUAUUAUCCCUUUGUAUGAUUGCAACAUUAAGUACAUUAAUUAUUUGAUCCUUUUGUUUGUCCCAACCAAUCAUGCAUAGAUCUCACGUAAUUAAUUUCCUGGUAUGGCUUGUAUAUAUUAUUGAUUUAGCCACACAAAAAAUUUAAAUUUUCUUGCGGAGACUUUUUCCAACUUGAAAUACACGCUUUUCUUCUUCUUCAUAACUCCAUUUUGGCAUGGCGAAAUGGAUUUUUUCUUUCUUUUAGAAGUCCAAAACAAUAAGCAAAAAAUACACAAUUUAUUGCAAAAAACAGAAAACAAAGAGUAUGAAUCAUUCAGAACCUGUUAAUUCUUGCACUGAAAAUGUGUUACAAAAUAUUUUAGUAUUCCAAGAGCUUAAGGAAGAAAAUAAUCCAAAAGAAUAGGGAAAAAAUACUUAAGUUCUGGCUUUCAGUCUCCUAUGCAAGCAAUCUUGCUGAUAUUCAAAAUUUUUAGGAAAAGGACAUCUAGUUGAUAAGCUUGCAUUCUAUGUGUUUAUGUGCAUUUUAUUAUUUAGUUUUGGUGUGUUUUAUUCACUCUUAUAGCUAAUUAACUACAUUUCUAGUGAAAUUUACAUUUUGUGGUUCAUAGUGUGAAAAAUUGCAUUUCUAUGGAUUAAAGUGGUGAAAAUUUUAUAUUUUUGUAGGUUUAAUGAUUUAAUCAUCAAAUGGAGUGAUUUGAGAAGAUAUUUGGAUGAUUGUUGAUGAUUUGAAAGGAUAUAAAGAGAAUAUGAAGUGCCAAAAACUCAAAAGAUGAAAUGCAAUCAAGUAUAAAAGAAAGGGAGUUUGACCAUUUUGACAACUGUUUGUAUUUCGGCUAUAUCUUGAACUACAAGCAUUAGAUUGAGUUGAUUCUUGAGUUAUUUUGAAACUAACACAUAGCUCUACAAUUAUUAUGAAGAUAUUGAAAUCCAGACCAUAAGGUUUCCUAGUCAAAAGGUCAAAAUACAUUCAGCCACUCUUGUUGUCAAAAGCUGAAAUAGAGUUUUGACACAUGUCGAGAGUAUUUUGGUCAUUUUUCAGUCCAUAGUACUUCAAAUUAAGUGAUUUUUGAAGCAUUUGAAAGCUAACUUAAGGUUUAUGUUUUGUAGAAGAGCUAGUUGAGCCUCUAUCAUAGAGAGAGUAUUAGUUAAAAUUUGUACAAAAAUAGAGUAAAGUUGAAGACUGAUCAGAAAUGGAAAAACCUGCAAUAAGGCAAAAUGAGGGGCAAUACGCGACCUUAUGCCCACGUUUUGAUGCCCGCGUAUUCUUCAAACGAACUUUCAACCUGUACAUCAACUUGUUCUACAUUUCACACAAUUUUUUCAACUAUUUUCCAAUUCAGAAUAUCGGUUGUAGCUGUAAAGAAAAGUGUGGAAACUUGGAGAAACACCUUUGAUAAUUUCAAGAGACAAAAUUGCCAAUUAAAAACAAUUCAUUUUGAGUUUUAAUUCUCUAAAAAUAGGGCCUUUGUUGAACUUGUUUAAUAACUUUGGAAGGCCAGAAACACUGCUAAAAUGUAGUUUUCACUAGUUUUUCUUAGUUCAUUAGUUUAGUAUAGAGUAGUAUAGUUUCCAUCCACUCUUGUGAUAGCUAAACUUGGUAAAGUUGAGGAUGAAAAUAUUGAGUUUGGAAAUCAUGUGACAAGGGUGACAUUUCUCCUAUCACUUUAAUUCUUAUAUUGAUUCUAAUGUUUGAUUAUAAUAUAAGUUUGGAUCUUGUUUUCAUGUCUUUCAUGUUUAGCUAAAGUUUAUACCUAGAGUUAUGAAUAAACUUUUUAUAUCUUGUUGCGAUGUUUAUUUGGUUAUUUGAUAAUAUUAUUUUGAUCAAGUUAUUUAUCACUUUUAUUUAUCUGAUCAUGAUUAACUGGCCAUUAAUUAUGAUAAUUUUAAGGUGUUAAGUUUACAAUGAAAAUUGGGAUUUGACACUAGUUUAAAAAAGUGAUAAACCUAGGAAGUACAUUCACGAGAGUAGAAGUGUACCUAUAUGGCUUUAGUGGCUUGUUCAUGUAAUUUCAUAGAAGAAGUGAACUUGUAAUUAAUUUUAUAACCACGAGAGUAUGCAUUAUUUAGUUACAAGUAUAGUUAAUUCACUAUGAGAGUAAAUUUCACAUACAUUAGAAAAUUAUGUCAUAACUAGUCAAGAUAAUAACAUUCAAUUAAACGGUAAUUUCACUUGCAAGACUAGUGUGGAAUUCCGUGACCCUAAGAGAUUUCUAUUGUUAUUUUUAUUACUUUGAUUUCAUGUUUAUUGUAUAGAUUUAACUUCUUGCACUUGUAAGAUUCUAAACAAUGAAGAAGUUCAAAAACCAUCAAUAAUUGACAAACUUCUUUGUGGGAUCGAUAUUUAAUAUCCCUAUACUGAAUAAACGAUCUGUAUACUUGCAAAAAAAUGGGGUAUUUAGAUUUUAUUAAAAUUGUUAUAUGGUAGAAUGUCGUCACUAGUAAAGUCAAAAAAUAAGACAAAUAAACUUCAGAAUUUUAAAUUUAGCAGACACAUACGCGAGGUUCCCUUUUUCCCUUUUCUCGUUCUCGGGUUUUAAAUGUGAGAGGUUAUAAAUUACAAAUUCGGUGACUUUUUGGUUGAAUUACAUUGUUAAGGUUUUCAUAAUUGUCAAACCUAAGAAAAGGACUCAAAGGAUCAUGUUUCGAAUCAUUCACUUCAAUUUUACCCUCUGGUUCCUGAGUGUUAAAAAAUACAAAAUUAUUUAUAACUAUGUUUGUUGUGUAAUUUUUAUGUUCUUUUUUUUCUUUUAUUUGCUUUCCAAUGCAUGAAAUGAUGACUAAUUAUGAUAUUCUUGAUGUGCGCGGAGUAUGCAUACAAGAAUAAACCUCAAUCCACAGUCAAGGUUUGAAUUUAUAAUUUUCUAAACUACCUCACACGCGAUUUUCUGUAAGUAUGGUUCGUGAGCAAGUAUAGGGUAAUUAAGGUAGAACCCACAGGGAAAAUGGACAACUACCGGCACUACUAAAGUUUCUCUAUUACUUAGACUAUCGACAAAUUAAAACAAACUAAUCUAAACCACUGAUGGGCAGAAAAAUAUAAAUGAAAGCUCCAUGAGUAAUGAAAUUACUAUCUAUUCAUGCUAGUGCAACUUCCUGACUAAAUUAGUACUAAAACCUCAACUAAGCCAUGGCUUAAUUUCCUAUGUACAUGAUACUUGCUUUCGCCGGCGUACCACCUAGACCUACAGCUAAUCCAUAUCUACUUUUGUGGUUAUGAAAUCAACUAUAAACUUAUUUACUUCUAUGAAAUCACUACAAAACAAGUCAUAAAGACGCACCACUAUUUUUGUGAGUGUACUCCCUAGAUUUAACACUUUCAUAAAUUAGUGUCAAAUUUAAAUUUUCAUUACAAAUCUAACACCCUUUAGAUAAUCAUAAUUAAUGACAAGUUAAUCAUGAUUAUGAGAGUCCAAGUGCUAAAUUACUCAAUCAAGAUAAUAGCCCAAAAUAACCUAGAAAUCAACACAUAACAACCAUAAACAAUCAUAAAUAGUCCACCCAAAUAUCCAAGGCAUAAACUUUAAAUAACAUUACAAACAUAAUAUCCAGAAUUUGCAUUAACAAAACUUAGAAUGCAAUACAAGAUAAAGAGGUGGAGAGAAGAAAAACCCUUGCCACUAGAGCUUCUUAAAUCUCUCCAGCUUCAUCUCUAUCAAUCUCUUUGUCAAGCCAAUGCAAGAAUGGAUCGACAACAACUAGAUUAUCUAACUCUAUCCUACACUAAAACAUGAAAAAGAAUGAGAAAAGUGCUACAUUUGUCGAGAGUUUAUGUCACAACCUGAUACAAUUCCUAAGAGUUGCCCAUGCCAAAUUUCAAGAUCAAACAAUAGUUCAUUGGGGUCUAAUGAAUAGGGUUAAAUUCAAGUCUCUUAUAUGUUUAUUCAAUCCAUGUUAGUGAGUGUUUCGUUGUUUGGUUGGUUUGAAUUAGCUCAUGUUGAGCAUAGGUUCGAUUUGACCAAUAGUUAGUCGUGUGGUUGGUAGAUUAAUUAAUUAGCUUAGCUUAGGUCCGGCCAACUACAGUGACAAACUAAAGUGAGUUAAAGCUGUGAGUUUCUUUUGUUUGCAAAAUUCUAAUUAGGUUAGGAGUUGAGUCUUGUAAGCCUAUAAAAAGGCAACUCUUUCAUUCAAUAGAGGAGACGACGAUUUUAUGAAAACGUGAGAGUUUAACUCUUUUUCUUGUUCUUUUGUGAAUGCCUCUUGACACAAAGUAAGUUAUGUCUCUUUUGUUCAAGUUUUGGUUUAUCAAUUCAAGAUCGCUUUGAAUUGUGACGCCUUACUACCUUCUAAAUAGUCUUGAACUGUCCUUGAUUGGUUUAGAAUCCAUCUUUUGUAUCUAUAAUCUAUUCAAGAUAGAUCGUUCCGUUGUCUGAUCAACCUGGUUCUUCAAAAUAGGUUCUUGCUGGGUCGAGUUCGCAUCACAACCCCUUUGUCUUCCGACUCAAGUAUUCAACACGGUAUUUGAAAUGAAUUUCAACCAUCUGGCACCAUAUACUGCUAGCAACUCUUCUUCGGAAAAUCCUUGAAGAGUAUCUAGCGCGACUAUCUCUAUCUAACACCAUAUACUGCUCAAUACCCUUUCUAUUGCAAAACCUUCUAGCGGGUAUCCGGUUUAGUAUCUGACUCGAAAUUCAUUGUGUAGUCCCGUAUACUCUAAUCAAAUCCAAUGAUGACUUUUGGUAACUGGUCCCGGAUUGUCCUUGCUUGUUGAUCCCUACCAAAAAUAAUAAAUUUUAACAAGUAAAAUGCAAUGAAUUCACAAGUCUUCUCAAAGUUAUUCAAAAGCAUCAAAUACUGCCAAAUGAUUAUUCACAUUGUCGUAGGAGCUCAAAAUUAAUUAUAAUUGAACUAAAAUAUACAUAAACUAUUAGAUAAAAUGGACACUUGUCAAUUUUGUUGCGUAAACCUUAUUCAAUUUACACUAAUUAUUCAUGAUUAUUGUUCCUAUUUAAAUUACAAAUAAAAUUAGUAUCAACUUUCACUUUCAAUUGAAAACUCCUACCACUUUCAAAGGAAAAGAGUAGGGCCUAAGAGUCCAGUUAAAAAUCUCUAGUUACCUGAUUAUUGUCCCUAUUACGUAAAGAGAGGCCUACAUUCAUUUUUUUUUUGCCCUUCUGGAAGUUGCAUUUCAAUUUAUCUAUAAAAGGUGGCACCUAGUGGAAGCUUAUAAGUGUAGUAGGGAACUCAAACGAAGCAAUAGCAAACCAAUUCACAUUUCUGAACGGAAAGGCAAAGAUGCAUACACUUCCAAAUGAGCAAAUAAUUGCCUUCUUCUUCAAACAUUCUAUCUCAUUACUUCUUUGUUUCCUCUUCACUAUCUUUGUUGUCAAAUGGCGAAAUUCCACUUCAAACAACUCACAAAACCUUCCACCUUCCCCUCCAAAGCUACCCAUAAUCGGAAACCUUCAUCAACUCGGUUCAAUCCCUCAACGCUCUCUGAAAGCAUUAGCUCAAAAAUACGGUUCCCCAAUGCUGCUUCAUCUAGGCAGCAAGCCGGUGUUAAUUAUCUCCUCCCCUGAUGCAGCUGAAGAAGUCAUGAAAACGCAUGAUUUAAUCUUUGCCAAUAGGCCUAAAGCAGGCUUUGCUGGAAGGCUUCUGUACAAUUUCAAGGACAUAGCGUUUGCUUCCUAUGGUGAGUAUUGGAGGCAGGUAAAAUGCAUAUGUGUACUACAGCUUCUAAGCCACAAGAGGGUUCAGUCAUUUCGAAGCAUAAGGGAAGAAGAGAUUGCACUAUUGUUGGAAACAAUUAGAGAAUCUUGUGCUUCGUCUUCAGUAAUACUUAUAAAUAAAAUUUUGGCAACGCUUACGAACAAUAUAGUUUCGAGAGUUGCCAUUGGGAAAAGGUAUUCGGGAGAGGAAAGUGGGAGCAGGUUUCAGGAACUCUUUGUGGAACUUACCAUGUUGUUGGGUGUUUUCAACGUUGGAGAUUACGUCCCAUGGCUUGCAUGGAUAAAUAAUAUCAAUGGCUUGGAAGCAAAGGUGAAAAAAGUGGCCAAAAAUUUCGAUGAAUAUCUGGAAAAACUUCUUGAAGUGGGAGUGAAGAAGCAGGACAAAAGAGGAAACAAGAAUGGUGGUGAUGAGAAACAUCAGCAGAAUCUUGUGGAUGUUUUGCUUGAAAUCCAGGGAACAGAUGCCACCAAUUUUGCUCUUGAGCGAGAUUCCCUUAAAGCCAUCAUCAUGGUAAAGAAAAUUAACUUUCUUCUGAUUAUCUUCCGAGCUACAGUUUUACAGUUCUUUUGUUAAUACGUAAGUUUGCAGUGUUUGGUCUGUCAAUGGUGAAUUGCAUAUGUUUUUUUUUUUUUUUUUUGUAUAAAAUGCAAAGCUGAUGGGAAUGGGAUUUGAGCUUUGGUUUUCUGAGAAUUGAUUUUCAAAAACUCACACAAAUCACCUGGGAAAAAUAACAAAUUCAAAUAAAGAAGUAUAGCAUCGCCUUAUCUCGCGCGCAGACUUAGUACAAAACAUUUUGUUGUCCGCUGAUUAGAUCAUGACACCAUCCGGGAUAUUUCUAUGUCUCCUCAUAAUGGAAUGAUACUGGAAUAUUUUUUCUAUUCAAACAUAAGUUAACUAGCUUUCACCAUAUUUGCAAACAGUUUGAAACCACCCUAACCAUUUAUUAUGAUUUUGACAUACUAUGUGAGUCAGUUGAUGCACUCUUUUAUCUUGGUUGUGUGACUUUGGUCCAUAUCGAAUGAUACAAGCAAUGAGUUAAGAAUAGAGUGAAAAGCAAAAAUUAGCAACGUAAUAUAAAGGUCCAAGGUUGAGUUAGUUCGUUCAUUAACUUCUUUGUCUUCUGAAUAGGUAUCUAUACUUUUGAAUAUUCAGUGCAAUAAUUGAGUAGAAUUCAAAAGUUUUAGCUGUACAAACUAUUCUUAUUAUAACAUAGACAAGUAGACUAGGAAUAAAGUCUUUAUGAGGUUGGUCCCUAUGACGUAUAGCUGAAAGAACAAGCAAUUUUGAGUUUGCAAUCAUGCAAACACCAAAUCAAAAUAUUAGUUUUCAUGUAGCUUGUGUCGGAAAUUUGACAUAGAACUUUCUAUGUCCCGAUUUUAUUAUUAUUAUUUUUGUUUUUGCAGGACAUGUUUGUUGGUGGAACUGACACUACAUCAUCGCUGCUAGAGUGGACAAUUUCAGAGCUAUUAAGAAACACAAAUGCCAUGCAAAAAUUGCAUAAAGAAGUGAGACAAUUCUUAGGAAGCAAAUCAUGCAUCAGGGAAGAUGAUUUAGAGAAUCUCCAUUACCUAAAAGCAGUAAUAAAAGAGGCUCUUCGUUUGCAUCCACCAGUUCCAUUACUUCUUCCUCGUGAAUCAAGCAAGGCAGUCAAAAUAAUGGGAUACGAUAUAGCUGCCGGCACUCAAGUGAUUAUCAAUGCUUGGGCGAUCGCAAGGGACCCAAAAUUGUGGGAAGCUGCGCGCCGAGGAAUUUCAGCCAGAGAGGUUCUUGAAUAGCUCGUUGGACUUUAAAGGGCAAAAUUUUGAGUACAUCCCAUUUGGUUCUGGGAGGAGGAGCUGCCCUGGUUCUGCGUUUUCUAUGGUUACAGCUGAACUUGCACUUGCAAAUUUGAUCUGCAACUUCGAUUUUCAAUUGGCUGGUGGAGCAAGACCAGAAGAUUUGGAUAUGACUGAAGCACAUGGGAUCGUUACACCAAGGAAAGUCCCACUUCUACUAGUUGCAAGUCUACCUAAUUAGGCACUUCAAGAUCUAAGAUAACAUGUCGGUAGAUAUGUGUAUAUUAUUCUAUCUUGUCACAACUUUAAAUUUGAGAUGGAGUCUGAUGGGAAAAACUUUUAAAAUGGUGAAAUAUUGCAUUAUCAGUAGCAUUGUGUCCUUGUAUGUAAAAUGUGUGAUUUUGACACAGUAGCAUUGUGUAUGUAAAAUGUGUGAUUGUGUCCUUGUAUGUAAAAUAUGUGCUUGUGUCCUUGUAUUUAAAAUGUAUGAUUUUGUCACUAGCUCAUUCUGGGGAUUUUAGAUUUGUUCGGAAUCAUAAUGGUCUAUAGGGCGGACUAAAUGAUUUUUUCUUGGGUAAAUUGCUCAUAACCUACUGUACUUUUUUAUGAUACCAGAUGGCUAUUCUGUGAUUGCAAAAUAUCUACAUAACUCCCUUUUAUUGUUUUAUAUAAAGCGAAAUUUAAUCAAAAAUGAUCUCUAUAACAUCACUAGUUGAAAUACUAAUAUUAUCCUUAUUUAAGUACUAAAUUGAAUAAGGGUCCAAGAAUAUUACAUAAAAAUCGUGAAUUGAUGCAAAAUCAGAAGGGUUAAAUGAAUAUUUAUGCAAAAUUAUAGGGCUUGAGUGAAUAUUUAUACAAAAUUUUAGGACGUUAAGUGGAUAUUAUUAUUUUAUUACAUGUACUUUUGGAGUGCGUCUCAGUCAAUUGUGUUAACCAAAGAUGUUUUCCAUCUAUUUUUCACUUUAUAUAAAAUUAUAGGAAGUUAUGUGAAUAUUUUGAAACUUUUGGGAGUCAUGUGAUAGUAUGCAAAAGCACAGAGAGGCUUAUGAGUAAUUUACCCUACUUUCUUCUGUGCUUUUGAUUCAAUAAAGAUGUGUGAUUUGAUGCAUGUAAAAUAAACAUAAUUUCUUUUUCAUACAUGAUACCUAUGCUUAACAAAAUCUUGAUUGCGAACAAUAGUAAACUAAUGUUGAGUGUUUAUUUCUUUUUAUACCUUGAUAUUAGUGCACCACAAUUAUGUUUUUUCAUUCUAGCUCAUUUUGAACAUACCAUGGGUUGGAUUUCAAAAGACCAAUUCCAAAAUUAGAAGUCAUCAUCAUAACAUUUGGCUGCAACAUGUUGCAGUAUUUUGUUUUCCUACAAAUUAGAAAAAGUUCCACUUUGAAUUUAGCAAAGUACCAUGUUAUGAUGGUGAUGAUCAACAUCGGGAGAUGAGGAUCAGAUACUGAUGAUGAUGAGCUCAAUAGCUACUCGAGCAAAUGGACAGUUAGUUUUACUAGUUGGUAACAAAAGUUAGUCGUAAUAACUGCUCCAGUCGGUUAGACAAUCCAUCGAGUUGAACAACUGCCCAUAGCUGGCUAUAUAGAGAUGUAUGGAAGAGAUGUAAAGAUUCAUUCUGUUUUGUAGGAAAAAACCCCCCAGUAUUAAUACUCUCAUCAUUUCCUUCUCCAAUCUUUUCUUUCUCUUCUAUUUCUAUCUCUCUCUCUUUCUAUCUAUUCUGGAUUCUGCUUAUUAAAGCAGGAUCAAUUAAUUCCAUAUCUAAAAUUGAAAACCAACUUUUCCAUAUGAUUCAUUCUUCAAGUUAAUUGUAGGGCAAAAAAUGAUAUCUUCUUCUAUGCUCUGAUUCGGUAAAGACGUGUGAAUUGACCCCAUGCAGAUACACAAUAUCUUUUCCUAAGCAUCUUUUUUAAAAUCUAUUUUCUUAUACCUAAAUAUUAUUACAUCACAACCGUCUUCAUUUAUACCAAUUUAAGAUGAACAUACUACAGGCUGGAAUUCAAAAAAAAAAAACUUGGUUUUUUUAUCUCAAUCUCAAAUAAAAAAAAACGUGCAUCACGAUAGUACAAUUAUUUGAUGGUGACAAUGUGCAGUGCUUCCUUUCACUUUGAUUCUUUUUUCUUCACAAAUUUUGAUUCAAUUCAUCUUUAAAACAGGUAUUAGUGGAAGGCAAGUGCAGUAGGGAUCCCAAAGAAAAGAAAGCAGUUCUCAAUUUCAGAAAAUAAUUUAGAAAUGUACACAUUUCCGAUUGAGGAAAUUAGAGCAUUAUUUUUAAAACAUUCAAUCUCUUUCUUUCUUCCUUUCCUCGUGAUCAUAUAUGUUCUCAAAUGGCGCAAUUCUACUUCAAACACGUUGCAGAACCUUCCACCUUCCCCACCAAAGCUUCCCAUAAUCGGAAACCUUCAUCAGCUCGGUUCAAUCCCUCAACGCUCUCUGAAAUCAUUAGCUCAAAAAUACGGCUCGCCAAUGCUGCUUCAUCUAGGCCGCAAGCCAGUGUUAAUUAUCUCCUCCCCUGAUGCAGCUGAAGAAGUCAUGAAAACUCAUGAUUUAAUCUUUGCUACUAGGCCUAAACCAGUCUUUGCCGGGAGGUUACUCUACAAUUUCAAGGACAUAACGUUUUCCCCCUAUGGCGAAUAUUGGAGGCAGGUAAGAAGUAUUUGUGUACUUCAGCUUUUGAGUAACAAGAGGGUUCAGUCAUUUCGAAACAUAAGAGAGGAAGAGAUGGAAAUAAUGUUGGAAAAAGUUCGAGAAUCUUGUGCUUCUUCUUCAGUCAUACGCAUUGAUGAAAUUUUGGCAACACUUACUAACAACAUUGUUUCAAGGGUUGCCAUUGGAAAAAGGUACUCAGGAGAGGAAAGUGGGAGCAAGUUUAAGGAAAUAUUUGAGGAUUUUACUAUGCUAUUGGGUGCUUUUAACGUUGGAGAUUACAUCCCAUGGCUUGCAUGGAUUAAUAAUGUUAAUGGCUUGGAAGCAAAGAUGAAAAAAGUGGUCAAUGAUUUUGAUGAAUAUUUGGAAAAGAUUGUUGAAGAGGGAAUGAAGAGGCAGGAGGAAAAGAAAAGCGGUAGUGAUGGUAAUGAUAAGAAACAGCAGCAGAAUUUUGUGGAUGUUCUGCUUGAAAUCCAGAAAACAAGUGCUACUGGUUUUGCUUUUGGGCGAGAUUCCCUUAAAGCUAUCAUCCUGGUAAAGAAAAUUAAUUAUGUGCAUUUUUUUCUUCUUCUUUUUUGGUUCUCUCUCAUUACAAUUUAAUUUAGCAUAUGGAUUUGCUGUUCUUUACUUCCAUUCUAUCCUAGGAUACAGAAAUUGAUGUUUGUUGCGUCCAGGCUGAGGCAUUUUUGCUGACUAAAUUUUUUAAAAGACUAGAAUAAUUAGUAUCGAGGGCUGAUACAUUUUCUUUUUAUUUUCAUAAUAAACAAAAUUAACAGUUUGCCCUUUUUUUAUUCAUCAUACUCUCUGAUUUUUUUUUUAAAUGUUGGGUACGAAUUUGGACCCUGGUUCUAAGGCUUAAACUCCCUACAGAUGGCUAACUUACCUAUGGCAAGUUCCUUCAUUAGAAUUUAAUUUUGGCUUAUAGAUCUCCUAUUUUAAGAUAAGAAUAGUGUUUGGUAUGUUGAGGUCGGAAUUGCAUAUGUUUUACAUAGAAUAUGCGAAUUUAAGGGGAUUUAGGAUGGGGUUCUAUCUCUAAAUUGAUCUUUAAAAACUCGACAAAUAACCUAUGAAUAAUAAAUAAUUCAAAUUAAAAAAUAAGAACGUAAUUGUAUAUAUGUUUCCACCAUUAUUGCAAGCAGUUUCAGUCCAUUCCAAUCACUUUUAGUGUUCAUAACCUACUAUCUGGAACGCUUGAUGUAUUCUUUUAUCUUGAUUGUAUGUUUUUGCUCAUUUCCAAUGAUACCAGCAAAUGGUGAAACAAACAAUCAAUAAGUUAUGAAUACUAGGAUGAAAACCAAAGGAAAAAAAAAAUCAACAAAACUAAAUAAGGUGCAAGGUAGUGUGUUCAUUAUUGACUUGUGGUAUCAUCAUCUCAAAAUGGUUUGGUAAAACAACAACAUAUUUUGAAAUUAUUGUAAUUAAACUAUCAAUUUUAGCACUUAAUACAUUGAUAUAUCAAAUUGUGAGACAUCCUUCAAAUCAUUGAAAAGUAAUGAAUUUCUCCUAAUAUGUUAUAAUUGAAGUUCAUUUAUUUAUUUAGGAGUAACAAAUGGCGAAUCUAUUGGUUUUAAAUCCAUUUGAAUAAUGUGUUACAAAUUAAUGAUAUGCUAACCACUGAUAGUUUAGGGGCUUUAUUAAAUGGUCUUGACCACAUGGAGCCCAACAAUAGUCCUAAAUCAUAAAUCUUAUUUCUUUUUUAUGGAGUGUGAUUGGGGCAAGGUAGCAAUCAUGCAACCGCCAACAUGAAAAAAUAAAUAAAAAAAAAAACAAAGAAAGAAAGAAGAAGAAGCAGAAGAAGAACAAAUCACGUUAUGUUUGUCAAGUGCAAAUGCAAGUUGGGAUUCUCCAAGUUGACCCAAGUUUGCUUAUCAGGUUGAUAGGAAAAAUCAUUUUUUCAGACGACUUAUUUCUUUUUCCAAUUUGCUUAUCCAAGUUGGCCCAAAUGGAAGGAUUAGCUAAGUAUUGGAGUGUUAAAUGUUGCAGGACAUGUUUGUUGGAGGAACUGAUACUACAUCUGCAUUGCUACAGUGGGCAAUUUCUGAGCUGCUAAGAAACACAAAUGCAAUGCACAAACUGCAAAAAGAAGUGAGACAAUUGCCAAGAUGCAAAUCAGGCAUCACAGAGGAUGAUUUAGAGAAUCUCCAGUACUUAAAAGCAGUAAUCAAAGAGACACUUCGAUUGCAUCCACCAGUUCCAUUACUUGCUCCUCGUGAAUCGAGGAAGGCAUCCAAGAUAAUGGGAUAUGAUAUUGCUGCCGGUACUCAAGUGAUCAUCAAUGCUUGGGCAAUGGGAAGGGACCCAAAAUUGUGGGAAGAUGCCGAGAGUUUUUGGCCGGAGAGGUUCUUGAAUAGUUCUGUGGACAUUAAAGGGCAACAUUUUCAGUUCAUCCCAUUUGGUGCUGGAAGGAGGAGCUGCCCUGGCGCUGCAUUUGCCAUGGUUACAGCUGAACUUGCACUUGCAAAUUUGGUGUUCAGCUUUGAUUUUGAAUUGGCAGGCGGAGCAAGGCCAGAGGAUUUGGAUAUGACUGAAGCUCCUGGUAUUGUUACACCAAGGAAAAUUCGUCUUCUACUACUUGCAAGUCUUCCUAAUUAGGUAGUUGCAAGCUAUUAUACUAUCAGCAAUUAGGUAAUCACUUUUGGUAUUGGCGUGGAGUUCAAUCAAGAAAACUUUAUGAAGGUUUAAUGAUUUAUUAUUGCUCUUGCGGGCAAAUAAGAUGGUAUUUGAGUUCGAAAAAUGUUAUGGUCACAACAAGAGGUAAUAUGAUUUUACCUUUCAAAAGUGCAAAAAUAUUUUGAAACGUUUCAAAGAUGCUAUUAUGGCAAGAUUACUUCAAUAGAUAGUGAAUUUUUUAAAACUUGAGAUCUUUCAUUAAUACUUCCUUCUCCCAAACUAUCCAAUCCAUCUCUCCCCCUAAUAGAUAGCAAACUUAAUUAUACGUAAGACACAUAUAGCAUAGCAAACGAGUCGAGUCGAAUUGAAUUUUGAGCUAAUCUAAUUGAGUCUCGAACCAAUUUUAUCAAACUCGAACUUAAACUUCACAAGAGCUCAAUUUUAACCUUUAGUUUUUCUUGGAUAAUAUUAAGGGAUUUCAGGCCAGAUUCGAGGCAGAAACUUGAACCAUGGGAACUUGAAAUGAACUGCUUCAUAAGAACGCGAUCCGUUAGGGUAUCCGUACGCUAAUAAGUGUAGUGGGACAAUGUCCAUUCGACCGUCCCAGAAACAGCAUACCAUUCUUUGCCCUCCAUAUGUAAUAUACAUUAAUUGACAGGGCCAGCUUCAACAAAUUUUGGUAGGUGCAGGAAAGUGAAUGACCGAAUCCACUAAAUAGUGAUGCCAAUUAUAAGAGCCUGUAAAGGUGAAGCACAAACCCUGAAUCUUUCUCCACCCUGCAGUGGAAAGAGCACAAGGUGAAGAUGAUCGUGUGUUUCUUCAGCCUGCUGGCACAAUGCUUGUUUUAUCUUCUCAAGGAGUAUUUUAAGUCUUACAAGGGAACAGUUUGAGAAUUGAACCAAACAGUUGAGAUUGAGUGUUUCUAUGAUGGCCAUAAACGAUAGGUACCGCAUGUUGUAGAUAGGUAUAUCGACAAGUGUAAAGGAAAAUUAAAAUCAACUGCUCCAAUUUAGGUCUUUGGGCAAUGUAAUACAAAAACAGAAAACGGAGAAUAAUAUACCACAAUGUUCAAAACGAUUAGAAGAUUUUCUGCUUUCAUGAGACUAUAAUGGAUCUAAGAACUAAUGGGCCGAAAGAAAUACCAAAAUUAAAAGAUCAAAAUUGUGGCCUUCACAUUGCUGUGCAAGCAAUCUUGUUUAGGAGGACGGAUUUUAAGUAAGGGACCUGAAAUAAAUUAAGAAACUAGAAUAAAAACCAGAAAUAAGACUAUGCAUGUCAGAUCUUCAAAUAAAUUAUAUAAAAUUUACUUUUAGAAUAAUAUUUAGCAUUUUUGUGAUGUAAUAUAUAUGACAUAAAUGUGACCGAUCAAAUAAAAAGGUGAUGAAAAAUUGUGUUUGUAAUCUAGCAAAAAGAAAAAACUUUUUUUUUCCAAAUUACAAGAUAUCCAAAUGGUAGGCUAUUAUUUGUUUUUAAUAGUAGGCAAUUCAAUUUUAGCCGAGACAUGCAUGAAUCUUUUUUCAUUUACUAUUUAUUAUUAUUUUCAAUAAUGAGAAGGCCAGAGGAGUGACAAGACCAAACACAGACAUGUUGGAUGCAUCAAAAGUUAGCGGGCAUAAACGGACGUAUACAUGAGGCUGUAGAUUUGUAAGCCGUAACUGUCAAAAUCUGAGACAAUGAUUCGAGGAAACAAGUUGUGAAUCAUCGUUUUCGUUUUUAAUUUCACCCACUUCAAUGAAAUUCAAAUUGAUUGUGACUCUUUGGUCCCCUUGUUAAAACAUACACCAUCCAUUCCAUAAUUUGCGUGAUCUUUAAGGAAACGUCCAUUCAAGAAAACAUUUAAUUGUGGCGUUUAGAUGUGGUCAAUUUGGAUGUAUAUACACCAUAAAUCUAAAAUUCAAGUUCGAUAUUAGCCUGCGAGAAAAACAAUCUCACUAAGUAACAAGAUAAGAAAGGUAAUAGGGUAGAAACAAAGAAAGGAGAUGCAAUGAAAGAAAGAGAAAAAUGCUGUGACUCUUACUUUGAGACGUCCAAAAGGUAAAAAAAAUAACGCUGAAAGGAGACGCAAUGACUACAUUAUUAGUAAUUGUGCAUUUUGUAAAUUGUGAUUAAAUGCUGUCCGAUACAUGGAUUAUUUAUGGUUGUUGUUGUUACAAUAUUUUUCCUACAGUUACCACGAAAUAACUCUAAUUUCUAUAAAGAAAUGACCCCUAAAGGUUUUCUAGUAUGUUUUGAGCAUUCAUCACAUCAAAAAAAUUUCUCUCCUUCAUCCACAAUAUUUUGCAACUAAAAUUUUUAAAAAAAACUAUGUCCCUAGUUUUUCAAAUUCUUUUCCUUGCUCUUCUUCUAGAUGUUGUUCAUCACACUAUAUGGAAGAACUAGUCCAAGAAACCUGUCAAUGUGGUAAAAUAGCACCCUUGAGAAGAUCUUAGACACCGAAAAAUUCUAGAAGAAAAUUUCUUGGAUAUUCAAAUUAUACGGUUUGAUUUUUACGAUAAACUGAUUAUUUUUUUGUACUUUUUGGAAAAAUAAUUUGAAAUACGAAAAUUUUUUAUCUAGAAUCAUCAUACAUGUGAUUACUUCAAAUGGAUAGAUCCGAAACUUUAUGCAAAAUAAAAGAAAUAUGAGCAAUAUCCGGCCCAAACCUGUGGACAUUUGUGUCAAUUCAUUAUUUUUUAAGGAUAGUAUUGUUCUUUUGAUGUCAACCGUCAACACCGUUACUAAAUGUUUGCAUUGACUACCAAUGAAAGGAAUAAAGUGAGAACAAUAAUAUGUUAGAGUGCAACUGUAAAACACACCAAACCUUUGGAGGACUUCUUGUAAUUAACCCUAAAAAAAAAUUACCUCGGUUGUAAUCUAAUAUAGAUCAUUUGCUUUGUAAAGCAUUAGCCACAAAAUCAUUAGCCCCCUCUCCUUGUAGCUUUUUUCAAAAUCAUUAAUAAAAUCCCUUGUACGGGAUUUGUUAUUUUUAAAAAAAAAUUAGCCACAAAAUGAGUUUGUACGUACCCCACAAGCUAAUACAUCACUCAUUCAUGUGUCAUUUUCCAAUUAACCGUCCGCUAUUUUAUGUUUGGACCAAGAUGAAUGGCAAUAUAUGUGUCUUACAUGCUCCCAACAAAAAUUGGAAUCACCAAUACAUUACUAUCUACGUGCAUAAAAGUACCUAUCAAUUUUUCCACAUUGAAUGAAAUGUUGUGGAAAGAUGCUGAGGAGUAUGUUCCAAAUACUUUUCCACAAUAUAUACUAUCUACAUUCAAAAUACUUUCAAAUUUUCACAAUAUGUUCACUUUCCAAUACAUUUUGAAAUUCUGGAGAGAUGCAGAGGAGUUUAAGCCAGAGAGGUUCUUGGAUAGUCCUGUGGACUUUAAAGGGCAACAUUUUCAGUUCAUCCCAUUUGGUUCUGGAAGGAGGAGCUGCCCUGGUCUGCAUUUCCCUUGAUUACAGCUGAACUUGCACUUGUAAAUUUGAUAUGUUACUUUGAUUUUGCCUUGGCUGGUGGAGCAAGACCAGAAGAUUUGGAUAUGACUGAAGCUCCUGGGAUUGUUACACCAAGGAAAAUCCCUCUUCUCGUAGUUGCGAGUCUAGCUAGUUAGGCACCAGCAAUUAAGAUGCUAUGUUUAUGUACCUAGGUGCUCUUCUAUUUCACCAAUGAGGUUGUGAAUUUGAUUUUUGGCAUGUUGGUUAAUUCAGAAACUUGAGAAUGUUAUACUGAAAACAAAAGGUAAUAUAAUUUGACUUUUUGAAAGUUUGAAAGUAUUUUAGAAUGCUUCAAAAAAAAAAAAAAAAAAAACCAACAUGACAAGAUUAAUGGGGCGGGAUAGAGGUUGUACAAAAUAUUUAUGUCAGUCAUGAUCAACUACUUAGCAGGUCUGCCAUUUUGGUCCAGGUGAAUGAAAGAGUUCUAUAUGGACGUACAAAUCCUCUACUUGAUUCUAUAAUGAUUUACUUGGGAUGUAAAUUAGAAUAAAGUAGGUUUUUGCAUGUUCACAUGCAACUAUCUCAUUAAUUUUAUAUCAAUUACUUGCCAUACCAAAUAGUUGAUCAUGACCGACAUAAAAUUUAAAAAAUAUGUCCCAACAAAGAUUCGCCGCAGAAGACAUCCGGAUCAAGAGAUCAUCCAAAUGAUAGUAGUAAUUGAAAGCGUGGACAUGGAAAUCUAUAGUACCAACUGUAACUUUUUAUUCUAUCACUAAUUCUUGUAUUCAAUUUUUUUUUUCCUUUUAUUGAUUUAGAGGUGGAAUUUUAAUUUAAGAAGAGGGGACAGAAACGGGAAAAUUUAGAAUCAAGGGUUUCUUUUUUUGGGUUUUUCAAGAUAAUAGAAGUAAAAGCACAACGCACUAGAGAGGGGAAUAACUGAUCCAUAUAGGCUUCCAAAAUUUUUAGCAUACUUUUAUUAUUAACUCAUGAACUUCAUUGUGCAAUUUAUAUGUGGGGAUUUCAAACCACUAGACAAGAGCUCAUUAGCUUAAAUUAUGACUUUGUUCGUACACUUUUGACGUUGCUAUAUAUGUAUUUUACAAAAAAAAAUUUCACUUAUACAAAGAUUGCUUGUAACCCAAAGAGGUUGGUUGUAAAGUCAUAAAUCUCAGUUCAUGGUUAAUAGGUUUCAUGUUUUAAUGGCCGUAAACAACCAACAUGUGUCCAGUCAGUAUUUGCAUUUAUUGAAAAGGUUUUAUUCAUCUUUCAAACAUUUUUUUUUUUUGUGGAUUAACAACCUAGUAAAUUUGAAGAAGCCUUGAAUCCCUUGUCGUUUUUUAAAUUUCAUCUCUCUCUGUUAAAAAAAAAUUGAUCGUGUAUUGACCAAACAUUUAUAUAUAUGGUUGAAUCCCCUACAACUUGUACGAGGGUAAUCCAAGACAUUCCGUUUGUACUAGCGGAAGCAAUUUCUUUACGAGCAAAUAUUUUGUACCUAUAAAUGUUGGACAUUGAUUGGAUAAUUUAUGUAUUUCUAUUCAUCUUCAGCUAAAUGAAGGUGGGAAAAGAAGGAUUUGUCAAAGUUUCUUCCAAACCAAAAGAUAAGUAACUUGACAAGUAAUAGAUCUCAUACUUGGCAACAAAUAGACUUUGACAAACUUCAUCAACUCUUACAUGUCAAAGAAAAGGCCCAAGUGAGAUUUUGGUGUCCAAAGUUGAGAUUUUGGCAUAUCAGGCCAUGGCAUGUUUCAUGGCACAUCAGGCUGUGCUUAACUUUAGUUUCUUGCCAGUUGCCAUCCUUCAACAAAUACUUUCUGAGAUUUUUUUUUUUUCAACAAACGAACAAAUACUUUCUGUGAUUCAAUCUGGUGAAAAUGUCCAAAAGUGAAAACGGGGCCAAGAUUGUGAAAUUGUUUCGGCCAGUUUUCUCAUUGACAAGUGACAUCGUUCAUAUAUAACUUACAGAAGUCGGACCAAAUCCAAGAAAACAAUUUGGAUAAAUCACACUUUAUCCUCCUGUGGUUUAGUUUUUUUUUCUACAUAAUCUCUCUAUGAUUUCAAAAGUUAUACAUAACCUCCUUAUGAUUUGGAUUAAAGUGUCAAAAUGACGAAAAUGAUCAUUCGUAACAGAACUUUUAAAAAGGAUUAAUCACAUUUUAUACCCUUAAAAAAUACCCCAUUUUUCAGUUUACCCCCUAACCUUUAAUUUUGCUCACUUAACUCCCUUUAGAACAAAAUUGCCCUUGCAUUAUUUUGACUUUUCAUUUGCCUUGUUUUCCUUUCUUUUAUUUCUUUUUCUCUUUCUUUUUUAUUUAAUUCUUCCUCUUUCCCACAAAAAUUUUCACCUUAAUUAUUGAAAUUAAAAAAAGGAAUUGUAGAGAUCUAUCUUCUCUUUAAAUGAUUAAAAAAAUAUUCAAAUCACUUUCCUAAAAUACAAUUUUUUUUAGCCUUUCAAUUCUUUUAAUUUUGGGUUUUCCUCUUUCCUUUUUAGUUUCUCAUUUUAUUCUCAAAAAAAUAUCAUAAGAUGAAAUUAUUUUCCUUUCUUUUAUUUCUUUUUCUCUUUCGUCUCUCUUUCAUCCUUCCCAAUAGAAAUUCCAUUUCAACGAAAUUUUUUGUUUUAAGUUUAUAAUUGCAUAUUUUUGGGUGAAGGUUUAAAAGGUAUCAAAAACUAAUUUUGAUUUUUUGUAUGAUGCCACGUGUCACAAAUUUCAAUUGAUGAUUAUUAAUCAGGUCACAAUUUCAUCUUAAGAUAUUUUCUUGGGAAUAAAAUGAGAAACUAGAAAGGAAAGAGGAAAACCCAAAAUUUAAAAAAUUGAAAGGCUAAAAAAAUUGUAUUUUAGGAAAGUGAAUAUUUUUUUAAUCAUUUAAGGAGAAGGUAGAUCUCUGCAAUUUCUCUUUUUUAAUUUCAAACAUUAAGGUGAAGAAUUUUGUGGGAAAGAGGAAGAAUUAAAUAAAGAAGAAAGAGAAAAAGAAAUAAAAGAAAGGAAAACAAGGUAAAUGAAAAAUCAAAAUAAUGCAAGGGCAAUUUUGUCCUAAAGGGGGUUAAGUGAGCAAAAUUAAAGGUUAGGGGGUAAACUAGGAAAUGAGGUAUUCUUUAAGGGGAUAAAAUGUGAUUAACCCUUUUAAAAAUGUUGAAAUUAUCCUUAAAAAUACAUGAUACACUAACCCUGUAUGUUUUUAUAUUUUAUCAUAUAAUCCCCUUAUAGUUUAAUACUUUACCAUAUAACCCCCUUAUAAUUUUCAAAAUAUACACAUAACCUCUCUUAGUUAAUAAAUAAUUUUCAACUUUACAUAAAGGUAUUUUUGAUAUUUUAGGUAACUCUGUUAAAAAUGAUUGAUUAUUUUCAUCACUUUAACACUUUAAUUCAAAGCAUAAGGGGGUUAUGUAUAGAUUUUAAAAUCAUACUGAAUUAUAUAAAAAAUGCUAAACCAUGAGGGGUAAAGUGUAAUUUACCCAAACAAUUUUGAAGUCAAGCACCUAAGUUGAAUGUGUUUCGAACUUCAGUAGGUAAAGCACAAUUCUAAUUGAAGGCGUUAUCACAACAUCUGAAAAUACAUAUGAUGUUGAAUAUUUCUACCUUCACCAAAGGUAUCGGAAUCCGAUCGGAACCGUAUCUAUCACACAUGAAGCGUCUUAUUGAUUAGAGAAGCACGAGCGCAUCACAAAAGUUACAGAUGCUGGGUUCAACGGUUUCUUUUAUUUUUAAUCCUUCUCUUUCUUUUUCUUCUAUCUUCCCUCCCAAUUCUUUUCCAUCACUGAAGAUGCCACGAAUAAAAUUUUGAAAAACACAAGUCUCCAACCUAUGAUCAAUCCAUUUCUAUCACCAGAUUUGUGAAGCUAUCUGAAUUAUCACCAGAUCAGACGGGUGUAUUACAUUCGCUUAGAUUUUUUAAACAGAACCACUUUAAUGUGAUAAAUUGGUGGGAUGUAAAUCCACCAAAUUUUAAUGCAUUAAUGGUGGUCACCAGUCCAAAGGCCGGUGGUUUGUGAAGCUAUCAAACCGGCAAUAUAAUGUGGCUCCAUCACACCAAACCAAUCAAAAAAGCAUCAAUCGUUGCAUUACACAUACCACUACUACUAUUCCUCCUGCUAUUUCACUUGAUUGUGACUCUUUCUCUCUCUCUCUCACAGAAACCUGUAGCUUUCCUUUCGUUCUUUUUCAAGUUGGUAGGUCAGUGCAGGACCACCAUCUCAUGUGUGUGUAUCACGUAGAUUUACAAUUUUUCUUUAGGACCCAACACGAAAUACCCAAAAGCUGAGAUUCAAAGAAAAUAUAUCGAUUGUUAAAUAUAUAAUUACAUAAUAUAGCAUUGGAUUUUUGUUAAAUUUUUGAUAAUGUAGUUUGGACAGAUGCAAAUAUUUUAAUAUCUCCCAUUAAUGAUUAAUUCUUAUCUGUUCACCUAUUCUAUGGAAAUAAUGGAACAUAACAGAAAUCAAAAAGAGGAUUCUGAUCGCAAAUACAAACUACCUAGACACAAAACUAAAGAAGUCCAAAUUGUUAUGAUCCAGGCGCAGAACAAACAACUAUUGAGAUAUCAAAUACACAACAAUUUAAUGAGAAACAAGUCACAAGCAUGAAAGAUAGACGACAUACAAUAUUUAACGUGGUUCGGCUCCACCAUUGAACCUACGUCCAUGGAGAGAACUCCGUUCUUUAUUGUGAGAGGAAAACCCUAUACAAGAAUACAAUUUGAACCCAAAUCCAACCCUUGUAUACCAUCUCUCAUCUCCUAAGAACCCUCUCUCACCCUAUGUAUAAGGUUACAUGAUGCCCUCUUGUGUGCCCUUGUGUGUCUCUUAUAUAGUAUGCCAACCAACCUAUUUAUGCGAAACAUUAUUUGACCAAAACCCAAAUAACAAUAGGAAACCAAUUCUAAGUCCUACACUGAUUUAGAAUAGAAAAUAACUUCUAAUUCUAAACUAAAUAGAAUAUUUCUUGGUUGCUAUUUCAAGUAACUAAAACCAAUUAGGAAACUAGUUACUUCCACACAAGAUAAGAAAUCUACCUAAAAGAAUUUAAGCCAAUUUCCUAACAAAUCUCCACCUUGACCAAAAUUUCUUUUAACAACCAUUUGCCUUCAACUACCAAAUAAUAUGGUACCAAACUACACACCCGAAUCAAUACAGUCCUGAUACCAAAUUGAUUCAAUCGACAAAUGAAUAUGUGUAGUUACCCCGAAUCCAUCCUCCAGUUAACUCGUGAGAAGGUGCCUCAAUUUACCAUCUCCCUUUGCAGGAUUUCUACUCACCACAACUUGUAAUUUGGGAUCCCCUUCUGUGAGUUCUAACCCUAACCAUUGAGGCAAUCAAGUCGUAAAGUCACGAUACUUCUUCCCAUUCUCAGAACAGUCUCGCCACGUGUGGUUUCCAAGACUCCACCUAAAACGGAAAACUCGUAACUGUCAGAGUCUUCUGGCGCAUAGAAAUUAGAUCUCCUUGUUUCUUUAGGACAUGUGACACACUACCCAAAAAACAUAAUCAAAAUCUAAAAUUCACCAGAAUGAAGUAUCAACCGUUGGAGGUGUGAGAAAGUCUCCACCGAUUCACAUCCAAAAUCAACAUUGGACUCCACAUUUUCCUUGACCCUUGAAUCACCUGCCUAGAUUCACCGUCAAGCAUCUUCAUAUUUUUUGACUUUUCAUCCUUCAUCAUCAAUGCUUUUUGCCAAACCAUUGAAACAAGGAUUUCACCCAUUAAAUUAUUCAAUUGGUGACAGCUACCAAUCCACUUGAUCUCAAUAGUUAACCGGGAUCCAACCUUGAACAAUCAAGCUCUUAAUCCAACCAUUCAGUUUGUUAGGAUCCAAGUGCUUGAGAGCAACCCAGUCUCGCAACCAGGCCCUGAUACCACUUGUUAGGAUCCAAACGCAGAACAAACAACUAUUGAGAUAUCAAAUGCAUAACAAUUUAAUGAGAAAAAAGUCACAAGCAUGAAAGAUAGACAACACACAAUAUUUAACGUGGUUCGGUUCCACCACUGAACCUACGUCCACGGAGAGAAACCCGUUCUUUAUUAUGAAAGGAAAAUCCCAUACAAUAAUACAAUUUGAACCCAAACCCAACCCUUAUAUACCAUCUCUCAUCUCCCAAGAACCCUUUCUCACCCCAUGUAUAAGGUUACAUGAUGCCCUCUUGUGUGCCCUUGUGUGUCUCUUGUGUAAUAUGUCAACCCACCUAUUUAUACGGAACAUUAUUUGGCCAAAACCCAAAUAACAAUAGGAAACCAAUUCUAAGUCCUAUACUGAUUUAGAAUAGGAAAUAACUUCUAAUUCUAAACUAAAUAAAAUAUUUUUUAACUACUAUUUUAAGUAACUAAAACCAAUUAGGAAACUAGUUACUUCCACACAAGAUAAGAAAUCUACCUAAAAAAAUUUAAGCCAAUUUCCUAACACAAAUUAAACUGUUUCUUUUUUUAUUUCAACCUUACCUAUAUUAACAUUAAGAGACUUAUUGUUAAUUUAUUGUCAGUUUAGGUCCAUUAUUCCUGUCUAAGUUGUUGGAUAAUUUAAUCCAAGAAAUAGGAAACCAAGAAAUGUGAACCUUAUCAAGCAUAUGCAGCUUCGAGAAACUUGGUUGGUGCAGGGAAGUAAUUCAACAAAUCCAAUCAUUACUGGUGCCAAUAAUAAGAGCCUCUAUAGAUCAAACAUGAGCCCUGAAUCUUUCUCCACCCUGCAUUGGAAACAGAUGUCAAGAAAAAAGAAAUGAUCGUGUGUUUCCUAAGCCUGCUGGCACAAGGCACAUGUUGCAUCAACCUGUAACAUAUGCCAUAGAAUUAUUGUGCCAUGCAAUUAUUGGGACAAUGAAACUACGUGGCUUGACUGAAUUCGAAUUGAGACUGAAUUAGAAUGAUUCUGUUGUUGCAUAUGGCCAAUUCUUAAAGUGUCAGAAAAAAUUGGACGGUACUUGAUGAACGAAAAUCAUAUGAUCAAACAUAAACCCGCAGGAAAUCACAAGAAAAUUUCUCAAGAGGCAAAGGAAUCUUCUCUAUAUUUCAAACAAGGCUUCGUCUAUUCUGAUGCAAACCAUACAAUACGCAACUCAACGGACAGAGGCUUGGGUACUGACUCUAUAUAUGAAAUUGAAGGCUUCUAACGUAUGAGCCCUACACGGCUAACUUAUCAGACAUAUGCUUGAAAUAUUAAAACUUGAGUAGAUCCCGUUUUCAAAAAUUUAAUGAUUCAAAUUGUAUCAUACUACUUGAUGAUGGUAUGAUAUAAUUUGAAUUAUUAAAUAUUUGAAAUCUAGGUCUAUCCAAGUGUAAGCUGACUUGAAAUACUACUACUGGCUAAUACUCAUACAAAGGGGUUUAAAUCCCAUGUGACCAUCAUACUAACGAAUUUAUACAAAGAACAAUAUAUACCAACCACUUAGCUAUUGACAGUGGCCAAUAAUUAAACACACCAAUUAACUUGGUUUAAUUGACAAAUGAGAGUUGACAAAUAAGUGCUCAAAUGGGCAAAAUAAGUGCUCCAAUGCUAUUGUGGCGCAUGCCCAUUGACUUCCACGACAAUGUCCGAUCCACAGUAGAAUUUAGCUUCUCUCUAUUUUUCAUAAUGCACAUUUAAAUGCAUGACAGAUAUUUUUAUAUAUUAGAAAGAGAUAUAAUUUUAUUUAAAAUUUAACUAAUCUUAACCUUUAUUAAUAAAUGAUGAUAUGUAUCAUACAUCCAAAUGUGCACUGCAGCAAAUGGAGAGAGAAUCCACUAGAAAAGAGCCAAAUCCCUCCACAGUGUAUUAGGAUUAGGAGAUAUCAUAUGUAUAUGUGGUUACUAUACCUCUUUGUGCAAGAUUUCUAUUUUUUUUUUUUUUUUUUUUACUAAUGAAAGCUUUUUUUGGGUUCAAGAAAUAUUUUAAAUCUUACAACGUAAGGGUUUUGGAGUUGGAUCAAGUAGUUAUGAACAAUUGGGGGUGAAGGAGCCCCGGUUAGGCAAAUCUUAAGUUACCAUAUCACAGGUGUUUGUUCGGUACCAUACUUUCAGAUCAUCAUGGCUCUUUAAUCUAGGCUAUUGAUACAAAUACAGAUCAAAUUAUUCGAAUAAUCACUAAAUUUUUUGAAUAUUCGAAUUUUGACUACUCAAUUUUAAUAGUAUAUUUACACUUUAUACCCACUAAACUAUCAAAAAAGUAAAUUUUGAGUCAUUCCAUCUAAUUUAACUGUUAAUUCUGUCAUAUUUAAUUAUUAAUAGUAUGUCUCGUGAAUCGUGUGAAUGAUAGAAUUAACGAUGAAAUCAGACGGAAUGUUCCAAAGUUUACACUUUUUAAUAUUUCAGUAAAUCAAAAAAUAUACUAUUAAUAGUUGAAUAGUCAAAUUUUGACUAUUUAAAAAGUUUAAUGACUAUUUUGAUAAUUUGCUCUACAAACGUGUGCGUGUGCUUAAAUGUUAAUUGGGAAGUGAUGUGAUGUACAACAUUAUGUUUUAUUGCUGAGGUAGCCACAAAAAAAAAAAAACCUUUCCAAAAAGAUCUUUCAGAAAGUUAGCAAUUUUAUCAGUACCGUCCAUAUAUUUAUUUUAACUCCAGUUCCAAAUAAAUCAGAAUAUUACUCUUGUCAUAGUGACAGUCAAACAAAAGUGCACCACUCCUUUUUAGGUUUGUUGGACAAUGUAAUUAGGCGAAAAGUAAUGAGUGAGGAAAAACGAAGGCUAAUAGACCAACCAAGACCACAAAGAUCUUGGGGCACAUGAUGUAGAUAUAGGUUGACAAAAUACGUGUAAACGAAAAUGACAUGGCUGCAUAGACAAAUGCACUAUUCUGACUUAGGUCUUUAGGCAAUGUAAUACCAAAAAGGAAAAAAAAAAACCUAUAGUAAUACACCACAAUUUUCUAAAUGAUUAGAAGAUAUUCUACACUCAGAGGGCUAUUAUUGAUCUAAGAGCUACAAAAAGAAAUGCCAAAAGAAAAAUUAAAAGUUGUGGCUUUGGCUUUACUGUGCAAGCGAACUUGAUAAGGAGCUCAGAAGACAAAAAAAAAGAAUCUUGAUUAUGAGGAGAGAUUUUAAGGUAGGGACGUGAAAUAAAGUCAAAAAAAAAAUUAAAAAAAUAAGAAAUACAACAAUGAUUUCCGAUAUUAAUUUGGAUAACAAGUUUGUUUGGAUAGGAUGUUAUUUGAAAUAAUUACUAUAAUAUUUUUUGUGAUUUGAUAUAUGUGACAUAAAAAAAAGUGGUUAAAAAUUGUGUGUAUGAUGUAAGUAAAAUAAAAUCUAAUUUUUUUUUAAAUUCUUGAUAUCCAAACACACCUAGAUUUUUUAUUAUAAUAAUACAGCACUGAUUGUAAUUUAAUAUAUGUAAAAUAAAAAAAAAUAUGAAAGGAAAAAAAAUGUUGAUGGGAAAUCAACGAAUUGUCAAAAGUUAAGGACUCAAGGAAUGAAAUGUUAUGUUUGACUGUGGAGGAAUCAUGGGCACCACAAUGGACAGUGGCUUGCUGGCUUUACUAAAACCAGAAACUUUUUACUCCUUUUCUUUCGUUCUAUUGAAAGUGUCGUACAUUUUAUUUUAAAAUAUUUAUCAUAUUAAAAAAUUAAAGUAACUUUUAGUUUAUUUUUUCAAUAUAACUCUUCUUUCUAAUUAUAUGCAUAUUAUAAUUCAAAUUUAAAUUUUAAAUUUAUGAGAAUAAAAUUAAAAAAAAAUAUAAAUAUUAUAAUCAAAUCACUAUUUUAAAAAUUAAAUUCUCAAAAUAUGACUAAAUAAUUGGGACGACGAGGAGUAUAACUCUCUUCAUCAUCAGUGUAGACCCUCAAAUUAGGGUUAAAUGCAAAAAACCUCCACAAACUAUAUACCCAGUUGCAGUUUAUUCCCUAAACUAUAAUAAUAAGUAUUUUGCCCCCUUUAAUGAUAUAUUUGGACAAAUCUACCCUUUUUAUUUUAAGCAUUGUUAUUUUUCUUUUUUCCCUAUCAUUUUCUUAUCAUUUUCUUUUCAAACUCUUCCUUUUUUUUCUUAAAACAUUGUUUAAAUAAGUAGAUUAGAUUAGUCAAAAUUUGUUUAUUUCUUAAUUUCGUAUGUCAAUAUAUUAUAAAAAAAAAUCUAUGGAAUACAAGAUUUUCUUUUCCAAAUGUUGAAGUCAAUGUCAUUAAGAAAUUUAACUUUUCAAAUAUAUAAUAACAAAAUAGGGAAAUUGAUUAAUCAAUUAUUAGUAGUAUCAAUAACAAAAAAAAAUGAACUACUAUUGUUGUUUAUUCCUAUUUUUUAUUUCACUACAAAUAACAAUUGCUAACUUUUUUUUUAUUUAAUAUAUAAUAUGUUACUUUUAUUAUAAGUAGUUGAGUAACUGCGAACUCUUAAUUAGUUUAUAGGUAUUUAAAUUGUUGAAUUACUAGAUUAAUAUACUUUACAAUAUAAGCUACAUAUAUUUUGUAAAAACAAAGAGUUUGUGACAAAUUAUUAAGAAUGAAUUUAACAAAUAAACAAAUUAAAAAGCAGUUUAAAAAAUAUUAAAAUUUUUUAUGUAAGUCUUUUCAAAUCUGAGAGAGACGUUGGCUAGUUCCACGAGAGAAGGAGAAAAAAAAAAGAAAUAAAAGGAAAAAAUGAAAAAAGCUAAUAGAGAGAAAAAAAGAAAGGAUUUAAAAUAGUAGGGGUAGAUUGUCCAAACAUAUCAUUUAAAGGAACAAAAUACCUAUUAUUAUAAUUUAAAGGGUAAACUGCAACGGGUAUAUAGUUUGUGGGGAUUUUUUACAUUUAACCCAAAUAUUUAAUCAAACAAAUCACAAACAGUGGACACAAAAUGAGAUCCAAUAUGCAAGGGAUGUGGAGAAGAGCUAGAAACAAUAGAACACACACUCCUGCAAUGUCCCCUAGCAAAGAAUGUCUAGAAAGUAGCUCCAGUUAAGUGGGAUGGUGCAGAUGAUCAGAGAUACAACUUCACAAAGUGGUGGGGGAGAAUCUCAGAAGCUAAAUCUAGACAAGAGGGAAACAGCCACAUUGGUCUUACCGCGAACAUUUUAUGGCAGAUUUGGAAAGAUAGGAACAAAAGGGAAUUUGAGAAUGCCUGUAACCAUCAACCGUGCAAAGUAAUCCAAAAGGCACAUACAGAAUGGUUGGACAUGGAGGAUGUAAGAAAGCAUGAAGCUGAUUGGAGUACAACAGAAACAAUGCCAGACCUGGAGAUUGGAAAUGAAGCACAAGAGGACCAGUCCUUGAAAAGUAUGACAGUGACAACAACUACCCUACUCAAGCCUGCUGUGGUAGGUAUAGGGGUUGAGAUCAGGACAUGGUCACAUGACACAACAGAAUCAUGGGCACUAAAGGACAGAAGUCAUGGAAACAAAAACAUGGACGCGGCUGCAGCAAUCAGAUUAGUGUUGUGCAAAGCGUUGCAUAGGGGAUGGCGCAACAUCAAAGUAAGGGUCCAAAACAAAGAAGUGCUGAGACAAAUAUUGCUUGGGAGAGUGUUGGAUGGCAGGUUAACAAUGAUCUUAGAGGACAUAAUUUGUUUAAAGCCAUUGUUUCGAAUGUGCUCUUUUUGUUUAGAUAAGAAUGAUAAUAGUUCUGCUAGUGCUAAUGCUAGCUUAUAUGCCUUAGGCAUUUUGUUGGAUGAGGAAGCAUCACUUCCUCUGUGUUUUUGAACACAAGUUAUACAGCUUAACGAGCCGUUGCUCGACAUGUAAACUCUUUUACUAGAUCAAUGAAAGUCUACUAACGUUUCAGGAAAAAAAAAAAAAGACACAAAAUGAGAGAUUCACACCUCAAUCAAUCAAGCAAGAAAGGACAGAUUAACACUGUUCAUCAUCAGUGUAGGCCCUCAAAAUACAAAACAAGCUCGAAAGCUUGGCAGCUCAAUCGAGGAAGAAAGGACAAACGAGUUCCCCCGCUGCCAGAAGACAAAAACGAAGAAACGGGAGUAGGAGGCAUUUUCUUAUUAGGGCUCUGAAUCUUUUCUUAUUGUUGUAUCGAUCGAUCAAAAGUUAUGAUUUUUAUAUAGAUUAUCAAGUAUCAAAAUCUUAAUGGGAUUUAAAUUACUAAAACAUACUAGUAAUAAGAAAUGACAGCUAAAUAACAAAAUAAGUAGUUUUCUAAAUAAAUAAAUAAAUCCUAAAAAGAUUUGAUUUAAUAAUCUUACAUUGCCUCAUUUAAACCAAUGUCGUCAAAUCAUAUUGUAUCGAACAUCUUUUCCAACUUAAAAAACAGCUCCACCUUUCAUGGUUUCAUGAAAAUAUCUGCCACUUAAUUUUCGCUCUUGCAAUAAUCAAUGGCAAUCUCUUCAUUUUGAACUAGUUCACAAAUAAAGUGAAAUUGAUAUUAAUGCAUGAAAUAUUGGAUUGUUUGACAACUCAAUAGCAAAUUUGCUAUCACAAUAGAUCUUAGUAAGACCAACUUGUUCAUAUUGUAAAAAACCAAGCAUUCUUCUCAUUGAGUACAAUGCUUGAAUAGCACUGUGGACACAGCCAUAUACUCCACUAAUACUGUAGAUAAUGUCAUCACUUGUUAUUUCUCAAAAAAUUAUGAAAAUACACCAUUAUUUUGAUAAAAGGUAUGACUUGAUGUACUUUUCCUUUGAAUUAUAUCACCGAUCCAAUCGCUGUAAAAGCCAACAAGAUUAAAAUUAUUAGAAUAUGGAUAAAAUAUACUAUUAGAUUACAUACCUCUAAUGUAUCUUAAAAUCCUUUUGGCCCCUGAUCCAAACUUUCUCAUGAUACCUUUAAGUGAAAAGGUUACUAACUAGAAAUUUACAAGUCUUAAUGCAAAUAAUAGUUCACAGAAAUUAGAUGAAUAAUCGUAUGACCAUGAAUGGUACCAUGCGAGAUUGAAUUGCUAUUUUUAAAAGUUUUUUAUAUAAAAAAAAAUCAAUAUAAUGAUUUGACAAGACUAAAUCCCUUUCUUUGGUGAGGCUAUCUCACCUUAUCAGCAGUAUUUACAUCCUUGUGCUACAAGAAUGCUCCCACAAUUCAAUAGGGUAAAAUGGUAGGCGAUACCAUCUAGUUCGUUCGAAUUUUCCAGACUCGUGAUGCGCGUGCUUUCCAACUCAUCAUACACGGCUUUUCAAGUUGUACAGGACCGCAUCGGAAGAGGGACAGGAGCAGUUGCAAACUGCAAUCUUGUUUCUAGUGGUUCAUGAUCAAGAUUUGAUAAAAAAUAUAUAUAUAAAGUUCAAAUAUCAUUUUGUACAAUGCUUUUUAUAUUAAGGAUAAUUUCAGAAAUUUCCCUUGAGGUUUCAUGAAAUAUCAUCUAGCUUUCCUAAACUUUUCAAAAUCUUACUUAGCACCCUUAAAGUGAUAGUAGGGCCAUAUACUAAUAUCAAAGGUGAUAAAUUGUCUUUUUUUUUUUUUUUUUAGGUGUGUCCCGCAGGGAGUGGACCCCGCAGACUAUUCACCACCCUCAACAACUUGCUGGCAGCAAGGUUCGAACCAGGGACCUGAAGCCCCAUCUUCAGCACCCUCAACCACCAGACCAAACCCCUGAGGGCAAAGGUGAUAAAUUGUCAAUAAUACCUUCAUAUUUAAAUUUUCCAACCUUGUUUUUUUUUUUUCUCUAAAUUUCCUAUUUUUCUUUAACAAUGUCUAUACAUACACACAUACAUAUACAUAUGUAUGUAUGUAUAAUUGAAUUGCAAAUGUCAAUGAAAUAUAGGAUUUAAUCAAUGAAAUAUUCAACGCAUUUGGAGAAGAAUAGCUGUAGGUUCUUUUUAUUUUUUUCCUUUUUCGGUGUUUCACAACUUUAUUUAUUUAUUUAUUUAUUCGUAUUCAUGUAGAGAGCAAGAGAAAUAAAGUAAUUGAAACUCCGAACUACAGUCUUUCAAAUUCUGACUUUUUUUAUAAUAAAAUUUUCAUUUUUCACACCCAUAAAAAACAUCUAUCUAUUUUGAGUAAAUUUUUUGUAUGAUAUUGAAGUUAAAUUUCAUCUAUUACUAAGUUUUUUUUUACUCAAAUGUAUGAUUUUACAUGCUAAUUACCUUCAACGUUAUGAAGGGUUCUAUUUGUAGAAAUGGUUUAAAAAAUAGUAUUUAUUUUUACUAUCUCUUCCUACUAUAGAAGUAACUAUUGAAUGUAACAUAAAAUCUUACCAAUUUUCAUCUCCCUCACUUUUCAGAUGGUUCCAAUUUAGUACUUUUUUUUUCUUGGUUUGUAAAAUGUUCAUGUUUUUUAUAGCCUAAGGGUAUUAAAGAGACUAAAAUAAUCUCUCUCCUCAAACAUGAAUUUUUUAAUAUUACUUUUGGUUAGGAGGGUUUCCAAUGUUACCAAAAUAUUAAUUCAAGGGGUGCUAAAUGAGAUUUUGAAAAUCUCAAGGGAGUUAGGUGAUAUUUCAUAAAACCUCAGGGGGGUUUUAUAUUAUGUGUAGAAUUAACAAAAUUUUACUUUAUAAUUAUAGUUCAUAAAACCUCAUGGGACCUAGGUAGUUUUUAUAUUAUGUGUAGAAUUAAUAAAAUUUUAUUUUAUAAUUACACGUUAUUGAAAGUAAAUUAGGCUAUUUGCUGAUAGAAUUAAGUCCUAUGCAUUUUACGUGAAACUGUUCGGAACGGUUUUCUAAUAACCGUUGGGCCCCUUGUCCCACUUGCCCCACUGCAUCAUUGCUCGCUAUUAGCUCUGGUAGUACUAAAAUCAGAAUAAGUAAUAAAAAACGAAGAGAAAGACAGAAGAGGAGGAGAUUGAUCACAUGGCUGAAAACCAGAAACCCCAUCUUCUUGUCUUGCCAUUUCCUGUAGAGGGCCACAUAAAUCCGCUGCUCAACUUCGCCAAACGCUUGAUCCCAAAAGGGUUCAGGAUAACUUUCAUAGUUGCAGUUGAUUUCACUAAAAAAUCAGCUCAUGAUACGCAAGACUCAUCAUCCUCAGAGCUAUUUAAUAUUGAGUACAUUUCUAAUGGCUCAAAUGAAGGUGAAGAACCAGACAGCUUGGCAGGCCAUUUCAGACGGUUACAUGCCAUAAUGUCCAGAGAUUUGGUGAAGCUUAUGGAGAAACUAAACAGAUCUGACUUCCCACCCAAAGUUCUUGUUUAUGAUUCAACCUUGACAUGGGCUUUGGACGUAGCUCAUCAGAUGGGGUUGCUUGGAGCUUCCUUUUUCACUCAAUCCUGUGCUGUUUCUACCUUAUAUUACCAUUUGCAAGAAGCGAAAUUGAGUGCUAUUCCGGAUGAGGAGCAUUCAUCGGUGCUGAUUCCUCCGCUUCCAUUGCUCCAGAUUGAUGAACUUCCUUCGUUUACCCAAGUCGAUGACAAGGAUCACACCAUUGUUAAGUUGAUGGUAGAGCAAUUCUCUAAUGUUGAGAAAGCAAAUUGGAUAUUUUUCAACUCCUUUGAUAAGCUGGAAUAUGAGGUAAGUUGCAAAUUUUGGUUAUGGCACAAAUUUUACUGUUCUUGCUCAGUCUUCACACAUUUUCUCUAUAGGAUUUCUUAGAAAUUUUUACACUUAUUGAUCUAGAUCAUCAAAUAUCAUCUCUUCUAUACACAUCUGAAAUCUCCUCUUUUGUAUUUGUCAUGAAUUUAGGCCCUUACAUCAAAGGUACUCUGAAAUACUAAGAUUUGAGGUUAAUAAUAUUAUAGUGAAAGAAAGUUCAGUUGUAGAUUACAGAGCUUCUCUAACCAGCAAAAACACCGCAGGAAAAAGGUUUUCAAAGAGAUAGGGAUAAUAUCAGAAACCUCCCCUAAGGUUUCUCUUAAUAUCACUUUUCAUCCUUAAUGUUUUUAAAAUAUCACUUGUUUCCCUUCCUUUUGUUAUUUGUGUAACAAAAUUGUAUAAAAUUUCUAAACUACUCUUUUGCUUGCUAAUUGAAAAUACUCCAAAGCAGUUUUGUUUACUCUAAGAGAACCAUCACAUAAAAAACAAUCUCUAAUAGUACUACCGCUUUAAAAUGCUAUAGUCUAUAAAAAUAUAAAUUUGAAAAUAAAAAAGAUAUUUAUAAAGAAAUAUACUACCACCAAUUUAACUCUAUAUGUUCAAAACUAAUUUUUUAUGAACCUUAUAUUUUUUUCCAACUUCUUCUCAACCCGUGCCCAAGUCUUGAAAUUGUAUUGAUCAUUAUAAAAAUUAACUCAAAAUAAACAAAGAAAUCAUAACCCAUUCUAUCACAAUCAUAAACAGUAAAAAAUAAACAAAAUUCAAUUUACUCUAUAAAUUAGAAAUAUAAAAUCACAUAGUCAUCCAAAAAAAUGAGUAUGAGAAAAUGUUGGAGUAAGGAGAAGGAGAAGAAAGUGACUCUUAUUUCUUUUUUUCUUUUUUUUUUAGGCUCAUUUAUUUGAUAUGUAUCAAGUGAAUUAUGUAUCAAGUGAGGGUUAAUAUGGUCUUUUUGCAGUUGCUAGGGGAGAUAAGUGAUUUUUUAAAAUCUUAAGGGCACCAAGUGAUAUUAGGAGAAAUCUCAAGGGAGUUUUAACUUUUAAGAGUGUAUCUUUGACUUCAAUUUUAAAAAUUCAGUGUCCCUCUAUUUUUAAUGCGUUUGAAUAGAAAAUACCUGUCUUGAUCAGAACACUUUUUUUUUUCUAACAUUUUCUUGACGAAACCCAAGAAUUUGUCUUGAUCAGAACACUUAGGAGUUGUUUUUAAUGCGUUUGAAUAGAAAAAUGUCAAGUCGAGUUUUCUCGCAAGCCACUUGAUUCUUUUGUAACUCUGAUUGCAACAAUGUCAAUUACUAUAAGAUAACGAUCAAUGUGAAGUGGUUAUAUUAUUUAAAGUCGUACAUCCAGUCCAAGCAGUUGCUCCCAACUCGAGAAAAGGUUGACAGUGAAUUAAAAAGUGCACAUGCUAUUGUGUUUUUGUCUUGCAUUGAAUAGUAAUUCUAGUUAAUGGUCAUUAUAUUAAAUAUAAAGGCAACGAACGAAAUUUGACCCAAAAAGUUUAAAAGAACUAGCAUCUAUGUCCUUUUUUUUUUUUAAUCCAUUUUGCAUCAAGUUUCCAGGCAAUUAGGAGGUAAUUCAUCGCAAUGAUUUUGUACUCAUCACAAUACUAUCAGGUGGCAAAUUGGAUGGCUAGAAAAUGGUCGAUUAAGACAGUUGGACCAACUAUUUUGAAGGACAACAAACAUCACGGGGCUUGUCUAGUCGAGAUGAAGUCAGAUGCUUGCCUAAAAUGGUUGGACGAAAGAGAUUGUAGCUCAGUUAUUUAUGUAUCAUUAGGUAGCGUGGCUGUACUUGGAGAAGAACAAAUGGAAGAGCUUGCUAGGGGCAUAGCCAAGAGUGACCACCACUUCUUAUGGAUGGUUAGAGAUUCGGAAGAGUGCAAACUUCCAGCCAAUUUCAAGUCUGAAAUAUCAGAAAAAGGUCUAAUUGUCAACUGGUGUCCUCAACUUGAAGUUUUGGCACAUCAAGCCUUGUCAUGUUUCAUGACACACUGCGGCUGGAAUUCGAUGCUUGAAGCACUGAUUUCGGGUGUGCCAAUGAUAGCUAUGCCACAGAUUGUUGAUCAAUUCACAAAUGCAAAGUUUGUCGCAGAUGUAUGGCAGACUGGGGUUCGAGUCAAGGCCAAUGACAAGGGAAUUGUUACUAGAGAAGAAAUUUCAAUGUCCGUAAAGGCAGUUACUGAGGGCGAGAGCGCAAAGGAAUUCAGAAGAAAUGCUGAGAAGUGGAAGGAACUGGCACAAGAGGCUGUACACCAAGGUGGAAGUUCUCAUAACAACAUUGAUGAGUUCGUUUCACAAGUUUUGAGCGUCUAGUUAAUUUCAUUUAGCUACAAAAUCAGGUCACGUGAAAGCCUCAUAAGCAUCUAUGGCAGACAAUAGUAUUAUAUUGUUGAUUCAAUCAAUUGAUGCAAACCUGUCAUGCUUGUGUACGAGAAUAAUAGAAAAUUAAUAAAGUUUAUUGGAUUAAUCGUGUAAAUAAGAUAGUAUGCAUUUUCAUAAUUUCUUUUAAGUAUAACUGUAAAACAAAUCCAUUUAACUAAAUUUACCCAUAUCCGCCCAUGAAUAGAUGGGUAUGGGUAUCUUAAAUUUUUGCAUAUGAGUAUUAUUGAGUAACCCAUUAAACCCAAUAAACCCAUUUAGAAUUGUCUUCCCCCAAACCUCCUCUCCUCCCCCACCCAUUUUGUUUUUCAAAUUUUUCAUUUUGUCAUGAUGUUAAUUACUUUUGUUUCAUUAUUAUUAUUAUUUGUUGGUUUUAUCUUAUCAUUUUAUUUUCUCUUAGUUUGUUAACUUACUCAUUUUUUAGCAUUACCAAUUUAUGACAAGUUUUAGCCUCUUUUCUUGCUUUUCCAAAAUUAAAUUUUAAAUUUACACAUGAAAAAAAUACUAGAGGUUCAAAAUUUUUGGAUUAAGUUUUUAUGUUAACUUUUAUAGUACUUAGUUCAAAUUUUUAUAUUCUUAUUGUUUAAUUAUUAAAUAAUAUGUAAUUUUGCGACAUAGAGUACGGAUGAAAAAAAAAUUGAUAAUUAGGCUUAUUAAGCAUUAUAAGUAAAUAUUUAAAACUAAUGAUGGGUGCAAAGGAUAGUAUAAAUUGAUAACUUAGUUUGCAAAAAUGAAUUUAAAUGAAUUUACAAAAAGUUAAAAUAAAUAGAUUAUAAAUGGGUAAUUGGUUACCCAAUUCAUUUUUUGACUUACCCAUUUAUACUCAUCUAAUUAAAUGGGUAUAAAUGGGUUAACUCACUUAUACCCAUUACCCAUUUUACCCAACCCAAACCCGUCCAAAUCACCCAUUUUGACACCUCUACUUUUAAGCAAACAAACCUAAGCCCUAAGCACCAUCAAGGAUAAUUUAUCUCAACACCGUUUCACUUCCUAGUAGGUGCAAGAGAGAUUACAUGGAAAUGCAAGGCCAGUUUUCACUCUCUUUAGUUUCUAACAGACUAGGAAGCACUGCAACAAUAUACUUCAUGAAGGGGGUUAUAAGCGAAGUUUUGAUGUAAUACUACUGUUUUUUUUCCCAUAUUGUUUUCCUCAUUGAGCUAUCUAAUUAAGUAAAAAUAAAAAAUAAAAUUACUGUCAGUAAAUCUAGAUUGCUCUAAAUGAAAGCAAAUCCCAGGCACUGGUGUUGCAGUAAUUCCAAUUCAGUUUGUUCAAUAGACUGGGCUACAAUAGAGGAACGCUGCUCUAUUUGAGCCUUUAUAGUUGUACCCAACUCUCUAAGAUUUGUGCCAUAGAGCAGGCCUCAGCAUUCUGCUGAGAUUAAACUGAAAUUAAUGGUACGAAUAUUGAUUUCUUAGAUAAUUUUAACAAAAAUAGAAAACAUAAACAAUUUCUACAUCUUUGAAUAUUUUUCAAACAUGUGUUAAGUCAUAAAAGUUGCAGUGUACUAAUAUCUCAUUAGUAGACACAUAAUAAUAUGUAGGAGAAGAACAACCUUAAAAUAAAUUUCGUGAUGCUAUCAAUGCAGGUUUUACACAGGAUGAUAAUUAAUUUAUUAAGGCAUAUUUAGUCUUAUCCUAGUAAUUUUAAACAAUAAAAAAAUCGACGAGGUUACCUAUUUAGAUAAUUAACUAAAACCCCUAGACCAUUUUCUUAUCUACUUUCCCUUUGUUUUGGUCUUUUGCGUUUGCUCCUAGAUUUUUUUUCUUCCCUAUUUUAAUUAUUUAUUUUCGGAGUUCAAAUCAUAGUUAUCAAACCCAACAUGAUGGUUCAAGCGGUCAACUCAAUGAACCAAUCACUUAAUUAGGUCGAGUUACUAGUUGGACUAGAUAAGAAAGUAAACCAUUGAAAAAUCAAUGACCGGUUGAUUCGACCAAUGAAAAUCGGAAACCUAAUCACUUUUUGUGUAACCCAGUAGUUUUCAUAAAAUUCGUAAUAUUGGGUAGUGAGCUUUUUUGUUUUCUCUUAAGUCUUUUUUUUUUUUUUUUAAAUUAAGGGAUUGAAAACAUAGUUGUUAAGUCUAACCCAGUUCAACAGAACAACCUAAUGAAUCGGUCACUUCAAAGGGCCUGGUUGGAAAUUGGACCGUCUAAGGAAGCAACCAAUUGAACAGUUAGCUACCUAUCAGUUCAACUCGUAAAAAUUGGAACCCUAGCUGCUCUUUGUAUAACUCAUGAUUUUUCAAAAACUUCUCGAUAUUAAGCUAGUGAGUUUCAAACAUAUGACGUUUAACUUGAUUAGUAUCCUAGAACUUAUAAAUUAAGUAGCAACCAUUGGACCAAAUGUCCUUUUAGUGUUUAGUGGACUAUUUUAUGUAUUUUGUAGAAUCUUGUUGGUGUUUUAUUAGAUUGGUGAAUUUCGGACAUGCUAUCUUUUACUUAAUUAGUAUGCUAGAACUUACAACCUAAGUAGCAAGUGCUGGAUCACAAUGCCACCCUGUGUUUAAUGGACUCUAAAAGUUGCCUAUUCAAAGUUUCAAACCAGUUCACCUAGAAUACUAAAAUCACUAACCAGCUAAACCGGUCUCCUUGUAGAUUGAUCGCCGAAUUGAGUUUAAUAACUAUGAGUGAUAAAAACUCUUAUUCAAUUACAAGAAGCAAAGCGAAAUAUAUUUAAUGUCUUUUCCAGCACUUUUUUUUUUUGAGUUGUCAUUUUGCACUUGUUUUCCUAUUUCCUAUUACAGAUAAAGCAACUAUCCUACUUUUGGUAGUUAAACAAAAAAAGAGUUUCACUUUUUGUUUUGUACUUGUUAUCCUGCUUUAAGAUAGGUUUAAAAGGGAGACUUCACCAAAACCAAUCACUUCUCCAAGUUUCCUUAGAAUAAUCUAACACCAAGUCUUUUGUAAUAGGUUCAAGUGAUGGGCUUCAAUUUCACUCAUAUCCAUAUAUAGUGUUUGUUUAAAGUCAGUCAGGAUCAAUUAUUGGGUUUCAUAAACCCCUUCUAUGAGUUUCAUAAUUAACUACUAAAGAAUAAAAUUUGGCUUAUCUAUUGUUUUAUUAUUAUUAAUAAUCCAUUGCUAUAAAAUUAUCAAACACUAUGAAUUUUUUUUUAUCAAAUUUAAUAUAUUCUCCAAUUUAUCAUACCCAUCGUAACAUUGAUUCUAAAAUUGAAAUCAAAUGACUCCUUAGGGGAAACUUCUCUCUUUCUGUCGUGAAUAAGUAGAAGCUUUCUUAAAAAAUCCAUUAGGAGAGAAAUCAAAACGAGAAAAUUUAAUCUUUGUUUUCUACUCCAAUAAGAGAAAUAAGGAAUUGGUUUAAGAAAGUAGAUAUAUGUGCAUAUGGAAACUCAAUCAAACUAGAAAUAUUUUUCAAAUUUCAACUUUUCCAAUAGUAAAAGAGUAGAUUACUUGUUGCAAAAGAGGUACUUAAAUUUUAGAUUAAGAUUGUUAUGAUGUAACAUUUCCUUUGUCCAUGUCCACAUAGAAAGUGAUGCACUAGUGAUGAAAAAUUCGGUGAUACGUAACGUUAUUCUUCUUUUUUUUUUUUUUCUUUUGGUGCAAUUUUAAGUUGGUUUAUGAGAAAGUGUUGAGAUUUAAGCGGAUAAUUAGUUGGCCUUUACAUUGGGGAAAUGUUACAUUGAAACCUGCCAAGAACUUUGUGUGCCGAGAACAUGUUUGUUAGAAUCUUCCAAGAUUCUAAAGCACAAAUAUUUAGAGAAGCAGGGAUGGCUUGCCAGCUGUAUUUUCAAACUCGGACCAAAUUGACUGGUCCAACCGGUUGAACUAGGAACUGGUCAGGCAUCCGAUCUGAGUUCUCUCGUAAUAUUGCCUGACAAAAUCCUGGUCAAAAGCUGUGUGUCGACCGCAAACCAACAACAACCUGCUUUUUUUUUCCCAUUAUUUCCUUUUGUUUCUUUCUUUCUCUCCUCUUCUUCUUCGACCAACUUGAGUACCAACACACAUAUUUCUUCCUUCCAUUAGCAGGUAUCCAACCCAUCAAAAAUCACCCUUAAAUGCAUUUCUUAAAUUAGAUCUUAUCAUAGAUUUGAUGUUAAAAAAAAUGGUAAAAAGACAAGAAGAAAAAGGGAGAUGGAGAAGAGAAGUUUGAAAAAAAAAAAGGAUAAAAAAGUUUUAGAUUUUGCAACUUUCGAGCAAAAAAACCAGCAAAGAUAAAACUAACCAAAAAAAAAAAGAAAAAAGGAAAGAAGAAAGAUUGACUUUGAAUUGCAGAUAAGUUGGAUAGGAAGAAACUAGGAAAAGAAAAGAAUGAAUGAAACGGCACAAGCAAGUGAUGAGAGGAAAAGAAUGAAAAAAAAAACUAGGAGAAUUAGUUUUUGCGGGUUCAAAAUUUUAUCAAUUUUGUGGUUUGGCCCCUAGAAUGCUAGAAAACUAUUAGUACACCUAGAAAUAUUUUAUAGUUUAUUCUAUUGUCCUAAAUUCUAGUAUUACGUUUCAAAUAAGCCCUCCAAUUGAAUUCUACACUCGUUGAAUAUGCAUUAAAUUGUAUAGAUUGCUACUUGAUUGCAUUACUUUAUUUGUAUUUUCUUAUAAAGUAUUUUAGAAACAUCAAACAUAUACGAAUAUGCAUUUCUUGAUAUGAAUACGUUUCUAGAAAUUUUACAUAGUAUAUUAAUUUUAAAAAUUAAAUAUAUUUAUAACAUCAUAAUGAUGUCGUCUGAUUCUUAUUAGAUAGGCCGUGGUAUUAUAUUUUGUUUUAUCCUUUUUAAUCCUAUUCAAAAAUAUAAAACAUAGAAAGAGUGACAUUUAUGGGAAUUACGACUCCGAAUCCUAGGUCGCCUUGUCUUCCCUCUCAAUAGUAAACUGCCACGUCACCAUCACCCACAUCCUUAUUUUUGUAAUCUUUUUGAAGAAUUGGCUGGGCUGGUUUAUUAUCAUCCCAAGUAGGGGUGGAGCUGAUUCAAGCUACUCGACUCGAGCUCGAUAUGUACUCGAUCUCGAGCUGCUCGUUAGAGCUAUCGAGUCGAGCUCGAGCUCAGAAAUUUGAUACUCGAGUAUCACAUAAAAAAAUUAAAAAAAAUUAUAUAUAAAAUUACUAAUAUAGGUAAAUAAAUUCUGAGAAAUUACCGGUGAGUACCCUUAUCGAGUCGAGCUCGAGCUUUUUAAGGACUCGAUCGAGCGCGAGCUCGAGCUGUGAUUCUCCGACUCGAUCGAGUUCGAGCUCGAGCUCGAGUAUAAUUAUAUUAUAGCCGAGUCGAGCUCGAGUACAGCGGUACUCGAGCUCGACUCGACUCGAAUACACCCCUAAUCCCAAGCCAAUCUUUUCAAUCAAAAUAGCAUAAGAAUUCUUAAAUUACCAGUUCUUUGCAAUCAAAGCUUUUCCUCUUUCUUCGGAGGGAUUCCUACCCGGCAGACUUCAGAAAUUCCGAAAAGAGGGUUGGACAGAUUCAGAUGUCUGAUGUCAAAUUAUUACUGGUAUUAAGUGGCAUUAAGUAUUGAACCAAUCUUUUAUGUUCUGUCUAUUACUACAUUUUCUCUCGGUUUAUACACACUUUUGUAAUGCCUAGGAAAAAAAUGGAGGAAGAAGAAGGGAUAGAUAGAUGUGCCGUAGGUAGUCGCAAAUUUGACUAGUUGGGACUUGGAAACGAAAGCCAAGCCAAUAUCUGCGUCAUGUCUCACAUUUGACUAGUUGUGGGGCUGAGGAUCGGAACCGCCUAUAUCCAUCCAAUUCAUCAGUUACGUAAUUUUAUACAAUUUUCCUUACAUGUAAAUGCACUGGUCCUUUCCUUUCAAAACUUGUUUUCUGCAUUUUCCUUUUGUUUGCUUCUUCAUCACCAAGAGUCACUCUCUGUCAUCUAUUUUUAUCACUAAGCGCAUUUUCCUUGUAAUUUGCACACACAUCGAGUUUGUCUUUCUCACUAGUAUUAAUAAUUUCUGAUAACAUACAAGAUCCUGAGGUCAGUCCCUGUUAAAAUCUGCCAUCAGCUAAACUGGAACAGGCAAGAUCCUUUUAGGCGAGCAUCAGCCGCAAGCAUUAGAGUCUUAUCCACAAAUGCCCAGUCUCAACAUCUAAGCUAAGAUUUUCUUUGCCUCCAACAUCUUGUGAACUGCAAAAAAUCCCUUGUCUUUUCUUUUUGUUAUUUUAUCAAAUGCCGAACUGAAUAGAAGGCAACAAUGUCAAGCAUAUAUCCCUGCUUGAUUUGGUGAAGCGGCCAAUGCAAACUCUUAGGACCACCCGUCAAUGUGAUGUAAUUUUCUUUUCUUGUUGAAAGUCUAGAAGUGGUCCAUCUCUGUUCAAAUUUAAAGCUGGCAUUUUCAACUCUUAGUUAAAUAGAGUAACCAUUUAACUUCUGAUCCCUUCAAUUAUUCAAUAGUCCAAUCCCUCUUUGUUUUCAAAAUCCGCCUGUUUAUGCCAUGUUGGUGCUCUAUAUAUAUAACUGAUUAACUCUGCAGCAUAAUUUUCCAUUGAGUAGAUAGAUAGUAGCUAAAGAGAAGGAAACAUGGGAACAGUUGAUAUUUCCCCUAGCAAAAUUCAUAUUCUUGCUUUCCCUUUUCCUGCAAAAGGUCAUAUAAAUCCUAUGUUACACCUCUGCAACCGCCUGGCCACGAAAGAUUUCAGGGUUACACUGAUUACUACAACUUCUAUAUUCAAGUCUGCUAAAACCAAAACCAUCGGCUCCAUCAAGAUUGAGUGUCUUCCAGAUGACUCCGAUGAACCCGUUGAAGAAGAUCUCAAAGGCUUUUUGGCAAGGUUGAGAGCUGCUGCUUCCAGAGGCUUGGAAGAACUGGUUGAGAAAUGUAGAAAGACUGAUCCGUAUCCUCCCAGAAUUGUGAUUUAUGACUCAACUAUGCCUUGGGUUCUGAACUUAGCUCAUCGGGUGGGACUUCGCGGUGCUUCUUUCUUUACUCAAUCUUGUGCUGUUUGUGCUCUUUACUACCAUAUGGACCAGGGAACAAUACAGCUUCCUCUUGAUAAGGCUGUUACUGUAAAAUUGCCUUCAAUGCCAGCACUUGGAAGCAAUGAUCUUCCUGAUCUCCAGUACUUCCCUGAUCCAGAUAGUGUUAUCACGAGGACUCUUCUUGAUCAGUUCUCGAACAGUGACAAAGUUGAUUUCAUUCUGUUCAACACUUUCGAAGAAUUGGAGGAUGAGGUAAGUUGGAAAUCCUAAUUAUAAUCCAGUGAACAUACAUUAUUGAUGGAUUUUUUUGGGUGAUAAUUCAUGUAACUUUGUCAAACUAUGUAAUACUCUUGGAUGGGCAUAAGCAAAAUUUUAAUCAUGUGGAAAACUUUCUCUUUUUUUUUUUUAAGAAAACAAUUGAUUUUGGAUGACUCCCUAGUUUGUGCUAGUAUUGUCAAAUAGGAUAUUAGAAUCGGCAAUUAAUUAACGUUGUACAUAAGCCGGAUUCAGAGAUUCUUGAUCGUGUUUUGGUACCCACAAGCACUAUUCUCUGAUAGGUUGCCAAAUAUAUCAAAACUGAAAACUUAGCUAGUCUCCAAAUGCCGUGCCAAUUGGGAAUCCUUUAAUUCCUUAUUUACUUCUCUUUUUCCAAAGAAAUGUUGUGUCAAAUGGUCCACCGCUUUUCCGAUUUUCAGUACUUGUUAAUCAUGCUACUGCUACUUUAUCUAUCAGGUGGCAACAUGGAUGGCAGAAAGGUGGCCAAUUAAGACAGUUGGACCAACAGCUCCACUACUUUUUGUAGACAAAAGACUACAGAAUGGCAAUGAUCAACAAGGGAACUAUCUGUUUGAGACAAACGCUGAAGCUUGCUUAAAAUGGUUGGACGAAAGAGAAACCUGUUCUGUAGUUUAUGUAUCGUUUGGGAGCGUUGCAGCGCCCGGAGAAGAUCAGAUCGAGGAAGUGGUAGAGGCCCUCCUGAGGAGCAACUGCAAAUUCCUUUGGGUAGUCAGGGAAGAAGAAGAGAGUAAGCUGCCAAAGAAUUUCAAGUCUGAGUCUUCAGAGCAAGGCCUAAUCAUAAACUGGUGUCCACAACUUGAGGUUUUAGCCCACUGGGCGAUCGCGUGUUUCGUGACUCAUUGUGGAUGGAAUUCAACCAUUGAAGCUCUAAGUGCGGGCGUGCCAAUGAUAGCAGCGCCACAAUGGGUUGAUCAAACUACAAAUGCUAAGUUUAUUGCUGAUGUAUGGCAAACGGGGCUGAGGGUGAAGCUAAAUGAUAAAGGAUUUGUCAGAAGAGAAGAGUUUGUGUAUUGUAUCAGAGAAAUUACUGAGGGUGAAAGGGGGAAGGAGAUCAGAAGGAAUGCUAAGAAAUGGAAGGAAUUGGCCAUACAGGCAGUAGGAGAAGGUGGAAGUUCUGAUAGGAACAUUGAAGAUUUUGCGACCUCACUUUUGUGCCUCCCAUGACGCGUUUCUGCUCUAGUCUCUUGGGAGUUUGUGGAUGGAAACUAUCUGAAAUAAGAAUUCUGUACAAGUAUUUUAAUAAUAAAACGAUGACAAGAUUUGAUUUUGAAUGUAAAUCUGUAAUUGUUUAGAAGGAUUUAGAAUAUGCUUCUUUUCUGUAGGACAAAUUUUAUGUUCACCAACUAUAUCACCAAAAUUUAGAUCUUUUUAAUUUUUUUUUAAUUUGUCUUUUCUAUUAUAGUUUUCAAUUUUUCAACAUGUCUUUUUCAUUAUAGUAACUGAAGUAUGACCACUUUAUUGAAAUUGUCCUUUUCACAAAGACAAUCACACUUCAUUCUACGCCUCUCUUCCUUUGCUGCUGCAUACAACGGCUUAUAGUUUCAAUCACAUGAGUUUAGUUUAUUGUAGUUAAUGUUGGAAUAUUUUCAAAUAUUGAAAUUUGGACAGAUUUCUAGAGGUAGUUUUCUGCGUUUCAUUGUUAAAAAAAUAUAAGUACUCUUGUAGAUAAUAAAUUAGUAAGGGUAUUCUUGUAAAUAGUUUGUUAAGUUUGUACUAUUAUAAAUACUAGUUGGUCACUCAUAAUACAAGUGCUAGACGUUUUUCUCCCAAAAUAUAUGUUAUCGUGGUAUCAGAGUUAAAGUCCUAGGGUUAAGGUAAAACAUCUAACAAAAGUUCUAUUCACGCGAUACUAUUCAUUGCGUUACUGUUUACGCGUUAUUGUUCCAAGGUACUAUUCAUCACGAAUUUUGAUUGUUUUUGGUUUGAAGUGUUAUUUGUUAUGGCUGAAAGUUCAUCCAAAGUGUCGUGGCGUCCAUUAAUGUUAUGACAAUGAUGAUGUCUCAAAUUACAAAUUGAAAGUUGAACGACACUAAUUAUCAAUAGUGGUCAAAAGCUGUUAAGAUUUAUCUGAUAGGCUUAGAAAAGCAACAACAUCUCACAGAUGACUCUCCUACGGAGAAUAACAAGAGACUAAUGUGGAUUCAAAAGGAUGCCUAAAUUCUUGGAACACAAUGGAAUUCUAUGGAGCCAUGAAUUGCUUACAUAUGUUCUCAUUAUGAGACAACAAAAGAAGUUUGGGAUUAUAUCCGGUUAUUAUACUGCAGUAAUCUUUCAUGGAUGUAUAAUAUUUCUUUGGAGUAUUUUCAGCAACAAGAUAACAAGAUAGUAACCGAAAACUUUGCCGAUCUCAAAUGAAUUUUAGAAGAAUUAAAUGUUGCAAUGCCUUUCUCAAGUGAUAUUAUAGUUAUACAGAGGCAAAGAAAACAAAUACUUGUACUCAAAUUCUUGACUGACCUUAAGUUAGAAUUUGAACCAAUCAAAUCUCAAAAUUUAGUAGGUGAAUAAUUACCAAUCCUUUCAGAGGCGUAUGCUCGUGUCUUAUGUUCUACAUCUAAGGAUAAUGCAGGGUGAUGGUACUUUAAUUAAUGACAAGUCUGCUUUAGUUUCUGACAAUAAUCGGAUAGAGAAAUUUAGUCUUGAACAUGAGCAACUUAGUUUUGGACGUGGCUCUCCUGGAGGAAGAAGUAAAGGAGGUCGUGGAGGUCGAAACACCCAUAAGUGUACUCAUUGUGGUUUGAAAAAUCAUACUUGUGAUACUUGUUGGGAUUUAGUUGGAAAACCUCCUCUGUUUGCUAAUGCGGUUACCACUGAUCAAGUUGAAUUAGGUUCUUCAACACAAGGGUUCCAGAAGACUUUAACUUUAUCUGAGGAAGAUUAUGUUAAAUUCCUAUAGUACCAAACUACAAAUCACACAUCUCUUCCCUCUGCUUCUUUAGUAUAAGAAGGUAAUGUUAUGGCUUGUCUCUCCACAUCUUCUAAUUCUGAUUCAUGGGUUAUUGACUCAGGGGCUACCGAUCAGAUGUCAGGUACCUUUAGAAAAUUUUCUAAUAUUCAAAAGUCUACUUACUUUUCUCAUAUUAUUUUAUCUAAUGGAUCGACAACUAAAGUUAAAUGACUAGGCACUGUAGAAAUUAACCCUUCUCUUCCGCUGUCUUCUUUUCUUCAUGUAUCCAAUUUGCCUUUUAAUCUAAUAUCUGUUAGUAAAUUUACUAAAUUUCUGAAGUGUUCAGUUAUUUUUUUUCUAAUUUUAUUGUCAUUCAAGAUUUGAAGACAAAGAGAACGAUUGGUGGAGGGCAUGAGUAUAGUGGUCUUUAUUUUCUUAACUCCAAUGAUCCGAUUGCAUGUCCUGCUAUUGUUUUUCUCUUGAAAUUCACUGUUAUUUGGGUUAUCUAUCUCUACAAAAUUUGAAGAAAUUGGUUCCUACUUUGAGUCAGUUGUCUUCACUAGAAUAUGAGUCUAGGAAAGUAUCAUCGUGUUUCUUUUGCCCCUAGAGUCAAUAAACGAAUUUCUGAACCCUUUUUGUUAGUUCAUUCUGAUGUUUAUGGUCCUAAUCGCAUCACUUCAAAAUUAGGUUUUAAAUAUUUUGUAAUCAUUAUUGAUUACUUUUUCAGAGUUAUAUGGUUUUAUUUAAUGAAAGAUCGUUUAGAACUAUAUUUCAUUUUUUGUGCAUUUGUUACAGAAAUAAAAAAUCAAUUUGGUGUACCUAUAUGUAUACUUCACAGUGAUAAUGUGAAAGAAUAUUUUUUUACUCCUUUUGAUACUUUUAUGACUAAGUUUGAUAUUAUUCAUCAGUUCUCUUGUCCCUACACUCCACAACAGAAUGGAGUUACUGAAAAAAAAAUUGGACAUUUAGUUGAAAUUGCUCAACCACUUUUGUUGCACAUGAAUGUGCCUAAACAGUUUUGGAGUGAUGCAGUUUAACUGCAUGUUAUUUAAUUAAUCGCAUGCCAUCUAAUAUUCUUGGAGGCCAGUUAUCUUACUCCAUUUUUUUUCUCGUGAACCUAUGUUUAAAUUACCUCAUUGUAUUUUUGAAUGUGUGUGUUUUGUUCAUCAGUUUGCUCUCGGGGUGGAUAAAUUAGAUUUUCAUGCUAUUAGAUGUAUUUUCUUAGGAUAUGCACAAGUGCAAAAAAGAUAUAGAUGUUACAGUCAAAAUUUAAAUAGAUUUUUCACUUGUGUUGAUAUUACUUUUUUUGAGUCCACUCCUUAUUUUAUGAAACAAUAUAUGCCUAAUGAGUUAGAACAGUAUUUCUCUUUUCUUUCUCCUGUUUUACCAACUCCUUCAUCUUUAUUACCUGAGUUAUACAGUCCACCAGAUUUUACAACUCGAUUAUCUUAUUCUAAUCUUCAAGUUUAUUCUCGUCAUUUCGUAGUUGAGAAAGCUCCUCAUAUACCAUGCGCUUCACCAAUUAACUCUCAAUUUUUAAAUUCAGGUAUGACGCCCUCCUGUGUAUUAGAUCUUCCUAUUGCUUUAUGCAAAAGUAAGAGGCACUGUAUUUCUCAUCUUUCUCAUCUUAUUUCUAAUUUUGUUUCUUAUUCUCGUAUCUUUUCAUCAUAUUUUUCUUUUGUUGCUUCACUUGAUUCUAUAUUCAUUCCUAAAUCUAUUACCCAUACUCUCAGUCAUCCUAGUUGGAGAUUAGUUAUGCAAGAAGAGAUGUUUGUUUUGGAGAAAAAUGGUACUUGAAAUCUUGUCCCUCUUCCUUCUAGUAAGCCUGUUGUUGGUUGUAAACAGGUGUACACUAUAAAAGUACAGUCUAAUGGACCUAUUGAUAGAUUGAAGACUCGUCUAGUAGCUAAAGGAUAUACUCAGGUGUAUGGAAUAGAUUACUUAGAGACAUUUUCUUCUGUUGCAAAAAUUACCUCUGUUCGUUUUUUUAUCUCUUUGACAGCAACUUAUAAUUGGUUAUUGCAUCAGUUGGAUGUGAAAAAUACAUUUUUACAUGGAGAUUUAGAAGAAAAAAUAUAUAUGGAACAACCUCUUGACUUUGUUGUUCAGGGGGAGAAUUCAUGGUUGGUUUGUCAUCUGAAAAAAUUCUCAUGUGGAUUGAAACAGUCUCCCACGGCUUUGUUUGGCCGAUUUAGUAGUGUUGUCAUGGAGUUCGAUCUAACAAAAUGUGAAGUAGAUCACUCUGUGUUUUAUUGACAUUCUAAUGCUGGUAAGAUUUUAUUAAUUAUUUAUGUGAAUGAUAUUGUGAUUACAAGUGAUGAUAUUAUGGGGAUCUAGAAGUUUAAAUCCAAUCUGCAGGCAAACUUUCACACAAAGGUUUUAGAUCACUUACAAUAUUUUAUGAACAUUGAGGUAGUUAGGUCUAAAUAUGAAAUUUAUUUAUGUCAAAAAAUAUAUAUACUCGAUAUGUUGGGUGAAGUUGGAAGGUUAGGUUGCUAACCUGUGGAUAUUCGUAUGGAGCCUAAUGUGAAAUUAGUAGAAGAUCAAGUUGCAUUACUAGAUGAUCCUCAAUAAUAUCGAAAACUCAUAGGUAAAUUAAAUUAUCUCAUUGUAACGAGACCUGACAUUUCAUUUGCAGUGAAUGUCGUGAGUCAACUUCUUGAGACCUCUUAUACCAGUCAUUAGGAUGCUACUAUACGAAUUCUCAGGUAUCUUAAAAGUACUCCUGAAAAAGGGUUGUUAUAUUAAAAUCAUGGAUACACUGAUAUUGAAGGAUACAGUGAUGCAGAUUGGGCCGGUUCUGCCUCAAAGCGAAGAUCGACCACAGGAUAUAGUGUGUUUGUUAGUGGUAAUUUAGUGUCAUGAAAAAGUAAGAAGCAAACAGUUGUCUCCAAGUCAAGUGUAGAAUCUGAAUACCGCGCUAUGGCUCAUAUUAUGUAUGAGUUGAUUUGGUUGAAAAACAUGUUACUUAAAAUUGGGCUUGAACAUAAACAGUUUAUAAAUUUAGUGUGUAAUAAUCAAGAGGCUGUUCAUAUUGCGUCUAACCCAAUGUUUCAUGAAAGAGCAAAACAUAUUGAAGUUGAUUGUUAUUUCAUUCGAAAGAAAUUGUUUGAUGGAGUUAUCAAGACAUCUCAUGUACCAUCUGUAGAUCAAUUGGCUGAGUUGUUUACUAAGAGUUUAGGGGGCUCUAGGGUGAAAUACAUUUGUAACAAGUUGGGUGUUUAUGAUAUAUAUGCUUCAAUUUGAGAGGGAGUGUUAAGAAAAUAUAAGUACUCUUGUAGGUAAUAAAUUAGUAAGGGUAUUCUUGUAAAUAGUUUGUUAAAUUUGUACUACUAUAGAUACUAGUUGGUCACUCAUGAUACAAAUGCUAGACGUUUUUCUCCCAAAAUACAUGUUAUCACAUUCGCAACCAUUCAGGUUUCAACUGUUAUUUGAAGAGAUACAAUUCCAAAUAUGUUUCUAACGGUUAAUAACUGUUUAGGGGACAUGAAAUCUUAUUUAUGUUGAUCAUUUGUGGUCGUUUGACUAUAGACAAAAAAGACUUACAAACUCUAGAAGAAUUUCUACUCUUCUCUUCUUUAUUCUUGGGAGGUUGCAACAACUUAGUGCAGAGUUUUGCAACCAAAUUUCAUCUUAUUCUAGAGAAUAUUCAUCCUUAAUCUUUUGCAUAAUAUAGUGGACGAAUAAAGUCUUAAGGAAAGAGAUUUACAGUCACAAUUUGAAGCCUUUUUUCUUGUUAGUUUUAUAGCCAUUUCAUAAUAUUAUCUUUGUUAUUGUUCCAACAAUCUUAAGGCUUUAUUCCUCCCUUGAAAUGGCAAGCACUAAAAAAGAUUUGACUGUCAAUAGUGUUAAACUUGACCGUUUUGAUUGAAGGAAUUUCAUUCGUUGGAAGAAGCGAGUGCAUUUUCUUCUUGUGGCCCUCAAAGUGGUGUAUGUUCUAACUAUUCUAAGACCUGCAACAAAUAAUGAAGAAGAGACGUUGGAUGACAUCUGCAAUAGGCAAAAAUGGGACAUGGAUGAUGAGAUUUGUAAGGGCACACAUUCUCAAUGCAAUGAGUGACAGGCUUUUUGAUGUCUAUCAUUCGGUGACAAUAGUCAAGAAACUUUGGGACAAGUUAGAAGCAAGGUACAUGAGAGAGGAUGCAACAAGUAAGAAAUUUCUUGUCUCUGGUUUCUUUAACUAUAAAAUAGUAGAUUAGAGGCUUGUUAUGGAUCAAUUUGCUAAACUUGAAAAGAUGUUUAAUCAUUUUUCUCAACACAAUUUGUUCAUGGAUGAGACAAUUGUUGUAGUUCUAUAAUUGAUAAACUACCACCCUCUUGGAAGGAUUUCAAAAGAUAUCUCAAACACAAAAAGGAAGAGAUCACUCUUGAAAGUCUUGCUAACUCUUUUCGUGUUGAGGAAGAGUUUAGAAUGCAGGAGAACAAAGAUGUUCAACUGAAGGAAGAAGAAAAGGACGCAGAUUCUACUUCCAAAGUGAACAUGGUUGCAGAGGGACAAAAAAACAAGUCCAAGGAUAACAAAAAAUCCAAUCAAUCAAAGAAUCAAUCUAACAAGAAUAAGAAAAGGAAGAAAAAGGGGAAAUGCUACCAUUGCAAGAAGGAAGGGCAUUACAAAUAUGAAUGCAAAUUUCGCAAAAAGAAGAAAAUGCAGAACCCCGAUUCUUCAAACAAUGCAGUCAAGAAUCUUGUGGCUAUGAUUUCUGCACUCAACAUAGUUGAGGAAGAUUUUCUUGGUGGAUUGAUUCUAGUACUACCUGCCAUGUAUGCAAGAACAAGGACCAUUUCAAGUCUUUGAAAGAAAUGGAUGAUGAACAAUCCAUAGUAUACAUGGCUAAUGCCGCAACUGUUCCUAUUAAAGGGGUUGGGGAAGUAUAUUUAAAAUUUACAUCUGGACAUGUUGUAAUUCUUACAAAUGCACUGUUUGUUCCGGAAGUAAGAAAGAAUCUAGUUUCGGGUAGUUUGAUGAAUAAGUUUGGAUUUAUACUUGUGUUUGAGACUGAUAAGUUUGUACUCACCAAAAGUGGUAUGUUUGUGGGCAAAGGCUAUAUAUGUGAUGGCAUGUUCAAACUAAAUGUCAUGCCUAUUAAUAAGAUGAAUAAGAAUAUUUCUUUUGCUUAUGUACUUGAGUCUACUACUACUUUAUGGCAUAAUAGGCUUAGACAUGUUAAUUAUAGGAGGAUACAUCAUAUGAUCAAACUUGAUUUGUUACCUAAAUAUGUCCAAAUGGAGGAUGGUAAAUGUAGAACAUACUUGUUAACAAAAAAAACUAGAAAUUCAUUUUCAAAGAUUGAAAGGAAUACAAACAAGUUACAUCUUAUUCAUAGUGAUAUUUGUGAUUUGCAUGGUACCAUAUCCUUAAGGAGAAACAAGUAUUUUGCCACUUUUAUUGAUGAUUGCACUAGAUUUUAUUUUGUAUAGUUGUUACAUUCAAAAGAUGAAAUCAUGCAUAUGUUUAAGAUAUACAAAGUAGAAGUAGAACUUUUAUGUGACAAUUUGAUUAAAUGUUUAAGAACUAACCGUGGUAGUGAGUACUAUCAAAAGGAAUUUUUUGAAUUCAGUGGUGUUAAGUAUGAAUUCAACGCUCCAUGCACCCUCAACAAAACGGUGUGGUUGAAAGGAAAAAUAGAGUACUUAUGAAAAUCGUGAAUGUAAUGCUGUCAAAUUCUGGUUUAAGUCAAGUUUUUUGGGGAGAAGCUGUACUUAUAGCUUGUUACAUAUUAAAUAGAGUUCCAAACAAAAGGAGCUCUAUAACUCCUUAUGAACUUUGGUACAAACGAAAGCCAAAUCUCAAACAUUUGAGAGUUUGCGCUGUAGAACCAUUGUCAAAGUUCCUAAAUCUAAGAAAAGAAAAUUAGGUAAAAGAGGUGUUGAGUGCAUUUUCUUAGGAUAUGUACAAAAUAGCAAGGUCUAUAGAUUUAUGAUAAUAGAACUUAAUAAUUCAAUAUCAGUUAACAUGAUUAUUGAAUCAAGAGAUACUAUUUUUAAUAAGAAAAGAUUCACCUCUAUAUCUAGAGAAAUUGACAAUGCACAAAACUAGAAUGAAUCACAUAAAGAUAGCUUAAAUAAUGAAAAUAAAAUCAUUGAACCAAGAAGGAGCAAAAGAGCUAAGAAGACGAAUUCUUUUGGUUCAUAUUUUGUUACUUACCUUGUUGAAGGGACAAGGUAUGCAAUAAGUAAUACUAUUCCUUAUUGCUUUAAUACCGAAGCUGAUCCUAAAACAUUUGAUGAAGCAAUGAGAUCAUAUGACGCUUCAUUCUGGAAGGAGGCUAUAAGUGAUGAGAUGGACUCAAUUAUGGCCAAUAAAACUUGGGAGUUAGUAGAUUUACCACCAAGUUCCAAACCAAUUUAUUGCAAAUGGAUCUUCAAGAAGAAAUUGAAGGUGGAUGGAACCAUAGACAAGUUUAAGGCCAGAUUAGUUGCCAAGAGGUUUACUCAAAAAUAUGGCAUUGAUUAUUUUGAUACUUACUCGCCGGUAGCUAGAAUAGCUACCAUAAGGGUGCUACUUGUGAUAGUUUCAAUCCAAAAAUGGAUAAUUCACCAAAUGGAUGUCAAAACAGCAUUUUUUUUUAUUGUGAAUUGGAUGAAGAAGUGUACAUGAAACAACCCAAAGGGUUUUAGUACCUGGGCAAGAGCACAAAGUGUGCAGACUUGUAAAGUCCUUGUACGGAUUAAAACAAACUCCAAAACAAUGGCACCAAAAAUUUGACCAAGUAAUGCUUGAUAUUGGGUUUAAGAUUAAUGAGUCGGACAAAUGUAUAUACAGCAAGUAUAUGAGUGGUAAAGAUGUCAUUAUUUGCUUGUAUAUGAAUGAUAUGUUAAUCUUUGGUACUGACUUAGAGCAAUUCAAUGAAACCAAAAAAUUGCUAUCAUGCAAGUUUGAAAUGAGGGAUAUGGGAGAGGCCGAUGUUAUUCUAGGAAUAAGAAUUAAGAGAGAGCAAGGACAAAUUUUGCUUUUACAAUCUCGUUACAUUGGAAAGAUUCUUAGUCGUUUCAAUCAUCAAGAUUGUAAUCUGCCUUAACUCCCGUUGAUCCGAAAAUUGACUUUAUUAAACAUGUUGGUGAUCUUGUGUCUCAAUUGGAUUACACCAAAGUGAUUGGAUGUUUGAUGUAUGCAAUAACAUGUACAAGGCCAGAUAUAGCUUUUGCUGUAGGUGUAUUAAGUAGAUACACAAGCAAUCCAAACAAACAACAUUGGUUUGGUGUAACUAGAGUUUUGAGGUAUCUAAAACAUACCAAAGUCUAUGGUAUUUGCUAUAGUGGCUAUCCUUCAGUAUUAGAAGAUUAUUCGGAUACUAGUUGGAUGACAAAUAAUGAUGAUCAUUCUUCUAUGAGUGGUUGGGUCUUCAUAUUAGGUGGAGGAGCAAUUUCUUGGGCAUCCAAGAAUCAAACAUGCAUAACCAACUUCACCCUGGCAGCUAAAAUUAUAGCCUUGGUUUCAGCUAGCACAGAAGCCGAUUAGUUACAAAAUUUGCUACAUGAAUUACCAAUGCGGCCAAAACCAAUUUCGCCAAUUUCCAUACAUUGUGAUAGUGUUGUUACGCUUGCUAAAGCUUAUAGUUAACUGUACAAUAGCAAAUCUAGACAUGUUGGAUUAAGACCUAAUCUAGUAAGAGAUUUGAUCACAAAUGGUGUGAUAACCAUAGAUUUUGUAAAAUCAAAAGAGAACCUGGCAGAUUCUUUAACUAAGGGAUUAACAAGGAAAUGAUGAUUUAAACAUCUAAAGGGAUGGAGUUGAAAUCCAAUCCAAAAAUCACUAACAAUGGAACCUCAAUUCAACAUUAGUUAUAACAACUAGCCUUGAAUGCAAUGAGUAAAGUACAUUGAUAUAGUGGUUUGAACACUACAAAACAUCCUAGAAGGUGUGUUGUGUUUGUUCCCGCUUGAAAUUGGAAGGUCGAACUUAGAGUUCUUAACAAGUCUUGUAAAAUGCUACAAAUGGUGGGGGCAUUAAGAGCUUGCCUAUAUGAAUGUUGGAUUGGUGGCAUCCACAAAGUUUUGGACUUAACUUUGAAUACGUUCAUGAAAGAAUAGGGAUACAAGACCUAAUGUAUCACUUGUAUAAACAAAUUGAAGAGAAGUAAAUUUGUGUGUGCUAAUUUAUGUGGCUUGUUGCAUAUACUCUUGGUUCAAAACUUGUCUACCAAGUAGUAUUAACAAGUUAUAAUCAAUUAACACUAAGAUGGUAGUUUGCAAAAAAAUUAACAUUAAGAUAGUGGUUCAAUUGAAAGAUACCAUUAUUUAUACAUAGAUUAUCAAAAUUUUUCAGCGAUCCAUAAAGAAAUUUUCAAUAUGUUGAAAAUGGCGGGCGAUUGUUGGAAUAUUUUCAAAUAUUGAAAAUCUGGAUAGAUUUCUAGAGGUAGUUUUCUGUGUUUCAUUUGCAACCGUUCAAGUUUCAACCGUCAUUUGAAGAGAUACAACUCUAAACAUAUUUCUAACGGUUAAUAAAUAUUUAGGGGAUAUGAAAUUUGAUUUAUGUGGAUCAUUUGUGUUGAUCUUGAUCCCUAACUUUUGAUGUUUACAAAACAAUUGGAUGAUACUAAUAUCUCUUCAAAAAAUAUUUUCAGUUAUGAAGCAAAUCUGAUUCAAAGAUCAAGAGCAUUUGAAAGAGAUAAAGGAAGUUGAAAGCUGUCGGACGCUCGCGAAGACAACAUCGGACGUCCGAUAAACAAUGUAGCACUUCAGACGCAUGAAAAACUCCAUCACCGGACGUCCGAAAGAGUUAAGAUAUUUCUUCUAACUUACUAUCUGCUUUUGGACGCAAGCACCAGACGUUCGAUAGAAUUGAAGAAGAUUUUUCAAACUCACUGCCUGUUGUCGGAUACAUGCUUCGAAAGUACCGGACGUCCGAUAGAAUCUUUCAAACUCUCUAUCUGCUAUCGGACGGUAGUACCGGACGUCCGAUACUCCCAACGGCUAGUUGACUUUUCAGGUACUUUCUAUCCGUUGGAAGCAUUAAUGAAGCACUUUCUUGGUCUUAUAUAAAUAGUGCAUGAUCAGAAAGUUCAAAUAAUUUUUGCACACUGAAGAUAUAAAAGAUCUAGAGUAGUUUUAGUGAGAAAACACUCUUCACGAAAAAUUUGUAGUCUUGGUGGUAUGAAAUUCAUUGUAAACUUUUCAUUUGUGAGUGAAUACUUCAAUAGUGUAGUUCUGAGAGAGUUGUCCUGAGGCAUAGUAAAACUUUCUAGUUUGACCGAGUGAGGCUUGGGGCAAGGAGGAAGUGAGUCUUCCUUUGUACACAAGAUUGGUUGUAUUUCAUCCACUUGAAGAAACUUGUUUUGUGAAUUGAAUUUCGAGCUCAAGAGAAACUUGGUAGUCAAUUGGUUUGCAACUCUUCUCUUCUUAUUUAUUGUUAUCUUAUGAUCUUUAAAUUGCUUAUAUUUUCUACUUCUCUCAAGUGAUAUUGUUCUUUUAUUGAUUGAUUCAUUGGGUGAUCACCAAAAAAAGAAGGUAAAUUUCAUAUUGAGCAAAAAGUGCCCAUAACUUGAUUAGUUUUAUAAUCAACCUAUAACUUGAUUAGCUUUAUAAUCAACCUAAUUCACCCCCUCUUAGGUUGUUUUCGAUCCUUACAAUUGGUAUCAGGGUUUGGUCUCCUAGAGAUUAAGCUCAAACGGCUUUGGAGUAAAAUAACAACCAACAAUGCCAUGUUUUUUGAAGGACAAUCUGUCACUAGACCACCUAUGUUUAAUGGAUCAAAUUAUAUGAGUUGGAAGGAAAGAAUGAUUAUUUUCUUACAAUCUAUUGAUAUUGAAUUGUGAUUUAUUGUUAAUGAAGAUCCAUAUGAUGCCUCUAUAAUUGAUGAAGUCACUCAUAGACCAAAACCAAAAAUCAAAAAUGAGUUGACUGGUGAAGAUAGAACCCACCUUACUUUGAAUGCCAAAACUAUGAAUGUGUUGUAUAGUGCUUUAGAUUCAAAUGAGUCCAUUAGGGCCAAGGGUUGUAAGUCUGCUAAAGAAAUUUGGGAUAAGUUGAGAGAAAUCCAUGAAGAGAGUGAAAAUGUACGAGAACAAAAGAAAUCAAUCUUAUUUACCAAGUAUGAAUCAUUUAAGAUGGAAUCUCAUGAAAAUAUUGACAAGAUGUAUUGUAAAUUCAAUGACCUCAUUAAGAAUUUAGAGGUGCUGGAAAAGGAAUACUCCCUAGGUGAGAAAAACAGAAAAUAGUGAAUGCCCUGUCCAAGGAUUGGGAAAGUAAAGUGACUGCCAUUGAAGAAACUAAAGAUUUGAACUCUAUGCUUAUUGAAUCUCUCAUUAACUCUCUAAUCUCUUAUGAGCUGAAGUUUAAGAUUAAGGUGCAAGAGGAAGAGAAUGCAAAAGUGAGAAAGAGCAUUGUUCUAAAAGUUUCUCAAGAUGAAGAUGACUCGGCUUCCUUAGAUGGAGAAGAUGUGGAAGUUGAUGACAGUGAUUUUGCUCUCAUCACAAGAAGUUUCAAAAGAAUUCUCAACAAAAGGAGAUUCAGAAAAGGAGAACCUAGCAAUACAUUUCCAAAUUAGUUCAACAAUGUAAGAAACAAAGCAAAGCAAGAGAUCAAUAAAAAACAAACUGACAAAUGUUAUGAAUGCGGUCAACUUGGACACUACAUGAGUGAGUGUCCAAUGAUAAAGAAGAAAGAAGGAAGAAAAUCAAGAUUCAACAACUUUCAAUUCACAUGGAAUGAGUGCAACUUCGAUGGUGAAAUUGAAGAGGAAGAAGAAUCUGUUCAAUUGGCUUUUAUGGCCAUUAGAGAUGAUGAGGUAACAACUUGUAACUCUCAAUUUGAAAGUGAUAAUGAAACUGAUGAUGAUUUUGAAUCUUUCAUUAAAAAAUUGUAUGAUAACUUGAAAGAAUCUGAUGUUAGAAAUAAGGAAUUAAAAUAGAAAAUUAGUUUUUUGUUUCAAGAUAAUGCAAAUAUUUUUCAAUAAAACAAAAAGUUGAAAGAUGAAAAUGACUACUUCAAAAAGGGUGAGACCGCUUUACACUUUGACCUUGAUAGAAAAACAAAGUUUUGUGAAUUGUUCAAAAAGGAACAAGGUGAUUUGAAAAGAAGAACGAAUGAUUUAAAUGAAUUGCUCCAACAUAAAAAACAAAACUAUUUUCAAGGGAAUGAAUCAAAGGCUCAUCUUGGCACUUAUGAUAAAAAAAAUAAAUUCUCGUGCAAAUGAUUUUACUGUUUAUAAGAGAAGACUAGUAAGAUUUAUUAAACCUGUUCAUGUAAAUAACUCUUUGGUUAUGUGUAAUUUUUGUUGUCAAAAAGGUCACAUGAAAAGUGAUUGCUAUGUGAGGAUAUGUAUGUGGAUAGUUAGACAUGAUGCUAACUCUCAAGAACCCAAAAAUUAAAGGGUACCAAAUAUUAGUUCUUGAACUCUUGAGUAGGUGAACCUGGUGAACAUCAUUAAGGAAUCAAAGUGGUUCGUAGAUAAUGGAUACUCAAGACACAUGAUCGGUGAUCCAUCACAAUUAAUUAGACACAAUGGAUACUCAAGUUAUGGACACUUUAGCACAUCCUUUUUUGUGUGAAAAGUGAAGAUUUAGAUGCUUUAACCGCCUGAAAAAUCUCAAUUUAACACGGAUGUUAUACUUCUCCGCGCUACAAUAAGGAGAAAGUUUAUGUUCACCGACCGUAUUACCAAAUUUAGCGAUGAGGUCAUUAACCUGUACAAUCUUUAAUGUUUUCAAUUUUUUUUCCAGUUUAGCAAACUAUUUUCUUAGAAAAUCAAUCAUUUAUGAGAAACAUAAUUUUACUGUUAUUAAUAAUCUUUUAUCCAAUCUAUGUAGAUAAACGGAGAGUGAAAGAGAGAUUUCAUGAAGACCGUCUCACCAAACUCAUGUUAGGGCCAGAUCUUGGCAAUUAAAUUAUUUAUAAUUUUUGGUAAAAAUACUCCACAAUGCAAUAUUGUGACGGGUGCAUCUGGUAUGCUCAAUAAAUGUGCAACUUAGAAAUAAAUAAUUUCUUUUUUUUUUGUGCGUGUGAAUUAAUUGCAUCAAAUUCUUUGAUACUCAAAAUCGUAAUUUCGAAAUGUUAUUCUCAUGUAAUAUGGUUCAUCCUUAUGGGGUAAACAUGAAAGUUUAAAAGUGGCCAGAAACUAUACCAAAAGCAUGUGGAUGCCUUGUAUGUAGCAAAGAUGACAGAGACUCGAAAUCUUGGCCUAAUGGUACUGUUCAUUACUUGCACAUCCACUUAAAAUCAAAAAACAAAGAAAGAACACAUCAUAAAUAGAAAAUUUGUCCAUUUGUACAAUUUCUUGCCUUUGUUUCUUGUACUAUAUGUGUUUGGCAGUUUUAGGCUGUUGCAUCCCAUUUCUGGUUGCCGUUUUCAUGUGAUUCCAAUUCAAUUGCAUUUGGACAAACAAUAACGAAUGAACCAAAACAACGAUGUAGAUAAGUUUAAGCCGAUUUUCAUUUCCUUCUAGAAAAAUUUCAAUAGCCUAAAAGGAUAAGAAAUGAUAAUAUGUGUGGUUGGAGAUCUCCAAUGAAUGGUCACCGAUAAAGCCAGCCUUCAGAGAUAAGCUGUGUUUAGAAAACUAGAGGACCCAUAGCGAUCUGCCCUUUUUUUUUUGUGUAUAAAACAUUUUAUAAUUUGGAGUGUAGUGAUCUAGACACUACUUCAAAGUUUUAGAUGCCGGUUUAGUGAUCGAAAUUGAGAAUUCAAAAAAUAGAGGUCCUAAAUUCCACUGUAACUAUAAAGAUUGAGUUUCUUUUCUCACUAUUGCGAAAUUUUUCAUGUUUCUCAAAAGUAGUUUAGUUGCAAAAAACAGCUGAAAAAGUACGAGGUAGUAUGAUCUUGGAAUAACCAAAAAUUAGGUGGUGAGCCAUUUUGUAUUUUAUUUCUACGACAUGGAAUCAUGUCAUGCGUCUUAUGAAAUAUCAUUUUCUCUUCAAAAAAAAUGAAAUUUCUUAAUCGCAAGACAGCAAUCAUUCAAUUCAUUAUAACCUUUGUUGAUAAUUCGUGGCCCAGAGAAGGGGACAAUGCUCUCACUGCCGCCACUGACUCUAUCAAUCAAAAUCUUCACAUCUACGUAUGAAAUUGUAAUUGGUGGCCUAGAGACAGAGACAAAUUAAGUGAGGGCAAUUCAAAAUUUCCACAUCUAUAUAUAAAAUUGUAGUUUUAUCCCCACACUUAAAUGAAAUUGUCCUCACUAUUCUUCAACAAAAUCAAAGUAUUAGGAAAUUGCCCCCAACAAGAUCUUCAUAUAUGCAUAUAAAAUUGUAAAUUUGCCCUCAUACUUAAUGAAAUUAUAAUUCAUGGCCCAGAGAGACAGAGACAAAGUGGGGGCAAUUCAAAAUUUCCACAUCUACAUAUAAAAUUGUAGUUUUAUACCCACAGUUAAAUGAAAUUGUCCUCACUAUUCUCCAACAAAAUCAAAGUAUUAUGAAAUUGCCCCCAACAAAAUCUUCAUAUAUGCAUAUUAAAUUGUAAAUUUGCCCCCACACAUAAACAAAAUUGUAAUUCAUGGCCCGGAGAGACAGAGACAAAGUGAGGCAAUUCAAAAUUUCCACAUCUACAUGUAAAAUUAUAGUUUUAUCCCCACACUUAAAUGAAAUUGUCCUCACUAUUCUUCGACAAAAUCAAAGUACUAGGAAAUUGCCCCCAACAAAUCUUCAUAUAUGCAUAUAAAAUUGUAAAUUUACCCUCACUUAAAUGAAAUUUUCCUUACUACCCUUCAACAAAAUCUAAAGUAGUAGUGUGCACUUUGUUUAUAUGUUUCUGUAUCCAAAUUUAACAAGACCUAAAAUAGAUGACACCACCUUGUAAAAAAAAAAAAAAAGAAACUCAACUUGCAUUUAUUCUUCUUCUUUAUCUAUUCUAAUGUGCAAACCCAUUUGAAAAGCUUUUCUAACCAUUUUCAUUACACAUUGGAACUCACAAAUAUUAAUGCAGUAGUCAUACGUCUCACAAAGAUGUUAAGACGACAUCAGAAGAGUUUCACAUCCUUUAGGUCGUGGGAUCCCCAAUAGGCUUUUACUCCCUCCGUUCCACUUUGAUAGUUCUAUUUCUUUUUUCACACAGUUUAAGAAAAAAUAGUUAACUUUGUUGGAAAAAUAAAUUUAGAUUGAUAUUUUCCUAAAAUACUCUCACAUUAAAUAUGGUACAAUUUUAUGGGAACUUGAAUUGAUGGUAAAACAAGAAUCAACUCUCAUUAAAUGAGGUAGGUUUAUAGUAACAACAACUUACAUUGAAUAAGGGUAUUUUAGAAAAAUUAAAAUACAACUACAUUUUUCAAUUGGAAAGUGGACUACAAUUUGGGACAGACGAAAAAGGAAAAUAGGAAUAUCAAAGUGGGACGGAGAGAGUAAUUUUUUUUAGUUGAGGCAAUAAUUACUAAUAAUUGAUGCUCAAUGACAUUCUAGAAGUACACGUAUGAGCAGAUACCUUGACAAUAUUUGUAGACAACCAAAAACAAGUAGUGAAGGUCAUAAAUGUUUGAGCAAAGAGCAAAGUAUUCUAGAAAAACAACAACUAUAAGUUGCCAACUUUACUACCAGUUAACGUCAACGUGUCCCUCAAGGUAAUCUCAAAAUAAUGGCUUCCACGGCACAUCAAGAAAAAUCAAUACCAUUGCAUCAUUUUGGAUUUCAUUGAAAAUACCUUUUGUGUAAUCUUAUUAAUAAGGGCAAAUUACAUUUUACCCCAGUGGUUUAGCAUUUUUUACACAACCCCUCUAUGGUUUCAAAAGCUAUACAUAACCCCCUCGUGGUUUUGAUUAAAGUGUCAAAGUGACGAAAAUAAUUAUUCGUAACGGAACUUCUAAAAAUGUCAAAUUACCCUUAUAAAUACAUGACACACUAAUCCCGUAUAAUUUUUAUAUUUUACCAUAUAACUCUCUUAUGGUUUAAUACUUUACCAUAUAACCCCUUUAUGGUUUUCAAAAUAUACACAUAACCCCCCUUGAUUAAUAAAUAAUUUUCAACUUUACAUAAGGGUAUUUUUGAUAUUUUAGAUGACUCCGUUACAAAUGAUCAAUCUCGUCACUAUGAUAAUUUAAUUCAAACUAUGAGAGGGUUAUGUAUAACUUUUGAAACCAUAGGGGGGUUAUGUAAAAAAAUGCUAAACCACAGGGGGUAAAGUGGAAUUUGCCCUAUUAAUAAUAAUUCUCUAUGCACAGAUAUGCCACGAUAUAUAGAAUAAUUAAGAAAAAACUUUUUUUUCUGUAGGAAUGCAACUAAAGGACUUUUCAGUGUGUGUAACAUAGCACUUCCAAUCGACUAGAGAUCUCGAGGAUCAAAAGAGGUGAGCUUGAACCACUAAGGCUUGGUUUAGUGGCCAGCAGGGAACUUAAGUUUCUCCGUGGGAGUUGGUCAGGGUUUGAACCUUUGCCAACAUCAUUUUCACCAAAGGAGUAGCAGUAGCAGGCAGGUAGGUAGGCACACUACAGGAAUGGCGGCAGGAUGCGUCUCGCCUCCCCCAUCAUCCUCUUCUCCAAAGACCCCUCCUUGUAGUAGAAUAGGAUUUAAAAAAAAAAAAAAGGUGAUCUUUCUUUCUAUGUUAAGUAUGCAGUUCAUCUAAAAGUGUAUCUUACUUUUUGGAAAUUAUAUUUUUGGGUGGUGAAUCAAAUCUCUAAGGUUCAAGCACAAGACGGAGAGCUAAUUGGUCAUUAUCCACUCCUUCUACUCUUUAGAAGUUUCCAAAACCACAAUUAUGAUGUUAACACGCACUAAAUAGAUUAUUACAAUAAAAUAGUCCAUGAUUAUAGACAAAUCGUGCCAGAUAAUUGCACAAAGUGUACAACUAUGAUCUAACCAAGCACUUCCUCUGACCAUAGAUAUUAAUUUGUCCGAUCUAAACAUGUCCUUUCCUCCCUCCCAAAUGGAUAGUUUAAGAACAGGUGACCAAAGUUUUUGAAAAUUUUUUACUCGGAAUUUGUUUUAAGCCAAUUGAGUUAGUGAUCAUUAGGAAUAAUUUGCAUUUUACCUGCAUAGCUGUUUUCAAGGUCAGUGAUUCUCUGAGCUAUCUACCUUACACAUAGUCCCUCAAUCCCAUCGAAAGUUGUCAUGUUUUCAUUUUAAAAUAUUUCAAACAUUUGUCAUGUUGCAAAAGUCAAAAUACGUUUUAGUCACUCUUUCCAAUAUAGCCCUUCUUUUUAGUUAUAUGCAUGUUACUAUUUAAAUUUAAAUUUUGAAUUUAUAGGGAUAAAAUUGAAAAGAAAAGUAUAAAUAUCACAAUUAAAUCAUUAUUUCCAAAAAGUUGGAUUCUCGAAGUAUGAUUAAAUAAUUGCAAUGGAGGGAAUAAGAAGGAAGGGAGGUUUAGUGUUUUAUCUCCCCUUUCACCACGCAGCUUUCUAAUAAAUUGGCAAGUGGCAUGCUUCCAGCUAUAAUAUUCCUUGCAAAUUGCUGUUGGUACCCAUUCUAUAUAUCAAACCACAAAUUUGUGCCUUUAAAAAAGUUUGGGCUUUUUUCCCUUCUUUUAAUAAGCCCAAUGGUUUUCUUUAGACUAAAUUAUCUUAUUCAGUUGAGCCCAUCACCGUUUGAUUAUAGACUAAUAUUGCGUUAGAUUGAUUUCCAUUAAGUCCUAAUUGAGAUUGAUUUUCAUUACGUACUAAUUGUAAUUAUUUAGAUAGGCAAACGGCAAUUGAAUUGCUAUUUUGCCGGCUAUUUUAAUAACUGUAUCGGUUCCCUUUGCAAGCUCUCCUCUAAUUUUUCUGCCCAAGAACAGUUUUCUUUCUUUUCAAUUGUACUUAGUCAAGUUUUAGCUAUAGAUUGACCUUAUGAUAAAGAAAAAGAAAAAAUUGAUGUCCCCUUUGUUGCCUAUUUCCAAUAAACAUCGGUAUUCUUUUGCUAUAACAAAGAAAACAAAGGCCUAUUGUUUCCUUCUUCCUCCAGCCGUUUCUUCAUCUGGUAUGUUUACUUCUCUUCUUUUUUUAAUUUUCAUUUUUUGCACCUUUAGUCUGAAGAUUAGGACUUUAGGGUUUUCCUGUUAUUAUUUUCUUACCUUUAUUAGUGAAAAUUAAGAAAUUAGGGCUUCCUAAAUUAUAAUUCAGAUUUUUCCUAUUUUUUGGCUUUCUAUCCAUCUUUCUACUGAUGCUUCUUUUUCCCAUGUUUUGCUACUUGGAUAAUCUCCAUUGCGUUCUAAGCACAGAGGUUUGGCCGUUUGUUUCCUUCAGCUUGCUACAACUCUCGCUAGGUAUGUCUUGCACCUCAUUCUAAAUUUCAUAUUACAUGUAGCAACUUUUUCUUUGUUUUUAAACUAUUUAUUUAUGUAUAUUGUGUGUUUAGUUGAAACUCUUUUUUUUUGUUUAAAGUACUUGGCUACUCUUUGUGAUUUAGUCUUUUUCCAGCUUUGAUCAAAUCAUGUAUCCAUUUGGUUUUACCUUUGUUCUACAGUUGUUUUGUUUUGUGCUCAGCCAUUUGUCUUAUACUGUUUGGACGAACUAUAUAAAGAACCAUUAAAUGUAAGACAACUACAUGGUUGGUUAAAUAAUGAUUAAGAUAUGUUAUGGUCAGCCAUUGUUUGUCAAAUUUUGCUGACACAAAAUCCAAGGAAAAAAAAAUAGAGAACAGAACAUAUUGCAAUAAAAAGAAAAAAAAAUGGAAGUAAACAAGUUUUUGCUUCAUGUACGCAAAAGAUGAAUGCCCGAACCACUAAUGCCAUAACUGGACCUCUCGAUCUUUAGCACUAUCGGUGUUUUUCAUCAGAUUUGUAUAAACCCUAUCUUCUAGUACCAUAACUGAUUAUCUUCUUGAUAAAAAUAUCCUAAAGAAGACAAAAUGUUUGAUACAUCGGUGCUACAUAAUUAAGAUCAACUGUUACUUGACUAAUAGGCAGUAGUUUGUUUGAUAGAAAAGGUAUCAAUAAGGUAUUAGGCAGAGCAAGAGCACAAAGCAACAGGGACUCCUCAACUCACUCACUAUGCUAUGUGGCAGUGCAUGAAGAAGCAACUCAUCCUUAUAUGCAUCCUUUGAUCAUCUCAAUAGAAUCUUUGUCGCUUAUGUUUAUGUCAGAUUCUGCCCAAAAAAAAAUAAAAAAAUAGAACAAAACAAAAGAGAAACUCAAUUAUCGGAGAGAAUUCUAAUAGUCCUCACCUAACUACUUGACCAAAUAAAAUAAUUUAUUUAAUCAUGAUAUUAAGUAAAACAAAUUAAACAAUACCAUGAUACCUUAAAUAAAUAAAGAUAUUUAAAGAAAUUUUAAAAAAAAGUAUCAUAAUAUUAAGCACUCCCCUGACUACUAGACGAAAUUGGGCAAAAGUUCAACUAAAGAGGCCCUAGACUCAAACUGUCUCAUGAUACCUUAAAGGGAAAAAGACACUGGCAAAAUUGUAACUGGCUAGAAAUUUACAAGUCUUAAUGCAAAUAAGAGUUCAUAGAAAUUAGAUGAACAAUCUUAUGAUAAUGUAGGGUAAAAUAUUGCUAAGAAGAUGUAAUUUUCCACACUCAUGAUAAACUUGCUUUUCAAGUCACAGUAACUAUCCAUCUAAACUGAAGUUGUACUGCAUUAUUGCUCACUAUUAGCUUAGUUAGUACUAAAAUCAAAUUAAGUAUAUCAAAAACAAGACAGAGAGAGACAAAAGUGGAGAAAAUUGAUCAAAUGGCUGAAAGCCAGAAACCCCAUCUUCUUGCCUUCCCAUUUCCUGCAGAGGGCCACAUAAAUCCGCUGCCGAACUUUGCCAAACGCUUGAUCCCAAAAUGGUUCAGGAUAACUUUCAUAAUUACAGUUGAUUUCACUAAAAUAUCAGCAUAUUAUACACAAGACUCAUCAUCCUCAGAGCUUUUCAGUAUUGAAUACAUUAGAUGGCUCAAAUGAAGGUGAAGAACCAGACAGCUUGGCAGGCCAUUUCAGACGGUUACAUGCCAUAAUGUCCAGAGAUUUGGUGAAGCUUAUAGAGAAACUAAACAGCUCUGACAUCCCACCCAGAGUUCUUGUUUAUGAUUCAACCUUGCCAUGGGCUUUGGACGUAGGUCAUCAGAUGGGGUAGCUUGGAGCUUCUUUUUCACUCAAUCUUGUGCUGUUCGUACCUUAUAUUACCAUAUGCAAGAAGGGAAAUUGGGUGCUAUUCCGGAUGAGGAGCAUUCCUCGGUGUUGAUUCCUCCGCUUCCAUUGCUGCAGAUUGAUGAUCUUCCUUCGUUUACCCAAGUCAAUGACAAGGAUCACACCAUUACUAAGUUGAUGGUAGGGCAAUUCUCUAAUGUUCAGAAAGCAAAUUGGAUAUUUCUCAACUCCUUUGACAAGCUGGAAUAUGAGGUAAGUUGCAAAUUUUGGUUAUGAUACAAAUUUUGCUGUGUUGUUGCUCAGUCUGGGUUCGCCAUUGCGGGUCGUGGUCGUGUCGCAGUUGUAGUUAUUCCACAUCCGUCGCAGUAUAUCGGUCACAUAUCGAGCGAUACACAUAUUGUAACAUAUUACUCUCUCUUACAUGCACACCCACAUUAACUCUCACAACAGAACUACUCUUCUCUCGUUUGUUCAUCUCCCGGUUAGCUGCAGCUUUUGUCCCUCUACAGCCAAAAAUUUUUUGGUUCCAUUUCCGGUACAACUCAGUCCAACUCACCAAUUUCUCAACGAUACGCACCAAAACCGUUCCAACUCGUCUGAUAUUGGCUGAGUUAUUAGUAGUCACCUCGGAUAUAGCUAAGUCUACGAUUCGGGAAUCAGUAUUGUACCGGUUCCCAUUGUUCCGGUUAUGUCUCAAUUGAGUCAUCGUGGACUCGGUCGAGAUGUCGAACCAUGGUCUGUACACAGUGUCUAUUGGAUUUCAUAGAAAUUUCAAAUUUUUACAUUAAUUGAUCUAGAUCAUCGAAUAUCAUUUCUUCUAUCCACAUCUAAAAUCUACUGUUUGCAUUUAUCAUGAAUUUUGGCCCCUUGCAUUAAAGUUCUCUGAAAUACUAAAAUUUGAGCUUAAUUAUAUUAUAGUGAAAGAAAGUUCAGAUUAUAGAGCUUCUUUAAUCAGCAAAACAUAGAAGGCAAAAGGUUUUCAAAGAAAAAUGCCAAGUUGGUAACUUAAAAAUUAGGUAGCUUAGACCGAUCUUUCACUUCAAUUUUAAACAUUCAAUUUCCCUAUAUUUUUAAUGCGUUUGAAUCGAAUGUGCUUGUCUUGAUCAGAACACUAGAGAAUAGUUGGAUCUUGUGUAAUGAAUCACACCUUAUACAUGCUCUUCUCAUGGCAAAGAUAUAUAUGCACUUGAAUAAAGGUUAUAUCAAAGGUAUCAUCUUGCUGUUGUGAAGGAAAAUUAGCUCAAAGUUGUAACUAGAGCUGCAAACCAGUCGAGUUGAAUCAAGUUUUGAUCUCAUCAAGCCGAGUUCAAUUCAAUUUUAUCAAAUUUGAACUUGAUAAGCUUUUAUAUAAAACUCGAGUUCAAGUUCGAUCUCAAAUUUGAUUCUAGUCGAGCUCAAGGUUGAGCCUACUCAAGUUUUAAAAAUAAAGAAUAAUUAUUUUAUUUUUUUGAAUGAAUAAAAUAGUCAUUUUCCUUAGUAAAUAACAAAAACAUUAGGGAUAUAUAUUUAAUUUUAUUAUAAAAAUAAAAAUAUUAUAUAUAUAUAUAUAUAUAUAUAUAUAUAUAUAUAUAUAUUUGAGUCGGAUUGUGAGCUAGCAAACUAAGUUUUUCUAUGUUUCACUUGAGUUCAACAGCUCAAUUUAGUCGGAUCAAACUCGAGACUGAACUCAAGUCAAGUUUUGAUCGAAUUUACUCGCAAACGACUUGAUUCGUUUGCAGCUCCACUUGUAACAAUGUCAAUUAUAAGAUAAGGAUCACCGUGAUAUUAUUUAAAGUCAAACAUCCAGUCCAAGUAGUGGCUCCAAACUCCAGGGAAGGUAGAAUCUGAAUUAAAAAAUGCACGUGCUAUUGCAUUUUUGUCUUGUGUUGAAUAGGAAUUCUAGGUAAUGGUCAUUAUAUAAAAUAUAAAGGCAACUGUGAUAGCCCCACUUUCUCCAAAGGCGAACCAGAAGGGUCGGCGGACCGCCUGCCCAACUCUCGUCAGAACUCAUUAUAAUUCAUAGCAAGAAUUACUUGAAAUUUCUAAACUAACCAAAAUAAUAUUCAUUACACCCCAAAAUAACAUUUACAUACAUCCAAAAGCUCUUACAUAGGUUCGCCUACAAAAGAUUCAUCAUUCGGCGUCUAUCUUAAUUACAACCUGAAAAUAUAUAUACACUACAGUCAUUUCUACUAAAAUAAAACUUAAAGUCUCUCAAAACAUUCCAACGGUAUUCUUGAGCACUCUCGGAUCCGAAUCCUGUUAAGGAAAACAAAACGUGGGAUGAGCUUACGCCCAGUGAGCAUUCCAGGUAAACAGGCAAAAUAAGAGAAUAACACAAUUUAACAUGUAAGCACAUUUUCCCAAGUAAUAUAGGUUCAAGUAAAUCGAUACUCAACUUUAGAAACUGGUAGUGUAGCAAUUAAUUGUAAUACAAAUCUUUCAAUGUAAAAUACUUGAUAAACAAUAACAUACAUGCGUGCAUUCAAUCAUUCGUUCAAGUAAAUAAAAGGAUGAACAAUAAUUUAAAUAUUAAAAGGAUAGGGGGCUCACAAGGAGCAACAUUCACCUUAUAACUGCCAAUAAGCAAUUCCCUAUAUUUUACCACCUUAUAACCUCUGAACUCCCACCUUAUGUCCUCCGAAAGAUCAACAAUCCCCUCAUUUAACAUUCACCUUAUGCCCUCCGAAAAAUCAACAAUCCCCUCAUUUAACAUUAAACAUUGUACUCAAGGCCUUUCGACAAAGAGUUUUGAGCUUUGCACUUAACAUUGGUAAGUUAUAAACCCAAAACUGUCCAGCAGAUCCAACCUCGCAAAUGGCGGGUCUCGGAUAGGGUGCCAGCAUAGGGUUAAGCUCAGUUCAGCCGAUGCGAUAAAGUACACAUUGGCCUACAUUCUGGCACAUUUAUCAUGCAUUCAUGCAAUGUGAACAUACGCUCAUAGCAAAUUAACAAGACAAGAAAAUCACAACAGUCAUUCACUUAUUAGCAUGCCAUUCAAAGGAGAGCACUUAAGCAAAUAAUAGUAUUUUCUAAAGUCAUGCAUAAUCAAAUAACAUGCAUUGGAACACUCAUCAAUCAAUCGCAACCCUUCACCUUAACCCUGGUUCGUUCUCUUGAACUCUCUCGAGUCCCAUGAUCAUAUACUAUAUUAAAAGACUAGUAAUACAAAGCCAAAAUGCAUGAAAUGAUUGAGAUUUCAAAACUUCAUUUAGAAAUGCAUCAAUUUACAAGUUUUAUGCCCAUAUAACCUAUCAAAAAUAUAAUAUUUUCUUGUUGCAAUCGAGGAGAAAACCUCAUGUGCUUACUAAAUCAACGUUGCAAAAGUCAUUUGGAGCACAAGAGCAUCAAUUAUAGUCAAACGUUUGAAGAAAUUAGAACAAGACUUUCAAAAUACAAAGUUGAAAAUUGUCCGGCCUAAAAUGAUUUGAAGAAACUCAUUUCCUUUCAUUUAAACCUCAAUUUUACUCAUAAAACCAAACUCAAAAUGGUUUAACAACUCCAACUUAAAGUUGGAAAUGAAAGCAAGAGCAAGUUUAGAAAACAAAAUUUUCUCCAGUUUUGCGCGACACUGUUUGAAAAAUCGUAUCGCAAGCUUCUUAAGUCCAAAAUUUAUAAACUUUAUACCGUUGGAAAAUAGACUCAAAGGACUACAAUUUUCCAGAUUUAUAAGAUUCCGUCCAUAAAUCAGUCAAAUUCUAGUCUCAAGUUACUGCUUCAUCAAGUAGAAAAACAGAGCAGGUGUGAAAAUUCAGUCAAUUUUGGAAAAUCAUAGAUAUUUAUAGGAAUUGAGAAAAAUUCUGAAAUUUUCACGGUAAAAUGUACUCUGAAUCUAGUUUCAAACACAAUAAGCAGAACUCAAUUUGGAUUUUUUUACACCAAAAUAUAGCAGAUUUCCCAAGACUGCUUAGAGUCUCCUGCGGGAAAAUUUCCAGGAACACUUCCCCUUAUUUUCUUAACUUUUCCAUCCAAACUCAACACCAAUAUUUAUGGCAAUCCAACCUCAAACACAACCACAAGUUACAGGCUAUAAAGUACAGUUGAUUAAAGCCACAAAACCAUCCAAUAUAGCCAAUUUCUAGCUCAAAAAUCAACCACGACAAAGCUGAAAUGACAUCCCAAGGCUGCAAUUUAACAUAUCAAAGCUCGAAAAUUCAAGCCCUAAGCUAAAACUACUAACAAAAGCUGGAAAUUCCUUAAAGGAAGCCAAAAAGUGCUUGUACAAGCUGGAAAUCCUUAUGGACAGCCCAAAAAUUUCCUAGCAAAGCUGGAAUUCAUCAUUCAAAGCUGGAAAUAACAAUCUACUACACAAAACUACAAAGUCUUCCAUAAAACCUAUUACAAACAAGCACUAAUCUCAUUCAAGUGCAAGAUUAAAGAGAUAGAGUAACUUCUUGCCAAAAGUACCUUCAAACCUCAAGAUGAGUAGCAAAUUUCAGCUUUCUUUCCCCCCCCCCUCCCCAAAAAACACUCUACACCAGCCACCUUCCUUCCUUGUAGCAACUCUCUAUAGAUUUGUUUAGGGUUUUAGGUUCAUUUCCCACAAGUUUUAGCUAGGAAACAAGAUGAAACUUAAAGAAGUUUUCCUCUCUUUCUCUUUUCUCUCUCUUCGCCAAGAGGUAAGAAAAUGGAGUGUUAUUUGUGUCCAAGAGGAAAGACAAGUUUUAAAGAAAGCUUGGUCAAUAGUACCCUUGAUUGCCAACACUUGGCAUUCCAACCUUUUUCCUUUCUUUUUUUUUUCUUCUCUCUUGCUUAGUCAAAAAUUUCGGCCAACCCUAGGGAAAAAUAGGGAAGGGAAAAUAAAAAGGAAAAUAAGAAGAUUAAAUAAAGAAAAUCUUGGUCAAAUAGUGUUUUUGACCGGUAACAAGUAACGCGAGUCGGUUCAAGCCUACAUCCUUGUCUCUCUUGUACUUGUAACUUAUGAUUCACUAAUUUACUCUUAGUACUUUUAAUCACAUACUCUCUCUUGCUUAACACUCACUCUCGUCCACCAAAUAUAAUGCAUACAUCUCACUAGUCGAUCAAACUAUCUUAAUACUCUAUAAAACUUAACAUGCACUGAAAUAUAAAAAGAAAAGAGAAAAAUCCUAACUUAAUCUUUAAAAUCACUAUCAAAUUAAGGCUAGCAAGUAAGCAAGUAAAGUGAAAUUAAAAGGAAAUAUAAAUUAAUUUUUUUUCCAAAAAUAGGAAAAAAAAUUUAAAUAAUUUCCGGGUCCUCACAGCAACAAACAAAAUUUGACUCAAAAAGUUUAAAAGAGCUAGCAUCUAUUUUUCUUCUUUUGCAUCAAGUUUUUUUGGCAAUUAGGUGGUAAUUCGUCUCAAUGAUUUUAUAUUCAUCACAAUACUAUCGGGUGGAACAUUGGAUAGCUAGAAAAUGGUCAAUUAAGACAACUGGACCAACUAUUUUGAAGGACAACUGAUAAGAGUUUAUUUUACGUAUUUUUAGUGUGUUUUAUUAGUUAAUUUUGGUUUGAUUAUUUAGUUUUAUAACUAAAAUAACUAAGGUUUUGGUAAAAAUCUACAUUUUAUGUUAAAGUGGCUAAAUAUUGCAUUUUAUGGAUUUUUAUGGGAAAAACUUCAUAUUUUGUAGGUUUAAUGAUUCAAUCAUCAAAUGAAGUGCAUUGAGAAGAUAUUUGGAUGAUUGAAGAUGGAUUAAAGUGAGGAAAAUAAAAUAUGAAGUGUAAAAGGAAGAAAUGCAAUUUGAGGACAAAAAUCAAGAAAAGUCAGCUUUGACAACUCAGACAUAUUUUCGUAUUUUGACUAUAUCAGGAGCUACAAUGAUCGGAUCAAGGUGAUCUUGGUACCAUUUUGAAUCUAAGAGAUAUAUCUACAUUUGGUAUGAAGACAUCAAAGUCCAAUUCAUCCGUUUUCAUAGUCCAAAAGUUGAAAUACCGAAAUUCAACUCAGCUGUCCAAAGUGGAAAACAGAGUUCCGACCAGUGUUUAGUAUUUUGAUCAUAUCUCAGUCUACAAAGCUCCGAUUUGGAUGAUUCUUGAAGCAUUGGAAAGCUAACUCAAAGAUCUACAACUUUGGUGUUUUGUACAAAAGCCAGUUCGGCCUGCAUCAUGGAGAAAAUCGCAGUUUAAGUAAGGACAAAGUGAAAACGCGAGUGCACAAAACGAGAGUUGUAGACGCGUUUUGUAAAGGCGCGUUUUCUGGCCGAAAUUCUGCAAUUUGCUCAGUCAAUUCUCUUGUGUUCAUACCACUUUCCAGCUAUAAGUUGCAAGAGAAUUCGGUGCACAUGCUUCAGAAGACAAAAGGGCAGACAAGGUGGCUUAUUUUCAAGUCAAAAACAUUUGUUAUUGACUAUCCUAACAAAGUUGAGAUUUGGGAAUCAAAAUGUGGAAUUUGACUUGGAAAAAUGGAGCUCUUAAGCAGUUUAUAUGCAGAGACAUUUUGGGUGGUCUAAAAAGGGGGAAAUAUACGGGAGAAGCUUGAAGAGUGCAGAAAUGUAGUUCUUCCAUUUCCUUAGUGUAGGAUAGUGUAGUAAGUGUAGUUAAUCCAUUCUUGUAUAAUAGCUAGAUUAGGAUGAAGAUGGAGAUGAAGAAGGAGAAGUUGAAGCUCAAGUGACAUGGGUUAUCUCUACUCCAAUUCUUUAUCUUUUGUAUUGGAUUCUUAACUAUGGUUAUUAUGCAAGUUCUGGAAUUUAUGUCUAUUAUGUGUUUCUAAAGUUUAUGCCUUGGGUUUGGUUGAACUUUCUAUGAUUGUUAGUGUUUAUCAUUUGGCUAUUUAACUGCCAUAAUUUGAGCAAGUUAUUUAGCACUUUAGCUCUUUAAAUCAUGAUUAAUUUGGUACCAUUAAUUGUGAUUAUCUAAGGUGUUAUUUCUGCAAUGAAAAUUGAGAUUUAACAUUAGUUCAAGAAGUGCUAAACAUAGGGAGUACACUCACGAAAGUAGAGGUGCAUCUAUGUGGUUUUUAGUGAUUCAUUUCAUGUAAUUUCAUUGAAGAAAUGAACUUGUAGCUAAUUUCAUAACCAUGAGAAUAGGUAUGGAUUAGUUAUAAGUAUAAUUGAUUCACUACGAAAGUAGGAUUCAAAUGCAUAAGGAAAUUACACCUUAACUAGCCUAGAUAUAGUACUAAAUGAUCCAAAUAUAGCACUUGUAUGAGUAGUUAGGGAUACCACAACCUAAGGAGCUUUUAUUUGUUAUUUUGUAUAAUUUCAGUAGGUUAAAUUUCUUAUAAUUCAUUGAUAGUCUAAAUAAUAGAGAAGCUUUAGUAAUACCGGUAAUUGUUCACUCUUCCCUGUGGGAUCGACCCGAUAUAUACCCUAAACUACUAGUUGAUCUGUAUACUUGCAGUGAACGGGUGUAAUUCGGUAUUUUUUAGCUUGCACGUAUGUAAAAUACCCGUCAAGUUUUUGGCGCCGUUGCCGGGGAAGAUUUGGCAAUAUCGGUGUGAAGAGCAACUUUAUUAAUUUAGACAAUUUUUCUUAUUUUUGUUGUUUUUGUUGUAUCUUGUGUGUUUUAUGUCAUUUUUUUGAGUCAAUUUUUAUUAUUAUUAUUAUUUUUUUUUUCUGUUUUAGUUUGUGUCUUGGAAUCUAUCCUUCUUAACUGAUCUUACUUUUGAGAUUGUUUAAAAGUAAUUUUAGAUAAUGAGGAGGGUAGGUGAAUUGGGAGGACAAAGCUUGAGAAAUGAAAGAUUGGCAAUGGAUGGUUACCAAGUGCAAAACUCCUUCAACAGAGGUAACCAAGAAAUUACUGAAGGUAUGUCUUUUGAAGAUGGUUUGAAGUGCUUAAAGGCAAAAUUUGAUGUUAUGAUGGACACAAUUAUGCAUGAAAUUGAGCAAGGGAGGAAUGUUAAUGAUUUUAAUUCUUAUCAUGUGAUUUGUGACUUGUGUGGAGGUUAUCAUGCUACUAAUACAUGUAUGCAAGCACAAAAUGUGGACUAUUAUGAUGAAUUAGAGCAUUACAAUCCUUGUUUUGAUCAAUAUAGUGCUAAUUGGAACAAUUCUCCUGUGUGUGGUUGGGAUAAUCAAUGUACUUAUAAUAAUUCCUCAUAUUUUUACGAUUACCAACCUGAAUGUAUCCAAUAUGAAUCAAAACCAUCUUGGGAGUUGGCAAUUGAAAUGGUAGCUAAUGAUUCUAAGCCAUCUUGGGAGUUAGCUUUAGAAAAAUUAGCUAAUGCAACUUCCAACCGUUUUGAUAGGGUUGAAGAAAGAAUAGAUGAACUGACUUCUCACUUUAGUAGAAUACAAGAGAAAUUGAAUGCAUUGUGUGAAGUUAUUUCCUCUAAAAAUUUGCAAAAUGAUCCUAGCAUGAAUGGUAGGAAUGUUGUAUGUGAAAAUGGAUUUCAUUUGGAUGAAAAUGAUGAAUUUCAAUUGUGUUUUAAUGAGCAAAUAUCCAUUUCACAUGAUAAUAUCUUUGGAACUAACCUUGAACCUCAAGAGGUGAGUUUUAAUGACUCAUUUUUCACCCCUCUUGAGGAAUGCAUUGAAAGUGUAGGUUCUAAGGGUAUUGCUGCCCAGGAUACUCUCAUGACAUUUCCGUUGGUAAGUUCUCAAGUGGUGCAUAUUCAAUGUAAUAUUUAUGAAACACUUGGGAUAGGUAAGUCAAUUCCAUUUCUCCUAUCAUUAGAUCAUGUGACUUUUGCUAUAAAGUCACCAUUUAAUGAUCCACCACAACCAAAAAUGGUGGAUUAUUCGUUAACUAAGCCUCCUUGAAAAAUGAGGUGAAAUAGUCAAGCUAUUGACUUUAAAGAAGCGCUUAUUGGGAGGCAACCCAAUGUUUGUUUAAAUUUAUGUUAUUUUGGGGUGAUUUUAUGUUUAAAGUAUAUGUUUGAGUUAUUUUGUUAUUUUUCAUUUGUAGGUAUUGGAAAUGGAAGCAAAAGUGACCAAAUGAGGUGAAAAAGGCGAAAUUUGAUCAAGGAACUCAAACCCUCAAUUUGAGUAAUUGUUGUUUUUGAUUUGUUAGAAGGGGUUAAAAUGCAUAUUUUGAUCAUUUUACAUGUGCAUGCAUUGAGAAUUUUAGCAAACAAAUGAUCUAUGAUGCAUUUUGAGUGAUUGGGGUACAAAUGGUAAUUUUUCAAAAUUGGCUUUCUGCAAAAAUUUCGCAGAAGAAAACGCACUUGGGCUGAAAACGCGCCUUAGAAUCGCGUUUUCCAUAAUCGCGUUUUAAAUUCUGCGCCUAUACUGAAGAAAACGCGACUUAAAAACGCGACAGGAAGUCGCGUUUUCUACAAAGUCGCGUUUUCCAGCCUGUUCAGAAACCAAAAACGCGACUUUAAAUAUGCGACUCAAAGUCGCGUUUUUAAGCAUAGUCGCGUUUUCGAUCCUGCAAGAUAUGUGAAGAAACGCGACUUCAUAAAACGCGGCUUGGUGGCGCGUUUUGAUGAGUCGCGUUUUUGAAAAAAAAAUGCAGAUUCCUUGAUUCUCUUUUUUCUUCUUUUCCUCAUAUAUAUUUUCUUGUACCUUGAGUUACUUAUUGUGUAUUUUUUUUAGGUACAUCACGAAAACAAAGGAUUGAAGUUACGGAUCAUCAUUUUGUUUAUUAAACCUUUGUUAUCACUUUUGUUUCUCAUUUUUCAUUUUUUAGGAUUACAUCACUAAUGGUUAUCCAAUGAAACUCAUGAAGCGUUGGAGAUACACGGACAAUGGAUUUUGAAGCUUCAUAUUCAAUCGCAACAAUAGGGGAGUAUUACCUUUCUUUAUCUUGAUUUUCCUUUUUACACAUUGAGGACAAUGUGUAUGUUAAGUGUGGGGGGAGAAUUGAGAUUAUAUAUAUUGUAUGUGAUUAACAAAAGAAAAAAGAAAAAAAAUAAAAAAUUCUUCUACUCCAAUGAUUCUUGUACUUAGUAACCGGGAGUCUUCAUCUACAAAUGUCGACUUUCGCGUAAAACGGUACUUGAAUUAAGAGUAUGCAAAGCAACUUGAGUAUGUGAAGUGUUGAGUAACCGGUGAUUUUCAUCUAAAAAUGUCGAUCCUCGCGUCAAAAGGCAUUCUCACGUCUUAAGUAAUAUUUAGAUAUGUAAUAUUAAUAAAUAUCUUUUUAAACAGAAUUAAAAGAUGAUCAUGAGUUUAGGAAGCAUUAUUAUUGACCAUAUGAGUUACUUACUUGUAAGAUUGGGUAAGGAUGAAAAAUUGAUUUGAAUUUGUUAUAAUAACGGUAUAAUUGGCUCUCCUUUACUUGAUAUUAUGAGUACUUGAACUUAAUUGAAUAAUUGCAUAAUGGUUAUUUACUUUGUUUUGAGGAAAUGAAGUUGAAAUGCUACAUAUGUUUAUUUUCAAAUUUUGGAUCAUUGUUGGUUUGUAUUUUUAUUGCUUGAGGACAAGCAAUGGUUCAAGUGUGGGGGUAUUUGAUAAGAAUAUAUUUUACGUAUUUUUUAGUGUGUUUUAUUAGUUAAUUUUGGUUUGAUUAUUUAGUUUUAUAACUAAAAUAACUAAGGUUUUGGUAAAAAACUACAUUUUAUGUUAAAGUGGCUAAACAUUGCAUUUUAUGGAUUUUUAUGGUAAAAACUUCAUAUUUUGUAGGUUUAAUGAUUCAAUCAUCAAAUGAAGUGCAUUGAGAAGAUAUUUGGAUGAUUGAAGAUAGAUUAAAGUGGGGAAAAUAAAAUAUGAAGUGUAAAAGGAAGAAAUGCAAUUUGAGGACAAAAAUCAAGAAAAGUCAGUUAUGACAACUCAGACAUAUUUUCGUAUUUUGACUAUAUCAGGAGCUACAAUGAUCGGAUCAAGGUGAUCUUGGUACCAUUUUGAAGCUAAGAGAUAUAUCUACAUUUGGUAUGAAGACAUCAAAGUCCAAUUCAUCCGUUUUCAUAGUCCAAAAGUUGAAAUACCGAAAUUCAACUCAGCUGUCCAAAGUGGAAAACAGAGUUCCGACCAGUGUUUAGUAUUUUGAUCAUAUCUCAGUCUACAAAGCUCCGAUUUGGAUGAUUCUUGAAGCAUUGGAAAGCUAACUCAAAGAUCUACAACUUUGGUGUUUUGUACAAAAGCCAGUUCGGCCUGCAUCAUGGAGAAAAUCGCAGUUUAAGUAAGGACAAAGUGAAAACGCGAGUGCACAAAACGAGAGUUGUAGACGCGUUUUGUAAAGGCGCGUUUUCUGGCCGAAAUUCUGCAAUUUGCUCAGUCAAUUCUCUUGUGUUCAUACCACUUUCCAGCUAUAAGUUGCAAGAGAAUUCGGUGCACAUGCUUCAGAAGACAAAAGGGCAGACAAGGUGGCUUAUUUUCAAGUCAAAAACAUUUGUUAUUGACUAUCCUAACAAAGUUGAGAUUUGGGAAUCAAAAUGUGGAAUUUGACUUGGAAAAAUGGAGCUCUUAAGCAGUUUAUAUGCAGAGACAUUUUGGGUGGUCUAAAAAGGGGGAAAUAUACGGGAGAAGCUUGAAGAGUGCAGAAAUGUAGUUCUUCCAUUUCCUUAGUGUAGGAUAGUGUAGUAAGUGUAGUUAAUCCAUUCUUGUAUAAUAGCUAGAUUAGGAUGAAGAUGGAGAUGAAGAAGGAGAAGUUGAAGCUCAAGUGACAUGGGUUAUCUCUACUCCAAUUCUUUAUCUUUUGUAUUGGAUUCUUAACUAUGGUUAUUAUGCAAGUUCUGGAAUUUAUGUCUAUUAUGUGUUUCUAAAGUUUAUGCCUUGGGUUUGGUUGAACUUUCUAUGAUUGUUAGUGUUUAUCAUUUGGCUAUUUAACUGCCAUAAUUUGAGCAAGUUAUUUAGCACUUUAGCUCUUUAAAUCAUGAUUAAUUUGGUACCAUUAAUUGUGAUUAUCUAAGGUGUUAUUUCUGCAAUGAAAAUUGAGAUUUAACAUUAGUUCAAGAAGUGCUAAACAUAGGGAGUACACUCACGAAAGUAGAGGUGCAUCUAUGUGGUUUUUAGUGAUUCAUUUCAUGUAAUUUCAUUGAAGAAAUGAACUUGUAGCUAAUUUCAUAACCAUGAGAAUAGGUAUGGAUUAGUUAUAAGUAUAAUUGAUUCACUACGAAAGUAGGAUUCAAAUGCAUAAGGAAAUUACACCAUAAUUAGCCUAGAUGUAGUACUUCAAUGAUCCAAAUAUAACACUUGCAUGAGUAGUUAGGGAUACCACAACCUAAGGAGCUUUUAUUUGUUAAUUUCUUGUAUAAGUGCAGUAGGUUAAAUUUCUUAUUAUUCAUUGAUAGUCUAAAUAAUAGAGAAGCUUUAGUAAUACCGGUAAUUGUUCACUUUCCCUGUGGGAUCGACCCGAUAUAUACCCUAAACUACUAGUUGAUCUGUAUACUUGCAGUGAACGGGUGUAAUUCGGUAUUUUUUAGCUUGCACGUAUGUAAAAUACCCGUCAAGUUUUUGGCGCCGUUGCCGGGGAAGAUUUGGCAAUAUCGGUGUGAAGAGCAACUUUAUUAAUUUAGACAAUUUUUCUUAUUUUUGUUGUUUUUGUUGUAUCUUGUGUGUUUUAUGUCAUUUUUUUGAGUCAAUUUUUAUUAUUAUUAUUAUUUUUUUUUUCUGUUUUAGUUUGUGUCUUGGAAUCUAUCCUUCUUAACUGAUCUUACUUUUGAGAUUGUUUAAAAGUAAUUUUAGAUAAUGAGGAGGGUAGGUGAAUUGGGAGGACAAAGCUUGAGAAAUGAAAGAUUGGCAAUGGAUGGUUACCAAGUGCAAAACUCCUUCAACAGAGGUAACCAAGAAAUUACUGAAGGUAUGUCUUUUGAAGAUGGUUUGAAGUGCUUAAAGGCAAAAUUUGAUGUUAUGAUGGACACAAUUAUGCAUGAAAUUGAGCAAGGGAGGAAUGUUAAUGAUUUUAAUUCUUAUCAUGUGAUUUGUGACUUGUGUGGAGGUUAUCAUGCUACUAAUACAUGUAUGCAAGCACAAAAUGUGGAUUAUUAUGAUGAAUUAGAGCAUUACAAUCCUUGUUUUGAUCAAUAUAGUGCUAAUUGGAACAAUUCUCCUGUGUGUGGUUGGGAUAAUCAAUGUACUUAUAAUAAUUCCUCAUAUUUUUACGAUUACCAACCUGAAUGUAUCCAAUAUGAAUCAAAACCAUCUUGGGAGUUGGCAAUUGAAAUGGUAGCUAAUGAUUCUAAGCCAUCUUGGGAGUUAGCUUUAGAAAAAUUAGCUAAUGCAACUUCCAACCGUUUUGAUAGGGUUGAAGAAAGAAUAGAUGAACUGACUUCUCACUUUAGUAGAAUACAAGAGAAAUUGAAUGCAUUGUGUGAAGUUAUUUCCUCUAAAAAUUUGCAAAAUGAUCCUAGCAUGAAUGGUAGGAAUGUUGUAUGUGAAAAUGGAUUUCAUUUGGAUGAAAAUGAUGAAUUUCAAUUGUGUUUUAAUGAGCAAAUAUCCAUUUCACAUGAUAAUAUCUUUGGAACUAACCUUGAACCUCAAGAGGUGAGUUUUAAUGACUCAUUUUUCACCCCUCUUGAGGAAUGCAUUGAAAGUGUAGGUUCUAAGGGUAUUGCUGCCCAGGAUACUCUCAUGACAUUUCCGUUGGUAAGUUCUCAAGUGGUGCAUAUUCAAGGUAAUAUUUAUGAAACACUUGGGAUAGGUAAGUCAAUUCCAUUUCUCCUAUCAUUAGAUCAUGUGACUUUUGCUAUAAAGUCACCAUUUAAUGAUCCACCACGACCAAAAAUGGUGGAUUAUUCGUUAACUAAGCCUCCUUGAAAAAUGAGGUGAAAUAGUCAAGCUAUUGACUUUAAAGAAGCGCUUAUUGGGAGGCAACCCAAUGUUUGUUUAAGUUUAUGUUAUUUUGGGGUGAUUUUAUGUUUAAAGUAUAUGUUUGAGUUAUUUUGUUAUUUUUCAUUUGUAGGUAUUGGAAAUGGAAGCAAAAGUGACCAAAUGAGGUGAAAAAGGCGAAAUUUGAUCAAGGAACUCAAACCCUCAAUUUGAGUAAUUGUUGUUUUUGAUUUGUUAGAAGGGGUUAAAAUGCAUAUUUUGAUCAUUUUACAUGUGCAUGCAUUGAGAAUUUUAGCAAACAAAUGAUCUAUGAUGCAUUUUGAGUGAUUGGGGUACAAAUGGUAAUUUUUCAAAAUUGGCUUUCUGCAAAAAUUUCGCAGAAGAAAACGCACUUGGGCUGAAAACGCGCCUUAGAAUCGCGUUUUCCAUAAUCGCGUUUUAAAUUCUGCGCCUAUACUGAAGAAAACGCGACUUAAAAACGCGACAGGAAGUCGCGUUUUCUACAAAGUCGCGUUUUCCAGCCUGUUCAGAAACCAAAAACGCGACUUCAAAUACGCGACUCAAAGUCGCGUUUUUAAGCAUAGUCGCGUUUUCGAUCCUGCAAGAUAUGUGAAGAAACGCGACUUCAUAAAACGCGGCUUGGUGGCGCGUUUUGAUGAGUCGCGUUUUCGGAGAAAAAAAAAUGCAGAUUCCUUGAUUCUCUUUUUUCUUCUUUUCCUCAUAUAUUUUCUUGUACCUUGAGUUGCUUAUUGUGUAUUUUUUUUAGGUACAUCACGAAAACAAAGGAUUGAAAUUACGGAUCAUCAUUUUGUUUAUUAAACCUUUGUUAUCACUUUUGUUUCUCAUUUUUCAUUUUUUAGGAUUACAUCACUAAUGGUUAUCCAAUGAAACUCAUGAAGCGUUGGAGAUACACGGACAAUGGAUUUUGAAGCUUCAUAUUCAAUCGCAACAAUAGGGGAGUAUUACCUUUCUUUAUCUUGAUUUUCCUUUUUACACAUUGAGGACAAUGUGUAUGUUAAGUGUGGGGGGAGAAUUGAGAUUAUAUAUAUUGUAUGUGAUUAACAAAAGAAAAAAGAAAAAAAAUAAAAAAUUCUUCUACUCCAAUGAUUCUUGUACUUAGUAACCGGGAGUCUUCAUCUACAAAUGUCGACUUUCGCGUAAAACGGUACUUGAAUUAAGAGUAUGCAAAGCAACUUGAGUAUGUGAAGUGUUGAGUAACCGGUGAUUUUCAUCUAAAAAUGUCGAUCCUCGCGUCAAAAGGCAUUCUCACGUCUUAAGUAAUAUUUAGAUAUGUAAUAUUAAUAAAUAUCUUUUUAAACAGAAUUAAAAGAUGAUCAUGAGUUUAGGAAGCAUUAUUAUUGACCAUAUGAGUUACUUACUUGUAAGAUUGGGUAAGGAUGAAAAAUUGAUUUGAAUUUGUUAUAAUAACGGUAUAAUUGGCUCUCCUUUACUUGAUAUUAUGAGUACUUGAACUUAAUUGAAUAAUUGCAUAAUGGUUAUUUACUUUGUUUUGAGGAAAUGAAGUUGAAAUGCUACAUAUGUUUAUUUUCAAAUUUUGGAUCAUUGUUGGUUUGUAUUUCUUAUUGCUUGAGGACAAGCAAUGGUUCAAGUGUGGGGGUAUUUGAUAAGAAUAUAUUUUACGUAUUUUUUAGUGUGUUUUAUUAGUUAAUUUUGGUUUGAUUAUUUAGUUUUAUAACUAAAAUAACUAAGGUUUUGGUAAAAAACUACAUUUUAUGUUAAAGUGGCUAAACAUUGCAUUUUAUGGAUUUUUAUGGUAAAAACUUCAUAUUUUGUAGGUUUAAUGAUUCAAUCAUCAAAUGAAGUGCAUUGAGAAGAUAUUUGGAUGAUUGAAGAUAGAUUAAAGUGGGGAAAAUAAAAUAUGAAGUGUAAAAGGAAGAAAUGCAAUUUGAGGACAAAAAUCAAGAAAAGUCAGUUAUGACAACUCAGACAUAUUUUCGUAUUUUGACUAUAUCAGGAGCUACAAUGAUCGGAUCAAGGUGAUCUUGGUACCAUUUUGAAGCUAAGAGAUAUAUCUACAUUUGGUAUGAAGACAUCAAAGUCCAAUUCAUCCGUUUUCAUAGUCCAAAAGUUGAAAUACCGAAAUUCAACUCAGCUGUCCAAAGUGGAAAACAGAGUUCCGACCAGUGUUUAGUAUUUUGAUCAUAUCUCAGUCUACAAAGCUCCGAUUUGGAUGAUUCUUGAAGCAUUGGAAAGCUAACUCAAAGAUCUACAACUUUGGUGUUUUGUACAAAAGCCAGUUCGGCCUGCAUCAUGGAGAAAAUCGCAGUUUAAGUAAGGACAAAGUGAAAACGCGAGUGCACAAAACGAGAGUUGUAGACGCGUUUUGUAAAGGCGCGUUUUCUGGCCGAAAUUCUGCAAUUUGCUCAGUCAAUUCUCUUGUGUUCAUACCACUUUCCAGCUAUAAGUUGCAAGAGAAUUCGGUGCACAUGCUUCAGAAGACAAAAGGGCAGACAAGGUGGCUUAUUUUCAAGUCAAAAACAUUUGUUAUUGACUAUCCUAACAAAGUUGAGAUUUGGGAAUCAAAAUGUGGAAUUUGACUUGGAAAAAUGGAGCUCUUAAGCAGUUUAUAUGCAGAGACAUUUUGGGUGGUCUAAAAAGGGGGAAAUAUACGGGAGAAGCUUGAAGAGUGCAGAAAUGUAGUUCUUCCAUUUCCUUAGUGUAGGAUAGUGUAGUAAGUGUAGUUAAUCCAUUCUUGUAUAAUAGCUAGAUUAGGAUGAAGAUGGAGAUGAAGAAGGAGAAGUUGAAGCUCAAGUGACAUGGGUUAUCUCUACUCCAAUUCUUUAUCUUUUGUAUUGGAUUCUUAACUAUGGUUAUUAUGCAAGUUCUGGAAUUUAUGUCUAUUAUGUGUUUCUAAAGUUUAUGCCUUGGGUUUGGUUGAACUUUCUAUGAUUGUUAGUGUUUAUCAUUUGGCUAUUUAACUGCCAUAAUUUGAGCAAGUUAUUUAGCACUUUAGCUCUUUAAAUCAUGAUUAAUCUGGUACCAUUAAUUGUGAUUAUCUAAGGUGUUAUUUCUGCAAUGAAAAUUGAGAUUUAACAUUAGUUCAAGAAGUGCUAAACAUAGGGAGUACACUCACGAAAGUAGAGGUGCAUCUAUGUGGUUUUUAGUGAUUCAUUUCAUGUAAUUUCAUUGACGAAAUGAACUUGUAGCUAAUUUCAUAACCAUGAGAAUAGGUAUGGAUUAGUUAUAAGUAUAAUUGAUUCACUACGAAAGUAGGAUUCAAAUGCAUAAGGAAAUUACACCAUAACUAGCCUGGAUGUAGUAAUUAAUGAUCCAAAUAUAGCACUUGCAUGAGUAGUUAGGGAUACCACAACCUAAGGAGCUUUUAUUUGUUAAUUUCUUGUAUAAGUGCAGUAGGUUAAAUUUCUUAUUAUUCAUUGAUAGUCUAAAUAAUAGAGAAGCUUUAGUAAUACCGGUAAUUGUUCACUCUUCCCUGUGGGAUCGACCCGAUAUAUACCCUAAACUACUAGUUGAUCUGUAUACUUGCAGUGAACGGGUGUAAUUCGGUAUUUUUUAGCUUGCACGUAUGUAAAAUACCCGUCAACAACAAACAUCACGGGGCUUGUCUAGUCGAGAUAAAGUCAGAUGCUAGCCUAAAAUGGUUGGAUGAAAAAGAGAUUUUAGCUCAGUUAUCCAUGUAUCAUUAGGUAGCUAGUGUGGCUGCGCCUGGAGAAGAACAAAUGGAGAGCUUGCAAGGGACACAGCCAAGAGUGACCAUCACUUCUUAUGGAUGGUUAGAGAUUCAGAAGAGUGCAAACUUCCACCAAAUUUCAAGUCUGCAAUAUCAAAAAACGGUCUAAUAGUCAACUGAUGUCCUCAACUUGAGGUUUUGGCACAUCAAGCCGUGUAAUGUUUCAUGACACACUGCUGCUGGAAUGAUGCUUGAAGCAUUGAGUUCAGGUGUGCCAAUGAUAGCUACGCCACAGUUUGUUGAUCAAUUCACAAAUGCAAAGUUUGUCGCAGAUGUAUGGCAAACUGGGGUUCGAGUCAAGGGCCAAUGACAAGGGAAUUGUUACUAGAGAAGAAAUUUCAAUGUCCAUAAAGGCAGUUACUGAGGUCGAGAGCGCAAAGGAAUUCAGAAGAAAUGCUUAGACGUGGAAGGAGUUGGCACAACAGGAUACAUCCCAGGGUGGAAGUUCUCACAAGAACAUCGAAGAGUUUCUUGCACAAGUUUUAAGCAUCUAAUCUAAGUUAAUUUCAUUUAGCUACAAAAUUAGGUCACAUGAAAGCCUCAUAAGUAUUUACGGCAAACUGUAGUAUUGUAUUGUUGAUUCAACCGAUUAACGUAAACCUGCUAAUACUUGUGUACGAGAACGAUAAAAAAAUAAGAAACUUUACAGGAUUAAUCACGCGCAUAACAUAGUAUACAUUAGAGAUGUCAAUUACAGUUCAAUUAUGUUAAUCUGCCCAAAGCCGUCCAUCGAUAACCCAUCCAUUAAUUUUGAAUGGGCCUAAAUAGGUAGCAAUUAAAUUCAUUUAAUUAGUGGAUAGUGGGUUGACUUAACUCACCCAUUUAUAUUCAUUUAAAAAUAAUCAUCCAUUUAAUUAAACUCAAUUUUUAGUGAGUGUUAAGCAAAUAAAUUUGAAUGUCUUUUCUUGCACUUCUUCCUUUUUUUUUUUUUGUUGAGUUGUCAUUUUGCACUUGUUUUCCUAAGCAUCUAUCAUACUUUUGGUAUUUAUAAACAAAAAAAAAAAGGAGUUGCACUUUUUGUUUUAUACUCGAUACCCUACUUUGAAAAAGGUUUAAAAAGGAAACCUUCGCGAAAACCAAUCACUUCUCCAAGUUUCUUUAACACCUAGUCUUUUAUUACUGUCAUAAGAUAAUAGGUCUUCUUUUAAUCUAACACCAUUCCUGUUACACACUAAUUUUGUUCUUGGAUUAACUAAGGCAAAUCGCUAUUAGCCAAAACAAAAAGAAAAUCCCAGUUCCUUCAUUUCUUCCUUCUCCUUUUUGUCUUCUCUCCCAAUUCCGCAAAUCGUUCUUGUAAAAAAAGCCCCAUAGCAUAUCGUUUCCAGAUAAUUCGUUGCAGCAUCUUAAUCUGGGUUCGCCUUGUGACUUGAAUUCACAUUAGUGUAUUGGACAGAAACAAAGUUUGAAAAUUGGAAAAGAAUUCUUCUACUUUUGGUUUUCUUUCUUUUUUAUAAUAAUAUUAUGCACCAUUGAAUUUUUCCACCACGUGUAUCACUUCGUUCAUGGACUGAUGAUAUGGAAAUUAGUUCCUUUCCAUCCUUGUCAACUAAAGAUGGGAAAACUGUUAUCUAGAAGAAAAAUUGUUUUAAUGAAAAUUAAAAUGCCCUUACUUAUUUACAAGGGCAAAUUCCACUUUACCCCCUGUAGUUUAGCCUUUUUUACAUAACUCCUCUAUAGUUUCAAAAACUAUACAUAACCCCUCAUAAUUUGAAUUAAAGUGUCAAAAUGACGGAAAUGAUCAUUCGUAACGGAGUCAUCUAAAAUGUCAAAAAGACCCUUAUGUAAAGUUGAAAAUUAUUUAUUAAUCAAGGGGGGUUAUAUGUAUAUUUUGAAAAUCAUAAGGGGGUUAUAUGGUAAGUAUUAAACCAUAAAAGGGUUAUAUGGUAAAAUAUAAAAAUUAUACGGGAUUAGUGUAUCAUGUAUUUAUAAGGGUAAUUUCGAUAUUUUUAGAAGUUCCAAUACGAAUGAUUAUUUCCGUCACUUUGACACUUUAAUCCAAACCAUGAGAGGUUAUGUAUAGUUUUUGAAACCAUAGAAGGGUUAUGUAAAAAAUGCUAAACCACGGGGGGCUAAAAUGUAAUUUUCCCUAUUUACAAUCAUACUUUAUGAAACCUCAAUUAAGGUAAGGCAUUUGCAAGUUCCUAAUGCUUUGUUAACUUGAAAAGGCAAUUGACUUAUAAAGUCUGUAGCAGAAAUCGUUGUCUACGAUCCAAAGCAGAAUCAUCAAAUACAUGCAAUUAAUACGGCAGAAGUUUCUCCGCAGUUUGAAUAUGUGCCCAAGAUCAUCAAAGGAUUGCAAAUAAUUAAUGCUUUGAGCAGAUAGAUAGUAAAAAAAAUCAAAAGGCAUAAUUAAUACAAACUUAUAUAAAGUAAAAAAACCAAAAGAUUGAUUGAAAGUUGCUAUAGUCAGGGAAGUGAAAAAAGAAAAAGAGAAUAAGUGGGUGAAAAAAAUGAAGAUAGAAUUAAUUGUUACCAAAAAUAAAAUAUUUAAAAUCAUUGCAAGUUACUAUAGUAAAGGAAAUGAAAAAGGAAAAAUGAAUAAGAGGUAAAAAGAAUAAAGAGAGAAUGGAUUGUUACCAAAAAAUAAAAUACUUAAUAGCUAUUCAAAUAAAAAAUUAAAUUUAAUCACAUAGCGAAAAGAUAGAAUGUGCAUUUAGCAAAAAGUUAAAUAGCAAAUUGGACAAUCUAUCGAAAUAGAAAUUGAACAUUGUUGUUAUAGUACAUAUAUAUACUCUGCAGCACAAUAUUCCAUUCAGCAGAUAGAUAGUAGCUAAAGAAUAGGAAACAUGGCGACAAUUGACAUUUCCCCUAGCAAAAUUCAUAUUCUUGCUUUCCCUUUUCCAGCAAAAGGUCAUAUAAAUCCUAUGUUACACCUCUGCAACCGCCUGUCUGCGAGAGAUUUCAGGGUUACACUGAUUACUACAACUUCUAUAUUCAAGUCUGCUAAAACCAAAGCCAUCGGCUCCAUCAAGAUUGAGUGUAUUCCAGAUGACUCCGAUGAACCCGUUGAAGAAGAUCUCAAAGGCUUUUUGGCAAGGUUGAGAGCUGCUGCUUCCAGAGGCUUGGAAGAACUGGUUGAGAAAUGUAGAAAGACUGAUCCGUAUCCUCCCAGAAUUGUGAUUUAUGACUCAACUAUGCCUUGGAUUCUGAACUUAGCUCAUCGGGUGGGACUUCACGGUGCUUCUUUCUUUACUCAAUCUUGUGCUGUUUGUGCUCUUUACUACCAUAUGGACCAGGGAACAAUACAGCUUCCUCUUGAUAAGUCUGUUACUGUAAAAUUGCCUUCAAUGCCAGCACUAGAAAGCAAUGAUCUUCCUGAUCUCCAGUACUUCCCUGAUCCAGAUAGUGUUAUCACGAGGACUCUUCUUGAUCAGUUCUCUAACAUUGACAAAGUUGAUUUCAUUCUGUUCAACACUUUCGAAGAAUUGGAGGAUGAGGUAAGUUGGAAAUGCUAAUUAUAAUCCAGUGAACAUGCAUUAUUGAUGGAUUUUUUUGGCUGAUAAUUCAUGUUACUUUGUCAAACUAUGUGAUACUCUUGGAGGGGCAUAAGCAAAAUUUUAAUCAUGUGGAAAACUUUUUUUUUUUUUAAGAAAAAUAUUGAUUUUGGAUGACUCCCUAGUUUCUGCUAGUAUUGUCAAAUAGGGCAAUUAAUUAACGUUGUACAAAACCCGGAUUCAGAGAUUCUUGAUCGUGUUUUGGUACCCGCAAGCACUAUUCUCUGAUAGGUUGCCAAAUAUUUCAAAACUGAAAAUUUAGCUAAUCUCCAAAUGCCGUGCCAAUUGGGAAUCCUUUAAUUCCUUAUUUACUUCUCUUUUUCCAAAGAAAUGUUGUGUAAAAUCGUCCACCACUUUUCUGAUUUUCAAUACUUGUUAGUCAUGCUACUGCUACUUUAUCUAUCAGGUGGCAACAUGGAUGGCAGAAAGGUGGCCAAUUAAGACAGUUGGACCAACAGCUCCACUACUUUUUGUAGACAAAAGACUAGAGAAUGGCAAUGAUCAACAAGGGAACUAUCUGUUUGAGACAAACGCUGAAGCUUGUUUAAAAUGGUUGGACGAAAGAGAAACCUGUUCUGUAGUUUAUGUAUCGUUUGGGAGCAUUGCAGCGCCUGGAGAAGAUCAGAUCGAGGAAGUGGCAGAGGCCCUCCUGAGGAGAAACUGCAAAUUCCUUUGGGUAGUCAGGGAAGAAGAAGAGAGUAAGCUGCCAAAGAAUUUCAAGUCUGAGUCUUCAGAGCAAGGCCUAAUCAUAAACUGGUGUCCACAACUUGAGGUCUUAGCCCACCGGGCGAUCACGUGUUUCAUGACUCAUUGUGGAUGGAAUUCAACCAUUGAAGCUCUGAGUGCAGGUGUGCCAAUGAUAGCAGUGCCACAAUGGGUUGAUCAAACUACUAAUGCUAAGUUUAUUGCUGAUGUAUGGCAAACGGGGCUUAGAGUGAAGCUAAAUGAUAAAGGAUUUGUCGGAAGAGAAGAGUUUGAGUAUUGUAUCAGAGAAAUUACUGAGGGUGAAAGGGAGAAGGAGAUCAGAAGAAAUGCUAAGAAAUGGAAGGAAUUGGCCAUACAGGCAGUAGGAGAAGGUGGAAGUUCUUGUAGGAACAUCGAAGAUUUUGCAACCUCACUUUUGUCCCUACCGUGACGCGUUUCUGCUCUCUUGGGAGUUUGUGGAUGGAAACUACCUGAAAUAAGAAUUCUGUAUAAGUAUUUUAAUAAUAAAGCGAGGACAAGAUUUGAUUUUGAAUGUAAAUCUGUAAUUGUUUAGAAGGAUUUAGAAUAUCUUUCUUUUGUAGGGGAAAUUUUAUGUUCGCCAAUUGUUAGUGUGUUUGGAUAGUAAAUUAUUUAGAAUAAUUUUUUUAAAAAAUAUUAUAUUACUUUUUUAAUAUGACGUACAUGAAAUAAAAAAAAUCGUUUCACCACACUCGUGUUAGGGACAGAUUUUGGAAAUUAAAUUAUUUAUAUUUUUUGGUGAAAAUACUCCACAAUGCAAUAUUUGUGAUAGGUGCAUAUGGUACACCCAAUGACGAAUGGUUUUCGAUAAAAUACAAUAACGAAUGAACCAAAACAUGAUGCUAAGUUCAACUACAACUACAAAUAUUAAGUUUCUUUUCUCGCUGUUGUGUAGACAUUAACGAGUUUUUUCUCUUUGUUUCAUUUGAUUGGAUAAGAAAAAGUUUAGGAGAAGAACAAAGGUUAAUUUACGAUAAGGUUAGGGUCGAUGACAAUCCCUUAUGGUUAGUUAUAAUUGUUUCUUUACAGAUCAUCAAUCAGUUAAAAAAAAAAGACAAAGAUUAAUUAAUGCACAAAAAUGUGAAGACGACUUCAGAAAAUUUAAUGCAGAAAAGUUUCACAUCCUUUAGACCGUGGGAUCGCAAAUAGUGUUUUAAUAUUGCUGGCUGAUGCAAUAACUGCUAAUAAUUGAGUAGAUAUCUUGACAAUAUUUGCAGACAGCAAAAACAAAUAGCAAACUAUUCUACAAAAACAACUGCUAUAAGUUGCGACACCAUGGGCACGUCGUGGUGGAUGAGGGAGAAGACGCCACACAAGGCCGGUGUCCCAAUCAAGGUUGCUGUUGUUUGAACAUAAAAUACUGGGUGUGGGAAGGACGGUGUAAUGGAGAAAUAGAAUAAUCAAGUGGUUCAACUGCUUUCACUUAUAAACCCGAGAUUGAUUAAGUCUUCUUUUUUUUUUUUUUCGCUUAACGCUCCCGAUUUUUGAACAUUUACUACACUCAAUCGUCAUGUGAACACAUAAUCAAGGGUUAAUUCCAAUUUGUACCCUUUAUCUUUAUCCAAUUUCUCUUGUUGGUCUAUAAAUUUCAAAAUGGGAUACCUUAGUCCCUAAAUAACGACAUUUGUAAUCCUUUAGUACCAAAUGUAUAGAACGUGUCCAAUUUUGUUUCUUAAAUUUAAAUUUACUCCAUCUUACUAGCUAUUGUAUACAUACUGACGUAUAAAAUUCAUCUCACCUCCUGACUGAUGUUAUUUUCUAAAACAAUUUUGCCCUACUAACACAUUUUUUUGUUAGUUGCUUGCCUGUUUAUCUUAUCCAUCAUUGUCUUCAUAAUUUUCCUACAACAUUUCAACCUCCUUCCUCCACCCUAGCCUGGUAACACUUUGAUGCACGUUGUUCAGAAAGCCAACCACCAUCAAUAUGAAAAACCCAUACUCUUAGGGUCCGUUUGUUUCGGGUGAAAAUGUUUUCCAGGAAAAUAUUUUCCUAAUUUCCCGUGUUUGGUUGCACAAAAGUUACUGAAAACAUUUUCCUAUGUAAAAUAUUUUCACUCAUCUUAUGGAAAACAACUUCCCUUCCAAACUUACUGAAGUUGUUUUCCGAAAUGCAUGCAUCCCGCCUGUAGUAUGUUCCAAACUUACUGAAAACAUCUUGUAGUAUGUUCUUUUUUUUUUUUAGUGUAAACAGGAGGAUUCGAACCCAAUACCUCUUCCUUACACUCCCUCUCCCGUACCACCCAACCCCACCCAACCCUCCCCCUAGUAUAUUCAAAAUAAAAAAAAAAACCUCAUCCUGCUCAUCCUAUGCUAGUAAUUAAUUAUGUAUAAUAGGAACAUUCUUUUCUAGAGAAACUUUCAGCAGUGAGAAUGCAAGAUAUAUAUCACAAUAAGUAUUGCGUAUGAUUGAUUUUUGACACUAAAUGGCCAGCAAUUUGUUUAUUGCUUAAGGAGAUAUUUUUUAUUCAUAUAUACAUUUCUCCAAGAUUUUUUAAAGUUAAACAAUGAGAUAAAUUUUCUUAUUUUGCAUGGGAAGAAGUAUGUAGUUAUAAUGUGUAAAAAGUAAAGAUAGAAAUAAAAGUGAAAAUAUUUCAAAAGUUAAACAAACACCAGAAAAAUGAAGUAAGAAAAUAUUUUCAAUAAGCUAACCAAACACCUGAAAAUGAUGAAAGGGAAAUGAUUUUCAUGGAAAAUUACUUCCACGGAAAAUAUUUUCCCAAGGAAAACAUUUUACUUCCAACCAAACAGACCCUUACUCAUGCGCUCUUCCUUCCAACUGUUAUAGCCAUUACAUGGCUCCCGCGCAUGUGUUAUUACAUUUUUCAUUACGUCCGUCAUUCUUUCAAUGUUGCAAUCUAACUUUUCAUAAUGGUGAUUUUUCUCAUUAGCACAGCUCCAAAUUACUUACACAUGAUACUAUGCUUUAUUACACUCGUCCAGCUCCAAUACGUCACUUAUUCCACCACCUUCCCUACAUGCUAGUGAUAGAUAAGGGGCCUUACAGUUGCACCCACUCUGCAAUUCGUACAUCGGUUGUGCUUUUUCUACAUGGUGUUAUACGUUCACAAUCCUUAUUGCAUUAAAUUAUUUGGUUUGUCUACAAGAUAAAAAUGUAAAUAUACAGUUAAUCAUGAUGUAUAAUGCCCACAGAACAUCCCUACCGCACUAACCACUUCUCCAAUUAAUAACUACUCUCACAUUUUACGAAUGCUUGUCUCUUUAUACUUGUCCGGUUAUCUAACUUAUCUCCAAGGUUUCAAACCCUCGACUGUUCAUUGAACCGAAAAAUUCACCGGGUCAUGAAUCACUAGUUCAACCAUUGGAUUGGCCAUUUUUGUUCUGUGACAUCAUAAAUAACUAAAAAAUGAAUUAUAUAUUACUACUUUUAUCACGUAUGUAAUAUGCACAUCCCACCAUAGAGCUUUAGACACAUGAUCAUAACUAUAGUCCUUUUGCUAAUAAGUAUAUAAUAAAGCAAACUAAAAGAAAUGCAUAAAAUAAAAGUAAAGAAAAAGAGCUAUAAUUAUAUUAAUAUGACAAGCUUGACACCAAGAAAACAAGAAUCUUACUUUAGAAAAUGAGUAAAUUACAAAGGAAAACAAAAAAAUCAUAAAUUAGGAAAUCAAACCUACGAAUAUGGUUUAGGCACAAAAUUGAACUUUGUUGGAGGAAUUUGAAAGACUAGUGGUGAGAUGAUAAAGAGAGGGGUGAUUAGGAAGAGAGAAAAUUGAAGAAAAUUUGGUAAAAAUUAGAUAUAAAAGAAAGGAAGAAGAUUGGAGUCUUGGGUCUUGACUUGAGUCAACUAUAGAUUGUAGCUAUCUAAUUAGUUACUACGUUUUUUUUUUUUGUCCUUUUUUUAUAUUUUGACCAAUUGAAUGAACUAGACUAGUUUAGAAAAAACCAUCUCAAUUUGAUGGUUGAUUUUCAUUAAAUAAAGUGACUUUUUAGCCCCACUGGGUUUGAAGCAUAACCCAACUCAGACAACAACUUAACGACGGUUCAACUGGGCAGUUUGAGUUGGGUUUUAUUUCAUUACCUUACACACCCAUUCUUCUAUCUCACUAUUUUGCCCACUUUUGGUCCUAUUUUUAAUUUCAUUGGUAUUACAUCUUCAUUACAUGCAGAUUUAUUUCCUAUGAUUCGCUUUUUGAUAUAAGCAAGAAAGCUAAGAGGGUCACUUGGAACUUGGUGCAUGCAAUUCAAGGUCAAGUUGGAGUUUGUCGAAGCAUUGAAGGAAUCGAAUGUCCGAUAAGUUCCAUCAAAAUCCUAAUUCAAGUAUUAAUUUGCUUACUUGAAAAUUGGGUUAGACGCAGGCACGCCUAACAUGCAUGAAGGCUUCUAGUUCGCAUGGUUCGAAGUCAAGAAAUUGUCCCAAAAUAUAUUGAAGGACUUGAGAAUGGAGAUUGGAAGCGUGUUCAUCUCAUUCAAAUGGUGGAAGAGUCACAUUUAAUGCUCAAGUUAUGUUGAUGUUUAGGUCUUGAGUCAUUAUGUUAUUUUCAAUAUUUUAGUGUUAAUUUAGCCAUUAGUUAGUAAUGAAAUAAUCGGCCAAGUAAGGCCGACUUUAGGGUUUCCUUUUCUUCCUAAGUUUUGUAUUUUGUUAGUUUUUUCAAAUUCAAAUUAGGAAGCUAGUAUUAUUUCCAAACUGGAUUAGUCUUAGUAGUUAAGUUUUAGCUAUAAAUAGGUUUGUUUUAUUCUAUUGUAUGACAAAAAGUGAGUUGUUCUCCUCUUAUGAAAUUCCUUGAUGGAACGUGAAUUCUUUCUUGAACUGUAUCAAGUAUUUAGUUUGGAUACUUGUGGUAUUCAAGGCAAGAUAAUCACAUCAUCUUUUUCUUUCAAGCCAAUAAUCAAUCCACUAGGUUUUUAGAGGUAGUUAUUAUUUCAUAACCUGGUCAACAUAACUUCCACUGCUUGAUCGACUUGAUUCUUUAAGAGAGGUUCUUGCUGGAUCAACUUGGUUCUUCAAAAUAGGUUUUCUAAGGGUUUGACUCCCAUUAAAUUUCUUCCAAGUGAAAUCGCAACCCUGUGUUAAGUCAUCAUAAAAAAAAAAAAAAAUUGGAUACUAUUCAUGUUACCAUAGUAAUUACUAUUCAUUGUUCCUAUUGCAUUACUGUUCAUUAUACUAUAGCAUCACUGUUCAUCUCGAAGUUAAUAUUCAUCUGAAUUAAAAAAAAUUUUAGAUUAUUUUUUUCUGUUCGUUCCUUCGUUUUUGUCAAUUUUUUUCUUCUUGAAUCUAUUUUAGGGUUUUUGUUUCUAGGGUUUAACUUCAUGUUUCUCCUUGAUUUGUUCCAGCCGUGUUUUGUCCUUUCUUGUGUCGUUUCUUUGUUUCUUAAAUCUGUCAUCUUGUGUUUAACCUUCCAUAGUUGUGUGUUUGAGUCCAAAAAAAAAAAAAAAAUCUGAUCGUGUAACUUACCUUGUAUCCAUAGUAGUUCAUUAUUUUUACUUGCUGUCUAUUUCUUCCUUGUUGCGUUUCACUUGUUUCUUGCACUGAAUUUUGUUGAUUCUUGUUAUGCGAGCCAUUGGUGGGGAAAUCUUGAAGUUCCUGAAAUUUUGGUUCAAAUGUUAAAGAUCUUGAAGGUUCUUGAAACAAAAGAAACAAAGAAAAAUUGAAUUUUGAUCAGUUUGGGAGACUUGUUUGAUCUCCAAAAGCUUCAAGAAAAAAAAUCUGGAUUCGAUUUCCUAAAACAAAUCCUAGUUGAAAUUGGAUUUCCUAAAAGAGUCACUUUCAUCCAAUCAUUGUUCUAUUCCCCUUUGGAUUUGAACAAAGGGGGUUCUAAAUCUUGUUUAUCUUGGGAAAACACUAAAAAUCCAUGGAAAAAUCCUGGAAAAAUUCCAAAUCCAUUUUGGACAAGAAAACAGCUGCGAAAGUCACUCUAGUCAACUAGGGUCUUCUUAUUCUUUCAUCCAUUAAAUUUGUUUUGUGUCAAUUUCUAUUUUUGCUAUUUUAAUCAUCAAUUUUAUGAGUUUAUUUACAGUCUAAUCACAUGGUAAAGUCAGCUUUUGAGUCAAGUCAUCCAUUUAUUUUUGUUCAUCCUAGCCGUUGCAUUCCAGUUGGUUCUAUUGGUGAGUUGAAUUGUUUACCUAGAGAAAAUUCUGAUUUCUUAGAGGAGAGCUAUCAAGGGCCUUGAGAACUUAAUUGGUGAGAUCAUUAGAAUGUUAAACUCUUGAGUGAUACAUAAGGGUUGAGUGUAAACACGUGCCGGAACGAGUGAGGAAAACUUUUCUCUACUAACUCUUUUGCAAGUUACAUCAGCAUGUCAAAGGAAAGUGAAACUUCUACUUUUGAUCCUACGCUUCUUAUAGAGGCCAUGACAAGUCAAUUGCGUAAAUGAUGAAUGAGGAGUACAUAUGCUACUCAUCCUAUCUUUCACCAUUUUUCCCAAGACUUGAGGACAAAUCUUUUUCAAGAGGAGGCAAAUGAUAGGAGCAGGAAAGCUAAGAGGGUCACUUGGAGCAUGGUGCAUGCAAUUCAAGGUCAAGUUGGAGUUUAUCAAAGCAUUGAAGCAAUCGAAUGUCCGAUAAGUUCCAUCAAAUUCCUAAUUCAAGUAUUAAUUUGCUUCAAGUUGAAAAUUAGGUUAGACGCAGGCACGCCUAACAUGCAUGAAGGCUUCUAGUUCGCAUGGUUCGAAGACAAGAAAUUGUCCCAAAAUAUAUUGAAGGACUUGAGAAUGGAGAUUGGAAGCGUGUUCAUCUCAUUCAAAUGGUGGAAGAGUCACAUUUAAUGCUCAAGUUAUGUUGAUGUUUAGGUCAUGAGUCAUUAUGUUAUUUUCAAUAUUUUAGUGUUAAUUUAGUCAUUAGUUAGUAAUGAAAUAAUCGACCAAGUUAAGCCUCAAGUAAGGCAGACUUUAGGGUUUCCUUAAGUUUUGUGUUUUGUUAGUCUUUCCAAAAUCAAAUUAGGAAACUUGUAUUAUUUCUAAAUUGGAUUAGUUUUAGUAGUUUAGGUUUUAACUUUAAAUAGGCUUCUUCUAUUCCAUUGUAUGACAACUUUUGGAAACAUGAAUUAAUAAAAGUGAAUUGUUCUCCUCUUGUGGAGUUACAUGAUUGAACGUGAGUUCCUUUUUGAAUUGUAUCAAGUAUUUGAUUUGGAUACUUAUGGUGUUCAAGGCAAGAAAUCACGUCAUCUUGUUUUUUCAAGCCAAUAACCAAUCCACUAGGUUUGUAGAGAGUUUCAUAACCUGGUCAAGAUAGAUCUUUUCGUUGCCUAAUUGAUUUGGUUCUUUAAGAUAGGUUCUUGCUAGGUUGAGUUUACAUCACCUUUCAUUCCAUUAACUAUUGACAUUGUAAGAUAAAUAUUGAUACCUAUCAAACUAACAAUAUGCCAAAUUUGAUAACUGAAGUUAUUUCUAAGACUUGAUGAAAUUGAGGUCUUCGUAAAUUUGAUAACAAAUUUGAGGACCUAACCUACUACCCCGAUUCUAUCAUGGGUGCUGGCUUGAUGGCUUAGUUUUUUCUUAGACAAUAAGAGGAAGAAGAAAGCAAAAAUAAAACCAAAAAAGAAAAGAAGAUGGCUUUGAGAUAGUUCAGGGAGAGAAAGUGUACAUGAGGGGUCCCAAAUUCGAACCCUUCCACUUACACUAUGAAAAAAAUGGCUUUUGAUGAUAUAUUGAGACUAUAGCUGUUAAUCGGGCCAUCGGAGCCGAGCUUUUACAAAUUUAGACUCUGCUCAUAUAGUUAGUAUCACUUUUGGGUUUCGGGUUAUGAGUUUCGAGUUGAUAAAUGUGAAGCUCAUACUUGGCUCACAAAAUAUUCACACUGUGGGCCUAAUUCGGGUUUGAAAACUCACUUAGUGCUCCUUAAUUUCCUUAAUAUAAUUACUAUGACUAUUAAGUUCUAAAGCUAAUUUAACAUUUGUAGGAUCACAAUAUUAAAACUAUACAUGAACCAGUAACAGUUCAUUAAAAAGUACAAAAACCGAGAAUUUUCCAAUAAUAAUAUAUCCAAUUAGUUCAAAGUACAUAGAAAAUAGUAAUAAAACAUGAUCAAUAGUCAAUACAUCUUCAAACGUCCUCAAUUUGCUGGUAGUGUCCUUCUGAAUCUUUUGACAUAAUUUUGUAUACUGAAUAUAAGUUGUACAUAUUAAUAUAUUUUGACACAUAUAAAGCAAUGUUAUUAAACCUGGCCCGACCCAACAGUUUAACCGGUCAACCCUAAUGAAUUGACAAUUGAGCUGGGUUGGGUCUUUAAUUGGAUAAUUUAAGCAAUUAAACUGUUAACUUGUCAACGGACCGGUGGUUCAACCGAUGAAUUCGGUGAACCGACUGGUUUUGUAAGGAACCCGAGUUUACGUGUUGUUGUGGGAAAAAUUUUGAGAAGAUACUAAAGUGAUGGUUUGAAUAUGAGACCUCAUGUGUAUAAAUAAGUGCAAUCACCACUAGUCUAAUAGCCCAUUUGUUGAUUGUUUAGUCCUUCUUAUAUUAUAUAUUAGACUUUUAUUCUUAUUUUAUUUUUUCAAAAUAAAAUUUCUUUGGAAUCUUUUAAUAAAUUUAUUAUUCCCCAAACUCUAUAAAUUAUGAAAAGGAUUUAAAAAAAUAACUUAUUACACAAUUCAUUUUAAAGGCAAAUAUCAUUCCUAAUAGCCUUUUGCACUUAAAAUUUGUAAAUAAACUAGAUAAUUACACUUAGAUAAAAUUUUAUACUUUGUUAUUGGUGGAUUACUAAUUAAAUUUAGAUUUUGUUAAUUCUUAUAAGAAUCAAUGAUUCUAUAAUAAAUUAGACAAACUGAGCAUUUAGUAUGGCAUAGUUUGUUAUAAUUUUAACCAUAUCAAAAAUUAUGAAACAUAAUAUGUAAAUAUAGGGAUAAUUUCAGAAACCUCCCCUAAGGUUUGUCAUAAUAUCACUCAGCUCCCUUGAAAUUUUUAAAAUCUCACUUAACACUCUUGCCAACUUGACAAGACUAAAUAUUCCUAUCAAAGGUCACAAAUUGACAACAUUGCUCUUGCUCUUAAUAACUAUUUAACCACAAAGCCAAAACAAAAUAAAAUUUUAAAACCAAAAAAUGUAAAUUAAAAAAAUAAAUUGUUAGCUAAUAAUGAUUCAUAUUUCUUUACAUUAGGGUCAUGGUGGAAUAGCAAAGGACAUAGAUAAAUUAAAUUUAAUCAAGGUCAACCACUUGGGAGGAUAUUUUUUGCAAUUAAGUUGCAAUUAAGGAAGUCAACAUAUUUUUUGGAAAAAUAUGUUUUAAUUCAUGCUGUAGUUUAAAUUUUGUUUUUGUUCCAAUACAACUAAAAUAAAGAGUUUAUGUCAAGAAAUUUAUACCUUAUAAAAAUUUGACCUUAUUUUAUUUUCUAUUGUUGUUAUAAAUUUCAUAAGUAGGAUAACAUAAGGGUAGUAUUGGAACAAAAGUUUUAUCUUUCUUGUAUUUCCUACAAAAGGGUUAAAAUGUUACAAGAAAUGUCAAUCCAAGAUAGAUAAGUGAGAUUUAAAAACCUCAGGGGAGUUUAGUGAUAUUAUGAGAAAUCUUGAGGGAGGUUUUUGAAAUUAUCCCUUAAGCAUAUUUAGUGACCCACCGGUUGGACCACUAACCCACUAGUUGAACCAGUAACCCGUUGACCCACCUCUUUUCCUGGAUUCCUCCCCGAGCUGGGUUUAAUAACUAUGGAAUAAAGCAUUAAUAUUUACAUAUAUAUGCAGAUUAAAAAGUCGGGCCUAUAUCAGGUCUAAGUCUAAUAAGGUCUAACCUCAACUUACAUUUAAUUGGAGUAAUAUUGAGACCCAAAUUUAGUCCAAUUCAAUGAAAGGUUAGGCUCAUCGGACUUUCUCUCGAACCGAGUGGACAUAACUUAGACUAAUUUGACUCCAUUGACAGACCUAAUUGGGACUUCCAUUGCGUACUUUUUGCUGACAUCACCAAAUAAACAGUCAAACAUUUAUUGAUUAUUAGUAAAUGGGUAUUUGUUAUAGAUUUAUAAGGUUUAAGGUUGGUUUCGUAAUUCUGCCAAAUCUCAAGGAUAAUUUGGUAGUUUGGCUGAAUCUCAAGGGAAGUAAAUAUAAAUUCAAAGCCCCGUAGUUAACUACUACAACUGACUGUUCCACUAUAGAGCGCUUAGUUACACCUUGCGAUGUUUCCUCCACGUCUAGAUGUACCCAAAUCCACACUACUAUAUAUUGGCGUGGGAAAUUAUAAAUUGGGCACUCGUUAAUAUGGAUAAGAAAUAAUCUGUUUAAUUAAUGUAUUAAUUAUUUCAUAUUUUGAAAAACUAUUUUCAAGAAAUUCGCAUUUUAAAUGACAUACCUAACCUUUUUACUAAAAAUAGAUGCGACAAAUAUUUCACUAGUACUUAGGAAAGCAAUUUAGAACUAUGAAAAUUUUAGCUCAUAUUUAAAAUCGUCAAUGAUUUGAGAAAAUAUAUUUAAGACAAAACCAAUGCAAAAUUCAAGAAAGAAAUUAUCAUUUCAAUUGAAAACGUUCUUGUAUUGGAAGUUCGAACCAUUUUAGUUCUCAAUGUGAUUUCACAUUAAAAUCAUUAAUUUAGUUUUGACUAGUGUUGUCAAAAGUCUUGAGAAGUUUGUUAAGUUUAUUUAUCAAUUAAAAGAGAAAGAAAACCUAGUAAACCAAACACAAACAAUUGGUUUAACUAAGAGAAUUUGUUUAAAAUUCACCCAAAGAGUACAUUCUUGUUUGUUGAUGUUUUUUGAAAUUUUCUUUUUUUAACAAGUCUUAAAAAGUUUAUUAUUCUAGGUUUUCUUCCAAAAUAAAUUGUAUUUUUCCUUCCAAUUUAUCAUGUUGUGGAGGAUAAAAUGUUCCAAGUUCACAAUUGUUUUCCUUUUUUUAAGCCAUAAAAGUCUUGAUUUAGUUUGGUUUAGAAUUUGGGAACCUACUAUCUCUUUGUAGUUGAAAAGAAAUAAAAAUAUACAAAUAAGUUGCUUUAGCGACCUUGACAGUGUUAAAAGCAUGAUAAUUUUGUGAUUUUCUCCAUAAAGUAUUUGGAACAAAAUAACAUUUUACUGGUAAAAAAAAAAAACUGGGAGAAGGCGGAGGAGCAAGAAAUUAAAUUGUAACAUUUAAUUUGAGAGGAAUAAUUUCUCAGACAGGGCAGAUUCGAGAAGCAGUUAACCAUAGCAGAAGAUUUCAAGUUCAGAGUAUGCAUGUUUUCAAGCUUUGAACAAGAAAAGAGAAUUAAAUAAUGCUUGCUAACAGAUUCAUGAAUCUCUUAACAUAACAUUUUGAGCGAAUUGCGCGAAAUGUCACUAAACUAUUUCAAAGUGCCGGUUCUGGUUAUUAAACUUUUUUAUUAGCGCGAAAUGUCACUGAACUAGUAAAUCUAUACCGUUUUGGUCACUCCGUGUAUUUGUGCCGUUAGGAGAGACGGAAAUCAACUUUUUGAGGGGUAAUUUCAUCUACACAAUAGUUAAAAAAUUUAUGCCCUCAUUCUUCUUCACCCACAACCAUAGUGCUAUACCAUAUUUACAUUCCCAGCCUUCCCGUACGCAUCAAUCAUCACAGAAUAGGUAACCUCAUCCGGUUCACACCCAAAAGACGGCAUUUUUUCGAACCACUGGACGGCUUUCUCAGGUAAAGAAGACAGCCUGGCGCAGCUAAUUAUGGUGGAAAAGGUGACAUUAUCGGGCUUAACUCCUCUCUCAAUCAUAUCCGUAAACAAUUUCUCGGCUCUGUCCAAGUCUCUACAUUUUCUAAACACCUUGAAGGUAACAUUAUACAAAAUCACUUCUUUCUUCAACUUAAGCCUUUCCAGAAAGUAACUCAGCACCAAAGGCGCAGUUUCAGAGUUGGACAUGUUAUUGAGCACAACGGCAGCAUCUUGCUCUACAACUUUGCCACCCAAAUUAGCCAAAAUACUAAUAACGUCAGCUUCUACAGGGUCACACGAGUCCAAUUGUUGGGAAGCUUGGACUAAAGAAGCAUACCUGAAAUCGUAGGAAUUGCGCCUGAGCUUUGAUGCCCUGGAGCUGUUGGGGUUGACCCAGAUAUAGCUUUUUGAGGAAGAAGAGAUGGUUUUAGCAUCUGGGCGGUGAGGAAUUUGGGAAAUUGAGGGGGAUUGUUGUUGGGAAGCCGGUAUAGAGAGGGAAGGUUUUGGAUGGGGCUUGAGAGGAGGAAAAGCGAGGGCGUUAUGGGGGAUGAUUCUGAGUUGGUGGAGGUGAGUGGGAUAAAGAGAGUUACAGAAGAGGUGUGGGUCGCGAGAGAGAUGAGACGGCGAAUAGGCGGCGGCCACCAUUCUUCUCUCUACUCUCCUUCCUUCCUUCUCAGUCAUCACUCACUCAGCAGAGCAGUCAGCAGCAUUUGAGUUUUCUUCUUUUUUACAACUAUGAAAAAUUUCGCCUGCAUUUUUUGGUUGAAGUUUGAUGGUGCCGCCAUUCAGAUUAGCCAUCUCCUUUAUGUCUUUGCCGGAUACGGAACCAUUGAUUAUGUAAAAGCCAAGGUUUUAAAACCCGGACCGUCCAUUGAACCGGUGAGAUGAAAGGGUCGAGGUUCAAUCGGUCGGACCGGUUCAACCUCGGUUCAUUGAUUUUUUUUUAAAAAUAAUUUAUAUAAAUAUAUAUGCACAAAAUAAGACAUGCAAUGGACUAAUUUAAAACUGUAUAUGAUGAAAAGUUUACUAUUUUUGAAUAAUUUGGAUUUUCAAAAAUAAAUUUUUUAAAUUAUAAGUUAAAACAAAUAAAUUUCAUUUCAAUUUUAAUUAUAUCUACCAAAAAAAUCUCAAAUCCAACCCAAAAAUAUCACAAUAUUUUGAAAUUAUACAAAAUUCACGUCUAUGAGAAUUUGACGUUGAGAAUUAAAUAUUGUAAUUUAAAAAAGAAAGUUUGGAGUUCGAAAGAAGUCAAGAGAAUUGAAAAUAGAAAUGCAAACUUGAUAAGAAACAAAAAAUGAGAUAAAAGUGAGUGGUUGUGGCAUUAAAUAAUUUGGGUUAAAGAAAAAUAAUUCUUUUUUAACUUUUUUCAAUUUAAUGGACAAAACCAAAAUUAAAAGAUAGAAGAAAACAUCAAUAAAUUAAAACUAAAGAGGUUUGAUUAAAAAAGGGAGUGACAAAAGAAAAGAUGUGAGAGAAAGAGAGAGUUGAAAAUUAAAAAGAAAGAGUCAUGAGAAAAUGAAAUUUUGUAAGAAAAAUGGAAAAAUGAAAUAUAGAUGUUUGUUUUAUAUAAAUAAAUUAUCAAAAAAAGCAAAUAAGAUGUGAUAGUGCAAUGGUUAUUACAUUGGUCUUCUAUUGUAAAUGUCUUGAGUUCAAAUCUUGAUAGAAGCAUUUUGCAACAAAAAAAAAAAAAGAGGAAAAACUCGAAAAUCGGUUCAAUCCGGUUCAACGGGUUUCGCGGUUUUUACCGGGUUUGACCGGUUUUUUGCCAAAGUCAACCUAAGCAUGGAACCGGACCGGUGCCAUGGCCGGUUCGCGGUUCGACCGGUCGAACCGGCCGGUCCGGUCCGGUUUUCAAAACACUGGUAAAAGCUUCAAGGAAAAGGCUGUGCAGACAAAUUUGCCCCUCAAAAAGUUGAUUUCCGUCUCUCCUAACGGCACAAAUACACGGAGUGACCAAAACGGUAUAGAUUUACUAGUUCAGUGACAUUUCGCGCUAAUAAAAAGUUUAGUGACCAGAACCGGCACUUUGAAAUAGUUUAGUGACAUGACAUUUCGCGCAAUUCGCUCUAACAUUUUACAGCCUAGACAACAUUUCACUACCCAAGGAAAGGCAUCAUUAUUUAUUUACUUUUUCCCGCAUUCAAGGAAAGCACCAUUAAUUAUUGAUGAAACAGAAAUCUGGUCGGUCCGUUUUAAAAAAAUAAGGCGGGCAUGACGAAGAUCAUCGCAUACCGCACUACUAAAGCCUAUGAAUCAAAAAAGGGAGAUUUGGUCAGAAGCACGGAAAUAAAUUACAGAAGUUGUUGUGGGCAGCAUAUAUAUUGUAGAUUUGGUUAGGUAGACGAGAUGCAAUAAUGGAAUACAAAAACAGAUGUUGUCAGCAUCAAAGUUUACUUUGUGCAUUUUUUUUUAAUUUUAUAUGAGGAUAGGGCACACAUUAAAAUAAAAAAUUUCAACUUUAUAGCAUCGAAGUUUUACUUUGGUUUACCAAAAGGGUUAUUAUUACUUUAUUCCCUUAAACUAUAUCACUGCUAUUAAUUUACCCCUUAACAUUAUCUUUUAGUCACUUCAUCUUCAUAGGUAAUUUAACUCAGUAUAUUAACAAAUUUUGAACAAAAAUACCCUUUUAUUGUAUAAUAUUACUACGUUGUUAUUAUCAUUUUGUCCCUUUAAAUUAUAGUGAUACAAUUGCUUUGUUCCCUAACAUUAUUUUCUAGGCGUUUUAUCCCAUUGUUAACCUAAACAAUAUGUUCAAAAAAUUUUUAAUGUAUUUACCCUUCUUAUGUAUAAUUACAAAUAAAAAAUUGGAAUAGUUAUUCUUCCUUUUUCACUCUAAGAGUUCCAAAAACAUAAAAAAUAAAAGGGUUUUUUCAAAUUUCUUUUUUCACGUUUAUUAAUACUAGGAAAAGAAAAGGAGAUAGAAAAUUAAAUUUUAUAAAGAAAGAAAAUAAGGAACAAUCUAAUAUUAUCGUAUUACUUUAACAUCGUCAGGAUUAUGACUGGAAUUGGGUGAUAAAUAAAAAAAAAUAAAGUAUACCUAACUUUUUCUUAUUUGUAUUUUUUUAAAAAAGAAUAGAGCUCUCUCUCUCUCUCUCUCUCUCUCUCUCUCUCCCUUCCUACCUUUCUAUUUUUUUAAUAUUAAUAAGAUUGCCAAAAAGAAAGAAAUUAAUGCUCUAAUUUUUUUUCUUGAUACAAAAAAGGGAGAAGAGUAACUCCAAAUUUUUUAUUAUUUUUAUUCUACAAAGAGGUGGGUACUUUCUUCUAAAAUUUUUUAACUUAUUAAACUACUUUAAUGGUGGAAUAAAUUUCGUAAAAAAUAACUUUAUGGGUAUAUUAAUAAUAAGGUUAUAGUUUAUGAAGGUAAAAUAAUAAUAAUUUUGACCGUUAAUCUUAGAGAUAAGGUGACUAAAAAGUAACAUUAAUUGUUUUCUCUCUCUCUCUCUCUCUCUCUCUCUCUCUCUCUCUCUCUCUCUCUCUCUCUCUCUAUAUAUAUAUAUAUAUAUAUAUAUAUAUAUAUAAACACACACACACAUGUAUGAACUGAUUAACUCUGCAGCAUAAUAUUCCAUUGAGUACACAGAUAGUAGCUAAAGAAUAGGAAACAUGGGAACAAUUGAUAUUUGCCCUAGCAAAAUUCAUAUUCUUGCUUUCCCUUUUCCUGCGAAAGGUCAUAUAAAUCCUAUGUUACACCUCUGCAACCGCCUGGCUGCGAAACAUUUCAUGGUUACACUGAUUACCACAGCUUCUACAUUCAAGUCUGCUAAAACCACAGCCAUCAGCUCCAUCAAGAUCGAGUGUAUUCCAGAUGACUCCGAAGAACCCGUUGAAGAAGAUGCCAAAGGCUAUUUCACAAGGCUCAGAGCUGCUGCUUCCAAAGGCUUGGUGGAACUGGUUGAUAAAUAUAGAAAGACAGAUCCGUUUCCUCCCAGAUUGGUGAUUUAUGACUCAACUAUGCCUUGGGUUCUGAACUUAGCUCACUGGAUGGGACUUCGCGGAGCUUCUUUCUUUACUCAAUCUUGUGCUGUUUGUGCUCUUUACUACCAUAUGGACCAAGGAACAAUACAGCUUCCUCUUGAUGAGUCUGUUACUGUAAAAUUGCCUUCAAUGCCAGCACUUGAAAGCACUGAUCUUCCUGAUCUCCAGUACUUCCCUGAUCCAGAUAGUGUUGUCACGAGGCUCCUUCUUGAUCAGUUCUCGAACAUUGACAAAGUUGAUUUCAUUCUGUUCAACACUUUCGAAGAAUUGGAGGACGAGGUAAGUUGGAAAUGCUAAUUAUAAUCCAGUGAAUAUACAUCAUUGAUGGAUUUUUUUGGCUGAUAAUUCAUGUAACUUUGUCAAACUAUAUGAUAUUCCUGGACGGCCAUAAGCAAAAUUUUAAUCAUGUGAAAAAUUUUCUUUUUUGUUUUAAAGAAAAAAUUGAUUUCGGAUGACUAGUUUGUGCUAGCUUUGUCAAAUAGGAUAUUAUAAUCGGCAAUUAAUUAACGUUGUACAAGAGCCGAAUUGAGGAAUUUUUUAUAGUGUUUUGGUUAGGCAUGUCAAUUGAACCAUCUGAAUCAGGUUUUAACAAACUCAAACUCAGUUUAUAUAGUUAGUAACACUUUCAAAUUUCGAGUUACGAGUUUUGGGUUGAUAAAUAUAAAUCUCAUACUUGACUUACAAGAUAUUCGAGUUGUUAGUCAAAUUCGGGUUUAACCCAAAUUCAUUUAUUACUCUUUAAUUUCUUUAAUAUAAUUAUUAUGACUAUUAAAUUCUAAAGUUAAUUUAACAUCCGUUGGACCACAAUAUUAAAACUAUAUACGAAACAGUAACAAUUCAUUAAAAAGUAUAUAAAGCAAGAAAUUUCCAACAAUAAUAAAUUCAGUUACUUCAAAGUACAUGAAAAAUAGUAACAAAAUAUGAUCAACAAUCAAUACAUCUUCAAAGGUCCCCAAUUUGCUCAUACUAAGAUUUGUCCUUAUGAAUCUUUUGAUAUAAUUUUGAAUAUUUAAUAUUUCUUAUAUAUAUUAAUAUAUUUUAUCGAGUUUGACUCAGCUCAUGUUUAAUCCGAGUCUAAUAUUUAGGGCCAAUCUCAGCCUAAUUCAAAGAUUAGGCUCAUCGGAUUUUGUCUCGGGUCGAGUUCAAACUAGCCUGACUCUAUUGGUAGUUCUAGAUUUGGUGUCCCUAAAUUCUCUGAUAGGCUUUGGCUAGUCUCCAAAUGUUGUGCCAAUUGGGGAUCUGUUAAUUAUUUAUUUGCUUUUCUUUUUCCAAAGAAAUGAUAUUGCUGAUUUUUUGUCAAUCAUCUCUAUCUACUCUAUUUCUACUUCUAUUCCUAUUCUAACCUAUUUUAGGAGGUGAUUCAACUGGAUAAAAAAAAAUCGACGGGAACUGAGUUACUCUCGGACCAUACGGGUGCACUAUACACCUAUAUGGAUUUGGAGAAGCCACAUUAAUGAUAAAGUAAUGGGAGGCAAGGUUUUAACUCUUAACCUCCCACCCCACAAAAAUUUAAGCCUUUUGUGGUGGCCAACUACUCUAAAGAUGGUUAAAAAGGAGGAGUGCAACACGAGUACUUUUCAAAGGGUCACCUAUCUUAGUAUUAUUCUCACCCAAUCGCACUUAACUUCGAAGUUCUAAGGGAUCCAGUACAAAAACUAGAUUCAAAGAUUCUUGAUAGUGUACUCUUAAAGCUAGAUUCAGAGAUUCUUGAUGUGAAGAAUUUUCCAACAAUAAUAUAUCCAAUGAGUUCAAAGUAAGGAUGGCAACGGGGCGGGGUUGGGGCGGGAAACGCCCCCGCCUACAAAUUACCCCCGCCCCCGCCCCGUCCCCAUCCCACCCCGCCCCGCUUCUCCCGUAGGGGCACCCGUGGGACUAAUAAAAAUUUUUUAUAUAAUUUUAUUAUAGUUAAAUUUCAGCAAAUAAUCAAGUACUAAAAUAUCACAUCACCAAAUUCUUAUUCAUUGUAAUUUCACAAUUGAAACUUAUAAAAACAAUCAAACAAAAGUUAUUUGAAUACAAUCCAACAUGAUGAAAUAAAUACAACUAAAGUAGUCAAGUUUUCACUUUUGGCGCAAAUACAACCACUAAUUCAUUAUUGUACCUGUGCUUUUUUUUUUUUGUGAAAAAAAUGCUAUUGUAUUAAGUGUAAUUAGGGAUUUAGUAUAAAUGUAUUAGUAAAUUUAAUAUAACCAAUUAAUAAUUUGUAUUAGUACACAUAUAUAAUUAUUAGUAUAAUUGAUAAUAUCAAUUAUAUUACAUGUACUAAUAUACAUUAUAUGAUACAUAUAAUUAAUAAUAUCAUUAUCAUAAGUUUGUAACUAAUUAAAUUAUCUGUUAUAUAGAAUUAUAUACAUAUAUAUUUUAUAUAUUUAUUUAUUUAAAGCGGGUAGCGGGGCGGGGGAUAGGGAGCGGGUACACUCCCCCGCCCGCCACCCCGUUUCUAAACCGGGGGGGGGGGGGGAAAUUCCCCCGGGGGGCAGGUGCCCGCAUUGCCAUCCUUGGUUCAAAGUAUACAGAAAAAUAGUAAUAAAACAUGAUCAGCAAUCAAUACAUCUUCAAAAGUCCUCAAUUUGUUUGUACUAAGAUUUGUCCUUCUGAAUCUUUUGACAUAAUUUGUGUAUUUAAUAUUUCUUAUAUGUAUUAAUAUAUUUUGAUAAAUAACUCAUAAAUAUAAAGCAUUAGUAUCAUAUAUUUAGAUAUGUAUACACCAAAAUAUGAAUAUAUAUACCAAAUUAUAUAUUUCUUAUACCAUCCAAAUUAAUUAUAUAUAUAUAUAUGUAUAUGUAUAUAUAAAAAUGUAGAUUAAAGGGUCGAGCCUAUAUCAAAUUUAAGCCUAAUAAGAACCAAACUCACCUCACAUUUAAUUUGGAUAUAAUAUUUAGGCCCAAAUUCAGCCCAACUCAAUGAAAGAUUAGGCUUAUCAGGUUUUUUCUUGAGCUAAGUUUGGCUUGGCGGGACCCUAUUAAUAGUUCUAGUUUUGGUACCCCCAAAGACUAUUCUCUAAUAGGCUGCCCAAUAUAUCAAAAGUGAAAUUUUGGCUAGCCUCUAAAUGUUGUGCCAAUCUAUGAUUUUAAACUAGGAUCACACUAAUUCGUCUAACCGAUUGUAUCGAAAACCGGUCAGUUAUCCAAUUCGAGUCUCUUUAAAAAACAGUCAGUCAAAGAUUUGGUCAAACUCAAUCAAAGACUGGGUUUGACAGAGAAGUGGUAAAAUUGGUUAGAAUUAGUUUUUUUUUCACAAUUUCUCCAUUCUUAUGGGUUUUUUUUUAUUGUGAAAAAGAAGCACUUUGAAAUAGAUUAGUCAAAAGCAAAGUAGAAUUAAGUCAAUGAGAAAGCAUUAUUGUGUUUCAUUAGAAUCUCAUGCGACAUCCUCUUUACUAAAUUGAGGGAAUUUAAAAAAAAAAAAAAAAAAGAGUCCUGAGAAAGUGUAUAACUUCAAAAAACCUAAAUUAUAAAAAAAAAAAAGAAGAAGAAGAAACUGGACUCAUUGCCAUUCUGAUGGCUUUUAUUUCUUCUUCUUCCCUUUUUUUUUCCAUUCUUUUGAUCUUUGAAUAGCACAAAGAAUUAGUGUCAAAUGAAGUUAGAAACCUAGAUUAGAAGAAAAUUUUCAUUCUCUAAAUUCACAAGCUCGAUUUCAUGCAAAAGUUUUGAAAGAUUUGAAAUCAAAUAAGAGGAAAAAAAAGGAACAAAGAAGGGAAGAGAACAAAGAGGAGGGAAAAAGGGAAGAGAACAAAGAAGGGAAGAGAACAGAGAGGAGGGAAAAAGGAAAAUAAUGAAAAAAAAAAGAGAGUUUUUGUAUGCAUUUGAUUUGCGUGAGAUAAAAGAAAGGAAGAGAUUUGUGGACCUUAUGAUGGAGAGAAGAAGAAGGAACAAAGAAGAAGAAGCAAAGACAAGAUGAAAAGGAAAGAAAGAGGCGGCUAACAAAAAGGAUACGAUCGGUUUAGCAUUUAUUAGCUUUAAAUGCCCCAAAAAGUUUUAUAAGCUCAUUUUGACCCCCUAUUGUUUUAAUAAAUUAUAAAAUAACCUAUUACGUUUUCUAAAUUACAUUUUUUACCUUUAACUUUUUAAAAUUUUUAAGUGGAACCCUUUAGGCUAAAUUUAAACACAUCAAAUAUGUAUGUAAAGUUAUAAACCACCAAUUUCAAAGGAAUUUUUAUAUAUUAGAUUGAUUAUAUAUUAUUUGUAGAUAUUUAUAAUGUAUUUAUAAUGUCAUCUAAUUUGACUUUCGAAUUAAUCAGUCGAAUCCGCUGACCCCUAAUCUUUACCGAGUCACUAUCUAGUUUGAGUUUUAAAAUAUAGGUGCCAACAGGGGAUCCUUUAAUUCUUUAUUUACUUCUCUUUAUCCAAAGAAAUUAUAUUGCUGAUUGAUUGACCAAAUGUUGAGUCAAAUCGUCCACCACUUUUCUGAUUUUCAGGACUUGUUAAUCGUGUUACUGUUAUACUUUAUUUAUCAGGUGGCAAAAUGGAUGGCAGAAAGGUGGACAAUUAAGACAGUUGGACCAACAGCUCCACUACUUUUUGUAGACAAGAGACUGCAGAAUGGAAAUGAUCAACAAGGAAACUAUCUGUUUGAGACAAACGCUGAAGCUUGCUUAAAAUGGUUGGACGAAAGAGAAACAUGUUCUGUAGUUUAUGUAUCGUUUGGGAGCAUAGCAGCGCCCGAUAAAUCUCAGAUCGAGGAAGUGGCAGAGGCCCUCCUGAGGAGCAACUGCAAAUUCCUUUGGGUAUUCAGAGAAGAAGAAGAGAGUAAGCUGCCAAAGAAUUUCAAGUCUGAGUCUUCAGAGCAAGGCCUAAUCAUAAACUGGUGUCCACAACUUGAGGUUCUAGCCCACCGGACGAUCGUGUGUUUCGUGACUCAUUGUGGAUGGAAUUCAACCAUUGAAGCUCUGAGUGCAGGCGUGCCAAUGAUAGCAGUGCCACAAUGGAUUGAUCAAACUACAAAUGCUAAGUUUAUUGCUGAUGUAUGGCAAACGGGGCUGAGAGUGAAGCUAAAUGAUAAAGGAUUUGUCGGAAGAGAAGAGUUUGAGUAUUGUAUCAGAGAAAUUACUGGUGGUGAAAAGGGGAAGGAGAUCAGAAGAAAUGCUAAGAAAUGGAAGGAAUUGGCCAUACAGGCAGUAGGAGAAGGUGGAAGUUCUGAUAGGAACCUUGAAGAUUUUGCGACCUCACUUUUGUGCCUACCAUAAUGCGUUCCUGCUCUCUUGGGAGGUUGUGGAUGGAAACUAUCUGAAAUAAGAAUUCUGUAUAAGUAUUUUAAUAAUAAAACGAGGAUAAGAUUUGAGCAAAGUAAGAUAUUGAGAAGCUUCUGAUUCUCAAUAAAAAGAUCAUUCUAAAUACUAUUUUCCUCGCACUCCUUUCUUUCUUCUAUAUUCUGUUUUCUUUGAGCAAAGUAAGAUAUUGGGAAGUUUCUGCUUCUCUUGGUUGUGCAGAUCAAAGGGAAGCAACAACUAUAGAGUUGGGCUGUUAUAUUCUGGAGGCGGCGUGCUAAACUUUCUGCAUCGAUUAAAAAAAAUACCGUAGGGGUGCGUAUCAUCUUAAAGAGAGCGUUCUACGCGCCUCAACCCUACCAAACUUUUUAGUAGCUGUCAAAUUCAAGGUGGUUGGAUUAAAGAUCAGAAGUUGUUCGUGUACUGUCUUCCAAUAAUUUUAAGAUCUAAUCCGCACAUCAACCCAUGUCAAAUUAACUUUUGAUGGUACAAAUUAUUUGCAUUUAUUAAUGCAAUAUUGAGGUAUGAGAUUUUUGUUUAUUUCUUUGUUAAAUUUUAUCAGAGAAAUUACUAUUACUUAUAUGAUUAUUUUGGUCUAGAACCAACAGAAUCUAUAAUUGUUUAGAAGGAUUUAGAAUAUGCUUCUUUUGUAGGAGAAAUUUUAUGUUCGCCACUUGUUAGUGUGUUUGGAUAGUAGAUUAUUUGAAAGAAUUUUUAAAAAUAUAUAUCAUAAUACUUUUUUGAUAUGAUGUACGUGAAAUAAAAAAGCCAUCUUACCAAACUCAUGUUAAGAACAGAUUUUGGGAAUUAAAUUAUUUAUAUUUUUUGGUAAAAAUACCCCACAAUGAAAUAUUUGUGACAGGUGCAAAUGGUACGUCCAAUAACAAAUGGUCAUCGAUAAAAUACAAUAACGAAUGAACCAAAACACGUGCAUGAGAUAUCAGUUUAGAAAGUAGUGAUGCUAAAUUCAACUACAACUAUAAAAAUUGAGUUUCUUUUCUCGCUAUUGUGUAAACACUAACGAGUUUUUUCUCUUUGUUUCAUUCGAUUGGAUAAAAAAAAAAAAAGUUUAGGAGGAGAACAAAGGUUAAUUUUCCAUAAGGUUAGGGUCGAUGACAAUCCCUUAUGCUUAGUUAUAAUUAUUUCUUUACAGAUCGUCUAUCAGUUAACAAAAAAAAACAGACAAAGAUUAAUUAAUGCACUGCUCAUACAUCUCACGAAAAUAUGAAGACGACAUCAGAAAAUUUAAUCCAGAAAAGUUUCACAUCCUUUAGACAACCAGAACAAAUAGCAAAGUAUUCUACAAAAACAACUACUAUGAGUUGCCACACCGUGCUGGAUGAAGGAGAAGACGCCAUACAAGGCCGGCGUCCCAAUCAAAAGGAGUAUGAACGUAAAAUACAGGGUGUGGGAAGGACGGCGUAAUGGAGAAAUAAAAUAAUCAAGUGGUUCAACCGAUCUCACUUAUUAACCCGAGAUUGAUUGGGUCUUCUUCUUUUUUUUUUUGGCUUGGUGCUCACUUUUUUGCCCAUUUUUGGUCCGAUUAUUAAUUUUAUUGGUAUUACAUUUUCAUUACAUGCAGAUUUAUUUCAUAUGAUUAUGAUUCCCCUUACGGGUUCCAUUAACUACUAACAUUGUAAGAUAAAUAUUGAUACCUACCAAACUAACGUUAUGCCAAAUUUGAUCACUGAAGUUAUUUCUAAGACUUGAUGGAAACUGGGUCUAAAAAUGGAUCUCCUGGUGAUAGCUUUUCUAAGGCUAGAAUUGCAUCGUACCAAAGAAAACGAAUUUAGAGGAGUACUAUCGUUGAUUUCAGUCACUAGCAAUGGCGGUGGAUGACGAUCGCUGCCUAACCUACCGCCCGGAUUCUAUCAUGGGCGCCGCCCUGAUGGCUUAGUUUUUUUCUUAGAUAAUUAGAGGAAGAAGAAGACAAAAAUAAAACAAGAAAAGAAAAGAAGAUGGCUUUUGAGGAUAUAUUGGAAUUAGAGUUGUCAAUCCUGCCAUUUGAACCGAACUUUUUUCAAAUUUAGAGUCAAUUCAUAUAGUUAGUUUCACUUUUGGAUUUCAAGUUAUGAGUUUUGAGUUGAUAAAUUUGAAACUCAUGCUUAGUUCACCAAAUAUUCGGACUGCGAGUCUAAUUCGGGUUUAGUCUAAACUCACUUAUUGCUCCUUAAUUUCCUUAAUAUAAUUACUAUGACUAUUAAGUUCUAAAACUAAUUUAACAUCAUAAGAUCACUAUAUUAAAACUGUAUACAAACUAGUAACAGUUCAUUAAAAAUUAUACAGACCAAGAAUUUUUCAACAAUAAUGUAUCCAAAUUAGUUCAAAGCACGUGAAAAAUAGUAAUAAAGUAUGAUCAACAAUCAACACAUCUUCAAAAGUUGUCAAUUUGCUGGUACUAAGAUUUGUCCUUCUGAAUCUUUUUGACAUAAUUUUGUCUAUUGAAUAUUUGUUAUAUAUAUUAAUAUAUAUUUUGAUACAUAAUCAUGAGUAUAAAGCAUUAAUAUUAUUUAUAUAUAUAUAUAUAUAUAUCUGUGUGUGUGUGUGUGUGCAAAUUAAAGAGUCAGGCCUAUAUCCGUUUUGAGUCUAAUAAGGUCCAAUCUCAAUUCACAUUUAAUUCGGAUCUAAUAUUUAGAACCAAAUUUAACCCAAAUCAAUGAAAGGUUAUAUUCAUCGGACUUUUUUUAACUUGGGCUUGGGCUGACUCGAUCCCAUUGACUGUCCUAAUUAGGACUUGCAUUGCAUACUUUUUGCUGACAUCACCAAAAGAAACAGUCAAACAUCUAUUGAUUAACAAUAAAUGGGUAGUUGUUAUAGAUUUAUAAGCUUGAAGGUUGGUUUCAUAAUUUCGCCAAAUCUCAAGGAUAAUUUGGUAGUUUGGCUAAAUCUCGAGGGAGAUAAAUGUAAUUAAACCAAAGAAUGAUCUUUGAGCAAGGAAGCCCAAUAAAUCGAUCGCCUUUGACAUAUCUCCUAGCAAAAGUUUCCCCGUCAUCGGCUUUCGACUAAAGAAAUGGUUAGAAGAUUUUCUUCUAUUCUCUCAUGGAAAAGAAAUUGGAUAUUUGGAAAAUUAUUCCGGUUCUUAUAUUAGCCCUUACAAAAUAAUUGUAAGGAUGGCUUUUGGUUCAAUUAGCACCGUUGUUGUAUUUCCUUCAGAAGUUAGAUUUGCACUUACGUACAUCAUUGUAUUUGUAUAAGAAUAAAAUUCAUGCGUACAAUGUACCAUAGAUCCAGGGCUAGCUCCUGCAAUGUACCAAAAAGAAAAACAAAAUGAGCAAUUAGAGGGUGGUAGAAACUACAAGUCAAGAACAAAUCUCCAUACAUGUUCAGAUAUCAUUGAUCAGGCUUUAAGAUUUCUUUCGUACAUCUUUUCUUUGCUGUAACGAAUUAACUGACAUUAGCACGCAAAUUAUGCAAGAGAAGUUCAGGUUUCUUGAAAACCCAUCAUCUGUCCUGUCCAAACUUGCUUCUAAAGAAGUGAAAUGGGACCAAAAAGUACUACUGCCAUUGACUAUGGCUGAAGACUGAAAUUAUGCGUACAACAAAGUAAUUUUAUUGUACAAUAGACUACGUAAAAUAUGUCACACAACUGCAUUGAAAAACUCAAUUUCAUGAAAGUACACAACUGUAGAAGCAUAACGUAUUGAAUAGGAGAAAUAAGCUCCAAAUUUCUAUUUCCAUAGCCAGACAGCAGAUUUCUUUAACUUCAUUAUGAUCCCCUGAGCAAUCUGAAAACUGAGAACAACUAGUUGCUAGAGAGCUAAAACUACGAGACUCCAAAUUAGGAGCAGAUUGGCUGUGACCCAAGUGUUGAAAACUUAGAAUAGAUCGAGCCCAAACAUUCAAAUAGUCAGAGAAAAUCUUCUGCCGCCUCAAUAUUGCUCUAGAAGCCAUUUUCAAGUCUCUGACGCCACAAAACGAUUAAUUGGAUCACAUCUCCCAGAAGCACCUGAUCAAACCAAUGAUAAUCAGUAUCAGUACCAUUCAUAUUCAUGGCAUAAGCAAGAAAAUCAGCGCAAAAGAGUAACUAGCAAGCACACACUAAUGAAAAUGAAUGCAUUUCCUUCUUGAUUGUACUUACAUUGUUCAUCAAAAUCAAAUAUGACUUGCAUAUCAUGCAGACAAACAGAUACAUGCAAUGUAUACACUCCCUGUGAUGGCUUUUUUUUCAAUUGAGUUUUUUGAUGCAGUUUUGUGACUGGAAACAAGCAUCAUGAAAGUACCGAGUACUAAAUCAUUAGAACAUGUCUAACUUAGUAUAUUUCUUGCUAUAAUCCGUCAGUACUAGCUUAUGAGGCUAGCAUGAAGCGUACAUCAGUUAGAUUAGUGCUUGGGAAGUGUUCCCGACUGUGGCUUGGGAAGUAUUAACUCCCAUGUAGAGAUACGAGUCACCAGCGGGCGAUAGUCAUUGCAAAAGAUUCAAGAAGAGAGGCUCAGCAGCAGAAGUUAAGCUUUCCAUUACUGUGUUAACAGGGUCACAAAACCUGAAGUAUUAGCAUAUUCACAUUAGUAGAAACUGGCGGAGUUAUCCCCUACAGUCCUUCAGAUUCAGCUGUAUUAUCCUCCUCAGCUCGACCGCCCAACUUCACUAUAUCUUCGACAAGAAUCUUUCCAUCUGUUAUCCACAAAAAUCAUGAAAACCACAUAUCAAAAAGGACCAAGCAGAAUUCCUUCAGUAAGAACUGAGAAAGUUGAGUCUGAAAGCACAUAGAAUCUACCGAAUUUGAAGAUCCAAAAACUACCAAAUUGAAAUCAGUAAAGGUCACUUGUUCAACAAUCUGUCUUGGCAUAAAAAGAUUCCAGUUUUGCAUCACAAGAUUGUUCACAGGACAAUAGCAGGAACCUAAUAAGAUAUAUUUUGUCUAAAGGGAAAUGGUGUUCAAAACAGAAAGACCUACUUUAUGAUAAGCCGUUUCGAUAAUAUACAUUCGAAUGUUCAGCAGGGACCUUCAGCACAUUACCCACUUCAUUUUAACUAGCAUAAACACUGCACUAGCUAAAAGCCGCAUAAAUGUCUAGAAGUUGUACUAGCUAGGCACAAUUUGUUUUACCGUGCCCCUUGCUGUGGAAGCCGUUUUUGUUUUUUUUUUUGGGGCGGGGCGGGGGAGGGAGGGAGGAGGAAGAGGGGGGGAAGGUCCAGUAUAGAAGGAAUGAUCUCUGCGCUCAUGAGCUUCUCUAGCACUCAAAUCUAUCCCCAAAAGCCUUGGUUGGUUAAUUGGGUUCACAAGCUCUCUCAACAUACAACCCAAAACAUAAACCAACAAAGCAAACUCAUAAUAUGGAAUAUCACAGGCGAGUGGGAGAUAUCUGCACUUACCUCUAUCUUUUGAAAGGUUGCUAAUGAGUUCUUGAACCCCUUCUUUGCCUAAAGUAUCUUUCAAGUACAUCGCUGCAGCUGCCACCUCCUCCGGAGUAACUUUCCCAUCAUGAUCUCUGCAAAAGUGCAGCAGUAAUCAUAGACUUGUAUAAAUGGAGUAUUGUUAAUUAAAACAGAGCCCCAAUUGGAUUGAGUAGAUGUCGCUCAUUGUAGUUAAAUGGCUAAGUUUAUCUUAUAAACAACUAAAACAACCUCAAGUUACAUGCUUGUUACUCAAUAGGUGCCUAAUCUCUCUAAAAGAAUCUUCCAUGAGAGAAGACGAGAAUUCACAAGGAAAGACCAAAAAUCCAGAGAAAAAACAAAGGACACAUCCAACAACGGAUCAAAAAUAUUUGAAAAAAACUACCUCACUAUCUCCACAUCUUUAAUUGAUUUACAAAUUUUAUUCAUACCAGUUUUCUUAAAGCUCAACUUUUAACAAUAUAAAUGUUUGCCAAAGGCAUUAUGUUCCUAAUAUUUGUCAAAGUAUUGAUCUUGUGAGUCAGCAAAUUGAAUCACCAUUAUUAAGUUUUCUAAUGAACUCAGAAAACAUAACCACCAGCCAGUUAACUGCAUCUUUAUAUUAGUCUGUAUGUAAGAAUGGGAAUUUUGAAACAAGGCACAACCAGCUACACAAUAAGCAAAGUAAGUAUAAUCCACAAGGGACUUUAGUCACCUGUCAAGCACUCGCCAAUGAUCACCAAUCUGUGCAUCCACAUCAUCAAUUUCUUUCUCAAGGUUCUGUAGCAUGGCAUCAACCUGUUUGUUGCAACAAAGUACAUUUUCAGAUGAUUAUCGAUGGUAAGUUUCUAUAUGCUCUUGUUCUUGUUUUCUAACAUUUUUUCUCUUUUCUGUUUUUCCUUUUCUUUCUUUUGACUUCUAUUUUCGUUUUGCUUUUCUACUCCCCUCAGGGGAGGCCUGGUUUAGUUGUUUUAAGGAACAUAAAAGUUUUACCUUGUCAAUUAGUGCAGAUGAAACCUCGUCUGUAUCAGCUUCAUUAGCAUCUUCAGUUUCAACACGAGCAGCUCUAUAUGCCUUCAUUGCUUCUGCUUCAGCCUCUGUGCCUUCUUUAUCUACCAUGCUGUUGUAAAGUUCGAUCUGGCAAGAUGAAGAAACUCUACUCUGAGAAAGUUAAAUCUUUUUUUAUGCUUUAUGAGAUCAGUUUAUAUUCUUGUCACCAGAAACUCAGCCCAGAAUAUUUCCCCAAACAAGCAUUCAAUUAACUACAGUGGUAUCAUGCCAACAAGUCUUAGACAACCUAGAACCAUAACAAGGUAUAAAAUUGUAACAACAAAACGUACCUAUCUUCUAAGCUCUUAUCCAUUAUGUAAAGGUUAAACAAAAUAUACAAAAUACUUCAACAGCAAUGAACAUAGCAUGUUCAAAAUUCAGGCAGUAAGGCUCAGUUAUCCAAAUACAGAGUCCAACAAAGGCUAGAACUAUUGACUAAUAAGGAUUUGGAUAUGACACAAAUAAAAGAACAAACACAAAAGACCCAAAACAAGAUACAGAAUUUACAAGUUCAUUUGCUUUAAUGAGCUAAACCUAUUCACUUUUUCAUUGCUAUCUUAGCAAAUUUAACAUCCAUAGAAUCAGUAACAAUCAGCAAAAGCGUAAAAACUAGUUUCCCACUGAGAUAUUUGAAGGUCAAAGAAUCAGACUGUCCCAAAAGCAUGAACAAAAAUGUCAACUUUUCAGAAACCCAUGUCUCCAUAGGAAGUCAUAACAAAGCAGUUAAAGGAAUGGUAAAAGAAAUUGAUUGCUCAUUCAGAAAACAAAAAUUCUCUCUGUUCUUUUUUCCCCUUUACCAAAAUUUAGGAGGUAAACUGCUUUAACCAUACCUCUUUAUUGACAAGCCUCAGAAAUGCUUCACGCUCUCUGCUCACAGACUGAAGAAUACAACACAAAGGAAUUAACUAGAACCAAUUUUUCAUGAAAAUAUCGGAUGUCAAACAGAACAAAUUUAUGAGCCAUUCUUACAGAAGCAGCAGCUAAAACAGCCAAUGCACGACUAAUUUCGCAAAGCUGGUCUCGCUUGUCUAAUGCUCUUGCUCUAGCUCGUUCUUGUGCUUCCCUAGCUGUUGGAAUAGUCAUCUCUUUCAAAGCCACAUCCUCUCGACUACCAACACUUUCCUUCUUUCUGGCUAGCUCUUCUUCCUCUUUUUCUUCCUCCUCCUGCAGUUAAUUGCAAUACAGUCAUCAAAUCAAAGCUGAAUUUAUGAGGCUAAAAAGCUUUCCAGCCGAUUUCAAGAAACAUAGGACUGAGAAAAAGAAAUAAGUUUUAGAAAAUUUACCUUGAUGAGCUCCUCUUCCAUCUCCAGGAACUCUAAUUUUCUUCUCCUGUCAGAAACGGAGUCUUCUGUGCCCACAGUAUCCACAACUUCAUCAGGGAGUGAAGACAAUGUAGCCCGUACUGCUUCCUCAGGCUUCACCUUCCCAGAAACAGUAAAAGCUCUAUUUACAACAUAUAGACAAUUAGAUCAGCAAUAGCCAAUACAGGAGUUGAAACUGAACAACAAUGUUGUUUGUGUACCUUGAAAGGAUCAAAAGUGAAGAUGGCACAGAGUGAUUGAGUGACAAAUCUAACCAGUCACGAAGCUGCAAGGAUAUGCCAAAGUAAUUUUUUUUAAUUCCCAGUAUGACAAUUCAGUAGAAAAUCUAGAACAAAGAAGUGACACAAACUAGCCUCAAUCAAGGGGUCCUCUUCGGAAAGUCGAACAUUUUUGUGCAUAUAAGAAGAUAUGGUGAAUGCAUGCUUGCAUGUAUGCAUGUGUAAAGUUUGAGUUUUUCCCAUUCUCUUUUCAAUCCACUAGUGGGGAAAGGAAAAGGAUGGGAGCAUUUUCCGCUUUAUAUGACAAGUUAGAGCCACAUGAAUGCGAAGAAAGUUAAAACAACAAAAUUUUGCAAUUGUAAAAUUUCAGGAUGCAGUCUGAUAUUUAAAGGGCUUAUGCUGAACAACCUUGGAAAAAAAUAAGGACCAACUUCAUUUGGUGGUAUUCAACAAGAAGUGCCAGAUUAAGAAGACUCAUUAUACAGAAAUGACUUGUGCUUUAAAGUAAGAGUGCAGACCCCUCCUGUAUGACUUUUCCGUUUACAUACAAGAACAAUGUGUCGUAUGUUUCUUGGGUUAGGAUAAAAUUUAUACUUUCUUGAACUCCACUAUGCACAACAUUCAUGUAAAUUCUGUAGCAUGAAAGAUUACCAAAGCUACUCAUCUCCUUGGGCAUUAAAAUUAGUACAUAACUCCUACGUGAAUCACCAGUUUAAAUAAGCCACGAAUCAAAAUACUGGGAGAUCUACAUCCAAAUAUGGUGCCGAAAGAAUGUGGUCUAAAUGAUCAAUCCAAAUAUGAAGUACUAACUUUGUUGACCUCAUGAAAGGUCAAUCCACCAAUGUUGAUUGAGAUCAAUUUUCAGAGGGAGGAAAAAAAAAGAAGUGGAAACAGCCUCAGACAGGUUAAAGUAGAGAAUACCUGUUGGCGCAUUUCCUCCACUGAAAGCAGUCCUAGCAUGCCACGCUCUCUACAGUCCUCACGGAGUUCAGCCUCUGAUAGAGACUCCACACCUUCCGCUUGAAUCAAUUUAUCAUCAUUCUUUAUGCUAUUAAUAAUAUGUAUUAAAUCUUCAGAAAUGAUAAUACUGUGAACUCAAUUAAUCAUACAGAGGAAAGUAAAUUAACAGUUUCAUGUGGAUAAAGGUAUGAAGUUAUGCAGAGGAUUUGUGUGGACAACAAAACUUUUAUCAGGAAAUAUUUAAGAUCAAAGCAACAACAAAAUCUGAACAGUUCAACAAAUUAAAAAGUCAACAUAAGAAAACCAAUUUUCCCAAUUCAAACACCAAAAAAAAAAAAAAGCAACUCCGCCACAUCAUUCCAAAGCCAUUCUCUUACUAAAUUUCUAAAGAUAUGUAGAAACAUUUGAUAAGAUAGAAUAGUAAACAGAGUUAGAUCAUCCACUUCACCUUUUCAGUCUCUUCCGAAGCAUAAAACGCAGAUAAGCAUCUGUCCCAAAAGGACUGAUUCCCAUAUACUUGCACAUAUUCACUAGCCGAGGCCUGAUGCAGCAAAAAGUUAGAAGAUUUAGGCAUACAAAUCAAUCUCAUUGACUUAACAAAAUAAACAUGACAAAGAUGGUAAAGAAAACCAAAAAGCAACCAAAGCCGCUUCAACCUGCUUAUAUUGUCUAACGUGAGUUCAUCAUUGAACAACUUAGCAAAACCCAAGAUUUCCUCAUUAGAGACACCAGUUCCUGUUCUGACCUGCAUUUUCAUUUCAUGUGGAUAUAAAACAAAGCAGUUUUGAGGAAUUAUGUAACUAUACAAACAGCAUUAACCGUUUCUGACCCUGUUUAGAAAUUCAUCAAGAUCUGCUGCUGUCUUUCUUGUUUCUCCACUACGUGAGUUCUGAACUUCCUUCGCCAUUUCUUUGGCAGUAUCCUGAAGAAAUUUUGCAUAUUCUAUUCUCGCAUUGAGCCUUCUUACCAAUUUUUCCUACAAAACAACAUGUAAUUAACACAGUAACAAUGUUAACCUCAUACAAUUCUUUUAACCACAUACAGAUUCAUCAUACAUAUGUUCUUGUAGAAAGAGCAAAAUGCAUGGAUAUCAGGAAAAUAAGUGCGCUUGCACUUGUAGUUCAAACAAAAACAGAGGCCAGAGUGUACAUGCCUAUCCUACUUCUAUAGACACUUUUGGAUCUCCUUUGAGAAUAAUAAAAAAUGGAAGGACUAAAUUGGUCCUAGUUACUCUACUCUUCGGGACGGAGUGGAAGAAGGGAGGGGAUUCUCGAACGCGGAAAGGGAUCCAAUGAAUUCGAAAGAAUUGAACGAGGAGCCGUAUGAGGUGAAAAUCUCACGUACGGUUCUGUAGAGUGGCAGUAAGGGUGGCUUAUCUGUCAACUUUUCCACUAUCACCCCCAAAAAACCAAAAAUGAAGUGGUAUCUAUCAGGAAUGAUUUUUAUCCACCCCAGAAGGCUUCUUACACUUUCUUAGAAUGUUUUUUAGGCCAGAAAGCUUCUUACAAGUGGCUAAUUCCAAUGAAAAUAAUACAAGCAAAUUUUCUAAAACAGAUAUUCACCAGCAAGGGGUGAUUUUACCAAGAAAACAUGUCAAGAAUUCUCAUCAGUUCUAAAGCUUAUAUUGAAUUCGCUAGACUCCUGUUUGGUGGAGUAUCUUCACCAUCUCCCCAAGAUCAUGACCAUCAUGGAACUUUCACGAGGAGAAGAAAAUAGGGAAAAGGAAAAAGGGCCUCCUACAGGUAAAGGACAUUAAACUUUUAGCAUUCACCAGAAAAAACUCUUACCUCUUCUUUCAUCUUGUCUUGAAAUGUUGAUGGUAACAUAUUUGGGAAUAGCUUCAGGAAUACAGGUAGCAAGAAUUCCAUGAAUGGCACAAUAAUAAAAACAGCAAAAGGAACAAGUCUAAAAAUAUCAGCAGUGGUCCGUGUAAGUUGCUGCCUCUCCCUCCUAGAGAGAUUCUUCCCACCUGCAAGUUUCAACAACAAUCUUGAACUGAUCCUCACAUCGGCCCAAAGGAGCUUAGUGCCCAACCAGUAAUGCUGCAGUGUUGAUUUGAACUCAUUUUUCCAGUGAACAAGUUUCUGAGCCCAGUCCUCCCUGAAGAAAAGAUAAAUCGGGGAAUAAGAUAAACAUACAAAUGAAAAGAGAAACAUUGUUUGAUCAGUAUUAUUUUCAUCCAAAUAAACAGACAAGCAGAUAGGUAACUCCUCAACCUGCUCAUUGAAGCCACAGCUCUCAUAGCCGGGCCAAUUCCCAAAAAUGUGGCCCAAACUCUUUGUAGAACAGACUUAGCAACUUUCUGAGAUUCAUGCAACCGCUUUGAUUUCGCUUUAGCCUUUGCCGUACUCAAACCAACUACAGCUUCAUCGCAUUCCUCUGGUGAAGCUUCUUUUCUCUUUUUUGAAACCCUUUCCUCAUCCUCUUCAUCAUCACUACCCAAAUUAGGUUGCUUUGCAGUAGCUGUAGAAGCAUAACGUAUUGAAUGUGACAUCAACCUCACUCCCGUAGGCGAAAUAAGCUCCAAAUUUCUAUUUCCAUAACCAGACAGCAAGAUUCCAUUACUUCUACGCCAAAGCUUCCCUGAUGCUGUGAAUUUUAAUAAUUCCUCAUUACUGACUUUAACUUCAUUAUGAUCCCUUGAACAAUCUGAAAACUGAGAACAACUACUUGCUAGAGAGCUAAAACUACAAGACUCCAAAGUAGGAGUAGAUUGGCUGUGACCCAAGUGUUGAAAACUUAGAAUAGAUCGAGCCAAAACAUUCAAAUAGUCAGAGAAAAUCUUCUGCCGCCUCAAUAUUGCUCUAGAAGCCAUUUUCAAGUCUCUGACUCUACAAAACGAUUAAUUUGGAUCACAUCUCCCAGAAGCACCUGAUCGAACCAAUGAAAAUCAGUAUCAGUACCAUUCAUAUUCAUGGCAUAAGCAAGAAAAUCAGCGCAAAAGAGUAACUAAUAAGCACACACUAAUGAAAAUGAAUGCAUUUCCUUCUUGAUUGUACUUACAUUGUUCAUCAAAAUCAAAUAUGACUUACAUAUCAUGCAGACAAACAGAUACAUGCAAUGUAUACACUCCCUGUGAUGGGCCUUACCAAAAAAAAAAACGAAAUAUAGCAUAUACAGUGCAUUUGUAUGUUCAACAAAAACUAGCAUUAGAUUCCAUAUCUAAAUUUCCAGCUUCAUUCCAGACAGGAUAAAUAGAUAGAAAUAUAGAAUGGGACCUGUUCUUACCCAAAAUUGACAAAUUUUCCAAAACUUUAUUCACCUAACAUAAACAACAAAAUUAAGCGAAAGAUCAUUUUAAAAUUCAUAAAAUUACAUGGCCGUGCACACAAACAACAAAUAAAUCACACAGUAAUUCUCAAAAAUCAUACACGCCUUGAGCAUUUUGAGAAACAAAACUCAUGAAAUUUUUCCUCAAAAUCAAACCUACUAGUAAAACUUAACUAAUUCACCCCAGCAUAACAGCACCAAAUUAGAAACUACAAAUAAUCACAUAUUUGUACUAAAACUUUUCACAUAUCAAACAUGCUUCAUUUUCCCCACAGAAUUUAAAAAAAAAAAAAAAAAACUUUUAUCAAGUAACCAAAAAAAAGAAUAAGAGAAAGACAAAAAGUCACAGAGGAAAAGCGAAAUUUCUGACAAUUAAAACGAACUUGUCGCCCAAGAAAUGCGAAAUAAUUAUCGCAACUGAAUCAAAAUCACUCCGAGCAACAAAAUUUUACCUUCAAAAAACAAUCAAUCAAAAUUUAAGAAAAAAAAAUAAAAUAUCGACGUAAUACGAAAAGGCAUUUUCUUCACUUACAGUACCUUGCGCUUCCCAAAUAGAACCAACUUUUCAGCUUAUCGCCUUAGAAAACGCGAAAUAAUCACAAAAAAAAAAUCCAAAAAUUACAAAAAAAAAAAUGUCCGCAAAAAUGUAAAGCAAUUCUGGAAAUUAAACUAAAUCAGAAAACAACAAAAUUCAGAAAAACAAAAAAAAACCGCAAAUACUACAGAAACAACUCCGAUCAUGAUAUAAUUUUUCACAUAACAAACAUUAAUCGGAUAAAACAAAAAAAAAACGGAAAGUUGACUCCAAUACUGAAGAAAAUGUCAACCACAGGGAGGAAUUUAACUUACAGUACCUUGCGCUUAAGGAAUUGUACCGAGCUUUCAGCAGAAAAUUUUCUCGUUAGAAUGCGAAGAAUUUUUGGUAGAAAUGCAGGUUUUGAUCUGGUAUUUAUUUGGUGCCUGUACGAGGACGAAAAGGAGAAAAGGAGAAAAGGAAGGUGGGGAAGGAAAAAAAAACAAAGAAAGCCGAGUUUUUUGGAAAAAAGUGACCGAGUGGGGUCCGUAGAUGGGAAAUUAUUAGGUGUGGUAAUUGUAUUGGUGUUUCGGUACACAGCUGUUCUAUUGACAAUUUGACACCGUUCGAUUUAAUCUAAAUAUUUGUCUGCUUUUUUCUUUUUUAUUGAUAAUGAAACUGAAAUAUUUGUCUCCUUUAAGAUUGGAGACUUUUUUAUUUCUCUUGGAUUUGGGCCUUUAAGUGGGAGUGGACAAUUGAGCACAAUUAGCAAUGAAACUCCAGUCUGGGCUACACAAAUUGGAAUCUUCUUCUCAUUUAUUUUUUUUUAUUAGAAAGUUAGGAAGUUUACUAAUGAAGUUUACCAAUCAUAUGUUGCAUACAUGCAAGGAGUUUUUUUUUUUUUUACUUCCUAAUUCUUUGAGCUCUUGAUAUCUAGUUAUGAAGGUUAAAAAAGAGAAGGCUUUAAUUUCUCUAAUGCGUACUCUUUCUUUACCAAAUUAAAAGAAAUAAAAAAAGUAAUUUCUCGAAAAAUGUUAAACAGUCAGACGUGUAAAAUACGGUUGAAAUUUUUUUCCAAAAAGAAAUUUCAAAAAAAAUUUCAAGUGUUUACGAGCAAAAAUUGUCUAGUCAAUUCAUUUUUCUCCACCUUUGUUGACUGUUUCUUGAAAAUUCUUGUACAUAGAAAGGAAAGUAAAUCACAAGUUUAUUUGACAGCAAACAACAAAAGGGAUUUUUGAGUAACAAUUUCCUUUUAUUAAACUCAAAAUCUCUACUAAUUCCAAGAUUUAUUUGACACAGAUGGCAGAUUUUGGCAGUGCAGAAAAUGUUCCACUCAGCACAUUUCUUCCUGCUCAGAACAUCUUCCAAUUGCAUACAAAAUUUUACCAUGGUCAAUUCACCUCGUUAGCUGCUCACUGAUUGAAGAUAAAACAAGAAAAGAAUAAUACAUGAGAGUUAACAAAGUUCAACUCGUUCAACAUUACAUGAUUUUACAGCUCCUCCUUCAGUUUGAAGAUACAAAAAAGCAAUUUAGUGGCAACCAGAAAGAACUACUGAACAAUAAUACUAGACUCGGAUGUUGUUCCAGUUUCUUGUUAAAUGAAGAAGAAGAAGAAGAAAAAGAAACCUUAUUACAUUUUCUUCUCUUCUUCUUUAUUAGGUACAACCUUAUUACAUUUUCACCACAACCAUGUUUACAACUCACUUCUCUGUAUUUCAUCUCUUGAGAUGUACCAGUAUAUUAUCACCUUAUUUAACCCAACUGUUGCUGCCAAAAUUUACCAUCAUUUACGGCCGAGCGCCAGCCAAGAUAUGCUCUGAAGAUACUCGGAUUUGCAAGCAAUAAAGCUACUGCUUUCCUCAGGUUUGCUUGAACUGAAAUGCUCCUUAAAUCCUGCGAGCAGAACGUCGAAAAACAAAAGAGGUAAAAACUAAAAAUAAAAAGCAUGCAUUAUAGUCAAAUAUCUGGAAUCACCACACAUGUUCUAAGUAUUCAGAGGGUAACUCCUUUGCCAGCAAGCACUUGAUUUAAUAUGCUUGACACCAAGAAAUCAAGAAAUCUCCAGUUUAAUGCACAUGCAACUCUUUUGACCUCUUCACUCUUCAGCUCUUUUGCUUAUCAGUGCUAUUCAGCAAAGCAUGAAUAGGGGCAAGUCGACUAGUACAUGUUUCUUACAGCUUUGAAGGCUCAAAACCAUAAAAGGGGAAAGGUAACGACAAGGCGGAUGAAAUGUCCUCAAAAUUCAUUUUACGAAUUCUACAUAAUUGCACAAUACAUGCUGUGUUACUAAUUACGGUAAAUUUCCAGAAGCAGAUAUACAAAGCUAAAAGCAGCCCACAAUUUCUCCUUUCAUUUUUUGCUUUUUGAGCAGGGCUGUUUGGGAUGGAAAAAAGAAUUAGCAGUAAAACCAUACCAAGGAAGCUUAAACGUGUCCUUCCACCAUCCAUUUUUUGAGCAGUUGGCAACAAUUCUAUCCAUGCACGCAAUGACCUCUGAGAAAGUUGGUCUCAUUACAGAUUCUGGACUCCAACAUUUUUCAAUCAACCUUAAAAAAAGGAACAUGUGAAUCUUCGUAAGCAGUUUAACAGAUUCCCUACAUCCACUCCUCAAUCAUAAGUGAAAAUGCAAUUCAGGUUGCAAAAAGACACAGAAGAAUAUCAAAGUUGUAGCUAACACCUCAUUCUUCUAUUAUACCACAAAGGCACAGACUGCUAAACUUUUUUUUUUUUUAAAUCAUCAUAUAGAUCAUGAAGAGAUCAUUACAGCGGUAAACAGUACCUAUAAUACCAGCUUAUUGACAAUUACCACAUAUUCUAUAAUGCCAAUUCAAGAUGUUCAUUAUACAAAUACAUAAUUAAGACUCACUCUCUUAGCUCUGAAGGAUAAUUUCUUUUUGUCUUGAAAGUUGGUCUCUUUCCUUCUAAACACAUCAUUUUAGCCACCUCUUCAGCAGGCUUAGGAUGAAAAGGUGGCACUCCCUCCAACAUCUGUCAUGAAUUCAGAACCAGAAACAAACCAAUUACAAAUUAUUAAUCAUUUCUAAAGGAAAUGUCAAUCUAAAAGUCAGACUUUCAAUAAAUGUCAAAGUUAAAUGGCAGAAACUUAUAGGAAGAAGAGAAGGGAUGAAACAGAACGCAAUGAAGACUUGACACUCCAAAAUCAUAUUUGCACUUGGGACAAUCCAUCAGAAGAUGCACAGAAUCAGAGCACACAUGAUAAAUAUCUAUAACACUCUAAACUCUUCAGGUGUCAGAAUUAAAAAAAAAAAAAAAAACUCUUCUUUUGUCAAGAUCUGUUAUGCAAUAGUAUCUGCAAUAUUGUGAAAAUGGUUGCUGCAGAUAUGAGAUAAGCAAUGGAGGUCGGUGCUAGCAUGUAGUUAAAUAUCAUAUAAUCUCAAAUGGGUAAAGUGUGAAGGAAUCUUUAAGCCACAGCACCCCCCCCCCCCCCCCCAAAAAAAAAAAAAGAAAGAAAAAAACUUUCUAAGAAUAAAAGAAGGAAUCAGAACUUGAGAUAGAAGAGGUCAUUCAUGAAGACAUGAAAAGCUCAUGCACCAUAACAAUAAAGUAAAAAGGUUCUUGAGUGACUUCAGAGUGCAUAUGACUCGGGGACAUAUACAUGGUACCAACACCAAGCCUGCCAUCCCAUGAAGAGUCAUUUGGGGGAAGAUGCUUCCAAAGAACCAACUGUUUCGUGUGACAAGUGGUUCACAGAAUGCUAUCAGAUAUUAUGUUUCAGUGAAGCAGAAAUAGUGGUUGAUGUGGGAUGGUGAAUGUGAUGAAGACGUUCAUCUUUUAGCCUGUGGAUGGUUGUCCAUACUUUCCACAAGGAGAGACCAUUAAAAAACAUACUUAGAAGCUAAUCAUUUGGCAACGUCAGGGUAACACAUGGAACCUAUUUGAAACUGCAAGUAUAAUUAGUAAUUUAAGGAACUAUUUCUCAAAUUAAUUGUUCUUCUCCCUGAAAUAGUUAUGACUUUCUACGUUUAAAGAUGUAGAUUUACUCACAGACUAUAAGGUCAGUGCAAGUUUCUAAAUGGUGUCCCAAUGUAUUUAUGUUAAGCUUCAUCAAAAAGGAAAAGGAAGCGUGGAAAGCUGUAUUUAAGAUUCACAAAGCAAGGUCAAAACUGUCCAAUUUUCAAAUUAAAGCUUUAAUGAAGCAUGGGAAUUUUAACGAGAAACAAGUAAACACCAAGUGAAUGCAUAAAGCAUAACAAGAAAUUUCAACAAGAUAUCUUACAAAGUUAAGAAGCAUUCAGACCUCAAACUUUUAGAUGAAGAUUUUUUUAAAAAAUUAAAUAAACAAAAAAGAAGAGAGAGAGAGAGAGAGUAUACCUCAUAAAGCAUCACACCAUAGGAGUAAACAUCCACCGUUCUAUCAAAUAUUUCAUCCCUGUAAAUCUCCGGCGCAGUAUACAAACCUGCAAUUAGAAAGGAUAAUUGUGAAACUUAUUUGAGAAAAAGGGCCUUUUUCCUCUAAGGCACAUUUGGAUAUUAAUUUCUCUCCGUGCAAUCAUGUUCCAGACUAAACAACUUCCCUAUAUAAUAUGCUUAUCUUGAAAUAAAUUUCCAUUUGGACACGUGCUUUACAGAGGGCAUUGAUAUAACUAGUAGACUUUCUGAGAAUUUACUUGCACGGUCAAUGAUCUCAGGCUGCAGCAAUUUUGCCUUGUCAGGUGAAAUAUUUGACAAUCUGAUCAAUCCAAAACCUGCAACCUUCAACAGACCUCCACAGUCCAGCAAAAUAUUUCUGGCACCUUACCAAAAGUUUCAAAUAUUAAUACCAGUGUGCUUCUCAAAGAAUUCAAUCAGAUAAUAGGAUCUCACCCUAAAAUUAACUAAAGCAUUUAGUUGCCUUACUUUGGCUUUAAAUCGCAAUGAAUUAUCGGGUCUGGUUUACAUUCAUGAAGAUAAUUCAUGCCCCUGCUAAGAAAACCAGAGCAAGAUGUUACAGUACAAACUGGAUAUGGAUCCAAAUGUAAAGGCAACCAUAACAGGACAGUAAAUGAAAUGCGAGGGAACUAUUAUUCCUUUAAAGUUCAAAAGCAAUUGUACAUGAUGCAAAGUUGCACUUGCCUGGCAAUAUCAAGAGCAAGUCUCAAAGCUUUGGAUGGACUUAAUCGCCCUUUUUUUUGAAGAUAGCAACCUAAAUCACCCUGUCAAAAGCAUGGCUUAUGAUCAAUGUCAAUCUCAUAUCCAUAGAAAGGAAAUGUAACUGGCAACACAAUUCACUCUAGUUUAUAAUUGUAAUUUGGGAAUGACAGCAUUGACAUUUCAAAUCUACUCCAUAUUCCAGAGCAGAGGAAAACAAUUUUGUACACUGGUACAACCAAAAUAAGUUGAUGGAGAUAUGGUCUAAUGGCUCAACCAAAUUUCUGAAAAGAAAAAUGCAGGAGCCCCACAACCGAAUUUCUGAAAAGAAAAAUGCAUUAGACACAUGUACUUACUUUGUGAUACUCUAGAAGUAUCAUCAUGGGUAUUUCUUGUGUGACAGCCCCAACAAACUGAACAACAUUGGGAUGCCGAACCUUUUCUAACAACGUCAACUCAUGUCUGAAAGCAUUUCUGCAACAUGAACAUUUAAAGUUCAAAACUAGAGCCAUAGCCUCCAAGCAACUUAGAACAUAAGCAAACAAUUACAAACUGCAACUCCGAAAUGGACUGAAUAACCAAACAGCAGCACAGUAAUAUAUCAUGUCCAAGAGCAAAGGUGAAAAAUACUAAUAAUCAAAUAAAAUUUGGAAAGGAUAGAUUAGUUCUUAGAACAGGAGCUGACUUCAAGGGAAAAAACACGUAAAGAAAAGUGAUUACUUAGCAACACUUCCAACCAAAGCCAAGGAAGACUAUGAACUCGCCAGUUAUACAGAAUUUGCCAAAGACUGAAUUUCUAGCUCUUGAAAGAGCCAGUAAUUAGCAAAGACCAACAACCAAAGAUUUUUCCAAUGGCAUGUAUAGGUUUGGGAAGAGUGAUUGUAUAGUUGGGAUAGGUACAUUAACAAUUAUAAUUAUGAUGCAAUUAGAGAGGCAACGAAUUUAGCCUAGCAGGUUAUUUGCCAUUAUAAGUAGUGCAAGCACAACAAAUCACGUCUUCUACGUCCAAAAUAGGAUAGGAUAUUAAUUUGAAAUACAACAAUAUCGGCUUUGGAGCAGAGAGGGCCAACAAAGAACUACAAUGGCAUCUGAUACCAUCAUCAAGGGAAAAACAGGUUGCACCUGACCUGAUAACUCAGACCUAACAGUUUUAUCAUCUCUAAAAGAGAAUGAGUACCAUGUUUAUUUAUUAAAGUCAACUGUUAUCAAAAAAAUACAUUCCUACCAAUUGUUUUGUCAGGCAUUGAACAGAAAAAACUAAUAUUUCAAAGAUGGGUAAAAUUUGAGGACAUACAUUAUUUCAGGGUCUGAAUGGCUAUCCUUGUCAAGUAUCUUAACUGAAACUUUUGUGCCAUUCCAUUUUGCUACUUGAUAUGAUCCCUGUCCAAAGUUGUAAGUACAAUCAAUUCACUGCAGCAAAAAGGGGCCAAAAAAUUGUUUUGGCAACAAACUAUAACGUGACCUAGUUUCUAACACAAGCAAAAUUUUGAAAAGAAUAGCUUGCGAGUAGAAUAAUCCAACAACAUCUGUUAAACAAAAAAUUAACACCAAAACUACCCUACACAGAAUGGAAGUACAUGCAAGUAUGGAUAUUGCUACGCCAUACCAAUCUAUAGAUGAGAAUUUGAAGUUUAACUUUUCCAAAAGGAGGUUUUAGCAUAUAAGGGGCAAAAAUUACCUUGACACAUACAUAGCUGAAAUAAGGAUUAAGAAAUCAAGAAUCAGAUUAAGAAAGAAACUGCAGAAGGCACUGACAAACUCAGUAACAUGUGUGUUUGGAUAGUAAAUUAUUUGAGAUAAUUUUGUGAAAAAAAACUGUAGCACUCUUUUGAUGCGAUGUAUGUGAGAUAAAAAAAUGAAUGAAAAAUGUGUUGAUGAUGCAAGCAAGUCAGUUUGUGUAAAUAAGGUGAAAAUAAUGUGUAAUCCAAACAAUUGUUUUUCUUUAAGCUUUGGAGAGAAGUUUGUUUUACAACCAAAGAAACUGGAAUUUUGUCUUCUCUAAAACAUCAAAAGUAAUCCAGGCUAGAUUUAAUUGAUAAUAGCUGCCCUUUGACUGAAGAACUAGAGUAUUGAGAUCCUUCAUUAGUUCAAUAAACCAGAUUAAGUAAAUGUUUUAGCCAAGACUUUUAAGUAAUUUGUCUUAUUUGUUCUGUCAAGUUCAUACAUCUCACUUCCAGGCUUCCCAAAAAUAAAUCAAAUUCCAAAAUAGCUUUUAGAAAUCAUCUUGUUCUGGAACAAUGGUUGUAAAAGGUAGCCUCUGUAGCAUAUUAGUGCGGUACAGUCAUCACCAAAAAAAAAAAAAAAAAGGAGUUGAUGCGAAUGGGGACAUUCGUAUCAGGAGUGCAAUACAGUGCUUACUCUCAAGAAAGCUUGAAAAUAUGGAGUUCUCACUCCUGAGCGAUCCAAAACAAUUCAUACAGGAUUACACUAUCGUUCAGAGAAUUAUCAGCAAAGCCUAUUCUACACCUAAGCACUUUGGUAAUAAGAUUCAUCAAAACCAUGACGACCAUUUGAAUUUCAACUAGUUACAUUCAAGCUUCAUAGCUUCAAUUACCUCUUUCUGCAGAUUCAACACUCACAGAACACUAAGAGAUACUACGUAACUAGUGACCAACUCUUUUCCUUAAAGCUUUCACGAAUGCAUGCCUAAUCCUCUCAUUUGAUUUUUCAACAUAUUUCUUAAAACCUCCAUUAGUCAUAAAUUCAGAAUUUUGAACCCAAAGAACCGUAAGAAACUGACUUUCUUUUGCUAUCUCAUAUCAAUUUUCAAGAACUUAUGCAAGAUGAUAUCAACCUCACCUACUUGAAUAGCAAAAGCACUUCCAAUAACCUUCUCCGAAGCUAAUUCACUAUGAGAUUUAGUUUUUCUCCAUGAAAGCCUCAGAUAGAUGCAGACACGACAGUGAGCAUUUCUGGCUGUCUGACAGACCUCGUGAUGCAAAACAAAGUAGUUGCUAAAAACCCACUACAAGGUAAAACAAUUAAUGCAUACUUGAAAUUUCUCACAUUGAGCAUUAUGCCUCACAGGCAAAGAAUGAUUAGCAAAUAGAAAAAUGAAAUGAAACUUGCCUUAGAGAUACCAUCACUUCUCCGGAUUUGAAUAUCCAUGGGAUUGAGCUCAUACUCUGGAACUUCCCGAGGAUUAGAAACAGUCAUUGGUGUCUUUCUGGUUUUCUAGGAAUAUGGUUCACUUAUAUCAGUAAUCAAUCAGAAAGGAAAUUCUACGGAAAGAGAUCUAAUUUGCACUUACCGGAGCUUUGGCUCCACGGGCCUUCAAAACAUUGUAAACUUCAUUGUUCCCAUAGUAUUUGGCAUCUGCUGCGGCCUGUCACCAUGCAGAACUCUUACAAAAUGACAAGCUGAAUAAUAGCAACAAAAUAAUUAUUCAUUCAUCCAUUCAUUUGCUCCACAGAAAGGCCACUGCUUUUGCUUGUUAUGCAUCAUAUGCUUCUUCCUACCAACAUUCAAUUUCCUGUUUUACCAAGUUAACUGCAUCAACUAGGACAAUCUUAGCAGGGAAAAUGUUUGCACAAUCUGCACGUGUUGAACAAGCACAACAUGCACCAUUUACUUUUAAAAGUUACACUCUCAACCAUUUAUUCAACAUGCCAACUCAAACCAACGACAAAAUAGCCUCCAUUUCUCAAAUAUUAGAAAAAUCUUGGAAUUCUUUGCCUAAUUCACACAAACACUCACAUUUGCUUGUACCAAAAUCGUCACUUUACAUUAUUAACAACAACAAUCAGGAAAAUCAACAAAUCAAAACAUCAAGAUUUAUUCAAGAACAAAAAUUCCCGCACAAUAAAAAAAAAAGAAAACAAUGCACCAUCCUAAAACAAAACAAAAGGAAGCAUAGCACCAAACUAUGGUAAAUUAUCUACCGUGCUGCCCCAUCGAUCACGGGCAUCAAUAUUAGCCUUUCGACUCAACAAAAGCUUGACAACAUCCGCAUGUCCUUCGCAAGCAGCAAUAUGCAGAGCAGUCCUGCCAUCCAAAUCAAUACUGUUAACAUCAACCCCUUGAUCCAACAAAUCCUGCAGGCCCUCGACAUCUCCUUUACAAGCCAAGAACAAAAGCUGCAUUGUGGAGUCCAAAUUCUCCGGCACAGACAAGCCGUCCUCGCUCGUCGGACUUCUCCUGAUCGGAUCAAGCGACGAUUGGCGUCCGAAACUGAAGCGCAAAUUAUUCCGCCUGGGAUCCAUCGAAUUCUGCCGCCGAAAACUGAAUUUCCCGCUUCUUCUCAACGACCCAGUUGAGAAUUGCCUCGAUAUUCCCCGCUUCAGCUGCGCUGCUAAAUCCAUUUCUGUAACUGAUUGAUCCUAAAUUGAACUAUUUACUCAUUUAGUUUAUUUGGUUUUUGAGAAAGGCAUAAUGUCGUGGUUGGCUCAAUGGAUCGAGAGCUCCCCCGCUCCCGAUUGCGAGCUGGGGGAAUAGGGAAAGAGGAAGAAAAGGGAGAAAUGGAGAAGAAAAUGAAAGCCAGAGAAGAAAAUGGAGAGGCUGAGGCUGAUCGAAGAGGAAUGAAGGAGGAGAAAAAGAGGAAAGGGGUGAUAAAGGGUAGAUUUGGUGGGGUGAGUUGGUAUAUCGCCUGGAUCGACUUAGCGAAAAAGACGUUACUUUUACUGCCUUUUGGCUUUGCGGGGGAAGAUCAUUUUUGUAAGAUUGUGUACAAUUCUUUUUUUUUUUUUUUUGAAAAAAAAAUUAUAUGAAAGUAGUGCGCCUUCUUGCUAUUUAGUGAAAAUUGCAUCAAACAUCCUCAAAUUUUGUGGUUUGACAUUUUUUGUCCAUCACUUGUGAAAUUUUGUGGUUUGACACCUUGUCAGAUGAAACGAGGGAUGGGAAGCCGUCUCAUUGCCUAAAAGCUUUCUAGUCCCUCGUCACCUUCACCUCCACCUUGUUCCUCACUUUGUCUCGUUAUACCAUGAGUGUUCCCGUCCUACCCUAAUACUAUUUUUAUUUUUAUAUUUAACUAUAUAUAAAUUGAUUAAUCAUUCUUUUUGAAUAUUUAACAAAAAAUUGCCUUUGAGAUAAAGUUUAGAAAUUAUUUUGAUCUUAUGAAUCUAUUUCCCUGUAUUUGAUGUUACAUAAAAUCUAGAGGGAGAAUUGCAAUUUUGAUUUCCAAUGUUUGGUCUGUGUAUUAAAUUGGUUCCCAAUAUUUCGACUAAAAUAAAUCUAGUCCCUAAAGUUUCUAAUUUUAGGAUGAUUUACUAUAACUAACAAAAAUAGAACAAUGACUAAUAGUCUACACCAAGAUAGCAAUUAAUCAACAAUUUUGACUUUGCAUUUUUCAGUCCCAAUUAAUCAGCAAAUUUGACUUUGCAUUUUUUAGUCCGAAUGUUUUGAUUUUGAAUCACAUUGUGGAUUCUUAUUUAAGUCUGCUGUAGUAUGCCAAUCCUUUUAGCUGCAAUUAAUCUGCAUAAAAAACACCAAUGCCAAAUUUUAGUACUAGCAUAUUAUUAAUACAAUAAAAAAUAGAUCUUUUUUUGUUAAGAAAUUCAAGCUUAUUUAUACAUUGAAAGUAAAUCAAGAAUUAAGGAAUGAGAAUUAAGCUUGCAUUAAAUAGCUUAAGUAUAUAAACAAAUCAAUUUAAUUGCAAGUAUGAAGCUUAGAGCAGGAAAAAAGAUUUCAAUCAGGGCAUAGUUUGCUUGAAACUAAAAUGUCUGAAUAACAGUUUAUAUAGCAAUAUACAUGUUAUUGACACGAGCACAAUUUCAGCUAGACAAGGAUAAAAAGAUGUACUUGAUUAAAAAUGAAGAUAAGAAAUACAAAGUAAAAAUGGGAGAUUUGGAGAAAUUUGUGAAGAUUUCUUUAGAACAGAUAUUGAGGAGAAGUUUUCUCCUUUUCGGGAUGCCAUAAUUUUUUUCUAUCACAUUUUCGAACUUCUGAUUCCCUAAAGUCCAAAAUGAAGUUCUAAUUUUAGAUAAUAGUUGUUGGAUAUUAAUAAUAAAGGGCCCCAUUCUUUAAUAAGUUAGAAAAUUGCCUCAAAUAUUAGUCCCAAUUCCGAAAUUUAGUCCUAAGUUUCUAAUAUUUUAAAGAAUCCGUAGAAUCAUGAAAUCUUAAGAUUCUACGACCCAAAACACAAUCCUAGCGAUUCCAUUAGUUUUAAGCCACUUUAGAACCUACAAAUGAUGUCAUAAGAUUGUAUGAUCCUACAAUACCAAUUGAGAUGUCAAUAACCUUGAUUAGGAGAUGGACUAUCUUUUGACUUGUUUCUAUCAUAUUGAGUCAUGUUUCAUAUAGAUGUCAUUUUCCUUGUCCAAAAGUAAGGAAAUAAAAUUAUGAAAUAUUGGUGAGAGGGAAACUACCAUUGCAAACUACGCUAGCAAGGGUUGGUUGUAAGACUCAAAAAAGGAAUCUGUGUUUUGAGUUUUUAUUUUUGAACAAACACGCUAAAUAUGGGAGUCAUGGCAAAUCUUGCAUGAAAUUUUGUUGCUAAGACAUUUCUUUCUAGACAUGGGUUUCAUUCUAUAGGUUCGGCUCCAUCUCAAGCCACUUUCAUCUACUCUUUUGCUUGUUACCAUUGUUUGGUUAAUUUAACAAGGAUUAGUUUCUACUACCUUUCAUUGUGAAGAUGAGAUCAUUGUUUUUUUGUGUCAAUAUGACUGUUCAGUAUAUACAUUUAUUAGAUUUCAUGAUCUAAUUAACAUUAUAAUUUUGAACUUUGAAUUUAUUAGUAUUUUAGUUUUAACUAUGUCAAUGAAUUUCAAAUAAUUGUAUAACUAACUUUAUAAUUGUUGUGUUGUUGAUACCAUAUGCUUUUUUAAUUCUUUUGAUUGACGUAGUAGCUAAAUACUUUUGCAAGAGGCUCAAAAACUAGCUUUAGUUUUCUAGUUGUAUUUUGUUUCUUUUCUUUUUGGUAUUGCUUAAUUGCAAUUUGGGGAUUUUUUUUAGGUGAGAUUGAAUUAGGCUAUACAUCCUUUUGGUUGCAUUACCCCUUUUGUGAUUAGUAAUAUGCAAUUAAAACUAAAGACAAAGAAUUUGCGUCUCUCACUUUUGGCUCGAAAAGAGUUAAUCAAAUGCAUCCAUGACUUCCACCUCUUGUCAAAAGAGAAAAAGGCUGAAUGGGAUGAGUUGUUUGAUCCAACGUACGGGUACCCUAGCACAAUUAAUAAAAGCAUUUAACUAUAUCAAGUCCUAAGACAUAUGUUUAGAAAAAUAUUACGAACUUGAAAAAAGAAAACUGCCAUGUGUUACACCUAUUGGAAGGGUAAUUAUAUUGUAUAUUCAAAUACUUUAAAUUAUUUGUUUGAAUAUGUCUAACCUAUGAUUUUUUUAGAAGCGGAACAUUUAUAUCAAUGGUUACACAAAAGAUCAUGGAGUGCUUGGAGGAACGAUCCUUAUCUGUGUCAAUUCCAUAUGUGAAGAGCCUGCAAUGUUUUGCUGGAAAUGUAAUUUGGGCUUUCACUUUCACAGUUUUCACCUGAUACCAAUUUAAUUUGUUUUCACCUAGUACCAAUUUAAUUUAUUUUUGAUUUGGAUGAUGACACUAUAAUUUUUCUUUUUUUUAGAGUGUUUAAUGGGUUUAACAGAGUAUUAGAAAAUAGAAGAUAAAACUAUAAUAAAAAAAAAGGUAAGAUGAUACCUAAACAUGCUUUGUAGGUGGUUAGUUCUACAGAAAAUCCUUUGAAAACAACAAGUGCUAGAUCAAUAACAGUGGUACAAAACCGCUCCACAACCCCACAAAGGAAAAAAAGAAAAGAAGGGAAAAAAUAUAUCAUCUUAUGCACGAAGCAAACAAACUACUAUCUUCAGUCUUCCACUCGUUUCAUGUGGUUGGUGGUUGGCUAGGGGUUAUAUGGUGAUAAUGAUGACAGAGUGUUCUAUCUAUGUAAGAAUUCAUGGAAAAAUGGUUGGAGUCACAAGGCAUACAUUAAGGGGAUUCGGGGUACAAAUGGUCAUCAGUUGAAUCAUACCAAAAUACAAAUAAUUAGACCACAAUGUGUCAUAUAGUUAGGUUAAAAAAAAUUUUAAAUUAUAUUGACAUUUGAUAAUUUCUGCCAUAUUUUUCUACAAUUUCUACAUGAAAGAGAGGUAAAGAGAAAUGCAACUUCAACAUCAUCAUGAAUUACAUCUUUUCCUUCUUUGAUGGGCCAUCAUAUGUAUCAUGAGGAUAUGAAACCCGGCCAUUCUCCACUAAAUCCCAUGCCACCUUGAUGAAUCCCUUGUGACCCCAGCCGCUACCCCAUAAGUCCUUGCAUAGGUAAAACAACUUCGUAUCAUCACCAUCCUCGUACUCCAGCCAAUCACUUGCAAUGCAUGUUGGGGUAUCAUCUUAUCGUCUCAUGUUUUUGAUUUUAUUUUCUCCUUCUCAUACUUUAUUGGACCCAAGUAAACACUUGAAAAAAUAAAAACUCAUUAUCCAAAUCGAAAAUAGUUAGUUGAAAACAAUCACAAUAAAAGACUUACUUACUUUCCAGCAUAACGCUAUAGACUCUUCACAUGCGGAACCGACACAGCUAAAGAUUGUUUCUUCUUUCUCGUCAAUUUUUGUAUAAUUCUUGAUCUAGACCUUUCCCCUAAAAAAUAUUCACAAGUUAGACAUACUAAAACAAGCAAUUGAUGUAGAAUAGAAAAUAAGGAAUUUGUCAAAAUAUGGAAGGAAAGAUGGAUAGGAGAAAACAAGAAUGGAAAGAUCUCAAUGAAGUAACCCCAGAUUCUCUAGAUAAAGUCUGUUAAGGAUUUAAUUAAGAACCAAUAGUGAAAUGAGGAGGCGCUAAAUGAUUUAUUUUCAGUCGAAGAGGUCAAGAAGAUCAAUGCAGUAGACAGUGUAGUUAUCACUUACCACUCUAGGAAAUGGUCUAAAAUAUGGCUGUUUCCAUUCUUCAUACGAACAAUAUUUUUCUGUACAUAUACCCUGAUGCUUGAUAUAUUUAAAAACUUUGUUAAUUGUACUAGGUUACUCGUAUGGUGGAUCAUACGACUCCUGCUAUUCAACUUUUUCUCUUUAGAGAGGGGGAAGAAGUUGUAGAUGCAAUUGAUUAAUUCUUGAGGUGCUAGAAGAAGGAGUUGAUGCCCUUUUUCCUUCAGAUAAUCUUCAUGCUCCAAACAAAAUGCAGCAUAAACACAAUCUACUGCUGGAAAUGCAUAGCAAGCAGCUGCAAAAGAAACCAGCUCUCAUAACAAAAUUAGCACAUAAAAACCAAAAUCAACACACAAAUAUCCCUUGAAAUUUGGCCAAACUACCAACUGAACCUCGCAAUUUAGCCAAACAACAUAAAAAUCCCCUAAUCCUUGAAAUAUCUAUCCUUCUUAUCCUAUUGUUGAGUUGUUUGAUCCAACAUAUGGGUAUCCUAGUAAAAUUAAUAAAACAUUUAAAUAUAUCAAGUCCCAAGACAUGUGUUCAAGCGUGUAAAAGUCCCAGGGCAUAUGUUUAGGUGAAAAAAGUUACAAUCAGACAUGUAGCAAAGGAGAUUUUUUAAAUAAAAAUUAGAAGGGGCAAAGAUUUAUCAAAUCAAUACAAUUUCUCUUUAUUGCAAGGAUAGAAGUGAGGAUUUAUAAAAAUAUACUUAGUUUAAAAUGAAUAUUUAUCAAAACAAACUAGUUUCUCUCUACCUCAAGAACUGGUUGAUGUGAUAUUCGGCCAAGUAAUUCUAUAAUUUUUCUACUGAUUUCUUUUCAGUGAGAUAAAUUAACAUCAUGCCAAUAAUAUAUUUCAACCAUAUUUUACAUAAAAUUGACACUUUAUAGGAACUAAAGAAAAAAACUUUUUUUUGAUUCAAGUGGAGAAUUUAUUAUGAUAUGAAUAUGAUUCUAUAAUAGUGUUGGAAAAGACUAUGUAUUGUGGUUAAUAAAUUACAAGUACUUAUAUUUAUAGGGUAAAAUACAUAAAACCCCCCUGUGGUUAAGGAAAUUGACAUGAAACUUCCUCAUUGUUUAGAAACACCCACUUAACCCCCCUGUGUUUUGGACUUCUUUGGAUUUUACCUACUAACCGGCUGGGAAACUAGCGAGUGAUAUUGACGCGGGCUAAUGGUAACUUGUGACUAGAAGAAACUCGUUUCAUUCCAAUUUUGCCCUCCAUGUCUCUUACAAAUGAAACCCACCAUAGUUGUAGUUCUGCAAAUGAAACCAUUUGUUAGAGAAAUGCAAAACGAAGACCCAAAAGCGUAAGAGCUUAGCAGCUUUGGAUGGGAGAAAAAGAGCUUUGGAGGGGCUAAAUCAGCUAUCAUUUCAAGGGAGAACCCAAAAAUGUCAAGCUCCCAAAAUUUUGGCGGUGGAUCGAGGGACCUAAGGUACCAAAUCCGGCGAUGUUUCUGCAACAAUAAAGCAAAGAUUAAGGUCGUAGAAUCUGAAAAACCAUCAAAAGGUAUGUUGUAUUAUGUAUGUGAAACUGGUGCUUGUUCAUUUUGGGCAUGGUGCAACCCAAUUAGUAGAGAGGGAGGCACUAAUGAAUCAUCUUGCCAAAGUCCAUACGUUGAAAGGGUUUCACCAAUUGGACCUGCUACAGCGGAAAGAUUUAUCAUGCGUGGGCAAGGAAUGGAAAGUAAUAACUAUAACAUCAUUAUGGAAUUACAAUCGAAGAUUCACAAUGUCGAAGCAACGAUGGGGUUGAUGAAGAUGAUGAUGAUGCUGACUGUACUUGCGUCUCUUUUGUCACUGGUUGUUAUAUGUUUUAGAUGAAUUUUGGGCAAAAAUUGUAAUGUAAAAGUAGUGUAAUAGAAUCUGGAGUUGGGACAAAUUGUAGUGCAAAAAUCACAUCCUGGUUUCAAUCUGGAGUUGAUUUUCAUGUUUCAAUUAUAAUUGAGCGAAUGAAGCUGCUUUUGUUGAGGACAUUGAAAAAAGCUACUUUUAUUCAGGACCUAAGGUAAAGGCCCUAAGAUUUAAAUGUAAUGAAGUUGUUAGAUCAAGUCAUUAGAGUGUCUCAAGUAAUAUUGCUAUCCAUAAACACUUAGAAGUAAUAUUAGUCAUCUUAAGAUGUUGCCAUCCUCAAAGAUAUCUCAAAGACGCAAGUACAUUAAUCUAACAAAUACACUCUGAUCUAACAAAGACACUCUGUUAAGUGCAAACAUAUAACUAGUAAUAUUGUCAUCCAUAAACACUUGUCAGAUUUAGUCAUCUCCAGCAAAGAUAUUGCAGUAACGUGACCCAUUACGACAACCAUACCACAAUGGUAUCCUACCAUAACGUGCCCAAAAGAUUCACCAGCAAUACAGUCACAAGACAUGAUAAAUCAGCAAAGAUAUGGAUAGUAAUCUGGAUUGCUAUAAAUAAACAAAAAAAAACGUGGCAUAUUACGACAACCAUACAACAAUGGUAUCCUAGCAUAAUGUGGCCAAAAGCUACACCAGCAACAACACAGUCACAAAUGCCACAGUCAACCAAAACAUAGCCAAAAAUCUAAGUACAAUACCACAAUGGCCACAGUCAACCAAUGUUAUAGUCAAAAAAUCUGAGUACAAUACCCACGACUGUAUCUGCCAACCAAAAGAUAGCCAAAAAUCUAAGUACAAUACCACAAUGGCCACAGUCAACCAAUGUUAUAGCCAAAAAAUCUGAGUACAAUACCCACGACUGUAUCUGCCAACCAAAAGAUAGCCAAAAAUCUGAGUACAAUGAAAGAUAUUCAUACAUGUAUACCAUGAUGGUAUCAGUACAUUCAACCAGCAAAUGUUUUAGCAUAACUAGUACAUUCAACCAAUUACUUCCUCUUCAACUGCAGUUCAUUUUGUUGGUUUUUUGGAGCCACAAUGUUGCAGCUUUGACAUCCUUGCAGGUGGUUGCUUUCUCUUUAAGGAUCUACUUUGCUGGCUCUCUUGGUUGGUACCACUGGCAUGUCGAUUAGGCUCCUGUAUAUAAGUUCGCAUGGUUAAUAUGUAUGUAAGUAUAUUGCAGCAGCCAAAGAUUGACAAUUACUUUCUAGUACCUGUGAAAGUGUAGUACUGGUAGUCCUUGAGACCCUAGCCUGAGUUGCAGAAGCUACAGAUGUUGCAUUUGUACCAGUUGGACCAACUUUAGGUGCCUACACUUCAAAUUGAAAUGAAUAAGUGUAUAAGUAGCAACAAAACAACUUUAGGUGCCUACAGUUCAAAUUGAAAUGAAUAAGUGUAUAAGUAGCAACAAAACACACUUUCGCAUACUUUUGACUAUUAAAUGUUACAUUACCUUGUAAAGUUUAGACUCAGGGUGAAUCGCUGAUUUGCAAGUUCUUAUGUUAUGUCCAGAAUUCAAACACCUCCGACAGUAAACUGCAAGACCUUUUCUACUUGCUUUCUACUGAUUUGUAGGUUCUUCUGGACCCUUCUUCCUCUGCUUUUUUGGCCUACCAGGUUGUCUCUUCACCAAUGGUGGGUUCAAAUAUUGCAUUUUGCUAUCUACCCAAAACUGUCUCGAAGGAACAGGACCAAUUGUGAAGUUGUAGGCUCUUAAAUAUGCUUCCCUAUGGUAACAAGCAUCAACAUAUUCCUCGAAUUUCAACUUUCUGCUCUGAAUGCAGGCAACCGCAUGCACGCAAGGAAUGCCACUAAGCUGAAAAUGACCACAGGUGCAUGUUUUCAUCUCUAAAUUGACAACAUUUGUCCUUCCAUAGCCAUCAACUUCCAAAUUCCCAUUUCCUCCAUAAACCGCAACACAAUUUCUUGCCUUUAUCUUAAGUUUCUCUAACUUCUCAUAAAUGUUCGGACACAAAGUGCCACCAUGUUUCAGCAUGCCCUCUCGCUUGGUUACCAUCCUUUGCAUUAAUCUCCUCCGAAUCCACUCCAGCAUUGUUAUUAUUGGCUCUCCUCUAGCUUUUAGAAUGUAAUUAUUCCAUGACUCACUCAUGUUGUUAACGCAAGUGUCACUCCUACAAGCUGUGCUAAAGUGAGCUCUGGACCAUAGUCUUGGAGGCAACCGUUUGAACCACCCCGCAGCUGUUAACUUGUCACCUUCUUGUGGGUCAGCCCUUUCCAGAUUUGCUAGGGCAGUUUCAUGCUCCGGCAUGUUUGCUGCUGCAGCAACAUCCCAAAAAAGGUCUCGAAGGUCUUGAUUCUUGAAUCUCUGUUUGAAGUUCUCGAACAUAUGUUUCAAACAUAAUCUAUGCUCUGAUUCAGGAAACAAUUCUUCAAUUGCAUGGACAAGACCCUUUUGUCUAUCCGAGAUGAAAGUGUAAGCCACUCCUUUGUUUCCUCUUCCAAUUUGACUGAUUAAUUCCCGUAAAAACCAACUCCAACUGUCGUAAUUCUCUACCUCAACAACAGCAAAGGAAAUAGGGAACAUAUUCUCAUUGGCAUCCCUACCCAAGGCUGUAAGGAGUUGACCUCCAAAGGGACUCUUGAGAAAGCAGCCAUCUAGUCCUAUGAUAGGCCUACAUCCUUCUAGGAAACCAUUUUUCAAAGCACCUAAACCAUAAUAUAUCCUCUGAAAUGUAGCCCUUUCCUCAAUAUUUCGCCUAUCAAUUAGCAAUGAAAUAUGACUAUCAGGAUUUGAAUUUUUAACAGUAGCUACAUAAUCCCAAAGUCUGUGGUAUUGCUCCAUGUCAUUGCCCCUAAGUGCCUCUAAUGCUUUUUGCUUUGUUCUGGCAGUUUUAUUCUGACUAAUGUCUACCAUAAACAGUCUUCUUGUCUCAUUCACUAUGCCAGGAAUACUGCACCCAAGAUCAUCCUUCACUUUGGCUUGAAAUUUAUUACUCAGUUAUGUUGAAGUGGCAUGUCGAUUGCUGUAAUCCCUGCCACAAUGAUGCUCUCCCUUAAGAGUCUUGAUCAUAAAUGUCUUUGUUUUCUGGAUUGUGCUUGCAUGAAUUCUCCAACUACACCCCUUUGCACAUUUAGCUGUGAUUCGAGAGCCUUCAUUUCUGAUGUAGUUGUGCUCAUAUCCCUCCCUAAUUUCCCAUUCCACCAAAGCCUCUCUAAAUUUAUAGAAGCUAGUAAAUUUAUGACCAACCUUUAGUUCAAAAUGCUCUUUCCUAAAUUCCUCAUCCGCAUUGAAGUAACUGUAGACAGGGAUGCUUUCGUCAUCAGAUCCUAUUCCUCUGUCAAACAGAUUUUCAUCAUCCUCUACUUCCUCGUUCCAGUCCUCUUCCUGCUCAGUCGCAUGGCAUCUAUCAUCCCUCCUUGAUGUUGGCUGACUUCCCACUUCAUGUUGGUAAUUGGAUUGGGUUUGCUGUUGAUGUUGUCCCAAAUCAGGUUGUUUUGUAGCUUUUGGUUGCAGAUUUUCUUGUUGCUGUUGAUGUUCAUCUAAAUCAGCUUGCUUUGUAGCUUUUCCUUGUUUACAUUCUUGUUGCUGCUCAGACCCAAUACCAACCGAAUUUGCAGAUCCAACAUUUAUAGAUGCCUGUGUUGAUUCUUGACCAUGUAAACCUGCAAAUAUGUCAUCAUCUUCAGGCAGUUCUACUGUUUCUCUUAGCCAGUCAGGAAGAUCUGAAUAAUCUGGUAUGACUUCACUUUCUUCUCCGCCUUCUCUCUCUGCCUGUGUGGUUGGUUCUCCGCUACAAUCAGUCUGCUCUUCUAUUGGAUCUCUUUCUGCCUGUGUUGUUUCUUCUGCUGCCUUCCUUGUAGGAGACUGCCGGAGCUCUGUUUCUUCUGCUGCCUUCCUUGUAGGAGACUGCCGGAGCUCUGAUGAUGUAUCACCUUCUUCUUUGUCUUCAAAUAAUCGUCUGACUGAUUUCCUUGCACUUAACUUUACUCUUUGCAACUUAGCUUUUUUAUCAUUUGUUGUCUUCGUUCUCUUGGACUUGUUCACGUGUUGGGGUCCCACUGAAAUUGGAUCUGACUGUAUUUGUGGUGACUCUUCUUCACAGAUCCCCUUUGCUCUAUCUCUAAUGUGUGGAUUGUCAUUAUUGUCCUCCCUCCCAUUUACUAAAGGGUCAAUGUCAUCCCUGCCUUUAACAGUUGAGGACGAACCAAUCUCAGCCUGCCAGCCAUCAUGAUACGGAAGUGCAAGUAGGCCAUCACCAGUCACUCUCUUGUACAUUAAUUUUCCUUCUGGGGACACAAUUUCAAUUGGAUCAUGCCCCCUCUCAGCAUAUAUGUGCAUUUCUGGAAGCCCCUCAUAACAUGUUGUCAAUAAUUCGAUGUCGACAUCAUCGUUGAUGGGAACUGCACCAACAUCAAGGUCAUGAAACGGAAUAGAGUACCAUAAAUUCACAUUUGCUACGCCGUGCUCAAUUGUUUGGUACAUUUUUUCAAACGCAAAUACAGAUAAUUCAUCAGGGUCCCGUCCACAAAAUACCCUCACGUGUUCGCAAGUGUAUCUAAUUCUCGGUUUCCAUUUGAAAUAUCCACCAUAAUGCAUAUGUAUGUCUAUGGUCUGCCACGGAUUAUCUCCCAUUCUUAUGCACCUAACCCAAAAAAUCAACAUUAACACACUUAUCUAGAAGGAUAAAAAUCAUAAUCAAUACCAGUAUAGACCACAGUAGUUCUGAUUACUCCAAAAAAAUAAAUAAUCAACAUUAACACACUUAUCUAUAAGAAUAAAAAUCAUAAUCAAUACCAGUAUGGACCACAGUAGUCCUGAAUACUCCAAAAAAAUAAAUAAUCAACAUUAACACACCUAUCUAGAAGGAUAAAAAUCAUAAUCAAUACCAAUAUGGACCACAAUAGACCUGAUUACUCCAAAAAGACCCAUAUUUUUUGCAGUAUAUUGCAAUUUUUAAAAAAAUUUCCCCCAAAGAUUGUCAGAAAAGCUUCUGACUAAGCCAAACCCAGACUUUUUGCGUAUUUACCAAUUUUAAACAAAAUUUUUCUACAAACAUUGUCCGAAGAUUGUCGGGAAAGCUUCUGACCAAGCCAAAACUGAAAAUUUGCAUAUUUACAGAAUUAAAAAAAAAUUUCGCACAAACAUUGUCGGAGAAACUUCUAACUAAGCCAAAACUAACAAUGGCGAUUCUUUUACCAAGUUUCAAAAUAUCCCCAACACUUUAACAAAUCAACUCGUCUAUUGCUUAAGGUUCGGAUAUGUAUUUUACCUGGUUAAUAGAUAAGUCCAAUGCGUUGCGACUACGACCAAUCUGCACAGCAACGCCGACCGAUCUACACUAUAACGCCGAUCGAUGUUCACUAUAUAUCCCGCCGAUCUGCAACACAAACACCUUCUUCUUGGCUGUAGGUUUAGGGUUUAUCUCUCAUUUUAUGAAAUGUAGCUCAAGCCCGACUGAUCUUCACCGUAACUCACACCGCUAUGCAUAAUGGUGCUUCUUCUUGGUUGUAGGUUUAGGGUUUCUUUCUACGCGAUUUUCAGAAGUCCUCUACUGCAUCUGUAACUUUUCACAUAUUAUAUAUGAGGGUAUUUUUGGUAUUUCAUGUUAUUACCGGCUUCCCAGCCGGUUAGCAGGUAAAAUCCAAAGAAGUCCAAAACACAUGGGGGUUAAGUGAGUGUUUCUAAACAAUGAGGAAGUUUCAUGUCAAUUUCCUUAACCACAGGGGGGUUUUAUGUAUUUUACCCAUAUUUAUAUUACAAUUAAAUUUAAUUAUUAUCAUAAAUCCAAUACUCCCUUUUAAGGUGAUUGCUGCCAUUUUUAAAAUAAGUUACAAGUACUUGUGAUUGAUAGUAAAGAUUAUUUGGAGAAUCAAAAUUUUUGUUGUAUUGUCAUUAUACUAGAUGUUGAGAUUGAUUCAUUCUAUUAUUUUAAAAAGAUACAAUUUAUCAAUUACAUUUUACAACAUAUCCUAGAAAAUUGAUCGUUUUAAAUUUUUACAAAUUUAUAGAAACUAACUUAUUUUUUGUAGUUAACCAAUUAGUGAAGUACAUACUAGUUGAACAAAAAAGUUAACUUAAACAAUGUAAUUUUUUUCUGUAUUUGACACUGAUUGACUGGACAAUCCAAUCCUUUUGCUAUGCCAGUAUUAUUUCAUCUAUUGAAAUUUAUUUGCUUUAUUUUUUUGAUUUAUUACUUCUUAUUUAGUUCAUUUUGCAAUAUUUUCGUGGCAAGUCAAUGACAACUUUCAUUAUAUAAAUUGGUGAAAAGUAGCACAUACUGGUUGAAUGAAAAAACUAAUUUGAAUAAUCACAUGAUUUCAUUGUGGCAAAAUUAUAUAAGUUGUGGGAAUAUACUUACACAUUAUUAUUAAUGUAUUAUAGCAUGUUCAAUAUGCUUUACAACAUACAAAGAGUCAUGAUAGCCUUCAUUAUACAAAUUAGUAUAAAUAAAGUGCCUUCCACUAUUAAUUAGUUUCUUAAAUACUUGUUCAAAAAAGAUUAACUAGUUAGUUUCGGGUUUUCUUUCAUCAAUAUUGUGCCUCCUAUUGGUAUUUAUUUACUUUGUACUGUGAAAUCUCAAAAUUUUUGACAUUUUUUUAAGGCUGGAAACUGUUUGAUAAACUAACAAUACAAAAUUAGCAUAACAAUAAUUUAAUAAGUUUACUUACCUCUUUAGAGAAUUAUCCCAACAACCUACUGUUACUCAACCACUAAUAGAUAUUGGGUUGGUUAACUAUAUCACGUUCCCUGAAGGUUAAUUAACUGACUCAACAUUAAUCUACUUUCACUCAACCACUAAUAGAUAUAGGGUAUGAAACCCGGCCACUCUCCACCAAAUCGUUCGCCACCUUGAUGUAUCCGUUGUGACCCCACCCAUGCCUCCACGAGUUUUUACAUAAAUAAAACAACUUCUCUUCAUCACCAUCUUCAAACCCCUAACCAACCACUUGCAGAGCAUGCUGAGGUAUCAUCUUGCCUUCUCAUUUUCUGUUUUCAUCUACUCCUCCUCAUAUCGUGUUGGACCCCUAUAAACACCCUGAACAAAAAAGUUAUACCGUCAUACAAAUAGAAAAUAAUCAAUCACGUAAUAACAUUGAUACCAAAUGAAAACAAUAACAGUGAAAGACCCACUUACAUUUCCAGAAUAAUGCCGUAGGCUCCUCACAAAUGGAACUGACACAGCUAAAGGUUGUUCCUGCAAGCGCUCCAUAAUCUUUUCUUUGCUGCCAAUUUUUGUAUAAUCCUUGAUAUAGAUCUUUCGCUUCUAAAAAAAACAUACACAAGUUAGACAAGAUUUUUAAAAAAUAUACACAAGUUAGACAAACUAAAACAAGCAAUUGAUGUACUUGAAUAGAUAAUAUAAUUACCACUCCGGGAGGUGUAACACAUGGUUGUUUCAUUCCUUUAAAUGGACAAUGAUUUUCUGAACAUACACCACGCAACUAGAUAUAUUUAAACGCCUUGUUAAUUGAGCUAGGAUACCCAUAUCUUGGAUCAAUGGACUUCCCCCAUUCGGCCUUUUGCUUUUCUGAGUGGGGGAAGAGGUCAUGGAUACAGUAGAUCAAUUCUUGAGGCGCUAAAAGAUGCAGCUGAAAUUACUCUGUCUUGAGAAAUUUUUCAUGCUCCAAACAUAAUGCCGCAUACACGCAAUCUACGGCUGGAAAUGCAUAGCAAGCACCUACGCAAAAAUGUAGUUUCCAUGAUAAAGUAAAAUAGAAAAAAGAAAAACAACAUACAAACGAAAAUCAACACACAGAUAGCCCUUGAGAUUUGGCCAAACUCCCCACCGAACCUCAAGAUUUAGCCAAACAACAUAAAAUCCCUCUCUUAAAAAACGUCUAUUGCAUAUCUUGGAUGAAUUAGUGAAAUGACUAGAUGCUUACAACACUUAUGAAUUAGUGAAAUGACCAAACCCCAAGAUUUAGCCAAACAAUAUAAAACGGAAAACUCUUACUUGAUCAACACCCACUAAUCAUAAUAGCAAUAUAAUGAUAAAAAAAAAUUUCAGUCUUUUAUGAAUUUUCAGAUCCAAUUUCAAAAAAUUUCCAAAUCUUCAAAACACUAAAAAAUUUGCCCUAAUCAUUGAACAUGGACAUUCACAUGCAUAUCAUAAUCUUGAUUUUGAUUGUCAAAACUUGAUUCACAAGUGCUUGCUUACUUGCAAACAUCUAUCGCGAAUAGGGGUAAUGCUUUUAGAGGGAUGAACAGCCCAAUUCCACUUCACCUAAAAAAAUCUCAAAAUUACAAUAAGCAAUAGAGAGAGAGAGAGAGAGAGAGAGAGAGAGGGAGAGAGCAAAUACAACUAUAAAACUAAAAUUUGGCCCAUGAACAGGAAAACAAUCGAAAAUUAGGCAUAAAAGCAUUAUAAAAUAAAACAUUGUAAUGUACAAUGGAAAAAAUUCAGAAUUGGGCUCAAAUGCAUGAUAAAUGAAAGAUGAAAACAUUGUAACAUACAUAUUUGAAAAAUGGAUGGGAAAAAUCAACAGGUUCCAGGUCAGGCGGGGGCUCUAGAUAUUCCAGUAGAUCGCGCAAAAGUUCAAAUCUCGACAUCCUGCCAAAAAACAUCAAUGAUGUAAAAAGUAUCAGUAGGAUGAAGGAAAUAACACCAGUGAUUUGCAUUACAUAAAUCAAAAGUUUUCCGCAAAAAAAACAUAAAUCUUCUCAAGCAAUCAUCUUACUUACACACUUAAUGUUAACAACAGUCCUGAAGUUCAAGCAUCAAAGCAAUAGUAACUUUGGUAUAAGAGAUGAGUAUAUUAAAGGGCGCAUCAAGUGUGCUAAACACCUUCAGAUUUAGGUAACAAAUUAUUGACAUAAUCACACAAAAUAUGGAACAUGAAUCCAGCUUUUCACUUAGUCCGAAUUUUGGAAUACAUUCUAAAAGUUGAAGCCCAAAGCAGAAAUCUUAAGUUGAAAUGGGAUAAAAUCAAAUGGAGGACCAUAAAUGUAAUUGUGUAUUAGAUGCCAAAUUUGCUGCUUUGGUUCCUUCCUUUUGUUUCGAUAACUGUGAUCUCUUUAGCUUGUAGUAUACUACAUUAAAUAAUUAAGUUAAAUUGGCGAUUCUUCCAUGCUUCAUAGUGGUUCGAAAGGUUCUAAGUAUGCUGUUAGAUAAUGAUUUGCAUUGACCAGUUUGGUGAGCUCUUUCGGCAAAUCAUUUACCCAUAAUCGGAUGUCAAGUUAGAUGGAUUUAUAUAAGGUUUUAAAGCUGCCUCUUGAUUGAGGGUGUAUUUUCUAAUUGAUCUUUUGCCGAGACUUUAAGAUUCCAUUCCUCCACACUUGAUUGAUUAGAUAUCUUAUUCGAGUUUAUAUUUGCUGCUUGAGUUCUUCUGUAAAACUUGUAUAUGGGAACAAAAGAUGGGAUAAGAUUCGAGCAAUAAUAACUUAUUAGGAUACGAAUAUGAUUAUAUAAUAGUAUUGGAAACGACUACGUAUUGUGGUUAAUAAGUUACAAGUACUUCUAUUUAUAUUACAAUUAAAUUUAAUCAUUAUCAUAAAUCCAAUUCUCCCUUUUAAUGUGAUUGCUGCCAUUUUUAAAAUAAGUUACAAGUACUUGUGAUUGACAGUAAAGAUUAUUUGGAGAAUCGAAAUUUUUAUUGUUUUGUCAUUAUACUAAAUGUUGAGAUUGAUUCACUCUAUUAUUUUAAAAAGAUACAAUUUAUCUAUUACAUUUUGCAACAUAUCCUGGAAAAUUGAUAGUUUUAAUUUUUUACAAAUUUAUAGAAACUAACUUAUUUUUUGUAGUUAACCAAUUAGUGAAGUACAUACUAGUUGAGCAAAAAAGUUAACUUAAACAAUGUAAAUUUUUUUUUUUUGUAUUUGACACUGAUUGACUGAACAAUCCAAUCUUUUUGCUAUGCCAGUAUUGUUUCAUCUAUUGAAAUUUAUUUGCUUUAUUUUUUUGAUUUAUUACUUCUUAUUUAGUUCAUUUUGCAAUAUUUUCAUGGUAAGUCAAUGACAACUUUCAUUAUAUAAAUUGGUGAAAAGUAGCACAUGCUGGUUGAAUGAAAAAACUAAUUUGAAUAAUCACAUGAUUUCAUUGUGGCAAAAUUAUAUAAGUUGUGGGAAUAUGCUUACACAUUAUUAUUAAUGUAUUAUAGCAUGUUCAAUAUACUUUACAACAUACAAAGAGUCAUGAUAGCCUUCAUUAUACAAAUUAGUAUAAAUAAAAGUGCCUUUCACUAUUAAUUAGUUUCUUAAAUACUUGUUCAAAAAAGAUUAACUAGUUAGUUUCGGGUUUUCUUUCAUCAAUAUUGUGCCUCCUAUUGGUAUUUAUUUACUUUGUACUGUGAAAUCUCAAAAUUUUUGACAUUUUUUUAAGGCUGGAAACUGUUUGAUAAACUAACAAUACAAAAUUAGCAUAACAAUAAUUUAAUAAGUUUACUUACCUCUUUAGAGAAUUAUCCCAACAACCUACUGUUACUCAACCACUAAUAGAUAUUGGGUUGGUUAACUAUAUCACGUUCCCUGAAGGUUAAUUAACUGACUCAACAUUAAUCUACUUUCACUCAACCACUAAUAGAUAUAGGGUAUGAAACCCGGCCACUCUCCACCAAAUCGUUCGCCACCUUGAUGUAUCCGUUGUGACCCCACCCAUGCCUCCACGAGUUUUUACAUAAAUAAAACAACUUCUCUUCAUCACCAUCUUCAAACCCCUAACCAACCACUUGCAGAGCAUGCUGAGGUAUCAUCUUGCCUUCUCAUUUUCUGUUUUCAUCUACUCCUCCUCAUAUCGUGUUGGACCCCUAUAAACACCCUGAACAAAAAAGUUAUACCGUCAUACAAAUAGAAAAUAAUCAAUCACGUAAUAACAUUGAUACCAAAUGAAAACAAUAACAGUGAAAGACCCACUUACAUUUCCAGAAUAAUGCCGUAGGCUCCUCACAAAUGGAACUGACACAGCUAAAGGUUGUUCCUGCAAGCGCUCCAUAAUCUUUUCUUUGCUGCCAAUUUUUGUAUAAUCCUUGAUAUAGAUCUUUCGCUUCUAAAAAAAACAUACACAAGUUAGACAAGAUUUUUAAAAAAUAUACACAAGUUAGACAAACUAAAACAAGCAAUUGAUGUACUUGAAUAGAUAAUAUAAUUACCACUCCGGGAGGUGUAACACAUGGUUGUUUCAUUCCUUUCAAUGGACAAUGAUUUUCUGAACAUACACCACGCAACUAGAUAUAUUUAAACGCCUUGUUAAUUGAGCUAGGAUACCCAUAUCUUGGAUCAAUGGACUUUCCCCAUUCGGCCUUUUGCUUUUCUGAGAGGGGGAAGAGGUCAUGGAUACAGUAGAUCAAUUCUUGAGGCGCUAAAAGAUGCAGCUGAAAUUACUCUGUCUUGAGAAAUUUUUCAUGCUCCAAACAUAAUGCCGCAUACACGCAAUCUACGGCUGGAAAUGCAUAGCAAGCACCUACGCAAAAAUGCAGUUUCCAUGAUAAAGUAAAAUAGAAAAAAGAAAAACAACAUACAAACGAAAAUCAACACACAGAUAGCCCUUGAGAUUUGGCCAAACUCCACACCGAACCUCAAGAUUUAGCCAAACAACAUAAAAUCCCUCUCUUAAAAAACGUCUAUUGCAUAUCUUGGAUGAAUUAGUGAAAUGACUAGAUGCUUACAACACUUAUGAAUUAGUGAAAUGACCAAACCCCAAGAUUUAGCCAAACAACAUAAAACGGAAAACUCUUACUUGAUCAACACCCACUAAUCAUAAUAGCAAUAUAAUGAUAAAAAAAAAUUUCAGUCUUUUAUGAAUUUUCAGAUCCAAUUUCAAAAAAUUACCAAAUCUUCAAAACACUAAAAAAUUUGCCCUAAUCAUUGAACAUGGACAUUCACAUGCAUAUCAGAAUCUUGAUUUUGAUUGUCAAAACUUGAUUCACAAGUGCUUGCUUACUUGCAAACAUCUAUCGCGAACAGGGGUAAUGCUUUUAGAGGGAUGAACAGCCCAAUUCCACUUCACCUAAAAAAAUCUCAAAAUUACAAUAAGCAAUAGAGAGAGAGAGAGAGAGAGAGAGAGGGAGAGAGCAAAUACAACUAUAAAACUAAAAUUUGGCCCAUGAACAGGAAAACAAUCGAAAAUUAGGCAUAAAAGCAUUAUAAAAUAAAACAUUGUAAUGUACAAUGGAAAAAAUUCAGAAUUGGGCUCAAAGGCAUGAUAAAUGAAAGAUGAAAACAUUGUAACAUACAUAUUUGAAAAAUGGAUGGGAAAAAUCAACAGGUUCCAGGUCAGGCGGGGGCUCUAGAUCUUCCAGUAGAUCGCGCAAAAGUUCAAAUCUCGACAUCCUGCCAAAAAACAACAAUGAUGUAAAAAGUAUCAGUAGGAUGAAGGAAAUAACACCAGUGAUUUGCAUUACAUAAAUCAAAAGUUUUCGCAAAAAAAACAUAAAUCUUCUCAAGCAAUCAUCUUACUUACACACUUAAUGUUAACAACAGUCCUGAAGUUCAAGCAUCAAAGCAAUAGUAACUUUGGUAUAAGAGAUGAGUAUAUUAAAGGGCGCAUCAAGUGUGCUAAACACCUUCAGAUUUAGGUAACAAAUUAUUGACAUAAUCACACAAAAUAUGGAACAUGAAUCCAGCUUUUCACUUAGUCCGAAUUUUGGAAUACAUUCUAAAAGUUGAAGCCCAAAGCAGAAAUCUUAAGUUGAAAUGGGAUAAAAUCAAAUGGAGGACCAUAAAUGUAAUUGUGUAUUAGAUGCCAAAUUUGCUGCUUUGGUUCCUUCCUUUUGUUUCGAUAACUGUGAUCUCUUUAGCUUGUAGUAUACUACAUUAAAUAAUUAAGUUAAAUUGGCGAUUCUUCCAUGCUUCAUAGUGGUUCGAAAGGUUCUAAGUAUGCUGUUAGAUAAUGAUUUGCAUUGACCAGUUUGGUGAGCUCUUUCGGCAAAUCAUUUACCCAUAAUCGGAUGUCAAGUUAGAUGGAUUUAUAUAAGGUUUUAAAGCUGCCUCUUGAUUGAGGGUGUAUUUUCUAAUUGAUCUUUUGCCGAGACUUUAAGAUUCCAUUCCUCCACACUUGAUUGAUUAGAUAUCUUAUUCGAGUUUAUAUUUGCUGCUUGAGUUCUUCUGUAAAACUUGUAUAUGGGAACAAAAGAUGGGAUAAGAUUCGAGCAAUAAUAACUUAUUAGGAUACGAAUAUGAUUAUAUAAUAGUAUUGGAAACGACUACGUAUUGUGGUUAAUAAGUUACAAGUACUUCUAUUUAUAUUACAAUUAAAUUUAAUCAUUAUCAUAAAUCCAAUUCUCCCUUUUAAUGUGAUUGCUGCCAUUUUUAAAAUAAGUUACAAGUACUUGUGAUUGACAGUAAAGAUUAUUUGGAGAAUCGAAAUUUUUAUUGUUUUGUCAUUAUACUAAAUGUUGAGAUUGAUUCACUCUAUUAUUUUAAAAAGAUACAAUUUAUCUAUUACAUUUUGCAACAUAUCCUGGAAAAUUGAUAGUUUUAAUUUUUUACAAAUUUAUAGAAACUAACUUAUUUUUUGUAGUUAACCAAUUAGUGAAGUACAUACUAGUUGAGCAAAAAAGUUAACUUAAACAAUGUAAAUUUUUUUUUUUUGUAUUUGACACUGAUUGACUGAACAAUCCAAUCUUUUUGCUAUGCCAGUAUUGUUUCAUCUAUUGAAAUUUAUUUGCUUUAUUUUUUUGAUUUAUUACUUCUUAUUUAGUUCAUUUUGCAAUAUUUUCAUGGUAAGUCAAUGACAACUUUCAUUAUAUAAAUUGGUGAAAAGUAGCACAUGCUGGUUGAAUGAAAAAACUAAUUUGAAUAAUCACAUGAUUUCAUUGUGGCAAAAUUAUAUAAGUUGUGGGAAUAUGCUUACACAUUAUUAUUAAUGUAUUAUAGCAUGUUCAAUAUACUUUACAACAUACAAAGAGUCAUGAUAGCCUUCAUUAUACAAAUUAGUAUAAAUAAAGUGCCUUUCACUAUUAAUUAGUUUCUUAAAUACUUGUUCAAAAAAGAUUAACUAGUUAGUUUCGGGUUUUCUUUCAUCAAUAUUGUGCCUCCUAUUGGUAUUUAUUUACUUUGUACUGUGAAAUCUCAAAAUUUUUGACAUUUUUUUAAGGCUGGAAACUGUUUGAUAAACUAACAAUACAAAAUUAGCAUAACAAUAAUUUAAUAAGUUUACUUACCUCUUUAGAGAAUUAUCCCAACAACCUACUGUUACUCAACCACUAAUAGAUAUUGGGUUGGUUAACUAUAUCACGUUCCCUGAAGGUUAAUUAACUGACUCAACAUUAAUCUACUUUCACUCAACCACUAAUAGAUAUAGGGUAUGAAACCCGGCCACUCUCCACCAAAUCGUUCGCCACCUUGAUGUAUCCGUUGUGACCCCACCCAUGCCUCCACGAGUUUUUACAUAAAUAAAACAACUUCUCUUCAUCACCAUCUUCAAACCCCUAACCAACCACUUGCAGAGCAUGCUGAGGUAUCAUCUUGCCUUCUCAUUUUCUGUUUUCAUCUACUCCUCCUCAUAUCGUGUUGGACCCCUAUAAACACCCUGAACAAAAAAGUUAUACCGUCAUACAAAUAGAAAAUAAUCAAUCACGUAAUAACAUUGAUACCAAAUGAAAACAAUAACAGUGAAAGACCCACUUACAUUUCCAGAAUAAUGCCGUAGGCUCCUCACAAAUGGAACUGACACAGCUAAAGGUUGUUCCUGCAAGCGCUCCAUAAUCUUUUCUUUGCUGCCAAUUUUUGUAUAAUCCUUGAUAUAGAUCUUUCGCUUCUAAAAAAAACAUACACAAGUUAGACAAGAUUUUUAAAAAAUAUACACAAGUUAGACAAACUAAAACAAGCAAUUGAUGUACUUGAAUAGAUAAUAUAAUUACCACUCCGGGAGGUGUAACACAUGGUUGUUUCAUUCCUUUCAAUGGACAAUGAUUUUCUGAACAUACACCACGCAACUAGAUAUAUUUAAACGCCUUGUUAAUUGAGCUAGGAUACCCAUAUCUUGGAUCAAUGGACUUUCCCCAUUCGGCCUUUUGCUUUUCUGAGAGGGGGAAGAGGUCAUGGAUACAGUAGAUCAAUUCUUGAGGCGCUAAAAGAUGCAGCUGAAAUUACUCUGUCUUGAGAAAUUUUUCAUGCUCCAAACAUAAUGCCGCAUACACGCAAUCUACGGCUGGAAAUGCAUAGCAAGCACCUACGCAAAAAUGCAGUUUCCAUGAUAAAGUAAAAUAGAAAAAAGAAAAACAACAUACAAACGAAAAUCAACACACAGAUAGCCCUUGAGAUUUGGCCAAACUCCACACCGAACCUCAAGAUUUAGCCAAACAACAUAAAAUCCCUCUCUUAAAAAACGUCUAUUGCAUAUCUUGGAUGAAUUAGUGAAAUGACUAGAUGCUUACAACACUUAUGAAUUAGUGAAAUGACCAAACCCCAAGAUUUAGCCAAACAACAUAAAACGGAAAACUCUUACUUGAUCAACACCCACUAAUCAUAAUAGCAAUAUAAUGAUAAAAAAAAAUUUCAGUCUUUUAUGAAUUUUCAGAUCCAAUUUCAAAAAAUUACCAAAUCUUCAAAACACUAAAAAAUUUGCCCUAAUCAUUGAACAUGGACAUUCACAUGCAUAUCAGAAUCUUGAUUUUGAUUGUCAAAACUUGAUUCACAAGUGCUUGCUUACUUGCAAACAUCUAUCGCGAACAGGGGUAAUGCUUUUAGAGGGAUGAACAGCCCAAUUCCACUUCACCUAAAAAAAUCUCAAAAUUACAAUAAGCAAUAGAGAGAGAGAGAGAGAGAGAGAGAGGGAGAGAGCAAAUACAACUAUAAAACUAAAAUUUGGCCCAUGAACAGGAAAACAAUCGAAAAUUAGGCAUAAAAGCAUUAUAAAAUAAAACAUUGUAAUGUACAAUGGAAAAAAUUCAGAAUUGGGCUCAAAGGCAUGAUAAAUGAAAGAUGAAAACAUUGUAACAUACAUAUUUGAAAAAUGGAUGGGAAAAAUCAACAGGUUCCAGGUCAGGCGGGGGCUCUAGAUCUUCCAGUAGAUCGCGCAAAAGUUCAAAUCUCGACAUCCUGCCAAAAAACAACAAUGAUGUAAAAAGUAUCAGUAGGAUGAAGGAAAUAACACCAGUGAUUUGCAUUACAUAAAUCAAAAGUUUUCGCAAAAAAAACAUAAAUCUUCUCAAGCAAUCAUCUUACUUACACACUUAAUGUUAACAACAGUCCUGAAGUUCAAGCAUCAAAGCAAUAGUAACUUUGGUAUAAGAGAUGAGUAUAUUAAAGGGCGCAUCAAGUGUGCUAAACACCUUCAGAUUUAGGUAACAAAUUAUUGACAUAAUCACACAAAAUAUGGAACAUGAAUCCAGCUUUUCACUUAGUCCGAAUUUUGGAAUACAUUCUAAAAGUUGAAGCCCAAAGCAGAAAUCUUAAGUUGAAAUGGGAUAAAAUCAAAUGGAGGACCAUAAAUGUAAUUGUGUAUUAGAUGCCAAAUUUGCUGCUUUGGUUCCUUCCUUUUGUUUCGAUAACUGUGAUCUCUUUAGCUUGUAGUAUACUACAUUAAAUAAUUAAGUUAAAUUGGCGAUUCUUCCAUGCUUCAUAGUGGUUCGAAAGGUUCUAAGUAUGCUGUUAGAUAAUGAUUUGCAUUGACCAGUUUGGUGAGCUCUUUCGGCAAAUCAUUUACCCAUAAUCGGAUGUCAAGUUAGAUGGAUUUAUAUAAGGUUUUAAAGCUGCCUCUUGAUUGAGGGUGUAUUUUCUAAUUGAUCUUUUGCCGAGACUUUAAGAUUCCAUUCCUCCACACUUGAUUGAUUAGAUAUCUUAUUCGAGUUUAUAUUUGCUGCUUGAGUUCUUCUGUAAAACUUGUAUAUGGGAACAAAAGAUGGGAUAAGAUUCGAGCAAUAAUAACUUAUUAGGAUACGAAUAUGAUUAUAUAAUAGUAUUGGAAACGACUACGUAUUGUGGUUAAUAAGUUACAAGUACUUCUAUUUAUAUUACAAUUAAAUUUAAUCAUUAUCAUAAAUCCAAUUCUCCCUUUUAAUGUGAUUGCUGCCAUUUUUAAAAUAAGUUACAAGUACUUGUGAUUGACAGUAAAGAUUAUUUGGAGAAUCAAAAUUUUUAUUGUUUUGUCAUUAUACUAAAUGUUGAGAUUGAUUCACUCUAUUAUUUUAAAAAGAUACAAUUUAUCUAUUACAUUUUGCAACAUAUCCUGGAAAAUUGAUAGUUUUAAUUUUUUACAAAUUUAUAGAAACUAACUUAUUUUUUGUAGUUAACCAAUUAGUGAAGUACAUACUAGUUGAGCAAAAAAGUUAACUUAAACAAUGUAAAUUUUUUUUUUUUGUAUUUGACACUGAUUGACUGAACAAUCCAAUCUUUUUGCUAUGCCAGUAUUGUUUCAUCUAUUGAAAUUUAUUUGCUUUAUUUUUUUGAUUUAUUACUUCUUAUUUAGUUCAUUUUGCAAUAUUUUCAUGGUAAGUCAAUGACAACUUUCAUUAUAUAAAUUGGUGAAAAGUAGCACAUGCUGGUUGAAUGAAAAAACUAAUUUGAAUAAUCACAUGAUUUCAUUGUGGCAAAAUUAUAUAAGUUGUGGGAAUAUGCUUACACAUUAUUAUUAAUGUAUUAUAGCAUGUUCAAUAUACUUUACAACAUACAAAGAGUCAUGAUAGCCUUCAUUAUACAAAUUAGUAUAAAUAAAAGUGCCUUUCACUAUUAAUUAGUUUCUUAAAUACUUGUUCAAAAAAGAUUAACUAGUUAGUUUCGGGUUUUCUUUCAUCAAUAUUGUGCCUCCUAUUGGUAUUUAUUUACUUUGUACUGUGAAAUCUCAAAAUUUUUGACAUUUUUUUAAGGCUGGAAACUGUUUGAUAAACUAACAAUACAAAAUUAGCAUAACAAUAAUUUAAUAAGUUUACUUACCUCUUUAGAGAAUUAUCCCAACAACCUACUGUUACUCAACCACUAAUAGAUAUUGGGUUGGUUAACUAUAUCACGUUCCCUGAAGGUUAAUUAACUGACUCAACAUUAAUCUACUUUCACUCAACCACUAAUAGAUAUAGGGUAUGAAACCCGGCCACUCUCCACCAAAUCGUUCGCCACCUUGAUGUAUCCGUUGUGACCCCACCCAUGCCUCCACGAGUUUUUACAUAAAUAAAACAACUUCUCUUCAUCACCAUCUUCAAACCCCUAACCAACCACUUGCAGAGCAUGCUGAGGUAUCAUCUUGCCUUCUCAUUUUCUGUUUUCAUCUACUCCUCCUCAUAUCGUGUUGGACCCCUAUAAACACCCUGAACAAAAAAGUUAUACCGUCAUACAAAUAGAAAAUAAUCAAUCACGUAAUAACAUUGAUACCAAAUGAAAACAAUAACAGUGAAAGACCCACUUACAUUUCCAGAAUAAUGCCGUAGGCUCCUCACAAAUGGAACUGACACAGCUAAAGGUUGUUCCUGCAAGCGCUCCAUAAUCUUUUCUUUGCUGCCAAUUUUUGUAUAAUCCUUGAUAUAGAUCUUUCGCUUCUAAAAAAAACAUACACAAGUUAGACAAGAUUUUUAAAAAAUAUACACAAGUUAGACAAACUAAAACAAGCAAUUGAUGUACUUGAAUAGAUAAUAUAAUUACCACUCCGGGAGGUGUAACACAUGGUUGUUUCAUUCCUUUCAAUGGACAAUGAUUUUCUGAACAUACACCACGCAACUAGAUAUAUUUAAACGCCUUGUUAAUUGAGCUAGGAUACCCAUAUCUUGGAUCAAUGGACUUCCCCCAUUCGGCCUUUUGCUUUUCAGACAGGGGGAAGAGGUCAUGGAUACAGUAGAUCAAUUCUUGAGGCGCUAAAAGAUGCAGCUGAAAUUACUCUGUCUUGAGAAAUUUUUCAUGCUCCAAACAUAAUGCCGCAUACACGCAAUUUACGGCUGGAAAUGCAUCGCAAGCACCUACGCAAAAAAGCAGUUUCCAUGAUAAAGUAAAAUAGAAAAAAGAAAAACAACAUACAAACGAAAAUCAACACACAGAUAGCCCUUGAGAUUUUACCAAACUCCCCACCAAACCCCAAGAUUUAGCCAAACAACAUAAAAUCCCCCUCUUAAAAAACGUCUAUUGCAUAUCUUGGACGAAUUAGUGAAAUGACUAGAUGCUUACAACACUUAUGAAUUAGUGAAAUGACCAAACCCCAAGAUUUAGCCAAACAAUAUAAAACGGAAAACUCUUACUUGAUCAACACCCACUAAUCAUAAUAGCAAUAUAAUGAUAAAAAAAAAUUUCAGUCUUUUAUGAAUUUUCAGAUCCAAUUUCAAAAAAUUUCCAAAUCUUCAAAACACUAAAAAAUUUGCCCUAAUCAUUGAACAUGGACAUUCACAUGCAUAUCAUAAUCUUGAUUUUGAUUGUCAAAACUUGAUUCACAAGUGCUUGCUUACUUGCAAACAUCUAUCGCGAAUAGGGGUAAUGCUUUUAGAGGGAUGAACAGCCCAAUUCCACUUCACCUAAAAAAAUCUCAAAAUUACAAUAAGCAAUAGAGAGAGAGAGAGAGAGAGAGAGAGGGAGAGAGCAAAUACAACUAUAAAACUAAAAUUUGGCCCAUGAACAGGAAAACAAUCGAAAAUUAGGCAUAAAAGCAUUAUAAAAUAAAACAUUGUAAUGUACAAUGGAAAAAAUUCAGAAUUGGGCUCAAAGUGCAUGAUAAAUGAAAGAUGAAAACAUUGUAACAUACAUAUUUGAAAAAUGGAUGGGAAAAAUCAACAGGUUCCAGGUCAGGCGGGGGCUCUAGAUCUUCCAGUAGAUCGCGCAAAAGUUCAAAUCUCGACAUCCUGCCAAAAAACAACAAUGAUGUAAAAAGUAUCAGUAGGAUGAAGGAAAUAACACCAGUGAUUUGCAUUACAUAAAUCAAAAGUUUUCGCAAAAAAAACAUAAAUCUUCUCAAGCAAUCAUCUUACUUACACACUUAAUGUUAACAACAGUCCUGAAGUUCAAGCAUCAAAGCAAUAGUAACUUUGGUAUAAGAGAUGAGUAUAUUAAAGGGCGCAUCAAGUGUGCUAAACACCUUCAGAUUUAGGUAACAAAUUAUUGACAUAAUCACACAAAAUAUGGAACAUGAAUCCAGCUUUUCACUUAGUCCGAAUUUUGGAAUACAUUCUAAAAGUUGAAGCCCAAAGCAGAAAUCUUAAGUUGAAAUGGGAUAAAAUCAAAUGGAGGACCAUAAAUGUAAUUGUGUAUUAGAUGCCAAAUUUGCUGCUUUGGUUCCUUCCUUUUGUUUCGAUAACUGUGAUCUCUUUAGCUUGUAGUAUACUACAUUAAAUAAUUAAGUUAAAUUGGCGAUUCUUCCAUGCUUCAUAGUGGUUCGAAAGGUUCUAAGUAUGCUGUUAGAUAAUGAUUUGCAUUGACCAGUUUGGUGAGCUCUUUCGGCAAAUCAUUUACCCAUAAUCGGAUGUCAAGUUAGAUGGAUUUAUAUAAGGUUUUAAAGCUGCCUCUUGAUUGAGGGUGUAUUUUCUAAUUGAUCUUUUGCCGAGACUUUAAGAUUCCAUUCCUCCACACUUGAUUGAUUAGAUAUCUUAUUCGAGUUUAUAUUUGCUGCUUGAGUUCUUCUGUAAAACUUGUAUAUGGGAACAAAAGAUGGGAUAAGAUUCGAGCAAUAAUAACUUAUUAGGAUACGAAUAUGAUUAUAUAAUAGUAUUGGAAACGACUACGUAUUGUGGUUAAUAAGUUACAAGUACUUCUAUUUAUAUUACAAUUAAAUUUAAUCAUUAUCAUAAAUCCAAUUCUCCCUUUUAAUGUGAUUGCUGCCAUUUUUAAAAUAAGUUACAAGUACUUGUGAUUGACAGUAAAGAUUAUUUGGAGAAUCAAAAUUUUUAUUGUUUUGUCAUUAUACUAAAUGUUGAGAUUGAUUCACUCUAUUAUUUUAAAAAGAUACAAUUUAUCUAUUACAUUUUGCAACAUAUCCUGGAAAAUUGAUAGUUUUAAUUUUUUACAAAUUUAUAGAAACUAACUUAUUUUUUGUAGUUAACCAAUUAGUGAAGUACAUACUAGUUGAGCAAAAAAGUUAACUUAAACAAUGUAAAUUUUUUUUUUUUGUAUUUGACACUGAUUGACUGAACAAUCCAAUCUUUUUGCUAUGCCAGUAUUGUUUCAUCUAUUGAAAUUUAUUUGCUUUAUUUUUUUGAUUUAUUACUUCUUAUUUAGUUCAUUUUGCAAUAUUUUCAUGGUAAGUCAAUGACAACUUUCAUUAUAUAAAUUGGUGAAAAGUAGCACAUGCUGGUUGAAUGAAAAAACUAAUUUGAAUAAUCACAUGAUUUCAUUGUGGCAAAAUUAUAUAAGUUGUGGGAAUAUGCUUACACAUUAUUAUUAAUGUAUUAUAGCAUGUUCAAUAUACUUUACAACAUACAAAGAGUCAUGAUAGCCUUCAUUAUACAAAUUAGUAUAAAUAAAGUGCCUUUCACUAUUAAUUAGUUUCUUAAAUACUUGUUCAAAAAAGAUUAACUAGUUAGUUUCGGGUUUUCUUUCAUCAAUAUUGUGCCUCCUAUUGGUAUUUAUUUACUUUGUACUGUGAAAUCUCAAAAUUUUUGACAUUUUUUUAAGGCUGGAAACUGUUUGAUAAACUAACAAUACAAAAUUAGCAUAACAAUAAUUUAAUAAGUUUACUUACCUCUUUAGAGAAUUAUCCCAACAACCUACUGUUACUCAACCACUAAUAGAUAUUGGGUUGGUUAACUAUAUCACGUUCCCUGAAGGUUAAUUAACUGACUCAACAUUAAUCUACUUUCACUCAACCACUAAUAGAUAUAGGGUAUGAAACCCGGCCACUCUCCACCAAAUCGUUCGCCACCUUGAUGUAUCCGUUGUGACCCCACCCAUGCCUCCACGAGUUUUUACAUAAAUAAAACAACUUCUCUUCAUCACCAUCUUCAAACCCCUAACCAACCACUUGCAGAGCAUGCUGAGGUAUCAUCUUGCCUUCUCAUUUUCUGUUUUCAUCUACUCCUCCUCAUAUCGUGUUGGACCCCUAUAAACACCCUGAACAAAAAAGUUAUACCGUCAUACAAAUAGAAAAUAAUCAAUCACGUAAUAACAUUGAUACCAAAUGAAAACAAUAACAGUGAAAGACCCACUUACAUUUCCAGAAUAAUGCCGUAGGCUCCUCACAAAUGGAACUGACACAGCUAAAGGUUGUUCCUGCAAGCGCUCCAUAAUCUUUUCUUUGCUGCCAAUUUUUGUAUAAUCCUUGAUAUAGAUCUUUCGCUUCUAAAAAAAACAUACACAAGUUAGACAAGAUUUUUAAAAAAUAUACACAAGUUAGACAAACUAAAACAAGCAAUUGAUGUACUUGAAUAGAUAAUAUAAUUACCACUCCGGGAGGUGUAACACAUGGUUGUUUCAUUCCUUUCAAUGGACAAUGAUUUUCUGAACAUACACCACGCAACUAGAUAUAUUUAAACGCCUUGUUAAUUGAGCUAGGAUACCCAUAUCUUGGAUCAAUGGACUUCCCCCAUUCGGCCUUUUGCUUUUCUGAGAGGGGGAAGAGGUCAUGGAUACAGUAGAUCAAUUCUUGAGGCGCUAAAAGAUGCAGCUGAAAUUACUCUGUCUUGAGAAAUUUUUCAUGCUCCAAACAUAAUGCCGCAUACACGCAAUCUACGGCUGGAAAUGCAUAGCAAGCACCUACGCAAAAAUGCAGUUUCCAUGAUAAAGUAAAAUAGAAAAAAGAAAAACAACAUACAAACGAAAAUCAACACACAGAUAGCCCUUGAGAUUUGGCCAAACUCCCCACCGAACCUCAAGAUUUAGCCAAACAACAUAAAAUCCCCUCUCUUAAAAAACGUCUAUUGCAUAUCUUGGAUGAAUUAGUGAAAUGACUAGAUGCUUACAACACUUAUGAAUUAGUGAAAUGACCAAACCCCAAGAUUUAGCCAAACAAUAUAAAACGGAAAACUCUUACUUGAUCAACACCCACUAAUCAUAAUAGCAAUAUAAUGAUAAAAAAAAAUUUCAGUCUUUUAUGAAUUUUCAGAUCCAAUUUCAAAAAAUUCCAAAUCUUCAAAACACUAAAAAAUUUGCCCUAAUCAUUGAACAUGGACAUUCACAUGCAUAUCAUAAUCUUGAUUUUGAUUGUCAAAACUUGAUUCACAAGUGCUUGCUUACUUGCAAACAUCUAUCGCGAAUAGGGGUAAUGCUUUUAGAGGGAUGAACAGCCCAAUUCCACUUCACCUAAAAAAAUCUCAAAAUUACAAUAAGCAAUAGAGAGAGAGAGAGAGAGAGAGAGAGGGAGAGAGCAAAUACAACUAUAAAACUAAAAUUUGGCCCAUGAACAGGAAAACAAUCGAAAAUUAGGCAUAAAAGCAUUAUAAAAUAAAACAUUGUAAUGUACAAUGGAAAAAAUUCAGAAUUGGGCUCAAAGGCAUGAUAAAUGAAAGAUGAAAACAUUGUAACAUACAUAUUUGAAAAAUGGAUGGGAAAAAUCAACAGGUUCCAGGUCAGGCGGGGGCUCUAGAUCUUCCAGUAGAUCGCGCAAAAGUUCAAAUCUCGACAUCCUGCCAAAAAACAACAAUGAUGUAAAAAGUAUCAGUAGGAUGAAGGAAAUAACACCAGUGAUUUGCAUUACAUAAAUCAAAAGUUUUCGCAAAAAAAACAUAAAUCUUCUCAAGCAAUCAUCUUACUUACACACUUAAUGUUAACAACAGUCCUGAAGUUCAAGCAUCAAAGCAAUAGUAACUUUGGUAUAAGAGAUGAGUAUAUUAAAGGGCGCAUCAAGUGUGCUAAACACCUUCAGAUUUAGGUAACAAAUUAUUGACAUAAUCACACAAAAUAUGGAACAUGAAUCCAGCUUUUCACUUAGUCCGAAUUUUGGAAUACAUUCUAAAAGUUGAAGCCCAAAGCAGAAAUCUUAAGUUGAAAUGGGAUAAAAUCAAAUGGAGGACCAUAAAUGUAAUUGUGUAUUAGAUGCCAAAUUUGCUGCUUUGGUUCCUUCCUUUUGUUUCGAUAACUGUGAUCUCUUUAGCUUGUAGUAUACUACAUUAAAUAAUUAAGUUAAAUUGGCGAUUCUUCCAUGCUUCAUAGUGGUUCGAAAGGUUCUAAGUAUGCUGUUAGAUAAUGAUUUGCAUUGACCAGUUUGGUGAGCUCUUUCGGCAAAUCAUUUACCCAUAAUCGGAUGUCAAGUUAGAUGGAUUUAUAUAAGGUUUUAAAGCUGCCUCUUGAUUGAGGGUGUAUUUUCUAAUUGAUCUUUUGCCGAGACUUUAAGAUUCCAUUCCUCCACACUUGAUUGAUUAGAUAUCUUAUUCGAGUUUAUAUUUGCUGCUUGAGUUCUUCUGUAAAACUUGUAUAUGGGAACAAAAGAUGGGAUAAGAUUCGAGCAAUAAUAACUUAUUAGGAUACGAAUAUGAUUAUAUAAUAGUAUUGGAAACGACUACGUAUUGUGGUUAAUAAGUUACAAGUACUUCUAUUUAUAUUACAAUUAAAUUUAAUCAUUAUCAUAAAUCCAAUUCUCCCUUUUAAUGUGAUUGCUGCCAUUUUUAAAAUAAGUUACAAGUACUUGUGAUUGACAGUAAAGAUUAUUUGGAGAAUCAAAAUUUUUAUUGUUUUGUCAUUAUACUAAAUGUUGAGAUUGAUUCACUCUAUUAUUUUAAAAAGAUACAAUUUAUCUAUUACAUUUUGCAACAUAUCCUGGAAAAUUGAUAGUUUUAAUUUUUUACAAAUUUAUAGAAACUAACUUAUUUUUUGUAGUUAACCAAUUAGUGAAGUACAUACUAGUUGAGCAAAAAAGUUAACUUAAACAAUGUAAAUUUUUUUUUUUUGUAUUUGACACUGAUUGACUGAACAAUCCAAUCUUUUUGCUAUGCCAGUAUUGUUUCAUCUAUUGAAAUUUAUUUGCUUUAUUUUUUUGAUUUAUUACUUCUUAUUUAGUUCAUUUUGCAAUAUUUUCAUGGUAAGUCAAUGACAACUUUCAUUAUAUAAAUUGGUGAAAAGUAGCACAUGCUGGUUGAAUGAAAAAACUAAUUUGAAUAAUCACAUGAUUUCAUUGUGGCAAAAUUAUAUAAGUUGUGGGAAUAUGCUUACACAUUAUUAUUAAUGUAUUAUAGCAUGUUCAAUAUACUUUACAACAUACAAAGAGUCAUGAUAGCCUUCAUUAUACAAAUUAGUAUAAAUAAAGUGCCUUUCACUAUUAAUUAGUUUCUUAAAUACUUGUUCAAAAAAGAUUAACUAGUUAGUUUCGGGUUUUCUUUCAUCAAUAUUGUGCCUCCUAUUGGUAUUUAUUUACUUUGUACUGUGAAAUCUCAAAAUUUUUGACAUUUUUUUAAGGCUGGAAACUGUUUGAUAAACUAACAAUACAAAAUUAGCAUAACAAUAAUUUAAUAAGUUUACUUACCUCUUUAGAGAAUUAUCCCAACAACCUACUGUUACUCAACCACUAAUAGAUAUUGGGUUGGUUAACUAUAUCACGUUCCCUGAAGGUUAAUUAACUGACUCAACAUUAAUCUACUUUCACUCAACCACUAAUAGAUAUAGGGUAUGAAACCCGGCCACUCUCCACCAAAUCGUUCGCCACCUUGAUGUAUCCGUUGUGACCCCACCCAUGCCUCCACGAGUUUUUACAUAAAUAAAACAACUUCUCUUCAUCACCAUCUUCAAACCCCUAACCAACCACUUGCAGAGCAUGCUGAGGUAUCAUCUUGCCUUCUCAUUUUCUGUUUUCAUCUACUCCUCCUCAUAUCGUGUUGGACCCCUAUAAACACCCUGAACAAAAAAGUUAUACCGUCAUACAAAUAGAAAAUAAUCAAUCACGUAAUAACAUUGAUACCAAAUGAAAACAAUAACAGUGAAAGACCCACUUACAUUUCCAGAAUAAUGCCGUAGGCUCCUCACAAAUGGAACUGACACAGCUAAAGGUUGUUCCUGCAAGCGCUCCAUAAUCUUUUCUUUGCUGCCAAUUUUUGUAUAAUCCUUGAUAUAGAUCUUUCGCUUCUAAAAAAAACAUACACAAGUUAGACAAGAUUUUUAAAAAAUAUACACAAGUUAGACAAACUAAAACAAGCAAUUGAUGUACUUGAAUAGAUAAUAUAAUUACCACUCCGGGAGGUGUAACACAUGGUUGUUUCAUUCCUUCAAAUGGACAAUGGUUUUCUGAACAUACACCACGCAACUAGAUAUAUUUAAACGCCUUGUUAAUUGAGCUAGGAUACCCAUAUCUUGGAUCAAUGGACUUCCCCCAUUCGGCCUUUUGCUUUUCAGACAGGGGGAAGAGGUCAUGGAUACAGUAGAUCAAUUCUUGAGGCGCUAAAAGAUGCAGCUGAAAUUACUCUGUCUUGAGAAAUUUUUCAUGCUCCAAACAUAAUGCCGCAUACACGCAAUUUACGGCUGGAAAUGCAUCGCAAGCACCUACGCAAAAAAGCAGUUUCCAUGAUAAAGUAAAAUAGAAAAAAGAAAAACAACAUACAAACGAAAAUCAACACACAGAUAGCCCUUGAGAUUUUACCAAACUCCCCACCAAACCCCAAGAUUUAGCCAAACAACAUAAAAUCCCCCUCUUAAAAAACGUCUAUUGCAUAUCUUGGACGAAUUAGUGAAAUGACUAGAUGCUUACAACACUUAUGAAUUAGUGAAAUGACCAAACCCCAAGAUUUAGCCAAACAAUAUAAAACGGAAAACUCUUACUUGAUCAACACCCACUAAUCAUAAUAGCAAUAUAAUGAUAAAAAAAAAUUUCAGUCUUUUAUGAAUUUUCAGAUCCAAUUUCAAAAAAUUUCCAAAUCUUCAAAACACUAAAAAAUUUGCCCUAAUCAUUGAACAUGGACAUUCACAUGCAUAUCAUAAUCUUGAUUUUGAUUGUCAAAACUUGAUUCACAAGUGCUUGCUUACUUGCAAACAUCUAUCGCGAAUAGGGGUAAUGCUUUUAGAGGGAUGAACAGCCCAAUUCCACUUCACCUAAAAAAAUCUCAAAAUUACAAUAAGCAAUAGAGAGAGAGAGAGAGAGAGAGAGAGGGAGAGAGCAAAUACAACUAUAAAACUAAAAUUUGGCCCAUGAACAGGAAAACAAUCGAAAAUUAGGCAUAAAAGCAUUAUAAAAUAAAACAUUGUAAUGUACAAUGGAAAAAAUUCAGAAUUGGGCUCAAAGGCAUGAUAAAUGAAAGAUGAAAACAUUGUAACAUACAUAUUUGAAAAAUGGAUGGGAAAAAUCAACAGGUUCCAGGUCAGGCGGGGGCUCUAGAUCUUCCAGUAGAUCGCGCAAAAGUUCAAAUCUCGACAUCCUGCCAAAAAACAACAAUGAUGUAAAAAGUAUCAGUAGGAUGAAGGAAAUAACACCAGUGAUUUGCAUUACAUAAAUCAAAAGUUUUCGCAAAAAAAACAUAAAUCUUCUCAAGCAAUCAUCUUACUUACACACUUAAUGUUAACAACAGUCCUGAAGUUCAAGCAUCAAAGCAAUAGUAACUUUGGUAUAAGAGAUGAGUAUAUUAAAGGGCGCAUCAAGUGUGCUAAACACCUUCAGAUUUAGGUAACAAAUUAUUGACAUAAUCACACAAAAUAUGGAACAUGAAUCCAGCUUUUCACUUAGUCCGAAUUUUGGAAUACAUUCUAAAAGUUGAAGCCCAAAGCAGAAAUCUUAAGUUGAAAUGGGAUAAAAUCAAAUGGAGGACCAUAAAUGUAAUUGUGUAUUAGAUGCCAAAUUUGCUGCUUUGGUUCCUUCCUUUUGUUUCGAUAACUGUGAUCUCUUUAGCUUGUAGUAUACUACAUUAAAUAAUUAAGUUAAAUUGGCGAUUCUUCCAUGCUUCAUAGUGGUUCGAAAGGUUCUAAGUAUGCUGUUAGAUAAUGAUUUGCAUUGACCAGUUUGGUGAGCUCUUUCGGCAAAUCAUUUACCCAUAAUCGGAUGUCAAGUUAGAUGGAUUUAUAUAAGGUUUUAAAGCUGCCUCUUGAUUGAGGGUGUAUUUUCUAAUUGAUCUUUUGCCGAGACUUUAAGAUUCCAUUCCUCCACACUUGAUUGAUUAGAUAUCUUAUUCGAGUUUAUAUUUGCUGCUUGAGUUCUUCUGUAAAACUUGUAUAUGGGAACAAAAGAUGGGAUAAGAUUCGAGCAAUAAUAACUUAUUAGGAUACGAAUAUGAUUAUAUAAUAGUAUUGGAAACGACUACGUAUUGUGGUUAAUAAGUUACAAGUACUUCUAUUUAUAUUACAAUUAAAUUUAAUCAUUAUCAUAAAUCCAAUUCUCCCUUUUAAUGUGAUUGCUGCCAUUUUUAAAAUAAGUUACAAGUACUUGUGAUUGACAGUAAAGAUUAUUUGGAGAAUCAAAAUUUUUAUUGUUUUGUCAUUAUACUAAAUGUUGAGAUUGAUUCACUCUAUUAUUUUAAAAAGAUACAAUUUAUCUAUUACAUUUUGCAACAUAUCCUGGAAAAUUGAUAGUUUUAAUUUUUUACAAAUUUAUAGAAACUAACUUAUUUUUUGUAGUUAACCAAUUAGUGAAGUACAUACUAGUUGAGCAAAAAAGUUAACUUAAACAAUGUAAAUUUUUUUUUUUUGUAUUUGACACUGAUUGACUGAACAAUCCAAUCUUUUUGCUAUGCCAGUAUUGUUUCAUCUAUUGAAAUUUAUUUGCUUUAUUUUUUUGAUUUAUUACUUCUUAUUUAGUUCAUUUUGCAAUAUUUUCAUGGUAAGUCAAUGACAACUUUCAUUAUAUAAAUUGGUGAAAAGUAGCACAUGCUGGUUGAAUGAAAAAACUAAUUUGAAUAAUCACAUGAUUUCAUUGUGGCAAAAUUAUAUAAGUUGUGGGAAUAUGCUUACACAUUAUUAUUAAUGUAUUAUAGCAUGUUCAAUAUACUUUACAACAUACAAAGAGUCAUGAUAGCCUUCAUUAUACAAAUUAGUAUAAAUAAAGUGCCUUCCACUAUUAAUUAGUUUCUUAAAUACUUGUUCAAAAAAGAUUAACUAGUUAGUUUCGGGUUUUCUUUCAUCAAUAUUGUGCCUCCUAUUGAUAUUUAUUUACUUUGUACUGUGAAAUCUCAAAAUUUUUGACAUUUUUUUAAGGCUGGAAACUGUUUGAUAAACUAACAAUACAAAAUUAGCAUAACAAUAAUUUAAUAAGUUUACUUACCUCUUUAGAGAAUUAUCCCAACAACCUACUGUUACUCAACCACUAAUAGAUAUUGGGUUGGUUAACUAUAUCACGUUCCCUGAAGGUUAAUUAACUGACUCAACAUUAAUCUACUUUCACUCAACCACUAAUAGAUAUAGGGUAUGAAACCCGGCCACUCUCCACCAAAUCGUUCGCCACCUUGAUGUAUCCGUUGUGACCCCACCCAUGCCUCCACGAGUUUUUACAUAAAUAAAACAACUUCUCUUCAUCACCAUCUUCAAACCCCUAACCAACCACUUGCAGAGCAUGCUGAGGUAUCAUCUUGCCUUCUCAUUUUCUGUUUUCAUCUACUCCUCCUCAUAUCGUGUUGGACCCCUAUAAACACCCUGAACAAAAAAGUUAUACCGUCAUACAAAUAGAAAAUAAUCAAUCACGUAAUAACAUUGAUACCAAAUGAAAACAAUAACAGUGAAAGACCCACUUACAUUUCCAGAAUAAUGCCGUAGGCUCCUCACAAAUGGAACUGACACAGCUAAAGGUUGUUCCUGCAAGCGCUCCAUAAUCUUUUCUUUGCUGCCAAUUUUUGUAUAAUCCUUGAUAUAGAUCUUUCGCUUCUAAAAAAAACAUACACAAGUUAGACAAGAUUUUUAAAAAAUAUACACAAGUUAGACAAACUAAAACAAGCAAUUGAUGUACUUGAAUAGAUAAUAUAAUUACCACUCCGGGAGGUGUAACACAUGGUUGUUUCAUUCCUUCAAAUGGACAAUGGUUUUCUGAACAUACACCACGCAACUAGAUAUAUUUAAACGCCUUGUUAAUUGAGCUAGGAUACCCAUAUCUUGGAUCAAUGGACUUCCCCCAUUCGGCCUUUUGCUUUUCAGACAGGGGGAAGAGGUCAUGGAUACAGUAGAUCAAUUCUUGAGGCGCUAAAAGAUGCAGCUGAAAUUACUCUGUCUUGAGAAAUUUUUCAUGCUCCAAACAUAAUGCCGCAUACACGCAAUCUACGGCUGGAAAUGCAUCGCAAGCACCUACGCAAAAAUGCAGUUUCCAUGAUAAAGUAAAAUAGAAAAAAGAAAAACAACAUACAAACGAAAAUCAACACACAGAUAGCCCUUGAGAUUUUACCAAACUCCCCACCAAACCCCAAGAUUUAGCCAAACAACAUAAAAUCCCCCUCUUAAAAAACGUCUAUUGCAUAUCUUGGACGAAUUAGUGAAAUGACUAGAUGCUUACAACACUUAUGAAUUAGUGAAAUGACCAAACCCCAAGAUUUAGCCAAACAACAUAAAACGGAAAACUCUUACUUGAUCAACACCCACUAAUCAUAAUAGCAACAUAAUCGCCGAUGACCCAUGUAACACUAUUUUGAACUAUGCCUUAAAUGUUGUGAAACAGUUUGCUUAUGACAGACUGGACAUGCUAAAUAACCUUUAGUGCUCCAUCCAGAUAAAUUAGCAUAACUAGGAAAGUCAUUAAUGGUCCGCAGUAAAGCAAUUUGCAUUUGAAAAUUCUGCUUUGAUGAUGCAUUAUAAAUAAUCACACAUAUGUCCCAUAAUUCCUUCAACUUAACCACAAGAGGUUAAAGGUAAACAUCAAUAUUAUUUUCAAGUGCAUUUGGACCAGGAAUAAGUAGUGACAACAUAAAGUAUGGCUGUUUCAUACACAUCCAUGGUGGAAGAUUAUAAGACAUCAAUACUACCGGUCAUGUACUAUGAUUCACAUUCAUGUUUUUGAAUGGAUUAAAUCCAUCCAAAAUCGACCCAAUCUAACAUUACGAGGUUCUUUUGCAAAUUUGGGAUUUUAGUAAUCAAAUGAUUGCCAAACUGGAGUAUCUACAGGAUGUCUCAUGUGACCAUCCUUAGCACGGCCCUCGAUAUGCCAUUUUCAUGAAAUAUGCAAUUUUAGAUGACAUGAAUAGACGCUGCAAUCGGGGUUUAAGUGGAAAGUACUACAAAAUCUUAUGGGGAACUCUCUGUUUUUCACCAGUGGAUCAUCCUCUGAUGGCACCCACCUAAGAUGUUUACAAAUGUCAUAUUUGAUCUUUGAUUCAUAUUUUUCCCAAUACAAUGUGCAAUCAUUAGGACAAGCGUCAUUGUUUUUAUAUCCAAGUUCUAGUUCUUUCAUUAUCUUUUUUUGCUUCAAAAUAGGAAUUGGGUAAAUUUACACCUUCUGGGAGUGCUUGCAUCAACAAAUCAAGAAGUGUGUUGAAUAUGGAAUCAGGCAUUUUGAAAAGAAAGUUUAGAGAAUUGUGGGCAGUCUGGAUAAAGGGAUUGCUUUGAAUCAUUUAUUAGAUUGUAGAAUUUCUUUGCAUCAUUAUUAGGCUGCUCUAUUUCUAAUCUUUCUACCAUAUCUAGGUCCUAGUUUAGAACUCCUAAUGCAUCUUACAACAGUCCCUGCAUAUCAUCUACGAGAUUGAGUGGAGGAAUUUCAUUUGAAGGGCCAUCAGGAGAUGUAUGUAGAACAUUCGAAGAUAGCUCUCCAUGAGCUAUCCAUUAUGUAUAUCCUUUAAUAAACCCUUUCCACAUCAAGUGUGAUUCGGCCUGGUCUCUCAUGACAAAUACCCCAUUUCCACACCGAAUGCAUGGACAUAAAAUCAUCUCCCCCACACUCCCAUUUGCAAAUGCAAAAUAAAGGAAAUCUUGUAAACCAACUUUAUACUCAUCACUUGAUUGUGACAAAUUUAUCCAUCUUUUAUCCAUGUUCAAAUAGAUUCUAAUUUAAUAAAAAAAGAAAUGUUUAUUAACAUUUAAAAGACAAUUCUAUCUAACAGAUUCUAAUUUAAUAAAAAAGGAAAUGUUUUACUCCAUCUAAAAUAGAAUUCUUCUUACCAUAUUACAGAUUUUUGAACGAAACAUUUACUUAAAUAAGUAAAGUAAUUUCAAUGAUAUCCAGAAAAUGCAGCAAAGAGUUUGUUUAAUAGAGACAGACAACAAAUUAGAAUUUCAUUCCAAUAAUUGAAAAAGUAAAAUCUAAACAAUAAAUUGUUGCCAAAGAUGUCUAGCAUUGAAGUAAUAAGAUUGGAAUAUAUUUACAGCAUUUCAAGUUAAAUUUGAACAACAACAAAAACAUAUUAAGUACUAGCUCCAAUUAAUAAACCUAAACUAUAGUUAUGGAUUCAAUUUAUUAUAACUGAUCAUAGGUCUUAGUACUUAACUAACAUAAAAUGCAGCUAUAGAAGUUGGUCAAACCUUGUUCUUCUCCUCCUUGUAUCCUCUUUAAGUAGUAGGAUUCUCUAUUGAACUUGAUUAUGUGCUGUCCAAAUCUAGUCACCUAAGAUAAAAGGUUAAAGAGGACAAAAAAAGAUAGUCUCAAAACAGAGCAGUGCUUGACAAUCAUAAAAGAACGGUGCAUCUUUGUCCCAAAGAUAUAAGAAUGAUUGAAGUUUACUUAAAUCAGAAAUUGAGAUAUACCAUGAAUGAGGGUAAACUAAGAUUUGGUUUGACAGUUGUAUUACUAAACUAUAUUGAAUCUAAACCAUUUUAGUAGAGUCACAUAUUCUAAAUUUGAGUUUAUUUGCUACACCAUGCCACAUUAGUUCUGCCACAAAUGGAGUUGGUUGAAAAUAAAGACAUAUUGGUGAUGUAACAUUUAAAACCCGGAAGUAUAGUAAGAACUAAAACAGGUGCUAGUUCCUAGUUUCUGAAGAGUUCAAUUCAAAAAUUUUCGGUUUCUACUUCAAUAUGUCUAUCUUCAACAACUAUACAUAUCAAUUCAGUUCCAAAUCUUCUCACAAUAGUACAUAUAAUCAUACAAUAUCACCCUCCUGUAAGUAUGUUAUUGCACUUUAUUAGUCUCUUGAUGACUAUCUAUCUUUCUAACAAAACCCCAAAAUCCAAUUACAAGGAAGAACAAAUAAACCAAAUUCCAAGAGCCAUCAAAUGAAGAAUGAACAAAGCUGAAAAUAAGAUGCUUAAACUAGACUAAUAAAGUUUCUUAAACUCUAUUUGGUUUCUUAUCACAAUCCGAAUCUGAAUCCAAGAACUUGGUAAUUACCAACCACUCAAGUAUCGCCCAAUAUUGCCCUGUUUAGGAGCACAUAAUUUAAACAUCUUCAAGUUCAACCAGCAGCAUUAAAACUAGUUAAACAACUAUUGAGAUGGGGCAGAUAUAUUUUGAAAGUUUCUUUCUGGCAAAACAGCAAACACAUAGCAAAUAUUAUUAGACUUCACGUUUUUGGGUGGAAAAGUAUAACACUAAAUGCUUGAAAUCAGUCCAAACUCAUGACAAACAGAAUAACCCACUUAAUAUCAGAUGCCUUUUGCCUCCUUCUUGGCCAAAAGGCGCCUUAGUGGAGCGCCAUUUUGUUUCAACAUUUUCUGUUUUUUUUUUCAAUCCGUUUCCAACAUUACGAUGUCGUUUUGGUGUCUCCUUUUCCUUUUUAAUGACUAUUCCUAUUGCAUGUCAUAUUAAGAUUGUAUUAUGACAUUUUGCUAAAAGUGUCAUAAUAAGUAUGUCAUUAAAGACUAUUUUUGUAGUAGUGUCUGAUUCCUGUUGCUAAGCUAGUUUGUAAAGCUUGUGUCUAUUAGUGAUGCACCUUGUGCAUUACGCUUGCAACUUGUUAACGGUCUAUAAUCCUUUUUGUUUUCCAAAUAGAUAUAUUUUUCAGCAGUACAUUACCUGUGCUUUUGUAUGGGAAGAUUAGUUUUAUAGUAAUUUACCUUAUUUGGACUUUCGUGAGAAGUUGAACACUAGAUACCUUUUGUCUCCUUCUUGGCCAUUUGCCUCUACUUUUCAGGCUCCCUUUUUUUCCUGCUGCCUUUUUGUGUUUCUAUUGCUGCUCCACAUUAUUUUAAUAAAAAUAGCUCGGGCAUAUAGUGAGAAUAUCAUGCCUUAUGAAAGUGGCAAUGCCUUUAAACUUCCACUUAGUGUUUCAGUUUUCUUGUAUUAGAAUCAUAGUGGACUUAGCCUUUAAACUAUAAUUACUUGAGGAUAUGUAGAAAACUUAACACAAAUGAUAUUCAAGAUGUUCUUAAGCAAGCUUUUCAAGCCGGUACAUUAUGGCCAUGUACUUUACCCUAGUUUUCAUGAGUGUUCUAGAGAACUAACCCAAUUUCUCAUAAGAGUAGUCAAACCCUUACACUCAUAUAGGUGAGUCUAUCAAGAAUGUUUCUGUGACUAAAACAUCCCACCCAUAAGGGCUAUAGAAUUCAUUAAGAGAUUAGUUUUCAACCUCUCAUAUUCGUCAUAGAAUUACAUGCAUAGCAUCCUAUGAUUAGACUAAAAAUUUGCAUGUAUCACAAUAAGCGACUCUAUGAUUCAUUUGUUCCUUUGGGUUGAUCCAUAUAAAUCUCUUCAUUUAAAUCACCAUUAUCCAUUUGAGAUAUUUUUAAUUCAUGAAUUGCUACUAUAGCUAUUAAAAGUUGUAUAGAAGUCACUCUUGUAACUGGUAAAAAAGUAUCGAAGAAAUGUAUCUCUUCCUUUUGCUUAAAACCUUUUGCAACAAACCUGACUUUAUAUUUAUCUAUAGUGCCAUCAGGUUAAAGUGUUUUCCUUAAUAUCCAUUUACAACCUAUAGUUUUACAAACUGGAGGUAAAUCAACUAAUUUUCAAGUUUUAUUAGACAUUAAAGAUUCCAUUUCAUCAUUAAUUAUUUCUCUCCAAAAAUCAGAAACAAAUGAUGACAAAGCUUUAGAAAUAGUUAUAGAAUCCCCCUCUACAUUAUAAGUUUGAAAAUCAGGACCAAAAUUUUUUUGUAUUCUUUUCCUUUUACUGGAUCUCAAUUGCUCUUUUCCUCUAGUUGAACCUUUAGCGUUAGAAGAACUAGUUUCUUCGGAUAUUCCACUAUAUUAGUUCAAUUUUAUACCCCCACUAUCUUUAAAUUUGAAUGAAAAUUUAUUUUCAUGAAAAAUUGCAUCUAAAGAUUCAAUUACUACGUUAUUUUCUAAAUCUAGAAAUCUAUAUGCCUUACUAUUUAAAGAAUAUCCAAGAAAUAUUCAUCUAAUUGCUUUUAUUCCUAAUUUUGGAAUUUUUGGUUCAGAAAUGCCUACAUACGCUAAACAACCCUAUACUCUAAAAUAUUCAAUAUUGGGUUUUUAUUUCUCCAUAAUUUGUGAGGAGUUAUUAAAUCUUUUUUAUGUGGUAAAUAAAGUAUAAUUUGCUGAUAAAAUAGCUUCACCCCAUAAAUUUUUAGGUGCACUCGAAUUUGCUAACAUAGCAUUUGUUAAAUCUAUCAAAGAUUUAUUUUUUCUUUCAGCCACACCGUUUGAUGGAGGUGAAUAUGAUGGAGUAACCUUAUGUAUUAUUCCUAAUGAUUUGAUAAAAUUUAUAAGGCCAAUAGUAUCAUAUUCUUUUCCUUCAUCUAUUCUGAAUCUUUUGAUUUUCCUUUCAAAAUGAUUUUCAACCUUUUUAAAAAAAAUAAUAAAUUUCUCAAAAGCCUCACUUUUAUGUUUCAUAAGGUAGAUAUAACAAUAUUUUAAAAAAUCAUCUAUAAACAUGAUAAAAUAUCUUUUACCUCCACAUGUUAAUAUGCUUUCAACUUCACAAAUGUCAGAAUGUAUUAAUUCUAAUAAUUAUGUUUUUUUUCAACUUUUAAAUGAGAUUGUCUAGUUAUUUUAGUCAUGCUACAAUAUUCACAGUUUUCAAACUCAUUAUGCAAUUUUGGAAUUAAUCCUAUGUGGCUCAUAUUUUUUAAGUAUUUGCUAGUUAUAUGACAAAGACAUGCAUGCCACAUAUUUAUACAAGAAACGAUGUAACCAGAUGUAGAAAUUUCAUUCAUUUCAACAUUAAGUUUAAACAUACCAUCACAAGCAUAACCUUUUCCAACAAAGGUACCAUUUUUUGUAAGCACAUAUUGAUCAGACUCUAUAGACUGCUUAAAACCAGAUUAAGAAGAUAGCAAGAAACCAAGUUCUUCUUAAUUUCAGGAACGUGAAGAAUAUCUCUUCGGGUCAAGACACGCCCAGAAGUAAAUUUUAGUUCAACUUCGCCCAUGUCUAGAACAUUGGUUGUAUGUGAAUCUCCUAGCAAAAAUUUUGUUUCUUUUUCAAUAUCAGAAUAACUUUUGAACCAAGUUCUAUCAUACCAAACAUGUCUAGAGGCACUAGAAUCAGCCCACCACUCUUCAGUAUUUCCAACAAAAUUGAUUUUAGAAAUCAUAGCCACAAAUGGCUCUUCUAUUGGUUGAGUCACAUUAGCUUGUGGCUUAAAAUUGGGUCCAAAUGUUCUAAAACGGCAAUUUUUUGCACGAUGACCCAAUUUUUCACAAACAAAACAAGCUCUAUUAUUCAUAUUAUUUCCAAAAUUUUGGAACAUUUGAAACUUAUUUUGAAGGGGGUCCUUGAUUUGACUUUUUCUGAUUAAAAUUAUUUUUUGAAAACUUGUUUUUCAUAUUCUUCCCUCUAGACUUCAAGUAGGCGUUAUUUUUGUCUUGUUGACCCUUAGAGACAUUGUCACUAGAAGUUAGGAAGUUUACCUUAGUAUUCCCAUUGAAAUCUUCACCUUUAUCUUGUUUUCUUCUUCAAUGUGCAACCUUGCCAUCAAAUUUCCUAUAGUCAAUUCUUGUUGCUUGUGACGUAGCCCUUUCUGAAAAUCUUUUCAUGAUGUUGGAAGUUUGUCAAUGAUGGCUGCAACUUGCAUUUGUGGAUUGACUUUGACUCCUUCACACUCAAUCUCAUGGAUGAUCAUUUGCAAGUCAUGAACUUGCUCUAGCAUUGGCUUGUUCUCCACCAUUUGGAACUCAAAAUAACGGCUACAAGCAUAUUUUUUCGAACCUACUUCUUCGAUAUCGUAUUUUUGUUGCAAUGCUCUCCAAAUUCUUUUGCUAAAGUAUAAGAUAAAAAAUAAAAAUCAUAAAGUUCAUCAAACAAACAAUUAAGGAUAUAAUUUUUGCAAUCUUCCUCAUCAUUUUUCCAUUUUUGAAUACCCUUUCUUUAUCAGUCAUUAGACUGGUGUCUAUCUUUUUUGGAUUCUUUGUGGCUAGGACCCAGGCAACCUUCAUUAGUUUCAAAUAGAACGUCACUUUUUUGGCCCAUCUUUUGAAGUUGGCCACUAAAGCGAAAUGGUUUGUUAAGACCACUAGAUCCAAUAGUGCUAGCGUUUGCAACACUGCUUGCAACUUUCAUGAUACUCGAAUCAUCUUAAAUUGUUGUUCCUUUAGAACUUGAUAUGCAUGAUCAACCUACAAAACAAAGGUUAAAGAAAGAGAAAUAAAGCAAUUUUGUCUAAGUGAGGCACGGACUAGAUCGCUCUCUUAAGACGAUUCGCACCCCUCUUGGGAUUAUGCCAAGUGUAGAAGGUUGAUGGUACAACAACUCAACCUAUGCCUCUGAGAUACAACAGCUCAGCCUAUGCUGUUACUUCUACUAAAUCUACACAAUUUAGAGAAUCUAAAGCUCUUCCCAACACCUAACUAAUGCCCAAUAAAAGCGAGAGAAAGAUAGUUUUUGAGAUAGUAAGAAAGUGUAUCAAACUUGGUUGAUAGUGGCCUCUAUUUAUAGGCUAAACUUUAGGAGUAUUAGAAUACCACCAUUAAAUGGAAUAAAUAUGUCAUAUUUUCAGGUACAAAUUUUGAAAAGGUCUAGGUCAUUGUAUAAUAGUUAAAAUUCACUAAAUAAAUUCGUAAAACCUAAUCAUUACAUAGGUUACAAAUACAAGACAAAUCUCAGAAGUUACCCUUUUGAAUGGUUGAUUUUAUGACUGAAAAUUCAUUAAAAAAUUUGUAACUUGUUGUUUUUGAAUUUAAAAUAAGCAUGUGAAUGAAUUCAAAAUAUAAUGAUAUUUUUAUUAAAAUAUCCAACAAUAGGAAUGACGAUUUAAGCUUAUUGAAAUCUAUUCAUCUUGCAAAAUUUGCAUCGAUUGUCUCUUUCUCUAUUACAGUUUUAAACAGAUACAUUGACCAAUUUGUUGAAUUGAACCAAAAGUAGUACUAAAACAAGUGUACAAGACUCUAAAAAAACAUUUAGAAAAACUUGAUCAAGAACCUAUAACACUCUAAAUAAAGCAUCACUUUUUGCUCAUUCUAUUAGCUUUUGAAUGGACUAUCUAACUUUUCUAUCCAGUUUUUAACUAGUACCCUACCCAAUAAGUUUUGGAAUAAUUUCAAAAACCUCUCUUGAGAUUUCUCAUAAUAUUAUUCAACUCCUCUAAAGAUUUUAAAAUGUCACUUACCUCCCUUGUUAGUUUGACUUGACUAAAUAUUUUUAUCAAAUGUCACAAAUUAAUUAUAUUACCCUUACUCUUAAUAACUAUUUAACCAAAAAGUCAAAACAAAAUAAAAUUUUUAAACCAAAAAAUGUAGAUUAAAACAAAAAUAAAUUAUUAUAUGAUAAUAGUCUAUAUUUCUCUUUAUUGAGAUCAUGAUGGCAUAGCAAAGGACAUAAAUAAAUUAAAUCCAAUUAAAAUCAACCACUUAGGAGGAAUUUGGUGAAUAAUUAAUACCUUGAAAACUUUCAUAGACAGUUAUAUGAAAGCCAAGAAUUUUUUCAAAAAACAAAAUCAAGAAACUUUUUUAGGAAAUACAUUUUAAUACAUGAUGUAGUUUAAGUUGUAUUGAAAAUUAAAAUAAUCUCUUCAUAUAUGUGAAUUCUACAAGGUGUAAAAUUUGGAGAAAAUGACCUGUUUCAUCCCUUAGAUUUCGCAAAAAUAUUCUUUUCAUCCCUCAUUUUUAAAACGAAAUAAAUUCGUCCCUGAAAUUUAAAAAUUAAAACUAUUAUAUCCUUGAACUCAACUUUCAAUCUAAAUCAAACCAUCUUAUAUCCUAGUAAUAAUCUUCAGUGAUAGAAUUGAUAGAUCACUCGAUCAACUCCAUCACAUUCACAUGACAUUUAUUGAACCAAAAAAAGUAAAACAAUUAAAAAAUUAUAACAUAAAAGGCCUAUCUUUGUUUUGAAAUAGUAGGGUUUCUUUUUUGGGUAAAUUUUUUUAUGCACUGUUAGCAUAUAAACUUGUGAGUCUAGAUGUAUACUAUACAUACAAAGUUUGGUAUUUAAAUUAAAAUUAAAAUGAUGUGGCAGGUAUCUAGACCCGUCAGUGUAUACAAUGAUAAUGUACGAAAGAUUAAUUCUUUUUUAUGUUUUAAUUUUAUAUUUUCCUUUUUAAGUUUAUUAAAUUUCACGUGAAUAUUAAGUUGAGUUAACCAAGUAAUUUGCCAAUUAUACCCCCAAAAUUUGUUAUUGGAUUGUUGGGUGGUUGGAUUCAAAACGAAAGUUGGUUUCAGGGAUGUAAUAGCUUUAGUUUUUAAAUGUCAAAAAUGAAUUUGCUUUGUUUUAAAAGUGAGGGACUAAAAGAAGUCAUUUUUUUGGUAAAUUUUGCUUUGUUCCAAAAUAAUUAAAAUAAAUAGUUUAAGUUAAGAAAUUUACACCUUAUAAAAAGUUAAUCUUAUUUUAUUUUUUAUUAUUGAUGUAAACUUUAUAAGUGGGAUAACAUGGGGGUAGUACUGGAAUAAAACACUUUAUCUUUCUUGUAUUUCCUUCAAAGAGGCUAAAACGUUACAAUAAAUGUCAAUCCAAGGGAGAUAAAUGAAAAUUUAAAAAUCUCAGGGGAGCUGAGUGCUAUUAUGAGAAAUCUAAGGGGAGGUUUCUGAAAUUAUCCCAUAAGUUUAAGUAAGCGUAAAAUAGUAAUGUCAAAUCACACAUUGGGAGGAACAUGUAUAAUAAUUUGAAUCAAUCAAGAAAACUUUUGGCCAAUCAAUGAAUUGAAUCAAUCAAAAGAACUUCUGGCCAAUCACCUACUGAAUCAAUCAAGAGAACUUUUGACAAUUAAGAGACUAAAAAGUUUACUUUUGACAAAAAAAAAAAAAAAAGACUAAAAAGUUUACAUUACUUUUAAAAAUUGUUACUCUGUUCAAAUAUUAGAUGGAAGUUUUUUUUUUUUCAACUAUCUUACCAAAGGUCAAUCUAUUAGGAUUUGUAUUGAUGGGGCUUCCAACAACCAUUACUCUAUUAUCAUUUGAUAGUCCAAACAAAUUGUAAAGUUAGAUAAACGACUAGAAAAUCUUGUUAGAUAUAAAUUUGAUGCAUUCAAAAUCUAUAGAGCAGUUUACUAAAAGACUUGUUACGUUUCUUGCUUCCAUUUUCCAUGACUUUAAAUAUCUUCACUCUGUCUGCAAUAAUGAUUUAUUGAUUUGCAAUCAUAGCACUGUCUCCUUAUUAGGCUUGUCAACGGUCCGGGUCUAGACCCGAAUCCGACCCCGAUCCGUGAAAUUAUUGUGGGUAUGGGUCGUAGGGAUUUAAUUCCGUUAUUCGAACCCGGAUCCGGAUCCGUUUUGUCAAACAAAAAAAUGGAUCGGAUACGGAAUAUAGUAUUCCGACCCGUAUUAGACCCGGAUCCGAAUAUAAAUAGAUUAAUAAUUUAAAAUAUGUAUAUUUAUCAAUAUAAUUUGAUUAGGGUGAUGUAUUUGAGUAAAGUCAAUUUGAUUUCUUUCCUUAUUUGAUUUUUUUUUUGUAUUAGUUAGAAAUUAGUGCAUAAAUAUAUUUUUCUCUCAUUUUUAUUAGAAAUUGUAAAUUUUGAUAAAUUUUUCGGGUAGAUCCGAUCCAGAUCCGAGAUCCGUCGGAUCCGGAUCCAAAACAUAGAGUAGAAGACCCGUCGGGUAAACGGGUCGGACCGGAUCCCAUUUGGUAUGCCGGGUCUAGGUCUGAAAUAAUGAAUUUUGACCCGGACCCGGCCCGUUGACAGGCCUACUCCUUAUCUUGGGAACUCUCACAAUUUGUGCAAAUUUUAGAUUUCUUUGUUUUUCUCUUCUUAUUUUUGAAAAAGAUCAACAAACAAGUCUAUCAAUCAACAAAGACUUGGUAUUUUCUCUUCUCACCAAGAUUUGUAACCUCAGCUAUUGAUAUCUUCUUCCAAAGUAAUUAUCUAUUUCUUCUAUGAGAAAUUUUGCAGACUAAAUUUUUCAUUAUUGAGCAAUUUUGUGACAUAGGACAAAAAAAUUAGAAAAUAUGCAAGAAAAAUGGCUUCUAAAGAGAAAAAGAGAGAGCUUUUAUGAUUUUAUCGAACUUGGUCUUGAAUAAGAAUCUCUUCCAAAUUUUUACAAAUCAAAUACUGCCAAUGAAAUCUAAAAUUUCAAUUUUGAGUGCCAUCUAUUUUAACCAUAAGGUAAAAUUGCAUAUGGAAUUUUUUUUUUAUCCAAUUAUUAAUCAAAACGAUGUCAUUUUGAAAGGAUUUGUUUCACCUGACUAGGUGGCACGUGGUGAUCCAAGUAUUUUGGUUUGUACGACAGCUAUUCUCAAGCAAUUUAUUUGACAGCUGUUUGUGCCCCGAAUCCAUGAAGGAAAAGCAAGAGAGAUGAUGUAGAUAAUGAUUUGUUUGUAAUUGCUAGAAGUUGAUAGUUAAAUUACAAUUAGCCAAUUUUUUGUUGGAUAUGCCUUUGAAUUUUUUUUGGGUAAAUUAAAAUUUGCAUUUGCAUUUGAAUUUUUUGAUAAAUUAAAAUUUAUUUCCAAGCAGUAAAAUGUACGUUACAAUCACUACAACCCAUGAAAGCAAAACGAUUUUUCUUUGGAUUUGCUUGUCAUGUUUGGAUAUCUUUCCACUUGGUGCCAUUACAGUUUUUAUCAUUCUUAUCUGGAGCUUUCUAAUUGUGGAGUGAUUGUAGUUUACAUUCUUAUUGCGUGAUUUGGAAAUUGUGCAAUUGGAAAAGCUAUUGAUGUGUCAAUUUGGUCGACUUGAGUAUGUAGUGUUCUCUCGUAUGCUGUUUUAAGUAAUUUUUAGCUAAUACAAAUGGUUAAAUGCUGAUUGACCUUCACAGUUGAUACUUAGUAUUUGGUUAUGUUAUCAAGCAAUUCAGGGCUUCUUAACAAGGUCCAGCCAAGUUUCACCUUACGCCAAUGAUGGCAGAAACGUUCCCCAGAAUAUGAAAUUUUGAAUUGUUAGGAUAGGAAUUGGCUUUUGAGUCUUUAACCACUACAAAUCCGCUUAUCCACAAUUUGCAAUUGAUAGGAGUUGGUUAACCAUUCAUUAUCAAUUAUUAAAAUGCAACUUCUAAAGAAAUAAGAGUUGGUGAAAUAUUCAAUGGAUGUGUUGCAUGUAAUUUACAAUUACAUGUUCACUGUUGAGUACUUGUGCAUUUUCCCAUCAAUCCUACCUCUCUUGUUAAAGGAAAACUCACUUCAAGAACCCAUCACUUUUUAAUCAAUUAACUUGGUUCUUUAAUCAAUUAACGAAUCUAUAAUCUAAAUAUAAAAGCAAACAAGAAUAUAAAAAUCUGUAAUAAACUAAAAUAAUUAACUGAAAACAAGCCCUAACUAAUAUAAUAAUUGCAAUGAGAUAAAUUUUCGAAUAAUACCAAACUAGAUAUUGAAACAACCAAUAGUAGUACCAAAGUACUUAUCAAGACAUGUUGUUCUCGUUGAUUUUAGGUAUUUCUGCUGGAGUUUUCUCGAAGAAGACGGCGUUUGAUCAAGGUUUUUAUGCUUAAUUCUUGCUCAAUGCGAAUGGUAGGCACAGGAUCCGAAUCAGAUUCAAGCUUAGGGUUUUGCGCCUUUAAAACACCUCGAAUAUCCCACUUUCUCUCUUUUUCAUAAAAAAAAUAAAAUAAAAAAGCACUGGAAAUUAAAAUAGCCAAUAUAAUGCCCUAUUUAGAUUGAUCUCCAUGCAGACACAACUUUCCUGGUCUCUCCCUCUCAAACAUAUACACAAGAAAGAAAUACCCACACAUACAUUGCACAAUUGGAUAUACAUCCUUCCUUUUGGAUGGUUGGAUGGCUUAAAGAGGUACUAAUGGAGGAAAAGGUAUCAAAGGCUGGACAAUGCCAUCAAGAUGAAAAGAAAGAAAGCUGAAGAUUGCUCAUCUAGGGAGCAAAAGAAGUCAUAAAGAGCGUGAAUUCUGAUUAAAAGUGAAUUCAAGGCUAGUUGUAAAGUUUCAUGAAGCAUAUUGGUGCAAUAACACGUUUAGCAGGCAGCAAAAGAUUUCACCAUACUAGGAAUAGAGCAAAAAGGUUUUUUUUUUUUAAAAAAAUUUUUUCCCAAUAGGAGAAGGGUGGAAUUUAAGAAGCGGUUACGAGAAAAAGAGCAGGAAAAUGUCAACCAAUUACUUGAACACAAAUUUUGCCAAUUCUUUAUCACAAUUAAUUUUAGCAUGAAAGGUCAUAUUUAAUUAACGUAGAUUAUAUUUGAUGAGAUCAUUUUAUUUAUUUAUAACUGUUGUCCAUCAAGAAGUCUAGCAGGUAAGUAUUUUCUACAUUGCAGUACUUUUAAAUUGUAUAUAUAAUUAAUUUUUUUGCCCCGUCAUUCAAAUUAAAACUAGCAAAUGGUUAUCGAAGGGAAAGAGAAAAAACGCCAUGCAAAAAUAGUGACUGGGACUAAUAUUCCCUCCUGAUAGAUGAAACUAUUAAGACAAUUUAAUUCAAAAAUUUCAUCAAUUGGAUAUAAGGGUGUCAAGCAAUUCACAAGACUUGAAUCCAAAUGCAAGGAGAAAAGAAAAAUUCUUUACAUCCAUGGUUAAGGGCUUUUGCUCACCCAAUCUAAUCCCAUACAUGAAGUAGGAGACAAGAACAUAAAGCAAAACAUCUACUAAUGAUAACAGUCAUCUAUAAAACAACUGAUCACUGUAUUGAUACUAAGAAAUUAACGUCUCAUUCUUGUUUGCUUUUGAUUUUGCAUAAGUGAUGAUAAAGAAUAAUCAGAAUCAACAAAAAUUACUCUUUGGUAGAGUAUGAAUUUUAAAUUUAUUAUUAUUAUUAUUAAAAAUUUAUAAAUCUAAAUAUAAAAACAAACUAGGAUAAAAAAAUGAUUAUUCAAAAUCAAAAUUUAUAAUCAACUGAGAUAAUCAAUAGAGAAACAGCCCCAACUUAAUAUAAGAAUCACAAUAGGAUAAUUCUCACAUAAUAGUACCAAACUAGAUACCAAAACAAGUAAUAGUAAUACCAAAGCACUUGGAGUUUUCUCGAGGAAAACGGCGCUCGAUCGAAGUUUUCAUGCUUAAUUCUUGCUCCACGCGAAUGGUAGGCACAGAAUCUGAAGAAUCAUGCUCAGGAUCGGGUUGUCCUUCUCUGAAACAGCCCAAACAACCCACUGUUUUUCUGGUCGUUUCCUGGCCAUCUUGUGUCUUUUGUUGGCCACCAGUUGUACUCUCAUUAGAGUCCUUUGGAAAAUCCUUCUUUCCAGACAUGUUACCCAUUGUUUUGCACCAAAUCAACGGGAAAACAGAAGGUGCGGCUCAGUGUUCAUUGGGGCUUAUUUAAAGAGUGAAAGUUAGGGUAUUCCUUCAUCAAUAGUACCACAUGUUAUGGAAAUAGUAUUGUUAUGGAAAAGUUAUUAAGGAAAAGGAAAGAAAAAAGAAGGAAUUUUGGGUAAUAAUGAUGGCAAUUGGCACUGAUUAGUACAUUUAGAUUUAUUGGUUUCCAUUGGAGUACACUACACAUUUAUUGUUUCUGCCAUUUUGGGUGCUUUCUUGAUUUAACUUCAUAUUUCCAAAAACAACCUGUGUUGUGUUUGUCGAUCUCUUCACUAGCUCAUCUUUCUUAUCUUUUUUCUGCUUUUGAUUUAGGUGCAUGAUGAUGAGAAAGAUUUUGGGGUAACAAAAACACUUUAUAUACUUUCUAAACUACCCUUGAUGAUGAGGGGGCUUUUGAUAUACAUAAAAAUCUAUCUGUUUUUGUAACUACCCACUAUCAAUAUGAUUUUUUACCAAGUAAUAUGUAUUUUUUUCAUAUUCUAUUUUUCAACUUAUUUAGCAAAUCUUAAUUUUAACUAACAAUUACCAAAUAUGUUUAUGAAUAACUACCAAAUAACUAAUUUUUAUAAAUUUUAUUUUGAUAAAUUUUUUACAUAUGUAUUGUCAAGAUAUAAAACCAAUUUUCUUGAAAAUUAUUUUAAUAAAUAUACUCAAAAUAUUUUACAAAUAUUUUUUUUCUAUUAGUUGCACACACAUUACUGUGUGCCUUGAAUACUAGUAUAUUUUACAACAUAAAAUGUUAAUAAUUUAUAUGUAAGUUUGUAUUAAUUCUUAAUUAUAAUAUAUAUAAUUAUGUAUUUAAUUAUGAGUUGGGACCAAGCCCGAUAUGAACCCGAAACUCAUAUAAUAGUAUGAGUUGAGUUUGAGGUUUUUUAAUAUAAGCUUGAACCUCAAAAACCUAAAAACCAAAAAUUCAAAUAAUUUGUGAGCAGAGUUUGGUCUUACUAAAGUCUGGCUCUAAAAGCUCGAUUGACACCACAAGUUGUGGAUUGCCUUUGCCAUUUGGAUGAACUGCAAGAAGAUCUUGUACUUGAUGUUCUAAGUUACCUGUCUGUGCUUAAUAUAUUCACCAGAGCAUGCUGGUAGAAAAUAUACCCUAUUUUCUGUGAUUAGGAGCAGUCUAGCCAGUUGCAUUCACCAAUGGGUUAUUUUGGAUUUUGAGAGAACAAAUUUGAGACAAUGAAUUACUACCUUCUCUGCACAGUUGGAAAAAUAGACUUCUGCAAACUGACUACAUCAAUUAUAAGCCUCUUCUUUUAGGUAUGGAGCCAUUAGCAAAACAAAGAUUAUGAACAUUCUUUUAGGCAUGGAACCAUUAGCAAACCAUUUGAAAAACAAAGAGUAUGAAGUUUAACAAAUUUUCAAAGUUAGAUUUUCUUGAGAGGCCUAUAGUGCCAUCAUAACACAUGUUCAGAGGAUUGCUUUAUCUUCAUCUUAAUGAAUCAUUGAGGUGCAAUUGAUAACAAUCUCGGUCUCCUAUUCUGAUCAUACCAUACAGAUUACAGAUAUUUGACAGUUAUAUAUGUCCACUUCCAAAAUCAAAAGAAACUUGAUAAUCUAUUUGCAUUUCCCACAAGGAAGUUCUACAAGAAAAAAAAGUGUACAAGUUUAAUCGAAAGAAUUGAAGCCAGUAGACUACUUAGACAUGGUGUCCAACUAAAGAUAAGACAAGCAUAACUGAUGAGGAGCCAAUAAGACCAAAUUUGAACUGCCUAGUUAGUUGGUUUAAUCCUGCAACUUUGGACGGGGAAAUGGGUGAUGCAAUCGGCAACGACCGCUUGCAUUGUCUUCACAUCAUCAUCAGCUUUGGCAUCAGAGGGGGCAUCAAGUUGCUUGGCUUUAAAGGUGAUAAAAAACAGACGAUUGAGGGUCCAAACGACUUUCUCAACAUCCACAAGUUCAUACUGUUUGCCCUAAUACAACAACAAGGCAAGGCAGUCAAUCAAAGAUGCUUUAAUUAAUUCACCCAAAGUGUAUAAGAAGAUCCCAAAAAAUCAACAAAAUAGCUCGGCAGUUUGAACCAAAUCAAAUGGGGAAAAAAUUGUUAAAUCACACACCCGAUCAUCCUUGAAGAUCUUCACCGCCUCACGUGCCAUUUUCUUCACUAAGUCGUAGCAUCCCUCAUCCUCCCUGAAUUCUGGGCAAGGCACGUACAUAGCAAAGGAGCCUCCAGGAUACGCAUCCUCAUCAACAUCAAAACCCUGAAAUUUUUUUUACUACUUGUUCUGUUUAAUUAAUCAACAACAUUUUGAAAAAAAAAAUACAAAUAUCCACUGUUGCAUAUGAAAUUUAUUAUGAAUAGCAGCGAUCGAACAAAUACUACACUAAAGCAAAAUCAAAUCCACCGAAUAAUAUACAUAUAAAAGGACUUUCCAACAAAUAAUGAUGUAGCUACGUUACCCCGCUCUCCUUGAUCUGACUGCUGUAUUUAUGCCACAUCUUAGCGGCCUCUUCUUCAGUUCUUCCGAGGAGCCAGGAUUCCUCCUCUUCCGAGUCCGGACUCAUGAUGUCGUCUGUUGAUGGGGGCUCACGAAAGAGACCAUCUUCUUCCUCGGAUUCGGAUUGUUUUUGUCUUUUGGCGGAUGGUUCUCCGCCGGCGCCAUACUUGAUGCGCCAAUACAGAUCAUCAAAGUCGUCGGUUGGAGGCGGGGCAGGUUGAGUAUCGCUUUUUACGGACGAACUAGCGUUCAUAAUUAUUUUUUUUGGGUUUUUUUGAAGCAGCUUUGGAUUGUGUUUUCUCCAUGCCCGCUGGACGUUUAUUAUACUCCUAGUCCCUUAGACGUCCAGCGGGCGUAGCAAACCGUGGACUUACCAGGAGCUCCAUCGAUCAAAGUUCGAUUACUCGAUUAUAGUUGGUUGUCGAAUUGAACUCGAGCCUUUAGGGAUAAGUUUAUCAAACAUUUCGAGUUGUGUGUAUGUAUGUAUAUAUAUUAUUUAUUAUUAUUAAAUUAUAGAAAAAACUUAUAUUUUUAAAAGAAAUUAUAUGUUUUACCACUUUAACUUGAGCGUGAAUUUGAUCUUAAACUCGAACUCAAAUUCUCUAUAUUGACAUAAUUCGAGCUCAAGUUUUGGAAUGAAAGAUUUGUUGAGCUCGAACUCAGAUAAUACAAUUCGAGCUUGACUUGCCAUCCCUUCUCUAGCCUCCAGCUCCCAUAUUCUAUUUUCUAGAUUUUUGAAUUUGUAAUUCAAGUGGUAGUAUAUGUUUUUGGUUUAAUUACUAUAUCAAUGUUUUUACUCGGCAUGGAUAAAAGAUCAACGGAAGAAAGGAACAACUCUGGGAUUUGAUAUAGUACUUUAUGGGCAUUGAUUGUAGAAAUUCGACUAGAGUUAAACUAAUCUUUGAUAGGUUAAUCAAUAAUUAGUUAAAAAUUUCUACUUGUCUUGAUACCUUCUAUCAUAUAACAAUUAUUCAUGUUGCCCGAAAAGAAAAAUAUUCUAAACCUACUGUAUCAUGAUUAAAAGGUCAGUCUAUUACGUAAAAAAGCAAGAAAAAAAAGGUCAGUCUGUUAAAAUUAGAAGUUCAAAUAGGGAAUCAUAAAAUAAAACUGCAAAGACUACCAUUUAUCAAGACUUAUCAUACUUCUAAGUAGUGCUCAAAUACAGAUUAAGUCAUAAAUGACCAAAUAUAUACACAUAAGUAUAGACAUAAUCCGAGUAUAUAAACAUGUAUUCACAUAAUUAUAUAUAUAUGUGUGUGUGCACGCGUGCCUAUGUAUGCAUUACUGAACCGGAACUACAAAAUAAUAAUAAUGGUGUUACCCUUCUUAAAAGGAAAAGGAAAUUGGUGUUACAUUUUAGCAUCGGAAACUUAGAACUAAGACAAAUAAAUAAAUUAAUAAGCUUAGAGCUAUGUUCUUGACACGAGCUGCAAGUUACAGCUAUACAAGGGACUAGGAUGAUACAGGCUGCAAAGGUAUAGGAAGUCCAUUUUCUGGGGUAGGCAUUAUUAUAGCACCAAGAUCCUUUUAUUGGGGAACAAAAUCUCACAUUUGUGCUUUUUGACCACAUUAUGGAAGAAUGCUAAUACAGCACCAAAUGGAACGUAUGUAAAUGGAGCUAAGCCAUUUGCCUUCUCCUCUAGAAUCAUACCCUGAAGGAUCAAAUUUCUUAAACAUGGUGCUUUAGUCAAUUUCUUAUCACAAAGUAUCAAAAUACUCAAUGGUGUAUCCACCAUUUCACUAUAAGAUUCUAGCUAGUUAUAGUCUACUGUUAUGUCCCUUGAAUGCGGAGGUUCUAAAUCUUGAUGAGUCUUCUUUUCCUACUCCAUUCUUGCCAAAAUUUUAGGAUGUUUAGUUCUCCAGUUUAAAAGAUUAAAGAAACCAUACAUUCUUUUCUGUUAUAUUAGUCAAUUGCAGAAUAGUUAGUUACCUUCUAAUCAAUUCCAUCCAUUCUCCAACUUAAGAAGUUAGAGAAAGUAUGUAAACUUUUCCUUUUUAAGUUUGUCAAUUACUGAUCAAUUACCUUCCAAUUAGUUCUAAUAUUCUUGCAAUCAAUAUCAAAUUCAAUGCAUAAAAUAUUUUUCUUCUCCCUCCCUACCCUUGAUGUAAGCAAAAUUCUGACCAGUUCCAAAAGGUUGAGGAGCCAAUUAUGUUACACUUCCCUCCUUGGCUUUUUCAGUCUUCCUCUCUCAUUACUUGUGCCCAAUACUUUUGAAAUUUUUUUUAAAUUACACUUAAAUAAUGAUUACAACACUUGAAAAACUUAAAAACCUUUUAUGCUUUUGCCCUUUUUUUCCCCCUUGGAUUCACUAGUUGGCACCUAGAACUUCACCGUCCAGUCAUUCCUUUGUGUUUUGGCUAAAUUACUAAUAACCUCCCUAUGGUCAAGUGUAUUAUCAGAUGACCUCCUUAAUUUUAUAAAUUAUUUAGCUAAUCCCCCAAUUGUUUCAUAUGACACGAAAAUGUGAUAGAAAGUAGCCUCCAUACCUUCAUGAGUUGAAAUUCCAAUAUUAUCUAUACUUAAGUACAACAUAGGAUAAUGUCUAACCACUUUGCCUAAAAUCAGGGAACAUUAUUUCAAUAUAUUCAAAAGUAUAAAAGGUUGAGUGGAUAUUUAUUCAAAUUAUAGGAGAGUAAAUAGGUAUUAUAGUUUUAUUAAAUGCAUUGUUGAAACGCGUCUAGGUCAAUUGUAGUAAUUACUUUGCGUCCAUUUUCCCUUUUACACAAAACCACAGGGAGCUUGUGGACAUUUUAAAUUGUUGGGGGUUCAUGUGGCAAUAUGCAAAACAUAGGGGGAUUAGUACUAAUUUAGGAAAAAUAAUUCAAAAUAGUCCUUACAUUUCACCUAAUGAAUUUUUUCGUCAUUCACUUUUAAAAUAUUAGCUUUAUAUGCCUUACAAAUUCAAUUUAGCAAAAUUUGGUUACAAUCUAAGUUUUCGACCAUCUUUUAUCCCGUGAUCACUAUGUGACCCACAUGUAGUCAUAUGUUAUUUAUGAUUCCGAAUCAUAAAUAAAACUGCUAAGACUACCAUUUACCGAGACUUAUCAUACUUCUAAGUAGUGCUCAAAUACAGAUAAGUCAUAAAUGACCAUAUACACACAUAAGUAUAGACAUAUUCCGAGUAUAUGAACAUGUAUUUACAUUAUAUAUAUGUAUGUAUAUAUAUCUGCACGUGCGCGUAUAUAUGUAUUAAUGAACCAGAACUACAAAAUAAUAAUAAUGUUGUUACCUUUCUUAAAAGGAACAGGAAAUUGGUGUUGCAUUUUAGCAUCGGAAACUUAGAACUAAGAUGCUUAAAAUGAACCAAUAAAUAAAUUAAUAAGCUUAGUGCUAAGUUUUUAACACGAGCUGAAAAUUACAGCUAUACAAGGAACUUGGAACUAAGAUGAUGCAGGCUGCAAAGGUAUAGGAAUUCCAUUUUCUGGGGUAGGUAUCAUAUCACCAACAUCCUUUUGUUGGGAAGCAAAACCUCACAUUUGUGCUUUUUGACCACAAUGAGCACAAAUGUGGAAGAAUGCUAAUAAAGCACCAGACGGAAUGUAUGUAAAUGAAGCUAAGCCAUUUACGUUCUCCUCUAGAAUCAUACCCCGAGGGUCCGUUUGGUUCACGGACUGGAUCAGAUAGGAUGACUCAUCCCGUAUUAUUAAUCUUGGGUUGAAUCAUCUUCAGAUAAAUAAUCCAAGUUAUCUAGUGUUUGGUUGGUUCUUGGUUGGAUAGAAUAUGUUGGAAAAUAAUCCUAUCCUGUGUUUGGUUGGAGAUUGGAUGAGGAAGGAUUAUUAUUUUAAUGACCAAAGCAUUCCUUAAUUUGUAGAUUCUUUUUAAUAAAAUAAUUUAGUAUUCUAUAAAAUAUUAAUAAAAUAAUUUAAUAUUUAUAAAUUUUAUUAAAAUAGAGUAGAUUAAAACUUUAUAAUUUUAUCAAGGGUUUUGAUAUAUAAAAAUUCGCAUUCAUUCAAACUUAGCCCAUUUGGGCCCUUAAAAAUAGAUUUUGACCAAGUUUUUGAACCUAAAUUUGAAAUUCAAUUAAAUAAUGGGCCAAGUUUUGGCUAAAUUAAGGUUAAAUCGAUUAAACCUAACUCAUUUAAGAGCUUUCAGUGAGCCAAACUCAGGCUAAUAUAGAAGAUUUUUCUUUGGAUCGAGUUUGAGUUUAUUGAUAUCCUCAUUCACAAAGUCCAAUUGAUAAGAUUAUAUAUUUAUAUAAAUUUCGUUUAGAAAAUAAAUUUAGUAAGGGUAAUUUAGUCCAAGGGCAAUAUAAUCCUUCUAUUAUGAUGUUAGUAUGGCAAACUAGUCAAAAAUUUUAAAUCAAUUAAUAGGGGUAAUUCAAAAUUUUUAAAAUAAUGAAUAGGGGCAAAUUAGUCAAAAAUUUUAAUAGAAUUAGUAAGGGCUAAUUGGUCUGUUUAUUAUGAUAUUAUUAUGUGACAGUAUGGUUAUAUAGUAGCUAAUUUGAAUUUCAAUCAUUCAUAAGGAUAAAUUAAUCCAAAUAUUGUUAUAUUGGUAGUAGGGGCAAAUUAGUCAAAAACAUUAAAAUUAAAUAGUAGGGGCAAAUUAGUCCAUUCAUAUUAUAUUAUCAUGUGGGAGUAGGAUUAUAUAAUUAUAAGAGUAUAAAUUUGUAUUUUUUAUAAGGAUAAAUUAGUUUAAAAUUUUAUCAUCCUAUUUGUUGUUAUUCUGGGAUCCCAUGAAUCGGGGAUUAAUUUAGUUAGGUAGGAUGUGUCAUCCCAUAUAUAAAAUGCAACCAAAACAUGAGAUGACACAGGAUGAUUAAUCUAAUCCUGUGCCAUCCCAUGAACCAAACGGAUCCUGAAGGAUCAAAUUUCUUAAACAUGGUACUUUAUUUAAUGUCUUGCGACAAAGUAUCAAAAUACUCCAUGGUGUAUCCACCAUUUCACUAUAAGAUUCUGGCUAGUUAUAGUCUACUGUUAUGUCCUUUGAACGCAGAGAUUCUAAAUCUUGAUGAGUCUUCUUUUCCUACUCCAUUCUUGCCAAAAUUUUAGGAUGUUUAGUUCUCCAAUUUAAAAGAUUAAAGAAACUAUAUAUUUUUUUCUGUUAUGUUAGAACUAAUUGGAAGGUAUUUGAUCAGUAAUUGACAACUUAAAAAGGAAAAGGUUACAUACUUUCUUUAACUUCUUAAGUUGGAGAAUGGAUGGAACAUUGUUGAUCAAUUACCUUCCAAUUAGUUCUAAUAUUCUUGUAGUCAAUAUCAAAUUCAAUGCACAAAAUAUUUUUCUUCUCCCUGCUUCCUACCCUUGAUGUAAGCAAAAUUCUGAACAGUUCCAAAAGGUCGAGGAGCCAAUUAUGUUACACUGCCCUCCAUGGUUUUUUCAGUCUUCCUCUCUCAUUACUUGUGCUCAAUACUUAUGAAUUUUUUUUGUAAAUUACACUUAAAUAAUGAUUACAACACUUGAAAAACUUAAAAAACCUUUUAUGCUUUUGCCCUUUUUUUCCCCCCUUAGAUUCACUAGUUGGCACCUGGAACUUCACGGUCCAGUCAUUCCUUUGUGUUUUGGCUAUAUUACUAAUAACCUCCCUAUGGUUUAGUGUAUUACCAGAUGACCUCCUUAAUUUUAUAAAUUAUUUAGCUAAUCCUCCAAUUGUUUCAUAUGACACGAAAAUGUGAUAGAAAGUAGUCUCGAUACCUUCAUUAGUUGAAAUUCCAAUAUUAUCUAUACUUAAGUACAACAUAGAAUGUUCAAAAGCAUAGAGGGUUAAGUGGAUAUUUAUUCAAAUUAUAGAGGAGUAAAUAGGUAUUAUAGUUUUAUUAAAUGUAUUGUUGAAACACAUCUAGGUCAAUUGUAGUAAUUACUUUGUGUCCAUUUUCCCUUGUACACAAGACCACAGGAAGCUUGUGGACAUUUUAAAUUGUUGGGGGUUCAUGUGGCAAUAUGAAAAACAUAGGGGGAUUAGUAUUAAUUUAAGAAAAAUCGUUCAAAAUUUUCCUUACAUUUCACCUAAUGAAUUUUUUAGCCCUUCACUCUUAAAAUAUUAACUUUAUAUUCCUUACAAAUUCAAUUUAGCAGAAUUUGGUCACAAUCUAAGUUUUCAAUAAUUUUUUUAUCUCGUGCUCACUAUGUGACCCACGUGUAGUCAUCUGGUAUGUACUAAAAAAGCCAGAUCCUACUUUUUAAUGGAAAAAAUAAAUAUAGAUUAGAUUCCACUUUUUUUUUGAAAAAAAAUGAAAAUAGUUUGGGUUAGAUUCUACUUUUUGAAGGACAAAAUUGAAUAUGGAUUGGGUUAUUUAUUUAAUUACAAAUGGGAUCUAACCUUUUCAUUUUGUUCCUAAAAAAUGGAUCAUGUAUGAGUCAUGUGAUAGAUAUAGAAUAAAAAGUGGUCGAAAACCUAAAUUGGGACCGAAUUUUACCGAUACACUUCGCUUCGCUUUGCCCAUUACUCACUUUCUUGCAUGACUUUACCGUCAAACAAAUAGAGCCUGUAUGUUCCAGUUGGUCCAACUGAUCAUUGGAUAAGUUUCUAGCCAAAUGUGUCGUUUCAUUUGAAGUCCUCUCAAGGCAUGCUUGCUGUCUUCAGUGCUGGCAAAAUGUCAUUCCAGAGGAAGAUGUUCAUCAAUCUGAAUUUUAUUGCCAUUUUGUCCUUUUCUUCUUGAUUGUCUAUUUGUCAUUUGGAUGAACUGUUAGAAGAUAUUGUACUUAUUGCUCUAAGUUUCCUGUCUGUGCUUAACCUCUGCACCAAAGAUGCUGGCUGGUAGAGAAUGCGCCCUAUUCUCUGUGAUUCAGAGCCAUCUAGUUGCAUUUACCACUCAUUUGGGGGAGAAUGCAUUGAUGCAUUGUUUUAGCCUCUAAUCAGGACAUCCUCAUACCUCCCAGCACGUCUGGAUAGAUUUAUCAUUACUUUCGAGUAGGCAAAAUAAAUUUAUGCAACCAAGUUAUAUCAAUCUGUUAAUAUUUUAGGUCAAGGACCAUUCUGCUAGAAAAGCAGAGAAUAUGAAGUCUAACAAGUUGCUUAAAUCAGAUUUUCUCUUGAUAUCAAGUGGCAUCACAAGACAUGAUGCCCAAAUAAUUGUUUUACCUUUGUCCCUUUGAACUUAAUUAUUGAGUUAACCAUAUUGUUAUCCUACUCUUACCAUACUAUACAGUCAUUUGUCAGUUAUGUUGGCUUUCAAUAGCAAAAGAAACUUGAUAAUCUAUUUGCAUUUCCCAAAAGGAGGUUCUACAAGAAAGUGUAAAAAAUUUAAUCAAAAGAAUUCAAGCCAGUAGGAUACUCAUGGUAUCUAUUACUUGGGUUCCACUUUAGCUGAGAUGUUGUAUCCACCACUGUAGUCAAAUGCAUCACUGCUGUUAACAUCCUUCCUAGGCAUCACAUCAUAGAGAUGUUUAGCACCUUUCGCCAUUCCAAAAUCUGUGGCAGAUGAGGAUGCUGAUAUUGAGUUCGUAUUCAAUCCAUCAUUCUGUAGAAUUGUUUCGAGUUCCUUCACCACUUCACUCAUUGUUGGGCGGUCUGCAGCUGAUUCUUCCACACAUCGCAUUGCCAAAUCUACAAAUCUCCCGAAGCCUAUUAGAGUGGUUGUGUUUCGAAUGGAUGGAUCCAUUAUAUUCCCUAAGCCAUAGCAUUCUUCAUCAUUCUUGUCCAUUGCCAUUCUCACUUCACGGACGAUGUACUUUCCCUUUUCGAUAGGUUGUUUAACUGUUACCAGCUCAAGCAUAACCACACCAAAGCUAUACACAUCGCUUUUCUCCGUCAAUUGUUGGGUCAUGUAGUAUUCAGGAUCCAGAUAACCCUGGAAUCAGAGGAAAGGUUACUGUUAAUUGCUCGCGAUGGCAGUAGAAAGGACUUUUGAUGAUGUAUCUAAACAUGGACUUGGGAGUUCUUUCAGGAUAAGGUAGCUGUAAAAACAUCAAAUAUUACCAGUGUGCCUUUAACUUGAGUGGAUACAUGCCCUUUGGAACCAUCACAAACAAGCUUAGACAAGCCAAAAUCUGCAACCUUAGCUGUCAGAUUUUCGUCCAAGAGAAUAUUUGUGGACUUGAUAUCUCUGUGGAUUAUAGGAGGGUUGGCAAGCUCAUGCAAAUAAGUCAAUCCUCUUGCUGAACCAAGUGCAACUCGAAGUCUCCUUUUCCAGUCUAGAUAAAUUCCACUCUUCCCUGAAAACAUUUAUAAUGUGAAUAAAUUGCAUCAAAUUCUGCAAGCUGCCUUAGUUGGGCAUGUCUGAGAUAAAAGGUUUUCCUAGUGGUUAUUUCCUGAUAUUGAGAUCAAAUUCUCAAAGAUCCCUGAUUUGCGUAUUAACGAUUGUUGCCAAUAGUAACUAAGUCAAAUUCUUUCUGUUUAAAAUUAGUACCCAAUUUUUCAAUUGGGCCAAGCACAUUGACAUAAUAAAAGUUCUCAGCAUGCAAUACUGAUUCCGAAGAUGAAAGAAUCUCCAAAAUCUCUAAGUCCCUGAUCUUUUUCUCAUGAUAAAAUGCCACCAAGCAUAAGGAACAUGUUGAAUUAGUAAAGAUACUACAACUGUCAUGAAGUGUCAGCUAUGAAAUGCUGCUUUGCUGACACUCUGGCUUCUAAUAAGCUAAAAAGAUGAUCUUUCGGAAUAUAUGUUUUAAGCAUGGAUUUAGUUUGGGAGGAAGGUGCAGAGAUGUUGAGGCAUGCAAUUGAGUGAUUAGAUUUUAUAAAAACCUGAUCAAAUAUCCAAGAAUGAAAAGAAAAAUAGUGAAUUUUAAAUGAAUGAUUGAAUGCUAGUGAUAAUGCCCCGUUCAACAUAGUCUGGUUCAAAGGCAGGCAGGCAGGCAGGCAGGCAGGCAUUGAACAACAAAAACCUUUGGUUGUUAUCUUCUAAAUCUUGUAUUUGUGUCCUCAAGGAAAAAUUCAGAAUCAGUACUCUUCCUGUGUAAGCAUUACCUAGUGUAUGGCAUGGAAGCAAACAUACCUGAUAAACUCUCCCUUAGAGUUCCAUGCGGCAUGAACUCAUAUAUCAAGAUCUGUUGUCCUUGUUCAAAACAGAAUCCAACCAAGCCAACAAGGUUUUUGUGAUGAACUCGUGAGAGCAGCUCAAUCUCAGUUUUGAAUUCAAGUCCACCUUGCAUGGAACCUUGUUGUGAUCGUUUGAUUGCAACAACUUGUCCGCUUGGAAGCAUCCCUCUGUAGACCUAAGAACCCAGAAAUACAAUUGAGUUGAAAUUGAGGAAAAUUUGUAGAUUCAAAAUCAAAAUAUUUGACAGCAUACCUUGCCAUAGCCUCCAGAACCGAUCUCAUUUUUCUCAGAGAAGUUAUUGGUUGAUUUCUUCAGUUCAUCAUAAGAAAACCAUCGGGCUCCUUUUAGUUGAGGUGCUCCUCCGCUGUCUUUUCCACUUGGACCCCAAGAUGCUGGUCAAAAAAUGUUUCAGUUAUAGCACAUUCACGAAAGUAACAAGGAGUACUGAGCUGUAGUGCAUAGGUCAUACCAAAUGGUUUACUUAAUCCAAUGGCUCUUUCAGCCCGUCUCUUUUGCCAGACAGCAUAUAUGCCUAGGCCAACAAGCAACACCACCAGAAUGGCACAGCCAGCAGCUAUCGCUGUAAUAAUUGUUUUGCUUAUGGCAUUUCCACGUUCAGCUGCAACAGGUCUGUUGUCAGUAGUUUGUUCAUUUAUAAGUCAGAAAACUAAGGAAAGUGAACAGAAAUUAUUAGACUUUUAUACCGCCGAAAGUGUAAGGAGAAGCUAUAAAGUAGUAGGGCCCAAAUUGUUUUGGAGGCUUGUAAGUCUGGUUACUUAAAGCAAAUCCGAUCCUCUGGACCUCUGACCUGUUAAAAUACUCUCCUACGGAUGGAAAAAAUCCCAAAUGCACCUGAAGAUAAUCAUCAACAUUGAAGAAAGGGUUCUGCAGAGAAACAGAACCAGGAGUAAGGCCUAACUUCACCCACAGGCUCAUUUCCAGCUGCUGAAAUAGAGUGUCAUUAGACAACUCCCUGAAGGAUGGUGCUCUGAAGUACAUUGUUCCCUCAUAUGGAUAAGCACAGUUACAGCUCUGUGGGCUGAUUUUUUUAUCAGCAGGACAGGAUUUGCUUGCACAAUUAGCCAGGCUUGUAGAAUAGGGCUUUUCUGCUUGUUGCUUAACCUGACAGUAACUGGUCUUUGCAAGACCCGCAUCACAGACUGGGUUUCCUAGCAAUCUUUGUUUACAUAGAUGAAAGAUAUUAACAUUAGUUGGAGAAAAGGAUUGAAAAUUGUUUCUUGGCAUAAAAAGUAGUAGAUAUAAUAUUGUCUCACACAAGUGUAUUCUGAUAACCAGAACCAAGAGUGACAUAGGGUAUUUCAUUGUUCUCCAAAUCAACAAGUUGAAGUUGCUGACCGAUUGUUUUUCCCAUAUCCAGUGUAUCGUUAAAUGCAUUGUUUCUCAGUUUCCUGUAAAAAGUUGACAUGAAAUGAAUCAGCAUAACCGGAUUACCUUUACCUUUUAAAAGAUACAAAAGAAUGAUUUUAGUGUCCCGUGCAUGCUGAUUCAAACUUACACUUGUUGAAUUUGGGGUAAACUGAAUAGUUUCUGAGGCACCAUUCCCUCAAGUGAUCCAUAUUCAACAACCCUGGCACAAUUGCAACUUCGAAGCAUAAGAUAGAUCCAUGACUAGAAUAAUUUAUCGUUAAGCUUCUCAUUAGUAUCUUAACACUACUCACAAAGUUGUUAGUGACGCUAAUGUACUGAACCAGGCUGGAGAUUGUGAUGGUUGAAAAGAGUUGUUACUCAAGUCCCUGUGAAGGUAAACAAAAGCAUAGAGUUCACCUUCCAAACAGAAAACAGGUACAUAAAACUUGAUUGUGGAAAUUCUUGAACCAUCACUUACACAUAGUUGAGGGAAAUCAUUUCCGUAAUGUUUGGAAAUGGACCUGAUAACUGAUUAUGUGCUAAGUUCCUAGACGAAAACAGAAGUAAGAAAGAAAGCAUUUUAGUUUAGUAUCCAAUGGCAAGAUUGAAGAAAGCACAAUAUUUCUUCAAAUUUCAAGAAGAACCUACAAUUCCACCAAAUUUGUGAGAUUGUUGAGGUCUGAUGGGACUUUGCCAGUCAGGGCAUUUCGAUCUAGCCUCCUGUACUCCGUUAUAGCAUUCACACCAGAAAUGGUAAGAAUGACAGGCCAACAAAACUAAGUCAAUCUAAGAGGGAGAUCGAAUGAAAUGGUUUGAGCAUACUCACAGAACCUCAAGUGUCUGAACAUAUCCUAUUGUUGAGGGGAUUCCUCCAGUCAAAUUGUUGGCAUCAAACAGUCUGUCAUAAGAAUGGAAAAUAAGAAGAAGAAGAAGAAGGAAAAGAGACAUAAAGGAGACCUUCAUAUUGAUUGUCUGGUAACUUACACAUGAAUAAGCACCAUGUCGGAGCUGAAAAGUGCAUUUGGAAUUGGGCCAGAAAGCUGGUUUUUGUUGAAAUGGCUGUAGAGCUAUAAAAAUCAGACUCUUACCCCUGGAGGAAAUUGGUUAGGAUAACUGUUCACAAAAAGAAUCAUACUCACAAGUGUUUUGCCUUUUUUAACAGGUCCAACCCUGGAGUUUCAGUCAUAGAUGAUGAAACAGGUAUUGGUCCUGUCAACUGAUUAUCUGCCAGAUCAAGCCAGUAUAAGUGGGAAAGCUUUCCUAGCGAAGGUGGUAUUCCACCAGUGAAGUUAUUUGAGUUAAGCGCCCUGUCAUGGAAGAUGAAGCAGAAAAUUAAUCGAGGUUAACAAAUCCUCGUACAAUGCCAUGUAGAAUGAAUAUAACGAUGUCUACUGUUGCUUACAGGAAGGACAACUGUGCAAGAUUCCCGAGUUCAUUUGGUAUAUUUCCAUUGAAGCUACAUCCAGCUAGGAUUCUGGGAAACAAAAGGCAAGAAUCUUGGUUAAACAAAGAAAAUUGCUUCGUGAAUAUGUUCCUGGAAAGAGUUUCCUGGGAUCAAAAUUUGAUGUAGGAUUUUGUCAGAUAAUUACAGUAUACUCAAAUUUUGCAAGUCUCCUAUUCGUGGAGAGAGUGAACCAGUGAGGCCUCGGUUGAAUGAUAGAUCCCUGAAACAAUACUUUGAACGUGAAUUCAAUGAAAGCAAAGUUAUAAACUUUUAUUACUUAUGUGCUUGACCAGCUGAAAUAGCAAUAGAAACUCACAGGGAUAUCAAUUCGGUGAGUCCUCCAAUGUCACCGUUGAGUUUACCUGAUAAUCCCAUACUUGACAAUCCCCUGAAGUAUCAAUUCAUAGUGUGAGGCUACAGGCAUGGAUUUUUUAGGGUAUCAAGCUACAUGAAAGGAAAUACCAGAAUGAAUUUGCAACAGCCUGAAAGAGUAGAUGAACUACUUACAAUGCAGUGACCCUUGAGUUGUUACAGGAGACUCCUUCCCAAGGAUCUCCACAAGGAUCAUCAGACUUGCCCCAAUUUGGUGGUGUAUUUUGCCAUUGAUCUUUCAAAGACCUAAGAACAGCAACUGCAAGAAUUUGUAUCCAAUUAAGAUCAAAAGGACUUUACAAGCAUUGAAACCACAUAACCAAAGAAUAUAUGGUACAUUCAAGAAACUCCAUUACUAGCAAGAGUUAACAGGCUGCCAAAAAUGGAUCUGUUUAGGCCGAUUGAUUUUCUCAGUGGCUAAAGCCUGGGGAACCACUAUGGCUACUUGGUAUAAAUUGAGAACAAGAUAUUAUGAAGCAAUAAUUAACUUAGUUUCUUUACACUCAUGCUACACGGGAAAAAUAUUGGCAAAAAAUCAAGUCAUAGAAAACUUGAAACUCUAUUACACAUAUUACUAGAGCGGAAAAAAAAAGGUUUCUGGAGCAGGAAAAGUGAAAAGAUAAGGCUCCUAUGUUUUCCUCUCUUUUCUCUUUUUUGGCAGAACUUCAUGAUGUUGUGGCCUUGUAGUUCCUUCAUCCAUUGGUUUGGUCACCAUCAGCUUAAUCUCCUUGUGAAAUUAAUCCAGAGACAGCUGUAUACAUAAUCGUAGAAUCCAGAGUUGAUCCAUUAGUCCCAACAGACAUUAAUUAGAACUUAAGGUCAAACUUUUCCUCAACUUUAUAUCUCAUAGUACACUAUACUACACAUGCCAGAAGGACAAUAGAAGCAAAAAUAAAGGGCAUUUGAGGAGAGUUUUGAGAACACAUCUAUUCCACAAUAUAAACAAAGAACUUUUUUAUCCUUAUGCCCUAAAUGACAAUUAGUUUUUAGGUUUUCACCUCAAAUUCUCGCUAAAUUAACCUCAUUUCCUUUGACACCUAUACUGCAGCUAAUGAUGUCCCACCCCAAUGUUUUAAGAAGGCCUAGCACCUUCAUAAUGAAUUGUAUAAAGAAUGAAAGGCAGGCCUAAUAUAAUGAUUAAGGAACAUGAUUUCUCUUUCCCUACACCCCAACUCACCAUUUUUCUUGAUCCAAUCUAAGAAAUGGAAAGCAUAGAAUAUAUAUGCAGCUAAUAACUCCUCCCUGACUUUCCCUUUCUCACUUUCCAAAGCUGAAUAAAACUCUCUUUCCAUACAUAUAGACCAUAAUUCAACAUAUCAUGCUGUCAUGUGCUUGAAAGACCAUGGCAGAUUUGAAGCUCGAAAACUUCUUAUACAACUCAGCUAAAUGAAUUUUCCUGCCCAAACAUAGAUUUCAAAAAAAAAAAAAAGUGUCUUAUAAAUUUUACUAAAAGAGUAUCCUUGACAUUAUUAUAGCUCAAUUCAAUGUUAAAUUGUAAAAUCUACAAAUGACAUAUUGUUCACGAAGAAUGAAUGGGGCAAGUCCACUCUUUACACCUAGAAAAAUAUAGCAUUUGGAUGCAGAGUGCAUUAAAAAAAAAAAAAAUCAAUCCAACCAAAGGGACAAUCUGAUACUAUCAAAUUGGAUAAGAAAUGCCUCCAUUCCUACGCUGAUAAAUUUGGAAAAGCAUGCAACAUGAGACAAGUAUAGUACAUUACCAUCACGAGGAUCCGUGUAAGAGAAGAUGCCACGAAAUCUUGCAGACAUCACAAGAUAAAAGAGAAGCAGCCAAAGGGCUGCCAUUGCUGCACUCCCUCCUUCAAUUCCCUCCAAAGUAUCUAUUCUUCAGCUAAUUCACCCCCGACUUCAAUCCUCAUUAACUCGAUUUCAUGCAGAACAUGCCUUUAGGAAAAUGCUGGAAAUGAGCAAAAGUUCUUUGUUUUCUUUGAUCUGCUCUCUCUUUGGGGAAGCAGUACUAGUAUUCUUGUAUUCUUGUGGAUGUUUGGUUGUUUCUUGACAACUAUGCUAAAGAUUUUUACUAGCUGCCGGCCUAGAGUGUUUAAACAAACUUUUUCUUCAGGUAGGGUGAAAGGUGAAGGUGACAACAAUGAUGAUGACUAAGUCCAAGAAAUAUCAGCUCAAAAAGGGUAAAAGAAAAUGUUAGCUAGCUAGUUUGGCCUGCUUUUCCAUUUUCCACUCUUUCAAUCAUUAAACCUUUUCUUAGAAGCCAAUCUUAGUGUCUAUCAUCCCCGCACUCUCCACUACUACGACAGACACUAUCAACAACAAAGUCACAACUGCUCCAAAUUUAUCUUUUUCAUCAAAAUCCAUCAUUUUGUUCCCAUCCUCUUGAGGGUCCACAACCAUUAUUGUUCAUAAUUCGUGGAAGCAAUUAACUAAUAAGAGUGGCUUGGUUAAUUAAUGGGAUUUUGAUGGAUUUGAGAUGGAAAAUCUCACGCAGUAUUAAUGUAUUCUCCGCCUGCAUGCGCACCCUUGUCAAGAAGAACAAAGAUAAUGGUCUAAAAUUAGACGGAUUAUGUGACCAAAUUAAACAGCUUCCUAGAGGAACAUUCUGCAGCCGUCUUGCACUAUUUUAAUUAGUAAAUGGGAUUUGCAUGUUUUCUCUAGAAAAUAUAUACUGGCAGUCUGGCGUGCAAUUGUUCUUGGAACCUACCAAAAUGCAAUGGAAUUGGCCCGGUUUGCCUUGAUUGCUUGUACUUUUUGAAAUUCUCAAACAUGAUUUGAUUGCAAUAGUGAGUUGUAAUUUGUUGAAAUUUUCAAUUUUUACGUGUCAUUUUUGACAGAAAGAUCAUGAUUAAUUGUUAGAAUAUUUUCUUCUUGAUCAUUUUCACAAUACCUGCAGGUAUCAGUGUGAGAAAGUGAUGAUCUACGAGCAACGAGGUUAUAAUAAUGCCUAAUACAUAUGAUACGUAUGUUUGGAUAUUAGAACAAGUACUAUUAAAAUACCGUAGCUCUUAUUGUACCUCAAAAUUUAGUGAACAUUUGCAUAAAUUGUUGUUUCUAUACAUUGAGUUUUUUUUUUUUUUUUUGACGAACCCUGUACACAGAGGAAGGAUGUCACCCCUAAUUUAUUGAAGACAGCAAAAUAAAUAAACUAUGGAGGAGGACUAUAUCUGAUCUCCAGUAUAUGCAGAAAAGCCAGUAAAUGAGAAGUACUACUUCCUUACAAGACGACAAUAUGGUAGUCCUUUCGAAUCUAACAUAAUAAUAUCUCUACACUGCUUAGGUAAAUCUGCCAUAGACAAAUACAGUUGAUAACCAGUCAAAUGAAGAGAAGCUAAUGAAUCGGCUGCAGCAUUAGCCUCUAGAUAAAUAUAGGACAAUGAAGCUCCAAAUCUGGCCAACAAGUCCAUACAUUGAGUUGAUGUGGACGCAUAAAAUAUACUUCUAAUUAUAUCUAAAUUAUGUAAAAAAAAAAAAAUUACAACAACAUGCAACAGGACAAAAAUCCCAACUAUAUCUAUCCAUGCAAAUGCGUUGAAAACUUAAAGAUGAAAUAAUGUUGUAGAAUUUUAGUGUCACGACCCUAAGAAAAUUGCAAUAAUUCGUCCCUUAAGCAUUUUAACUUUUUCGAAAUUGAUUCAAUUCUCCAACUAGGCCUAAUUUACUUUUGGAAUGUUACAUGUUAGGAUUAGGUGCAUAUAUCAAAUGUGACGUGAAAAGGACUGUUUCACAAGACAUCAAGCAAGCCUAAUUGCUGCAAACAUUAGCUUAUAAUGACAUAUAAAAAAAAAAAAAGAAAGUCAAUUAGUCUAGUAAGGGGCAAAAUAGUUUUUGAAUCCAUGCACGUGCACCUUACAAAUUAGCUUAUAACAAAAGGAAAUUUGUAGUAGAUAAUUGAACCAAUUUGAUGAGAAAAAUAAAAAAGAUUGGAAUUGAUCUGUGAAAUCUAACCAUUAUUAAAGAAUGUUGGAUGGGAGAAUAUUCUAAAUCAAACAAAGAAAGUCCCCCAAAAGUAAAAAAGAAAUCAAUUUGCAGUUUGACUGCCUAAAGGAAAGGAGGAAAAAGCUGGGAAGGUAGCAGGAUUUAUGGUUUAUUAAUUUUUCAUUAUUGGAAUUAAGUAUACGGUUUAUUAGAAACAUCAACAAAGGAAGACAAACAUUAUUGACCAAUUUUGAGAGCUUUGAAUUGCUAAUGACUGGUUGACUACUAUGUCACAUGAAUUUUCUAAUUUCUGUGGGGCAUUUGGGCCAUUCACAUCUAAAAAAUUCUCAAGGAUGUUAAUAGCAAUCUCCACUUAUUCUGUUGAAUUAUUAGAAAUUUACCUAAUUCUUACGUGAAAAAAAAUUCUACCUAAUUCUUAAAUGUGAAAUAACAAGGUAAUACUAGUUUUGGUCCUUUUGGAAAAAGUAAUUCAGGCUAAACUAAUUAAAUUGCAUGUGAUGAUAUAGUUCAAAUGGAGAUGGGGAAUUUUUUUUUAAAAAAAAAAUGAACAAAGUAUUGAAAUUUUUGCUGCUUCAAGGACAAAGUAAAUUAUUUGAAACUCAGAAAUCUAGUUGAGUGACGGAAAAUAUAAUAACUAAAAUUAUGCAGUAACUAUCUACAGAUGAUACCCAAAAAAGGGAGCCAAACAUAUGUUUAGCCAAGUAUGGAUUUCUUUGAACUCCUGGAUAAAAUAUGAGGAAAUGUAUUCUGUAGAUAAUAUAACUUCUGGAAUCAAGAAGGGAUAGUUUUGAGCAUAUUUCUUAGUUUAGAAGAUAAAAUUCCACCACUCAAUUGUGUGUCAUUGUAGUGCUAUAUGGGGCCAACGCAUUAUGGAAUUGAAAAUGUGGUACAGUUGAAGAAGUAUAGAUUAAUAAUGACAAAAAGUACAUAAAAAUGAAAUUGUCUAAUUUACACUGAUAGUAUAUAUACUGUUAGCAUUUGAUGAAUAAUAACUAUAAAAAAUUUGAAUUUGAAAUUCAACCGUUAAAAAUAUGUCGUGGAUCCAACGGUGAUAAUGUAUACACUGUCAGUUACUCAUUGUUUAAAGAAUUUAGAUAUAAAGUAUAACAUAAUUCAUGCAUGUAUACAUUAUUAACAUUUUUAAUUUUUUGUACACAUCCAACUUGGGUAUGUGUAGAAUUUUCCCAUAAUUAACUUCGCUGUAACAGGAUCCAUCUUUUAUUCAGAUUUGGAUAAUGUUUGAGAGGCCACCACCAGCUUGAUUCAAUAGGAAAACGUUAAAUAGAACAAAAACUAAAAUGACCAAAUCAGACUGUUAAACUCAUAAUUGUCCAUUUUUUUUCAGUGGGAGGUCUCGAACUACAAGGAUCUGAAUACAAGGAGUCAAUAAAUGCAAGCAUUUGUAUUUCACAGUUUGGCAUGUAAGUAAUUGUAUUUAAUAGUUCGGCUAACGGGUGUUCGAUUAGCACUUGUCAAGAAGAGUCUCACGCGUUAGUUUUUUUAGAAGAGUAUAGUUUAUUUGAGAAAAUGUCUAACUGCAGAGGACACAAUGAUUGUGGUUAUUCGCAUGUUAAGUUAGGUGUAAUUUAAGUAUGAUAAGGAUGGCAAUCCGUUAGAAAAAUCCUAAAUUUAGAUAGCAAUUCAGCUUUUACAAAUUGGUGCCCUGUUCUAAAUUAUGCAAGUUAAUAAUCAAAAUCAUUAGCUAAUCUAAUGAGAACAUCUUGAGUAAAUUAUUCAGUAAAGUCCUUAGCCGAUCUAAUGGCAACAUGCCCAAUGAUGAAAACUUGGAUUGAAGUUUACUCAUUUAAAUGUAAAUUGUGGCCUAAUACAUGCUUAGAUAACAACUAAGAGACAACAGCAGACUUAGAUAGAAAACUGAUUUUUGACCAAUUCAAAGCCAAAAGUCUUCAAGAAAGAUCAAAGAUGUAGAACGCAUCCGGACUACAAUCUAGUACAACCGAAUAUACAAUCACCAACUUCAAAAAGUAGCAAUAUGUCUUUUACUGUAGCAAAGAUGCUUGUGGCAACUGGCAUGAAAUCAACCAGUAGCUGGGUGCUGAAAUUUUCUUUUCUGACAAGUAUCAUUUUGGUGGGUUGAUGAACAGUCCACAAAGAUGUUUGCUUAUGUUUGUCACUACACAGAUAACUGCAUUUGUGGACUAAAUUUGCUAAGGUUCUUGAAGUUUUAUUUCUCUGGGGCAAUAUUACAGAAAAACUUGCAGAAACUUUUGCUCCAACCAUCGUUGAGUGUAACUUGCUUUUCAGUUGAUUUAGAAACAUCUACUGGUCAUUGCUUGUAUAGAACCUUUGAGUUAAAUAUUUGUCUUCAAUUAAAAUAGCAAAAGAAAAAGUGAUGAUCCUACAUCUUUCAUCAAUGUCUGCAUGGAGGACAUCAAGGGGAAGGAAAAUCGUUUCAAUUAUCAUUACAUAACUCCUGUGAGCUGCUAAGUCAAUUAUCAUUACAUACACAUUUCGUUGAAGAUUGUUGAGAGAAGGAUGUUGAUUAUUUUCCUUGUAAUGCUCAGACAAGAUCAAUUUAAAUGGGAAAAUUACGCGCAGAGAGGAACCAUAAUCUAAGAACUACAACUGUCACUUAUAGCUGAUGUUCUUCAUUUUCUCUUGUUUAAAACUAGCAUUUUUGGCACUAUCUACGUGUGCAGAUAUCUUUAGAAUGGUCAUAUUCAUUACUAGAAGCUUGAAAAGGGUGACCGUACUGAAGGUCGUUUAAAAUCUGAACAUAAGAACAAUAUGUUUGACAUAUGAUAAGAUGACAGAAACUUUUAACGCCAAGAGUAGGUUCCUGUAUAGAUAAUCGAGUUUACACUGUUACAUGUAAUAAUUAUACGUAUUCCAAACUGACUAUAACAAUUCUUAUAUAAAUUGUUAAUGAAUUGCAUCGCCAAUAUAGUGUACCCUACAGGUUGAGGCAAAGAAAUUGUGUAUGGGGAACUCAGGAUUACCAGUUGAUUUCUGACUGUUUUUGGAACAAUACCACGAUAAGUUCUUGCUCUUCAGAACAACCAAUGCUUCCUCUUCGGUUUAUGCUGUACUGGAGCAUCUGUGCAAUGGAAAACAAUUUCUCAGUUUAUUGAUUAUCACACAUCUAAUCAUGAUUAAUCAGAACUGAAAUCAUGCAAACCUCGCAGUUCAUAAAGUGAAUUGUAGUGCACCUCAGACCAAAAGCUUAACCAGAGCUCUGCACCAUUCAAAGAAAAAAGAGUAUCUUAAUAAUAUAGACAUAGUGCAGCACACAUUUGUAGUUCCUUGCUCACACACUUGGAAACACAAUCCUAACAUUUAGGGGAACAGCAGGUUAUUCCUAGAACCUCGAACCAGUAUGAAAUCCGUAUCCCUUAUAUAAUGAAAGUUUGAUUUCUCAUCUCUAGUAAUUUCCUCUAGACAAAUCACAUAAACUUUCAAAUUAACAUUUGACACAGCACAAGUUUAAGCUUGAAUAAUUUCUUUAAUUCCUCAAACCAUAUUGAACAAACGUGUGCAAAUGACAAGGGGCAAAAAGAGUUGCCAGCUAUGGAGAAUGAUAUUUCCACCCAUAGUAGUAAACUGACUUGAUGAAAAUUUGUUGGUAGUUGAGUUACCAAUGAGGAUGUUGACUGAAGAGAAAAAUGGUGAAAACUCCUGCACCAUUUGUCUCCUUAGUCAAUGCAACAAUUUUCUGUAUCUAACUAGCUUAACAAGUUUCGAGCUAAACAUGACUUUGACAUUCAAAUAGGAAAAGUUUACAACUUCGUUUUUUUGCCCCACAUUGACUAUGCCCUUGAUUUUUACUUUGUUGCAUCUGCUAAAGAGAUGACCAAAAGUAAAUUUAAAAGAUCAACUUGGCAAAUUUUCAAAAACUUAGAAGAUUUGUUCGUUUAGGGCUUAAUGGCUCGCGUGAAAUUGCUUGGAAUUUCAGGGGCUUUGUUAGAGAUUUUCCUAUUUCACCUGCUUCUAUAUUCUUAGCUUCUUUUGAUGAAAAGAGAAAAAGGAUCCCGUAACUUAAGCGGAUGAAUUGCAGCAGUGACAUUGAAACAUGACCAACUGAUUUUGAUGAAAGGAAAUGUUGCAUGAGGAACUUCUGACACUAGAAAGAAGGGUCACAAUCAUGUAAUGAAGUCAUGGGAUUCGAUUGGCUUCUUUAUUGGCACCAUGCCUGAGAUAAACAAGAAAGGAAAUGCAAUACCUCGCUUAGGCGCUUGAUAUUGUGGAAUAAUCUCGAUAAAGCAAGUAUCUCUAAACGAUGUCAAAAGGCAUAUCUUUGCUGCAAACUGCACGAAUGAAGCAUUGUCAAUGACCUUGCACAAACAACAAUAGGAUAUGAUCAGGUAUCAAUUUUCAAGUCAAAUAACACAUUAACCAAAAAGGGACACUACCACAUAGAAAUGAAACUAAAGAUGAGCAGGACUCAGAAAGAGACUCUUGCAAAAUUAAUCAACAGUCUCUGGAAAAAAGUAAUUCUCCAAUGGCCAUAAGGUAUUGUCCUAUUCAUGAUCAGUUACUAAAAGGAAGCACCCAGGAUUAUUCAAUCAAAAAGAGUGUGUUCCUAAUGCUGUUCUAUGGGUCCGCCAAAGUGUGCAGGCACAUCCCUUUGUGACGAGGAGAAGAAAGAUUUUUAUAUAUUUAGCGUUGUUCUUGGGUUGAUGUCAUACUUCGUGUCAGGUGGAGAAGUUGAUUAACUGCAGGAUGAUGAUAAAAUUUGUAAACAACAGUUUGAUCUGUUGCACUAAAACCUUCUUAUAAAUUAGUAAGAAUCCUUAAGGUGCCAUGAACUAUAUAUAUGCCCGUAGAUUCCAGUAGAUUUUCUCCCUAGUAAAAAUGCCUGCUACACAAAAAAUAUUCUCAGAAUCCUUUGAGACCUAAAAGCUGGCUCAAUUUCAGUCAUCUUUAUUUGAACCACAGAAAAUUAGGUCCAGGUUAUAGGUUGUUAACCUGAACUUAGCACUAGGUGCAGAGUAAGUCAAGUAGGAUAUCAUUCCUGUAAAAGAUUCUUCUUUUGACAUUGAAAUUAAGCUUCAAUUAAAUUCAGUACUCCACGAUAUACAGGCAUCAACAGGCCAGAUUGAAUAACUGUGCAACAUCAGAAGAGUUCUAGGAAUAAAUGAAAAAGACACUAGCCGGUUGGAAACCAGCUAAAAAAUGUACUCAACAUAUUUAUAAGCUUUCAACAUAAUUAACAUCAAACCACUACUACUAACUUUUGCAAUUUCCCUUUUACAACAUCCAGAGGUAAUCAUUUUGGUUUUCUUCGGGAGUUACCACAAUUUUUCCAUCUAAUAGUACAAUACUUAAAAUAUGAUUUAAAACAUGAUCCUUCAAAAUCGCAGUCACCUAUGAAACUUGCAAUUCACUUCAACUUUGACAGAAAUAAUUCUCUUGGUUUAGCUUCCUUUCAAACUUAGCAAGAUUAAAGGGCAGAAAUCACUAACCAUAUCUAUCUUGCUGCAUCAAUUUUCCUUUCCAAACUUUUCCAAUGGGGAAAUCUUAAACAAAGCUCUUAAGUGUUUUAGGUUUGAAAUGAGGUACAUCUGCCACAGAUAACACCUUCUUCAGACCAGUUCAUUUUAAUUCUUCUAUUAGACUACCAGGAACCCCACCAAUUACUGCUUAAAAUUAUACUUCACUUGGUUCACAUUUUAAGGACUGAGAUAUUCUACUUUCUUUAUUUGAGAAAAAAGAUGCACAAUGUCAUCUCCCCUUCAGAGAUAAGGUUAUUCUAACCUUGCCUAUUUUCACCAGCUUUGGAAAUGGUAUAAGACUCUACAAUGUUCAUUUUACCUAUAAUGUCUGAGGCCUUCAAAAGCCUCAAAAUUGAAUCCCGCCUCUUAACAAAAUACCACUAAUCGUUCACAAGUAUUGCUUUUUUUCAUUGGAGAUUUAAAAAAAAAAUUUGGUUUUAAUAGUCACCCAAAAGCAUAGAGGAUGACUUCAAAUAUCUGAGACAAAACCAUAUCUUCUUCUCCCCUUCACCAAAACUCAUCUAACUCAGUCUGCUCUCCUAACCUUUGGACGAUGCUAAUAACCAGCACAGCACUAGCAGUAUUUAAUUUGUAACCACUGCUGGCUUUCAAUCUGCCAGUCCUCGCAUCCCAAAAAAUCCAACUGCCUUUCUUUUUACUGCAUAAUUGCUGCAGAAUUCGAAGAGAUGUUUGCUGAAUAUGCUUCUGCAGACUAGCACCAUCAAAGGGUAUCAAAUUUUACAACAAUUGUCAUCUUCUUCUUGAAGAGCCAGAAAAUUCACCACAGCAGCAGGAAGGAGGGCUGAAGGAUGGAGACACAAAAAACCAGACUUCCUUUGUACUUGCAAGGGUUUGUUAGUACAAAAAACCGAACCACUGAAUUUACUUUGUUUUUGCAAAUGGAAGAACAAGUGAAAGGGAAGAAGAAAUAGGAAGAAGAACACCAUUUGGACAAUGGUUAUUGACUUCCUGGAAAUCGAAUUCUGUAUUUCUGGAAGUCCAUUACAAGUAACAAUUUUUAUUAAAUUUUCAAUAAAAAGGCAAUAUUUGAGUAAAUAAUCCAAGGUGGCAGUUGUAUAAUUUGGACAUACAAUCAAUGCCUAUUUAUAAAUGAAGGUAACAUUGGGUGGAAAGUCAAUAAAAGUACUAAACACCAUUUCAGCAAAAAAAUCUGUCCCUCAUUGGCAGGGGAAGGAAACAUACAUCCUUACAUAAAAAAAAAAAAAAAUCCUGGAAGAACAAAUAUAACAACAUAAAAAGAUGAUUGCAAGUGCUUUCAAAAAAAAAAAAGAAGUAUAUUCUAAAUCCGGGAGGAGAAUAACCAUUAUCAUUACCUUUCCAACACACAACACUUUGAACUUUCUGCACGACUUUUUUCUUUGAUUUCUUGAAUUUUAGGUUAAGAAAAUUAUACUGCAGCAUUCUUAUUUAACAAUUUGCUGAUUUAUUACCAAGACACACAAGGAUCCAUUUUCUGUGUUGGAAAAACUGACCAGAGGAGAAGGAAGGGGGGGGGGGGGCAAGAAAAACAAGGAUGUUUGAAGAAUAAUAGACCUUAUCGGCUGCUGCUUGUAGUGUAACAUGGUCCCCCCACUCACCUGAUCUGCAAAUACAGAAAAUCAGACCCAGAAUUAGAAGCAGACUACAAAGGAAUAUAUAAAGCAUACAACUGCAUCUUUGAACAAUUUAGAGUAUCGAAUUGGAGGCAUAAUUAUUCACAAAUGAGUAUCCUACUUAGCCAUUUUCUUCCGAUAACGCUUGUACUUCAUUGGAACGUAACCUUCAUAUAAAUUAGGGUAGUCCUUCAGCUGAAAUAGAUAAAGAUUUGAUGGCAUGAAAAAGUUAAAAUUGGGAAUUCCAAUAACUACAGGUAGAGUUGAUAGCAUUGGAUCCAGUGCAAACAGAUCUUCUUAAUGCAAUUGUGUCCAAGGCAUUUAGAGAAUUAACUUCUCAGGCAAAAAAGUUGCUAACGGAGGGGUGAUUGAAAAAACAAUCAUUUGAUGAACGUUGCAGAAGGCACUGCCAGCAGCUCAUUCCGCUGGAGCAGAUAGAAGGCCAUAAAUGUAAUAGUCAUACUGCAGAAAGUAUACUGUGUACCUACAGAAUGUAAAACUCAUAUAGGCUUGUAGUAGAGAUAUGUUACACGGAGAUGGUCAAAAUGUCACAAGAAAUCUAGGCUGGAAAUGUGCAAGUGCUAGCUGAAAAUUUAGUGGAUGGAUUGCUUGAUCAAAGGACCCUUGACAACAUGACAAAUAUUUUCUUUUUCGAAUUACAGAUACUAAAAUACCAUUUAAUUUGUCACAUGAAAUAAGCAUUCAACCUUCCAAGUGUAAUUUCUAAACCAAUAAAAAUUAAACUGGCUAGCAUCAUCAAUCAACAGACUAACAAGGAAAAUGGCGGAUCAAGAUAAGAGACAGUACACUUGAAAAAAAGGUGACAGAUAGUAUAAGAUCUUUCACAUAAAAGAUGUAACAAACACAAGUAAUCAACAUUGUAUGGACACCAAAACAUCAAAAUUAAGCAGCAAAAUAAGGUCGUGCCCUAUUUUGUAUAAUUAUAUUUGACUCCAUGAGACUGCUUACCCAUCUACAAAAGAAAGCAUCAAAACCACAAACAUAAUUCCUGGACAUAAUUAUUGACCAAAUAUAUAAUAGAUUAUAGUUAAUCUAUUCGGCAUAACACCUAACUCAAGUCUCAGUAUCUUAGAAGCUGCCCAAGCACAAACCUGUUUCACAACCUCCUUCCUGACUUGCCUAUGAUACUCUGGGGACCUAUAAAGCUGGUCUGAAAGAGCUCGGAACUGAAGAAAAGGACAAAUAUAAAUGAACAGAUGAAUGGCAUUAGGAUCUUAAAGGCAACAAGAAAUUAGCAAACCUGACAAUUGCCAUCUCCUGAGACCUUGACUUCAUAUAAACCAUAAACAUUUAGCCUGAAAGAGGAUCAAAGAAGGAAAACAUUCAUCAGCUUAUCCCAGCUGAAGAGUUAAAGGAGUAGAAGAGAAGGCUACAUCUUUUCCUUUUCCUGGUAAGCAAAUUAUAGCCUUGGUACCUAUUGAUAAUUAAUUAUUUUCAACAAUAUCAAAAGGUAAUAGCAUGAUCUUAUUUAAACUCUUUCUCACUCUUCUGUUACAGACAGAGGCAAGCAUAUACACAAAGAGACAUUGGUUGGUCAGGAUGUGGAGCAGAUGGAGCACCUUGAUGCCUGUAACUGCAGAGAGUAUUUUCUGGUAAAGUUUAGUAAGCUUUUCAAAGUACAGAGGAAAUUUUUCCCACUCUAUCAUAGAAAAUGGUACUAAGUUCUGUCGACAAAGCCCUAGCAACUGCCCUUGGUUUCAGUUAUCAUGGACAGAGCAAGCAUUGCAGCCGAGGGUGAUGAGAUACACCUUUCUUCAUGCAGCUAAAGCGAUCCAAUGUGGUACGCAUGAAAGAAGCUAGUUGCGUCUUCUCAACUUUACAUAGUCCAACAUCAUAUCUUCUUUCUGUUUUAUCUAACAAGCCAUAAUUUCUAGAAAUACAAUCUUAAGUCCCUUCCCUCAAGACAAUCAAGUAGAUAGAAGAUGGGGAAAAAAUAUAAUCCAGAGUAACCUCAAAUCAUACAAUUCAACUAUAUAUGAUUCCAUUGCUCCAGUAUUUAAAAAGAUUAUGCAAGAAAGUAUUUAGUCUGAAGAACAGGGCAUGGAAGAACAAAUAAGCUACUCUUCCUAGAGGCGAAAAGGGGAAAAAGAUAGUAAAUUUGCCUAGUAUAAGAUUUAAAGGCAUUAUUGAAUAUAAUUUCAUAAAGAACAACAAAAUUAGGUGGGACUGAUUCCCACUAUAAUGUCUUAAGGCUGCAUUUUGAUUAUUAAGCAGAACAGUUAAUUGAUCAAGGAUAAACUUGGGAAAUCCGCAAACUAGUAGAGGGAGCUACGCAAUCAAAUUUAGAAGGCUUUGAUUUUUUUCUUUUUCUGAGGGACUCAACCUAGUCAAUAUCUUCUGAACAUCUUUAGGAAUGAUUUACCUUGGCCUCCUCUGGAAUUUAAUUCUAAUUAUAGAACCUGCACAAUCUUAUUUCGAUUAUAAUAGUAAACAUUCAAGUUUCAUUUCAGUUUCUACACCUUUCUUGCCAAGACAAUUUCAAAGCUUGGUUGAUGAGUAGAUGGGAAGUAACUAAGUAUUGUUCUACUCAAAAGAAUGUAAGCUUAUAGAGGUUGGUUGAUCAUCCUACAGAACCAAUACAACUUAAAUAUUUAGCUCAGCCUUUAAGACAGAUUUCUUAUAGGCAGACUCGAAGUAAGGGUAAGCUCAUGCAUUACUCUUAACAGACUAUAGCAAUGUUAUUGUCGUACACUGGGCUUUAUCUAGAUUGCUGACCUCAUACAAAUAUGAAACCUGGUUAAUCUCUAUAGCCAUCCAAAAUCAAGAUCUCACUUUCUUCAGUAAAGAGAUUACUUCUAAGAAAACAAAUCUGUGCAUGCAAUAGUAUAGAACCACUAUACACCCGUGCCAAAUUUUAUGUCAGUUUUUCUUUUUGAGAUUGCUCCAAUAUAAAGUUCACCUUCAUCAAAUGAAAAGUCUCUCUCUUCAGACAUGCAGUAAAAGAAGUUGGAAACUCAUGAGAUUCAUUAAAUUUUAUUUUUUAGCCUUUACAAAACAUAAGAGGCAAUGUCAGCAGAGUUAGAAAGUUCUAGUAUAAUGUCAACCAAAACCACACAAGGGGGCCACAUAACUUUAAAAAGUUACAGGGCAUCUGAAGGUAUUACUCUUUAAGCGGAGAAACUAGGUAGUAUAUCAAGCACAUCAAUUGUUCAGAAUAAAGUAAUCUUAUUGUUAGAAGGCCUAACAUCUGCCAAGUGUUCUAGUGUCAAAUGUUCUUUCGACUAUCAUUCUCCAAAUACACAACAGUUCAUAGCAUCUUUCUUACUCGAAAUUGCAAAAGACUAAAAAUCCUCAAAUAGUACAAUCCAACUCUCUGACUUUAAUUCACAAAUAUCCAGCUAGAAAUGGCCUCUUCCUUCUUUGUCCCAGAAGGCAAAAAUCCCUUUGUUCUACAUGGCAUUUAUAAGAAUCCCUUUGUUCUAUUUUAUAUGAUAUACAUGUUACUCCGGAUGUAAAACAUUUGGCGCUGACCCUAGAAGGAAAUAUCUUACAAAUUUUUAAGCACUUAGAUAGUAGUUGGUGAUGUUGGGCUGAUCAUAUUCCAAUUUCCUAUCUUAACAAUUAACCUAAAAUACACAUGGUUAAUGUUUUCCCCAUUUUAUCAUAGAGUUGCCAAUAUCAUUCAACACACAGAGCUGAUUCAAAAGCUACCAUAUAAAAUGAGAUGGAAAGAGGCUGCUAUUUACAAGAGUUCACUUCUUGGCCAAUUUUACAAAUCAAGAAAUGUUUCUGAACUGUAUACUCCUUGUGGCAAUAGCAUGAUAGAUAAGAAGAGAUCACAAGUGAUAAAAGAUAGUAAAACUCAAUAGAACAGUUUUAUAUGAAGUUUUUCAUCAUAUUUUUUACAGUUUCCCUACUAAUGAAGAGAGCAAGACACACAGACAGACAGAUGGCCUGUGUCUCUCUGCAUGUGUGCGUGAGAGAGAGAGAGAGAGAGACUGCAAUGAAUCUGUAGACUAACCUCUGAAAUAACCGCUGGUAAUCCAAACUAGCAUCACUCGAGUCCGGGAUGUAAGAAUUUAUUUUUGGAACAUGCUGUGAUUCCAAACAAAAAUGGAAUGAAAUUAGAACAUCCAAAAAUUUGUAACAGUAAUUUGUUCACUUCUUCAAUGUUUUCAUAGUUUUUGAAAGAAAGUAGGUUUCUCCUACUACAGCAUGGUGUCAAAGUAAAUUAUUGCAGAGUUUUUUUCCCAGAAUAAUAUACAGAGAUACAAAAACAACUAUGUUUAGACAAUAACCAAAUUGUAAUGUAGGACUAUGUAUGUCUUACAGGAAUAGGUGCUAGAUGGGAAACCCUUUGACCAACUGCCCCAUCUAAUUUAGCAUACUCCUCAGAGAGCACCAUGGCAAUCAUCUUAUCAUCCUCUAUGUCUUGUUGACUGCUGGAUGAAGUUGAAGUAGAACAUUCACCAAGGCUUGCAUUCCCAUUUGUCAUAGUUUGUUUAUCAAAAACUUUCAGCUUCCUCGAGCAGUUGACAACAAAGAGCUUAUAGCUUCCUCAAAUCAAUCAACACAGAACUUUAUAUACUCUAAUCUGCAAGCAAAAGAAAAUUUGGUACAUUUACUCCGUCAGACAGGAUAUCCAAAACUCAAAACUCCCAGCACAUUUUUAGUUUUUUAACCUAUGAUUUAGGAAUGCAAGAACAAAAUCAAUAGGAAAUUCAAAAUAUACCAACGGUGCAACUAAUAUAGGUGCCUAAGACUAAACUGGAGUGCUAAGAAUGGACAGUUCAUAAUUGAAAGUAAGAACUUCCAACCAAGAGAUGCAAGUGAAAAUGGAGGAAACUCUCUCACCAAAUUGACAAAUAACACCAUAUAUGACCAUAUGAGUGCUCUAUAUGCAAGCCAACCAUUUGUAAGAACAGAUUCUCGGAAUUCUCAGCUAAAAGAAUGCAGGGAAAAUAAGGUUAACCCUCUUGCUAAACUCACAAAUAACACCAUAAAUGAGUAGAAUUGAUGCUCAAUUUAUAAGUCAACCUUUUGAUCCGUGAAAACACGUUUGACAAUGAAAGCUAUUGAGGUAGGUAAGCGUGUUCAACUAUUUAGGAAAAUCAAGCAUUGGAAUGAUUCCAAUUUCCAAGCAUCUAUUUCUGGAAAUUAAAAAUACUUUUUUUCAUCCAAUGUUUGAUUAAUCGUAUUUCCCUGCAAAAUCCAACAUUCACUCAAGAUCCAAAACUUCUAAUUGAUUCAUUCUCACGGAAACUGUCGGCAGAAUAAAAAGACGAUCUUUUUCAACAGAUUAUUGGGACAUUCCUGGUCAGACAGUUAAAUGGCAUUUGAUGACACGAAAAGGGUUCGAUUCAUUCACAGGUUUCAAUCCAAUCACAUAAUCAAAGACCCAAAAUUUUGAAGAAAACAGAAAGCAUCACAACAUUAGCAGCAGGAAUCAUUCAGCUUUACCUUGAGGCUUGAAGAUGGAUGACAGUUUCAGCAGCUUUCUGGUGGGAGAAUGAAGGAAUGAAGGAAGAAACUUUCGAGAUUCCGAGUUGUGGACCUGGCAAGAAAUGGAGUGUGGGGAGUUUCGGCUUGCAACUAACGCGGCAAAUCUUGGAGUGUGAGCCAAUGGAAGUUUGGAACCUUGAGCAGUUGAUCAAACAGGUGACACGGAACCGAACAAAAUCCUAAUUUUUGGCAGAUAUUUUGAAUUUUUAAAUUGUCCAAAAUUGCACUCAACCUCUCUUGUCAACGUGUACAUUUUUCUCUCGCUUGUCUCUUUCCUUCUUUUCCUUUUCUUUUUUGAUAAGAAAUGGAUUUAUUUGAGGGCAAAUUACACUAAAACCCCUUGGAUUAGUGUGAAUAACCUGUUUGGCAAAUGAAUUUUUUUAUCAAUUUUUUCGCUUACAACUUUUUAACAACUUUAAUUACAGUAAUUUCAAAAACUCCUUAAAAUUUUUAAAAUACACACUUUACAAUACCUAGAAACACACUAAAAUAAAAAAAUAAAUUCUUCUUUCUAUUCUUCUACUUUCUCCUCCCAUCUCAACUCACCACUCCACCACCGACUAACAUUGAUGCCAGCCGCCAGUCACCUUUUUUUAAAAAAUUUUUUCUUUGCUUUCUCCCCUCUCCCUCCUUCUCCUCCCUGCCUCUCCUCUCCUCUCCUCUCCCCUCCCCCUCACUCCACUCUCACCCACCACUUCCUCCCCUCGUCUUCCUCCCCCUGCAACCCUCCCUAUCUCCCAUGCACGAUCUGGGAGUGUUAGGGUUUGUCAAGGUUUCAAUCUUUCGGACAUAAUAAUAUACGAGCCAUAUUCUUGCAUCAUAUUUUCACUAGUGAUAUACCAGAAAAACAAAACCAGACACUCUUAACAGGUUAAUAAUGUCUUCCUCAAUUGAUCAGAAAGUAAUGAAGUAAGGGAAAAAAGAAAAAAAAAGAAAAAAGAAAGGGACUCUAUGGUGAUGCAUCUUUAUACAGUGUGAGCUCAGGUGGUAACAGUUACCCACCCGGAUGCUGCAAGUAGCUCAGCUCAUAUCAUAACAGUCAUCCACCCAGUGGCGGUAAGUAGCUACAGUGGCGGAGUGGUAUUUCUGAGAAAAGGGGUGACAACACAAGACAAAAGGGUCGCAGUGGGCUGAGGGGAACCACUUGCAAAAUGAGAGAUUAAUCCAAUCCACAGGUGAUUAGGGGCACCUUCAACCGCAGUAUUGAAAUAGAUGGCUGAGAUCGAGCAGAGCACCUCCUACCCGAUCUACAACCGCCCAUAACACAGUGCAGUCCCAUACCAAGGACUUGAGCAGUCAGGCUAGCAAGUAUUUCUGGAGGCUUCCAGGUAGCCUAGAGAUUCUUGAAAUUACUUGCAAGGUGUAAAGAACAACCUAGACACCUAACAGUUAAUUAGGGGGGUACACAAUAAAUGGCAAUAACCAUAAACAACAGAUUCAAAAACAAAAAUGACAGUCAACUGCAUGAUAUCUUAACAGUUUUGUGUCAAUUGGCAUAUAUUGCUAAUCAACUCAAAAAUAUUACACCCAUUUGGAUCACCAAAUCCAAUAACUAUAGCGACCAAUGAAGAAUAACAUGUUGGAGAGAGAAAAUUUUGCAAGCUAGAAAGCACCCCAAAAUUGCAGGCCACUCAGAUUCAAUGGCGAUCAUUACUCGUUAUCGGAGUAAUUAAACUUUACUGAGUGUGAUUGCAAGUCAAUCUGCCCUCCUCUAUAGCUACCACGCUUCUUCUUGGUCUUUUCAUGCCGGAAGCCCCUGAAAGAAAGAGAGAGAGAGAGAGAGAGAGAGACAGUUUGUUCUGGUUAAGCUGCCACCAAAAUACAAACAAUGAUGUAUACGUAAAAGGCAGCUACUUCCAAACUGCAUGUGCAAAGGGCCCAGCCAUGUUAACUCAAGAAUGACAGGUUUUACUCCUAUUGUACGGAAGCAUACAAUAUUAAAUCAUGACUAAGCAACUGUGAAGAAAAAUACUCAGUUGAGGCCUUUAGAUCUCUGCCACAGGUUCCUCUUUCAACAAUUUGCUCAAUGUACUAACUAUCAUAAGAAUUGCUAAGAUGUGAAAAAUGACCUUUAGAACCAAAAACUGGUCCAAAAGGCAGAAUGGUGUUCAAACAUAAUACAUUCCAAACUUUAAAUUCCAACAAUAUGACGGAAAGCCCAAGAUCCCAAUUAUAUUAGCAAAUGGGCGAACUUUAAGAAAGAAGCUCUCUUAACACUUGCAUGGUUCCACUUGAUGCCCACUUAUAGGUCUUUCUAUUCAUUGUAUAUCUUCUGCAAUGCUGCAUUAUAACCCUAAAACUAAAAGUUAUGACCCAUUUUCAUCUUUAACAAUACAACUUAGGCAGGUUAUCCAUUCACCUUCAAUUCAUUUUUUCCUUAGACGAAUUUUUGUGAAUUUAAUUAUGUGGAGACUUAUUGUUAUUCUAAAUUUCUUUCUGUAUUUAUCAGCAGAGUUCCACCUCAUAUCUAUUUAUUCACCAGAAAGAGUCUUUUCCCUGUGAUAGGAACCAAUUUACAAACAAGGAAGCAAAAAAUCGUUUGACCAUGAAGCACAAUUCGAUGAUAAGAAAUUAGAAUACAGACCUUCCUUUCACCUGGCCCAGGACUUCUUGUGCUUUUGCACCAUAACCAAUUUCUGCACCACUCUACCCAAAAAAAAAAGAAACAAAAAAAUCUUGAGGGCAAGAAAAGUGUAAAAGCACACUAUUAUUUUUUCUGCUUCCAGGAUUGGAAAAUGGAAGCUGUAAAAUAUAAAAGUCCUCAAACCUUUGCCCAAUAAGAAUUAUCCUGAAGCCUCUCAUCAGCAAACUCCACUGCAUCGACUUUCACCCUUUGAAAAGCAUUCACUGUUUUAGGCUGCAGUAAUGGUGACAGGUUUAGGUUGUCUUGAAUGAUUAGCCCAAUUAGUGAAACAUGCAGACGGGAUACUGGAAAAAGGUAAAACGACUGCAUUGAGCAGUACGUUUUCUAGAAGACAAUGUACAUAGAAGAGGCACGCACAAACGUCCACACAAUUAUACCCACACACACACACACACACACAGAGCCCAGGGUAAAAGCUGCCUAUUAAGUGCUGCCAUUGGUGUAUUUACAUGGCCAAAAGAUCGGGUAAAUAAUAAACAGCAUGCAUACCUCAGCAGAUCCAUUGCGCUGUUUCCUAGCACAUUUCUGCGCAGCAGAUCUCUCAACACCAUUUUUCUUGAGAACCACCUGUGUGUUUACAUUGAACUGUUUCUGUGGCUCACUAACAUCGCCAUUCUCCUUUUCCGUUUCUCCAGCAACAUGACCAUCACCUCCAAGAACCGAAUUGACUUCACCUUGCUUCACAACAACCUCAGCUUCGUCUAUGCCUUCGGUUUUUCUCCUUUUGGAUUCUUCAAUUGCUGCCCCUUCAACAGGCUUAUCCUUCUUUUCAUCAGAAGCAGAUCUUUUUCUCUUCUUUGACUCCUUGUUGGCAACAUUAUCUGAUGUCUCCUGUGAAUUUCCUUUGUUUUCCACACCAGUAUCAGAUACAUCCUUUUUCUUUCUCUUCUUUUCUUUCAGUUUCAGUUUACUAUCAUCCAAUGGGACGUCUACAGUGUCCAUGUCUGUGUCCCUGAUAACUGCACUUUCUGCUCCCUUGCCAUCAUCAACAGGAGAAACCAUCCUUAGCUUCUGCUUCUUCAGCUUAUCCUUAGGUUUAGUUGUCUCUGAAGAGUCUUUAUUGCCAUUGGCGCUGAUAGUUUCUAAACUUUCUGGUUUUCCUUCAAUGGCCUUAGGCAAUGAGUCUUCUUGUUUUCCAUUAUCAUCAAGUGAUUCAGAUGUUAACUUAUUUUUCUUCUUCUUCUUCUUGUCUAUCGGCUCCUUCAUGGACUCAUCCGCCUUCACCUCAGAAAUAACAGAUUUGGCAUCAUCGUUUUCUUCAGUACUCUUUUUCUGCUUCUUCUUACUAGCAGUUUCUACAGGAGCAUCUUUGUCCAUCGUCCCAUCAGCACCUUGUUCUGCACAAAUGUCCUAGGAUAAGCACAAACCAAUACAUUGACCGGCUAAGCUAAAUAGUACUUGAAACAGGAAAUCAGAUUUGACAUAAGGGAGGAAGGCAGGAACAAUAGUAUCAUUAAGUUCUGUUUUGUCAAAUACCUUGCUCCUUCUGGCCUUUGAAAUCUGUAUCAGCACUUCUACUGCACGUCAGAGAAGCUCAACUAGCAUGAGAAACAGAAGCUGAAGCUAUGUGCAAAAUGUGAAUCGGACAUUAUUAAAUCUUCAUGCAUGGAAACCUAUUAUAAAAAUAUACAUUUUUGAAAGAUGGAAACCAAAAAAUGUCUACGUCAUACAUCUGUGAAAAUCAUUUUUCCUGUCAAUAGGUGUUGGUCACAUUCGCCAAAAUGGAAAAAGCAUUCCCAUGGUAAGGUAUUAGCAUAUUUAGCAAGCAUGAUCUUUUGGAUGGGAAGCUUUUCAUAACAUAGAGACUCCUCAUUAGCAAACUCGUCAUCAAUCCAUUACAUGCAAUCUCAUUCAAGCCUUGGGAAGGCAAGCAAGCACUAACUAAAAAAUCUUCAGAUAACAAACAGGCUUAGGACUGAAUAUCACAUAUUUUAACAGCCAUUUUAUUCUUGUUACACUUCGGCAUUUUGAUGUUGAUUCCUCAUUUUGAGACACCACAACCACCAGGUUACUUGGACACAGAUCCACAUUUUAUCACAUAAGCAACUGCUUUAAACAUCAAGAUAGAUCAUUUUGAGAUGAACACUUUUACUCCUAAAGCAAAUAUGGUUUCUGCGAUGAAAGAUUUAAAUCUACUAUUGUCAAAUAUACUGAGGUCCUAACACCAUCAAAUUACAAAGCAAAUGACCAAUCCAAUAUCUCCCCUAUUUACAAGUAGUUUAUGCCUGUGAUAUUUAAAAAAAAUGAAGGGAAAAAAAAGACUGCCGAGAGAUAAUUAAGUUCAGAUCACUAAGUGGAUAAUAGAAGCGCCACAUGCAAGUUGACUGUGACUUUUGAACUUUUGAUGUCUAAAAAAUCUUCCUCAUCUAUCAUAUGAUGCAUGAAAAUUGCCAGUGGGGAGGCCACUGUGUUACGUAAGCAGUCUAAUCAAAGGGUCUAAAAGGGGUUGCUCCCACUGCUUAUAGUCUAAUACCCUUAUUAUCAAACAUAGUAAUAUGCUUCUGUUUACCUUUGCUAUUGAUAACUAGCAUAUCAAAGUUCUCUGACAUGGAAAAAUUCUUGCUACCAACUCUAAUGGCAGAAUUUUCUGACUACAUUCCUGAUCUAACAAGCUUACUUUUUAUUCAUUUUUUUGUUUUCUUUAAUAAAUUAGGUGGGCAGAAUAAGUCAAGAAAACUCUGCCAAAGAAUUUCAAAUUGCAUUUCUAGAAUAACAAUAAAACUCUGCUAAAACACAGCAAAAAAAUCAAAAUUCAAAAGUACAAAAUUUUCAUUGUCAAAUUUCUAGCCUACCAGUUAUCUAAAUAUUUGCAGUACAUCUCCUCCAAGUCAAAUGAAUCUGCCUUCCAAGAAUCAUCCUGCAGUAAAAUCAUGAUCAACUGUUACAGUCUGGCCAUUUAAAACAUUAAUACAAAAGUUACUGAAUCUGAAUUCAGAAGGCAGAAUUCCAUCUUACAUUAGGACAUAAGCAAAAAUGCAUGCAUCACUACUCUGCCGAUAAAGCACUAAACUUUUUCACGGCCCGAUGUUCAGGCAGUCAGUUUAUAAUACAAUUAAAACAAACAUCCAAUAAGUAAAGGUUUAGAGCCUUAAAAAACAUCAUUUAUAUAAAAUUACUACAGUUAACAUUUUUCUAGAAACACCCAAAAAGCAACCAUCCAAACAGAGCCAUCAAAUUUGAAAAUAGAAUUUUUGUUUAAAGAUCAAAUGGUAGUGCAAUGCCAAUAACCAAUAUACAGUCUACUAAAUCAAAGUAUACAGUCUUAAACAACAACAUUGUACGUUCUGCUUCACCACAUCUAUAUCUUUCUCUACUAGAACGAUAAAUUUAUCUUUCCCUAUCUAAAUUUGGGCAUGUCUAUGGAUUUCAAUUGCAUAAAGUGUAGUGUAUUUUUCAAAAACUUCAUAGUGAAGUAUCAAAUUACCUCAACUUGAGCUUCUUUCAAGAAGCGCUUAAACGUCUUGGAAAAACCCUUGUCAUGAAUAUACUGAAUGACAGAGUGAAGAAGAGCAAUCUUAGUUUCAGGCUGCUGCUGCUCCUCCUUAACCAGCGUUUUCGUCAUUGUCCGUCCUGUGCGCUCGAGCUUUCCCUUCUCCUUCUGCUCUGCAAGGAGAACCUGGCGAGGCUUGAAAGCAACAAUUCGUCUUGAAACUGAGCUAUUGCUCUCUUCUCCUCCUUGGAUCAUACACUGACAUUAUUAAUAUCAAAAAAAUCAAAAACUAAUUCAUUUUUCCAAAUUCAAUUCAAUUAACUCAAAUACAAAAAAAAAAAAGCAAAAAAAAAAAAACAUGUACAAGCUAGGUGGUGGAUGAGAAAUUUCAAACUACACAUACAAACAGCAAAAAACAAAUGAGGUAGAAAAACAAAUAAAAAAGAAGAAAAUGUUAUCGAAAUCAAGCAUUAAUUCUUCCAAUAUUGCAGUAACCUAACAAAUUAUGCAAAUAAGAGUCAAUAACAACAAAAAAAAAUUAGAAAAAACAACAUCUCCAAGCCAUUGACGAGAAAUUUCAAUCAGUAUCCAAACAGCUUAAGCUAAAAAGGAAAAUUAAAAAAAAAGGGAAAGGAGAAAAAGUUCUUACCAGCUGGGUUGUGAAGAACAGGAAGGCGGCAGGGAGGAGAAGGUGGAAGUUUCUGGAAGAUGAUAUUAUUUUUCUUUAGCAGUUAAUACUACUGCUAAGCAGUAGAAUUAGGGUAUAAGGAAUUAGCGGAUAUGAUUAGGGUUUUUUAUUUUUCGGGUUCGGGUUAAGGAUGUGGGUUGGUUUGAAGAUGGAUAGUCACAAGACACAACGACAAUUAGGUUUAAUUACAUUUUCUACCCCUGAACUUGUAUAUAUGGGACAUGUUGUACUAGAGUUUUGUAUUUUUUUUUUUUGUCGCAAAUAUAGUGGUAGUAUAACCUAUUCUAUCCAAUCGACGGAGAACCCGUCGGAGAUAGUCACUUGAAAGUGAUAGCCACAAUUAAGUGACAAGGUAGAAGGUCAAGAAUUGUUAAUGACUUUAAAGUUUUGGUAAUGACCAACAGCCCAAGAGGUUUUUGGCUAUUAGAGUUUUGUAUGCAAGUGAAAAUUGUCACAUUACAUUGUACAAUAUUAGGACCAUGAAUUUUAGAUUAGAACCAUGAAAUUUUAGCACCCUGAGAUUUACUAGGUUAAAAAUAAGGAAAGUGAAAAUAAGGAAAUAAGCAGUAAGGCCAUCAUUUUGAUAUUAUUCGUUUAACAUCUAGUUGCAUAGUUUGUGUAUGACUAAUAUAUAUAUAUAUAUAUAUUAUGGGUAUUGGUAAGAAGAAUAGGGGAGGCAAUGUUGCUCUCAAAUUAAAUAUGACCAAAGCUUAUGAUAGGGUUUCUUGGAUUUUUUUGAUCAAUGUGUUACGUGCUUUUGGGUUUGGUGAAAGAUGUAUUGAUAUGGUUUGGCGUCUUAUUUCUAAUCCAUGGUUUUCUGUUUUGAUUAAUGGGAUGCCAUGUGGUUUUUUUCCAUCUUCUCGGGGGCUUCGUCAAGGGGAUCCUUUGUCUCCUUCUUUGUUUAUUAUAGGUGCAGAGGUGCUUUCACGGCUUUUGAAUCAACUUCUGCUGCAUCCACGCUUUAAUGGUUUCAAGGUUCCUCGAGGGUGUUCUCUAGUUAGUCACCUGGGGUAUGCAGAUGAUAUUCUUAUUUUUUCUAGUGUCUCAGCAGUAUCCCUGAAGUUGUUAAUGGAAACGCUGAAAAAGUAUGAACAUGUUUCGGGCCAGAGAAUAAAUGCCUCAAAGAGUUGUUUCAUGGUUCACCCGCGACUAUCCCGGACAAGAAAGGUAUUAAUUCAGAGCAUAACGGGCUUUUUCCCAAGGAAUUUCCUUCUAACUAUCUUGGCUGUCCUCUAAUGGUGGGAAGACGUAAAAAGGCUUAUUUCCAGAAUUUGAUCACGACGGUGGCUGCUACGAUUGUUUCUUGGAAAAAUCGUUUGUUGUCACUAGGAGGUAAGGUUGUACUUAUUAAACAUGUACUGUCCUCGCUUCCAUUGCAUUUGCUAGCUACUGUGUCACCUCCAAAAUCUGUAUUUGCUACUCUCGAGCAUUUGUUUGCAAAUUUCUUUUGGGGUUCAGAUGAGGGUGGUUUAAAAUACCAUUGGAUUCGUUGGAAAGAUCUUUGAGCUCCAAAAGAGGAGGGUGGGCUUGGUAUUAGAUCACUGGAUGAUGUUUUUAAUGCCUUUUCUAUUAAGCUAUGGUGGAGGUUUCGACAAAAUGCGUCUCUUUGGGCUAAUUUUAUGAUGGCAACCUAUUGUUCAAAUGCGUACCCAGGUAUGGUUGUUCGUUCGGAAGGGGCCUCUCAUACGUGGCGUAGGAUGUUACAUGUUCGGGACAUUGCUGAACAACAUAUAACUUUCAUUAUCCAUUCUGGGGACUCUAAUUUCUGGUUUGAUAAUUGGUUAGGUUCUGGGCCUUUGGCUAUGCGGUUAGGGAGUGUUUCGGAUCACAAGGUGUCUGAUUUUUUAGUUGAUGGCAGGUGGAAUUUUCAGUUGCUGGGUUUGUGGGUACCUCCGUUUAUUAUUAACGACAUCUGAAUGUUCACUCUCCCUCAAAUUGAGAAUGGUGUGGAAGAUUUAAUGAUAUGGGCUCCUUCUCAAUCUGGAGUUUUCACGCUGAGCUCAGCUUUUAACCUGGUGCAAUCACAUAAGCAAAGGUCAUUUAUGUUCUCAAAAGUCUGGCACCCACAAAUUCCUUCCAAAGUGUCUGUUUUUCUUCUUCGCUUGUUGCGAAAUCGAUUACCCAUGGACUCCACGCUAUGUAAACUUGGUAUUUCGAGCCCAUCAAAGUGUUUAUGUUGUGUCUAGGCUAAUGGUGAGACUUUGGACCAUGUCUUUUGUAGUGGACAGGUAGCAGUUUCAGUUUGGAAUUUCUUUGGCUCUGCUUCAGGUGUGCUUAAUUUAGGUGGCUCGGUUCGGGCAUAUAUUGCAGGUUGGUGGUAUAGCGCACCAAGAAAUGGUUUCAUUGCAUUUGUUCAUUUUAUUAUACCUUCUCUGAUUUGUUGGAAUAUUUGGAAGUCCAGAAACUCGGCACGUUUUGAAGGGAAACUUCUUUCUCAUGUCAUUAUCUCUGAGUUUGUUUUUGACAAUGUGAAGGACCUCUUUAGUUUACAAUUCCCUGGGUACCCAUUCGUUUCCUCAGCAUGGAUGGAGUUUUAUUCUUCGCUCUCUUAUAUUCAUAAGAAAGUCUCAUUUAUGAUUGUAAGGUGGUGUUGGCCACUCUUGGGUGUAUUUAAACUUAAUACUGAUGGCUGUUCAAGGGGUAACCCAGGGAGGGCAGGUGGUGGUGGGGUUUUGCGUGAUGAUGGAGGAAAUUUCCUGCUCGCUUUCUCCUCUUUUUUUAGGAAUGUAACCAGCAUUCAAGCUGAGGCGCUCGCUCUUUUCUUUGGGGUUAAGUUGUGUCUCUCUCGUGGUUAUGUUAACUUACACAUUGAAAUGGAUUCGUUGGUUCUUGUUCACAUCCUAAAACAGGGAUCUAGCUGUCCAUGGAGUAUUUAUACAGAGGUUAAAUACCUUCUAAAGUUUUCGUCUAAUUUUGUUGCAAUUUCUCAUUGCUUUCGGGAAAGUAAUCAAGUAGCCGAUUCUUUAGCAAACAUGGGAUGUGAUCAAGGUUUCAAUACAACAUAUCAUCAGCUUGUGGACCUCCCUAUGAAAGCUCGUGGGGCGUUUCGCUUAGAUAGAAUAGGCCUGCCUUCAAUUAGGAAAUGUGUUCAGCGUGGAUGAAAAGCCCAGUUCGAAAUUCUGCAGUUGAGCCUUAUUUGGUUGGCCGUCACAUUCUGUUUUAACCAUGCAGUUGUUAUUAAAUUGUCUUCAAACUGUCGUAAAGUUACAUUGUAGUAACUUACUACCAUGUGGAUAAUUUUCUUGUAAAAUAUAUAUAUAUAUAUAUAUUGAUGUUAUAGAUAGUUAAUAAUCAAUUUGGUGAUAUAUAUAGUCACUUCAUACAAUUUAUUUGACGAGAAUUAGUAUUAGUACAAGAACUUGGAUCCUUGUCACUGUUUUGAGUAUUAGGUCCAAAACUGUCGGUUCAAUUGAUUAGAUCGAAAAUUGGUGUCAGGUUUCAUAUCAAAUCUAAAAUGUUAAAAGCAUCGGCUAAAUUUGGUCAAGUGCUGGUUAAACCGGCUAAAAGUGAUAAAAAUAAGGUUAUUCCAUCACUUUCCACGUUGGGUUUUUUCUUUUUUUAAAAAACGAAUAUUUUAGAAUGAUCCAAAUUACUUAAUAUUAGAAUAUAUAAAAAUUGAAGAAAAGAAUUUUGAUUCAAACAGUUGAAAUUCAUUAAACUAUAAAAAUCAAAAGCUCAACUAGUUCACUCACUGGUUCGAGUUUUAUAACAUUGAUGCAUGCGCACAAAGUUCAAUUUUAUCACUAAAAUUCCUAAUAGCAUGUUUCCAAUUCAAAAUUUAUCCUUUACUAAUUCUAUAAAGAUUAGUGCAGUUUUAAACUAGAAAUUGGAUAUGAAAUAGUUUUGAGAAAAAAAAAGAAGUCUUUACAAUGUUGACCGGAGAUCAUAAAUGAUUGUACAAUCUAAAAUAGAGGUAUCUCUGUAUGAAAUUGUUCUGGGGGAAGUUAUGGUGAUAGUAAGAAAGUUAAUAGUAGUAUAAUUUACGUUGAAUAAUUUGUUAAGAUGUGCCAUGGAUUUUGUUCAAGAACAGUGUUGCAUUCUUUCUUUUUAUCUGUACUGGAAGAACUUUUUUACUUCAAAAAAAAAAUUAAACGAAUAAAUUUGAAAAAAGGCAUCAUGCUUUUAUACGUGAGCUAUUGCUGGCUUUAAGUUUAAAAAAAAAAAAACUUUGGAUUUCUAGCUACCACUAUCCACACUUUCAAAGAUGAAAUUCAGGAUAUGCUGUUUCUAGCAAUUUUGCAAGCAAAUCUGGUUUGAGAUGAUGGACUAAUUCGGGAUCCUAAAAUUUUUUUUUGAAAAAAAUCAUUGAGAAAGGAAUUACAAAGAAAAUAACUAUUUCAUAUACGUCCAGCAUUAAGCCACUAGUAGUAAGUAGGGCUGAUGCUGAACCGAGUAGCUUGACUCGAGCUCGCAAGCUACUCGGUCAGCAGCUCGGCUCGAGCUUGUUUUGACCGAGCUUGAGCUGCUUGAUAGAAGCAACGAGUCGAUCUCGAGCUUCAAUAUCUUGCACUCGAAAGCUCGACGAGCCUAAUCGAGCUUUUAUAAUAUAUAUUUUAAUUUUUAUUAUUGUGAAAUAUCAAUAAUAUCCUUUACUUAAAAUUAUAAAAUAUUAAUUUUUAUUACGUGAGCUUGAUUAGGCUUGAUUGAGCUCGAAUAGACUUGAUUGAGUUCGAUUUGAAUUGAUUACAUUUAAUUAAACUCGAGUUCGAGUUCGAGCUCGAGUAACGUAAAUUGAUGUCGGGUUCGAGCUCGAGCUCGAAUUCUAAAAGCUCGACGACAAGCUCAAGCUCGAUCUCGAGCUUAGUUAUUUUACCUCGAGUUGAGCUCGAGUAGUGCACUACUCGAGAUCAACUCGACUCGAACGCACCCCUAGUAGUAAGCAUCUCAGGGGCCGCUUGGUACAAGGAUUUGGGAAUCAAGAAUUGGAAUCACCACCAUAUUUGUUGCUUGUUAAAUAGGUAUGGGUAUUGAAAAUUUGGAAUGAAAUCUAAAAAUCUAGUGACUCUCAAUUCCCGACUAUAUUGGGAGGUUUUGGUUGAUUCCCAAAUUUGACUCCUAAAUGAAAUAUAAAAAACACACAACCACCCUAACAGAGUACCGCCCCUUCUCCUUUCAACGCCAUCCCCAACCACCAUCUCACUCACCGCACUUCCACCAAUACUAUUGCCACCUCCCCCACCCCCAAAAAAACCUCACUCACCCCCCACCAACACUCCAAAACUGACCCAAAAAAGGGAAGAAAUCGCGAGAAAAAAGUGGAAACUUGAGUCGCAUAAUAGGUGAUGCGGUGGCGGAGGCGCUUUGCUUCUUUAGUACGGUGUUCGAUGAGAGCAACGAGAGCUUCCUCUUGCUCUUUCCUGUUUCCUCAUCGUCUUCUUCUUCAUGAUUGCCGCCAUUGUUGCUUCUCUUUUCUUCUCCUGCUCCGCUUGUUUUUUCGAUUUUAGACUUUCUGAGAACCAGACGGGGAAGGCCAUUCAUGUUCAUUUAGUCUUGUUUCUUUUCUUCCGUGAUUGGCUCUGAUUUUUAUAGUGUUUGACCAAAGAAGAAGAUGAAGAUUGUAUGCUGAUACCUAAGCCUAGAAAGUGUUUACCAAGCAAUAUAUAUUGGAAUGAUGACAUAGGGCCAUACCCAUACUAAUUAUUUGUAUAUGAUACCAAUUCCAAUUACAAUUCCGGUUCAUGAACCAAACGCCCCCUUAAAGUGAUUCUCCAAUCCUGGAUAUCUUAGACAUACUUGAGCCACGUGUGCAGCUAUACAACGCCUUCCUACUUGGACAACUCAAAGGCGUGAUUGUUGGACACUGGUUGCCAUACGACUUUUUCUUUUUGGUCUCCAUAAUGUGCCAAUAGUGUAAUCAUAUGAGGGCCGGUGCAACUGUUAUCCUGCCCUCCAUGUUAAGAGAGAGUCCACUCUAAUUUUUUUUUUGGUGGUUUCGUUAUAUAUCGUUAUUUAGUCUAUUUUAUUUUGUUUUUUAUUUUAUUUUUGACCUCUUAGUAGUUAUUAGAACUUAAGAAAUAAAAUCAUUAAAUCAGAAGCUUAUGAAGAACACAUGACAAUGAAAUAAAAAGUGUCGCAAAGAGCAGAAAGGAAGCAGAAUAGAAGAUCCAUUGUGAUCGAGAAGGAUUAUAUAUACCUUAGCCUACAGAACUCAGAAAUAGAUGAUAAUGCAUGGCACACCAACUCAAAAUCAUUCAUAUAUAUAUAUAUAUAUAUAUAUAUAUAUAUAUAUAUAUAUAUAUAUAUAUAUAUAUAUAUAUAUAUAUAAUAAAGUCGUAUUUUCAUUCUCAUCGCUUUAUGUUUUCUCUUUCGUACGUGGCUUAACGACAGGACAAGUGAUUUCAACACGCUCUAUAAAAUAACCUACGCUCUUCCAUCUCUCUCUUCUUUUGCCUUUGUUCAUUUAUUCCAUGAUUUCCACCUUUUUAAAAAAAAAUAACCUAUGCUCUGUAUGGAGCUUAUCUCUCUCUUUUCAUAAGCACGAAAUCAAUUAUCAAUAUUUAUCUAAAUUAAAUUUCAAAUCUAAAACCGUUCUUAUCAUCCAUGUAUGACUUAGAAAACCGUUCUUAGCAUUCUAUCCUAUAUUCGCGGCUGAUUAUCAUUCUAUCAUAAUCAUAUAUUUACGGCCACAUGCUUCUCUUUUGGUUUGUGAACUUCUAGGUAUAACAACAAGGUAUGAUCCGUAUAAUUUCUUUAACAUGCAUGCCUUUAGUAAAACUAUUUUUUAUUAUCAUCUUUUUAUAUCCUUAUCAAUUCUUAUUUCCUACCCAAAGUUAUGUACUUUAAGCAACUUAAAUUAAGAUAAAACUAUUUUUAAUAUUCUUAUCAAUAUCUUUUUAUAUCUUUAUCAAUUCUUAUUUUCUUCCCAAAGUUAUGUACUUUCAGCAACUUAAAUUAAGAUAAAACUACUUUUAAUAUUCUUAUCAAUAUCUUUUUAUAUGCUUAACAAUUCUUAUGCCUACAUAUAGCUUCUUUAUAUGGUUAGGUAUUUCCAGUGCAAGCGGUUGGCAUAUUAAAGUAUUGAUUUUGGAUUUCCACUCUUCUUGAUUAUCAGGUAAAUCUUCCUUCGAUACAUAUUUUUCUUUUUUAAAAAGACAUGUUCAUCUUCAAUUGUAAGAAUUUAGUAACAUAUCUUGAAUUUUGUGUGUUUUGGUUUUUUUCUAUUUGUUUUGUAUGAAGAGAUAGGAUUUAAAAUAGUAUUUUCAUCGUAAGUUUUCAAAUAGAAACAUGUUAGUUGUUUCCACCGAAUUGGACAACAUUCAUAUGCUAUAGGAUGCAUGUUAGAUGUUUGUUAAUUUGCCUUUGUUUCGUUUGUCCAAGGUACUGGGCUUGUAGCUGGUGCUGUGGAUCCCUACUCAGCGCAUACUCCAAGAGUUGAAUUUGUUAUUUUCUCCAGCCUUUUUUUCCCAACCACAUGUAAGUCUGUUAGUUACUUUAGUUAAAUUAUCUAUUCUAUGUUUUUCACUACUGUUAAACAUUCAUAUUAUAAGCAUUUAGCCUAUGCCUCUUGAGUGAUCAUGAACUGAGAGAGGCAAAUUUAUUUUCGUUCCUUUUGCGAAGACAAAAUGUCUACUAAAUUUUUAUCUUGAAUUGUGGGUGAUCAUGGGUUUUGUUGUCCAGAAUUGUAAAUACAAUUUGUAACUAUAAUCUGGAACAGUUUCAUCUUGAGUUGUUCAAUUUUAUGGAAGUAAAUGCUAUUGUUGAUUACGUCCCAUGUUGUUCUUAAAUUUUUAAUAAUCAAUUGACGAAGAUAUUUCUUCAAAAAUUUUGUAUCUUUAGCUAUUAUUGCUGUUAGUUACUUUAGUUGAACUAUGUUUUCUAUGUCUUCCACUGUUGUUAAAUAUUCAUAUUAUAAGCAUUUGGCCUAUGCCUCUUGAGUGAUCAUGAACUGAAAUGGGAAAAUUUAUUCUGGUUCCUUUUGUGAAAUUUAUGUAUGUUGGUGUUCAAGAAUCAACGCAACAAGAUUUUCAUGGGCAUGAUAUAUAGUCAACUAAGUUUACAAAUACAAUUUAGUAUAAAAGUAUUACCCACUUUAAUACAUCAAAUACCAUAAAUAGUCUGACUAAUUAAAUGUACAAUAUUUUAUUUUAGCAUGAGGAGGUAGAUUUAAUAUACUAUUUUGCUUUCUUAAUCUAUAAUCUUUAUGUAUUGUGUUACACAACUUUGAAUGUGAUAAAUCAUUUAUUUUUUAAUACUUAGUUGUCCUGCUUUGCUAUCAUGCAAUGAUAAUGAAAAAUCAAUAAAUACUGAUUUGUACGGAUAAAUGGAGGAGAAUGUUCAAACAGAAGAAAAACGAAAAAAAAGUUUCUGAAGAAUAGAAUAUUAUUUGAUACUAUUUACUGCACUUUUUAUUUCUUUCAAGUUUUUGAAUGUUAUAGUAUUGUCGAAUGUUUCCAUUUUUGAAUUAUUAUUCACUAAAUUAGAUUUUAUAUUAUAAGAAUACUUUAUAUUAUGAUGCGCACAUAGUAAUAUACUUAAGAAAGGUUAUAAUAAAAUAUACAUUAAGUUUGUAUUUCAUAUCAACAUUUUUAUAAAUUUGACUAAAUAGUUUAUUAUUUUUCGAAGAUUCCCGUUCAACGAACGGGUACAAAACUAGUUAUCAAAGAAUUACAAAUUGAAAUGAAGGCCUUGUUUGGCACUUGAGUUUUUUUGUCAAAUUUGUCUGUUACAAGUUUUUUAAAAACUUUAGUUACAGUAACCUUAAAAUACUUCUCAAAGUUUUUAAACUAUACACUUCAAAAUAUUCAAAAUUUUUUUUACACAUUUCAAAAUUUUUUUAAAAAACUUCUACAUUAAGUUACAGUAAAGUUUUAGACCAACAUCCAAAAAACUCACUUACCAAACAGGGCCGAAGUUAUGUCAAAUAGCUGACUUUAAAUCCAGCUGAUGCUUAAGAGAAUAAGGAUUUCAUUAAAUUAUAGUUCAAACUUAUGAUGGUAUAUAUAUUUUUUCUCUAAUGGCCAGUAGCAUCUAGGUUCUUGAGAGACUCCAUUUGCACAUGUUAAAUUUUGAGGCCAUCAAUUGAAUAGACAAAGUAAGCUUUGCAUGAUCCUUAUAAUAAUAUGUUUUCAAAACAUUGGGAUACUCAUAAUUAUCUAGAAGUAUUAUAAGUAUUCCAACACGUCUUUUCCUUUACUUAGUCAAGUCAACUUUGUUGCUGGUAGCUUGUUUCUUUUCAUGGAUGCACAAUAGUGAUUGCAAAAGAACAAUUAAUGGCAUAGGUAUAGAGAGUGAUUUUAAAACUGGAUGAUUGAAAUUGAAUUUGUGAGCAUAAUUUUCAACAAACUACAAAGAUUGUUGUGUUAUUUGCAUAUUGAAAAUUGUCUCAUUAUCUGUAUUGAUUAAGUUUAAAGUCUACGUUCAUUGUAUCAAGUUAUUGCCCUUGACAAUUGUAGAAACCCUGGAUCAUUUCUUGAUCAGCACAUGCUACAAAAAAAAAAAAAAAAAAGCCAAAGCUGUAGACAGUUGUGGAAAAAAGAACAAAAACAACAACAACGACAAAAAGAAGAAGAAGAAAAAAAGGUAUUGAUAUCUCUUGUCUUGCAUUUGCCAUCUCGCUACUAAUUAUCUCCAAUUUAAUAUUCCUUGGGGUUACAUAGAUAUCAGUCAACACGUUUAAACUUAUCAGCGUAUAUUCUUGGUUUUAGCAUAUUUAAUUAAAGGCUCCAUUUAACGGUUGCUCAAUUCGUUAAAAUAUAGUAUAUAUUUCAAAUGUCAUAUUUUUGAAAAUAUAAAAGUAAUUAGAAAAAAUAAAUAAAUACAAAGAAAGGUAGUUAAAAUUAAAUAGAAAAAGUAUAUAAAUGCAAAGGAGGUAAUAAUUGUAAUAUAUGUGUAUACAUGGUAAGUCAAGUGAAUUUUAGGUGUGUUAAUAAAACCCUUAAUUAAAUUUAUGUCCGAAAUGGUCAACUAUCACGUUUUUUUCCUUAAAUGCUCUCAUAUUCAAUUCGUUUAUACAUAAUUAUUCAAACUCCAUACCAUCUUUGGACUCCACCAAUUGGUUUAGUUCCUCCCCAUAAAUACCCUGCAGGUAUAUAUAUGUUUAUAUUUAAGGAUGGCAACGGGGCGGGGUUGGGGCGGGGGACAAAUUCCUCCCGCCCCGUCCCCCGUCCCCCGCUCCCCCUGUCCUGUCCCCGCCCCGCCCCACUUUUCCUGCGGGUGCCUUCGUGGGGCUAAUAAAAAUUUGUUAUAUAAUUUUAUUAUAGUUAAAUUUUAGCAAAUAAUCAAGUAUUAAAAUAUCAAUACAUCACCAAAUUAUUAUUCAUUGUAAUUUCACAAUUGAAACUUAUAAAAACAAUCAAACAAAAGUUAUUUGAAUACAAUCCAACAUGAUGAAAUAAAUACAACUAAAGUAGUCAAGUUUUCACUUUUAGCACAAAUACAAUCACUGAUUCAUUAUUGUGCUCGUAUUUUUUUUUGAGAAAAACUGUUAUUGUAUUAAGUGUAAUUAGGGAUUUAGUAUAAAUGUAUUAGUAAAUUUAGUAUAACCAAUUAAUAAUUUGCAUUAGCAAAAUGUUCAUGUAACCUUUUCCUUUGGAUUACGUUUCCGCAUCAGUUGCAUUAGAUUAGAGCAAGUAUCUCAGAGCACGUAUCUCUUGGGAUGGCUACUGAUAAUAGUAAAUGUAAUUCUUACCCUAGUGACGGAGUCGAGGGUUUAAGAACAUCAUUUGCUGCACAUACUAUCCACUUGGAUGCUAGAGAUACCAGCUUGGAUCAAAUAGAUGCAUAUGUGGAGGGAAUGGACGGUGUGCUAGCUACUCUCAUGGAGUGGAUGGGGUUGCAGGCUGUUGGGAAUGGUGAUGAGAGAGAUGAUCGUGGUGAGGGGUUGGCCAUUUGAGUUGUUGGAUUAAAACUGUUGAUCCCUAUGGGGGAGUUCAUUGCACACCUUGAUCUUACGUGAUUUAAGCCAUUUGAGCUCUAGCAGAGUUCUGGUCUCAUGUUAAGCACAAUUCUCUUUUUGGUAAUUGACCCCAAAAAAAAAAAUUGCAGUCCACAUUUUUUCCAUUUGUCAAUAAAAUCACAGUCGUAGACUUUUUCCACAGUGUGCACCUAGUCAGUGAUGAGGAAAACUGAUUGGUGAAGAAUACAACAUGGAAUUGGCAAUUAGAGCAUCCAGAGCCUUGAUCAUCUUUUUCCUUUUUUAUGUUUUUCUGGAAUUCAAUACGAUUGUCCUUGCCUUGUCCUCUUCAACUACGGAUAACAUGCAUGAACUAAUUUGAUAGAUUUUGUUUUAAAUUCUCUUUGAAAUUAAGGAAUCAAAGAGAAGUUAAAAUUAACCAAUGGUAGUGUUCAAUUUUUUUUUUUUUUUGACGACACAGGGGUAUCCAAGCUUUCGACCCGACUAAUCCCCUGCGGUCCGGGAGAGGGCGCCCCAACACACUCCGAGCAUAGUAACCACGAGACUCGAACACUAGUCAAUGCCUUAAAAAAGGACUACAUCACCGCCGAACUACCCCACGGGGACCAAUGGUAGUGUUCAAUGGUUCAUCCUAAACUUGUAGAGGGACAAGCAUAGGAUCCUCUUCCCACCAUUCAAAUUAGUUUAGUAGAACUUUAACAUUUCAAUGCUUCAAAAUCCAAGCUCAUUGCAUCCUCUUCCUCACAAUUUCCAACGCUAGCUCUGAUAUCUUAUUUUCUUCAGUUUGGUACUUUUAAUUUUCUCCUGUCAGACAAGUACUUGCAAAAGUUUCAUAUGUACUGAUCAAGUUUAUUGGUUUUUGUAUAUCUGAUGAGUUGGAUUAAAAAAAAAAUGAAAAAUGUAUAGUUCUUAUUGAUGAAGGAAACCUAGCUUACAGUGUGUAUAACAUGGUCCUCAAUACUAGUCCUUUUUUAGUUAUAGUUCUUUGUUUUAAUGUGGCUUGAGACCAUGAAUCUAUUGAUUAUUGAAGUUUUGCACAUAAACAACAAAACAAGUAUGAUAGGACCAUUUAUAGAUCUGGGCUUGCUUUCAUAUUAGUCAUUCAUUUAAGGGUUCCAUUCAUUUUUUUUUAAGAAACUCAAACAUAGCUUUUAUAAAUCUAUUCUGCAGCCCUAAUUUACAGAUCUGAUAAGAUCAACGUAGAGUUCUCAUUUUUUGAGUUAGCGGGAGCUUUCAAAAUUGAAUGCCUAUAUAUAUUUAUAUAUAAAUAUAUGAAUAUAUAUAAAUAUAUAUACAUAUAUAUAUUGAUAAAAUAUCAUAAUUUCAUUAAAAUCUAUACUAAUGGCAGAAAUUAUAUUAUUAAACAUACAUAGAUAUCAAAGAACAGAUUUGAAUAAAGGAUACUCCAAAUCUGAACAAUAAUAAAAAUUACAUUAUAAAGCUUGAGACUAAAGAUGGCAAUGGGGGCGCCGCGGGGGUAGAAAUGGGGCGGGGCGGGGACAAAAUAUUUCCCCCCGCCUUAAAACAGGGUGGGGGGUGGGGAAACAUACACCCGCCCCAUCCCCCUCCUCGUCCCCCACAUACAAUAAAAAUAUAUAUAUAUAAAUAUAUAAAAUAUAAUCCUAAAUUUUCUAAAGUUGCACCCUUACUUACAAGUACAACGCUAGUCAGUGCCAACAGCCGCCGCAACAACUGAAGAAAUUUCUUGGAUUAUUGUUGAUUUGUUUCUAACGCCCCCCUCCCAAAAGACUAAGCUAUCCAAUUCCAACCAGUUUUGUUCUUAACCUUUUUUUAUUUCGAUCGAUUUCCUUCCUUCGCACUGAAUGUAACUUGACUUGUUAUACUUUAUUUCCAUCUUGACAGCAUUUUAAUCUUAUUUAACAUUGUUUACAAUUGUAUUAUUGUAAAUAAACAUUUAUGAUAAAUUGAUUUCUUCCCUCGUGGGGGACCACGAGGGAAACGGGGCGGGGGCGGGACAGGGGGUGGGGGGCAAGGGGCGGGGGACGGGAGAAGUUAUUUGACAAUGGGGCGGGGGGGGGGGCCCCGCCCCUAUGAAUCUAUUGAUUAUUGAAUUUUUGCAGAUAAACAACAAAACAAGUAGGAUAGGACCAUUUAUAGAUCUAGGCUUGCUUUCAUGUUAGUCAUUCAUUUAAGGGUUCCAUUAUUUUUUUUUUUAAGAAACUCAAACAUAGCUUUUAUAAAUCUAUUCUGCAGCCUAAUUUACAGAUUUGAUAAGAUCAACAUAGAGUUCUCAUUUUUUGAGUUGGCCGGAGCUUUCAAAAUUGAAUGCCUGCUUUAUAUAUAUAUAUAUAUAUAUAUAUAUAUAUAUAUAUAUAUAAUAUCAGAAUUUCAUUAAAAUCUGUAGUAAUGGCAGAAAUUAUAUCAUUAAACAUACAUGGAUAUCAAAGAACAUAUCUGAAUAAAGGAUACUCCAUAUCUGAACAAUGAGGUAAAAUGAGGUAAAAUAAUUGUAACUCCAUGGACAUCUGUAUAUGCUUCCAAUCGUCAAAUCUGUUGAUUAACUGUUUCAAAUCCAGAUAUUAUGGUGAGAUUUGCCGAAUAGAUCCAAGAAAUUCCAGAUCUAAUAAUCAAAAUGUGAUUUGCGAUGAAUUUAGGCAAACAUGUAUAAAAACCAGAAAACGUGCCCAAUUCAUAUUAAACUUUCCUUUUGUUACAACUUACCGAAAGCAUUUUCUACUAUGGUUGAAUUUCAUUACAAUUAUUACGGUUGAACUAUUUAUUUCAUAAGGUAACAUACAAUUAUUGUGAUUAUAUUUGUAUAUUGAAUUGAUGUACAUGAACAAAAUUCAUGCAUAUAAUAAAAUAUAAUAUACAGCAGAUCAUGUAAAAUUUAUAAUAACUAUUUAACUGUACUAAAAUGUUUGAAUCCAAAAAGAAAGUUCUUGACAAAUGAUGAAUAAAGAAAAGAGACGCUGUGAAACUCCAAGUUCCAAGUUCAUCAGAUCCUCGACCUCCAAAUUUCCAAUGGUUUCUUGAAGUUGGUACUUAAUUCAGUUGUCCUCCAAAUCUGGAUUGUUUUUACUAGUACUUUGUUUACACUUUGUCAUGACUACCCAUCACUUUGUCUAUCUUCAAAUAAACUGCAGGAAUAAUAAUAGUAAUAAUUUGCAGCUAUUGGAUGUUGAUAUUCAAUUUGAAUUUCGUUAUCAAUCCUCUUUGGAUAUUGAUCCAUUUCUUUUUUCUGUUGCCUUCGUUGUAGAGUGGAGUUAGGUAAUGAAUUGGUAGCGGCACUGGUGUAUGUUGGACUACAAUACUGGGAUUUCGUCGCAGCCGUUGGAUGCUGAAGUGGAAGUUUGCACAUUUGGGUGCCGGCGGUUAUGGGCAAAGUAAAUGUGGAUUGGAAGAAUAUGAGGAGGAGGAUUAUCACGAGCGAGGCCGCAGGGGACCCUUUUUUUCUUUUCUUCUGCAGGUUAAAAAGGAUUUUGGAUUUGUGGAUGUGGUGGAUGGUGGAUAUGGAUGUGGAUUAGGGUAGAAAUGAAUCUAAUUAAGUCGAACACCCUAGUGUUCAAACUUUUUUGAUUACUUUAAUGAAUUUAAAAUUUGGUGCAAGUUUGCCUUAUUUAUUUGUCGAACCAAUUUGAACGAGUGUUUUAUCUGACUUAAAAGUUAUUGAAUAUAAAACGCUGUUCAAACUUAGUUUGACUAGUUAGCGAUUUAAAUUAGAACGAGCUCUUACGAAGUCCAGUUCAAUUCAAUUAUUGAGCAGUUUGAUUCAUCUUUCAACUCUAAAUGAGAAAGCGAUGUCGGGAGUGUGUCGAUGAGCUGAGCUAUGCCAUAAACUUGGGGUGGGGCGGGGGCGGUGCUCUCGUUUCUUCUUCUUCUAGCAUGUGAGAUAAAGGAAAGGAAAAUGAGGUUAAUUUGCAGAGGAAACUGGAAGGUCCCCCAAACAUAAGGGGAAGAAGCCUUUCCAAGUCUUUAAAGCUGGAAAUAGCUAUUGCAACCAUGGUUAGUCAUUUUAGCCGAGUCAUAACCGGAACAGAGGGAACUGGUAUGAUACCGAUCCUCAAAUCGUCGAUAAUUUCAUAUUCGCAACGAUUCACUCUAACUCGAUCGAUAUUGAUCGAUGCAAAUUCGUGAUGCAUGGCCAAAUAUCCGAAUCAACUUGAAGUCGAAUCAAAUAUUUUUUUAGAUUGUAUCUUUAUGGUUUUUUUUUUUUAUUUUUAGUAAUCUUUUCAGAUUUUUUGUGAAAAUUUUUAUGUGAUGUAAUGUAUGUAUUACCCGAUAUUCAAUCAAUAUGCCGCGAUAAAUAUGAAACAACCGUGACUGCGACCCACGACGGCUAACCAUGAUUGCAACUAUGACCUGGUUUGAGGGGAACAAUUACCGACCACCAUUGACGAAUCGCAAUCCUUUGACUGGCCCGCCAUUAAACAUCCUAUUCUUGCAUAUUCUUCUUCAACACUUCUACGUGGAUGUAUCAACCGUAAUAGGUUUCCCUGAAAAUAUCUUGGGCCUUAAUUCACACAGUUGCAUUGGCUGCACUUACAGUUGAAUCUGAGAACAACAUGUUCAAGGCGUCUUGGUUUCUUGAGUUUGGUACUUUCAAUCUUCUCCCUUAAGACAAGUAUUUGCUGAAGUUUGAUACACAUUGAGAAACUUAUUUGGUUUUUUUUUUUCCCACAAAUUUGACUCAAAAAUUCAUAGAUUCAUUAGAACACAAAAUUCAUCCUUUUUUUUAACUUAGACACAAAUGUGAUCGCCAUCAUAAAUCCAAUGCAAGAAUUCAAACAUAAGAGGUAUACAAUGAUCCACGUUGAAGAUGAGUUUUUACCUCUAUUUUUUAAAAAAAAAAUCUACAAUUGACAGUCAAUCCCCCCUCCCCCUCAUUCAUUCAGAUUUAAACUCAGUGGUGAUAUUGGAGGACUCAAGGAAUUGACGUCUAUGUAGGAUUUUGUCAGAUUGAUUACAAUAUAUAAGCUUUGCAUGAUCCUUAUAAUAUACAAUAAGUUUUCAAAACAUGUGGGAUACUCAUAAUUAUCUAGAAGUAUUAUAAGUAUUCCAACUCGUCUUUUCCUUUACUUAGUCAACUUUGUUGCUGGUAGCUUGUUUCUUUUCAUGGAUCCACAAUAGUGAUUGCAAAAGAACAAUUCAUGGCAUAGGUAUAGAGAGUGAUUUAAAACUGGAUGAUUGAAAUUGAAUUUAUGAGUAUAAUUUUCAACAAACUACAAAGAUUGUUGUGUUUUCUGCAUAUUGGAAAUUGUCUUAUUAUCUAUAUUGAUUAAGUUUAAAGUUAUUUAUAGAAGUUGAAAUUUGACAAAAAACAAAAUAAAGUUUAAAGUCUACGUUCAUUGUAUCGAGUUAUUGCCGUUGACAAUUGUAGAAACCCUGGAUCAUUUCUUGAUCAGCACAGGCUAGAAAAAAAAAAGCCAAAGUUGUAGACAUUUGUGGAAAAAAGAACAAGAAGAAGAAGAAGAAGAAAAAGGUAUUGAACUCUCUUGUCUUGCAUUUGCCAUCUCGCUACUAAUUAGCUCCAAUUUAAUAUUCCUUGGGGUUAUAUAGAUAUCAGUCAACACGUUUAAACUUAUCAGCAUAUAUUCUUGGUUUUAGCAUAUUUAAUUAAAGGCUAGCUCCAUUUAACAGGUGCUCAAUUCAUUAAAAUAUAGUAUAUAUUUCAAAUGUCAUAUUUUUGAAAAUAUAAAAGUAAUUAGAAAAAGUAUAUAAAUACAAAGAAGGACAGUUAGGAUUAAAUAGGAAAUGUAUAUAAAUGCAAGAGAGGUAAUAAUUGUAAUAUACGUGUAUACAUGGUAAGUAAGACGAAUUUUAGCGUGUCUUAAUAAAACUCUUAAUUAAAUUUAUGUCCAAAAUCAAAUGGUCAACUAUCACGUUUUUUUCCUUAAAUGCUCUCAUAUUCAAUUCAUUUAUACAUAAUUAUUCAAACUCCAUACCAUCUUUGGAUGCCACCAAUUGGUUAUGUUUAUAUUUAAGGAUGGCAACGGGGCAAGAUUGGGGCGGGGGCUGCCUACAAAUUCCCCCCACCCCCGCCCCGUCCCCCGCUCCCCCUGCCCCACCCCGCUUUCCCCGCGGGUGCUCCCGUGGGGCUAAUAAAAAUUUGUUAUAUAAUUUUAUUAUAGUUAAAUUUUAGCAAAUAAUCAAGUACUAAAAUAUCAACACAUCACCAAAUUAUUAUUCAUUGUAAUUUCACAAUUGAAAUUCAUAAAAACAAUCAAACAAAAGUUAUUUGAAUACAAUCCAACAUGAUGAAAUAAAUAUAACUAAAGUAGUCAAGUUUUCACUUUUAGCACAAAUACAAUCACUAAUUCAUUAUUGUGCUCGUGCUUUUUUUUUGAGAAAAAAUGUUAUUGUAUUAAGUGUAAUUAGGGAUUUAGUAUAAAUGUAUUAGUAAAUUUAGUAUAACCAAUUAAUAAUUUGCAUUAGUACACAUAUAUAAUUAUUAGUAUAAUUGAUAAUAUCAAUUAUAUUACAUAUACUAAUAUACAUUAUAUAAUACAUAUAACUAAUAAUAUCAUUAUCAUAAGUUUGUAACUAAUUAAAUUAUAUAUUAUAUAUAUAAACAUAUACAUAUAUAUUUUUUAUAUAUUUAUAUUUUUAAAGCAGGUGGCGGGGCGGGGGUACACUCCCCUGCCCCUGCCUCGUUUCUAAGCAAUUUCCCCCCGCCCCAACUCUCGCCCCAUUAGCCCCCCGCAGGGCGGGUGACCGCCACUCGCCCCCAUUGUCAUCCUUAUUUAUAUUUGGUCCAUGCCUCUGCUUAUCAUCCAGACACAGCUACAUUAAUGAUGGCAUUUCUAUUUCUAAAUAAAAAGGCUGUUUGGAGUAUUCUCUGUUCCUGCACCUUCGUUUUCUGUCUUCUUCCCACAGCAUUUUGUUCUGGACGUUUGCAAAAGCUUGAUCUACCAGUUCCUGGUCCCGAGUCCUAUGCAUUCGAUUUGGCAGGUCAUGGACCUUACACAGGCGUUGCUGAUGGAAGAAUUCUCAAAUAUGAAGGACCAAUCCUUGGUUUCGUCGAGUAUGGAUACACGAAAGAGAACAGGCAAGAGUUGUUUUUCCUUGUACAUAAUGUUCGAUUUAGUCAUUAGAAAUAAAUAUCCUCAAAUUACUUAAUUGGUGCAUUUACUGUAUGACCACUAAUCUUGCCGCCUUCCCUUCCUAAUUCCUAUUUGGUACAGGUCCAAGCAAUUAUGUGAUAAUAUUGAUACAACAGACCUAGCAAAAAUUUGUGGGAGGCCACUUGGUAUAGGGUUUUACUACAAGACUGGAGAGCUCUACACAGCAGAUGCUGGUCUAGGCCUUGUAGUGGUUGGACCUGAAGGAGGUCCUGGAAAACAACUUGCCUCUGGUGCAGAGGGCGUGCCAUUUGGCUUGCCUGAUGGCCUUGAAGUUGAUCAAGAAACUGGAGUUAUAUACUUUACGGAAGCAAGCUCCCGCUACAAUAUCAGGUUGACAAAAUAAUCUGUACUAUAGCUUGAUUUUCUUCGACAGAUACAGUUUGAGAUCGAAUGUUAAAUUCCUGAAUUGUUUACACAAAACUUAUGGCUUGUUUGCAGUCAAAUUUCACAAAUAAUUUCCACUAGAGACGCAUCAGGAAGGUUAUUGAAAUAUGAUCCACAAACGAAGAAAGUCACAGUAUUGCUCAGAAGUCUUGCAGGGCCAGCAGGGGUGGCAAUUAGCAGAGAUGGCUCGUAUAUUCUUGUGACAGAAUUUCUGAACCAAAGAGUCUUGAAGUAUUGGUUGAAGGGAACCCUUGCAAAUACAACACGAGUUCUGGUAAACCUGUCAGGAUCGCCAGAUAAGAUCAAGAGGAACUCUAGAGGCGAUUAUUGGAUUGGAUUGAAUGUUCAAAGCCAAGGGCCAAAUCCCACGACAAUAAUUCAAGGACAAAGGAUAAAUGGAAAAGGGCAUAUAUUGGAAACAAUAACCUUUAGCCCUGAUUUUAAUGCUUCAGUGAUCACAGAAGUUCAAGAAUACAAGGGUGCACUAUACUUAGGUUCUCUAUUUGUUGGAUAUGUGGGAGUAUACAGGAAAUUUCCGUUAACAUUGAUAUGAUGAUAGAUGAGAACUGAGAAUCAAUAAGCUGAUUACACAGGGCUUUGCCAUUAUUCUUUUGAAAAUCCAUAAAGUGCAGACAAAAAUGAACACCAUUUGAUUGCAUAUGUUACUUUUUUUUUUACCUUUUUUUUGUCCCUUUGGAGAAAAAUGGAGUAUGAAUGCAUGUUUCAAGUUUCAAUUGUUGACUUUCUGUAUUGGGGAGCCAAUUCACCUACAUUUUACAUCAGGUUGGCAACAUAAUUAAUAUAAUACUACAUGAUACUCCGAAAGAGUGGUUGAUAUGGAUUAUUGUAAAGAAAGAAAGAAAAUUAAUGGGAAAUAAAUCCUACACAUGGAAAAAAAGAAACGUUCUGUUUAACCGGUGUUCCACGGGCGCUCAUUAAAAUGUAUUUCAAGUGUUAGAUUUUUAGAAAUAAAAAAAAUGCAAAAGGAUUAAUUAGAAAAAGUGUAUAAAUAUAAAAAAAAAAGUAAUAAUUAUUAGCGUGUGUAUAUACAUAGUAGAUUGGGUAGAAUGUAGGUGCUUUACCGGUCAGAAAAACCCAAAAAGGAAAUCCUACUCAUUCAAAUGGUAAAAACAUAGAUAAGAUACAUUUUUCUGAUAUUUGCAUACAUUUGUCAUUUUUAGUUCUCUUAUUUGGAUUUGUCACUUCCAGCUACUCAAUAUCUUUUAUUUUCUCAUGCAAUAGCUGGUCUAAUUAUGUGAAACAAAUCAGCUUUCACGAUAAAUCUAACCAGUAUUGUUAAGUUAUUUUGGUACAAUAUAGUCCCAAAGCAAACGGGUAAACCUCAUCAUCAUUCUCAUCCUCCUGUAGGACUUGCUUCUUAAAUUAUUCAUGACAAGUGGGACAUUAUCAUUCUAGUCAUGAAAGGUGUACUCGAUCGAGGGCUGAAGGUGAAUCUUCUGCCAUUUACACCUCCAAAGUAAGGUGGUUGUCAAAUGCUACAGGAUUGAUGAAUAAUGCAACUACUGGUACAGUGAUUCUGGCCAUUAAUUUUUAGAACUGCAAUACCUCGGACUCCAACUUUUACCAGGUCUAAACUCCAAAGUAGAGAUAAAACAUUAAUUAUCAUUCAACUUGACUGACCAACACAGGUGAAGUGUCACCAUCCUUCUCAAAUUUAAUAAGGUGUUCAUAUAUACCAACCCCUGACUGAUUAACUUCUCCUAUUUCACUUGAGCACUUUUGCCUUCUGAUCUCCAUCAGAGCAAAAGAUGGUAGUAGAAACUAUACUUGGUGUUGUUUCAACAAUCUUGAUGAAGCUAAUUCCACUUGCUGUCGAGCAGAUCUCUCUUGCUUGGGCUGUUUAUGAAGAUCUCCAAAACCUUUCUAAGAAACUAGAGAUGAUUCAGGCUGCAGGCAGAUGACUAGCAAAGCUGUGCAGCAUUGGCCCAAAAAUCUUCAGACAGUAACACUUGAUGCUGACACCGUGUUGGAUGAUUUUGGACAUGAAGUUCUUGGCCACAAGAUUGAGAUUGGAAAGGGUGCUAAGGUGAGCAGUUCUUUUAUGUUUCGCUGAGCGAUGGCCAAGAAGAUAGAGAACAUAUUAUCUUUGAUGAAAUGGUAAGGUGCUGAGGUGCUUUGAUGAAAGAAUUUGCUUAGCGUAUCUGAUGAUUUUGAAGUGGAAAGGCUGUUGAAUGAGAUGCUGUAAUCUUUGAAGGGAACCAAACUUGGGACGACAAACAGUAAGGCAAUGUUAAAGAGGUUUUAAAAGCAUUUAAAAGUGAUGUAGAAUAGGUGCCAGGCAACUUUUGGGUCAAGAUGGAUUGGGCAAAGAAGGGAAGGAAGAGCCAAUCGAGAUGCAUCAUCGGUGCAGGUUUCUGGAGCCAAUUUGGCCAUGGAUUCAGCUGAGCUAAGACCGGAUUCUCAGCUGGAUUCAAGGUAGAGGUAAGUGUGGCUUAUAGACUGAAUCCAGUCCACAAUUCAGCCUGCAAUCUGGCCAUGGAUUUGGAUCGGGCCUUUGCACAACUUUUAUUUUAUUUCAAUAUUUUUGGAUAUGUACACUCUAUUUCUAGAAUAAUUUUUUAUAGCUUAUAAACAGGCAUAGUUAGAAUUUUUCCUAUCACACUUUUGUCAACUUAUAUCAAACUUUAUUGGAGAUUUAUUGGUAGUGUUCAAUGGUUCAUCCUAAACUUGUAGGGACAAGUAUAGGAUCCUCUUCCCACCAUUCAAAUUAGUUUGGUAGAACUUUAACAUUUCAAUGAUUCAAAAUCCAAGCUCAUUCAAAUUAGUUUAGUAGAACUUUAACAGUUCAAUGGUUCAUCCUCCCAAUUUCCAACGCUAGCUCUGAUAUCUUAUUUUCUUCAGUUUGGUACUUUUAAUUUUCUCCUGUCAGACAAGUACUUGCAGAAGUUUCAUAUGUACUGAUCAAGUUUAUUGGUUUUUGUAUAUCUGAUGAGUUGGACUAAAAAAAAUGAAAAAUGUAUAGUUCUUAUUGAUGAAUGAAGCCUGGCUUACAGUGUGUAUAACAUGGUCCUCAAUAUGAGUCCUUUUUUGGUUAUAGUUCUUUGUUUUAAGGUGGCUUCAGACUAAGGAUGGCAAUGGGGGCGGGUGCCGGAGAUAUAGAAAUGGGGCGGGAAAUGGGGCAGGGCUGGGAAGGGGCAGGGGCAAAAUAUUUUCUAAAGUUGCACCCUUACUUACAAGUAUAAUGCUAAUUAGUAUUAACGGCCACCGCAACAACUGAAGAAAUUUCUUGGAAUAUUGUUGAUUUGUUUCUAAAGCCCCCCCAAAGACUAAGCUAUCCAAUUCCAACCUGUUUUGCUCCUAACCUUUUUUUAUUUCGAUCGGUUUCCUUCCUUCGCACUGAAUGUAACUUGACUUGUUAUGCUUUAUUUCCAUCUUGACAGCUUUUUAAUCUUAUUUAACAUUGUUUACAAUUGUUUUAUUAUAAAUAAACAUUUAUGAUAAAUUGAUUUCUUCCCCGCGGGGGACCGCGGGGGAAACGGGGCAGGGGCGGGGGACGGGGGGGUUAUUUGACAAUGGGGCGGGGUUAUGGGUAAACAUUUAUGAUAAAUUGAUUUUUUCCCCCACAGGGGAAACGGGGCGGGGAGUGGGGGGCAAGAGGCGGGGGACGGGGGGAGUUAUUUGACGAUGGGGCGGGGGGUGGAGGAAGGAUCCCCUGCCCCAACCCCGCCCCAUUGCCACCCCUACUUGAGACUAUGAAUCUAUUGAUUAUUGAAUUUUUGCACAUAAACAACAAAACAAGUAGGAUAGGACCAUUUAUAGAUCUAGGCUUGCUUUCAUAUUAGUCAUUCAUUUAAGGGUUCCAUUAAUUUUUUUUUAAAAAAAACUCAAACAUAGCUUUUAUAAAUCUAUUCUGCAGCCCUAAUUUACAGAUUUGAUAAGAUCAACAUAGUGUUCUCAUUUUUUGAGUUGGCCGGAGCUUUCAAAAUUGAAUGCCUGCUUAUAUAUAUAUAUAUAUAUAUAAUAUCCGAAUUUCAUUAAAAUCCGUAGUAAUGACAGAAGUUAUAUCAUUAAACAUACAUAGAUAUCAAAGAACAGAUCUGAAUAAAGGAUACUCCAGAUCUGAACAAUAAUAAAAAUUACAUUGUAAAGCUUCAAAUUUGAAAAAUGAGGUAAAAUAAUUGCAACUCCAUGGACAUCUGUAUAUGCUUCCAAUUGUCAAAUCUGUUGAUUAACUGCUUCAAGUCCAGAUAUUAUAGUGAAAUUUGACGAAUAGAUCCAAGAAAUUCCAUAAUCAAAUGUGAUUUGCGAUGAAUUUAGGCAAACAUGUAUAAAAACCAGAAAACGUGCCCAAUUCAUAUGAAACUUUCCUUUUGUUACAACUUAUCGAAAGCAUUUUCUAUUAUGGAAACUACAGGAUUCGGACAGGUAUGGAUUGUUUUUACUAGUACUUUGUUUAUACUUUGUCAUGACUACCCAUCACUCUGGUCUAUCUUCAAAUAAACUGCAGGAAUAAUAAUAGUAAUAAUUUGCAGCUAUUGGAUGUUGAUAUUCAAUUUGAAUUUCGUUAUCAAUCCUCUUUGGAUAUUGAUCCAUUUCUUUUUUCUGUUGCCUUCUGUUGUAGAGUGGAGUUAGAUAAUGAAUUGGUAGACCAUUUAUGAUGGAGGGUGGCGGCACUGGUGUAUGUUGGACUACAAUACUGGGAUUUCGUUGCAGCCGUUGGAUGCUGAAGUGGAAGUUUGCACAUUUGGGUGCCGGCGGUUAUGGUUAAGUAAAUGUGGAUUGGAAGAAUCUGAGGAGGAGGAUUAUCGCGAGCGAGGCGGCUGAGUUAGGAGAGAGGGGACCAUUUUUUUCCUUUCUUCUGCAGGUUAAAAGGGAUUUUGGAUUUGUGGAUGUGGUGGAUGGUGGAUAUGGAUGGGGAUUAGGGUAGAAAUGAAUCUAAUUAAGUCGAACAUCCUAGUGUUCAAACUUGUUUAAUUAUUUUAAUGAAUUUGAAAUUUGGUACAAGUUUGCCUUGUUUAUUUGUCAAACCGAUUUGAACGAACGUUUUAUCUGACUUAAAAGUUAUUGAACAUAAAACGCUGUUCAAACUUAGUUUGACUAGUUGACGAUCUAAAUUAGAACGAGCUCUUAUAAAGUCGAGUUCAAUUCAAUUAUUGAGUAGUUUGGUUCAUCUUUCAACUCUGAAUGAGAAAGCGAUGUCGAGAGUGUGUCGAUGAGCUGAGCUGUGCCACAAACUCGGGGUGGGGUGGGGGCGGGGCUGUCGUUUCUUCUUCUUCUAGCAUGUGAGAUAAAUGGAAGGAAAAAUGAGGUUAAUUUGCAGAGGAAACUGGAAGGUCCCCCAAACAUAAGGGGAAGAAACCUUUCCAAGUCUUUAAAGCUGGAAAUAGCUAUUGCAACCAUGGUUAGCCAUUUCAGCCGAGUCAUAACCAGAACAGAGGAAACUGGUACGAUACCAAUCCCCAAAUCGUCAAUAAUUUCAUAUUCGCAACGAUUCGCUCUAACUCGGUCAAUAUUGGUUGAUGCAAAUCCGUGAUGCAUGGUCAAAUAUUCGAAUCAACUUGAAGUCGACUCGAAUAUUUUUUUAGAUUGUAUCUUUUAUGGUAUUUUUUAUUUUUAGUAAUUUUUUCAGAUUUUUUUUGAAAAUUUAUGUGUUAUAAUGUACGUAUUACUUGAUAUUCAAUCGUUAUGCCUCGGCAAAUAUGGAACAACCGUGACUGCAACCCACGCUGGCUAACCAUGAUUCCAACUAUGACCUGGUUUGAGGGGACCAAUUACCAGCCACCAUUGACGAAUCGCAAUCCUUUGGCUGGCCCGCCAUUAAACAUCCUAUUCUUGCAUAUUCUUCUUCAACACUUCCACAUGGAUGUAUCAACAGUAAUAGGUUUCCCUGAAAAUAUCUUGGGCCUUAAUUCACACAGUUGCAUUGGCUGCACUUACAGUUGAAUCUGAGAACAUGUUCAAGACGUCUUGGUUUCUUGAGUUUGGUACUUUCAAUCUUCUCUCUUGAGACAAGUAUUUGCUGAAAUUUGAUACACAUUGAGAAACUUAUUUGGUUUUUUUUUUUCCCACAAAUUUGACUAAAAAAUUCAUAGAUUCAUUAGAACACAAAAUUCAUCUUUUUUUUAACUUAGACACAAAUGUGAUCGUCAUCAUAAAUCCAAUGCAAGAAUUCAAACAUAAGAGGUAUACAAUGAUCCACGUUGAAGAUAAGUUUUUACCUCUAUUUAAAAAAAAAAAUCUAUAAUUGACAGUCAAUCCCCCCUCCCCCGCCUGGGGUACCUACAGGAUCCUAGCUUUGUCACUGGUUCAAAUUGAAUUUAGGUAUGAAAAGUCAAUUUAUCUCAUCCUACAACUCGCCUACUAGAUUGCUUGACUUUUUUUUUCUGUCAGCAAUCCUUACAAAAAAGAAGCCUUUAGAAAACUGUAAACGCUGUAGCAGGAGUAUAAACUAUCAUCAAGGAUACUGUAGUGCAUUCUUGAAGUUAAUCAUAAGAACCUUCCCAAUAAUGGAGACUACUCCAAGCACCAAAGUUCCAUGCAUAUUUCUUUGUUCAUUAGUUCUUAUUUUCUCAAUGCCAUGGAGCACUAAAGCUCAAAUUCAUGAGAGAUUUCUUCGGUGUCUUCAUUCUCAGAACAAUGACUCAAUCUCCCAAGUCAUUUAUACGCCAACAAACACUUCGUAUAAUUCUGUUCUGCAAUCUUCCAUACAGAACAUAAGAUUUUUAUCUCCCAUGGAAAGAAAGCCAUUGGUCAUAGUUACGCCACUGAGCAAUUUUCACGUUCAGUUAGUUGUUAAUUGUGCAAAAUCCAAUGACUUACAGAUCAGAGUUAGAUCAGGAGGCCAUGAUUACGAGGGUCUUUCUUAUCUUUCCUAUUAUCUCCAGCCAUUUGUUAUUGUUGAUAUGAGGAAUCUGAAUAGAAUAUCCAUCGAUACUGAGAGUAAAACCGCCUGGAUUGGAGCUGGAGUAGGCCUUGGCGAACUCUAUCAUGCAAUUGCUGAGAAGAGCCCCAAUCUUGGCUUUCCGGCAGGUACAUGUCCUACCGUAGGAGCAGGUGGACACAUUAGUGGGGGAGGAGAAGGCACGUUGACGCGAAAAUAUGGCCUAGCUGCUGACAAUGUCAUUGAUGCUAAAAUUGUGAAUGCGGAUGGAGCAAUUCUUGAUAGAAAAUCAAUGGGAGAGGAUCUUUUCUGGGCUAUUAGAGGUGGAGGAGGAGCCAGUUUUGGAGUAAUUCUUGCGUACAGGAUCCAAUUGGUAUCCGUUCCAUCGAUAGUUACUGUUUUUUCAGUCAACAGAUCUUUAGAACAGAACGCAACCAAGCUUGUCCACCUGUGGCAACAAAUUGGAUAUAGGCUUGAUCGAGACUUACUCAUCAGAGUUUUUAUUACACAGGCGAGGAGUGGUGGAAAAUUAACAGUUCAAGCUGCAUUUCAAUCUUUGUACCUCGGAACAGUUGCCAAGCUUCUACCACUGAUGCAAGAAAGCUUCCCUAUGCUGGGAUUGCGCAAAGAAGACUGCAUAGAGUUGAGCUGGAUUGAGUCUGCUCUUUAUUUUGCUGAUCUCCCAAGUGGAUCAACUGUAGAUGAUUUGGUACGCAGCACUCCAUAUCCCAAAAAUUAUUACAAAAACAAAUCAGACUACGUAGUCGAGCCCAUCUCUGAAGUUGCAUUGGAAGGAUUGUGGAAAAGACUCUUCGAAGAAGGGGC
RNAcentral lists this long non-coding RNA (361881 nucleotides) under Coffea arabica (coffee). The record is from RNAcentral. Lineage: Eukaryota; Viridiplantae; Streptophyta; Magnoliopsida; Gentianales; Rubiaceae.